Molecule: long non-coding RNA, 362589 nt
Filed under: Eucalyptus grandis
Lineage: Eukaryota; Viridiplantae; Streptophyta; Magnoliopsida; Myrtales; Myrtaceae
Description: long non-coding RNA (EGRA_LNC000651)
Source: RNAcentral
AGCUUGGCUAUAUAAGUCUGUUUUGAGCUUGACAUCUUCAGGUUCCACAUCGAAGAAAAUGGGCAGAAUCUCUUUGUUCUCAUUCAAUUUUGAGGUGCACUCGACCAUGUAUGCGAGCUCUCGGAGGCACCAAUGACUUGAAGCAUAAUUUUUGGAGGAUAUGGGAAUGUACAUUUUGGAGUUCUCAAUUGCUUGUAGAAGUUCACCACCAAUCUUUUUACCAACGUGGAGGGAUUCAUUGUCCCUAAAGACAAGAAUCCCAGCCUCAACCAUGCUAUGGUAAAGACAAUCAGUGAAUCCAUGAUGAGUGUCGACUCCUCGAAAACUUAGAAAAACCUCGUACGAAGUUCCGGAUGAUGCUGAUGAACUCAUCCCCAUCUCCAUUGCAGGAUCGUUAGACACCACAGGUAUCAAAUCCUCUCUCUCUCUCUCUCAGGAAAUGUCUGCUUUUCGAGGGUGCUUGGAUCUGAGCGUGGGCUCUCAAUUUAAUAACCUCGCUGUCUCUGGCGUUAUGGAGGUGGAGCAAAAGGCGCUGCACUUCGAAUAUCUUGUCUCCUUUGCAUCGGUUUGGCCAACGAAUUUCCCAAAUCAAUAAUAAAAUGCUAAUUUUAUUUAAAAACGCCAUACUAUUAAGAAAAGUACAUCAUUAGGUUUUAAGUGAAGGGACUUAUUUGUCAUUGGAAUUAAUGUAAUUACUAAUGUAACAAUAUCUUAACCUUAUUUGGAAUCAAUUUAAUUGUUAAAAUUAAAAUUAUCACAUAUGUGUCAUGAUCUUAACCUCACUUCAUGAAGUGCCAGUGUAACCAAUAAACGCACUUAAAUAAUAUAAGAGACUAAAAAUAGUCAUUCACAUUAUUACUUAGUUAUAAAAUAAUGUGACUACUUUAAAUGCUUGACUAUGCCCUACCUUUUCAAAUAAUACUUUGUAGUAUAUAGAUCUAGAUUCCAAACAAAUAUGGUGAUCAUUAUAUGGAUCUAAAUCCCAAACAAAUAUAGAACGAUAUAUGAUACCACAAAUUUAAACACAAGGACGAUCAUAUGAAGGACGCCUAUAAUAUUCUGAAUAUAUGGAGAUUCGACAAAAUGGGAAAUGUAUCAACGAAUAUUACACAAAAUCAAAACAAUCGUAUCUAGUAUCCCACUCAAAAUAAAAUGAUUAUACUGAACCAACUUGAGUUUAAACAUUAAUACAAGCAAACACUGGGUGUUAACAAAUGUAACUCAAGCACUUGGUUGAAAAUUGUCCGAUAAGUCAAUGUCAUAAUCCUACUUUAAACCUUUGGCUACUAAGGACAUGUUUGGCAACUUGCCAAAUAGUGUUUGAUUCCAUUCUUUUGUUCCUAGAAAUAGAUUUGGAAUAAAAAUCCAUUUGGUAAAUUUUUUAUUCCCUGAAACAAAUUUGUUCUGGAGAAUAGAUUCUGAACAGAAUUAAGGAGUAAAAAAAAGUUAUUUUUUUGUUCCCGUAAAGAAUUAAGCCAACCCAAUCUUCUUUUUUUCUUUUGUCUCUUCUUCUUUUCUUAUUGUUCUUCUUUCUUCUCUCUUCUUCUUCCAUUGCCGUUGCCCUUAGUCAUCCACUGCCGCCAGUCACCGGCGAUCAGUUGGGUGAGGUCCGAGCCUCCCCCAACUAUCAACGAGCAUUGCUUGGCUAAGCGAGCUCAGCGUCACCAGAUAUAGGCAGCCCUCACCAGGGGCCUACGACGCUCUGGCGAGGUCGUCAGCUAGAAGCUUGAAGAAGAAGAAGAGAAAGAAAAGAAAAGAAAAAGAAAAAAAAAAUUAAUAUAAUUAUUUAAAAAGUUAAAAGAAAAUUAGCAAUUUUUAGAACGGUACCAAAUGUAAUUCUAUUUUGGAAAUAAAAAUCUUAAACAAUUACCGAGCGUCUUCAAAUAUUUAAAAAUUGUUCCCAGGAAUAUAAUAAAAAAGAAUCAUUGUUGAUAAAAAAUUGUUUCCGAAAAUAAAAUGAUUACCAAAUGCUCCCUAAGUGAGCUUACUACUGCGCUAUGGAAUCAUCACAAGUGAGACUUCACUUAAAAAACCCACUGGCUAACCUCUGGUAAUUUUUCGGGGUGGACGAUCAACCAAAUCCUUCAUACGAGUCAUUUCUAAAGUUUGCAGUUCCUCAUGCAAUAGCUCCUACCAAUUAGUGUUGGAACGCGCCUCUCCAUAGGAUCGAGGUUUCAUAAAGAGUAGCAAACAAAUAUAGAAAGAUAAAUGAUACCACACGGUAAACAUAAAGAUGACUCUAUAAAAAACGCUAACAAUAUUCCCAGUAUUUAUAAGAUUCGAUAAAUCACGGAUCAUAUUAGUGCUGAUUACACAAAAUCAAAUCAAAUAAUCUAGCACCCACUCCAAAAUAAGACAUUGCAUUGAAAACAACUUGAUUUUGGAAAUUAAUCAGAUUUAGCAAACGAGUGAAUGUAGGGUGCUGUGAGCACCGAUAGGGUUUUUAUUUAUAAAAUGGAUUGAUUUGCAAAAUUCUCAAUAAGAACUUAUUAAUUAUGAUCCAACCGUGAGCAACUAGAAAUAUUUUAUUCUAAUUUUUAAAAUUGCAACUCACUUAACUUAAAUUUUAAAUUAAAAUUUUAGAAGAAGGUGAUGAGAAGAGGCGACGAAUUAUUAAAUUGGUUUGGUUUAUUCCUUCAUCUUUUGAUUGAUUCGGUCUGGCCAAUGAAUUUCCCAAAUUAAAUAUUAAGAUGCGAAUUCUGUAAAACAACAUUACUAUUAAGAAAAACACAUUAAUAGCUUCUAAUCUGUUAUUGGAAUUAAUAUAAUUACUAAAUCAAAAUUAUUAUAUAGGAAUCUAAACCUUAAUUGGAAUUAAUUUAUUCACUUAUUUUAAAAUUACUAUAUAUGUAUCAUGAUAACCUCCUUUUAUGAAGUUAGGUAUGACAUGGACAUAUAUACACAAAAGUUCAUGGACAAGCCGUUUUAUGAAUAGAUAAAUCUCGAGAAUAACUUAACUUGUUUUCAUAUAAAAUGUAAAAAGUAAAUUUCUUUGUACUUGCUCAAAUCUAUAUUUACUAAAAUGUUCAUAUGAUGAACAGUAAAACGUAAAAAGUAUUUUUUUUUUAGUUCGAUUAAGUUAGUUGGUGUUGUUAGGUACUAAAAAUUAAUCCUUUUGUAUCAAAUUUAAAUAUUUAUUUAAUAUCAAAACGCCACUUCUCACUCUUUUCUUCAUUUUUUAAUUUCAAGAGCAAAUUAAAUAUUUAACCUUGAAGUUCAUUGUGAAUCUCACCACCAUAAUUCAUUCAUUUGAAAAGGACUAUAAUUUGCUAUGCAAAACCAAAUUUCCUCGUACACGUUUACAUAAGAUCUUUUACCACAUUUUCCUUUAUCACUGAGUGGUCAUUUAGGGGCCUUAGCUGGUGAUCUGGGUUGUUUCCCUCUCGACGAUGAAGCUUAUCCCCCAUUGUCUCACCGGCCGACCUUGACCCCUAUUUUGCAUGUGAGAACCAUGUGCAGUGCAUAUACUAGGCAUAGUUGAAGAAAUUAUUUUACUCAAAAAAAAAAAAACCGUAAAAAUUCAAAGUCACGUGAAUCUUUAAAUAUCUUUAAAAAAUUAUUUUACACAUGGUUUACGAAAUUGUUCAGUAGAAUAUUGUCCAUUAGUCAUAUUUAUAAGAUAUGCCUAACAUAGGAGGGCGAUUUACGAAUCUUUAAAUAUCUUAUAAACUUGCUUUUCUAAUUCAGAAAACGACAUGUUCAUAUAUUCUAUUUUAUUUUCUCUUUUCCAGCAAAUCGCGUUUUAUAAAUGCUCAAAACUCGAGACAUAUUUUAAUAGUUUAAAUUAUAUUGACUUAUAGGAAGGAACUAAGGCCAAUGUAAGUCAUCUGACUCGUGUUUGUGCUUAGGCAGCUCUCAUGGCGUAUUUUCUUCCUACUUGAGUCUUAGGGGGUAGAACUCGUUGAGAAGUCAUCUCACCCCAUUGUGGAAUAACAUUUCAGGUCCUUAGAUGGCAGCUCUUGAGUUUUUUUUUUGGAUAACCUAAGAGGAUUACAGAGUAGGCAUCUUAUUUUCCAUUGCCUAGGAGCCCUAAGGGCUGGACCUAUGAACUAGUGAGCUUUUCUUAAUUUAAUGAUAUUAGAGAAAAUUUCAAAGGUCUCCUCAAACUUUGUAUUUGUAUCAAAUGCACUUCUCAGCUUUUGACAUUCGCAGCAAUGUUUGUCUUUAGACGAAAAUUCUUAAAGUGAAAGAUUAAACUAGCCCUCUACUAAACGCAAUUGAUGUGAUGUAAUCGGUCAACCCACAUGGCCUGUGUACUAUACAUGUGAUCCUAAUUGGCACUUAAAAAAUUUCAAUGAAAAACAUCAAUAUAGCCAACCAAUAGAGUUAGCAAAUGUAAGCUGAGCAAUUGGUUCGAAAUUGUACUAAUAAUUAAUGUCAUACUCCUACUUAAAACUUUAAGCUACUAAGCGAGUCUAAUACUGCUCUACGGAAUCAUCAAAGUGAGCCUUUACAUAAUUAAACCCACUUGCUAAGCUCUGGUAAUUUUUCCGGGUGAAAGAUCAACCAAAUCCUACGCUGGACUUUCUAAAGCUCGCAGUUCCUCAAGUAUUAGCUUCUGCCAGUGAGUGUCGGAACAGCCUCUCAAUUGGAUUGAGAUUUCAUAAAGAGUAGUAAAGUAACAACACCGAUAAUAAUAAUAAUCAAGAAGACGUAUCGAAAGUAAUCCUAUUAGAGUGCUGCAUAUAAGGUUCAACGUCGGAAGUAGUCAGAUCCAUAUACCAGCAGAUUCUGUAGGGAGAGCAAAUCUGAGAAAUCAAGCGUGCAUCAAGAUGAGACAAACUAUGUAGAGACGCAACCAAACAUGACUGACUGGCAUGUGAGAGCCAUUUGGAGUGACAUGGACGCAGAAUGCACUAUUAAAGAAACAUAAAGAAUGACCUAGACGCCACACUUUUCUCUUUUUUACGGAAUAAUGUUCAAUGUAAGGUCAGACAUCUCAAACUUUUAAAAUUAGGAGAGAGAAUUGCAAAGCUUCGCAUUUUUAUUUGGUUAUAGCAAGAAAAUUUAAUUAUAAAUAUCUUUGGUUGUUGUGAGUGUGAAUAUGAGAAAUAUAGUCUCAUCUUCUGUUGUAUUGCUAGGUGAUAAAAUCUUCUUUUUUUUUGGGUCGGUGAGGUGACAGGAUUCAGUGGUUGAAUGUGAGAACACAGAAAUAAUGCUCAAAAAGAAAUAAAAAACAAUUUAUGAGUUUCUAAGGGUCCGUUCGUUUCGCGGAAAAUGAGUCAUUUCUGGAAAAUAUUUUUUCAGAAGUCAUUUUCCAGGAAAAUGACAAUAUUUUCUGGUGUUCGGCUAAAACAUGAAAAUAUUUUAGAAAAUAUUUUCCGGUGUUCGGUAAGGAAAAUAUUUUCUAGGACUUCACCACUUAGGCAUGCAUCAUUUACCGACCUAUAAAUCCAUCAAAUAUGAACUUGCAUUUAAAUCCAAGUAAACUUACUUCAUAUCUUAGUUCUCUCAUUAUUGUCAAACAUUCAUCUACUCUAAAAAAAUGUUCAUAUGGAUUUUGAAAAGAAGCAAAAGAGAAAAGAAGCAAAGCAUGUACAACCCUAAUGAGAAUCUUCUAGUUGAGUGACUUGUUCUCCCCUUGCGUCUUUUUUUUUUUUUGAUGACCCAGGGAAUCCCGUAUAGUCGGUAGCCAACAAGUAAACCCUAGGGUGACGCCCAAGGAAACCACCACCCUAAUGCCAUGGGUAAGUCCACAAAUGACGACGCUGGGAUUCGAACUUGUCCCCGUCGUAAGGAGGACAAAGCCCGAACCAACGCUGCCACCACAUGGGGUGGUCUCUCCUUGCGUCUUUUGAAAAGAAAAAAGAAGCAAAGCAUAUAGAGCCAUUUGCUUGAGUAAUGUUAAUUGCAGAGUAUAAUAAAUAAAUAAAAGGAUACGUAAGAGUGCAAAGCGCGAGCUUGAGAUCGACGAGCUCGAGAUUCGCCUAUUAAAAGAUACGGUGUAAUUGUUCGGGGAAUUCUGAUCCAUUAUUAAAAGAAAUGCUAAAUAAGAGAAUGAGGUUUACCGUCCACUAUUAAAAGAUACGGUGUAAUUGUACACGUCAUCAAGGCUUGAUAAUCAAUUACAACUAGGCUUAUUAUUAUCUUUUUUUUUUAAUAUACAGUACGUCGUCAUAAAAGGUUUUAAAAACGAAAGGCCACUGCCCGGGAAAAAACAAUUACAUAAAGGAUUUCUAAAUAGCCAUGAAAUUGUGACAGAAGGGCAAACAUGAGAAUAAUCAAGUACCUGCGUCUUGGAAUUGCUUUAUUAGUCGACAACCAUUGAACUUUUAAGAUAGUUGCGGGAAGAAUUACUAGAGCCAACUAAAUUAUUCAUUUAAUAAAUUCUAAAGAAUUAUGAAUGGUUUUUUUUUUUUGCCGGUCGAUCAUAAUUAGAUUUUGUCCCACUUUCAUUCAUAUCAAUUUAGGCCGAACAACUGGCAAGUCUGAUUUGCAUGAGAAAAGAAAAAUUAAGAAGUCAUUGUCACUAGCCUCUAAUUAUUUGUUUUGGUCUAUUAUUAUGGUUAAAGUCUUGGCCGUUGUUUAUAUCUUCCAGCUGGGUGACAAAAGGUUUUAAAAACGAAAGGCCACUGCCCGGGAAAAAAAACAAUUGCAUAAAGGAUUUUUAAAUAGCCAUGAAAUUGUGACAGAAGGGCAAACAUGAGAAUAAUCAAGUGCCUGCGCCUUGGAAUUGCUUUAUUAGUCGACAACCGUUGAACUUUUAAGAUAGUUGCGGGAAGAAUUAUUAGAGCCAACUAAAUUAUUCAUUUAAUAAAUUCUAAAGAAUUAUGAAUCGGGUUUAUUUUUUUGCCGGUCGAUCAUAAUUAGAUUUUGUCCCACUUUCAUUCAUAUCAAUUUAGGCCGAACAACUGGCAAGUCUGAUUUGCAUGAGAAAAGAAAAAUUAAGAAGUCAUUGUCACUAGCCACUAAUUAUUUGUUUUGGUCUGUUAUUAUGGUUAAAGUCUUGGUCGUUGUUUAUAUCUUCCAGCUGGGUGACAGGGAUGCAACCUUAGGACAGUGACAAUCAAUAAUUGCCGUUUCAAAAUUUAUUGUAGGUAAUGAUAGAGCAAUUGGCUAUUAAUUAAAUUGAUUGAUCUAUCACAACCACUACAACAUCAUUUCAUAUUCAAAACAGAAUUGGGUAGGAAGAUAACUUUUAUUUAUGAAUGUGCUUGCACAAUACGAUCAUUAGAUUAUUAGGAAGAAGACAUUGGAAGCGCCAUAACUUUUAGUGUCAUUUUCUCUUAAAAAAUUAUUACGAGUUGUAAUCUCACUAAGCCGAUUUAAUGUUUUCCAAUGUUUCAUAUGUUUCUUCCGAAAUGCAGCCAGAUACUAGAAAGACAGAAAAAGAAAAAUUAAGAAGUUCGCCUCACUAGUCACUAAUUUAUCUUGGCCUUUUAUUAUGGUUUAAGUGUUGGUCAUUGGUACAUCAUCUAGCAAGGUAACAUGAUGGAACCUUAGGAUAGUGACAUUCACCCUCAGCUUAAGAAUCAAUACUUGCCUUUUAAAAACGGGUUGUGGGUAAAGAUAGAUAAAUUGGCUAUUUAAUUUGAUUAAUUAACUUAUCGUAUUGCCAUCAUUAGAUUAUUAUUAGUUAUAAUCUUGCUGAGCCAAUUCAAUGUUUUUUUUACGCUUUACGUGUUUCUUCCGGAAUGUAAUCAUCAUUAGAUUAUUAUUAGUUAUAAUCUUGCUGAGCCAAUUCAAUGUUUUUUUUACGCUUUACGUGUUUCUUCCGGAAUGUAAUCAACACUCAAAAGAGCAUGGAAAAUUCUUGCAAUUGUGACAGAAAAGGAAAACGAGAAGAAUAAGUAAAUAUUUGCCAUCUCGGAAAUGUUUCAUGGUUGACGACUAUCGUGACCUACCCCUCGGGGGGGGGGGGGGACAGUAGGUUUAGCGGUAUUGCCUAAAAGAUAGGCCUAAGGCCCAUGAUUAGGCAUGGACUCUCCCAAGCCCAUACCCCGCGUGACAUUGGGAAAUUCUUUAGAAUUUUGCAAAAAAGAGUCGCCACUAGCCUAUUGAGGUCGGCUAGAAACCAAGUGAGACAUGGGAGCGUACCUCACUUCCUACGCAACCAGAAAAUCUAGAGUCGGGGACUUAAUUACACUAAUUGACCAAUUAGUGUCAUUUCGGUACCUAAUCUUGUCCAUUUUAAUAAAAUGACUUUUUGGCAGGCAGUUUGGAUUGAUUUUAUACAUAUCCACUAACAUAUGAGAUGAUCAUGCAGGUGCGCAAUUAUAAAAAGUAACAACCAUAGCUACCAAGAUUCUAAUUGCAGUAAAAUUAACACAUGCCACUAAGCAAUUGUAAACAUAGUUAAAUAGGUAAAUUAAACAUGCAAUAUAAUCAAUAUACGAGCAAUUAAAGGCCUAAAUAUACUAUAAAGGCAAUACAUGGUCAUUUCUAAUCAAAACCUACAUAUUUUGGAUUUUCAAAAUUUUAAUUUUUUUUAAUUUUUUUUAAAAAAUAUUAUUUUAAUAUUAUAAUAAUAUAAUAUAUUUAAAAUGAACCAGGUCAGAUCCCCUGGUCGGGUCUGACUUGGGUAGAUGGAAAGGGCCUGGGCCUAGCCCGAAUCAAGCCCGACGGCCCGAACUUGGACCAAACUGGGCCGCAAGACCCAAACCAGCAAAACCAGCUAGGCUGGCCUAAAUUUUUUGAAAUAAAGCCCAAAUGAAAAAAUAGCCCCAAACCCGGCCCAAUACGCCCAAAAUCCUACCCAGUUGACUAGACUCGGCCCGAUUCUCGCGACCCAAAUUCUGGAGCCCUCGGGUUCAGAGAUCCAUGGCGCUGGAGGGAUUAGCUAGGACAUCGAUAGCAAUGAUGGGCUUGAUGACGGCGGCAAUGCGGUGAAUGGCGACAUCAGCGCUUGGAGGGCUGCAGGUGAGACGGGGCACGACGGUGACUAGUGGAGACGGGUAGAGGUGCGGUAACGCGGGUUACAGGCAUCGGGCAGAGGUGCAGUGGUGGGCAUGGCAAUGGCUCGAACAACGUCAGGCAAGAGGGUGGCAGCUCGGACGGUGUCAUGGUUGGACGACAACGACGGUCGGCUUGGUGAUGCGGUGAAGCUCGAUCUACUCCCAGAUCUGGGCCUUUGGCCGACCCCCUUGCCUCGGAUCUUCAGAUCUGAGGGGCUCCGAGUUCAUCCUCCCUCUCCCUCUGGUCUCGACUAGCUUGGCUUCGGGAGAAGUGGCGACGAGUGCUGUAGCUACUAGCAUCGGCGGUAGCAACGUCGAGUGCAAUGGGUCGGACGGCGGGAGCUCGAAUGACGUCGGGAGCAGUGACUGCUGGCAUCGGUGUCAAGUGCAGGGGGUUGGAUAGCGGGAGCUCAAACGGCGUUGAGCUUGGAGGGCGGCAGCUCGGACGACAGCGGCGGCCAACGCCGACGACACCUCCUUUCCUUUCUCUCCCUCCCUGUCUUCUCUCCCUAUUUCUCUCUCUGUUUCUCCCUAGCCUCUCUCGCUCCCCCUCCUUGUGUUCUCUUCGAGCUCUCCUCUUUCUCCUCCAGCUCUCUCUCUUUGUCUCUCUCUCGAUGUUUGCUGUCCUGUUCUCCUAAGUUUCUUGUGCGAAGAUGGAGGAGGGAGAAGGUUGGCGUGAGCCAAGCCAAAGGGGAAACGGGCUUGGGCCGCUCAAGGGAAAAAUGGGCAUUUUUUUUUAAAUUUCUCUCUUUCUUUUCUUUUUUUGUUGUUUUGUUAUUUUUAUUUUUCUUUAUUUUUCCUCUUUUUCUCUAAUAAUUUUUUUUAUGUACUUGAAAACAAAAAUUAUGUAUCAACAACUGCCCGUCUUUGAAUGUAGCCUCGAAGAGGUUGCAUUCAAAAACAGAAGACACCUAAAUUAUUUUGGUGGUAGAGAGACCUUGGGUUCAUAGGCACGCGUCAAGUCGACAGAAAGGACUCAUAACUAUGAAAGCACGUCUUGUUGAUAAGAGGAAGAAGGACACCGGGCUACAAAGCUCCUCGGGAUAUAGGAAGAAAAACUCCGGGAUACAAAGCUCUCCGGGUCAUAAGAAGAGAGAAGACUCCAGGAGAUAAAGCUCUCCAGGUCAUAAGAAGAUAGAGAAGACUCCGGGCUACAGAAGCCCAUAGGGUCAUAAGAAGAGAGAAGACUCUAGGAUACAAAGCUCUCCGGGUCAUAAGAAGAGAGAAAACUCCAUAAUACAAAGCUCUCUGGGUCAUAAGAAGAGAGAGAAGACUCCAGGUUACAGAAGCCCACCGAGUCAUAAGAAGAGAGAAGACUCCAGGAUACAAAACUCUCCGAGUCAUAAAAAGAGAGGAGACUCCAGGAUACAAAGCUCUCCGGGUCAUAAAAAGAGAGGAAUGAGGUCUCACCGUGUAAUAAUGGGUUUCGAUUGGGUAUGAUAGUCUCACUGUGUACGAACGGGUUUCGAUUGGGAGAUAGGUCUCACCUUGUACAAACGAGUUUCGAUCGGAUAUGAUAGUUUCACCAUGUACGAACGGGUUUUGACUGAGAGAUAGGUCUCAUCGUGUAUGAAUGGGUUUCGACCGGAUGCAGACAAGUGUGGUUUACGGAUGAACCCACGAGCCGUGUGGUUUAGGAAAAGCCACCAACCCCAUGGUUUUAACGAUAAAUCCACCAACCUUGGAAAUGGCAUGGUUUAAGGCUAACCAUGAACCCUUGGUUUUUAGGGAAGCACCCGCUAACCCCUUAAAAACUACAUGGCUUCAAUGAGGAAUCCUGUCAAACUCAACUUGAGCAAAUGUCAUUAGAGACGUCAUCAAGAGGCGUAUUGGCAAUAUUACAUCAUUAAUUAAACAAGCUAAUCAAGCUAAGUCCUACUGCUUUAGACAAACAUUUGAUGUCAAUCAGUAUCACGUGGUGCAAAACUGUCAUCUUGCUUGGGGAUAUAUCAUUAAUCAUCAAAUUCUUAGUCAGAAAGGACUUCUCACACACUCUUGAUAAAAUGGCUACUUGAUCCCAUCUAUUCGCGUGGGAUAUAGCUGAUUGCUGAAGAUAUCUCACAUAACCCAUGUCAAAGGCUUUCUGAAACAUUCACGAUAAGCACAAUCUGAUCGAUCAAAAAAGUCUUUUGAAAGGACUGCAAUAUAGGCUUGGUUAAGGCUUACACAAAUGAAUAUUGCUUUGAGGCCAAUAAAGGAAUAUUUGUCGCUAUCUUCAUCGGGUUUACGAGUCGAGAACUUGGAAGAUAAGACAAGAUAGAAUUACUUCCACUCUUUCAAGCAAUAGCUUCUUUGUGGUAUUCUCAUUUUCACUCAAACCAUCCCAAUCAGAAGAGACUUCGGAAGAGGGUUGUAAUGUUGGUUUGGGAAAGGCUCGAAAGGCUUAAAAUUUUCAAGAGGGUUUUUAAGUGUCGAUGAUCAUCAUGGCAUCGUGACCGAGUCACUCGACCUUUGGAAAGCAUUUAGCUUUUGAAACACAACACAUCAUGAAAGUCCCUUAACUAAUCAUUUAUGCAUGGGAGCUUUGCUCCUUUAUCUAAUGUCCUUUGCUCUUGCAAUAAUUUUUUUUGUGCAAGCACUUGGACUUUGAUAAUAUUUUUCUUCCACAUAAGAUGCAACUUUUUGGCUCAUUUUUUUAAACGGGCAUUGGUCUUGCUUUUACCAGGCACACUGCUUUUUCAUACCCCCUAAUUUUGUCAAACUUUUUGCUCUUUGAACCUUUGGAGCUCUUAUGACUUUCGAGAUGCUUUUCAUGCUUUCUCGUAAAUGCCAAUUGUAUGUGGUCAAUCCUUAUGCCUUGCCCUAGUGAAGGGAGAUGAUCACCGCUCGAGGUUUAGAAAUGAAUAAUUAGGCCCAAAUUGGUUAAAGCAAAGGGUAUCGGUGUUUGGGUAGAGAAGGAAAUGCUCUUCUUCACAUUAGGAUAAGUCAAGCUUUAAUGAGAAUUCCUCUGAAGCUAUCACCAGAAGAUUGCUGCAAGUGAAAGUGAUAGAAUCUUUCUCAAUCUUUCACUCUACAACACGACCGUAACCUCUUGUGCUGCCCCAAUGUAGGGUCGUUCUCGACAGGGGUACUUUGAAUGAUCAUCUUUAUUCGGCCCAAAGGAGUAGCAAAAGAUUAGUGCAAUGCUUGGGAUUGAUGAAGGAAACGCCUUUAUCAUUUCAAUCCUUGUGCUCAAUGCGAAUGAAUCAUUUGUCCUAAGAGAAGGUCGCUUUUCACUCAACUCUCGAAAGUGUUUGAAGGACGUGUUUGGAAAUGACUUACCUUUCUCUAUCCUAAGCACUUCUUAUUUGGCAUGGUUGACGUCUCUGUUUCACUCUGCCGAGAUUAUCUGAGUAGAUCAAUCUCCAUAGGGGAAUUUGAUUUAAAUUGAAUAACCCACAAAACGAGAAAAUAAGUUUGAGAUAAAAAUGAUGCUAAAAAAGUUUGUAGAUUUUUUUUUUUUCAUUUUUGUGCUUAUCUUUUGGGCAUAAAAGGUUCUUUUUUGUAAUAGAAAUUCUUCGGUUUUUUUUUUUUUUUUAAGAUUGAGAAGAAGGGUAAUUACCUGCGGUAUGGUGACCUGGUAACUCUGUAAAUAAUGUAAAAGAAUAUGUUAGUGCAAAAAUUUUUAGGGAUUGAAAUCUUGGAAACGAUACAUUAUUACCCUUCACUCGCUUUUAUCUUUUGAGGGCUAACAUCUCUUGGAUUCACCCUCAUGGAUAUUUUUUAACUUGGCAUUACUCUUCACUUGCAUUUUUCUUUAAGCGUUUGAUGUCUUCCUAUCAAAGGAAAGAAAGAAUCAUGUUAGAGACGUUAUCAAAAUGAGCAAUUGGAAUCGACACCAUUUACCUUUCACGUGCUUUCAUUUUUCAGUUAUGAACUUUGCCUGAAGUCACUAGAAUUGAUUGAAAAAUGGCUAUGUGGCCCUGAUUUUAUCCAUAAAAAGCACUUCUUUAUUGUAUACAAACAAUUCACAAAGUUCAAUUCCUACUCUUUUUUUUUUUCAAAUGCUCAUCCUGAAGAAACGUUUAGCAGACAAGGAGCUCGAAAAUUUAUAUAUGGAUCAUGAGAUGUGUUUUCAAGAUCUUGCUUUGAAAGGAGAGUGGGUGCUCCCUAUUUCCACAUCUGAGGAUAUUAUUCUUUAGAUGCUUUGCCCAUUUAUUGCUUGCAAGGAAAAGAUUUGACAUAUUAUUUCCUCGCUUGAUUGGAAAUCAUUUAGGAAUUAUACACAUCCCUUUACGCCAAAAUAGACAGUCGGGUCUUAGCAUGAUUCCUUGAUGGAAGGCGUUGCUUCUACAGUUAAGGUGCAAUAUUUUUCCCAUUCAUCACCCUAUAAGAAGAGGAGAUGAAACAGGUUAUCUCCAUACUUAAUUAGGUUCAAUUUAGGAAUGAUACAUCCUUUCGUGCUAAAUUGGAUGUCUUGUCAUGUCUUAUUGGAGAAAAACAUUGCCCUUAUAAGAAUACUCCUUCGCUUUUGUUGGAACGGUAUAUAACUUGGCGCCCACAAUGUAUCCUUAGCAAUGGAAAAAAAAUCAUGUCAAAGACGGUAUCAGAAAUGGAUAAUUGGAAUUGAUACAGUUUACUCUUGUUGGAGAAAACUUUCUUAUUUAUUUUGAAGUUGACAAAACGUUUCCAUCAGUUUAGUCUGAAGACUUGCAGACUCUAUCGUCAAAGUCUGAAGACCUCCAGACUCAAGACUUAAAGUCUACCCUCACUGAUAGUCUCCAGACCGACGAAGGAAAGAUUUAUCUGACGAAGAAGACUUGUCCAGAUGCGAGUAUAUCUUUAAGGAUUUGGUUUGUAUGGUUGAAGAAGAUCUCAUGGCUGGAAAUAGCAUCUCGUGAUCAGUUAUUCUUAUUGAAAUCAAUUCGGAUAAUUGGAUCUGUUGAUUGGCAAAGUAUACUUGGAAGGUUGUACUUAUGGAAAUCUAGAUCCUGAUUGUAUGGACGAGCAUGAUUUGUGGGUUAUCAUCACAUUCCUUAAAUAACUCGAGAUGUCCAACGGGUAGAUUUGAAGAACUCCUUUGGAAAGUGCCAAUGGUUAUAAUGGCAUGGAGGAGUAUAUAAGGAAGAUGCUCAAGUUAUUCAAGUGUGUGCUUGAAAGAAAAAUUCCAAAGUAUGAAGUUCUUAGUUCUUUGCUAUCUCAAUCGCUGAGCUUAAGUUGUACUCAAAAGAGAGAUUAAAUACUUGUGAGAUCUUGAGGAAGUGUGGUAGAAUUUCUACACUAUGGAAUCAAGAACGUGAGGCUGUAAAGUCUCUUUUGAUUCUUCAUGGAAAUCCAGCCAGUGGGCUGUUAGUGCGGGAGAGUGGACGUAGGCUUGGUCUAAGACGAACCACUAUAAACCUUGUGUUUUAAUUCUCUUUCCUUAAUCUGUUUACUUUAAUUCGUAACUUUAUAUAACUGUCUAUAGUCUUUUACAUCUUCAGUCUAUUAUCCUCAAAAGGCGAAUUAAUUUGUUAAGUCUUGUAAAAGCUUCUUUAACACCUAUUUACCCUCCUUCUAGGUGUUCUUACUAGCCCUAUCAAUUGGUAUCAGAGCCUAUGUGCUCGUUUUAUUUAAGUGUUUUACUUUUGAGCUAAAGAUUUAUGGCUAGUAUUUUGGCUCCUAAUUUGGUUGAAGGCUAAAGUAACACUAGGCCGCCUUAUUUUGAUGGAAAUGAAUACAAUGUUUGGAAAAACAAGAUGAAGGCAUUCCUAAGAUCGAAAGAUCCAUGGGAAUGGGAUGUGGUAGAAAAAAGGAAUCAUUCAUAAAGCUGCAUCAGUCUCAGAAAGAGGAAAAGAAGUUAUAGAUGCUAGCGAUAUGGCACAAGAAGAAAUAACCAAGAGACAAGCUCUUGAUGCUAAAGUAAUCUACUCUUUAUACUAUGCUUUAUCUCCUACUGAAUAUAACAAACUUUCAUCUUGUGAAACAGUAAAAGAAGUCUAGGAUAGGUUGCACGUCACCUAUAAAGGAACUGAUUGAGCUAAAGAAACAAAGAUCAAUAUCUUACUCGGACAGUAUAAAGCCUUCAAUAUGAAAUUAGGAAAAUCCAUUACUGAUAUGUUUAGUCGUUUUACAGAAAUCGUAAACGGUCUAUUAUAUCAGGGACAACCAAUCUCAGGACCAAUGAAGGUUAAUAAACUGUUGCGUGGAUUAUCCAAAGAUUGGAAUCACGUGAAGACUUCAAUGAAAGAAACCCAAAUGAUCAUGCCUCUUACAAUUGAUGAGCUUGUGGGCACACUUCAGUCAUACGAAGUGGAACAACUCAAUAAGGAAGAAGAUCCCAAAGGUAAGAAGUCAAUUGCUUUAAAAUCUAACGAUAAUUCUAAUGUUAUAGAUUCCGAAGAUGAUAUGGAUGACGAAGAGCUAGCACUUAUGAUAAGAAAGUUUAGGAAACUAAACAUAAAGGGAAGAAGAUUUAACUGGAAGAAGCAAGGUUAUAAAAAAUUCUAGAACAAAACAAAUGAGGAUGACGAGAUCAACAAGGAUGUGGUCUGUUUUGAAUGCAAGAAAAAUGGACACAUUAGACCCAACUGUUCUCUGUUGAAGAAAAAGAAAGCAAGAACUGAAAAGUUCAAGAAGGCUCUCAAAGCAGAAACAUGAAGUGAUAUAGAAUGUGAGGAAAGUGAUGAAAAAUAUGCCAACAUAUGUCUUAUGGUGAAUUCUAAAUCGGACUUAGAUUUUGGAACAAAUUCAGACUCAGACAAUGAAGUCGAAGUUAGUAAUUUAAAUAUACCUGUUAAAGUCUCGAAAUACAUUGAUGAACUUUGUUGUAGUCUCAAAACCUCUCUUAAAAGGAUUUUCGAGCUAAAAAUGGAGAGUUCUACACUUAAGCAACAUGAAAAUUCUUGGAAAGAAAAAUUUGAAAAUUUAGACAAAAGUUUUGUUGUUUUAAAAGAAAAUGCAGACUCUUUUUCAAAAGAAAAUACAAUUUUGAAAGAGGACAUCUCAAACAUCUCAAAAAGGUUUUCAAUAGGAUCUAAAAAGUUGGAAAAAAUUCUUUUAGUACAAAGACCUUAUUUCAACAAGUCAGGUUUGUGAAUGACCUCAGAAACUAUUCCUCUAAUUGAUUUUCCAAAAGUAAAGGAAGGAAUCAAACAAAGACCUACAAUUUUUUUUUAAAGAAAUCAUUUUCAAAAAGUCUUUGUGAAACCUGUUGGCCGAAGUGCUCUCAAAAGUUCAAAGUGCAAUAGCUCAUAACACUUUGAGAAAUAAUGCCCUAUGGUUUAGAGACAUAUUAAGAAGGAAUGGGCAAAAACUGUAUAUUGUACUAACUCCACCGAACCCAAGAAAAUAUAGAUACCAAAGAAAGCUUGAGUCUCUUUUUUAAUUGCAGAUCACUAGCAAGAAAAAUGUUAAAUUGUAUUUGGAUAGUGGAUGUUCAAGACAUAUGACUGGAGAUUCAAGUUGUUUUAUUAAAUUUGUUCAAACAAAUGGUGGAAAAGUCUCUUUUGGUGGAAAUACCAAAGGAAGAAUUUUUGGGUGUGAAACUGUAAAGAUUAGAAGUCUCACAAUCAACAAUGUCUCCUUGGUGGAAGGACUAAAUUACAAUCUUCUCAGCAUUAGUCAACUAUGCGACACUGGAUUCAAAAUCAAUUUGCAAGAAGGAGUAUGUUCGGGAACUAGUAAAGAUUUUUCUCAAUCUUUCUCUGGACGAAGACAUGAGAACAUUUAUCUUCUUGAUAUAGAACCAUAAAUGUCUCAAUAUCUUAUAUCAAUUCAAGACGAAGCGAAUCUUUGGCAUCGAAAGCUUGGCCAUGUCAACAUGAAGCAAAUUGCCAAGAUCUCUUCCAAGAAGCUUGUUCGUGGACUGUCCAACUUGAAGUAUCAAAAAUCUGACUUAUACACACCAUGUGUGUUGGGAAAACAGGUUAGAAGUUCUUUUAAACCAAUAACUUAAGUUUCUACUAAUCGUGUUUUGUAGCUUCUGCAUAUGGAUCUCUUUGGACCGACCUGAACUCAAAGCAUUGGUGGAAAGAGAUAUUAUCUAGUAAUUGUGAAUGAUUAUUCUCGAUUCACUUGAGUUUACUUUCUAGCAAGUAAAUCUGAAACUUUUUCUCACUUUUCAAAGUUUGCUAAGAAAUUUCAAAAUGAGAAAAGAUAUGUUAUUCCAAGCAUACGGACAAACCAUGGAGGUGAGUUUGAAAAUCAAGACUUUGCUAAAUUCUGUGAUGAAUCUAGAUUUCAACAUGUUUUCUCAUCUCCAUACACUCUAGAUCAAAAUGGAGUUAUGGAAAGAAAAAAUAGAUCUUUGCAAGAAAUGACAAGAAUCCUUUUAAUUGAAAGUAAUAUUUCUACUCGUUUUUUGGCUGAAGCAGUUUCUAUAGCUUGUUAUAUUAUUAAUAGAGUGUUCUUAAGGCCUAUGCUAGAGAAAACUCCUUAUGAGUUAUUCAAAGGAAAUAAGCCAAUUGUUUCUUAUUUUCACAUGUUUGGUUACAAAUGUCUUAUUUUAAAGAAUGCAAAUGAUAAAACUGGUAAGUUUGAAGAAAGGUCAGAUGAAAGAAUUUUCCUUGGAUAUUCAAUCACGAGCAAAGCCUACAGAGUAUUCAACAAGAAAACUCUAUCUAUUGAAGAAUCUAUGAACGUUAAAUUCGAAGACUCUUUGCAAAAUCAACUGAUUUAGACUCAAUCCUAAGAAUCUGAACUAGCUCCAGACUUUACAAAGUCUACCUCCCCUGAAGCGGCUCAGACUUUUGAAGAUCAACAACGAACAGAUGUUGAAGAAUCAACUGAAGUAGAAGAUCAGCAAUCUAUCAAACAUACUAGUAACUGGAAGCACAAGUCUAGUCAUCCCAAAGAACUCAUCAUCGGUAACAUUGAUGAAGGAAUUCGCACCAGAUCCUAAAAGCAAGAAGAGUCUAGUGCCGUGGCACUUAUUUCUAAAAUAGAACCCAAAAGUAUAGAAAAAGCUUUAACUGAUGAAAGCUGGAUUGAAGCUAUGCAAGAAGAGCUCAGACAAUUCAGCAUUAAUGAUGUUUGGGAAUUAACUCCUAAACCAAAAGAUAAAUCCAUUAUUGGAGUUAAAUGGGUUUUCAAGAACAAGAUGGAUGAAGGAUGAAAAAUGAAAAGUGGUCAAGAACAAAGCAAGACUCGAGGCCAAAAGAUAUACGCAAGAAAAAGGGAUAAACUAUGAUGAGACCUACGCACCAGUAGCGAGGUUAGAAGCAAUUAAAUUAUUACUUGCUUUUGCCUGUUAUAAAAAUUUCGGGUUAUUCCAAAUGGACAUCAAAGUGCAUUCCUAAAUGGAUGUAUCCAUUGAGAAGUUUAUGUGGAACAACCUUCCGGAUUUGAAGACCUAAAGAAACUAGACUUAGUAGUCAGAUUGAAAAAGGCUCUAUAUGGAUUAAAGCAAGCACCUCGAGUGUGGUACGACAUGUUAAGUAAGUUUUUAGUUCAAAAUGGUUUUGUCAAAGGAAAAAUGGAUACUACAUUGUUUAUUAAAAGAGAAGGUAAAAACUUUCUACUUGCUCAAAUCUAUGUUGAUGAUAUUAUAUUUGGAUCACUUAACGAAAGCCUGUGCAAGAAGUUUUCUAAGUCUAUGCAAGAUGAAUUUGAGAUGAGCAUGAUGGGUGAAUUAUCUUUCUUUCUCGGAUUACAAGUAAAACAAUUGAAUGAAGGAAUUUUCAUUCACUAAGAAAAAUAUGCAAAAGAACUAGUUAAAAAAUUCAGAUUGCAAAAUUGCAAAAAGACUAAGAUACCAAUGUCUAGUUCUUUAAAGCUGGACAAAGAUGAAGGAGGAAAGAAAGUUGACCAGAAGCUCUACAGGAGUAUUAUUGGUUCACUUUUUUAUCUUACUAUUUCUAGACCUGAUAUUUUGUUUAGUGUUUGCAUUUGUGCUAGAUUUCAAUCUGAUCCCAAAGAAUCUCAUCUAAGUACUGCAAAACGCAUCAUCAAAUACGUUGCAACUACCUCAAAGUUAGGUCUGUUGUAUCCCAAAGAAUGAGACUUUACUCUCUUUGGAUAUUCAGACGCAGAUCUAGUAGGUUGCAAAGUUAAUAGAAAUAGUAUUUCAGGAGAGUGAACGUAGGCUUGGUCUAAGCCGAACCAUUAUAAACCUUGUGUUUUAAUUCUCUUUCCCUAGUCUCUUUACUUUAAUUCAUAGCUUUAUAUAACUGUUUAUGUUUUUUACAUCUUCAGUCUAUUAACCUCAAAAGGCGAAUUAAUUUGUUAAGUCUUGUAAAAGCUUCUUUAACACCUAUUCACCCCUCUCUAGGUGUUCUUACUAAUCAACUCUUCCUUCGAAUUCGCCUUUUGGAUGCUUGGCAACCUCCUUCACUUGUCUCAUCAUGCAAAGUGAAUGAGAUUGAUGUGCUCUUUCAGCACCUAAGGCAUCUCCAAAUAAAGAAACUUCCUAGAAUGGGAUUCAACUUCGUUAUGCCUUUAUUGGAAGAUUGGCGCCGACGAAGCCUCAACACACGCUUGCUCCUCAAGUUCGAUGAGCCCGAGAAAACGACUACAUGAAGAGAAGGUCUUAAGCAAAGUUUUCUUGAAAUUUGUUUUGGAAGGUAGACGUAAAGGUUCGCUUAAAACACUUAUGAAUUUGUUUUUUAUUUUUUGUUUUUUGUUUUUGUUUAAAAAAUGAUUAUUUUCAUGAAACUGAAUUCCAUCAUUAAAAAUGUGAGUCGCACAAUUUACAAAAGCAACAAUUGGAUUCGCAAUCAAAACUCAAAAUGGAAAACAUGAUUCUUAACAAGAAUAAGAAUAUUGAUAAAAUACAAUAAACUCUUGUAUUGAUAAGAGUAAAAAUCAACUUUGGUCCUAAUGUCAAUGAGCACCACACAUAAUCCGCAAAAAGACGACAAUGUUAGUACGUGAAUGAGAAAAAAUGAUAUCUCAAUGAAGUCGCUUCUUACAAUAAAAUCAAGGCGACGGUACAUGCCCCACAGUCCUUAUUACGGGAUUUUAGUAUUUCGCCAAGAUUUUAUCAUAAGAGAAGACAUCAUUAAGAUAAUCAAUCCACGGCUAUUAAUCGAAUGUUCACUUUUAUUACAAAAGUUUUGUAUGCAAAAGGGUCAUUGAUUUUUGAAAGAUUGAUUUGUGAUUUUACUCCUAGAAAAAUGAAGUGACUUCUAUUUCGAGAAAUUUGUACACAAAAUUAUUUGCAUUUUAGUCCCAAAAUGUGAGGAUGAGAGAAUUUGAUAAAAAAAAUGCAAUUUCAAUUUUUGUGCCCCAAUAUAAAAUCACAGCUUGAAAGUUUUUUUUUGUUUUUUUUUUUCAAAAUGAUUUUGAGUCCAUAACUAGAAAUUGAAACAAAACCAUAUGUUCAACUGGGCCAAAUCAAAGUGAUUAGAACUUGCAUUCAAUGUUCACUUAUCAAAAGUGAUUGCCAAUUUUUUUUUCAAUUAUAAGCCUACAAAACCAAGGGCAAUCGAUUGAUGUUCGCGAAUUUCAAAAUGAAAGUUCAAUACAAAAUAAGCAAAUAAAAAGGAAAAUGAUACUUACAAUGGGUGCCGAUCUUUGUUUCUUUUUUUUUUUUUUUUCAAUUACAUAAACAUGCACAUGGGAUGUGGUUUGAUUUCUACUCUAUACGGCUCAAAAUGGAGUCAUAGGAUCACUGGACUGAACCAACAAGAUCACGGCUAGGUCAUGUUACUCAUGACUCCGGCUUUGUCAAAGAAUCGACUCGUGUUGCGCGGUUGCAAACCGGGGUGGGUACCUUCGACGUGAAGAAAGAAAUUUCAGGGUUGAGAUGGGUGACUCGUACUACACGGUUGUAGUCGGAGUGGUAUCCACCUCAAUACCAUCCUAUGUGAUCCUAUGCAGCCCAGAUCCGGCAGCAAGUAGUGUGUGUCAUGGUGUAGUGCAAUGCAAGAAAUGUAGGCAUGACAAUUUAUAGGCAAGCAACACUUCAUACAUAAAAAAUAAACCAUACAUUCCUACACCUCCUUGCAAGACAAAGGUGAGCAAACACUUCCCUUUAUACCUCCCACUUUGCAAAAACAUUUAACACAUUUAAUAUUAGGGGCAUACUUGAAAUCCUCGCUGCCAAAUAAAAAUAUUUUUGAAUAAGAUUAAUUUUGGCUUAAGUCCUCUAACGUUUAAAACCAAGUCCCCAGUGGAGUCGCGAAGUUGUCGCGACCUACCCCAUAGGGGGGAACAAUAGGUUUAAGGGUAUUGCCUAAAAGACGGGCCUAAGGCCCAUGAUUAGACAUUGACUUUCCCAAGCCCAUACCCCACGUGACAUUGAAAUAUUCUUUAGAAUUUUGUAAAAAUGAGUCGCCACUAGCCUAUUGGGGUCGGCUAGAAAUCAAGCGAGGCAUGGGAGUGUACCUCACUUCCUACGCAACCAGAGAAUUUAGGGUCGGAGACUUGAUUACACUAAUUGACCAAUUAGUGCCUUUUCGGUAUCUAAUCUUGUCCAUUUUAACAAAAUGACUUUUUGGUAGACAGCUUGGAUCGAUUUUAUAUCUAUCCACUAAUAUGUGAGGUGAUCAUACGGGUGUACAAUCAUUAAAGUAACAAUCAUAGCUACCAAGAUUCUAAUUGCAGUAAAAUUAACACAUGCUACUAAGCAAUUGCAAACAUAGUUAAAUAGGUAAAUUAAACAUGCAAUAUAAUCAAUAUAUGAGCAAUUAAAGGCCUAAAUAUACUAUAAAGGCAAUACAUGGUCAUUUCUAAUCAAAACCUACAUUUUUUGGACUUUCGAAAUUUUUAAUUUUAUAAAAUUUUAAAAAAUAUAUAUUUUUAAUAUUAUAAUAAUAUAAUAUAUUUAAAACGAACCGGGUCAGAUCCCCGGGUCGGGUCCAACCCGGGUCGAUGAAAAGGGCCUGGGCCAAGCCAAAUCGGGCCUGACGGCCUGAACCCAUACCGGAUUAGGCUACAGAACCCAAACCAGCAAAACUAGCUGGGCUGGGCUUGAUGUGCAAGCCCAGCUUGGCCUAAAUUUUUUGAAAUAAAGCCCACAUGCAAAAACAGCCCCAAACCCGGCCUAAUACACCCAAAACCCUACUUGGUUGACUAGACCCGGCCCGACUCGCACGACCUGAAUUCUGGAGCCCUUAGGUUCAGAGAUCCGUAGCGCCGGAGGGAUUAGCUAGGACGUCGACAACAGUGAUGGGCUUGACGAUGGCGACAAUGCAGCAAAUGGCGGCAUUGGCACUCGGAGGGCUACGGGUGAGAUGGGGCAUGGCGAUGACUGGCAGAGACGAGUGGAGGUGCGGCAAGGCGUCGGGUAGAGGCGCGACGGCGAGCGUGGCGACGGCUCGAACAGCAUUGGGCAAGAGGGUGGCGGCUUGGAUGGCGUCAAGGUUGGACAACGGCAACAGUCAGCCUAGUGAUGCAGCGGAGCUCGAUCUACUCCCAGAUCUGGGCCUUUGGCCAACCCCCUGCCUCGGAUCUUCAGAUCUAAGGGGCUCCUAGUUCGUCCUCCCUCUCCCUCUAGUCUCGGCUGGCUUGGCGUUGGGAGAAGCGGCGACGAGUGCUGCGAUUACUCACAUCGGCGGUAGUGGCGUCAAGUGCAGGGGGUCAGACAGCGAGAGCUUGAAUGGCGUCGAGAGCAACGACUGCUGGCGUCGGCGGCAGUGGCGUCAAGUGCAGGGGGUCGGACGGCGGGAGCUCGAACGGCGUCGAGCUCGAAGUGCGGCAGCUCGAACGACGGCGGCGGCCAACGCCGACGAUGCCUCCUUUCCUAUCUUCUCUCCCUAUUCUCUCUCUAUUUCUCCCUAGCCUCUCUCGCUCCCCCUCCCUGUGUUCUCUUCGAGCUCUCCUCUCUCUCCUCCAGCUCUCUCUCUCUCUGUCUCUCUCUCGCUGUCUACCUUCCUAUUCUCCUAAGUUUCUUGCACAAAGAUGGAGGAGGAAGAAGGCUGGCGUGGGCCAGGCCAAAGGGGAAUGGCCGUGCAGGAAAAGAGCAUUUNNNNNNNNNNNNNNNNNNNNNNNNNNNNNNNNNNNNNNNNNNNNNNNNNNNNNNNNNNNNNNNNNNNNNNNNNNNNNNNNNNNNNNNNNNNNNNNNNNNNNNNNNNNNNNNNNNNNNNNNNNNNNNNNNNNNNNNNNNNNNNNNNNNNNNNNNNNNNNNNNNNNNNNNNNNNNNNNNNNNNNNNNNNNNNNNNNNNNNNNNNNNNNNNNNNNNNNNNNNNNNNNNNNNNNNNNNNNNNNNNNNNNNNNNNNNNNNNNNNNNNNNNNNNNNNNNNNNNNNNNNNNNNNNNNNNNNNNNNNNNNNNNNNNNNNNNNNNNNNNNNNNNNNNNNNNNNNNNNNNNNNNNNNNNNNNNNNNNNNNNNNNNNNNNNNNNNNNNNNNNNNNNNNNNNNNNNNNNNNNNNNNNNNNNNNNNNNNNNNNNNNNNNNNNNNNNNNNNNNNNNNNNNNNNNNNNNNNNNNNNNNNNNNNNNNNNNNNNNNNNNNNNNNNNNNNNNNNNNNNNNNNNNNNNNNNNNNNNNNNNNNNNNNNNNNNNNNNNNNNNNNNNNNNNNNNNNNNNNNNNNNNNNNNNNNNNNNNNNNNNNNNNNNNNNNNNNNNNNNNNNNNNNNNNNNNNNNNNNNNNNNNNNNNNNNNNNNNNNNNNNNNNNNNNNNNNNNNNNNNNNNNNNNNNNNNNNNNNNNNNNNNNNNNNNNNNNNNNNNNNNNNNNNNNNNNNNNNNNNNNNNNNNNNNNNNNNNNNNNNNNNNNNNNNNNNNNNNNNNNNNNNNNNNNNNNNNNNNNNNNNNNNNNNNNNNNNNNNNNNNNNNNNNNNNNNNNNNNNNNNNNNNNNNNNNNNNNNNNNNNNNNNNNNNNNNNNNNNNNNNNNNNNNNNNNNNNNNNNNNNNNNNNNNNNNNNNNNNNNNNNNNNNNNNNNNNNNNNNNNNNNNNNNNNNNNNNNNNNNNNNUUCAUUUGAUAACAAAUUUAAAAUCUUAAACCUGGUAACAAACUACAAAAAUGACAGCGCAAAAAUUUGGAUAAAACACGAAGAUAUUUUUUUUUAGCUUUUCUUGGAUUUAAUCAAUUGGAGAAAAAAUUCAAAAAUCCUCUCGAACUUUUUAUCCAUAUCAAUUGCUUUGAUUCCUAUCUAUUAUUUUGGAAAUUUAUAAUUCUUCUGUUUUACUGUACGGAAUUUCAAUAAAUUAGAUUCACAAGAAACAUGAAUUCUUAGCUUUUCAAUACAAAGUAAAGCAUUUAGGUUUCGGAUUUUUAUAUCAUUAUAUUAUUUUUUUAUUGGUAGUUCGAUCGUGGAAUUUCUUUCUUUCUUUCUGUAUUUCCGGAAUAUGAGUGUGUGACUUGUUAUAAUUGAUACUAUUGAUGGUACAAAAAAUGGAUAUGUCAUCUUUAUAUAGAUGGUUUUACCUCGUCGGAUAUUCAUUCGAGUAUCUGGAGCACGAAAUAGAUCACAAAAUAUUAACUAUGAUUCAUACUUAAUAUUCAGACCCCGUGACUGGACUCCAAAAAAAUUUCCAAAACGUUAUAAAUCAAAAGAUUUUUCUUCUUUUUCAAAAUAUUUCCCCCUUUUUUUUUUUUUAUCAAAGGACAAAACUUUCUUUUGAUUUUUAGUCAUUAUAUCUAUUCAUUGAAUAAGUGAUGAUAGACAAAAAUCCUAAACUAAAAGUUUAAACCACGAAAAUAAAUUUCAUGUGCCUAUCACACAAUUGACGUGGUAUAACCUAUCAAUCUACAUUACCCGUAUAAAAUGUAUGUAAUCUUAAUUGGCACUUAAAUGUUGGAAAUAUUAUCAUAAAAUACAUUCUCGUUUAUUAUGUCAUUUUUCUCUUUUCUCUCUCCCCCACCUUAUUGCCGAUCGCCAUCCUGGAUGGUGCAUGGUGCCCCCCCCCCCCCCCAACCAACACCACUAAUGCGUGUUCAAGUCAAAAUCUUCCACCAUCUUGCUUGCUUAGAUGCAUUUUAGAAAUUCCAUCUUUCCAGCGAAAAAAAGGGAUGCGAAGCCUUCUCAAUUUAAAAAAAAAAAGACUCUAGUCAACAUUCAACCUUGGAGUGCUUCGAGUUCUUCCCUUGGUUUUCCUCGAAGGUGCGUGAAUGAGAGGUGAUCACGUACUCGUAGGGUCACACGUGAUGGUAUACCUAUCUCUGCAGGUGAAACGCUUCAAUUAUAAUUAAGACGUGACUAGAGCUCGGCAUUUAUCAUUUUAUUAAAGACUUAAUUUUUAAGUGAUGCGAUGGACAAAAUUAAUCACAGUUUGAGAAUUCCCAGAAAAUUUAAUUAUAAAUUUUUUUAACAAUUAACUAAUUCACCAAUUCAAUUAUAAACCUUUGUGGGUAUUUAUAUAUAGCUUAUUUUAUUAAUUAAAUAAACUUCACUUAAUAAAGACAUUCACUUAAUUUUUAAGAUAAAACAAUGGUAUUAAAGUAUACCUUAGUCCAUUUGCAAGAUCACAGUUUACAAUCUAUUUUAAUAAUUCAAUUUUAAUCAAAUGAAAUUGAAAAAGUAUAGAUGUCUCAGACAUCGACUUAUAAUAUUGACAGUUAAGAUAAAUGAAUCCUAUUACUUUUUUUGGUAUUAAUAAAUCCUAUCACUUCAGUUAACAUUAAGACUCAAUAAUUAAAAAAAAAAAAUCAGACGUGUGGUUAUUUAUAAUGUGAGUUAUCUAUUAUUAUAAUUAUUUAUUUUGUGCAUUUGAAAUCUACUCUUAAAUUUCCUAUAGAAUGAACAUAUGAGGUGAAGAAAAUAAAGCGAGUGUCUACUAACGCACCCUAAAUCAAAUCUACCAACACUAUGUUUUGUAAACACAAAUUGGGAGGUGAAGAAAAUUAUAGGGUGAAGAAAAUAAAGUUAUUUGGAACGGUUUGGAAAAUGAAAGUGAAGAUAAAUGAGUAUUUUUGUUUGAAAAGAGUGGGAAAAAGAACGUGAAUAAAGUGUGAAUGAGUAAAAGACAUUAUAAUCCAUUAGAAGAAAAAUGAAAAAAAAAAAAAAACAAAUGGAAAUAUCACAUAAAAGAAGGGUAAUGGGCCCCAGAGAAUGGCGGGCCUGGUCAGGCUUGUAGCCAAUUUUAGGCGUGGCACGAAUCACAGGCCAGGAAUUUUCGAGCCCGAAGAAAAGCUUGGACCCAAAAUGGACUAACUAGCCCAUCACAUUUACGUCAGGCUUUUGGGCUUCGGGUUGGGCUAGGCCCAAAAGGUAGUGAAUUUUUAUAAAAUUGAAAUUAAUUUGUUGAAUUGUAAAAUUUCAUUCUUUUCAUAUACGAUUAACAAAUCUCUAUUGAAAUUCUACAAAUAUAAGAACACAAAAGAACAAUUGAGAUUAGCCACUUUCAGGCUACAAAGUGCGAAGGCCAAAAGCCCGGUUAUCCUAAAAUAUACACAAUAAAGCUCGAAAAUCCUCCUUGGCCUAUCUGGGCUAAAAAUAUUCUGGAUGGUUGGCCGAGCCAAAUUUUUGGACUUCAAAUUUCACCCCAACCAAUCUGCACCUUCAUAUUCAGUGAUUUUCUCUGCUUUUCCACAAUUGAUCCAAAGCUUAUGUACUGCAGAUCUUUAACUAGUGUAUAGAAUUGCUACAUUAGAUUGAAAUAUAUUUAAGAUCAAUUAUAAAUAAGAAUUUAAAAUCUAGCAAUCAUAUAAAAUGAGAAAGUUAUGCUUGAAAUAUUGUAUGUUGCAAAUGUAUACAAAUGUUUGGUUAUAAUUAAAUUUGUCAUGGACUUCAAAAUUAUAUAAGUAACCUUCAGAUUCUUAAUAAAGCAAAGGUAAUUUCACAAACAAUUUAUCGAGUUCAAGUUUCGAGCUAAUUAUCUGUCAAAUAAGUUGAAUUAAUUAUGUAUAUUUAAUAGAUAACAUUGGGAUUAAAAUGAAAUAAAGGCAUUUUUCGUAAUUAACAUAUAAUUAGGUUGAAUGGACAUGAGCAUGUCCUUAAACUACUUCCUCUGAACUCUAGGACGUAAAAACAUCAAGGGUAUCCCCUCCUAGGCGAAGAAGAAAAACUUUCACCUAGGAACUUGGGGGCUGUCGGAGGGAAGGUAGACUCCCCAUCACUUCUUCGGAAGUAAUUAUCUCCAUAUAGGUAUAGUGGCCUCUCGCACGUAAGUGAGAUGGUAGAACCCGCAAGGGAUCCUGCUACAUCAACCUAUGCUACGCAUAGUGUCUUUCAAACAACUUCUUGAUCUAGUACUCUCGGUUGAAAGACAUUGUGUGUUAGUUGCUAAUAAGGUUGAAAUAAUGAUGUAUCUUUAAUAGAUAACGUUGGGAGUGAAAAUGAAAAAAAGACAUUUUCUUAAUUAACAUAUAAUCAGGUUGGGGCUUUGAUUUUCCCAAUUAUAAAAUCUCCGAUCCUUCAGCAACCCUACAUAAUGUUUCUUAGUAAGUUGCUACUCAAUACCUGCUUGCAUUCCAUUUAAAAUGAAGGCGUUUAAGGCUGUUUUUAGCCUUAAAAAAGUUCACCGUUUUUCUUUCUAUCUUUGUUGAAACUUUUUCUAAUCCAACCAUUGUGGACGCAUCAUUUUUCGCUCAUUUGAUUUUAAUACUAUAUUUUCAACUUAUUUAUGACUUUAUUAAGGUGUUUGGUGCCUUUUCUAUUAUUUAUACUUUUAUAUUUUAUAUUAUUAAAAUACUUCUACUCUGUAACCAGGACCAAGAUCCCAGCCCGAGACUUUUUGGGCCCGAAAGUUGAACCGGAUAAAUCUGGGUUUUUGCUUACCCCCAGCGAUGACGAGAAGAGGUUCGGCGUAUUUGAAGACCUAUAAUAACUUGAACAACUCUCUGCUUUGUAAGAAGUUAAUGUAUAGACUAUAGACUUUCAUUUAUUAUUUUCAUAUGUUUCGAAGAAGGGGGGGGGGGGGGGGUAAAUGAAACUAUUUCUAAUUUUAUGACGGCAUGAAAAAUAUUAGUAUAGAUAUUUCUGGAUUAAUCAAGUCAAAGAAAUCUUCCUCUUCAAAGAUUAUGUCCCAAAACACAUAAAUCAUCUAAUUAAAAUUGAGAGCAAUAAAUAAAUAGGGUACUUCAUUUAUUUAAGGGGCAAUCAUCAAAUCACAAUCACCGUGAAAUCAAACUAAGGCCCAACAAAAUCAGUCCAACUCCAAUCCAAUAAGCCCAGCAAGAACAUAGAAAUCUGCCCCUAAUCCUGCUACAUGCCAUCCCAUUUAACUUGUCACUUGCUGAAGCAAGCAGCAUCACGUCCAACUGUGGCCUUGACUUCUUCCUUAACAGCGACCUUCUCUUCCAUCUCAGCAAGCUUCAUCGCAUUCGUUUUCGCACCAACGUUUGCUUCUGUCUUCACAGUCUCUUCCUUCUUCGGAGUCAUGAUCGAUUCAGUCUUUGAAGCCUCGCUGCACGUCGGGCUCUCGUAGCUUCUGGAUCAGCGGGUUUCUCCUCUCCAUCUUCCCUUCUGUUUUAUGUAUCUUUCUGCUGCUGGAUUUGAACAGUCGAUUUGAAAUGCGCAUGACGGUUUUCCCACUCGAGAACCGUGAUUCAAGAAAAGCUGACGGGCUCUUGCGGUUUCCAAAGGGGCAAUUGAAUUAGUUUCAUUUCGAUGGGUCUAUUUUUGACGUUCGAGAACGGCAAAGAACAGCACAAUUUAGACUUUGCUCAUUAUCAUUCGGACGUUUUGCAUGCCGAAAGCUUUGGCCGUCGUGAGAACUCACUUUGAGAAUUACGCCAGCAACAUGCAGAAAAGAAAAAAAAUCAACCAACUAUCAUAAUUAAUGGCAAGUUGAUAUGGAUUUGAAGUAUAAGUUACAACAUUUCUCAAAAAAAAAAAAAAUUGUGAGAAGAAGAAGGUAGUUUUUCAAAUUAUGUCAUCAUAUAACGUGCAGUCGCUAAGUUUCAUUCGGAAUUCAAGUUGGGCACCAUUACUGUUUCACUGAAACGAUAUAAUUAAAAUCUUGAACAUUUUGGUUUGAUAUGAUUGAGUCCUUUCAAUGAUGAUCUGCCCAGUUUUACCGACGUCGCACGCCGAGAAUCCUAUGCGGUGCUUUCUUCGCAUUUUCUUUUAUCGAAUAAGACGGUUAUAUUGAGCCAUGUUAUAAAAAAGUAAAAGGUAGAAUUUAAAACCGAAAGAAAAUUCAAACACAACACAGAAAAGAAAAUACCCGAAAGUUAAAGAAAUAAGAGAGAGAAAGAGAGAGAGUGGUACCGAUUUGGAUUCUUUAGUGGUGGUGGUCAACGACCCUUGCAAAGCGUGAUGGUGGCUAGCAGUUAAGGCUUCUCCGGUAAUAUUUCUGGUUCUCUCUCUCUUUUUUAAAGAAAAAAAAUAGAAAUAUGUUUGUGUAUAUUAAUUAAUUUUUCUACUCCAUUAGCUUUCACAUGGUAGUUUACCACAAGGAAAGUUGUGACACUAAAGAACUUGUUGCCACCACCACCCCCUUGGCCAUCGAGAAUUCAAGAUUGGUUGUUCCGAUCGAAUAUCUUGAAUUCGACGUGGGCCAACCCUUUGAAUAUCUCAUCUAAGCCAUGAAUAAUUACUAUUGUCCAUUUUCUCUUCUCCAUUGACAUACGGGAAGAAUGGUACCUUGAUCGAAUUAUAAAGUAAAUUAAGGCUUUUCAAAUACUCCUAUCCCUAUCAAUCAAUUCAUCGAUUUUGACCUAUGUGAAUUCAACAUUUCCAUCCACUCAAUCGCUAGGAAUGAGAAGUUAUUAGUACCAAUUUGCAGAUUUAAUUUCAUAGGAGUAUGGAUAUGCAUAUCACACGAGUUAUACUCUCAAUAUCUACAUGUGCAUAUCACGCGGGCGUUCACGAAAUGUGCUUCAUUGAGUCUCGUCCACUGAUUUCGAUAGGGACUGAUGAAGCUACUGGCGGACAAUGCCUCGAACGUGAUGAAGGAGCAGAAGCUCGAGAGCUACUUCGGCCGGAGGAUCGCCGUCGAUGCCAGCAUGAGCAUCAAUCAGUUCCUCGUUAAGUUGCUUCUUUAUGGAUUGAUGCCUGCGAUUGCGCGUUUCGGUUUGUCGGUGGGGAUUUGGAUUUUGAGUGUUGGGGUUUUUUGGUUCUUUUGAUUGGCGGAUUAGGUUGUGGUUGGGAGGAAGGGGACUCAGAUGCUCACCAACGAGGCUGGUGAAGUCACCAGGUACACUGGCAUCGUAAUACUCCAUGGAAAUGAAAAUCCACUUUGCUCGAGUUUCGUAGAGUUUAUGGCUGAAUUGUUGACUAGCCUUCUGUUUUGAUGCUUCAGAUGUUAUCUCUUGGACUCGGUUUUAUGUAUAUGAGAUUGAUUUUGAGCUGCCUUUCAAUUUGUUUUCCCAUGUAGUCAUCUGCAAGGCAUGUUGUACCGGACAAUUAGGCUGUUGGAGGCGGGCAUAGAGCCUGUGUAAACUUUUUUUCUUUACCUCCUGUGUUUUCAUUGGGAUAGAAUGCUAGAAGAAUGAAGCUUGUGCUUCUCUGAAUUAUGUUUUGCUGUUGUUAUGAUAGCUACGUAUUUGAUGGUCAACCUCCUGAUUUGAAGAAGCAAGAGCGGGCAAAACGGUACUUUAUUAUUAUGCAGACUUUUCUUUUCUUUUUCUUUUUUUCUUUUUUUGGAAUUAUCUAUAAAUACGUUUAGUUUCCUUAAGUGAGUCUCUGAUCAGUUUUUCGAAGACAGCAGAUGCCUUUGAGUUGGCAGUAGCCAUUGCUGUAUACGCAUCUCUCUCUCUCUCUCUCUCACGCCCACAUAUAAGCACACAGAAACACAGGAUACAGAAAGGCUUGGUGAGCUCUGUAUUUAUUACCUGCAGUCUCAGAACAAGGAAGACAGAGAAAUUCAGUAAAAGAACUGUGAAGGUUGGUCCCGUUUUGGUUUCCUUAUGGUGCAAUAUUUUUGUCCUAUUUGAUGUGAAGUUUGAUUUUGUCUCUGUUUUCCAGAAAAACCUAUCUGCAUAGCUAACUGGAUAUGUGUGUGCUUGUGCUACAUGGCUUUGAUACCCUUGCAGGUGACACAACAGCAUAAUGAAGGCUGCAAAAAACUAUUAAGACUUAUGGGUGUCCCAGUAGUUGAGGUUACAUGUCUGUCUAGAAAGUUUAUUCAUUAUUAUUUCUAACAAAAAGUUUAGAUACCAGAUUCUGUUUUUGUAUGUUAGGCUCCUUCAGGAGCAGAGGCACAGUGUGCUGCACUUUGCAAAGCUGGAAAGGCAAGUAUCCUCCUGUUUGAUCGUCUUCUGAUUUAGGAUAGUUCAUUGUUUUUCCAUGAUUACCAAUCGUUUAACUCUUUGUAAAUUACCAUUUUAUUUCCUUGAUUUGAUUUCCUUUUCACUCACACAUAUGCUUGUUCACUAUCAUUGCUCAAUUUUUGUGUGUUAACCAGAACUCUUUUAUAAUGAAUGGUGCUUUAGCUGUAAUUUUUGUUUUUCAGGUUUAUGCAGUUGCUUCUGAAGAUGUGGAUUCCCUUACUUUUGGAGCUCCUAUAUUUCUUUGCCAUUCGAUGGAUCCCAGCUCAAGAAAAGUUCAAGUCAUGGAAUUUGAAAUUUCCAAGGUACUUAGAAAAGUUUAUUCGUUGUGUUUGCUUAAAUUUUUUUUUCUCACUUUCAUGACUUUUAGAUCUUGGAGGAGAUGAAUCUGGAUAUGGAUCAAUUCAUUGACCUGUGCAUCCUCUCUGGAUGUGAUUAUUGUGAAAGCAUUCGAGGUAGACGUGAUAUUGUUGCAGUGCUCUGUUAACUGUUUUAUGCUAUCGCAUAUCAUUUGUCCCUCUUGUAUUUUUUAGCUUGAUGAUUUCAGUGGUUUUACUUUGGAAUGAAUUUAUCAGGUAUUGGAGGGCUGAGUGCUCUUAAGCUUAUAUGUCAACAUGGUUCCAUAGAAAACAUACUAGAGAACAUAAAUAAGAAGAGGUGCUUCUUGUGCUCUUAUCUCGUCCCCUGACUUGUAAGCAAAAUUAGGCAGCAAAGUUUCUCACUGUGAUAGUCUUGGCUGCUGAAUUCCUUGACUUCAAAGAAUUAUCUCUCAAACUCAGCCGGCGUGGAAAAAUUUCGUCAACAGUUUGAAACUGAAAGAUCAUUUGCCACCAAUAGAUUUGGGCUGGCAAUCAGUGCAUUGGCCGUGCUACUUCGUGUGUUGAUUUACUAUAAUACUUUUAUCUAUUCGGAUGCCUGCUUUGUCUGUUCCUUCAUGUCACUUGAGCAAAUUCAUAUGGUUUCUCUAUCCUUAAGACCCAGAGGUUCUUUGCAUUACUUGAAGUCUUAAUUCAGUUCGGUUAUCCUUCUUAGGGAAAUGUUUGCUUGUUUUAUGUAUAGGCAUCAGAUACCAGAUAAUUGGCCCUACAGCGAAGCUCGACUGCUUUUCAAGGAACCAAUAGUUUCUACGGAAGAACAACCUGAGAUAAAAUGGACUGCUCCAAACGAGGAGGUGGGCCAUUUUCACGUUGAGAUUUACUUGCAACGGUUCACUUUCUGAAUUUUUGACUCGUUUCCUAACUGAUUGUUAUUUCCCUUUCAAGGGCUUAAUUUCCUUUCUCAUGAAUGAGAAUGGGUUCAACAUUGACAGAGUGACGAAGGUAUGGCUUUUAUAUUCAGUAAUGUGUUGGCCAGUUGUCUACUGGAGGAAGUUGCUUCUUUUCCUCUGAAGGAGAGAGCAUACAUGUUUUCAAUGUUGUUUUACCAUGUGUAUCGGCAAUAGAGAAGAUCNNNNNNNNNNNNNNNNNNNNNNNNNNNNNNNNNNNNNNNNNNNNNNNNNNNNNNNNNNNNNNNNNNNNNNNNNNNNNNNNNNNNNNNNNNNNNNNNNNNNAAAUGAAAGUGACUUCCAAAAUGCACUUUUCUAUCCGAUGAUUCUUUCGUUUACUCUGUACAGAAUAGAAUCCUUCUUUAAGCCAGCUAAGAAUAUCUAUACCUCCUAAGAGGAAGGAAUGAACUCAAUCCCCAGCAGUUCUUUAAUAAGAGAAAAGAAGAAACGAACAGUCUAGAUGAGUCUUUUUUUGAAAGCGUAAUAUUAUUUAUGUAAACAUAGCCAUAGCCUCUGCUUUGCCUAUAGUAAUAUUACAUAUUCAAAUGAUUGCUAAAGUUCCCAAUGCUCCGCAAGACGUGUCCCAUCAAAGUAAAUUUGAAUUCUAAGGAGAAUGUGCAUGCAAAUGCCUUUCUCACUCGGACCUUGUGAUAACUUCUACUCCCCUGGAACAAAAAGGAAAUAUUGUUAGCACCGGGCAUUAUCAUAUGCAAAAUCACGAAAAUGACAAAUGAAUCUUCAAUUGACAUCUCUAUGGUAAUUAAUUAGGGAUAAGUCGAUCUCCAAUGACAAUGAUAAUGAUGAUUGUAGAUAAAACGGUCGUCAUCAAAUCAAUUCCCCUAAAAAAAGAACAAAACUCACUUGGAGAAGUUAUUUGACAAACAUGCAUCUUAUAGGUGAUCCUUUUGCACCAGGCAAUCUCAAAGGCAGAAAUAGACUUUAUACAAUCUUAUAGGUACAUCUUCGAGUUUCAGGCUCUCAACAAUAAUAAUUUCCUAUAGCUUUACUAUAGUGUAUGUUCCUUGAGCCUAGACUUCCUAUGAGAAUGCAACGAUGUGAAAUUUGGGAAAAAUCACCAACACUAUUUAAGCCCAAGAUGACAAUUCAACAAUGAAACAUGUUUAUUCUUAACUUUGAUGAGGAAAUUUGUCAUUCAUCAAAUCAAUUUCUUACCUAGCUGGCAAGGAAGAUAAGGUCGGAUGGCAUCAAAUCAUCAUAUGCAGCAACAUACAAGUAAUCAAUUUAUGCAUUGAAUAGCACAGACUGUGUCAUGCAAGAUUGCAUCUCAAUCUACAAGUGUAGAACAAGAAAGAAAUUAGUUGAUCAAGUUGCACUAUUUCUCAAGGGUAGGUUUAGAAAAAAAAAUGAACCUGUGUAGUGCUCAAAAGCCUAAUAGUGUCACGCUUCGAUCCUCGAGCACGUGUCCAUUCCUCGGUGGUCGAUUAAAUUGGGAUAUCUCAAGACGCGUCAUCGACCCAUUCAUUUUAAUAUGCAUGUGGAAGCGAACUAUUACCCCUAACAACAACUAAUAUGGGAUAGAAAAGCGGGACAACAAAUUUUAAAUCAAUCAACAUAGCUUUUAUAAACAAUCUGGUUUACAAACAGAAGCCAACUUUAGGGUCUAAGUACAUGAGGUCUAUCUCUAAAAAGAACUUCUGAGCCACCCAUGCUCCUGACCCUUCCGUCUCAAGCACUGGGUUCUUUACACUAGGGACCUGAAAAGUGAAGCCCAUGACAGGGUGAGACAAUGUCUCAGCAAGUUUACCUUCUAAACCCCGACUAGGAAGGAAAUGCGCCUAAAGGCCAUCUAUGCACACACAAGACAGAUGACUUACCUUGCCUUAAUUCAUUCCUACAAGUCAGUACGGUUCAUAUACUCAACCAAUCAACUCAAUUCAAUUCAAACCAACCCAUUGAUCAAUCAAUCCACUCAAAUCAAUACCAUUAGUACUAUUGAUCAAUUCGAUAUGACCACUGCUCACAUCAGCUGACAUAGAUAGUAUUUGCUCUCACAAGCUGCAAUAUAUGGUCAUAGCUCUCACAAGCUGAUAUAGAUAGAUAGUAACUCGCCCAAGUUGAUAUAUAUAUAGAUCGUGCUCUCACAAACUGAUAAAAAGAUCAUAGCUCACACAAGCUGAUAUAUGUAUAUAUAGAUUGUGCUCCCAUAAGUUGAUAAAACAAUCAUAGCACACACAAGCUGAUAAUGUAUACUGUUCUCACAAGCUGACAUAUCAAGCUCAUAAGCUGAUAUAGUAUAUUGCUCUCACAAGCUGACGAUAAAUAUGCUCGCACAAGCUGAUAAUAUAUGCUUUCACAAGCUGAUAAUUCACUGUGUUAAAAAUACCCAAUAAAAAUAAUUAUGUGUUGGUACACAGUUAGCCUAAGCCAAAAACGCAAUAUCUUGCUUUUCAAAAAUCUCACUAUUUAAUAUAGUCCAUAAACACAUUUUUGGCAUUGUAAACCGAUGCCUGGUAUUUUCUAAUUAAAAUGCCAAAAUCACACAAUUUGGGAUAAAUAUCAAAAACUACACUUUCCACUCAAUUUGCACAAAUUAGCACUCAAUUAAAUAAACCAAACCUACCAUUGCAAUCGGCACGAAAUUCUGGUCACCGGCUAUCUCGAUAUAAUUUCCAGAAAAACUAAAUUAUUGUUUUUUGUUAUUUUGAAUUUCUUAUAUUAGAAUCCAAAUAUUAUUUAUAUUGAAAUAUAAUUUUAAUUUUUUAAUUAAUGUUAUUUGAGAAAAAAAUUCUAUUAUGGAUAUUAGAAAUCCUAUCCGCCUUUAUUUUACCUCCCCCUUAGAAUAAUUUUAUUUAAUCUAUAUUUCUUUUAUAUCCAAUUUUAUCCUAUCAUAAGUAGACAACAAAUGCAGGAUGUGAUAUAUUUUAUCUUAUCUUAAAUUUUCUCCUCACCACCAAACAUAGGUUGAGACUAUAACGGAUAAGAUAAGAACACUUGCCACUCAAGGACCAAAAUCCAAGACAACUCAAGAACAGUUUUGUUAGCAAAAUGGAUUCAAGGUAGGAAGUAAUUACUUUCCACUAUAGAUGAAGUUGUUGAAAAUGAGGAUAUUAAUGUUUGAAACUGCAAGAUUCCCCAAGCCCUCCAACGAGUGUGAACACGAAAUUCUCUUGAAAUGUUGGGAGGUUUUUACCACCGUCUGCGCACCAAAUCAAAUAAAAAAUAAGAUGUCUAUUUGCAUAGUUUUCCUAAGUACCUCAAUAGUAGAAACUUCCCCUAUCAAACCCCUGUAACAAAACUCUAUAUCCAGAUCUGAACAGGGAGAGGUAAUUGUGCAAACAUAUGGUGUGCAAUUUAGAAUUACCAGUAAGUGUUCUGGUGCGGAACUUGGUGCUGCCAUAUUCCAGCCACUAAUGGGGCUCUAAAGGCGAUGGCAAAGGCAGAGGCAGCGGCAACACAUCGAAAAAUGCAACGGAUCUAAGCUCGCCAGAUGCAGAUGACGAUUUAGAGCCGCCAACGAGACUCCUAGAUACUAUGGUGGAGUGGAGGCGGCAUUUGAGGUGUCACCCCAAAACUCUCCAUUACCAAAAAUUUCCUGCUUCUUUAAAGAUUCCAAGUGAUUGAGACCUUGCAUGCUUUUUAGCUUACGACAAUACUUUACUUCGAGCUCCCAUAGCUUUUUCAAUUUUGAUAGGUCUGACAUCCUCUCCAAGGAAGGGCAAUAGUCGACUGAUAAGGAGAAAAGGGAUCCCAAUUCUUCAAAGCCACGAAUCUCGACUAAUGAAAGGCAAAAUCCUAGGCUUACCUUGCAUAGAUUCUUCAUGCGUGAUAGAUCAAGUACUUCCGGAAGGAACUCACAAUAAGCCAUCUCUAAUAAUCUCAAUCUUUUCAUUGCUAGCUGCAACGGUGUGUCCAGUUUUCUAAGCUCACAGAGCUCCAUACGGAGUUCCUCCGACUCCGCAUUAAAUAGACUAGAGAAUUCUAGCGAACAUCCAUAAAAUGUCAAGAUUGAUAAGUUUUUCAAAUUGGAAAAAUCCGGUGAUCGUGUGGUCGCCAGAUCUUGAAGUUGUAACUCUCUUAAACUAGAUGGAAGCUGGGGGAGGCAUUGCACAUUUUUGCAGCACAAUUUUAGUGUUUUAAGCUGAGAUAGGGUACUGAUGCUAGUGGGUAGAGUCGUGACAAGUGUUGCCUGUUGAGAUAGGGCACCUAUUCUAGUGGGAAGAGGGAGAGCUAUCCCGUAUUCUUUAAGAGCAUGACGCUCUAUUUCCUGCUCAUAUUCCUCACGAGCACGGUUUUGCUCCUGCCAAUAUUCCUCCGGCUCAUAUCUAUGCUCCUCCGCAGAGGAACACCAACAAUUUUUAGGGCCCCAUCUCAGACAAGUCAAAUUUGGGGGAAGCUCCGGCAAUUGUUUAAGUUUGGGACUUUUUUCUAGCUUAAGUGUUUGGAGAUUAGAGAGGUGACUCAUUGUGACGGGUAAUCUAGAUAUACAUGUGUUCGAUAAAUCUAGGAUCCUCAAACGAGACAGUCUCCCAAUUUCUUCAAGAAUUUCACCAGUCAAGUUGCAACAUCCUCGAGCAUCUAACUCUUCAAGCUUCUCCACCAGCCCAAUCGCACUUGGUAAUCUUGUAAUCUCUCUUAUGCCGCUUAUCCUUAGUAUUUUCAAUUGCUUGAGAUUGCCGAUUGAAUCGGGUAGGUGACCAAUACUUGUCAAUGACAAAUCCAACUCGACUAAAGAUUGUAAUUUGCCAACCGAAUGUGGAAGUUCCUCUAUGUAUAUACACCUAGAUAAAUUCAACCGCGUAAGUUUUGCCAGCCCUCCGAUCGAGUAUGGCAAUUUUAAGGAUGGUUGUUUGCUGAUCACUGACCUUUUGAAAUUUUCUUUUAGGGGAGAUAUAAUAAAAUCUGUCAAAGCUUGUAGACAUCCUAUUUCUUCGGGCAACUCUCGAAGAGAUUCACAUCCAUCCAAGUUCAAAAUAGUUAGGACCUUUAAUUUAACAAUGGAAUGGUCAAUUUCAAUUAAAUUGCUACAACCUUUAAGAACCAAUCUCUCUAGGUACACCCAUGUAGAUAAAUCAGGUGUUCUCUUUAAGUAUACACAGUAGCUAAGAUCUAGUACUUUUAGUUUCCUAGCCUCCUGCAAAACAAUUUGAUAAAAUAUAUAUUAAGAAACAACCUGUAGGGGAAAAAACAAGACAAAAGAAAUGAUAUGCUUAUGCUAGGAGCAAGACUCGUAUCAUACUCUGAUUUGGUCCCAACCAAUCCAUUCCUCUGAAAUACAGCUGAGUGAAAGGUUAAGAACAAUUAAAUUAGCCGGAUGAAAGUUCGUUGUCUCAAACUUGGAAUUGCUGUGAUGUAAAGAAAGCCAUCUUAAAUUGGAGAGAAGAUUAUUGAAGUCUCCAACAAGGGACACCUCUUCCCCUUGAAAGAACCUCAGGUAUCGUAAAUCGGCAAAUCCAUCAUGCGUCAGAAUGUCUUGACGAAAGAAAGGAUAUUGAGGUCCCGUUGACAGUGCUUCUAUUUUCCUACUUUCCUGACAAUGGUCAGACCAAAAAGUCCACAUGUGUAAGUAAAAAGCAAACAAUUUCAAGCGCCAAACGAUUAUUUUUCCUUUUAUAAGAAUAGUCUACCACAAUUUACAGUAAAGUAAAUUGUCGUUCCCUUUUUUACCUCUUUCAACUUUAGAAUGUCUAGCGCUUCCUCACGGUUCCACACUCUGCUACGUUCGCUGGGAUGUUUGAAAUUCUCUUGACGGAUGAUUUCCCUUCCAAGGUCCCGCACUUGAUCAUGCAUCCAAAAAGUAUUGUUGUCCUUGGUUUUUAUCAAGGACAUGAGAAAGAGGACUUCAAGGGCAUCGUGUGGGUGGUAUCCACAGUCAUCCCACAUGUACAAAGGGUAUGUUUUGUCCUGAUCGACAAAAAAACAAGCUAUAUCCAGAAAUACUUGCUUUUGUGCAUGAUCUAACCUUUCAUAAGAUAUCAUCAAUUUUCUUUGGACUCCCAUGGAAGGGGCUUCUUUUAGCUUCUUCAAUGUGUCUUCCCAUAUUGCUUUGGAUUUACCAUUAAGAGAUGAACCUGUAAUCUCAAGAGCUAAAGGAAGCUUUCCCAAAGUAGAGACUACUUUUUUUGAAAGGGAGAUAUAAUGAUCUGGUGGAGAGUCUCUUCUAAAGGCAUGCCUACUAAAAAGCUUAAGAGCAUGAUCAAAUUCCAUUGCACAUACUUCAUAAGUUGAAGCAUUUGUAGACUUUUUAAUAGGGCUUUACUGUAGCUCUCAUCAAUCAUUAGACACUCUGGUCCCUAGUAGUUAUGANNNNNNNNNNNNNNNNNNNNNNNNNNNNNNNNNNNNNNNNNNNNNNNNNNNNNNNNNNNNNNNNNNNNNNNNNNNNNNNNNNNNNNNNNNNNNNNNNNNNNNNNNNNNNNNNNNNNNNNNNNNNNNNNNNNNNNNNNNNNNNNNNNNNNNNNNNNNNNNNNNNNNNNNNNNNNNNNNNNNNNNNNNNNNNNNNNNNNNNNNNNNNNNNNNNNNNNNNNNNNNNNNNNNNNNNNNNNNNNNNNNNNNNNNNNNNNNNNNNNNNNNNNNNNNNNNNNNNNNNNNNNNNNNNNNNNNNNNNNNNNNNNNNNNNNNNNNNNNNNNNNNNNNNNNNNNNNNNNNNNNNNNNNNNNNNNNNNNNNNNNNNNNNNNNNNNNNNNNNNNNNNNNNNNNNNNNNNNNNNNNNNNNNNNNNNNNNNNNNNNNNNNNNNNNNNNNNNNNNNNNNNNNNNNNNNNNNNNNNNNNNNNNNNNNNNNNNNNNNNNNNNNNNNNNNNNNNNNNNNNNNNNNNNNNNNNNNNNUAGGGAUAAAUUUAUAUUGCAAACUACUCCCUAAGUGACUCAAUUCCCCUUACAAUUUGCAGAAAUUACGUAAAAUAAUUCAGAUGCCAAAACAAUCCAGAUUUUUCCCAAUCUAUCUCCGCUCCCCCAAUAUUAGUUACCACACCAUUGGCCCCCGCCCUUGGCAUGCCGCCAUUAAUAUCACUCACCUCCCCAACCCAAGCCGUCACCGUGGCGUUCUAUUGUCGUAGCCCGUCACGCCCCUAUUGACCCACCCAUCUCGGACUUGUCUCGAUCCUCCACAUCAUGUGGGUCCUCGCCUUGUAAUUGCCAAGGAUGGUAUCACUGGCCUUAGGCAACUCCAGAUUUGGGGUCAUCCAAGGUCGGCGUUGCCAGAUAUUGGCUUGAUCACGUCAGAAUUGGCGUCCCGAGCCCAUAUCCGACUCAAGACAGUGAGUGGAAGGGAGAAAUGGUGGGUGCCAAAUGGCUCAACCGUAGCUUUUGGUUGCUUAGCUAGGCGAGGUCAGCCUCGCCAAAAUCUAGUGAAGCCGAGCUCACCUAGCCACCAACGAGGCUUGACCUCGUUGGACCACUACGAGGCCGGUGUCACUCGCCCAAGGCGAGGCUGAUCUUGUGGUGGCCCGGCGUUUCCUGUGGCUAAGUGAACUCGGCUUUGCAAAUCUAGGCAAGGCUCGGUCUAACUGGGUCACCAUGAGGUUAGUGUCGCCUAGCCAUUACGAGGCCAACCUUGUUGGGGGCCAGUGGCACUUCAACAAGGUCAUUAGCCCUCGUCUGGCCGGUUGUCAGCUAUGGCCGAGGUAGAUGACCGACUAAAGGAAGAAGAAGUGAAAAAAAGAAAAGAAAAGUGUAAUAAAAUUAUUAAAACAUUAAAAAAAAUUCUAAGUCACAAAAGAAUUUGAGGGUUGUACCAAAAUAGUUUCUAUUCUGGGAAUAUAAAUUUUGGAUAGUUAUCAAAUGUCUUCAAAUACUCAAAUACUCGUUUAGGAAACGGAAUAAAAAAAUAAUAACGUUUUAGCAUAAAUUAUUACCAAGAACAUAAUGGUUACCAAACAGGCCCUCAAUGUUUGUGGCUACUGUGUCAGAGAUAGUGUGAUAGGAGAAACAAAAUCAGGAUGAGUAGGUGCGCUACCAUUGUAGUAGCACCAUCAAUCAAAGCUAUCACGGCAAUAGAGUCGAUCAGCCACUAUGGUCGAUGGUAAUAACGGUAAUGGCCACAACCACAAUUUACACUAUCGAGGAUCGGCAAGAUGAAUAAUUUUACCAAUUAUACCGCAAUUAAAAUGACUAGGGAGGAAAAGCAAAUCUAUAGAUGAUAGUUGAAAUGUUUAAGACAUUUUACCUUCCAUCUUUCUUCAAGUUCCAUCCCUUUAUCUCGUCCACCUCAAUAAGAGCCUUUUUCCAUGAUUCAACUUCAGUGCAAAACUUUUUUUGAUACUUCGAUAGAGCUUUGCGGUACAAGUUUGUUUUGAGCAUGACAUCGUCAGGCUCCACAUCCAAGAAAAUGGGUAAAAUCUCUUUAUUCUCAUUCGAUUUGGAGGUACACUCGACCAUAUAUGCGAGCUCUCGGAGGCACCAGUGACUCGAAGCAUAAUUCUUGGAAAAAAUGGGAAUGUAAAUCUUGGAGUUCUCGAUUGCUUGUAGAAGUUCACAGCCAAUUCUUUUACCGACAUGGAGGGAUUCAUUGUCCCUAAAGACAAGGAUCCCAGCCUCAACCAUGCCAUAGUAAAGAAAAUCAGUGAAUCCAUAACGGGUGUCUGCUCCUCGAAAACUUAGGAAAACCUCGGGGGAAGGCCCUGAUGAUGCCUGUGAGUUCGUCUCUUUUGUUAGCAUUUCACGCUUCUCUAAGGUCCCACUGGCACGGAUGCAGAGGUAUAUGACGAGACCAAUGGAGAGCGCAAUGAAGCUGAGGAUUCCGAUGAGGACGUAGAGCUUGAGGCUGACGCAGGGAGUCUUGGAGGUGAGCUCGUGAGGGAGAGAGCCGUCAAGAGAUCGAUGUUCGCCAUAAACUGCCAUGUUUCUAGCAGAGGAGCAAGAGAGUGGAAAAGGCUAAGGGAGUACGCGAAUGCGUGAGAAUUGAAGAAUGAGAGCUCUGCGCAGAGAGAGACAGAGAGAGCAGUGCAGGACCUUAUAAUGGAUACAAAGGAAAAGGAAAGAGAGUGAAAAAUCUGCUAUGUCAUUGUUAAAAGUCUCAUCUAGCAAUUUUAUUAUGAAAGUGCCAUUGUGUUGGAUGAGCGACUUUUGUUUCUGUUGUAUAAAUGGUGGUGAUAAAUUGAUAAUUGGUGUUGUUGAUGGCAUUUUUGACAUUUCGAGAUAGCCGUGGGGGCGAAUGGGGAGGAGUCUUCUUGUUUGAGGCCUAAUUGACUGAACUAAGAGGAGACAAGGAGAAGGUGAGAUUCACAUUGUAUUAUAUGGUUUUUGGGAUGAGACUGUAUAUCAUCAGAAAGUUUGGUCUUUGACAGAGUAGAAUCGUUAAUUGAAUUGGUCGAUCAAUAAGUGUAUUGUGUCAAAGUUAAGGAAUCUAUGGUAGAGGGAAUUUUUUUUAGAAAUAAAAAUAGGAAGAAAACAAAUCCAUUUUUGAGAUGAUAAAACUGCAAUAGAGAAUAUAAAUAUUCCCUAAAAGCAUUUUAAUAAAUUUCAGCCAACCACAAUAUUUUUGGAACAUUUAUAGCAAAACAAUCAUAAUUCUUUUGCUUCAUUUUUCUUUGAGAGAUGGACCGUGCAAUUUUUGAGAGUUUAAACCAUGGAAAUUUUUUUGGAGAGAAAGAUAUUGCUUUACCUUAUUUAUUCUAAAUCAUGCCGACACCCAUUCUAAAAUUAAGGAACUCAUUAGAUUUCAAACCCAUCCAUUCAAUAAUAAAACGCAACUAGUACUAUAUGUGUGUGUAUAUAUAAACCCCAAAUAAUGUGAAAGGCCUUAUUUAUAUAUAUAGAUUGGAUAAACCCCUAGUAAUGUGAAAGGCCUACUAAGUAUUAAACGGUUCAUGCACAAGUCGAUUGUCGACUGUGCAAUCUUAGAAUUGUAGCUAUGCUCCUAUUUUGGUUCUUAAUAUAUAGACAAACAAGAUAGAAGUAAGUCCGCCGCGAAGCGGCGACCGGAGGUUCCCUGGGUUACCAAAAAAAAAAAAAAAAGAUAGAAGUAAGUAUUGUCAUAGUACUAUAUAAGAUUAACUUAAUUAGUUGAUAUAGCACAUCGAAGAUCUUAACUAUGGAUUAUCAAAUAAUAUUUAGUAUAUGGCUCUGCUUGGUUUUAAAAUGUCAUGAUAUCAUAGUGGUGCCAUUUCUUAUAUAGCAAGAAAAAUUUGGUUUAUGGCAAGAAGAAUUAAUUGUCAAUAUUUUUGGCAUUUGUACGAGUGAAAAUGAAGGUUUGAAUAAAGAGAUGGCAUGUGGCAUACAACCUUAUUUACGAAAUUCUUGUCCAUAAGUCUCGUUUAGAAGAGGGGUAAAAAAUUAGAACACAUUUGACGAGUCAUCCCAGAAGAUUUAUAGAAGUUUCCAUUAGCCAAUCAAUGGGUUGUAGUCCUAGGAGUUUCCAUGUCCCUUACACGUUUGAUAACAAAUUCAAGAUCAGAGAUUUACAGUCUUGAAAAUAGAGGAUAUAAAGUGAAAUUGGGAUACAAAAUGAAGAUUACUUUUGAACUUUUUCUUUAUUUUAAUUAUAUUAGAAAAAUUUUAAAAUCCAAUCAAACUUUGUAUCUACAUAUUCUCCAGAUUUGCGGCGUUGUUCAUCUAGAGACAAAAACCCUUAAGUAGAUGUUAAAUUACCCUUUUAUUACUAAAAUGUAUUUUAUGUGGCGAUCACAUAAUUGGCAUGGUGUAAUCAGUCAAUUUGAAUGGUGUAAUCAGUCAAUUUGAAUUGUCCGUGUAAUAUGCAUGUCGUUUUGAUGGAAAAAAUUUGAAGUACCUCUUCCCAAUUAAUUGUUACACGUGUUAGCAUCUAAGCAUGCGUCGAUCCGGGCCUUAAUCUUCCCCCAUGGCCCACUCUAAUUGCUCCCUCUCCUGAUGGAUCAUCCUCAGCUGUCCGAUCCGAAUACCUGCUUCUAAGCCAAACCUCGUCGCACCAUCAGCGGGGCCAAGAAAAGGAAAACGAGAAGAAAAGGCAUAAUGAAACGAGUGUGUCACUUCGACCAAAAAAAAAGAAAAAAGAAAAAAAGAGUGUCACCACCAAGGACCCCCCAACGACCAGAGAAAGCAAGUGAAGAGUCUUCCACCGAUCUUGCCGGCUUAGUUGCAUUAGGAGACAAGAGACCAGCAUUUAUGAUGAUGUAAUGAAUAAAACUAGUCAUGACAUGACGAAAAUAUGCAACUUUAUUUAUUUUUGUUUGUGACACAUGGUAUGAUUUUCAUAAUUUUUCUUAGGUGUGCUAAGAAAUCUAAAUGUCUGACAACACAACGUAAAUUCUUGUCCAUAAGUCUCAUUUAAAAGUUGGGUAAAAAAAUAGAACAUAUUUGACGAGUCAUCCCAUAAGAUUUAUAGAAGUUUCCAUUAGUCAAUCAAUGGGAUGUAAUCCUAUGAAUUUCCAUGUCCCUUACACGUUUGAUAACAAAUUCAAGAUCAGAAAUUUACAGUCUUGAAAAUAGAGGAUAUAAAGUGAAAUUGAGAUACAAAAUGAAGAUUAAUUUUUAAAUUUUCCUUUAUUUUAAUUAUAUUAAAAAAAAUUUAAAAAUCCAAUCAAACUUUGUAUCUACAUCAAAUACUACUUUGAAUUCUCCAGAUUUGCGGCGUUGUUCAUCUAGAGACAAAAACCCUUAAGUAGAUGCUAAAUUACCCUUUUAUUACUAAAAUGUAUUUUAUGCGGCGAUCACAAAAUUGGCAUGGUGUAAUCAGUCAAUUUGAAUUGUCCGUGUAAUAUACAUGUCGUUUUGACGGAAAAAAAUUGAAGUACCUCUUCCCAAUUAAUUGGUACACCUGUUAGCAUCUAGGCAUGCGUCGAUCCGGGCCUUCAUCUUCCCCCAUGGCCCACUCUAAUUGCUCCCGCUCCUGACGGAAUCAUCCUCAGCUGUCCGAUCCGAAUACCUGCUUCCAAGUCAAACCUCGUCGCACCAUCAGCGGGGCCCAGAAAAGGAAAACGAGAAGAAAAGGCAUAAUGAAACGAGCGUGUCACUUCGACCAAAAACAAAAAGAGUGUGUCACCAUCAAGGGCCCCUCAACGAUCAGAGAAAAAGCAAGUCAAGAGUCUUCCACCGAUCUGGCCGGCUUAGUCGCGCAUUCGGAGAGACCAGCCUUUAUGAUGACGUAAUGGAUAAAACUAGUGACAUGACGAUAAUAUGAAAUUUUAUUUUAUUUUAUUUUUUAUGACACACAGUAUGAUUUUCAUAAUUUUUCAUAGAUGUCCUAAGAAAUCUAAAUGUUCAACAACACAAUGUAAAUUCAAUUUAUAUCAAACUCUUCAAUUUGCAUUAGGAGACGAGAAAUAAGUGUCACCAUCAUUGAGAACCCCUCAACAACUAGAGAAAGCAAGUCAAGAGUCUUCCGUCAAUCUUGUCGGGCUAAUUUGCAUUAGGAGAUGAGAGACCAGCAUUUAUGAAAAUGAAUGGAUAAAACUGGUCAUAACAUAAUGAUAAUAUGGAACUUUUUUUUUUGUGACACACGGUAUGAGGUUUUCAUAAUUUUUCUUAGGUGUCCUAAGAAGUCUAGAUGCCUGACAACACAAUGUAAACUCAAUUUAUGCCAAACUCUUCAAUUUGUCUAUUGGCUCUAAAUAACUCUGAGCUGCAAUGGCUAAGAUGCGAAUUCUAUUUAAAACACCGUUACUAUUAAGAAAGACACAGGGAUAGCUUUUAAGCAAAGACACUUAUCUGUCAUUGGAAUUAAUGUAAUUGCUAAAUAAAAAAUAUUGUAUAAGUAUCAAAAACUUAACCUUACUUGGAAUUAAAUUUAUUUACUUAAAUUAAAAUUAUUAGAUGUAUUACAAUCUUAACCUCACUAUAUGAAGGAUUACGUGGCCAGUGUUACCAACAAAAACAGUUAAAAUAAUAUAAGAGAUUGAAAAUAGUUAUUCACAUUAUUACUUAGUUACAAACUAAUGUGACAAUUUUUUCAAUGCCUAACUAUGCUUGACCUUUUUCAAAUGAUCAUUCAUAGUAUAUAGAUCUACAUCCCAAACAAAUAUAGUAAGUAUGUGAUACCACACAUUAACAUAAAGAUGGCUCUAUAAAAGAUGCUAACAAUAUUCCGAAUAUUGUGAGAUUCGAUAAAUGACGGGUCAUAUUAGUGAUGAUUACACAAAAUGAAGUCAAAUAGUCUGGCAUCCCACUCAAAAUAAGAUGAUUGAGGUGAAAACAACUUGAUUUUGGAAAUUGAACUGUGAAACAACCUAGACAAUUAGAUUUAGCAAUUGAGUGAAUGUAGACUAUCGUGAACACCAAUACGUUAUUUAUUUAUAAAAUGGAUUUAAUUGCAAAAUUCUCAAUNNNNNNNNNNNNNNNNNNNNNNNNNNNNNNNNNNNNNNNNNNNNNNNNNNNNNNNNNNNNNNNNNNNNNNNNNNNNNNNNNNNNNNNNNNNNNNNNNNNNNNNNNNNNNNNNNNNNNNNNNNNNNNNNNNNNNNNNNNNNNNNNNNNNNNNNNNNNNNNNNNNNNNNNNNNNNNNNNNNNNNNNNNNNNNNNNNNNNNNNNNNNNNNNNNNNNNNNNNNNNNNNNNNNNNNNNNNNNNNNNNNNNNNNNNNNNNNNNNNNNNNNNNNNNNNNNNNNNNNNNNNNNNNNNNNNNNNNNNNNNNNNNNNNNNNNNNNNNNNNNNNNNNNNNNNNNNNNNNNNNNNNCACCCACUCAAAGAAAGACUGGUGAAGGAAGCAAGUUAAAGUCUUCCUCCAUCUUGCAUUGUGAGAUGAGGGACCCUUAUCAAAGAGUCUUCCUCAGACUUGGUUUACAAAAUUGUUCAAUAAAUUCUUGUCCAUUAGUCACGUUUAAAGGACAUGCCAAAAUGUUGAACGCGGUUUACAAGUCAUCCCGAACUUUUCCUAGAAGUUUCAUUUAUCAAUCAAUGGGUUAUCGUACUAGGAGCUUCCAUGUCACAUUUAUUUAAUUACAAAUUUUAAAUCAAAGAUUCAUAGCUCUAAAAAUAGAGAAUAUAAAGUGAAAUUGAAAUACAAAGUGAAGAUGAUUUUUGAGGUUUUUAAAAAUUCUGAUCAACUUUGUAUCUAUAUCAUGUACGACUCUUGAGUUCUUGACAUUUGUAGCAAUGUUCAUUUUCAGACAAAAAUCUUUAAUUAGAAGAUUAAACUAUCCCUCUACUAAGGAAUUUGAUAUUAUGUGUCAAUCACCAUGAUUGACAUGGUGUAAUCGAUCAAUCCAUGUUGCCCAUGCAAUAUGCAAGUCAUUCGAAUGGGCGUUAAAAUGUUUUUUUUUUUUUUUGGGUCUAAGGCACUAAAACGUUAAGAUAUUCACUUUGCAUUGGUUUAUCACACCACAUGAUAUAACUGUCACAUGAAAUACCUUUUGUUUUGCCAUAUAAUUUCUCUCCCUUUCUCUCUCCCCCAACCAUACUGCCAGUCAAUGUCACCAUCCUUGUUCCCAGUAGACGCUGUCAUUGCUCAAUCAAAAUCGACAACGCCCUCCACACUUAGCCCCACCUUUGUCUGCAUCUCUCUCUUCUUUGCCACGGCCUAACUCAAAAUUAGAGGCAUCUUGCUCAAAGCUACAAUGAUGCGUAUCAUCAUUUUUUUUUUCUUUUCCAUUGUGGACGAAGAGGAUUGUCAACCACUGUGCAAGGGCUUGCAACUCCUUGUGGCAGGUAGUGAGGGUUGCAACCCUCGCCGAGGCCCAUACUAGUCAUAGGCGAAGGAGGGUGUGAAGGCCCUCCUCAACCAUGAAAGCUUUGCCUAUGGCUACGAUCAAGGCAAGGGCUUGCCGGCCCUAUUAUAGGGUCGUUGGUCAUGAUUGAAAAAGAAAGAAAAAAAGAAGAAGAAAAGAAUAAGAAAAAGAAAAUUACAAAAAAAAUUAUUUUAACGAAAAAUUGUGAAAAAAAAGUCCAUGUAAGCGCCUACCAUGUCACAUAAGAAGUCCGGGGUCCACACCAAAGAUUCCCAACCAAAAAAAGCCAGGAGCACUAAAUUGAUAAAUUAUCAAAGACUUUGUUAUAAAAUUAGUUAAAUUGAAAUGUUUAAGGUAUGAAUUGACAUCUAUACAAUAAAUUUAAGAUUUUUUUUGGUAAUUUUCCUCACAUAAUAUGUAAUACCAUGAAAUUAACAUUCGUCUUCAAGUCUCCUUUGUCCCGCUGAGACCUUUUCUCUCCCAACCCCUCUCCUAUUUUGAAACUUUCUUCAUCUCUUCCACUUCUAGAGGGGAGGGAUUUGACCUAGAUCUCUCCCUCCCUUGAUAGUUGUUUUUCCUUCUUUUUUUCCUUUUGAUUCUUUCCUUACUCUCUCGAUCUAGUUUUAGAUUUAGGAGAUUUGCUCUACUAAUCUUAAAUUUGAAAGCUUUCUCUUCAAUCUAAUUCUAGAUUUUGGAGUUUUAAUGAACAAAAGAGGAAUGGAUUCAGCGGAUUGUACCUGCUCAUUUUUUUAGUCUGAAGAGGCCAAGUUGUAUUCCCGAAGCUUUGAGAAACCUUACGGAGCCUGAGACCAUGGAAAACACAACUAAGAAGAGAAUACUAGCCACUCAAGGUCCAAAUUUCCGAACAACUCAACAACAGUUUUGUUAGUAAAAUGGAUUCAACAUAGGAAGUAAUUACUUUCUACUGCCGUCGAAGUAAAGUGAGGAUAUUGCUGUUACGCACUGCAAGAUUCAACUCCAUAAGCCCUUCAACAAUUGUGAACAAAAACUUCCCUUGAAAUGUGGGGUUUUUACCAUCGUCUACACACCAAAUCAGAUCAAAACUAAGACGUCCAUUGACACAAUUUUCCAAUUAGCUCAACACUAAAAACUUCACCCUCUCUAGUAAUAAAACUACAUAUCCACCCUGAACAGGGAAAUAAAUAAUUGUGCAAUCAUAUGGCGUGCAAUUUAGAAUUACCAGUGUGAGUUCUGGCGUGAAACUAGGUGCUGCCAUAUUCCAAAUGUCAAUGGGGCUCCUAGAGGCGAUGGCGACGACAGAGGCAGCAGCGAUAUGUCCAAGAAUGUAGUAGAUUUGAGCUCGUCCAACAUGAAUGACGAAUUGAAGCCGCCGACGGGACUCCUGGAUACGAUGGCGGAGGCGGAGGUAGCGUUUCAGGUGUCACCCCCCAAACUCUCCAUUAUCAUAAAUUUCCCGCUUCUUUAAAGAUUCCAAGUGGUUGAGACCCUGCACAAUUUUUAGCUCACAACAAUAUCUUACUUUGAGCUCCCAUGGCAUUUUCAAUUUCGAAAGGUCCGAUAUCCUCUCCACGGAAGGGCAAUAAAUGACUGAUAGGGAGUAAAGGGAUCCCAAUUCUUCAAGGCCACAAGUCUCGACUAAUGAAAGGCAAUGUCGCAGACGUACCUUGUGUAGAUUCUUCAUGCCCAACGGAUUAAGUACAUCUGGAAAAAAACUCACAUACAUCCAUCUAUAAUAAUCUCAAUCAUUUCAUUUCCCAGCUGCAAUGGCGCAUCCAGUUGUUUGAGCUCACAGCGCUCCACACGGAGUUCCUCCGACUCCUCAUCAAAUAUACUAGAGAAUUCUAGCGAACAUUCAUAGAAUGUCAAUAUUGAUAAGUUUUUCAAAUUGGAAAAAUCCGGUUAUUGCAUGGCGACCAGAUCACGAAGUUGUAACUCUCUUAAACUAGACGGAAGCUGGGGAGGAAUUGCAUAUUUUUGCAGCACAAUUUUAGUGUUUUAAACUGAGAUAAGAUGCCGAUGCUAGUGAGAAGAGCGGCGACAAGGGUUUCAUCUUGAGAUAGGGUACCAAUUCGUCUCUCCUGGCAAAAUUCCUCCAGCUCAUAUUUCAUCUCCUCUUCAGAGGAAUAACAGCAAUUUUUUGGGCCCCAUCUCUGAUGAGUCAAACUUGGGGGUAGGUCCGGCAACUGUUUAAGCUCGGGACAUUUUUUUAGCUUUUAAGUGUUUGGAGAUUAGAGAGGUGACUCACCGUGGUGGGUAAUCUGGACAUACGUGUGCCUGACAAGUUGAUGAUCCUUAAAUAGGACAAUCUCCCAAUUUUGUUAGAUUGCCGGUCAAGUUGCAACAUUCUUAAGCAUCUAACUCUUUGACUUCUCCACUAACCCAACCACACUUGGUAAUUUUCUCAUCCAUCUUAUGCCACUCAUCCUUAGUACUUUCAGUUGCUUGAAAUUGCCAAUUGAAUCAUGUAGGUGACAGUACUUGUCGAUGACAAAUCCGACUUGAUUAAUGAUUGUAAUUCCCAAUCGAAUUUGGAAGUUCCUCUAUGUAUAUACACCUAGAUAAAUUCAACCGCUUGAGUUUCACUAGCCCUCCAAUUGAGUAUGGCAAUUUUAAGGAUGAUUGUUUGCUUAUCAUUAACCGUUGAUAUUCUUCUUUUGGGGGAGACAUAACAAAAUCUGUCAAAGCCUAUAGACAUCCUAUUUCUUCAGGCAACUCUCAAAGAAAUUUAUAUCCAUUCAAGUUCAAAAUAGUUAGAAGCUUCAAUUUGACAAUGGAAUGGUCAAUUUCAAUUAAGUUGAUGCAGCCUUCAAGAACCAAUCUCUCCAAUACACCCACGUAGAUAAAUUAGGUGUUUUCUUUAAGUAUUCACAGGUUCUAAGAUCUAGUACUUUUAUUUUUCUGGCCUCCUGCAAAACAAUUUGAUAAAAUAUAUAUUAAGAAAUAGCUUGGGGAAUUAAAAAAACAACAAGAAAUGACAUGCUUAUUCAAGAAGGGGACUCGUAUCGUAUUUUGAUUUGGUCCUAGCCAAUCCAUUUCUCCAAAUUACAGCUGUGUGACAGGUUAAGAACCACUAAAUUAGCCAAAUGAAAGUUUGUUGUCUCAAACUUGGAAUAGCUACAAUGCCAAGAAAGCCAUUUUAAAUUGGAGAGAAGAUUCUUGAACUCUCCAACAAGGGACCCAACUUCCCUUCAUAAGAACCUUGGGUUUUGGUAAAUCAGCAAAUUCAUCAGAUGUGAGAGUAUCUUGAUAAAUGAAAUGAUAUCUAGGUCGUACCUGAUAGUGCUUCCAUUUUCCUACUUCCCUGACAAUGACACUGAGAAGUCCACGUGUGAAGGUCAGAAGCAAACAAUUUCAAGCAAGAAUAGUGGUUAAUUUAUCCUUUUGCAAGAAUACUCAACAACAAUUUGCGGGAAAAUAAAUGGUUGUUCCCUUUUUAUACCUUUUUCCUCUUCAAAAUGUUAAGCGCUUCCUCAUAGUUCCACACUCUGCUACGCUUAUCAGGAUAUUUGAAAUUCUCUUGAUGGACGAUUUCCCUUCCGAAGUCCUGUACUUGGUCAUGCAUCUAGAAAGUAUUGCCAUCUUUGAUUUUUAUCGAGGACAUGAGAACGAGGACAUCAAUGGCAAUGUGUGGGUGGUACUUAUAGGCAUCCCACAUAUAGAAAGGGUAUAUUCUAUCCUCAUUAACAAAAAAGAAAAUAAAAUCUAUAUCUAGAAAUAUUUCCCUUUAUGUUGGAUCUAACCUUUCAUAAGAUAUCAUCAAAUUUCUUUGGACUUCCAUAGGAGGAGCUUCUUUUAUUUUCUCCCAUGUAUCGAUCCAUAAUUCGUCGGACUUACCAAUAAGGAAUGAACAUGUAAUCUUAAGAGCUAAAGGAAGCUUGCCCAAAGUAUGGACAAUUUUUUUAGAAAGGGAGACAUGAUGAUUUGGUGGAUAGUCUCUUCUAAAUGCAUGCUUGCUGAAAUGAUUAAGAGCAUGAUCAAAUUCCAUUUCAUGUGCUUCAUAAGUCAAAACAUUUGGGCCUUCAUAUAGGACAUUGUUGUCCUUCAUAGCUAUGAUAAUCCUGCUACCGAACUGAAUCAAUCACAUUUUUUUGCAAGACUUUUCAAUUGCUCUUGUUUAUCCAUGUCAUCAAGAAUAAUGAGUAUUUUUUUUUUAUUUCUAAGUAUUCCUCUGUUAAUCAUUUUGAUCCCAUCAUUCACAUGACAAAUUUGGUUAAUAGAAUGAGAACCAAGGAGCUUGGAUAACAAAUGUUUUUGCAAAUUUACCGGACCAUCAUUGCUUUUUGAUGAUUCCUGAACAUCUACAAGGAAACAACAUUGGUCAAAGCAAGAAGAUAGUUUGUAGAAGAUGACCUUAGCAAGGGUUGUUUUGCCAACACCGCCCAUUUCGUGGAUUAUGAGAAAUGUUACAUCAUCGGAUCCCACAUCCAACGUUUUGAUUAUAGCUCCCACACAAUCAUCAACUCCGACAAGAUGUUCGGUCAAAUCUUCAUAUACAACCUUUACUUAACCGAUACCAUGCGAAUUAUUGAACGGAUCAAAUCUCCUUAACUGCCAUAAGGUAAUAACCAUGUUAGCGGUAACUUCUAUAGUGUAAAACUACUCCUACAGUGACUAAAUUGCCCUCACUUGUUGAGGAAAUUACGCAAAAAUAUCUAGACACCGAUACGAACUAAAUUUUUGCCAAUCUCUCUGCUGCCCAACAUCAAUCAUUAUCUAAGUAGCACCGACACCGGGACGUGACAUAACACGACACGCUAGAGUGCCAACACGUCAUUUAAAAAAAAAAAUUAGAUAAUUUCGACAUGUUGAGACACAUUAUAUAUUAAAUGUAUAUUUUUAUAUAUGCAUAAUAAAUUUUCAUUUUUAUGAUUAUUUCAAUCAAAUUAAUUUAAGUACACCAAUAAAUAAAUAAUAAUAAUAAUUCUAGAAUGGAUUUACACUAAAGACAUUAAUUCACAAUUUAUUAAUAUCAUUGUUUCAAUUUGACAAAUUCAAUUCUAUUCCAAUAAUCCAUAAAACUUAGAUAAAAAAUAAUGCACAUUCUAGACUUGCAUGCCAAACAUAUCAAAAGAAAAUAGAUAAAAAAAAACUUGAGAAGUGAAUUGUGUAAUGGGGAAAAUGAGAGUAAGAAGAGAAGAAAAUAUUAGGUUUUUUUUUCUCCAUUUAUUGUCUUCAUUAUUAUUAUUUUUUCACAUAUAUACAUUUUAACCCUCAUUUAUUAAUUUUUUUUUUUUUUAAAAUUGACCUUACUUGUCGGAAUCACAUGUCGAAAACUUGUAUAUUGAAAUUUUAACUCGAGUGUCAGAGAGUGUUAGGAAAGUUAACUAGGCGUUAAAUUUUCUGACAAGUGUCGGAAAGUGUGAAAAAAUAUCGAGCUCCGACAAGACAUGAAGGCUCAUGUCAGUGCUUGACCGUGCGACUGCCGGGGAGGGCGUCAUCGGCCUUGGGCGAGACCAGAUUUAGGGUCGCCCAGGGUCAGCGACGCCAGUGUGGGCUCGGUGGGCUCAGACCUGACGUCCAGAUCCCGGAUCUGACUUGCCUCAGUGAGUGAUAGAGCGAAAGGGCGGGGCCGGAUGGCUCAGAGGUGGCUUAUGUCGGCUUGUUGUCAGGCUGGCGACAAAGAAGUGGCGACAAUCGAAGGACGAGCUGCUGCAUUGGCUCGCCAGAAGCUUGGUGGAGCCACUCGGAAAGCCAUUACUGAUCGUGGCUACUAUGUCAGACUAAGAAUGAGAGGAGAGAGAAUCAAAAUGAGUAGCGUGCGCUGCCACCGCAAUAGUGCCAUUGACCGGAGCUAUUGCAGCGAUACCGGCCACUAUUGGCCACUGUCAGUGAGAAUUCCGUUCUCGUCGCCAUAGUGGCUGAUAGCAGUAGCGGCCGCUAUCUGAACUGUAUAGAAUCGACUAGAUGAAUAAACUACAACUUCACCAACAAUACCACAAUCAUACUAAAUAGGGAGAAAAACGAGUUUAAGACAUUUACCCCUCCUCUUUCUUCCAGUUCCAUCCAUUUCUCUUGCCCACCUCAAUGAGAGCCUAUUCCCAUGACUCCACUUCAGUGCACGACGUCUUCUAGUGCUUUGAAAGAGUCUGUCUGUACAAGUUUGUUUUGAGCUUGACAUCGGCAGGUUCCACGGUCAAGAAAAACCAUGCCAUGGUAAGAUAAUCGGUGAAUUCAUAACGGGUGUUUACUCCUCGAAAACUUCAAAAAACCUCAUACGAAGGUACGGUUGAUGCCUGUGAAUUCGUCCCUUUCUCCGUUGUAGUAGCUCUAAGCAACACAGAUAUCAAAUCCUUUCUAUCUCUCGGGGAAGUUUGCUUUUUAAGUGUGCUUGGAUCUGAGCGACGGCUGUCAGUAUGAUGAGCACUCAAUCUCUGGCGUCAUGGAGGUUGGGAAAAAGGCGCUGGACUUCGAAUAUUAAUUAAUAUAGUCAACACCUUUCUUUCUUUUUCUUCUUUUUUUAAUCCCUUCUUCAUCUUUUGAUUAAUUUGUUUGGUGUUCAUUUAUAUCUUUACUGUUUUGCAUCUUUUUGGCCACCGAAUUUCCCAAAUUAAAUGUUAAGAUGUGAAUUCUAUUUAAAAACACCAUUACUAUUAAGAAAAACACACGAAUAGCUUUUAAGUGAAGACACUUAUAUGCAAUUCUAAUGUAAUUACUAAACCAAAAUAAUGAUAUAUGUAUCAGAAUCUUAACCUUAUUUUGAAUUAAUUUAUUUAAUUAAAUUAAAAUUGUUAUAUAUGUAUCAUAAUCUUAAACUCACUUUAUGAAGCAUUACAUGGCCAGUUUUACCAAUAAAAAUAGUUAAAAUAAUAUAAAAAUUUGAAAAGAGUUAUUCACGUGAUUACUUAUGUACAAAAUAAUGUGACAAAUUUUGAAUGCUUGGCAAUGCCCUAUCUUUUGGAAUGAUCUUUAUAGUAUAUAGAUUUAGAUCCCAAAUCAAUAUGGGAAGAUACGACACCACAUAUUAAACAUAAAGACAGCUACAUAAAAGACUCCGAGUAUUUCGAAAAUUUGUGAGAUUCAAUAAAUCAUGGAUCAAAUCAAUGAAGAUCACACAAAAUCAAAGUCAAACAUAUCUAGCAUCCCGUUAAAAAUGUGAUGAUUUUAGUGAAAUCAGCUUGAUUUUGAAAAUUAAGAUGUGGAAUAGCCUAGAUAAUCAGAUUUAGCAAUGGAGUGAAUAUAUAGUGCCCCAACAAUAUAUUUUUUAUUUAGAAAAUGAUUUGAUUUGAAAAAUUUUCAAUACAAACUAUUUUAUAGAUUAUGAUCCAACCACAAGUCAAAAUUUUAAAGUUGCAACUUGCUUAUCUUAAAUUUUAAAUUUUAAAUUUAUACUUUAAAAUAAGGUAAUGAGAAAGGACAUUUCAAUUAAUAUUGAUUGGUUGAUUUGUCUGGAAAGCACACAAGUCCCAAAUCAUCAUCUUUGUUAGCUAAUCUACCGGGCAUGUAACACGGAAAAGAAAGCCAAAGUCUUCUAAUAUCUUUCCUCUGCUUCGUUGCAUUUUCCUCUUCUUCUUUUUUUGAACAAAGAAGUCAAAAGUCUUCCACCACCUUGCUUGUUUGGUUGCAAAGAAAGCGAUAAGGCAAAAGCCGACGAAACCUACUCAAGAGAAAAGAUUGGCGAGGGGAAGGAAGUCAAAGUCUUCCUCCAUCCUGCAUUGCAGAUGAAGGAUCCUUGUUGAAAUGUCUUCAUCAUACGCGGUUUACAAAAUUGUUCAAGAAAUUCUUGUCCAUUAGUCACAUUUCAAGGACAUGCCAAAAAGUAGAACGCGGUUUACAAGUCAUCCCGGAAGUUUCCUAGAAAUUUCAUUGAUCAAUCAGUGGGUCACAUUUUAGGAGUUUCUAUGUCCCAUUCAUUCAAUAACAAAUUUUAAAUAAGAGAUCAUAGCUUUAGAAAUAGAGGAUAUAAUGUGAAAUCGUGAUACAAAAUGAAGAUGAUUUUUUAGCUUUUCUUUAUUUUAACCAUAGUAGAGAACUUUUAAAAAAUCCAAUCAACUUUGUAUCUAUAUCAUAUACGAUUCUGAAUUAUUGACAUUUGCAACCGCGUUAAUCUCCAAACAAAAAUCUUUAGUUAGAAGAUUAAACUAUCCCUCUACUAAGAAAAUUUAUAUUAUGCACCGAUCACAUGAUCACCUUGGUGUAAUUGGUCAAUCCAUAUUUCCACUACUUAGUCAAAAUGGAAAGAGCACAGCAUUCCUUGUUGCACCUUCAUCUUUUUCAUUAAUUUGUUUCGGGUUCAUGCAUAUCUUGCUUGUUUUGCAUCGGUUUGGCCACCGAAUUUCCCAAAAUAAAAUCAUUAAGACGUGAAUUCUAUCUAAAAACACCAUUACUAAUAAGAAAAACACACGGAUAGCUUUUAAGUGAAGACACUUAUCCGUCAUUGGAGUUAAUGUAAUUACUAAAUCAGAAUUACUAUAUGUAUAUAUCGGAAUCUUAACCUUACUUGAAAUUAAUUUAUUUACGUAAAUUAAAGUCAUUAUAUAUGUAUCAUAAUCUUAACCUCACUAUAUGGAGUAUUAAGUGGCUGGUUUUACCAACAAAAAGCAGUUAAAUAAUAUAGGAGAUUGAAAAGUGUUAUUCACAUUAUUACUUAGUUACAAAUUAAUGUGACAAACUUUUGAAUGCCUGACUAUGCCCAACCUUUCCAAAUGAUCAUUCAUAGUAUAUAGAUCUAGAUCUCAAACAAAUAUAGAAAGAUAUAUGAUACCGCACAUUAAACAUAAGGACGACUCUAUAAAAGAUGGUAAUGAUAUUCCAAAUAUUUGUGAGAAUCGAUAAAUCACGGAUCAUAUCAGUGAUGAUUACAUAAAAUUAGAUCAAAUAAUCUAGUAUCCCACUCAAAAUAAGAUGAUUGCAAUGAAAACAGCUUGAUUUUGGAAAUUAAGUUGUGAAACAUCCUGGAUAAUCAGAUUUAGCAACUGAGUGAAUUUAGAGUGCCAUGAACACCAAUACGUAAAUGGAUUGAUUUGCAAAAUUUCCAAUAGGAAUUAUUUUUAUUAAUAUGUUAUAUAUAUAUAUAUAUAUAUAUAUAUAUAUAUAUAUUCUAAAUUUUAAAAUUGCAACUCGCUUAUCUUAAAUUUUAAAUAGCUUUAAAAGAAGGUGAUGAAAGGAGGCAAUAAAUUUUCAAAUUGGUUUGGUUUAUUCCUUCAUCUUUUGAUUAAUUUGUUUCAUGUUCAUGUUAUAUCUUGUCUGUUUUGCAUCGGUUUGGCCACCGAAUUUUUCAAAUUAAAUAUUAAGAUGCGAAUUCUAUAAAAUCAUCAUUACUAAUAAGAAAAACACAUUUAUAGCUUUUAAGUUAAGAGACUUAUCUGUUAUUGAGAUUGAUGUAGUUACUAAAUCAAAAUUAUUAUAUCAGAAUCUUAACCUUACUUGGAAUUAAUUUAUUACUUAAAUUAAAAUUAUUAUAUGGUUAUCAUGAUCUUAACCUCCUUUUAUGAAGUAUUAUGUGGCCGGUGUUACCAAUAAAAGAAUUACAAUAAUAUAAGAGAUUGAAAAGAGUUCAUAUUAUUGCUUAGUCACAUUUUGAAUGUUUGACUAUGCCGUACCUUUUCAAAAUGAUCAUUAUAGUAUAUAGAUUUAUAUCUCAAACCAAUAUGGAUUGAUAUAUAAUACCACAGAUUAAACAUAAAGACGGUUACAUAAAAGACUUUGACAAUAUUUCGGAUAUUUGUAAGAUUCGGUAAAUUGCAGAUCAUAUCAAUAAAGAUAACAAAAAACCAGACUCAAAUAUAUCUAGCAUCCCAAUAAAAGAAGAUGAUUGCACUGAAAUUAGCUUGAUUUUGGAAAUUAAGCUAUGAAAUAGCCUAGAUAAUCAGAUUUAUCAAUGGAGUGAAUGUAGAGUGCCACGAACAAUAUGUUUUUUAUUUAUAAAAUGGAUUCAUUUGCAAAAUUCUCAAUAUGAACAUUUUUUAUAGUAGCUUGAUAUAUUUUAUUCGAAAUUUCCAGUUGUAACGUGAUUAUUUUAAAUUUAUAUUUAAAUAUUAAAAGAAGGGAAUGAGCAGGGUGAUGAAUUAUCAAAUUUAAAUAAAAUCUGAUUUGUUAAUUGUCUGGAAAGCACACAAGUCCCAAAUCAUUAUCGUUGGAUAAUGUACUUCAGAGCGUGUAACAUGGAAAGCAACCCAAAAGUCUUCUAAUAUCUUGCUCACUUUGUUGCAUUUUCCUAUUCUUUUCUUCCUAACAAAGAAGUCAAAAAUCUUCCACCAUCUCACUUGCUAAGUUGCAAAGAAAUUGAUAAGCCAAAAGCAGACAAAACCUACUCAAAAGAAAAAUAAGCCCCUCCUUUCUCGUUCCCUCUUUUUUUUUUUUUUUUUUGCAGGAUUGCCCUUAGUUUUUUUUUUUAAGCGUUAAUUAAACAAGAAUAACCGGUGCAUUCACGAAACUUCCCUACAUAUCAUUUACACUCAUGCAUCUAAAUACACGAGCGCUCCUUUUUGUGCUAAUUGGCAUAUUUUCCAACUUUGUCAAUCCUAUGCUUUGACCGAUUGACUUGCAAAUCAGAACCCAAACCAGUCAUUUGAUAGGUCUACGUUUGGAUGAAUUGCUUGACAAGAUUACAAAACCCGAUUAAGAUACUUGGCCACAAAUUGCCAACUCUAAUAACACUGAUGUUGUGGUGAUGUGGAGCGGCGAGUGGCCCAAAUGAUAUGGCGGUUGCUUGAUGCUGGUGUAAUCUUCCUGAGCACGUAGCUGGCACGGAUAAAAAAAGAGACUAGUAACACGUGAACUAGGUUAAGUUUGUGGUCUCAACCGUCCAGCCGCAUGUGGCAGCGAUCCGAGUCUCUGUUUCCAGUGUUCAACUCGGAGGACAAUUACUGUCCGAUGGGCGUCAUUGNNNNNNNNNNNNNNNNNNNNNNNNNNNNNNNNNNNNNNNNNNNNNNNNNNNNNNNNNNNNNNNNNNNNNNNNNNNNNNNNNNNNNNNNNNNNNNNNNNNNAGCUACGAAGGUAAAGAUUUGGACGAGUUGCGUUGUCUUGGCACGUGAGGUUUUCAUCCAUGGUGGAGUUGAGUCGCAGUGGGCGUCGAUUCAACAAUGUGAAUCUAGGAUUCAAAGCCUUUCGUAGUGAAUUGUGGCGAAAACUAUCUAAGUAGGUGGUGACCAGUUUUGAUUGAAAGGUUAUGUCAGCAAGAGUAAAGGCCUUUUGUAUAUCACCGGAAUGCAUUAUGCAAAUAAUUUCAAUCAUUUAUCUAUAGCAUAAACUAAUAUACUAUAGAUAUACAAUAUUAUGAUUCUAGAUACAAUCAGACUAUACAGAACGUACAUGAUAUAUUUUGUAUGUGUGAAAGAUUUAGUUUUUGUGGAUGAUGUGCAUUACAAAUAUAUCUAACAAGUUGUGACAUUGUUUCAUAAAUUAAUGAUUUUAAUCUGAUAUUACUGUUAAAAGGUCAUAGUCCAAAGGACAUAAAAUAGAUAUUACGCGUAAAUUUGAAAGGAGUUUUUCGGCUUGUAAUUUUGUCACAUAUCUGGAUAUCUCUUUACUUUAACUUUAUGUUUUUUUUUUCUCUUUUUCGACCUUUUAGAGUUCAAAAUCAGAACUUGAUUAACGUCAAACAUCUCAAAUUUUUAAAACUAGAAUAGGGAAAUUCGAAGAUGGUGUUUUAAUUUGGGGAAAAUUUCAAAAAAUGGCUCGAAAUGCCUUCAUUUCUCAAAUAAGGAUCCAAAGUGAAUCAUAAAAGCCGAAAGUGACCUUGAUUGUUUCAAAAAAGGAGCUGAAGUAGCUAUGAUUGUUUCAAAUAAAGGCCUAACGUCACUAGCAAAAUUUUCUGAUUGGUUAAGGGUGUUUUCGUCCAAAUUUUCUUUUCUUUUUUCUUUUCUAACGUUAGCUAGCGGCCACUGGAAAGGGCCGGCAAGGGCCUUCGAGCCCUUGCUGGCAGCGCGAGAGGGCCUGCAAGCCCUCACCAGUAGCGGGCAAGGCCACCCUUGCCUCGGACAAGUAAGGCCAACCCUUGCCAGCGAGGUCGCUAAGCCCUUGCAGAUGACUACGAAGGGCAGUCUCCCCUAGGGUGAGGCCAUCCCUCACUUGGGGCUAGCAUGGGUGGCCCUAGCCGAAUUGGGCAAGGGCGACCCUCAACCAGCCCUCUAUGGGCAUCCAAUGGCCGAGGAAGAAGAAGAGCUAGAGAAAAAAGGAAAGAAAAAAGGGAAAAUGGUAAAUGACAUAAAUACCCUUCACCACUAGAAAGUGGAGCCCUUAUUUGUAAGGGAUAUAACCAAAGUCCUUAUUUGAAACAUAUAUAACUAUUUCAGAACUUUAUGUGAAAUAAAAUUCACUUUAAGUCAUUAUUUGAGAAAGUAAUAGCACUUUAGACCCUUAUUUGAGAUAAAGUCCACUUCAUGCCAUUUUUUGAAAUUUUCCCAAUAAUUUGGUUUGAAGCAAAAAAAACUAAUUGUGUGUGUGAAAAUGAGAGGAUAUGGUCUUCAUCAGUGUUGGGCAUUUGGAUUUGAUGGUUGAAUGUGGAAACAAAGAAGAGUCGAAUAAACAAUGGCAUGCGGUUACGAAAUUGUUCAGGAAAUUCUUGUCCAUAAGUUAGCUUUGAAAGACACGGCAAAAAGCAAAAGGUCGUUUAUAGGUAGAUGCUAAUAUUGAAAAUGCCAGUUAGAUAGCAAGUAAUUCUUGUCCAUUAAAGUCGGGCUUUAAAAUGAAAUGAUGGAUAAAUUUAAGUGUGAGGCAUAAAAUUCUUGGAAAUUAAAGUGCAAAGGAAAAGUGAAAUGAUAUAGAAGUGAACUAAACGAACUUACUGUGAAAUUGCAUCUCUCUCUCUCUCUUCCUUUUUUUCUUUCCACCUCCACAAGAAUUUGCCUCCUCUGUUUUUCUUUUAUUAUCUUUUCUUUUGCCCGCCAUAACUUUCUCUCUGUAUUCCUCUCUCUUGGCCGUGAAGAAAAGCUUACACCUUUCCUUUUACGAGGUCUCUUUGGCAAUGAAUAAAUAGAUGCUGAAAAGUCACCUUCCCACUUGGCCGAGAAUCUUCCGCUUUUUUUUUUAUAACCAGAUUUUCUUGCUCUGUUUUGGCCGUGAAUACCGGUCCAUGAAUGCUGAGAUCGCUCCCUUUGUCAAGAUGGAAACUGCACGCUCCUUUCCUUCUUUGAUUCUCCUUUGCCUUUUCUUCCAAUUUUGACGCGUGCAGUUGAACAAGACCUUCCUUCCAUCUCAUGUGUUCAGAUUGGAAUUGGCUUCGAAAAUGGGUGUCCACCGAUUGAAAUCUGAACGGCCGCACUUUCUUUCCCUUAAUUAGGCCGAGUUUGAUUAGCUUAGGGCCGGGCUUGCAUGGGCUCGAUUUUGGAAUCUCAAGUGAGUUUAAGACUCUUUCGCAUAUUGGGCGAACUAUUGAGCCAAUCCCAAACAAACUCAUAGCCAGAUUCAUGUUUUGUUAAUUGCGAAUGUUUUAUGCCCUAAAUUUAAAUUUCCCUUUACCUAAAUGCGAAGAAAUACAGUAACAGCUGUAAAUGCAAGCCUAAACAAGAUUGGUAUUUUGGUUUGGGAUCAAAUUCUAUUGAAUUCGAGCCUAGUUUUCUUAUUAAAUGAACGAGAAGUCUUCGAACAAAAAUUUAGGUGUCCGAAAUCAGAUCGACAAUAGUAGCUAGAGUUUGAAGAAAGUAAAGAACAACCAAUUGUUCUUAAUAGGCAAAAGACGAGAAACUGAUGCUAACGCGGACUCCAUCCUUGUAAUAAUUAAAAUGAAGAUGAUAUUGAACAUUUUAAAAUAUUAUAGGAACAUAAUCAAUAGAAUGGUAAGGAAUCACAAAAUCAAUUGUUUGAUUAAGUAUGACAUGGACGUAUUUACACAAAAUUUCAACGAUCAUCCAUUUCAUUAAAAGAUAAAUCUCGAGAACAACCAACUUGUUUUGUAUAAAAAGUGGAAAGUAAAUUUUCUUUUACUUGCUUGAAUCUAUAUGUAUUAAAAUGAUUGGAUGGUCAAUGGUAAAAUGAUGACAUAGCAUGCUUGCGGAUUUAGUUCGAUCAAGUUAGUUGGAGUUAACUUGGCGUGAUGCUGGAUCGCCCUUCUCUCUCGACAUGCAGAGUCCAUUGUCUACCGUCAUGGUAGUUUGCCCUAACUAACCCUAAUUUGAACAUGUUCCCACAAAAUCCAUCGCCCCUUCCCUCAUACCCUCAUUUACUUCGACAUUACCCCCCGGGUUCAUCCGCCUUUCACUCCCUCGAAAUCGCUUGCAGUUACAAUGGAUACAGCCUCCACUAGGUGGACGCCUUCGACUUCCAACCGCAUCUGCUCAUGACUGAUUUCUUCUUCAGGGAUUUACAAGCUCUAGUCUGGGGGUUCGUAGCCAUUCAAUUCCUUUUCUCCUUGCUCCACCUCUCCGGCUCCAAUUUCUGCCUUGACACAUCUCUCUUAUCCUCGCAAACCCUCUCCACCCCGGUUUCGUUGCAUGCCGCAUCUUUUUCAAUCUUGCCCAGUCCAUAUCUUGUCCCGAGCCUCGAUUUCAUGGAAGAGAAGGACUUGGAGGAAGAUUCACGCCUUGCCGCACUUUGCAACAGGUUGGGCCAACUUUGCUCUGCUCAUGAAAUUGAAGUUUGGGAUGACCUGCCGCCGCUAGAGAAGAUCGAGGAAUGCAAGCUAAUCUUAGUCGGUAAAAUUCUCUCAAACCCCUCGAUAAAAUUCUAGGCAUUACAAAAUCUCUCAAAAGAGCAUGGCGUACAGAAUAGGUAGAAAUCAAACUGAUACUCAAUAUGAUAAAACGACAACAACCAAAAUCAAGACAGAGAUACAUAAACUUUAGCAGUAAGAUGAGCAAUAUUGGGCUAUGAGGUCAAUGAUUAAUUGGCCGAAAUGGGGCGAUAAGAACACAAGAUUCUUCCAUGCAACUACCAUCCAGAGAAGACAAAGGAAUAGAAUAAGAAUGUUGUUGGACACCAACCAAAGAUGGGUGAGAGACGAGGAGACUUUGAAGGAGAUGAGGUAGGAUUUCUACUCUAACCUCUACAAAACAGUGGGCUACCGCGACUACGAUCUCAUCCUUGCUCAAUGCCUAGGUAUAGUUACCAAUGACAAGAAUUCCAUUCUAACAACUAAGGUAACUAAAGAGGAGGUUCACCUUGCAACAUUUUAGUUGGGCACUACAAAAGCCCCGAGCCAGGAUGGUUUGAACGGUUUGUUUUACCAAUCUAACUAGGACACACUUCAGGAUGAGAUAUUCCUUUUAGUUCAAAAUUUCUUUCAAUCCGAUGUGUUGCCCCCAGACCUCAAUAAGACAACUGUAACUCUAAUACCAAAGAUACCACUACCUGAAAGUCUGGACCAUUACCGUCCCAUUAGCCUAUGCAAUUACGCCUAUAAAAUCAUAUCCAAAAUUCUCACCAAUUGGCUGAAGCCCUUACUACUUGACCUAAUAUCUACGGAUAAACCGCUUUUGUUUCUGGAAGACAAAUCUAGGACAACAUCCUCAUGGUCCAAGAGAUUCUUCAUCGAAUAAAGAUACGGAAAUGACAAAGAAAUUUUCCGGCGAUCUUAAAAAUGGACAUGCAGAAGGCAUAUGAUGGAGUGGAAUGAGAUUUUAUCGGCUUAUCUACUCAAGCUAGGCUUCCAUCCUACUUGGGUUUAGUGGGUUUCGCAAUGUAUCUCAACAAUGCCUAUCAACAUAAAAUUCAACGGCAAGCAGCUAGAGUAUUUCCACCCGACGCGAGGCCUUCGACGAGGCGACCCUUUGUCCCCUUAUCUAUUUAUCCUGCUGGCAAAUCUCCUAUCAACCCUCAUCCAUCAAGCCAUCAAUAUGGGGAACCUACAGGGCAUCAAGCUAAACAGGUCGUGCCCUACUCUUUCCCACUUGUUUUUCGCUGAUGAUGCAAUUUUCUUUUUAGAUGGCACAAUUAGGGAAUGUCAAAACUUGGCUAACAUACUGAAUCAAUACUGCUUAGCCACGGGACAGGAAAUUAAUAGGAAUAAGUCGAGUAUUUUCUUCAGUAAGAACUACCCAAUGUACCUUAAGGAAAACCUGGCUAGAGAAAUUAGAAUCUCUAUGCUUGACAGAACAGUAAAUAUCUAGGCAUUCCUUCUGAUUGGGGACGGUCCAAAAGAGAUGUGUUUGCUUGGCUUUUGGGUAGAGUGAAUAACAAGUUGGAAUGAUGGAAGGAGAAUCUUAUUUCCAAGGGUGAAAGAAAUCAUGAUUAAGACUGUUGUGCAGCAUACCUUAAUAUACAAUGUCCGUUUUUAAANNNNNNNNNNNNNNNNNNNNNNNNNNNNNNNNNNNNNNNNNNNNNNNNNNNNNNNNNNNNNNNNNNNNNNNNNNNNNNNNNNNNNNNNNNNNNNNNNNNNGGGGGGGGGCCCAGGACUUCGUGCCCCUUCACAGGGGAUGAAAAUGGUGUUGUGGUACAGCGACACACCAUGGGGGGGGGCGAAAAAAGCCAUCUCCGGGGGGGCCCGACAAGACCCCCCUGGCCCUUUACCGGAAAAAACAGUUCCUCUUGUGCUCCCCUUCUAUCCCCCUUGAUAAUUUUUUACAAAUUCAGGUCCCGCGCUAUUUUGUCCCUCCCCAGCCCCCCUUGAUGCCCGGCAAAAGGGGGGUUUGGGGGGGGGGGAGAAGGGUUUUAAGUUCUUGACUUGUUUGUUUGCUCUGUUUGGCAGGUCAGGGUCGUGCCCUCCUCUCACUUUCUCCGUGCUUCGCAAAAUCUUCUUGCUCGCCCUGGUCGGGUGAGUGAGUGAAGUGUCCUCAUUUCGCAUUAAUUUGUGGACUUAGUGGAUUUUGCUUUUCUUGGAAUUCUUUCGAAGCGAAACGUCUUGAUCCACUGCUGAGAGUUUGGUACGGGAAAACGUGGUGAAUUUUUUUUAGUGAUUUGGUUGAUGCAGAUCCGCAUCGCAGAUAUGCGGGUAUGCCGGGAUCGAUUACAGCUCCCCUGUGCUGGGCACGGCCAUGAUGAACCUCAUCCCAGCUUUCACUUUCAUUCUCGCCGUCAUUUCAAGGUUCGUUCUCUCUUUCUUCUCGUUAUCCGCAGUGCACUUAAAUAACCUCCACUUGAAGAAAAAUGAGAGAAGCAGAUGAUGAUGUGUUAAUUGGAUGAUGAUGGAGGUUUGAUUUCACAUAGGUUCUGCUUAAAGUUGAGAAUGCUUUUAAUCGAGUCUGACCAAAGCAAAUCCAUACUUCCUGUUUCAAGCAGGACCGGAAUAAUUCACUUCGCUACGACUUAAUUCACUUCUCAUUUUCAGUGUAUCCGUCCUUCUAAUCUCAGAGAUUAUGAACAGUUCUAUAACUUUUAUUUCUGAUGAUGCUGGGUCCCUAAAAUUUCUGAGAUAGGUGUUGCUCUGCCAAUGAAUAAAUCCCUGAAAUGGGACAAAAAAUCAAGAAAGUCCAGUGCUUCGGCAAGUGGAGGCUGCGCAUUCAAAUGAAACUGCAAAACACAGUAAUGCACAACAUGUCUGUCAGACAAUGAAUCAAGAUAAACUUAUCUUACUGUUGAAUUUGUUCAUGGAUUCAAAAUCUAGGAUGGAGAAGGUGAAUUGGAAAAGCUCGAGUAGCCAAGCUAAGCUUGUGGGAACCGUUGCAUCAAUUCUUGGUGCAUUAGUAAUCACUGUGUACAAGGGUCCAACAGUUCUCCGCUCGCCUUCACUGCCUUCUUUUGUCCAUCCCUGUCACCUUGUCUCUCUUCUCUCACGACAAUUGAAUUGGGUUCUCGGUGGGUUUCUCCUCGCGAAACCAGAAUUUUUGGCAUCAAAAUCGGUUCCAUGGAUCCACUCGGGAACCGGACUGGACCGGCAGUCCGGUUCCUAGGUGGAUCCAUGCAAUAAACGGGUGGAUCCUGGUUCCGAUUUUUCGAAACCGGUCCUUAGCGGGCGGUUCCCGGUUCUAGGUCGAGAACCGCCCGCCCGAACCAUGCACACCCCUACUUCCUGGGGAUGACAAAGCCUAUUGUUAGGAAGGGAGACGAUCUUACCUAACCUUCAAUGGUUGGUUGGCGAUAGAACUCAAAUCAAGAUACACAAAGACCGAUGGCUACCACAAGGAAGAUUCGACGGCCCAUCAGCAAGAGAGGAACCUAUGUUGGUGGCUGACCUAUUGGAGAAUAACUUAAACAACUGGAAUGUGCCUAUUCUGAAUUAAUUUUAUGAUGCACCAACAAUUCAAGAGAUACUGAGAAUUCCAGUUAUAGCUAAUUUUGCAACAGACCGUCUGGUUUGGACAGCCACAACCCAAGGGCUGUACACAGUUAAAAGUGGUUAUCUUUUAAUCAGAAAAGCAGCACCAAGAGCCACCAAUCAUCAAGCCUCGUCGUCCUAUCAAACACCCCCACUCCUUUGGAAUAAAAUUUGGCAGCUUAAACUCGCACCUAAAGUUCAAAUUUUUCUCUGGUCUAUUUGCCACAAUGCAUUGCCAACCCAAGAUGACCUCUUUCGUCGAUGGAUCAACACUGAUCCGGUAUGCACAUUAUGCCAUAACCAACUACCCAAGACGAUUGAACAUCUUCUCCUAUUUUGCCCAUGGACUUAUAGAAUCUGGUCUCACCCUAGUAUCUGCAUUCAAAUUGUCACAACAGACAUACAUCAAGUGGAAGAGUGGAUAGCAGAUCGAAUCAUUUAGAAAAAGACCUCACCUGAUCUGGAGACUGUUGUUGCGGUAUUCUAGGAGAUCUGGAAGGUUCGGAGUAGGUCCAUUUUUUUGUCAACAAAGGCCAAAUCCAAACCUUGUUGUCGAUGCUGCUCUUGCUCAAGUCAAAACAGCUUAGAACCUUGCUCAUCUCUCGAACGGACAAGGAAGCAACCCCUCUGACCAUGGCAACUUUUGGCAGGCCCUUAAUCCGAGCACAUUGAAGAUCAAUAUUGAUGGGGCUUAUAACAUAGAUAACAUAGAAGGAUCUAUGGAAUUUAUAUGUCGAGAUCACUCUGGGAGAAUGCGAGAAGGCUUUACCAGGACUGUUGCUGCUUCUUUGGCCUUGUAAAUCGAAAGCCAAGCGCUGAUCAUCACCCUGCACCACCUUUUGCAGCAAGGCAAAACUGAAGUGCCUCUCCAGAUUGAUUCGGAUUGUCUUCUAUUGGUUGACUCCAUCAACAAUCGGCUUGACUCUCCAUGGGAGAUUCAUACCUGAUUCUUGAAGCCGCCGCUCUCUUUCGUCGCUUCUCUCAUUUUCAAAUUAGGUUUUGCAAACGAGAAGCUAAUUUUGCAACAGACUAGGUCGCAAAAGCCCAUAGUAAGGGCUCUCUUUUUUCUAAUUGGGCCAACCUUCCCCCCCCCCCUCUUUGAUCUUCUUCUUUCGGACGCUUUAGCAGCGGGUUGUAAUACUGUUUCCCAUCAAUAGCUAUUUCCUUUCUGUCCAAAAAAAAAGUCAGUUGGCAUUUUUAGGUACUAAAAAUUCAUAUUUUUCUAUCAAUUUUAAUAAUUUAUUCACUAUUAAAAAGCCACUUCUCACUCUUUUCUUUGUUUGCGAAUUUCGAAAGCAAAUUUAAAUAGUUAUACUUGAAGUUCAUCAUGAAAAUGUCAAUUCUCACCACCAUAAUUCAUUCAUUUGAAAGGACUAUAAUUUGAUAUGUAAGACCAAAUCAUUUCAUAUUAUUAUUAUUAUUAUUAUUAUUAUUAUACUAUGACAAUUGAUGAAAUGUUCAUUUUGCUCCAGUUAUAACAUUUGUCUCACUGUAAUACCACACAACCAUUUCCUGAUUUGCAGUGUUCGCAAUUAGUGCAUGCACAUAUCUUAAAAUUCAUUUAUUGAUUUCUUAAGUAUUGCUAAUAACAUCUACGAAGAUAUGCAAGACCAAUUCCUUUUCAAGAUUUUUUUUCCCACAUUUUUUGGAAUGGUUAAUUUAUGUGAAUUCAUAAUAUUAAUUACGUAACCUCAAUUUUCUAUUAAAUAUAUUUAUAUAGUUACGCUAUUAUGAUAUAUUAGAGAUGCUCAUCGCAUCAAGGUCCUUUCUUUCCAUUGCGUAAUUUAUUUAUUGCUUUAAUUUUUUAGUGUUAAAUUCUUAUUUGGAUAACCGCAUUAUCACUCAUCAUAUGUUAAUGGCUUAAGGUUAAAAUUGACAGAGACUGCUUGCACAACAUUUUCGAACUAAAGAGAAAAUAUAUUAAAAAGGCGCUAGAUUCAUCUUAAGUAAUCAAGUCCCCGUAUACAUAACAAUUUGGUUUGCGAAAGUAAAAUUUUUUGCUGUAUUUUACUUGGGUUAUCAACCCAUAAUAGAUUAGUGGCAACUCCUAGAAUUGAUUUGCAUGUCUAAAUGAUUUAAAUAGAAUCCAAAAAUUGUGAUUGGUAUGAUUUUCGGAGAGUUCGCAUUGAGUGAUGGCACUAUCGACACAUCUCUUUUAUGAUUAAGUGUUUGUCCCUGCUUAGUAUUACAUUAGUUUUCUCUUGGUACUUUUCUCUUGGUACUUUACCUUAAGAAAGGUCGUGACACUAAUAAAUACAUCGCCAUGGCCAUCCUCUCAAUUGAUGAUAAUUUAAGAUUGGUUGUUUCGAUCGAAUAAUUCGAACUCGGCAUGGGUCGAUCCUUUGAAUGUCUCAUCUAAAAGAUGAAGAAUUACUAUUGUACAUUUUCUCUUCCCUACAAACGUAUGGGUAGAAUAGUGUACAUUAGCCGAAUUAAAAUGUAAAUAAAGGCCUUUCAAACGCUCAAAUCUCAGUUGAUCAAUUCAUUGACUUUUUUUACCAAAAAAAAAAAAUCAUUGAUUUUGAACAUGAAGUACACUAUAAAUCAUCAUCCAAAUGCCUCCAAAAAUUAUUCUCUUCUUAUUGUAAGGGAUUGUGGUCGUACAUCGGAGCACUAAUUUUUGUAGCGCUAGUUAGACAUAGACACCUUGAAGUUGUAUUGGGGGAUAAAAGAAGUUGUCCCAAUUUACUUCGACAUACCGAUGGAUUCAAGCUUUAGAAAAUAAUGAGGUUUACAUCGGAGAUCCCUCACAGAGACUUCUCUAAUGUAGCAUGGUUAGCCCCCGAUCUUGUUUUAAAUGGAACAGCUCUACACAUUUCCAAGAAAAUCGGUUUUCUAGACAAAACAAGAUUUCCAUCGUCUGCCGACGCUGCAUUUGCGGUUUAUUGCUAAGAUGGGGGUGUUGGUAGGAGGGUGGAUUGGUGGUUGUGCAUGGAAAAAUCUGUGCUUGUUGGAGGCGAACAGCAUAAGCCAUUGCCGUGACUGAUGAGAAGCAAAAGUGGAAAGUGCGCGUAUAAAUUUAAGUGCGACCGGAAUGAAAGUUUUUGCGUCUACAAAAUAUUUAAGCCUUUGCGCCCCAAUUUUAUUUAUUUUUUUGCUAAUCGUUAUUUGCAACACAAAAAUUAAAUGAUCAUAAACUUUGACCUAAUAUAUAAUAUUAUCAGAAAAUUUUAAUUUGUUCAAUAUAUGCUGUCCCCGGAGUUUAAUUUGUUCAACGUUUUCAUUUACUCAAUUAUUAGGAAUGAGAAGUUAUUACUAGUUUCAUUUAACCUCGAGCCUGUGAAUUUAGUUUUUAAGUUUAUGUCCGAAAGUUUAUCACUAGUAAUUAAAAAAAAAAAAAACCAACUAGCAACAGUUGCGUGUGACGCCCACGCUUCAGCCUUGGAGGGAAGCGGAAGAGCUCGAACCCAUUCAAUUCAUCCCAAGCAGCUUCCAUUUCUUUUCUUUUUUUCUUUUUUUUGUCAGUCCUACUCUAUUUCUACUCUACACUCGCUCUCAGACUUUUGUCAUGCCUCUUGCAGGGCAUGAGAGUCGAAACCCACUCCUAAAACUUACGCGUCCCCACCCCAUCCCUCCUUAAGAAGGUGGGGAUUUGAACCCCUCACCUCCCCCUUCCAUUUCGUCCCCACCCCAUCCCUCCCUAAGAAGGUCGGGAUUUGAACCCCUCGCCUCCCCCUUCCAUUUCAUCCCUCAAUUCCCACUGCAACAAUCUCUCUCUCUCUCUCUCUCCGAUAUGGGCAUCAAGGUAGUUUCAGUUCGACCUCCGUCUCCUCCAAUCCGAUGAUAAUUCAUAUGUUGUUCAUCGAGUCUCGUCCACUGAUUUCGAUAAGGACUGAUGAAGCUACUGGCGGACAAUGCCCCGACCGCCAUGAAGGAGCAGAAGCUCGAGAGCUACUUCGGCCGAAGGAUCGCCGUCGAUGCCAGCAUGAGCAUCUAUCAGUUCCUCUUUAAGUUGCUUUUUAUGGAUCAAUGCCUGUAAUUGCGCAUUUCGGUUUGUCGGUUGGGAUUUUGAUUUUGAGUGUUGGGAUUUUGCCUGUGAUUGGUGGAUUAGGUUGUGGUUGGGAGGAAGGGGACUCAGAUGCUCAACAACGAGGCUGGUGAAGUCACCAGGUACACUGGCAUUGUAAUACUCCAUGGAAAUGAAAAUCCACUUUCGAUGUGAUCUUUGUGCCUGGAAAGUGUUUGGGUUUGAGCUGCUUUCCCGUUCAGUCAUCUGCAAGGCAUGCUUUACCGGACGAUUAGGCUGUUGGAGGCGGGCAUAGAGCCAGUGUAAACUUUUUUUACUUUACCUCGUGUGUUUUCAUUGGGAUAGAAUGCUAGAAGAAUGAAGCUCGUGCUUCUCUGAAUUAUGUUUUGCUGUUGUGAUGAUAGCUACGUAUUUGAUGGUCCACCUCCUGAUUUGAAGAAGCAAGAGCUGGUAAAACGGUACUUUAUUAUCAUGUAGCCUUUUCUUUUCUAUUUUUUGGAAUUAUCUAUGAAUAUGUUUAGUUACCUUAAAUGAGUUUCUGAGCAGUUUUUUGAAGAGGGCAGCUGCCUCUGAGGAGUUGGCAGUAGCCAUUGCGGUAUAUGCAUCUCUCUCUCUCUCUCUCUCUCUCUCACACACACACACACACACACACACACACACAAGCACCCAGAAACACAGAGUACAAAAAUGCUUAGUGAGCUCUGUAUUUAUUGUGUCUGCAGUCUCAGAACAAGGAAGACAGAGAGAAAUUCAGUAAAAGAACUGUGAAGGUUGGUCUCAUUUUGGUUUCCUUACGGUGCGAUAUUUUUGUCUUAUUUGAUGUGAAGUUUGACUUUGUCUCUGUUUUCCAGAAAAUCCUAUCUACGUAGCUAACUGGAUGUGUGUGCACUCGUGGUACAUGGCUUUGAUACUCUUGCAGGUGACGCAACAGCACAAUGAAGACUGCGAAAGACUAUUAAGGCUUAUUGGUGUCCCAGUAGUUGAGGUUACUAUUCUGUCUGAAAAGUUUGUUCUUUUUAUUUCUAACAAAAAGUUUAGAUACCAAUUUCAGUUUUUGUACUUUAGGCUACUUCAGAAGCAGAGGCACAAUGUGCUGCACUUUGCAAAGCUGGAAAGGCAAGUAUCUUCCCAUUUGAUUGUCUUCUGAUUUAGAAUUGUUCAUUGUUUUCCCAUGAUAACCAAUUGUUUAACACUACGUAAACAUGAUUUAAUUUCCUAUUUCACUCACACAUAUGCUUGUUCACUUGUCUAAUGUCUUCCUCUGCAUAGUCACUUACAUUUGAUAUGUUCUUUACUAAGCCAUCUUUGUCCAAGGAAUUUUCACUGACCUUGAAUUCUUAUCAUUACUUAAUUGUCGUGUGGUAACAAGAAUUCAUCUACCAUGAAUGGUGCUUUAGCUGUAAUAUUUGUUUUUCGGGUUUGUGCAGUUGCUUCUGAAGAUAUGGAUUCCCUUACUUUUGGAGCUCCUAUAUUUCUUCUCCAUUUGAUGGAUCCCAUCUCAAGAAAAGUUCCAGUUAUGGAAUUUGAAAUUUCCAAGGUACUUAGAAAAGUCAUUCAUUGUGAUUGCUUAAAUUUUUUUUUGCACUUUCAUGACUUUUAGAUCUUGGAGGAGAUGAAUCUGGAUAUGGAUCAAUUCAUUGACCUGUGCAUUCUCUCUGGAUGUGAUUAUUGUGAAAGCAUUCAAGGUAGACAUGAUAUUGUUGCAGUGCUCUGUUAACUGUUUUAUGCUAUCGUAUAUCAUUCUGCCCUCUCGUAUGUUUUAGCUUGAUGAUUUCAGUGGCUUUACUUGGGAAUGAAUUUAUCAGGUAUUGGAGGGCUGACUGCUCUUAAGCUUAUCCGUCAACAUGGUUCCAUAGAAAACAUACUAGGGAACUUAACAAACAAAGGUGCUUCUUAUUCUCUUAUCUUGUCCCCUGAGUUGUAAGCAAAAGAAGGCAGCAAAGUUUCUCACCGUAAUAGUCAUGACUGCUGAAUUCCUUGAUUUAAAAGAAUUAUCUCUCAAACUCAACUGGCAUGGAAAUAUUUGGUCAACAAUUUGAAACUGAAAGAUCAUUCGCCAACUGUAGAUUUGGGCUGGCAAUCAGUGCAUCAGCCAUGCUACUUCAUAUGUUGAUUUACUAUAGUACUUUUAUCUAUACUGAUGUCUGCUAUGUCUGUUCUUUCAUCUCGCUUGAACAAAAUCAUAUCGUGUCUCUAUCCUGAAGAUCCAGAGGUUCUUUGCAGUACUUGGAAGUCUUUAAUCAGUUUGGUUAUCCUUCUUAAGGAAAUGUUUGCUUGUCUUUUGAAUAGGUAUCAGACACCAGAGCAAAGCUCAACUGUUAUUGGAGGAACCAAUAGUUUCUACAGAAAAACAACCUGAGAUAAAAUAGACUGCUCCAAACGAGGAGGUGGGCCAUUUUCAUGUUGGGAUUUACUUGCAACAUUUCACUUUUUGGAUUCUUGACUCGUUUCCUAACCGAUUGUUAUUUCCCUUUCAAGGGCUUAAUUUCCUUUCUCGCGAAUAAGAAUGGGUUCAACAUUGAGAGAGUGAUGAGGGUAUGGCUUCUAUCUUCAGUAAUGUGUUGGUCAGUUGCCUACUUGAGGAAGUUGCUUCUUUUCCUCUGAAGGAGAGAGCAUACAUGUUUUCAAUGUUGUUUUACCACAUGUAUCAGGCAAUAGAGAAGAUUAAGGCAGCUAAGGAUGAGUCAUCACAAGGCAGGUAACUAAAGCUUGAACAAAUGAAAGUGACUUCCAAGAUGCACUUUCCUUAUUGCAGUGAUUCCUUUCAUUUAUUUUCUACAGAUUAGAAUCCCUAUUUAAGCCAGCUAAGAGUCUAUGUGUACCUGCUAAGAGGAAGGUAUGUUAUCUCAAUAUCUUUGAAUACUGAGCACCUGAAUUUUCCUUCUUUUAAUGUAUGCGAAGGUGUAAUGUACACAUUGCUCUAGUGAAGAGAGCUACUUUUGAUAGAUGAAUAGUAGUCUCUUUAACUAGCUUCAUAAGCCAUUGAUUGCCCCCAUGAUGUACUAUUUAUUUUUUAUCUUUGUGGUCAUUUUUAAACUUUUGGUGAUAGUGUUGUAAAUCAAUGUUAGUAUGUUGUCAUGCCCUGCUGCUUAUGCUCAAUUGCUCUCUUAUGACUUUACUGAUGUGCUAAUGCUGUUGCAUCACCCUAUUCAUUAAAUCAAUUAGAUAAACAAAAGCACCAGUAUGCUUAUACAGAUCUAUUAAGAGGUUCGGCCUGAUUAACUACUGUAAUUGCACUGGAUGACAGGGAAGCAAAUGCACGCUUCAAUCCCCCAAUCUGGCAUUCAAGCAUAAGACAUUCUCUACACAAGUCUCUGUAAAUCUCCAGCCCAGGUUCCUUGGCAGCUUUAUAAUGCCAACCAUGGUCAUGGUUUUGAGGAACUUCAGACAGCUUCUGAGCGUUAUCUGCCUCCCGACAUGGAGCUAAAUGAUGGUGAAUGUAAGAACCCUAUUUAUUGAGCAAGUCCUGACUUGUAGAUGCUGUUUUUGCCCGUAGUUGGAAGCAAGUUGAUGCUUUCCUUCCCUUAAAAACGGAUCAUGUCUUAUGGUACUGCAAUUUUGGAAGAGGUAUAAAUUUUUAUUGGAAGGAUGAAGUUUGCAUACUAUUGUUCUUUUUAGAGUGUGUAAUUGCUGUCUUAAGGAUUCUAUAUCUUCCAUGUAUUGUACAUUUACGACAUGUAUAUAUCACUUUAACAAAUUGUAUAUUAUUGUUAUUUAUGCAACAGGAAACCCUUGGGAAUAUUGCCAAGGAAGCAACUAACUAGAAUUCCAGGGCUGGUGGUGGUAAGAAGAAAAGAAUCGUUUAGUCGGCACGACAUAUCAUGGAACAGCAAAACCAUCAACUUUCAAAACACAAUGAGGAUGUAACAGACACUUUUUGAAUCUAUUUCUAAUCCUAUUUAAUAGUAUACUUAAUAGUAUAUAUGAACCUAUACGAAUGGGUUGGUACGUAGGUUCACAUAUCAUUCUUUCAAUUUCCAUAAGCUCCUAAACUCCUCCAUAUGCAUAUCCAUUUUAAGCUUGUUGCAUCUUUCCAACCUCUAAUUUUCACAUCCUAAUUUUGCCAUUCUUUCUGUUUCUCUUCUAAUCGUGGUUCCAUAUGUUAUAAUGGUAUGACUUUGGGUUUGGGUGCUCUUCCCAUCGCCUUCCUCUUAAGAUAGAAGUCGAGGAGCUUCGCAUUGGUUGGAUCGAUGAGAAAGCUCUGGAGAAAGAGUUUCUAAUGUCGUCACGAAAUCCAAAUGUUUUCAUGUUGUACUCCGGUGAAUUGGUUGGAUCGAUGAGAAAGCUCUGGAGAAAGAGUUUCUAAUGUCGUCACGAAAUCCAAAUGUUUUCAUGUUGUACUCCGGUGAAGAGUUUCUUCAGAGACUACAACUUGCACAGCAUCUUGGAAACAACUCAGCCACACCAAAAUCACCUCAGCGUCAUUCGAACAAUUCAACCUCUCAAACACCAACUGAACAACAUCAAAGUAAACCGUGGCAAAACCGCAGCAAAGGCAGCCAACCUCAGGUUUACUUUGAUGUUGCUGAGUUGGUGUUUUGAGGGGUUGAAUUGUUCAAAUGACGCUGAGAUGGUUCUGGCAUGGCUGAGUUAUCCUUGCAGUUAUUCUCAGUCUCGUCCGUCUCUGAGCUUCUGUCCUAUGAAAAUCUUUAGGUCUUAUGUAAAUGAAAUUCUAUUUUGCAGUUCAUUUGCAUUGACACCCUCGGUUUCUGCCUGGUUUGAUCUCUUAAAUCAGUAUGUCAUAUUAUAUUUUUAAGCAGAAGUUAAAGGCAACCGCGACGAUAGUUACAACACCAUGGAAGAGAGAAUUUGCAUGGACACUUGGACAGGCUUUCUAUUCACGAGUCGCUAUAACAAAUUUUGGUGGGCCUCCUGAACUAUAUGUUCAAAUGAAAUCAAUCCCCAGAAACUCUUUAGUAAUAGAAAAAAAGAAACAUGAGAAAUAAUUCAGACGAGUCUUGUUUUGAAAGCGUAACAUUAUUUAUGUGAACAUAAUUCUAGCCUCUGCUUUGCCUACAGUAAUAUUACAUAUUCGAAUGAUCGCUAAAGUUCGACGUUCUCUGCAAAACGUCCCAUGAAAGUCUGAAUCUUGAGGAGAACAUGCGUGCAAUGCCUUUCUCACUCGGCAUUUUUGAUAAUUUCUACUCCCCUGGAACAAAAUAGAAAUAUUGUUAGCACCUGGCAUUAUCACUUGCAAAGUGACGAAAAUAACUUACGAAUUAUCAAUUGACACCUCUAACGAUGAUAAUGAUGAUCGUAAAUUAAAAAAUAGUUGUCAGAUUAAUUCCCUUCCAAAAGAACAAAACUCACUUGGAGAAGUUUUUUGAUAAGGAUGUAUCUUAUAGGUGAUCUUUCUGCACCAAGCAAUUUUAAAGGUAGACAUGGAUUGUAUACACUCCUGCUGGUACAUCUUCGAGUUUCAAGCCCUCGUCAAGAAUAAUUUCCUAUAGCAGCCUCAGUUUCUUGAGCCUAGACUUCGUAUAAGAGUGCAAUGAUGUGAAAUCUGGGCAAAAUCACCAACACUAUUUUAGGUCUGAGAUGGCAAUUCAGCAAUAGAACAUGGUCAUUCUCAACUUUGAUGGGGAAAUUUGUCAUAAAUCAAAUCAAUUUCUUACCUGGCUUUCGAGGAAGAUAAGAUGGGAUGGAAUCAAAUCUCAUAUGCAGCAACAGACAGGUAACCAGUUCAUGAAUUGAAUAGCACAGACUGCAUCAUGCAAGAUUGCAUCUCAAUCUCAGACAUGUAAUAGUCUACGAGUUGCAGAACGAGAAAGAAAUUAGAUCAAGUUUCACCAUUUCUCAAGAGGGAGGUUUAGAAAAAACUGAACCUGCGUAUGGCUCAAAAACCUAAUCACAACAUAUACAUGAGCAUUUUCUCACACAUACGUCUUUAGAGAUCAAUCAAAUAUCACAUGUUCAUGUUGACAGUUGUUUCAGCACCAUACUGCGAAUCUUGUAUCGUCAGGGAGAAAAUCAAAUAAGAUGAAAGUAUGCAUUUUUUGCCAUGCCUAAGAUAACAUUUGCUUGUAGUGAAGCUGCACGUAAGAAUUGGUGGUAAUAGAAGAGGUAGCUACCUAAUAGAACAAUAUAUCCAAACAUGGUUUCUGGGUAACGAUUAGGAAACAUAAUGAAUUACACCACAAAUCAAUGAGUCCUGGUAAAAGGUGAAGAGAACAUUAGAAUGAAGCAAGCCACCACACACACACACACACACACACACACACACAAAAUUCUCAUUGAGAUUGCAUCAGUAUAGUAAAGAGGAAUGAAUCCUACCAACAAUGUGCUCUCUACCACCUAGUUUGCUCCAUCUCUCAUGAAUCCCACAUAGCUCAUGUAGAACUCUUUUUUGGUAUAUAAGCCGUCUGAGAAUGAAACAGAGCACAAAUAAAACUUGUCCGUCUGAUCAUAGCAUAUUAAGAUAUUCAGAUGAGUGCUCCAGUAGCAUGUGUAUGGGCGACAUGAUUUCCAACAAUUUAGAAAUCCCACAUUAGUUCAACUGACAAUGACCCAUAAAAGGAUCUGUUUCCCUGGUGGUAUUUAGGGUUCUAAAGAACAACCAUCUCACAUCCAUGGGGAUAUGUAAAGACUCCAUUACUUCAACUACAGGAAGUAGUCUGUCGUUCUCACAGAAUUGGUUGGAUAUACCACUAUGUUUUAAUCUCAAAAGCUGUCAUAUCCAAAGUUAGUAAGUGCCUGAUGAUAUUCUUGAAAAUAUAAAGGAAAAAAGCCAAUGCCUUGUUCUCACUACCAAGACUAGUAUUCUACUUGGUCCAUUGCAAAAUUAACAAUAUCAGAAUCUAGCUAGAAGAACUAGUGUAUUGCCAGCAAUGGUCACCACUGGGGCAACUAAAUUGUGCAAGAUUGUUACUUUUGGAAGUAAAAAAUACUCACAUAGUAGGAAAUAGCUGAUAAUUCACCAGUAAACAAAAUGUAUGAUAUUCAUAGACAAUAAAACAAUAUAAGGUGGCAAAUAUGACAUGCUAAGCCCAACACACAAAUGACUAACUAAAAUGGAUAUGGAAAUGCAGCCACUGCUAUGAAGCACCCAAGUUUCCAGCAAAUUGUUCGAGCAAUCAAACCUACUUAAAUGAUUUAUACAAAGUCCACUCCAACAAUUCAGCCCUUGGCAUGUAAUUUCAAAAGCAAAGUAGAACCUAGUACAAGUUAUUAUUGCAAAUGAGUGAAUUAGAGAAAUCACAUCACUGUUCUUACACACAGGUCAUCUUAUGUACUCCAUUUUUUGACUUUUUUUUUUUUUUUGCUUUCAAACCUGAUACAUAAUUUUUAUUGAAGCUCUGAAAAAGAACCUUAUGGAGCUAAACCCUUAACACUAUAAAAGACGCGAUAUGAAACGACCAAAAUCCAAAACAACUCAACAACAGUUUCGUUAGCAAAAUGGAUUCAAGGUAGGAAGUAAUUACUUUCCACUGCUGAUAAAGUCAUCUAAAGUGAGGGUAUUAUUGUUCCACACUGCAUGAUUCAACUCCGUAAGCCCUUCAAUGAGUGUAAACAGAAACUUCUCUUGAAAUGUGGACCCCAUCUGCACACCAAAUCAAAUCAAAACUAAGAUGUCUAGUCACUCAGCUUUUCCAAUUAGCUCAUCACCAUAAACUUCACCCAUCAGAACCCCUGUAACAAAACUUAUCCAGAUCUGAACAAGAAAAGAGGUAAUUGCGCAAACAUUUGGUGUACAAUUUAGAAUUACCAGUGCAAGUUAUUGUGUGAAACUUGGUGCUGCCACAUUCCGGCUGCUGAUGGGGCUCCUAAAGGCGAUGGUGGAGGUGGCAGCGACACGCCGAAGAAUUCAGUGGAUCCGAGCUCGCCGGACGCGGACAACAAAUCAGAGCCGCUGAUGGGAAUCCUGGAUACAACGGUGGAGGCAUAGGCAACGUUUGAGGUGUCACCCUCAAACUCUCCAGUAUUAGGGUUCAUCGACUUCAUUAAAAUUGCCGUCUGGUUUAAUAAUUGCUCUUGGCCCUGGCGUAUUCCAGCCGUCGAUGGGUCUCCUAGAGGCGAUGGCAAAGGUGGAGGCAGCGCCGACAUGCCCCAGAAUUCGGCGGAUCUGAGCUCGCUGAACGCAACUGACGAAUUAAAGCAGCCGACGGGACUCCUGGAUACGACGGCUGAGGUGUAGGCAGCGUCAGCGUCUGAGAUGUCACCACCAAACUCUCCAUUACCAUAGAUCGUCUGCUUCUUUAAAGAUUCCAAGUGGUUUAGACCUUGCACGCUUUUUAGCUCUGGCGAAAACUUGGUGCUGCCAUAGUCCAGCUGCGUGAGGGUGCUCCUAGAGGCAGAGGCGAUGGUGGAGGCGGAGGUGACAUGCUGAAGAAUUCAGCGGAUCUGAGCUCGCCAGAUGUAGACGACGAAUCGGAGCCGCCAACAGGACUCCCGGAUACUACGGCGGAGGCGUAGGCAGCGUUUGAGGUGUCACCCCCAAACUCUCCAGCAUUAGGGUUCAUCAACUUCAUUAAAACUGCCGUCUGGUUUAAUAAUUGCUCUUGGCCCUGCCAUAUUCCAGCCGCCGAGGGGGCUCCUACAGGCAACGGCAUAGGUGGAGGCAACGGCGACACGCCCCAGAAUGCAGCGGAUCUGAGCUCACUAAAUGCAGAUGACAAAUCGGAGCCACCAACAGCACUCCUGGAUAUGACGGCGGAGGCGUAGGUAGCGUUUGAGGUGUCAUCGCCAAACUCUCCAUUACCAUAGAUUCUCUGCUUCUUUAAAGAUUUCGAGCGGUUUAGACCUUGCACGCUUUUUCGCUUUGGCGAAACUUGAUGCUGGCAUAUUCCAGCCACCGAUGGGGCUCCUAGAGGCGACGGCAGAGACGGAGGCGGUGGUGACACGCUGAAGAAGGCAGCAGAUUUGAGCUCGUCGGACGCAAAUGACAAAUUAGAGCAGCCGACGGGACUCUUGGAUACUACGGCGGAGGCGGAGGCGGAGGCAGCGUUUGAGGUGUCACCCCCAAACUCUCCAGCAUUAGGGUUCAUCGACUUCAUUAAAAUUGCCGUCUGGUUUAAUAAUUGCUCUUGGCCCUGCCAUAUUCCAGCUGCUGAUGAGGUUCCUAGAGUCAACGACAAAGAUGGAGGCAGCGGCGACUCGCCCCAGAAUGCAGCGGAUCUGAGCUCGCCAGAUCCGGACGACGAAUUGAAGCCGCCGACGGGACUCCUAGAUACGACGGUGGAGGCAGAGGCAGCGGUUGAGGUGUCACCCCCAAACUCUCCAUUACCAUAGAUUCUCCGCUUCUUUGAAGAUUCCGAGUGGUUGAGACCUCGCACGCUUUUUAGCUUACGACAAUUUUCUACUUCUUUCCAUAGCUUUUUCAAUUUCGAUAGGUCUGACAUCGUCUCCAAGGAAGGGCAAUAGAAGACUCUUAGAGAGCAAAGGGAUCCCAAUUCUUCAAGGCCACGAAUCUCGACUAAUGAAAAACAAUCUCGCAAACUUACCUUAUGUAGAUUCUUCAUGUGUGACAGAUCAAGUACUUCUGGAAGGAACUCACAUCCAUCCAUCUCUAAUAAUCUCAACCUUUUCAUUUCCAGCUGCAAGGGUGUGUCCAACUUUUUAAGCUCACAAAUCUCCAUACGGAGUUCCUCCGACUCCGCCUCAAAUAUACUAGAAAAUUCUAGCGAGCAUCUGUAGAAUGUCAAGAUUGACAAGUUUCUCAAAUUGGACAAAUCCGGUGAUGGUGUGGUCGUCAGAUCUCGAAGUUGUAACUCCCUUAAACUAGAUGGGAGCUGGGGUAAGAAUUCCCCAUUUUUGCAGGACAAUUUUAGUGUUCGAAGUUGAGAUAGGGUACCGAUGUUAGUGGGAAUAGUGGUGACAAGUGUUUCGUGUUGAGAUAGGGCACCAAUUCUAGUGGGAAUAAGGAGGGCUAUCCCAUAUCCCUCACGAGAACGACACCGUAUAUCCUCAUCAUAUUCCUCAAGAGCAAGGUAUUCCUCAAGGUCUUCCUCCUGCUGAAGUUCCUCCGGGUCAUAUGUCUCCAUCUCUGCGGAGGAACACCAGCAACUUUUCGGGCCCCAUCUCAGACAAGUCAAACUUUGGGGAAGCUCCGGCAAUUGUUUAAGCUCAGGACAUUUUUCUAGCUUAAGUGUUUGGAGAUUAGAGAGGCAACUUAUUGAGAUGGGUAAUCCGGAUAUACGUGUGUUUGACAAGUCUAGGAUCUUCAAACGGGACAGUUUCCCAAUUUCUUUAGAAAUUUCGCCGGUCAAAUUGCAACAUCCUCGAGCAUCUAACUCUUCAAGCUUCUCCAUCAGCCUGAUCACACUUGGUAAUUCUUCAUCAAAUGAAGGAUUAAAAUAAUUAAAAAAAUAAUCCGUUGUCUCACGAAUUGAAUUAGGUAGAUGACCAAUACUUGGCGAUGACAAAUUCAUUCCAACUAAUGAUUGUAAUUUUGUAAUCGAAUAUGGAUGUUCCUCUAAGUAUGAACACCUAGAUAAAUGCAACGGCCCUCCAAUUGAGUAGGGCAAUUUUAAAAAUGGUUGUUUGCUGAUCAUUGACCGUUGAAAUUCUUCUGUUGGGGAAGACAAAAUAAUCUCUGUCAAAGCUUGUAGACAUCCUAUUUCUUCGGGCAACUUUUGAAGAGAUUCACAUCCAUCCAAGUUUAAAAUAGUUAGGCACUUUAAUUUAGCAAUGGAAUGGUCAACUUCAGUUAAGUUGCUACAACCUUUAAGAACCAAUCUCUCUAGGUAUACCCAUCCAGAUAAAUCAGGUGUUCUAUUUAAGUAUGCACAGUAACUGAGAUCUAGUACUUUUAGUUUUCUAGCCUCCUGCAAAACAAUUUGAUAAAAUAUAUAUAAAUAAAUGACUUGUAGGGAAAAAAAACAAGGCAAAAGAAAUGAUAUCUUAUUCAAGGAGCGGGGCUCGUAUCAUACUCUGAUUUGGUCCCACCCAAUCCAUUUCUCCGAAAUAUUGCUGCAUGAAAGGUCAAGAACAACUAAUUUGGCUGAAUGAAAGUUUGUUGUCUCAAACUUGGAAUCGUAGCCAUGCCAAGAAAGCCAUCUUAAAUUUUUGAAGUCUCCAACGAGGGACACAAAUUCCCCUUGAAGGAACCUUAGGUAUUGUAAAUCAGCAAAUCCAUCAUGCAUCGGAAUCUCUUGAUGAAAUAAAUGAUGUAUACGUCCUACUGAUAGUGCUUCUAUUUUCCUACUUUCCUGACAAUGGAAACACCAAAAAGUUCACAUGUGAAGGUCAAAAGCAAACAAUUUUUAAGCGAUAAACGAUUAAUUUUUCCUUUUGCAAGAAUAGUCUACAACAAUUCGCAGGAAAAUAAAUUGGCGUUCCCCUUUUUACCUCUUUCAACUUCAGAAUGUUCAGCGCUUCCUCAUGGCUCCACACUCUGCUACGCUCAUUAGGAUGUUUGAAACUCUCUUGAAUGACGAUUUGCCUUCCGAGGUCCCGCACUUGGUCGUGCAUCCAUAAAGUAUUGUUGUCCUUGAGUUUAAUCAAGGACAUAAAAAGGAGGACAUCAAUGGCAUCGUGUGGGUGGUAUCCACAGGCAUGCCACAUGUAGGAAGGGUAUGUUUUGUCUUGAUCAACAAAAAAACAAGCUAUAUCCAAAAAUACUUCCUUUUGUUUAGAAUCUAACCUGUCAUAAGUUAUCUUCAAUGUUUGCAUGACUUCCAUGGGAGGAGCUUCUUUUAGCUUCAUUAAUGUGUCCAUCCAUAUAUCUUCGGAUUUACCAUUAAGGGAUGAACCUAUAAUCUCCAGAGCUAAAGGAAGCUUUCCCAAAGUACGGACAAUUUCUUCAGAAAGGAAGACACAAUGACCUGGUGGAGAGUCUCUUCUAAAGCAAUGCCUACUGAAAAGCUUAAGAGCAUGAUCAAAUUUCAUUUCUUGUACAUCAUAAGUCGAAACAUUUGCAGACUUUUCUACAAGGCCUUUACCUGUUGCUUCUCCCACAAUCUUUAGGACACUUUGGUCCCUGGUAGUUAUGAUAAUCCUACUACCAGAACCGAACCAAUCAUCUUUCUUUACUAGACUUUCAAUUUGCUUUUUCUUAUCCACAUCAUCAAGAAUAAUGAGAACUUUUUUAUUUUUAAGUACUCCUUUCUCAAACAUUUUGAUCCCGUCAUUCACAUUAUAAAUUUGGUUGAUAGAAUGAGGACCAAGUAGCUUGGAUAAUAGUUGUUUUUGCAAAUUUACCAAACCAUCAUAGCUGUUUGACGAUUCCCGAAUGUCCACAAGGAAACAACAUCGGUCAAAUCUAGAAGAUAGGGUGUUGAAGACGACCUUAGCAAGAGUUGUUUUGCCGACACCGCCCAUUCCAUGGAUUCCAAGAAAUCGUACACCAUUAGAUCCCACAUCCAACUUUUUGAUUAUAUCUUCCACACGAUCAUCAACUCCAACUAGAUGUUCAGUCACAUUUUCAUAUUCAACCUUCAGCUUAAGUGAAAGCAUUUGAAUUAUUGAACAUAUAAGAUCGCCUUGGCUGCCAUAAGGUAACAAAUAUGUUAGGUAACAAAUAUGUUAGGGAUAACUAUAUAUGUAAAACUACUCCCAAAGUGACUAUAAAUCUCUCACGUUAUGUGGAAAUAUGGCAAAAGAAUUUAGACAUUAAUACGAUUAAGAUUUUUGCCGAUCUCUCUCCGCUCCUCAACUGCAGUCACCAUCACCGUCGGCCCCCACCAUUGCCAUGCGUGCACCGUCAACAUCGCAUUUCGGUGCCGUCGCUCGUUGCGCCCGUUGACUGGCCAUCUCGGCCUUGGCUCAAUUCUCCACGUCACGUGUGUCGUGGCCUCGCAACUGCCGGGGAUGGCGUCAUCAGCCUUGGGCCAAGGCCAGCGACGUCGGAUAUGGGCGUCCAGAUCCCGGAUCCAAUUCGCCACCGCGAGUGAAAGAGAGAAAGCGAGGGGGCCAAUUGGCUCAGAGGCAGCUUCUGGCUGCUUGGUGUCGGGCUGGCGACGAAGAAGUGGCGGCGACUGACGGACAAGCUGCUGCAGUGGCUGGCCAACAGCUUGGUGGAGCUCUUUGGAGAUCUAUUAAUGUUCGUUUCUAUUGUGUCAUAGACUGAGAGUAUGAGGAGAGAGUGAAUCAGGAUAAGAAGGGUGCGCUAUCACCACAAUAGUGCCAUGGGCUGGAGCUAAUGCAGCGAUACCGCCGAUAGGGGCCACCAGAGAGAAUUCCUUUCUCGCCGCUAUAGUGGCCAAUAGCAGCAGCAGCCAUUGCCGCGACCGCCUCUAAACUAUAUAAAAUUGACUACAUGCGUAAACUAUAUUUUCACCAACAAUACCGCAACUAAACUAAACAGGAAGGGAAAUGAAAUUUGCAGACGACAGUUGACAAGUUAAAAGACGUUUACCCUUGAUCAUUCUUCAAGUUCCAUCCCUUUAUCUCGUCCACCUCAUUGAGAGCCUUUUUCCAUGACUCCACUUCUGCACUAAACUUUUCCUGAUGCUUUGCAAGAGCUUGGCUAUAUAAGUCUGUUUUGAGCUUGACAUCUUCAGGUUCCACAUCUAAGAAAAUGGGCAGAAUCUCUUUGUUCUCAUUCAAUUUCGAGGUGCACUUGACCAUGUAUGCAAGUUCUCGGAGGCACCAGUGACUCGAAGCAUAAUUUUUGGAGAAUAUGGGAAUGUAGAUUUUGGCGUUCUCAAUUGCUUGUAGAAGUUCACCACCAAUUUUUUGGCCGACGCGAAGGGAUUCAUCGUCCCUAAAGACAAGGAUCCCAACCCCAACCAUGGCAUGGUAAAGGCAAUCAGUGAAUCCAUGACGGGUGUCGGCUCCCCGAAAGCUUAGAAAAACCUCGUAUGAAGGUCCGGAUGAUACCGAUGAACUCAUCCCUAUCUCCAUUGCAGGAUCGUUAGACACCACAGGUAUCAAAUCCUCUCUCUCUCUCUCUCUCUCUCUCACAGGAAAUGUCUGCUUUUCGAUGGUGCUUGGAUCUGAGCGUGGGCUCUCAAUAUAAAUAACCUCGCUGUCUCUGGCGUGACGGAGGUGGGGCAAAAGGCGCUGCACUUCGAAUAUCUUGUCUCCUUUGCAUCGGUUUGGCCAACGAAUUUCCCAAAUCAAUAAUAAAAGGCUAAUUUUAUUUAAAAACACCAUACUAUUAAGAAAAGUACAUCACUAGCUUUUAAGUGAAGGGACUUAUCUGUCAUUGGAAUUAAUGUCAUUUGAGAUGAUAAAAGCCCAAUAGAAAAUAUAAUCCUUCCCUAAACUCAUUUUAAUAUAUUUCAAUGAACCACAAUUUUCUUAGAAUAAGUAAAUCAAAAUAAUCAUAUCUCUUUAUGAAAUAUAUUUUGCUUCAUUUUUCACUGAGAGAUGGAUAGUGAAAUUAUAAGAUUUUAAACCAUUGGAAAGAAAUUAUUUUGCCUCACAUAUUCUAAAUCAACACGAUACUCAUUCUAGUAUUAAUUAAGGAACCCAUUAUAUUUCAACCCCAUCUAUUCAACAAUAAAAAAAGUGCAAUUAGCAUUAUAUUAUUGGAUAAUCCCUAGAACCUAAUAAUGUGGAAGGCCUACUAAGUAUUAACUGGUUCAUGCAUGAGUCAACAGUGCAAUCUUAGAAUCCUAGCUAUGCUCCUAUUUUAAUUUUCUUAAUACAUAUACAAACAAGAUAGAAGUGAGUAUUGUCAUAAUACUAUAAAAGAUUAACUUAAUUAGCUAAUAAGGUAGAUUGGACAUCCUAACUAUGGAUUAUCAGGAAAUAUUUAGUAUAUGACUCUACUUGGAUGUAAAAUGUCAUGAUAUCAUAGUGGUGCCAUUUGUUAUAUAGCAAGAAAAAUUUGUAAAGCAAGAAGAAUUGAUUGUCAAUAUCUUUUUUUUUUUAAUAAGAGAUAAUAAAUAUAUAGGGGAAAGGCCAAAUGUACAAAAGGUCAUGGCAUUGAAAACAUACACUCAAGAUGAGAGGACAUAAUGAGUGGACAGAUGUCGAGAUGUAAAAGCAACAACACAAGGCAACCAGGAAAAGGAAGCCAAGCUAACAAGAGACAAGCACGGCAUGAACAACCGACGACCAUAACACAAACUCCUCAAAGGAGGAGGGAGACCACCGCUACAAGUGAAAAUAAAAGUUUGAAUAAAGAAAUGGCAGGCGGUGUAUGACAUUAUUCAAGAAAUUUGUAUCCAUAAGUUUCAUUUAAAAGAUGUGUUGGAAAAAUAAAAUAGGUUUUACGAGUCAUCCUAGAAGAUUCAUAGAAGUUUCUACUGGUCAAUCAAUGGGUUGUCAUCUUAGGAGUUCCCAUAUCCCAUAUGUUUAAUAAAGUUAGAGAUUCAUAGCCUUAAAAUAGAGUAUAUAAAGUGAAAUUAAGAUACAAAAUGAAUAUGAUUUUUGUGCUUUUCUUUAUUGUGAUUAUAUUAAAAAAAAUUGAAAAAUCCAAUUAGACUUUGUAUCUACAUCAAAUACUACUUUGAUUUCUUGAAAUUUGCGGCAUUGUUCAUCUAUAGACAAAAAUCCUUAGCUAAAUGCUAAAUUAUCCUUCUAUAAUCGAAAUGUGUUGAAUGAAGUGAUCACAUGAUUGGUGUGGUGUGAUCCAUCAUUUCAUGCAAUGCACAUGUCAUUUUAACAGAAAAAAUCUGAGGUACGUCUGUCUGAUUAAUUAUUAAACGUGUUAGCAUCUAAGCAUGCGUCGAUCCGGGCCUUAAUUCCCCGAUGGCCCACUCUUAUUGCUCCCGUUCCCGAUGGAAUCAUCCUCAGCCGUCUGAUCAAAAUCCCUACUUCCAAGUCAAACCUCGUCACACAAUCAGCGGGGCCCAGAAAAGGAAAACGGGAGGAAAAGGCAUAUGAAACGAGUGCGUCACCAUCUUUGAGGACCCCUCAACGACAAGAGAAAGCGAGUCGAGAGUCUUUCACCAUCUUGCUGACUUGCUUCGUUGCAUCUGGAGACAAGAGACCAGCAUUUAUCGUGACAAUAUUACAUAGACUUAAUUUAAUAGUGAUGUAAUGGGUAAAACCAGUCAUAACAUAAUGUCAAUAUGGAACUUCUUCUUUUUUUGUGACUCACAUAAUGGAAUUUUUAUCUUUUUCUUAGGUGUUAUAAGAAAUCUAGAUGCCUGACAAUGCAAUAUAAACUCAAUAUACAUCAAACUCUUCAAUUUGUCUGAUGGCUUUAAAUAACUCUUAUUGAUCCGAUAGUAAAGCUACAAUAGUUAAGAUGCAAGUUCUAUUUAAAACAUCAUUUCUAUUAAGAAAAACACAUGAACAUGUUUUAACUAAAGAAACUUAUCCGUCGUUGGAAUAAACAUAAUUACUAAAUCAAAUUUAUUUUAUAUGUAUCAAAAUCUUAACCUUGCUUGGAAUUAAUUCAUUUACUUAAAUUAAAGUUAUUAUAUAUGUAACAGAAUCCAAAAUUAUUAUAAUAUGAAAAAUUUUGAAUGCUAGACUAUGCCCUCCCUUUUCAAAAGAUCAUUUAUAGUAAAUAUAUUUAGAUCCCGAACCAAUAUGGAACAAUACAUGGUACCACAAAUUAAACAUAAAGACGGCUACAAAUUGUGGAUCAUAUCAAUGAAGAUUACACAAAACCAAACUCAAAUAUAUCUAUCAUCCCAUUAAAAAUAAGAUGAUUGCAGUGAAAUCAACUUAAUUUUGGAAAUUGAGCUGUGAAUAAUAGCCUAGAUAAUCAAAUUUAGCGAUGGAGUAAAUGUAGAGUGCCAUGAGCAAUAUGUUGUUUAUUUAUAAAUUGGAUUGAUUUGCAAAAUUCACAAUUCAAAAUAUUUUAUAAAUUAUGAUUCACUCAUGAGUAGCUUGAUAUAUUUUAUUCCAAAUUUUAAAGUUGCAACCAGCAUAUCUUAAAUUUUAAAUUUAUACUUUAAAAGAAGGUAAAGAGUGGGACGAUGAAUUAUAAAAUUUAGGUUAAUCCUGAUUGGUUAAUUUGUUUGGAUGUCACACAAGUUCCAAAUCAUUGGUGUUGGAUAAUCUACUUCACAGCGUGCAACACGGGAAAGCAAGCCAAAGUUUUCUAAUAGUAUUUUUGCUCGCUUCGUUCCAUUUUUCUCUUCUCGGCCAAAGAAGUCAAAAGUCUUCCACCAUCUCCUUGCUUAGUUGCAGACAAAGUGAUAAACCAAAAGCUGACAAAACCUACUCAAAAGAAAAGACUGACGAGGGGAAGCAAGUUAAAGUCUUCCUCCACCUAGCACCAGAGGUGGGACCCUUAUUGAAGAGUCUUUCAUAGACGCGGUUUACAAAAUUGUUCAAUAAAUUAUUGUCCAUCAGUCACAUUUAAAGGACAUGCCAAAAAGUAGAACGCGAAUUUACAAGUCAUCCUGGAAAUUUCCAUGCCAAAAAGUAGAACGUGAUUUACAAGUCAUCUUAGAAAUUUCCUAGAAGUUUCAUUGAUCAAUCCAUGGGUAUCGUACUAGGAAUUUUUAUGUUGCAUUCAUUUAACAACAAAUUUAUAAAUUUAUAAAUUGAGGAUAUAGAGUGAAAGAAGGUGAAUGUGAUUUUUGAGCUUUUCUUUAUAUUAGAACGUGGUUUACAAGUCAUCCCGGAAAUUUUCUAGAAGUUUCAUUGAUCAAUCCACAGGUAUCGUAUUAGGAGUUUCAUGUUGCAUUCAUUUAACAACAAAUUUAUAAAUUUAUAAAUUGAAGAUAUUGAGUGAAAUCAGGUGAAUAUGAUUUUUGAGCUUUUCUUUAUAUUAACCACGUUAGAGAAAAUUUAAAAAUCCAAGCAAACUUUGUAUUUAUAUAAUAUACAACUCUAAGUUAUUGACAUUUGCGACAACAUUCAUCUUCAAAAAAAAAAAAUGCUUGAUUAGAAAAUUAAACUAUCCCUCUAUUAAUAAAAUUUAUACUAUCUACCAAUCACAUGAUUGAUAUCGUAUAAUCAAUCAAUCCAUGCUAUCCACACAAAGUAUGAUUCAUUUUAAUAAGUGCUAAAAUAUUAAAAAUAUUCAUUUUACAUUGAUUUAUCAUAUCAUAUGAUAUGAUUGUCACAUGAAAUGUCUUUUGCUCUACCAUGUCAUUUCUCUCUCUUCCCCCAAAACCAAAAAAAAAAAGAAAAAAAAAACCGUACUGCCAAGCAACGUUACCAUCCUCGGACACCACUACUCCCCAUUCAAAACCAACAACGCCCUCCACAACUUAGCCCCACCUUUGUCUGCAUCUCGCACUCCCUCUCUAUCUCUCUUCUCUACCAUGGCCUAACUUGAAAUUCGAGGCGUCUCACUCAAAGGUGCUAUAAUGCUUGUCUGCAUCUUUUUUCACUUUUAUUUUCCAUUUCAUUGUAGUCGGAGAGGUCGCCAGCAAGCCCUUACAAGCCCUUGCUGACAACUGGCAAUGAUGGCAGUCCUCACCUAAAGUCCUCACUGAUCACUGACGAGAGCACAAAAGCCCUCACUAGACCUGGGUGAGGCCCUCGCCCACAGCUACAAUAUGGGCAAGGGCCUUGCCUAGUGUCACUGGCCACAUCAUUAGAAAAAAAAAAAAAGGAAGAUAAUGAAGCAUCCGGGCUUUCAAUUAAGUAAAUCAAGUCGAUUAGUUGAGCAAAUUUCAUUUCAAAAUUCUGUUAAGCUAAUUACCCUAUUGUUAUUUUUAGUGUGAUGUGAGAUUAUCUAGUCUUAAGGUUGAGAUCCAUGACUCAAUCGAGGCAGCUAGCCAUUGAUUUGUUGUCUUUAUCAAUAAAUUCUUGAAAAUAUGUCGGAUGAUUUCUUGGGAGAAAAAUAUUGAGAUAGACUUGUUCUUUACACUUUUUAUUAGUCCCCCCUCUCUCUCGCCCUCAGGUAGAUGACAUGAUCAAGUUGGUGAUUUAUGCAAACGCAAAACGAUUGCACUUAUAAUACGUAUUUACGUAUUUAUUAUAUGGUUGAAAAAUUGUGUUGACCAUAUGAUAAAGAAAAGAAGAAACCAAAGAAAAGGAGGGGCGCACUAAAUGAACAUUUUCACGUACAGUAAGGGAAGGAUGCUAGAAAAGUGCGAUUCAUAAAAGAUAAAAUGCACAAAACUCCGUUGAGGAGUGUUUUAGUGAAAGUAAGAAUGGAAAGAGCACCGCGUUUCAAUAAUUUAAUAAUGAAGUGAAUGAAGAGUGCCACAAGUGGUAUGCUUUUGAUUAACAAAAUGGAUUGAUUUGCAAAAUCCUUCAUAUGAAUUAUUUUAUUAAUUAGGAUUUAGUUAUGAGCAGCUUGAUAUAUUUUAUUUCAAAUUUCAAAAUUGCAAUCCACUUAAUUUAAAUUUUAAAAUUUAAAUUUUAAAAGAAGGCAAUGAGUACGAGAGUAGGCGAUAAAUGAUCAAAUUUAAAUUAACCCUAAUCGGUUAAUUAGCUAGAAAGCACACAAGUCCCAAGUCAAAGUCUUCCACUAUCUUACUUUCUUCGUUGCAUUUGCCUAUGCUUUUCCUCCGACCAAAGAAGGGGGGGAGAGGAUGAGCCAAAAGCCUACAAAGCCUACUGAAAAGAAAGAAAGAAGACUCAGCCCAGGGAAAGCAAGUCAAAAAGUCUUCCAUCACGUGGCUUGCAUAGUUGCAGAGAAAAGGAGAAGGCAAAAGCCGACAAAGCCAACUCAAAAGAAAAGGGAACAAAAAAGGACUCUGGCAAUUGAAAGCAAGCCUUCCACUAACUUGCGUGCCUAGUUGCGUUGCAAUUUGUACAAAAUUGUACUAAUAAUUAAUGUCAUACUCCUGCUUAAAACUUUUAGCUACUAAGCGAGCCUAAUACUGCUCUAUGGAAUAUUCAGAGUGAGCCUUAACAUAAUUAAACCCACUUGCUAAGCUCUGGUAAAUUUUCCAGGUGAAAGAUCAACCAAAUCCUACGCAGGACUUUCUAAAGCUCGCAGUUCCUCAAGUAUUAGCUUCUGCUAGUGAGUGUUGGAAGAGCCUCUCAAUUGGACUGAGAUUUCAUAAAGUGGAGUAAGAUAACAACAAUAAUAGUAAUAAUCAGGAAGACAUAAAAAAAAGUAAUCCUAUUAGAGCGCUGCAUAUAAGGUUCAACGUCGGAAGUCAUGAGAUCCAUAUACCAGCAGAUUAUGUAGGGAGAGCAAAUCUGAGAAAUCAAGUGUGCAUCAAGAAGAGACAAACUAGAUAGAGACGCAACCAGACAUGACCGACUUGCAUGUGAGAACCAUUUGGAGUCACAUGGACGCAGAAUGCAGUAUUAAAGAACCAUAAAGAAUGACCUAGAGGGAUAGAAAAGGCAAUAGAUUAACCAGAUCUACGCCACACUUUUCUCUUUCUUUCUUUUUUUUUUUAUACGAAAAAAUGUUCAAUUCAACGUCAGACACCUCAAAAUUUUAAAAUUAGGAGAGAGAAAUUCAAAGCUUGGCGUUUUAAUUUUGGUUAUAGCAAGAAAAUUUAAUUAUAAAUAUCUUUGGUUGUUGUAAGUGUGAAUAUGAGAAAACAAUCUUAUCUUCUAUAGCAUUGCUAGGUGAUAGCAGUGGUUGAAUGUGAGAACACAGAAAUAAUGCCCAAAAAGAAAUGGCAGUUUACGAGUCUGUAAAUAUCCGAUAAAGUUGAUAUUCAAUUUCAGGAAACGACAAAAGUAGAUGCUAAUUCUUAAAAUAGUCAAAUGAUUUUUGUCCAUCGUCUUCUGAGUUCAAAUUAAAAAAAAAAAAAAAUCAUUAGAUGUGUGAGUAUUCUUCAGACCAGUUGUAAGGUGAGUUUGUCUGAAGAUGAAUCGAUACCAUGAUUCUUGCAAUCUUCUGAAUGUCAUUGUCAACGAGUUGUCAUCCCAGAAGUUUCCUUAACCCCUUUAUUUAAUAACAAAUUAAAAUCUGAAGGCUUAUAACAACGUUACAAAAGUGACAGCACAAAAUCAUAAAUUCCUAAUUUUAAAAAUAGAGGAUAUAAAGUGAAAUAAAAAUAGUUGAUAAAGAAAAUUGGAGCAACAAUUAAAGAAAAUUUCAAAAUCCUCUCAACCUCUGUAUCUCUAUCGAUUGCGCUUCUCGGUCCUCGUAAUGUUCAUCUUUAGAGAAUGAUCCUUAAUUAAAAGAUCAAACUUCACCUCUAUUGUAGAUAUGUAUUUUAUUGCCAGUCAUACAAUCAAUGUGGCGUAAUCAAUCAAUCCACAUUGCCCAUGCAAUAUGUUUGUCGUCAUAAUUGAAAAUCGAAUGUUGGAAAUUCUCACUUUCCGUUGGCUUAUCAUGUCACAUGUCUCUACCACAUCAAUUAGAUAUAAGCAAAUCAAAGCUUUCCACCAUCUUGAUUGCUUGGUUGCAUUUUUCAUUUCUUUUCCCAACUCAACCUAAGGAAAGUAGUAGAGUUGGGGGCAAACAAACAAAAAUUAAUUUAUUCUCCGAGUAUUCAUCUUCAUGUUAUUCUUGUGUGUAGAAGCUAUGUAAUUCUGAUUGUAUUUCUCUGUAUAAGUCUUUAUGCCUAUAAUUAGGGAAGAAAGUUAGUAUUGCGGGAGUGAGUUUAUAGAAUCAUCUAAUCAAGCAUCCUGUAGAAACAACACUUAGACGAUUACAUAGAGGAUUCCAAACUUAUUGUGGCCGUUAGAGCUUAGAGAGUGGAGUAAGUCAAGUAAAAGAUCAGACCACUUCAAAUCUAUUCUGCAUACCUUCUAUCUCCUUACUUGAUAGAAGAUAAAUGUUACUACAUAAUUGUUUUCCAUUACAGGAACAUAUUCCACAUGUCCUUCACAAAAAUAAAAAUAAAAAUAAAAAAAAAAAAUAAUAAUAAUAAUAAUAAUAAUAAUAAUAAUAAUAAUAAUAAUAAUAAUAAUAAUAAUAGUUUCCCCUAUAACAAGCAAAUCGUCUCCCUCUUAAUUGUUGUGCUUAUCCAUUUAUCAGUAAAUAUUUUUGGUUGUGCACGGGUGCAAAUGAGAAAACAUGGUUUUCGUCUUCUACAUAUUGCUGGGUAAUUGUAUUUGGUAGUUGAACGUGGAAACAUACAGAUAAUUAUUAUCCUCGAUCACCAAAAAAAAAUUGAAAAAUAAUUAUUUGAAUGAAAGAUGAUACGCAGUUUGCUAAAUUGUUCAAAAAAUUCUGGUCCAUUGUUAAAAAAAAUGCUAAAUAAUAGAACAAGGUUACGAUCCGCUAUUAAAAGAUUUGGUGUAAUUGUUCGAUUGAAACAUGUCAUCAAGGAUUGCUAAUACAUUGCAAUUACGCUUCUUUAUGCCAACUAGAUUAUUUCAUUAAUAAAUUCUAAAGAACCAUAACAACCAUAAAUGGAGUUUAUUUUUUUGCCGGCCGAUCAUGAUAAGAUUUUGUCUCACUUUCAUUUCAUAUCGAUCUAUGCCAAAGAUAACUUAAAGUAUAAUUCACAUGAGAAAAGACAAAUUAAUGUCGUUGUCACAAGUCACUAAUUAUAAUCCUUUGUUUCGGUCUAUUAUUAUGGUGUAAGUCUUGGUCGUUGUAAUAUAUUCCAACUAGGUAAAAUGGAUGCCCUUUCAGGAUAGUGACAUUCUCUCUACGGUUAAGAGUCAAUAAUUGCCUUUUAAAUAUUGAGUGUGGAUAAUGAUAGAGAAAUUGGCUAUUAAAUAAAUUAUUUGAUCUAUCGUGAAAGCACAACCUCUACAAUAUCAUUUCAACUUAAAAAACGGAAUUGCAUAGGAGGACAACUUUUGUUUAUGAACGUGCUUGCACAAUACCAUCAUUAGAUUUGUGGGAAAAAGACAUUAGAAGCGACAUAAUUUUUAUAUUACACUUAUUUUGAUGCUAAAACUUUUCGUGGAAAUACUUAAGUACAACUUUAAACAAGAUCACCUAGACGCUAAUUCUUAUUUGGGAUGCCAAAAAUUCAAUGUGGCAUUAUUUUAUCAAUUUAUCCAAUCGAUAUGACUCACUAGCAUGCCCAGGUAGCAUUAUAACUCUAAAUGAUGUCACCUUCAUGUUUUGUCCCAAAUAUAAAUCUUACAAUGGAGAGCAGGAGUAGGACAAGCGGCUCAAAUUUGUUCCAACAAAGCCGAGAUGGAGGUGAAUAUCACUUUUAUGUUGUACUGUUAGAUGUCCAAGGAGAACAACUUGGAGAAGGUCGAAUCCCAAUAAAAGAUUCCUUGCAUCUCACCAUGCACAAUACUCACGCACAUUUUCAUUGUUACGAGAUUCAUCCCCUGACAACAAGCCCCAAUUUCUUCCCUCCGUGCGCCAAAAGGCUAAUUAGUUCUCAUGCCAAUUGAGCGAGAGAUGAUGAUGAUGGUCGAGAGAGAGAGAGAGAGAAUAUGACUCAGUUCGGCAUUGUUCAGAUCAAGACUAGCCACCUCAUAAUUCAUGUUGGACUUUUUUUAAUAUAUAAAAAUUCACGUAUGAAUUAACUUUUAUUUAAAAAGUCACAUAGAACUUAUGGCCAGAAUUUAUUGUCGAAGGCAUUUAAGUAGUUACUUAUUUUCUGAUUUGACACUUAAGUGACCUAUCAAAAAAAUUUGGCACACAAUAAGUGCUGAAUGAAAGGUUUCACGGUUCUAGUGCAUUUUUUUCCUUAGAAUAUUAUCAUUAGUUGUAAUCACGCUGUACCAAUUCAAUGUUUUUCCCAAUACAGCCAACACUCGAAAGACAAAAAUAAAAAUAAAGAAGUCUGACUCACUAGCCACUAAUUAUUUGUCCUGGUCUUUCUUUAUUUGGUCCUUUGUUAAGGUGUAGGUGUUGAUCAUUGUUACGUCUUCUAGCAAGGUAACACGUAGGAUAGCGACAUUCACCAUCAGGUUGAGAUUCAAUAGUUGCCUUUUAGAAAUAGGUAGUCGGUAAUGAUAGGGAAAUUAGCUAUUUAAUUAGAUUAAAUAACUUAUCCUUAAAGCAUAACUACUAUACUAUUAUUGCAAUUUAAAAAUCAUAAUUAGGUAGGAAGACAACUUUUGUGUAUGGAUGUACUUACGCAUUACCAUCAUCAUAUUAUUAUAUUAUCAUUUUUUAUAAAUAUUAUUAUUAGUUAUAAUCUUGCUGCGCUGGUUCAAUGUUUCUCAACACUUCAUAUGUCUUCUGGAUGCAGCCAACACCCGAAAGAUCAUGGAAACUUCUUGCAAUUGUGACAGAAAGGGAAAAUGACAAGAAUAGGUAAAUAUUCAACAUCUCGGAAAUGUUUUAUGGUUGACGACAUUUACUUUUGACGUGGGUCUUGGGAAGAAAAAGAGAAGCAGAUGCUACUCCCCGGAAUAGCCAUAUGAAUAUUGUCCAUCUUCUUCUAAGUUAUAUUAAAAAACUCCAUCAAAUGUGCGAGUUUUCUUCGGUGCAGUUGAAAAGUGAGUUUUCUCAAACAAAUCGAUCGUCUUGAUUCAUUCAGUUUUCUCGAUGUCAUUGGUCAAUCAAUCGGUUGCCAUCGUAAAAGUUUCCUUUUUUCAUUCAUUUGAUAACAAAUUUAAAAUCUGAAAUCUGAUAACAAAGCUACAAAAGUGACAGCACAAAAAUCUGGAUAGAACACGAAGGUAUUUUUUGAGCUUUUCUUGGAUUUAAUCACAUCAUUAGAGGAAAAAUUCAAAAAUCCUCUUAGACUUUUUUUAAUCUAUAUAAAAAAAAAAACGGUUAUUAAACUUUGACAUUUGCAACCAUGUUCAUUUUUAAACAAAAAUCCUAAACUACAAUUUUAAACGAUUCUCCUCUACCAUGGACAUAAAUUUCAUGUGCCUAUCACACGAUUGACGCAGUAUAACCUAACAAUCUGCAUUACCCAUGUAAAACAUAUGUCAUCUUAAUUGGCACUUAAAAUGUGAAAAAUAUUUCUCAUAUAAUUCAUUCUCCUCUACUACGUCAUUUUUCUCUCUUCUCUCUCCCCACCAUACUGCCGAUCACCAUCCUGGAUGCCACCACUCCCCCAACCAACGCCACUAAUGCAUAUUCAAGUCAACGUCUUCCACCAUCUUGCUUGCUUAGAUGGAUUUUACAAAUUCCCUCUUUCCAACUAAAGAAAGGGAUACAAAGCCUUCUCGAAAAUUUAGAAAAAGACUCUGGUGGACGUUCAACCUUGGAGUGCUUCUUGUUCUUCCCCUGGUUUUCCUUGAAGGUACUUGAAUGAGAGGUGAUCACGUAAAAAGCAGGGCUGACACACGUGAUUAGGAGGUGACGAGAGACCAGCAUUUUUUAGAUGUUUAACUUAAUUUAUAAGUGAUGCAAUGGACAAAACUAAUCAUAGUUAGUGAAUUCCUAGUGAAAAUAUGAAAAUUUGUGUUUUUAUCAGUGAGACACGGCAUAUGGUUCUCAUAAUGUUUCGCAAUUUAGAUAAUUUAAAUGCCGCAUAAAUCUACGUAUAUUUGAUAUGCAUCAAACUCUUCAAUUUGUCCUUUGAUUCUAAACCUCUUACGGAAUUGACAGCGUACAUGGUAAUGAUUACUAUUAUGUAACUAUUGAACGCAAGAUUAUGCGGAAAAUGGUCCAAAAAGUCCUAAAACUAUCGUACGGUGGCCAAUUCAAUGCUAUGUCUCUUAAUUAUACCAAUGUAGUUUCUUAACCUUUUAACAAUUUACUGAUUUACCAAUUCAAUUCUAAACUUUUGUGGGUUGUAUCAUCUUUGUUUUGACACAACACAACUUAAAAGGCCAAGCCGAACUACGCUUUUAGCUUGAGGUUCACCAUGUGGGCCAUAAUACCUUCGGUUGGGCCUUAUCUCUCUCUUAAUUUCAUUCCAUUCCUUGGGCCUUCCACUUUCUGGGCCCAACAAAAUGUGUGCUGAGGUUUAACAAAAGAGCGAAAAUUGUUGGCCACAUUAGUAGUAAAUCAACUCCCCUCAACUUCAAAAUAGUUUUAGGAAUAUCUAUGAAUAUUUUGAGUACUUAUGGCUUUGAUCUCAUUGUCUCCAACAUUAUUUUUUUUUGUGUAAUUAUAGUCCCUAAUUUGCACUAAAGUAGGAUAAUCAUUAUUUGACAUGACCUAAGUUUCAAAGAUAUUUCAUUUUUGUCUCUUUGAAUUAAUGAUGUUGAGACUAUAUAAUUAUCUUGUCACGUAGUUUAGCCAUGAGUGCUGACUUGUAAUUUUUUUUUCCUAAUGCUUGCUUGCAUUUAAUAUGAAUUAAAAUACUUACACAUGGGAUCCAAAUUUAAAAAGUAUCAUUGGAUCACUUUUGAACUCUUUUACACGAGGUUACAAAACUAUUUACUUCGUCACUUCCUUAUGUGCAAAAACCGUGGCCAAAUGUGCGACAAAUCCGAUGAUCAAGAACCCAAACAACAUAAAUGAAAGACUUUAAGGACCACAAUCUCACUUUUUAAAGAUAUAAGUAAAUAUUACAAUGAAAUUAGUUACCCCAAAAGUUAAAAUACAUAUAUUAUCACCCAAAAAAAUUAUUUAUAAUAUGAAGAAUGGCUUAUUCCGUUAGUUAAUAAAAUUAAAAGAAAUUCAAUUUAAUUUAGUGGAUGUGCAAAAAAUCAAUAAGAAAUACUUUUGUGACCUCACCACUUACUAACCAACAAUGCUAGGUCGUCAAAACACAUAACGAGUGUUGAUUAUUUAUUACUGUAAGAAUGAUAUUUAUGUAUAGCUUAUUUAUUAUUUAAAUAAAUUUCAUUUAAUAAAGACAUUCACUUAAUUUUUGAGAGAAAACAAUAGUAUGGAAAUAUAUCUUUGUGAAUUUGCAAGAAUCACAGUUUAUAAUCUAUUCCAAUAAUUCAAUUUUUCGAAUCAAAUGCAACUGAAAAUAAAUAGAUGUCUCAAACGUAAACUUAUAAUAGAAUUAAAAAAAAAUGAGGUGAAGAAAGUUAAGUGAAUGUCUACUAGCGCACCCUAAAUCAAAUCUACCAACACUAUGUUUGGUAAAAAAAAUUGGGAGGUGAAGAAAAAUAUAGUGUGAAGAAAAUAAAGUUAUUAUGAAACAUUUGGAAAAUGAAAAUGAAGAAAAUAAGAUAAAUGACUAUUUUUUGUUUGAAAGAGGGGGAAAAUGACGAUGAAGAAAGCGUCAAUGAGUAAAAAAUUAUCAUCCAUUAGAAGAAAAAUGAUUUAAAAAAUGGAAAUAUCACAUAAAAGAAGGGUAGUGUGGAAAAUUUGACCAAAUAAGUGACAAUUCCCCUGGUUUUCUCAAUGCAAAUGGAAAAUUCAAAAAAUUGUGGGCCCCAGAGAAUGGCGGGCCUGGUUGGGCUUGUAGCCGAUUAUUAGCGUGGCCCGAACUGGAAUCUUCGAGCCCGAAGAAAAGCUUGCCCAAAAUGGACUAUCUAGCCCGUCCACAUUAUGUCGGGCUUUUGGGCUUCGAGUCGGGCUAGGCCAGAACGGCAGUGAACUUUUACAAAUUGAAAUUAAUUUGUGCACUUGUAAAAUUUCAUUCUUUUCGUAUACGGUUAAAAUCUUUAGUAAAAUACUACAAAUAUAAAAAAUAAAAUAAAAUACAAGAAAAAAACAACAACAGUGGCGGAGCUGAGUCAUUUCAGGCUACACAGUGGGCAGGCCAAAAGCCCGGUCCUCCUAAAAUAUACACGAUAAAGUUCAAAAGUUCGCCUUGGUCUAUUCGGCCAUUUCGCUGGGAUGGAUUUUCGGACUUUAAAUUUCACCCCAACCAAUCUGGACCUUCAUUAUCUCUACUCCUCCAUAGGUGAAAUUUGUCCAAUUCCGUUGACCACCUUUCAUUAUAUGCCUUUUCCAAGUUUCCAAGCACUGGCUACGGGUGAAACCUGCGCGAUUGUCUGUACUUACCUUUUUUUAAGGCCGAAUAUAAGCAAUACAGUUCAUCCAAUAAUAAACCUAAUAAAAAUUAUAGCACUAUGACAUGAUCAAAUCUGAACGAACAAAUGUUGAAUUGAAUCGUACUAGUCUCUGUAUGGCUUAUUACUCAUUUUUGUACCUGCUGUUCUAUUUUCCUGUGCUUUCAUUGUGGUGGCUGUCCUGAUUAACUUUGCUAAUCUUUUGCCCCACCGCCAUGGAAACCACCCCGCCCCAUGUUUUAAUAGUUGACCUGGAGUUGCGCCCUUGCCGUGUCGAGAUGAACUAAGUUAGUCGUCGGUGUUGAAUGUUGCUAAUAGUCAUCGAUUUCGUCGAGCUUGAUGUGCUUGGAUUGGAUCGUGAGGCAAGCAAGCAGAUAGCCAUCAAAGCUCCCUCUGCAGGUUCUUGUUUCUUACCGAAUUGAACGAAGAUCAUGAGUGUUUCAUGCAUGAUUAGCCGACUGUGACAUCCUGGGCAUGUUUCUAUUUUUCGGGACAUUCGUCUGCAUGUGUUCUUGUUCUUGCUUCUCUACGGCAGAAUCUUUGCCGUGGAUGGAUUGUAUGUAGGGGUGUCAAUGGGUCGGGUCAGGUCGGGUUUUGAUGUUACCUGACCCAACCCGAAUCAUCAGGGUCACAUACUAUGACCUGACCCAAACCGACCGGAAACACAUCAGACCCGCAUCUAAAAUUCGGGUCUGGUUUAUGGGUCUUCCUCUUUUUUUUCCACCUCUCUUUUCUUUGGUAUAAUUUUAUUGAAGUAAAUGGCCAUUUAACUUCUAAAGAACAACAAAUCUGAAAGAUAAUACCUUCAGCCCUAAGGCUUUAGGAACUUUUUAUCAUAAGCAGAUAUUGAAAACAAACUUAGCCAUAGGCGAGCAAUCCACCAUAAAUUGUAGAAAUAUACAUUGAAACAUAUAAAGAUACAAUAGGAAUAACAGCUGAGACAUCAUCCUACAAUUAACAAAUUGUAGAAAAAAAAAAAGGUCUAACAUGGGGGAGUAGCAUUCCCAAAUGGAGAGACACUAUUUGGGAAGAAAGCAAAUUGGCUUUCUAACUCCUGGGAAACUACUAGAUACGUACCAAAGAGGUGGAAACUCCUCGCAAACUGCAGCUUGAAUAUGAGGAGACAGAAGCCCAACUACAGGCAAUAAGAUAAGAACUUUGUUAAAUUUGCACACUACAACCAUCAUGUAAAUAUGUUCAGGACAAUGGUUUCUAUCAAAGAAAGAGGUAAAAUUCCAGACAAGAAGAAAGCAUACAAAUAUUGGAUAUGCUCUCAAACAAGCAAAUAUAAUUUCCAAUGCGACAAAUUUGGUAAGAAGAAUUAGUACUCAUGUCCUUUAUACUACAAAGUUUGUUAGUGUUAUGUUUUCUACAACAAACGAGGUUAAGCCUAUGAUAGUGCCAUAUCCAUUUGCAGUCAGGAGGCACCACUAGGGGUUCUUUAGAAAUCAAAUCUAUGUGCUUGGCGAGCAGGGAAGCCAGCAAUGCUUGUAUCUAAAUUUAGCACAAAAUUGAAAAAUCUGAGAAUCGGAAGAUAUUGUUAGGAGUGCAAAAAGAAAAAUAUGACUUACACAAGUUGCAUAUUACAAAACACUAACCUCUAAUACGUCAAUCAUCAAGAGAAGUCAAUAUCGAGUUUGACUCCAUGGUCAAAUUUGGCAACUCUACAAUAAAUUCACGACGAAAAUGAGAACUAACAUAUGCAUUAAAAUAAAGAAAGGUAUAAAUAUUCUACAAUCAUAUUUUCUCACCCGACUCAAAGAUUUCAAGGUCUUCUAAGUCUUCCUCAAUCGAACGUAAAAGUGGCGCGGAUCGUAAUCAAUCUUGAGCACAUGUAAGAGCUUCCACCAUGGUUGGGGUCAAGGAACUACGAAACACAUCGAACACACAACCUCCUAUGCUAAAUGCUGCCUCAGAUGCUACAGUCAAGAUGGGCACAGCCAAGAUAUCUUGAGCAACAGUAGAAAAUAUAGCAUAUUUCGAUGAAUUUCCUUUCUACCAACUUAAGAUAUCAAAUUCCAAGUUAUAAUGUUCAUAUGCUUCCUCCAAGUACUUGUCCAAUUCAUAUUUUUCAUCCAAAUAUUGUUGUCCAGUUUGCUAAAAUACAUUUCAGUCAUAAUACCAGCACCAACUACCAGGGACCUUGACAUGCUUAUCAUCAUUGUGCUCUUUAGUCUCAAGUUGCUUUGAGGGCUUACACCCGUAUUAUAUUGCUCAAACAAUAAUGUCAGAGAUGUUGUCACUUCUUCUUGUAAAGUUUCUGCCUCCUUACUUUUAUAAACACGACUAAUCAUCCAUAUCACAUGGUCCCACUCAUGUCGCGGGUUAAGUACGCAACAAUGAAUAAAGUGAGAUUUACGUUGUUCACGUUGCCAAAAUACUUACGGAAUUUCGUUUUCAUUCUUUGAGCCAUUUCUCGUAAGCUUUUGUCAUCAUUUCCACAAUUUCUCUCAAUUAUCAUAUAAAUCCCAUACACAUCAUUUGCCAUAUUAUUGCUAGUGACAUAAGAAGAACCUAAAACUUUUAUAGUUGUAUCAAAAAACAACUUCAGAAAAUGAAGAAAGUGACGCGCAUAAUUCCAAUCCUCAUUAGUGGGAAACUCUUUCCCCUUGAAAAGUUCUUGAGCAUAUUUGCUAUUCUGAAGUUCCAUAUUGCUAAAAGCUUUUUUAAACUUCAAAGCUGAUUCCAACAUCAUAUAUGUUGAGUUCCAACGAGUUUCCACAUCCAAACAUACAAGACUCUUCGACUCAAUAUCUUUUAACUCAACAAAACCCAUGAACUUUGAGCAUGAAUGGACCUUGACUUAGAACCAGGGAAGGAGAGUAAAUUUUAUGCAGGUAUGCAUCCCACAUUGGGCGAACAACUCCUGUUCAAGCCCUUCAGGGACAGCCUUUUAGCAGAAAACCACUCAGCCUUUUAGUUCAGAGCCUAGAGACAUCCAAAAGCUUUAGGAUGGAAACGUUUCUAAUUUACCCAAGCUGCAUUUCUCGAAGGAUCCUACUAGGUUAGAGAAGAAGAGGAAUUUAGAAAGCCAUGGAGAGUUUUUCACAAAGCACACACUUUACUUCAGGGGACUCUGCCCAACACAAUACACCCUCCUUGCCUUAUAUAGGCAAUAAGAGGUCACAAAGACAAACACAGGGACCAACUAAUAGGUCCAGAUACAAACAGAGGCACCAGACGAAAUUUCCAGGAGGGAAUUAUUCGCACACUAUGAACAGUAACUGUACUGUGAACAGUACAUUCCAUAGCCUAUUGCUACAGUAAAAAUGAACAGUAAUUUUGCUACAGUGAAAAUGUAUGGAUCUAACGAUCUAGUCCGUCACGAGCAUUGUAGCUGCAUACUGAGUCAUCAUCUAAGCUGUCUUCUAGGAGAUGUGCUUCAUAUUUUGCUUGAAGGGCUUCAAGAUCUUCUGGUGAGAGGAUUUGAUUCAGCCUUCUUGACGAGGAUGCUUGUUCACGAGCCCAAUGGGAUGCUUCUUCUGCUGCCCAAUCUGUAUUUUCGCUGGUAGUAUUGCCAGGAAAACUUGGUUGGGGCCAGUUGGAUGGCUGUGCAUAGUAAGAUGUGUCCAUGUCUUGAAAUGAGGACGAAGGUCCUUGUUCGUAGGAAUUCUGGGACAAAGGACCUCUAAAGCAAGCAUAGGGGUCUUGAGUGGACUGGACAAUGUCUUCUUCGCUUGUCAUUUCCUGCUCUUGGGACGAUGCAGCUUGUCUGUACUGCCUGAGUGCUUCCUUAGCUUCUGGUGCUAGGUUAUAAUGAUCCCACGUAGUGCGUACAUUAUUCCAAAUAUCUUCAGGAAUGGUUUUGUUUUCUUGGCAUAGGAUUCUUUGGAGUUCUCGGUACUCGUUUUCACAAAAUCUAACAGAUCUUGGAUAAGAUUUGUGAAUCCGAGCUUCUCGGCUGUUCAAGUGAGGUUUAUAGGAUGUGGUUCCUAUUUCGAGUGGCCUUUCAAGAAUAGUACCAUUAUUUCUGAAAAAAUUCUAUAGACGGCGGAAAAACAGGAUAGUGUGAACUUCAGGAUUUGGAGUCACAGUUCUCAGUUCAUUUUCUAAGUCUUGUUUCCAGCAUGUAGGAUGAUAAAACCAAUUAAGAAAGUCUAAGAGAUUCUUAUCACUUUCUUUUUCGAUGUUUCUUCUGAGCAUGAAUAUCCUUGUGAGGUUGGCAAUGAAUCUUCUGGUUGGAAUUUCAAUGGCUAUUAAGUACUUAUUGGUUAAGUACCAUAACAGCGUUUUGAGCUGAUCAGGGAAAUCAUCUUCCUUCCAGAUGAGAGGAUGAAUGAAAGGAUAAUUUGAAUUUAACCCAAAAGGAUAAAAAAUCGAACCUCCAUUGAAUCUGAAUAGGUCUAUGUGGCACUGCCAUAUGAGGUUCUCCAGGUUCUCAAUAAGACUGUCAUUCUGGAUUUGAUGAAUAAUCUCCUGAGGAAAUUUCCAGCUUGGCAAGUCUUUGAUCUUCUCAAUCUUAUAUUUGACACCAUGAUUGAGCAUAUGGAAAGCAGGUCUCUUGAUGUACAUGUUGAUCUCAGCUGGUGCUUUGGGUCUUGACAGGAAAUCAGCAAGCACAUUCUUUUUUCCAUGAAUAUGUUUGGUUUCAAAAGAGUAUUUUGAGAACCAUUCAGCCCAUCGAAGCAGUUGAGAGUUUGGAAUAUGUUUUUGUUUAAAUUUGGUCAUCUGUGGGAAAGAUGCCAUGUCUAAUUCUACCAAAAAGUGAUGGCCAAUGAGAUGAAACUCAAAUUUUUUGAUUCCAUUUUUUACUACUAGGAUUUCUUUGAAAGUGGAAUGAUAAUGCAUUUCAGCUGGAGAGAACUUUCCACUUUUGUGAGCACAGAGGUGUUUCUUACCAUCAAUUUCUUCAAAGAGGACGAUUGCCCAGUAUUCAUCACUGGCGUCAGUUUGAAGAAUUCUUUUACCUGUUGAUGGUAUUUGCAAUGGUGGGAGAUUCUGCAUAAUCUCCUUAAGCUCAGCAACUGCUUUAGUUUGAGUUUUUCCCCAAGGUGGGGGAUUCUUCUUUAACAUCGAUUGCAAAGGAAUCAGGAGCUUUGCAAUAUUUAGGACAAAAUCUCUGAGAUAAUUAAUUAUCCCGAGAAAUUGCUGAACUUGUUUUGUUGUGAAGUUGUCUUCAGGAAACUUCAAUAGUUCUUGAGCGAUGUGUGGCCCUGGAUAGUACGUACCUUUAUUAAGGUGCAUACCAAGAAAUUCAAUUUCUGUUUGAGCAAUAUUCAUUUUCCUUUGAGAAAGCAUAAUGCCAUGUUUUUUCACGAUUUCUGCAAAUUGCUCGAGGAGUUGACAGUGUGAUUGUUCAUCAGGGCUGUAGAGCAGAAUAUCAUCGAUAUACACUGCUGCACUUGGCAAAAUUGGUUGGAAAAUGCGACACAUGGCCUUUUGGAAAAGGGAUGGUGCUACCUUUAACCCAAAAGGAAGAACUUUCCACUGAAAGUGCUGGUUUGGGAUACAGAAUCCUGUUUUGGAUCUGUCUUUAGGAUGGAUGCCCAAUUGCCAAAAUCCAGCUUUGAGGUCGAACUUGGAAUAAAUGUGGGCUUUAGUUAACCCAGUAAAGAGAGAAUCUCUGGAUGGCAAAGGGAACUUGUCAUCUUGGAGAAAAAGAUUAAGAGGUUGAUAAUUGAUUACCAAUCUCAUUUUUCCUCUGUUUUGCUCAGCCCGCUUAUUGACAUAAAAAGCUUCACAAGCCCAUUGAGAAUUAGAGAUUUCAAUAAGGCCUUGCUGUAAUAAUUCUGAGCAUUCCCUUUGGGCUAAUGCCAAGUGUUCUGGGUUCAUUCCCAUAUGACUCGCCUUUGUUGGGUUAAUAUCUUCAUUCUUUUUGAAAGGAAUCUCACAUAACGUACAACUAAACGUAGUCUAGCAAUUGAAUCAUUUAUAUCUUUUAACCCCUCGUUAACAACCAAACUUAAUAUACACAUGGAGUAACUCACCAUUUAAUAACGGACAAAUUCAAGAUUUAAGUAUCUUUUUCAUGUAUUAAACUCUCAAGUUAUUCGAGCUAGCAUUACCUACAUAAUAGAAAAACACUUUGGAUCCUCCAAUCAGUCAAACAUUUCUCAAUUGCUUUUCCUAUUAUCUUAGCAGAAUAUCCUGAAAUCUGACAAAACUUUAAUAUAUUCUUCUGCAAUUUUCAAUCGGCAUCAACAAAAUGAGUAGUUAGACACAUAUAAUUUAAGUUUUGACAAGAUGUGUCUCGAAGAAAUAUUUGUCCAAUUUACUUCUUUCCUCCAUGUAUAAGUCAUAACAAUCAUGCCUCAAUGUGUUGCGUGACGGGAUUAAAAAUUUUGGCUGGGUUCUAUUCACAAAUCGACGAAAUCCCUCAUGCUCUACCAAAUUAAGAGGCAACUCACUAAAAAUAAACAUAAUCGCUAAUUCUUUUUUACUAGCAUCUUGAUUAAAUUUCCAAGGACUAGAUGAACUACCACCCCUAACAACUUGACUCGAGGCACUUUUUUGCCUUUUUCCGACGUCUGCAUAUGGAUAUUUCUUACAUCUAGCUAGAUGAUAAUGCAUUGAGCUAGUUCCUUGACCACUAGCACAAUCAAUAAGGGUGCUAUAAUAUAAACACUCAGUCUUUUCUUGACAAAGAAUAUCUUUAAAAUGUUCCCACAUUGUAGAUUUCCUUAUUCUAUUUGUGACAUUAGAAUCACCUAUUGAAGACAUCUAGCAAUCCUUCUAUUUAUAACACUUAGAGCCUACAAAUUAUUAGUUUAAUAAUUUAUAGUAAGCUAGCAUUCAGAAGGCGUAAAAAAAAAAAUAGUCAUGGGUUCAUCCUCUGUUGUAGAUUACAAGCAUUACUAUUUCUUUGCAAGAUUGAAACACAUGAUCAGUUUGUACCUCUGAUUCAACACAAUUUUUCUCCUUUUGCCCCUGGUAAUAUCAGCUCAGAAAAUCUUUAAAGACCGAGCAACAUAAUCAAUUUGAAAAAAAAAAAACAAAAACCUAAAACAACAAUGUGCAAAAAACACAGAAUUCAUGAACUUGAAGAGAAAACAUCAACUUGAAGACAUGAAAAUGCAAGUCCAACAGAAUCAACAUUAUAUGACUUGGAUCCAAUUGCCAUUGUGGUAUCAUGAUCCUAAAAAAGUACUACAUUCACCAUGUAAAUAAAAGGAAAUGUUUAAUAAGAAAAAAAGCCAAUUCUCUGAAUUUAAAUAAAAUGAAAGUAGGUCAUCAAGUGAAACAAGCAGUAGGAUUAUGAUAACAGAAGGCUAGCCAAACAUCUAAAAAAUGAACAAGAGAAUCCAAGAAUAUUUACUAGAAGACAUGUAAACAAUGUUUGAAAAUGAAAUGUGGAUUGCAUAGUAUAACUAAUGGAAUAAGCAACAGGUUUAAUGCAACUAUACAUGCAAGAAUUGCACUGAGUUUGCAGAUAUUUAGAGACACGCACACAUCUAGGAUAACAACACAAAUGUAGCCUUGCUAUCAAAAAGUAGUAUUGGCUUUCAAAACAGGCUUAACCUAACCCACUAUCAUUGCCAACCUUUAAAGGGAUCUUUCUCUUUAACAAGUCUCUUUUCCCCCAAAUGGGAAGAUAGGAUACUUGAAUGAAAAAAUACAUUUUUUUUAUGUGAAAUUUAGAAUUGCCAAUGCUUUGGUUUAGGUAGAAAACAUAAGUCAAUAUCAAACAAGAGAUGCAACAUCCCAUGACCAAAAUGAUAACUCAGAUAAAAAAGUCCAACUUUUGAAGCAUCAACCCUACCAAGAAAGCUAGGCCCCAUCUUCUACCUAAAUAGUAAACAACCUGAAGCAUAGAACAACAUUAUCGAAUGAAUAAACUUAUUCUCAUGUCUUACACUCAGUUAUAAAUAGUCAAGACUUCAAGUUCAACAUGAAAAUGCAAGGACCAAGAAAAUGCUCAAUAAAUUAGAAUCGACUAUGGACUUCUCUUCCAAAAGAAUUAUCACGUGAAAUAAAUAUCAUAAAUAAUCAGAAUAAUCAGUGUCAAUGUGCCUGAAGAUAAAAAAAGAAAAAGAAGGAAAAAAGCAUCAAUCCAACUCAGAUUGUAACAAUGCCUUUUAUGUAGCUCGCAUUCAUAAAGUUUCCUUAGAAAGGUGCUUCUGCUAAACAAUCAUCGCUGCAUCAACAUUAAUCUGACGACUCCACAUGAGAAAAUCUAAGUAUAUGACCAAUUUCCAUGGAUCCCAAACAAACAUCAAACCUAGCUUCAAACUAAGCUCCCAAAUUUGCACAAGACACAAAGCGGGUCUUGCUCUGGAAAAACAAUUGUGCUCAACUUUGGCGAAAAGGGAUGAAUCCCAAAAUGAACACAGGGAACACAAGGAUCUAAAUACAAGAGAAAAUCACGAGCGCACAUAGGUUCUACCAAACUACAUCAUCGCACAAAUUCAAAUGCAGACCAAUGUAUAAAGAAAACGAAGCCUCACACCGCAAGCGAAUCAAAGGAGGAGCAGAGCCCCACACGCACACCUGCACAUUUUGAUGAACAUUGAAUAGAACCUAGAAUGCGCGAGAGAUCGAAUACGCACCCAACAAAGGUUUUGCAACUUCAAAUUGAGUAAGGGAGUUCUCCAAAUCGACUAGGGGGGGGGGGGCUCCUCUUGCUACUGCUGGUGCAGCUACUACAGAGCAAGGGACUUUGCUUUGCAAAACCCUAGAAUGCAAGGAGCAAAGAAGAGGGUGGCGGCAGAACUGACGAGAUGUCGUGCGCGCGGCAGUGGCGGUGGAGUAGACGAUCGAAGUAGGCACAAUCGUCACGUCGGGAGGGUCAUGAUGUGUUUGGGUGAAGAGUGCUUGGGUUUGGGUGAGAGGAAAAUGUGUUUGUUUCAAACACAUGGAGCAAAUAAUGUGUUCGUGGCCGAACAAUGUUUCGACCCUAAGCCGACCCAAAACAUGUUUGUUUUCUUGUUUCAUAACAAUUAUCCGAACAAUAUUAAGACUCGAAACAUGUAUUCAACUUGUUUUGUGUUUGGGUUGUGUUCAGGUCAGGUCGGGUUGUGUUUUUAGACACCCCUAGUUGUAUGUAUGUGUAGAGGAUGUAUCAAUUGGUUAGAGUAAAUCGAAGGUGCAUCUUUGAUAUAUCAUAUGCAUUUUAGGAUUCUAAUUUCUGCAUAAAACAAUUUCUAAACUUGUUUGAGAAUGAAAAAUUGAAACUUUAAAAUGCAGUACUUUGGUAAUGCACGAUUUUGAGCCGUUUCGUGCUUAAGUAUAUUUUGAACCAUGUGCCAUGGGCCGGUGGUUUCUUAGCUGUGGAAUAACCCAUGCAACACCUGAUGAACAAAUAGCACUAGGCCAGCCUUCAUUCUAUAGUUGUUCCAAAGAAUAAUAUAGCGAAUAGGUUCCUCACAUUGGAUCAUAUCAUGCCAACUUAGCUUGGACGUCUAAUCCAUCGAAUGAGUCAACAGAUCACUUUAGGCACAUCAACUGGCAUCAGAAGAGCGACAUCAACUCCUAACCAAUUUAUGCAUUGAAAGCCAAUCCCAUCAUUAGAGCUCUGUAGAAAUAUGUUCAUUCUAUCAUAGAACUCUUAACACCAAUUGUUCCCACUCCCCCGAAUCAAUUGUUUUUAUCCCCUCUACAUCACUCACUCUUCACCCACUAACUCUCCAAGCUCCACUCACAAAGGUAUGUGAGUACGAGAGAAUCACGGAUCAUGACACAUGCAUUCAAGCACAACAUUAAUUGGAAUCAACCUACUUGCAUUAAUUCGCAUGUCAUUAUGGUAGCUUAGUCGAUAUUUAGCAAUGGGACUUCGUUGCUUCUUUAAAGAAGAUGAUGCAUCUUUUCAGCCUAUCAAAAUUGGCACUUGGCAUAUUUAUGAUUAUAUUUCUAGCAUAUCUUUGUGGUGAUCACGUGAAGGUUACUUCUUUUCAAAUGAUUACUUUAAUUUAAUAAAUGCAUACUACUUUAAUUUAAUUAAAAAGCACCAUUUAGUAAAUAAGUUUCUCAUACUGUGUUUAUAAUAAGCCACUUCAUACUUGCAAACACAACAAUUGAUCCAAAACUUUUGCAGUGCAAAUCUUCAGCUAGGGAAUGUACAUAAUGGCAACAUUUUGAUGAAAUAUAUUUUAGAUCCACUAUAACAAAAUUUUAAAAUCUAGCAAUCAUGUAAAAUGAGAAGUCAUGCUUGAAAUAUUGUUUGUUACUGAAAAUAUUUGAUUAUAAUUAAAUUUGUCUUAGGCUUUAAUAUAUAAUAAACCUUAAGAUUUUUAAUAAAGCAAAGAUAAUUUCACAAAUGAUUUAUCAAGUUCAAGUUCCAAGUUAAUUAUCCAUCGAAUAAGGAUGAUAUAAUUAUGUAUCUUUAAUUGAUAACAUUGGGAUUAAAUUUGAAAUAAGUGCAAUUUUUGUAAUUAACCUAUAAUCAGGUUCGGACUUUGAAGUUCCCAUUCAUAAAAUCUCAGAUCCUUCAGCAAUACUAUAUAAGGUUUUUAGUAAGUUGCUACUCAACAUAUCUGCUUGCAUUCCAUUUAAAAUGAAGGCGUUUGAGGCUGUUUUAAGCCUAAAAAAGUUCACCUUUUUCUACUUUUGUUGCCAUUUUUUUCUAAUCCAACCAUUGUGGACGCAUCAUUUUUUGCUCAUUUAAUUUUUAAUACUAUCUUUUUAACUUAUUUAUGACUUUUAUUAAAGUGUUUGGAGAAUAUAAUGCGUUUUCUAUUCUUUAUACUUGUAUAUUUUAUAUUAUUAAAAUACUUCUAUAACCAGGACCAAGAUCUCGGCCCGAGUCUGUUUGAGCCCGAAAGUUGGACUGAAUCAAUUCGGGCUUUUGGGCUCCUGGGGUUUUUGCUCACCCCUGGCAAAGAGAAGAGAUGCAAAUUAUUUGAAGACCAACAAUUUUGUUCCAAUUACUCUACGAGAUGGUAGUAAUAACUUGAACGACUUUUUACUUUGAAUACAUAGACUUUCAUUUAUUAGUUUUAUAUGUUUUGUAAAUGAAAAAAUUUCUAAUUUUAUGACCUUGCAAAAAGUAAUAUGUAUAUAAAUUUAUCGAUUAAUCAAGUCAAAGAAAUCUCACUCCUCCAAGAUUAUGUCGCAAAACACAUAAAUCAUCUAAAAAAGUUGAGAGCAAUAAAUAAACAAGUGCUUCAUUUAUUUAAAGGGCAAUCAUCAAAUCACAAUUACCAUGAAAUCACAAUAAGGGCCCAAAAUCAGUCCAACUCCAAUCCAAUAAUUCUGCCCCUAAUCCUGCCACAUACCGUCCCAUUUGACUUGUCACUUGCUGAAGAAGCAUCACAUCCCAAAUUGCCCUUGACUUCUUCCUUAACAGAGACCUUCUCUUCGAUCUCAGCAAGCUUCAUCACAUUGGUAUUCGCACCAACGUUUGCUUCUGUCUUCACACCCUCUUCCUUCUUCGGAGUCGCAGUCAGUUCGGUCUUUCGAGCCUCGCCGCACGUCUGGCUUGCGUAGCUUCUGGAGCAGCGGCUUUCUACUCUCCAUCUCUUCCCUUCUGUUUUAUACAUCUUUCUGGUGCAAGAUUUGAACUGUAGAUUUGAAAUGUGCAUGACGGUUUUCCCACUCGAGAACCGUGAUUCAAGAAAAGCUGACGGGCUCUUGCGGUUUCCAAAGGAGCAAUUGAAUUAGUUUCAUUUCGAUGGGUCUAUUUUUGAGGUUCGAGAACUGCAAAGAACAGCACAAUUUAGACUUUGCUCAUUAUUGGUGGGACGUUUUGCAUGCCAAAAGAUUUGGCUGUCGUGAAAACUCAAUUCGAGAAUUACGUUAGCAACACGCAAAAAAGAAAAAAAAAAAUCAACCAAUUAUAAUAACUAAUGUUAAAUUGAUAUAGAUUUGAAGUAAAAGUUAAAACUUUUCUCAAAAAAAUAUUUGUGAGAAGAAUAAGAUAGUUUUUCAAAUUUAUGCCAUCAUAUAUGUCGAGUGGCUAAGUUUCAUUAAGAAUUCAAGUUGGGCACUAUUAUUAGUUUAUUGAAAUGAUACAAUUAAAACCUUGAAUGUAUUGAUAUGAUAUGAUUUAGUCAUUUUGGUGAUGAUAUGCCUAAUUUUGCCGACGUCGCACGCUGAGAAUCCUAAGUGGUGCUUUUUUUGCAUUCUGUUUAUCUAAUGAGACGAUAAUGUUGAACCAUGUUAGAAAAAACUAAAAUCUAAAAUCUAAAACAUAAAAAGAAAAUCCAAACACAAAAUAGAAAAGAAAACCCCCAAAAGUAGAAGACAUAAAAAAGAGAAAGAGAGAAUGGAACUGACAUGGGUUCUUUAGUCAUAGUGGUCAACGGCCCUUGCAAAGCCCUUAUGGUGGCUAGCAAUUAAAGCCUAUUUCAUAACAUUUUUGUUUCUCUUUUUUUUUUCCUUUGUUUCUUGAAAAAGAAAAGAGAAUUGCGUUUGUGUACAUUAGUCAAUUUUUUCUAUUCAAUUAAUGUCGUGAUAGUAAUGAAUCUGUUGUCGUCGCGGCCACUCUCUCGGCCAUCUAGAAUUCAAGAUUGAUUGUUUCGAGCAAAUAUCUUGAAUUUGACAUGAGUUGACCCUUAGAAUAUCUCAUUUAAGACAUGAAGAAUUACUAUAGUAAUCAUUUUUCUCUUCUCUUUAGAUUUACAGGUAGAAUAGUAUCUUAACUAAGUUAAUAAAUUACUAUAGUCAAUUAAUCAAUUUCGACCUCCAUUUGAAUUCAACACUCCCAUCCACUCAAUUACUAGAAGUCGUUAGUAUCAAAUGGCAGAUUUAAUUUCGAUAUCUUGGAAAUAUCAAGAAAUCAUAGGAGUACGAAUAUGCAUAACACACGAGGUAUACUCCGGAUGCGUACAUGUCAUGGCAGUUGCUAAUUCAAAUGGGCCGAGUGCUUACAACUAGCACUGAAGAAAACCAGUCGCGACACCUGCGCGUGACUCCCACGCUUCAACCCCAAGCAAACGUGAUGCUCUCCAAAUUAGGCGGGAAGCGGAAGAGCUCGAAACCCUAGAAUUCAAUUCAUCCCAAGCAGCUUCCAUUUCAUCCCUCAAUUUCCACUGCAACAAUUCUCUCUCUCUCUCUCCCGAUAUGGGCAUCAAGGUAGGUUCAGUUCGACCUCCGUCUCCUUCAAUCCCAUCAUUUUUCCAUAUGAUGUUCAUCGAGUCUCUUCCACUGAUUUCGAUAGGGACUGACGAAGCUACUGGUGGACAAUGCCCCGACCGCCAUGAAGGAGCAGAAGCUUGAGAGCUACUUCGGCCGGAGGAUCGCCGUCGAUGCCAGCAUGAGCAUCUAUCAGUUCCUCGUAAUGUUACUUCUUUAUGGAUUGAUGCCUGUGAUUGCGCGUUUCGGUUGUCGGUUGGGAUUUGGAUUUUGAGUGUUGGGGUUUUUUGGUUCUUUUGAUUGGUGGAUUAGGUUGUGGUUGGGAGGAAGGGGACUCAGAUGCUCAUCAACGAGGCUGGUGAAGUCACCAGGUACACUGGCAUUGUAAUACUCCAUGAAAAUGAAAAUCCAUUUUUGAUGUGAUCUUUGUGCCUGGAAAGUGUUUGAGUUUGAGCUGCUUUCCCGUGCAGUCAUCUGCAAGGCAUGCUUUACCGAACGAUUAGGCUGUUGGAGGCGGGCAUAAAGCCAGUGUAAACUUUUUUUCUUGACCUACUGUGUUUUCAUUGGGAUAGAAUGCUAGAAGAGUGAAGCUCGUGCUUCUCUGAAUUAUGUUUUGCUGUUGUUAUGAUAGCUACGUAUUUGAUGGUCCACCUCCUGAUUUGAAGAAGCAAGAGCUGGCAAAGCGGUACUUUAUUAUUAUUUAGCCUUUUUUUCUUCUUCUAUUUUUUGGAAUUAUCUAUGAAUAUGUUUAGUUACCUUAACUGAGUUUCUGAGCAGUUUUUCGAAGAGGGCAGCUGGCUCUGAGGAGUUGGCAGUAGCAAUUGCGGUAUAUGCAUCUCUCUCUCUCACACAUAAACACCCAGAAACACAGAGUACAAAAAUGCUCAGUGAGCUCUGUAUUUAUUGUGUCUGCAGUCUCGGAACAAGGAAGACAUAGAGAAAUUCAGUAAAAGAACUGUGAAGGUUGGUCUUGUUUUGGUUUCCUUACGGUGUGAUAUUUUUGUCUUAUUUGAUGUGAAGUUUGAUUUUGUCUCUGUUUUCCAGAAAAAACCUAUCUACGUAGCUAACUGGAUGUGUGCGCACUUGUGGUACAUGGCUUUGAUACUCUUGCAGGUGACACAACAGCACAAUGAAGACUGCAAAAGACUAUUAAGGCUUAUUGGUGUCCCAGUAGUUGAGGUUACUAUUCUGUCUGAAAAGUUUGUUCUUUUUUAUUUCUAACGAAUAGUGAUGCCAGAUUCAUUUUUUGUACUUUAGGCUCCUUCAGAAGCAGAGGCACAAUUUGCUGCACUUUGCAAAGCUGGAAAGGCAAGUAUCUUCCCAUUUGAUUGUCUUCUGAUUUAGAAUUGUUCGUUGUUUUCCCAUGAUAACCAAUCGUUUAACAAUACGCAAACAUGAUUUAAUUUCCUUUUUCGCUCACACAUAUGCUUGUUCACUUGUCUAAUGUCUUCUUCCGCGUAGUCAUUUACGUUUGGCAUGUUCUUUACUAAGCAUCUUUGUCCAAGGAAUUUUCGCUGACUUUGAAUUCCUAGCAUUGCUUAAUUGUUGUGUGGUAACCAGAAUUCAUCUACCAUGAAUGGUGCUUUAGCUGUAAUAUUUGUUUUUCAGGUUUAUGCAGUUGCUUCUGAAGACAUGGAUUCCCUUACUUUUGGAGCUCCUAUAUUUCUUCGCCAUUUAAUGGAUCCCAGCUCAAGAAAAGUUCCAGUCAUGGAAUUUGAAAUUCCCAAGGUACUUAGAAAAGUUUAUUCAUCGUGAUUGCUUAAAUUUUUUUCUCACUUUCCUGACUUUUAGAUCUUGGAGGAGAUGAAUCUGGAUAUGGAUCAAUUCAUUGACCUGUGCAUUCUCUCUGGAGAUUAUUGUGAAAGCAUUUGAGGUAGACGUGAUAUUGUUGCAGUGCUCUGUUAACUGUUUUAUGCUAUCAAAUAUCAUUUUUCUCUCUUGUAUUUUUUAGCUUGAUGAUUUCAGUGGUUUUACUUUGGAAUGAAUUUAUCAGGUAUUGGAGGGCUGACUGCUCUUAAGCUUAUCCAUCAACAUGGUUCUAUAGAAAACAUACUAGAGAACAUAAACAAGUAGAGGUGCUUCUUAUGCUCUUAUCUUGUCCCCUGACUUGUAAGCAAAAUUAGGCAGGACAGUUUCUCACUGUAGUAGUCUUGGCUGCUGAAUUCCUUGACUUAAAAGAAUUAUCUCUCAAACUCAGCUGGUGUGGAAAUAUUUGGUCAACAAUUUGAAAAUGAAAGAUCAUUUGCCACCAAUACAUUUGGGAUGGCAAUCAGUGCAUCAGCCAUGCUACUUCGUGUGUUGAUUUACUAUAAUACUUUUAUCUAUUCUGAUGUCUGCUUUGUCUGUUCUUUCAUCUCACUUGAACAAAAUCGUAUUGUUUCUCUAUCUUGAAAACCCAGAGGUUCUUUGCAUUACUUGGAAGUCUUUAUUCAGUUUGGUUAUCCAUCUUGCAGAAAUGUUUGCUUGCUUUUUGAAUAGGUAUCAGAUACCAGAUAAUUGGCCCUAUAGUGAAGCUCGACUGCUUUUCAAGGAACCAAUAGUUUCUAUGGAAGAAAAACCUGAGAUAAAUACUCCAAACGAGGAGGUGGGCCAUUUUCAUGUUGGGAUUUACUUGCAACAUUUCAUUUUUGAAUUCUUGACUUGUUUCCUAACUGAUUGAGACUAUCAGUGCGUGUAGCCUAAUUCUUGAGAUAUCUCCUUCUCGUCAGCCUAAGUUGAAAUUUUGGCAUUAUUUGAGCGACCCUUCAGCUUCAUUUUUUUUUUUGGUCUUUGUAAUCCUAAUCUGCACCAGAAGACAAGUAAUUUGGCUCCACCUCCACGUCCUUGCAGUGCCCCUCACGGUCUCUCAUCCGUUCUUCAACAUUUCUAAAAAGAGCAACAUUUCUAUAUUCCGAGCUUUGCAACGAGCUACUCUAUAUUCCUUAUCUUCAUAGAGAAGUUAUUAGGCAGUCCCACUCCGCCAUGUGAGCAUAGUCCCUCUACACCCGGUGAGUGACACGUGGAGCCACGUAAAUGGGUGGUUUCAUGGGGAAAGAUCUCUCUUUAAUAUUUCAAGUUGUUGGGUCUCCCUCUCGUGAGGAAUGAAGAAGACGCAGUCUCUCUUUUCUUCUUUUCAAAAUUCACUCUCUCACCUUUGCUCCCAAUCCGCUGCAUUCCUUUGCUCCCAAUCCGCUGCAUUCUCCACUGCGCCGCCUCUGCUGUCCCCUCCAGGAGUCCCCAUUGGCGGCUCCGAUUUGUCGUUUGUGUCCAGCGAGCUCAGAUCUGCUGCAUUCUCUGGUGCGCUGCUGCUGCCACCAGUAUAGAACAUCAUCAUGACCAUUUACCAUGAUCAUUCUGUAGUGGGUUCUGAACAAUAUUGUGCUUUUGCUGUUGCAGAAACCAGGAGCAAGCUGUGCACCAUCUGUACCGCCAUAUGUAGCUUCUUCGACUCCUUAGCUACCUUCAUACUCUGCACUCCUCCCGCAUCAGCUCNNNNNNNNNNNNNNNNNNNNNNNNNNNNNNNNNNNNNNNNNNNNNNNNNNNNNNNNNNNNNNNNNNNNNNNNNNNNNNNNNNNNNNNNNNNNNNNNNNNNNNNNNNNNNNNNNNNNNNNNNNNNNNNNNNNNNNNNNNNNNNNNNNNNNNNNNNNNNNNNNNNNNNNNNNNNNNNNNNNNNNNNNNNNNNNNNNNNNNNNNNNNNNNNNNNNNNNNNNNNNNNNNNNNNNNNNNNNNNNNNNNNNNNNNNNNNNNNNNNNNNNNNNNNNNNNNNNNNNNNNNNNNNNNNNNNNNNNNNNNNNNNNNNNNNNNNNNNNNNNNNNNNNNNNNNNNNNNNNNNNNNNNNNNNNNNNNNNNNNNNNNNNNNNNNNNNNNNNNNNNNNNNNNNNNNNNNNNNNNNNNNNNNNNNNNNNNNNNNNNNNNNNNNNNNNNNNNNNNNNNNNNNNNNNNNNNNNNNNNNNNNNNNNNNNNNNNNNNNNNNNNNNNNNNNNNNNNNNNNNNNNNNNNNNNNNNNNNNNNNNNNNNNNNNNNNNNNNNNNNNNNNNNNNNNNNNNNNNNNNNNNNNNNNNNNNNNNNNNNNNNNNNNNNNNNNNNNNNNNNNNNNNNNNNNNNNNNNNNNNNNNNNNNNNNNNNNNNNNNNNNNNNNNNNNNNNNNNNNNNNNNNNNNNNNNNNNNNNNNNNNNNNNNNNNNNNNNNNNNNNNNNNNNNNNNNNNNNNNNNNNNNNNNNNNNNNNNNNNNNNNNNNNNNNNNNNNNNNNNNNNNNNNNNNNNNNNNNNNNNNNNNNNNNNNNNNNNNNNNNNNNNNNNNNNNNNNNNNNNNNNNNNNNNNNNNNNNNNNNNNNNNNNNNNNNNNNNNNNNNNNNNNNNNNNNNNNNNNNNNNNNNNNNNNNNNNNNNNNNNNNNNNNNNNNNNNNNNNNNNNNNNNNNNNNNNNNNNNNNNNNNNNNNNNNNNNNNNNNNNNNNNNNNNNNNNNNNNNNNNNNNNNNNNNNNNNNNNNNNNNNNNNNNNNNNNNNNNNNNNNNNNNNNNNNNNNNNNNNNNNNNNNNNNNNNNNNNNNNNNNNNNNNNNNNNNNNNNNNNNNNNNNNNNNNNNNNNNNNNNNNNNNNNNNNNNNNNNNNNNNNNNNNNNNNNNNNNNNNNNNNNNNNNNNNNNNNNNNNNNNNNNNNNNNNNNNNNNNNNNNNNNNNNNNNNNNNNNNNNNNNNNNNNNNNNNNNNNNNNNNNNNNNNNNNNNNNNNNNNNNNNNNNNNNNNNNNNNNNNNNNNNNNNNNNNNNNNNNNNNNNNNNNNNNNNNNNNNNNNNNNNNNNNNNNNNNNNNNNNNNNNNNNNNNNNNNNNNNNNNNNNNNNNNNNNNNNNNNNNNNNNNNNNNNNNNNNNNNNNNNNNNNNNNNNNNNNNNNNNNNNNNNNNNNNNNNNNNNNNNNNNNNNNNNNNNNNNNNNNNNNNNNNNNNNNNNNNNNNNNNNNNNNNNNNNNNNNNNNNNNNNNNNNNNNNNNNNNNNNNNNNNNNNNNNNNNNNNNNNNNNNNNNNNNNNNNNNNNNNNNNNNNNNNNNNNNNNNNNNNNNNNNNNNNNNNNNNNNNNNNNNNNNNNNNNNNNNNNNNNNNNNNNNNNNNNNNNNNNNNNNNNNNNNNNNNNNNNNNNNNNNNNNNNNNNNNNNNNNNNNNNNNNNNNNNNNNNNNNNNNNNNNNNNNNNNNNNNNNNNNNNNNNNNNNNNNNNNNNNNNNNNNNNNNNNNNNNNNNNNNNNNNNNNNNNNNNNNNNNNNNNNNNNNNNNNNNNNNNNNNNNNNNNNNNNNNNNNNNNNNNNNNNNNNNNNNNNNNNNNNNNNNNNNNNNNNNNNNNNNNNNNNNNNNNNNNNNNNNNNNNNNNNNNNNNNNNNNNNNNNNNNNNNNNNNNNNNNNNNNNNNNNNNNNNNNNNNNNNNNNNNNNNNNNNNNNNNNNNNNNNNNNNNNNNNNNNNNNNNNNNNNNNNNNNNNNNNNNNNNNNNNNNNNNNNNNNNNNNNNNNNNNNNNNNNNNNNNNNNNNNNNNNNNNNNNNNNNNNNNNNNNNNNNNNNNNNNNNNNNNNNNNNNNNNNNNNNNNNNNNNNNNNNNNNNNNNNNNNNNNNNNNNNNNNNNNNNNNNNNNNNNNNNNNNNNNNNNNNNNNNNNNNNNNNNNNNNNNNNNNNNNNNNNNNNNNNNNNNNNNNNNNNNNNNNNNNNNNNNNNNNNNNNNNNNNNNNNNNNNNNNNNNNNNNNNNNNNNNNNNNNNNNNNNNNNNNNNNNNNNNNNNNNNNNNNNNNNNNNNNNNNNNNNNNNNNNNNNNNNNNNNNNNNNNNNNNNNNNNNNNNNNNNNNNNNNNNNNNNNNNNNNNNNNNNNNNNNNNNNNNNNNNNNNNNNNNNNNNNNNNNNNNNNNNNNNNNNNNNNNNNNNNNNNNNNNNNNNNNNNNNNNNNNNNNNNNNNNNNNNNNNNNNNNNNNNNNNNNNNNNNNNNNNNNNNNNNNNNNNNNNNNNNNNNNNNNNNNNNNNNNNNNNNNNNNNNNNNNNNNNNNNNNNNNNNNNNNNNNNNNNNNNNNNNNNNNNNNNNNNNNNNNNNNNNNNNNNNNNNNNNNNNNNNNNNNNNNNNNNNNNNNNNNNNNNNNNNNNNNNNNNNNNNNNNNNNNNNNNNNNNNNNNNNNNNNNNNNNNNNNNNNNNNNNNNNNNNNNNNNNNNNNNNNNNNNNNNNNNNNNNNNNNNNNNNNNNNNNNNNNNNNNNNNNNNNNNNNNNNNNNNNNNNNNNNNNNNNNNNNNNNNNNNNNNNNNNNNNNNNNNNNNNNNNNNNNNNNNNNNNNNNNNNNNNNNNNNNNNNNNNNNNNNNNNNNNNNNNNNNNNNNNNNNNNNNNNNNNNNNNNNNNNNNNNNNNNNNNNNNNNNNNNNNNNNNNNNNNNNNNNNNNNNNNNNNNNNNNNNNNNNNNNNNNNNNNNNNNNNNNNNNNNNNNNNNNNNNNNNNNNNNNNNNNNNNNNNNNNNNNNNNNNNNNNNNNNNNNNNNNNNNNNNNNNNNNNNNNNNNNNNNNNNNNNNNNNNNNNNNNNNNNNNNNNNNNNNNNNNNNNNNNNNNNNNNNNNNNNNNNNNNNNNNNNNNNNNNNNNNNNNNNNNNNNNNNNNNNNNNNNNNNNNNNNNNNNNNNNNNNNNNNNNNNNNNNNNNNNNNNNNNNNNNNNNNNNNNNNNNNNNNNNNNNNNNNNNNNNNNNNNNNNNNNNNNNNNNNNNNNNNNNNNNNNNNNNNNNNNNNNNNNNNNNNNNNNNNNNNNNNNNNNNNNNNNNNNNNNNNNNNNNNNNNNNNNNNNNNNNNNNNNNNNNNNNNNNNNNNNNNNNNNNNNNNNNNNNNNNNNNNNNNNNNNNNNNNNNNNNNNNNNNNNNNNNNNNNNNNNNNNNNNNNNNNNNNNNNNNNNNNNNNNNNNNNNNNNNNNNNNNNNNNNNNNNNNNNNNNNNNNNNNNNNNNNNNNNNNNNNNNNNNNNNNNNNNNNNNNNNNNNNNNNNNNNNNNNNNNNNNNNNNNNNNNNNNNNNNNNNNNNNNNNNNNNNNNNNNNNNNNNNNNNNNNNNNNNNNNNNNNNNNNNNNNNNNNNNNNNNNNNNNNNNNNNNNNNNNNNNNNNNNNNNNNNNNNNNNNNNNNNNNNNNNNNNNNNNNNNNNNNNNNNNNNNNNNNNNNNNNNNNNNNNNNNNNNNNNNNNNNNNNNNNNNNNNNNNNNNNNNNNNNNNNNNNNNNNNNNNNNNNNNNNNNNNNNNNNNNNNNNNNNNNNNNNNNNNNNNNNNNNNNNNNNNNNNNNNNNNNNNNNNNNNNNNNNNNNNNNNNNNNNNNNNNNNNNNNNNNNNNNNNNNNNNNNNNNNNNNNNNNNNNNNNNNNNNNNNNNNNNNNNNNNNNNNNNNNNNNNNNNNNNNNNNNNNNNNNNNNNNNNNNNNNNNNNNNNNNNNNNNNNNNNNNNNNNNNNNNNNNNNNNNNNNNNNNNNNNNNNNNNNNNNNNNNNNNNNNNNNNNNNNNNNNNNNNNNNNNNNNNNNNNNNNNNNNNNNNNNNNNNNNNNNNNNNNNNNNNNNNNNNNNNNNNNNNNNNNNNNNNNNNNNNNNNNNNNNNNNNNNNNNNNNNNNNNNNNNNNNNNNNNNNNNNNNNNNNNNNNNNNNNNNNNNNNNNNNNNNNNNNNNNNNNNNNNNNNNNNNNNNNNNNNNNNNNNNNNNNNNNNNNNNNNNNNNNNNNNNNNNNNNNNNNNNNNNNNNNNNNNNNNNNNNNNNNNNNNNNNNNNNNNNNNNNNNNNNNNNNNNNNNNNNNNNNNNNNNNNNNNNNNNNNNNNNNNNNNNNNNNNNNNNNNNNNNNNNNNNNNNNNNNNNNNNNNNNNNNNNNNNNNNNNNNNNNNNNNNNNNNNNNNNNNNNNNNNNNNNNNNNNNNNNNNNNNNNNNNNNNNNNNNNNNNNNNNNNNNNNNNNNNNNNNNNNNNNNNNNNNNNNNNNNNNNNNNNNNNNNNNNNNNNNNNNNNNNNNNNNNNNNNNNNNNNNNNNNNNNNNNNNNNNNNNNNNNNNNNNNNNNNNNNNNNNNNNNNNNNNNNNNNNNNNNNNNNNNNNNNNNNNNNNNNNNNNNNNNNNNNNNNNNNNNNNNNNNNNNNNNNNNNNNNNNNNNNNNNNNNNNNNNNNNNNNNNNNNNNNNNNNNNNNNNNNNNNNNNNNNNNNNNNNNNNNNNNNNNNNNNNNNNNNNNNNNNNNNNNNNNNNNNNNNNNNNNNNNNNNNNNNNNNNNNNNNNNNNNNNNNNNNNNNNNNNNNNNNNNNNNNNNNNNNNNNNNNNNNNNNNNNNNNNNNNNNNNNNNNNNNNNNNNNNNNNNNNNNNNNNNNNNNNNNNNNNNNNNNNNNNNNNNNNNNNNNNNNNNNNNNNNNNNNNNNNNNNNNNNNNNNNNNNNNNNNNNNNNNNNNNNNNNNNNNNNNNNNNNNNNNNNNNNNNNNNNNNNNNNNNNNNNNNNNNNNNNNNNNNNNNNNNNNNNNNNNNNNNNNNNNNNNNNNNNNNNNNNNNNNNNNNNNNNNNNNNNNNNNNNNNNNNNNNNNNNNNNNNNNNNNNNNNNNNNNNNNNNNNNNNNNNNNNNNNNNNNNNNNNNNNNNNNNNNNNNNNNNNNNNNNNNNNNNNNNNNNNNNNNNNNNNNNNNNNNNNNNNNNNNNNNNNNNNNNNNNNNNNNNNNNNNNNNNNNNNNNNNNNNNNNNNNNNNNNNNNNNNNNNNNNNNNNNNNNNNNNNNNNNNNNNNNNNNNNNNNNNNNNNNNNNNNNNNNNNNNNNNNNNNNNNNNNNNNNNNNNNNNNNNNNNNNNNNNNNNNNNNNNNNNNNNNNNNNNNNNNNNNNNNNNNNNNNNNNNNNNNNNNNNNNNNNNNNNNNNNNNNNNNNNNNNNNNNNNNNNNNNNNNNNNNNNNNNNNNNNNNNNNNNNNNNNNNNNNNNNNNNNNNNNNNNNNNNNNNNNNNNNNNNNNNNNNNNNNNNNNNNNNNNNNNNNNNNNNNNNNNNNNNNNNNNNNNNNNNNNNNNNNNNNNNNNNNNNNNNNNNNNNNNNNNNNNNNNNNNNNNNNNNNNNNNNNNNNNNNNNNNNNNNNNNNNNNNNNNNNNNNNNNNNNNNNNNNNNNNNNNNNNNNNNNNNNNNNNNNNNNNNNNNNNNNNNNNNNNNNNNNNNNNNNNNNNNNNNNNNNNNNNNNNNNNNNNNNNNNNNNNNNNNNNNNNNNNNNNNNNNNNNNNNNNNNNNNNNNNNNNNNNNNNNNNNNNNNNNNNNNNNNNNNNNNNNNNNNNNNNNNNNNNNNNNNNNNNNNNNNNNNNNNNNNNNNNNNNNNNNNNNNNNNNNNNNNNNNNNNNNNNNNNNNNNNNNNNNNNNNNNNNNNNNNNNNNNNNNNNNNNNNNNNNNNNNNNNNNNNNNNNNNNNNNNNNNNNNNNNNNNNNNNNNNNCGUUCGACUCAUUAAUACUACAGCAGAGGCAGCGUCUGAGGUGUCAAGGGGCGCGGCUUUCGGAUCUGUCUGAGGCGGCAAAUUGAGAUAAAAUUGCGGCCGCUUCGAUGAGCUGGUACUAGCAUUAGGGCUCACAUUGAGGACGCGCAAGCCGAAGAAUGCACGAACUCUGAACUCGUCGGGGACAGACGACAAAUCGAAGCCACCAACGUUGCAGAUGUCACCCCCAAACUCUCCAUUCCAAUAAUUCCAAUAGAUUUCCUCCCUAUUAAGCUUACCACACUUUAAAACUCGGAGCUUCGGUAGCUUUUUCAAUUUCGAUAGAUCGGACAUCCUCUCUAAGGAAGGGCAAAGUUCGACUGAUAGAGAGCAAAGGGAUCCCAAUUCUUCAAGGCCACAAAUCUUGACUAAUGGACGACAAAGUUCCAAACUUACCUCUUCUAGAUUCUUCAUGCGCGACAGAUCAAACACUUCUGGAAGUAACUUACAAUAAGCCAUCUUUAAUGAUCUCAAUCUUUUCAUUUCCAACUGCAACUGUGCGUCCACUUUUCUAAACUCACAGAGCUCCAUAUGGAGUUUCUCCGACUCCGCAUCAAAUAUACUGGAGAAUUCUAGCGAACAUCUAUAGAAUGUCAAGAUUGACAAAUCUUUCAAAUUGGAAAAAUCUAGUGAUCGUGUGGUCGCCAGAUUUCGAAACUGUAACUUUCUUAAACAAGCGGGGAGUUGGGGGAGGAAUUGCACAUUUUUGCAGCACAAUUUUAGUGUUUUAAGCUGAGAUAGGCUACCGACGUUAGUGGGAAGAGUCAUGACAGGUGUUUCCUGUUGAGAUGGGGCACCUAUUCGGAGGAAUUCUUUAGCAGCAACACUAUCUACUUCAUCUUCAUCUUCCUCAUCAGCACGUUUUUCUUCCUGCCAGAAUUCCUCCUCCUCCUCCUCCCGCCAAUACUCCACGGAGUACCACUUCUUCCAAUAUUUCUCGUCAAGCCAAUUUUGCCAGCCCAGUGUCAGAUAAGUCAAACUUAGGGGAAGCUCCUGCAAUUGUUUAGGCUUGGGAUAAUUUUCUAGCUUAAGUAUUUGGAGAUUAGAGAGGUGACUCAUCGUGGCGGGUAAUCCGCAUAUAUGUGUGUCUGACAAGUCUAGGAUCCUCAAAUGGGACAGUCUCCCAAUUUCUUUAGGGAUUUCGCUGGUCAAGUUGCAACAACCUUGGGCAUCUAACUCUUCGAGCUUCUCCAUUAGCCCAAUCGCACUUGGUAAUUCUGUUAUCCCUCUUAUUUGGCUCAUCCUUAGCACUUUCAGUUGCUUUAGAUUGCCAAUUGAAUCAGGUAGGUGACCAAUACUUGUCGAUGACAAAUCCAACUCAACUAAUGAUUGUAAUUCUCCAAUCGAGUUUGGAAGUUCGUUUAUCUUCAUACACUUCGAUAAAUCCAACCGCCUAAUGUUCACCAACCCUCCAAUCGAGUAUGGCAAUUGCUAAUUCUCCUAUUUGGUAAAUCAAAGGUCAACAAUGAUUGCAAAUUACCGAAUGUCUCCGGAAGUUCAUGUAGCAUAUCAGGCAUGACAAUCUCUGUCAAAGCUUGGAGACAUCCUAUUUCUUCAGGCAACUUUUGAAGACAUGGACAUCCCUCUAAGUUCAAGGAAAUUAGGAGCUUUAAUUUACCAAUGGAUGGGUCAAUUUCAAUUAACUUGUCACAGCCUUGAAGAAUCAAUCUCUCCAAGGACACCCAUGCAGAUAAAUCAGGUGUUCUUGAAAAUGAGCAACCGCGAAGAUCUAGUACUUUUAGUUUACUUGCCACCUGCAAAAAAUUAUCAUAAAAUAUAUACUGAGAAACGACUUGGAAAAAAAAUGACAAAAGAAACGAUAUGCAUAUGCAAGGAGUGGUACUCAAAUCGUACUUUGAUUUGGUUCCAGCCAAUCUAUUCCUCUGAAAUAUGGCUCCAUGAAAGGUCAAGAACAACUAAAUUAGUUGGAUGAAAGUUUGUUGCCUCAAACUUGGGAGAGCAACAUUGCCAAGAAAGCCAUCUUAAAUUGGAGAAAACAUUAUUGAAGUCUCCAACAAAGAACACUCCGCCCCCUUCAAAGAACCUUAGCUUCCGUAAAUUAGCAAAUUCAUCAUGCUUUAGAAUAGCGUCUUCAUCAAAUGCACCAUAUCCCACGGAUAGUAUUUCUAUAUUCCUACUUCCCUGACAAUGGAAACACCAAGAAGUCCCAAUACGAAGGUCAAAAGCGAAUAAUUUCAAGCGCUAAUAGCCAUUAUUUUUUCCUUUUUCAACAACAGUGUACAACAAUUCAUAGGAAAAUAAAUUGAUGUUCCCUUUUUACCUCUUUUUGCUUUAGAAUGCUCAGGGCUUCCUCAAAAUUCCACACUCUACUACGCUUGCAAGGAUCUUUGAAAUUCUCUUGACGGACAAUUUCCUUUCCAAGGUCCCGCACUUGGUCAUGCAUCCAAAAAAUAUUGUCGUCUUUGAUUUUUAUCAAGGACAUGAGAAUGAGGACUUCAAGGGCAUCGUGUGGGUAGUAUCGACAGUCAUCCCACAUGUAGAAAGGGUAUUUUAUGUCCUUAUUAACAAAGAAACAAGCUAUAUCCAAGAAUACUUGCCUUUGUGCAUGAUCUAGCCUUUCAUAAGUUAUCAGCAAUUUUCUUUGGACUCCCAUGGGAGGAGCUUCUGUUAGCUUCUUCAAUGUGUCAACCCAUAAUGCUUCAGAUUUACCAUUAAGGGAUGAACCUGUAAUUUCAAGAGCUAAAGGAAGAUUUCCCAAAGUGGAGACGACUUCUUUUGAAAGAGAGACAUAAUGAUUUGGUGGAGAGUCUCUUCUAAAGGCAUGCCUACUGAAAAGCUUAAGAGCAUAAUCAAAUUCCAUUUCACACACUUCAUAAGUCGAAACAUUUGCUGAUUUUUUUAUGAGGCCUUCACCUGUUGCUGCUCCCUCAAUCAUUAAGACACUUUGGUCCCUAGUGGUUAUGAUAAUCCUACUACCAGAACCAAACCAAUUAUCUUUUUCCGCUAGAAUUUUUAGUUGCUCUUUAUCAUCCACGUCAUCAAGAAUAAUGAGCACUUUUUUUUAUUUCUCAGCACUCCCUUGUUGAUCAUGUUGAUCCUAUCAUUCACAUGAUAAAUUUGGUCGAUAGAAUGAGAAUCAAUGAGCUUCAAUAACAAUUGUUUUUGCAAAUUUACCAUACCAUGAUUGCCUUUUGAUAAUUCCCGAACGUCUGCAAGGAAACAAUAUCGGUCAAAGCCAGAAAAAAGUUUGUUGAAGAUGACCUUAGCAAGGGUUGUUUUGCCAACACCGCCCAUUCCAUGGAUUCCAAGAAAUCGCACACUAUCAGAUCCCACAUCCAAUAUUUUGAUUAUAUCUUCUACACGAUCAUCAACUCCAACUAGAUGUUCAGUCACAUUUUCAUGUGCAACCUUCAGCUUAACCGAAACAAUUCGAAUUACUGAUCGUAUCAGAUCCCCUUGGCUGCCACAAUGCAAGAACCAUGUUAGGAUAACUUUUUUUUUUUUUUGUUAAACUUCUCCCAAAAAGACUAAAUUGCCCUCACAUGUUAAGGAAAUUACGCAAAAAAAUGUAUACACCAAUACGAUUCUGAUUUUUGCAAAUCUCUCUCCGCUCUCCAGCUUCAGUGACCAUCACUGUCGGCCCAUGUCCUACCACGCCACCGUUGACAUCGCUCACCUUCCUACACCGUCACCAUCAAGUUCCGGUGUCGUCGCUCAUUGCGCCCAGUCGACGUGCCAUCUCGACCUAGCCUCAAUUCUCCAAGUCACGUGGGUCAUGGCCUUGCAACCUCCGGCGAUGGUGUCAUCGGUCUUGAAUGGGGAGGGAGAGAGGGAGAGAGGAUGAGUAGGGUGCUAUACCCGCCACAACAGUGCUAUUGACUGGGGCUAUUGCAGCAAUACCACCGAUAGUGGCAGCUAUUGGCCACUGCACGUGAGAAUUGCGUUCUCACCGCUAUAGUGGCCGCCAACAGUAGCGGUAGUGGCCGUCGUCGGCUACUAAACUAUAUAAAAUGGACUAGAUGAAUAUACUAUAUUUUCACCAGGAAAACGAAAUCUACAAAUGGAAGUUGAAAAGUUUAGACAUUUACCCUUGAUCUUUCCUCCAAUUACAUCCCUUUAUCUUGCCCACCUCGAGGAGAGCCUUUUCCCAUGACUCCACUUCAGUGCAGGACGUCUUCUGGCGCUUUGAAAGUCUUUGUUUGUACAAGUUUGUUCUGAGCUUGACAUCAGCAGGUUCCACGUUCAAGAAAAUCGGUAGAAUCUCUUUAUUCCCAUUCGAUUUCGAGGUGCACUCGACCAUAUGUGCGAGCUCUCGAAGGCACCAAUGACUAGAAGCAUAAUUCUUGGAGAAAAUGGGAAUGUAGAUCUUGGAGUUCUCAAUUGCUUGUAGAAGUUCACCACCAAUUUCCUUACCGACAUGGAGGGAUUCAUUGUCUCUAAAGAUGUUGAUCCCAGCCUCAACCAUGCCAUGGUAAAGACAACCGGUGAAUUCAUAACGGGUGUCUGUUCCUCGAAAACUUAGAAAAACCUCAUACGAAGAUCCGGAUGAUGCCCAUGAACUCGUCCCUUUCUCCAUUGUAGGACCUCUAAACACCACCGAUUUCAAAUCCUUUCUGUCUCUCAGGGAAGUUUGCUUUGGGUAUGCUUGGAUAUGAGCAAUGGCCUAUGAAGCACGUGCUUCCAUGUCGUGGUCAACUUUUCUCGAUACGUUUCGAUACGCGUGUCCAGAAGAUGGAGGGUGGAGGCCAGGCCGAGGGAGAAGAGACGAGGCCGUGAGUGACGGCGAGCCCACGACGGCGAGAGACGGUGAGAGAAAGAGCAGAGAUUGAGGCGAGGGCUGCCACUGUGUUGCUCUGAUGGAUCAACGGCAAGGCUGCAGCUAUAAGGGAGGAAGGGCCGGAGGCAAGACAGUGAACGAUUGUGAUGAGGACCAGGAGCAAGCAGAGAUCGAGAGGGAGACGAGAGGAAGGGGGUCGUGCGGCGAGGAGGAGGAGGAGAAGGACGUUAGCUAGGGUUUUUGAGAAGGAAACUCAAAAGAAUAAAAAAAAAAAAAAGGGGGAUUCUAAGGACUUGGCGUGAUUUUUCAUUUUGGAGAGAGGGGGAAGUGACAGCUUGUCAAGUGGUGGGGGAGGGAAAGAAAAGAGAAAUAAAAUUGGGGGUGGGGAAGAGACGAGGGAAAGAAGAGAGUGGCGGGGAGGGAAAAAAAAAGAGAAAUAAUUUUUUUUUUUGUUGGGGGUGAGGGAAAGAAGGGAGUUGGGUACCCAUGAUGGGAUUUUUUUUAAUUGAAAAAAUUAAUAAAUAAGAUUAAAAAUUAAUUUCAAAAAAUAAAAAUAUUGAAUAUUGAAUAGUGCUAAAUUUUGGUAAUUAUAGAAGAUUAUGGAUUUAUUUAAAUAAAUUGAUUCUAAUUUCUUAGUUUCAUCAAUAACUUUUGUCAAUUUAUUAAUAUAUUAGUAUAAAUUCAUUGUAGAAUCUUUUUUAAUUAAUUAUUUAUUUAUAAAUUUGAAUUAAAUUAAUUAAACAUAAAAAUAUUCAUUUAAUAUACAAUAUGUCCCAACGUGUCGGAAUUUUUUUAUUUUUUAGAAAUGGCAUAUCGAUGUGUCAUGUCGUGUCAUAUCGCGUAUCGGUACUACUUAGGUGAUAGCCUAAGAUGGCGAAAGGGGCGAGGGAAAGAAGGGAGUUGGGUACUCAUGAUGGGACUUUUUUUAAUUGGAAAAAUAAAUAAAUGAGAUUAAAAAGUAAUUUCAAAAAAUAAAAUGUUGAAUGUUGAAUAGUGACAAAUUUUGGUCAUUAUAGAAGAUUAUGGAUUUAUUUAAAUAAAUUUAUUCUAAUUUCUUAGUUUCAUCAAUAACUUUUGUCAAUUUAUUAAUAUUAUUAGUGUAAAUUCAUUGUAGACUCUUUUUAUAAAUUUGAAUUAAAUUAAUUAAAGAAAUAUUCAUUUAAAUACAACGUGUCCCAACGUGUCGGGAUUUUCUAUUUUUUAGAAAUGAUGUGUCGACGUGUCGUGUCAUGUUGCAUGUCGGUGCUAUUUAGGUGAUGGCUGUCAAUAUUAUAGGCUCUCAAGUCUCUAGGGUCAUGGGGUAGGGAAAAAGGCGCUAGACUUCGAAUAUUACUUCAAUCAAUAUAGUCAACACCCUUGUUUUUUUCUUCUUUUUUUUUUAAUCCCUUGAUGCACCUUCAUCUUUUGAUUAAUUUGUUUAGUGUUCAUGUAUAUCUUUACUGUUUUGCAUCGGUUUGGCCACCGAAUUUCCGAAAUUAAACAUUAAGAUAUAGUUCUAUUUAAAAGCACCAUUACUAUUAUAAAAAAACACAUGAACAGCUUUUAAGUGAAGACACUUAUAUGUAAUUCUAAUGUAAUUACUAAAUCAAAAUAAUGAUAUAUGUAUAAAUCUUAACCUUAUUUUGAAUUUAUUUAUUUAUUUAAAUUAAAAUUGUUAUAUAUGUAUCAUAAUCUUAAACUCACUUUAUCAAGCAUUACAUGGCCGGUUUUACCAAUAAAAGUAGUUAAACUAAUAUAAGAAAUUGAAAAGAGUUAUUCACAUUAUUUACUAUGUACAAAAUAACGUGACAAAUUUAAUGCUUGGCUAUGCCUUACUUUUUAAAAUAAUCAUUUACAGUAUAUAGAUUUAGAUCCCAAACCAAUAUGGAAAGAUAUGACACCAUAGAUUAAACAUAAAGACGGCUACAUAAAAGACUAACAAUAUUUCGAAAAUUUGUGAGAUUCGAUAAAUUGUAGAUCAUACCAAUGAAGAUUACACAAAAUCAAACUCAAACAUAUCUACCAUCCCAUAAAAAAAAUAAGAUGAUUGCAGUGAAAUCAGCUUGAUUUUGGAAAUUAAGCUGUGAAAUAGCCUAGAUAAUCGGAGUGAAUAUAGAGUGCCUUGAACAAUAUGUUUUUUAUUUGUAAAAUUCUCAAUACCAACUAUUUUAGAGAUUAUGAUCCAACCAUGAGUAGCUUGAUAUAUUUCAUUCCAAAUUUUAAAGUUGCAACUUGCUUAUCUUAAAUUUUAAAUUUAUACUUUAAAAGAAGAUAAUGAGAAGGACGAUGAAUUACAAGCCAAAGUCUUCUAAUAUCUUUGCUCGCUUCGUUGCAUUUUCCUCUUCUUUUCUUCUGACCGAAGAAUUCAAAAGUCUUCCAUCGCCUUGCUUGCUUAAUUGCAAAGAAAGCGACAAGGCAAAAGAUGACGAAACCUACUCAAGAGAAAAGAUUGGCGAGGAUAGGCAAGUCAAAGUCUUCCUCCAUCCUGCAUUGCCUGACGAGGGACCAUCGUUGAAAAGUCUUCCUUAGAUGCGGUUUACAAAAUUGUUCGAGAAAUUCUUGUCCAUUAGUCACAUUUCAAGGACAUGCCAAAAAGUAGAAUGCGGUUUACAAGUCAUCCCAGAAGUUUCCUAGAAAUUUCGUUGGUCAAUCAUUGAGUUAUCGUGCUAGGAGUUUCUAUGUCCCAUUCAUUUAAUAACAAGUUUUAAAUUAGAGAUCAUAGCUUUAGAAAUAGAGGAUACAAAGUGAAAUCGGGAUACAAAGUGAAGAUGAUUUUUGAGUUUUUCUUUAUUUAAUCAUAAUAGUGAAUAUUUAAAAAAUCCAAUCAACUUUGUAUCUAUAUCAUAUGUGAUUCUGAAUUAUUGACAUUUGCAACAAUGUUCAUCUUCAAACAAAAUUCUUUGGUUAGAAGUUUAACUAUCCAUCUACUAAGAAAAUUUAUAUUAUGCGUCGAUCACAUGAUCAGCGUGAUAUAAUCGGUCAAUCCAUGUUUCCACUACAAAGUAAGAGUGGAAGCAGCAUGGCAUUCCUUGGUGCACCUUCAUCUUUUCAUUAAUUUGUUUCAAGUUCACGUAUAUCUUGUUUGUUUUGCAUCAGUUUGGCCACCGAAUUUCCCAAAAUGAAAUUAUUAAGACGCGAAUUCUAUUUAAAAAUACCAUUACUAUUAAGAAAAACACAUGGAUAGCUUUUAAGUGAAGACACUUAUCCGUCAUUGGAGUUAAUGUAAUUACUAUAUAUAUAUAUAUAUAUAUACAUACAUAUAUAUAUAUAUACAUACAUAUAUAUAUAUAUAUAUAUAUAUAUAUAUAUCAGAAUCUUAACCUUACUUGGAAUUAAUUUAUUUUCUUAAAUUAAAAUCGUUAUAUAUUUAUCAUAAUCUUAACCUCACUAUGAAGUAUUUACGUGGCUGGUUUUACCAACAAAAGUAGUUAAAAUAAUAUAAGAGAUUGAAAAGCGUUAUUCACAUUAGUUACAAAUUAAUGUGACAAAUUUUUGAAUGUCUGACUAUGCCCAACCUCUCCAAACGAUAUCUAGAUCCCAAACAAAUAUAGAAAGAUCUAUGAUACCGCACAUUAAACAUAAAGACGACUCUAUAAAAGAUGAUAACGAUAUUCCAAAUAUUUGUGAGAUCCGAUAAAUCACAGAUCAUAUCAGUGAUGGUUACAUAAAAUCAAAUCAAAUAAUCUCACAUCCCACUCAAAAUAAGAUGAUUGCAAUGAAAACAACUUGAUAUUGGAAAUCAAGCUGUGAAACGGACUGGAUAAUCAGAUUUAGCAAUUGAGCGAAUGUAGAGAGCCCUGAACUCCAAUAUGUUUAUAAUUUAUUAAAUGGAUUGAUUUGCAAAAUUUUCAAUACGAAUUAUUUUAUUUAUUAUGUGAUAUAUUUUAUUCUAAAUUUUAAUAUUACAAUUCGCUUAUCUUAAAUUUAAAAUUAUAAUUUUAGAAGAAGGUGAUGUAAGGAGGCGAUGAAUUUUCAAAUUGGUUUGGUUUAUUCCCUCAUCUUUUGAUUAAUUUGUUUCAUGUUCAUGUAAAUCUUGUCUGUUUUGCAUUGGUUUGGCCACUGAAUUUCUCAAAUUAAAUAUUAAGAUGCGACUUCUAUAAAAACAUACUUACUAUCAAGAAAAACACAUUAAUAGCUGUUAAGUGAAGAGACUUAUCUGUUACUGAGAUUAAUGUAAUUACUAAAUCAAAAUUAUUAUAUCGGAAUCUUAACCUCACUUGGGUUAAUUUAUUAAUUAAAUUAAAAUUAUAAUAUAUGUAUCAUGAUCUUAACCUCCUUUUAUGAAGCAGUACGUGGCUGGUGUUACCAAUAAAAGAAUUACGAUAAUAUAAGAGAUUGAAAAGAGUUUGUAUUAUAGCUUAGUUACAAAAUAAUAUGACAAAUUUUGAAUGCUUGACUGUGCUGUACCUUUUCAAAUGAUCAUUUAUAGUAUAUACAUUNNNNNNNNNNNNNNNNNNNNNNNNNNNNNNNNNNNNNNNNNNNNNNNNNNNNNNNNNNNNNNNNNNNNNNNNNNNNNNNNNNNNNNNNNNNNNNNNNNNNCCCCUACUAAGUAAGAGUGGAGGAGCAUGGCAUUCCUUGGUGCACCUUCAUCUUUUCAUUAAUUUGUUUUGAAUUCAUGUAUAUCUUGUUUGUUUUGCAUCGGUUUGGCCACCGAAUUUCCCAAAAUGAAAUUAUUAAGACGCGAAUUCUAUUUAGAAAUACCAUUACUAUUAAGAAAAACACAUGGAUAGCUUUUAAGUGAAGACACUUAUCCGUCAUUGGAGUUAAUGUAAUUACUAAAUCAGAAUUUAUAUAUAUAUAUAUAUAUAUAUAUAUAUAUAUAUAUAUCUUAAUUUUACUUGGAAUUAAUUUAUUUGCUUAAAUUAAAAUCGUUAUAUACUUAUCAUAAUCUUAACCUCACUAUAUAAAGUAUUACGUGGCUGGUUUUACCAACAAAAGCAGUUAAAAUUAUAUAAGAGAUUGAAAAGUGUUAUUCACAUUAGUUACAAAUUAAUGUGACAAAGUUUUGAAUGUCUGACUAUGCCCAACCUCUCCAAAUGAUCAUUCAUAGUAUAUAGAUCUAGAUCCCAAACAAAUAUAGGAAGAUUUAUGAUACCGCACAUUAAACAUAAAGAUGACUCUAUAAAAGAUGGUAACAAUAUUCCAAAUAUUUGUGAUGGUUACAUAAAAUCAAAUCAAAUAAUCUCGCAUCCCACGCAAAAUAAGAUGAUUGCAAUGAAAACAACUUGAUAUUGGAAAUCAAGCUGUGAAACGGACUGGAUAAUCAGACUUAGCAACUGAGCGAAUGUAGAGAGCCAUGAACUCCAAUAUGUUUUUAAUUUAUUAAAUAGAUUAAUUUGCAAAAUUUUCAGUACGAAUUAUUUGAUUUAUUAUGUGAUAUAUUGUAUUCUAAAUUUUAAUAUUACAACUCACUUAUCUUAAAUUUUAAAUUAUAAUUUUAGAAGAAUGUGAUGAAAGGAGGCGAUGAAUUUUCAAAUUGGUUUGGUUUAUUCCCUCAUUUUUUGAUUAAUUUGUUUCAUGUUCAUGUAUAUCUUGUCUGUUUUGCAUCGGUUUGGCCACCGAAUUUCUCAAAUUAAAUAUUAAGAUGCGAAUUCUAUAAAAACAUACUUACUAUCAUGAAAAACACAUUUAUAGCUUUUAAGUGAAGAGACUUAUCUGUUAUUGAGAUUAAUGUAAUUACUAAAUCAAAAUUAUUAUAUCGGAAUCUUAAAAUUACUUGGAAUUAAUUUAUUACUUAAAUUAAAAUUAUAAUAUAUGUAUCAUGAUCUUAACCUCCUUUUAUGAAGUAGUACUUGGCCGGUGUUACCAAUAAAAGAAUUACGAUAAUAUAAGAGAUUGAAAAGAGUUCGUAUUAUUGCUUAGUUAGAAAAUAAUAUGACAAAUUUUGAAUGCUUGAUUGUGCCGUACCUUUUCAAAUAAUCAUUUAUAGUAUAUAGAUUUAGAUUCCAAACCAAUAUGGAUUGAUAUAUGAUACCGGUUUGAUAAUAUUUCGAAUAUUUGUGAGAUUCGAUAAAUUGUGGAUCAUAUCGUUGGAGAUUACACAAAAUCAUACUCAAAUAUAUAUAGCAUCCCAAUAAAAAUAAGAUGAUUGCACUAAAAUUAGCUUGAUUUUGGAAAUUUAGCUAUGAAAUAGCCUCGAUAAUUAGAUUUACCAAUGGAGUGAAGGAAGAGUACCACGAACAAUAUGUUUUUUAUUUAUAAAAUGGAUUGAUUUGCAAAAUUCUUAAUACGAUUUUUUUUUUUUUUAUAGAUAGUGAUCCAACCAUGAGCAACUUGAUAUAUUUUAUUCCAAAUUUUAAAUUUGCAAUUUGCUUAUUUUAAAUUUUAAAUUUAGACAUUAAAAGAAGGUAAUGAGCGAGAUGAUAAAUCUGAAUUGUUAAUUGUUAAUGUGAGAUUUUAUGAUUCCAAAAGCUUAAGUUGUUAAAUGAAGAUGUGGUUUAUUAUUUAAAUAUUCUAACAGUCUAGAAAGCACUCAAGUCCCAAAUAAUCAUGAUUGGAUAAUCUACUUCACAGCGUGUAACGUGGAAAGCAAGCCAAAGUUUUGUUGCAUUUUCCUCUUCUUUUCUUCCGACCAAAGAAGUCAAAAGUCUUCCACCAUCUCACUUGCUAAGUUGCAAAGAAAGUGCCGAGGCAAAAGCAGACAAAACCUACUCAAAAGAAAAAUAAAACCCUCCUUUUCUCAUUCUUACUUUUUUGCAGGAUUGCCCUUAGUUUCUUUUUCUAAGUGUUAAUUAUGAUAUUGCUAGUAUGAGUACCUAGAGGGGGGUGAAUAGGUAUAUAAAGAAUUUUUCUCAAGCAAUUGCACAAUACUAGAUAGUUGGAUGAAACGAUAGUCAAAGUAAGACUGAGAGAAGAGAAAAUUGAACACGCGGUUUAUAGUGGUUCGGCUUAUAUCAAGCCUACGUCCACUCUUCUUCACUGACAGCCUAUUGGCUGGAUUCCACUAUGAACAAGAGAGAGGUUACAGCACAGCUUUGCCUUGAUUCCAUAGUGUAGUUGUUCUACCACACCUCCUCAAGAUUUCUCACAAAUAUAGACUCUCUCUUUCGUAUACAAGUAUUCGCUCAAAGGAUUUGUCUAAACAAAAAGGAGCUUCAGACUUUGGAAUUCUUCUAUCGCGCACACCUUGAACAACUAAGACAGUCUUCCUUAUAUACUCCUUUAUGCCAUCAUACCCGUUGGCACUUACCAAAGGAAUUCCUCCAAUCUACCCGUUGGACGGAAUCAAUUAGGAAGAUUGUCCAAGCUAUAAAUGGAACGUGUUGAUAGCCCAUCAAUCAUGUUUGCCCAUACAAUCAGGAUCUCGGUUUCCAUAAGUAGAACCUUCCAAUAAUAUUCAGGCAAUCACCGGAUCUUCAAUUAUCGAAUCAAUCUUCGAUCAAUCAAAGGACUUCGUUUAUGUCUUCUCCAGCCAUGAGAUCUUCUCCAGUUGAUAAGGUUAAAUCCUCAACGAAACAUCCAGUUCUGGAUAACCUUUCUUCAACGGAUUAGAGACUGUCAAUGAAGAUGGACUUUGAGUCUUGAGUCUGGCUGUCCCAAGGUCUUCAGACUUUAAAUAGCAGAGUUUGCAAGCCUUCAGACUAAACUGAUAGAAACGAUUUGUCAACUUCAAAACACUUCAAGAAGAUUUCUCCAACAAAUUAAACAAGAAAAACCAGUCUAUUCACGAUACUUCCCUACGUAUCAUUUACACCCAACAUGCAUCUGAAUACAUGAGUGCUUUUUUUCGUGGUGAUGGGCAUAUUUUAAUAUAUAUCAUGAAUUUCUUUGUAGAUUUUUCAACUUUAUCGAUCCAGUGCUUCGACCGAUUGACUCACGAAUCAGAACGUAGUUUUUUGAUGUUGUGAUGAUUACUCGACACAAUGACAAAACCUGAUUAAGAUACGUGGCUACAAGUUGCAUACUCUAAUAACGAUGAUGUUGUGAUGAUGUGGAGCAUCUCAAAAAUUUAAAACUAGGAUAGGGAAAUUCAAAGAUGGCGUUUUAAUUUGGUUUGUAACCAAAAAAAAAAAAAAAGACUAAAUAUCUUCAGUUGUUGUGUGUGUGAAAACAAGAGAACGUGAUCCUCGUCUUUUGCAAUAUUGCUGGAUGCUUAGAUUUAAUGGUUGAAUGUGGAAACAAAGAAGAGUGGAAUAAACAGUGGCACACGGUUACGAAAUUGCUUAGAAAAUUCUUAUCCAUUUGCCGGCUUUGAAAGACACGGCAAAAAGCAAAGGUGGUUUACAAGUGAAUGCUGAAGAACUUCAUGAACAGAAAAGAGAUGGAAGAAAUCGAGAGAGAGAGAGAGAGAGAAUUUGAUGAAUGUAUUUCUUCUAUUAUUCAACUUCCUUAAGACUUUACAAUAUGAGAGAUUUCCUUCUUAUAUCUCCUCUGGUUCUCUUAAUGAAACCGUUUUACACAAGAGCUGUUGAAGAAAUAGUCAACUUCCUAACUGCAAGGAACUAACCGAAUACCGGUCACAACAACUAAGAUACAGAGUAAAGGAAAAAACAGAGUGGAUGAGCAGAGUAACGGUUUAGCCGACUUCGCAGCCUCUCUUCAUGCAAUCUCUCGAUCCGUAUAUCAUCCUUCUUCUUUCCUUUCUUUAUUUUUAACAGUAGAUCUUCUUCUUUCUGUACACUUCUCGGCAUCAUUCAUACAAUCAGCUUCUUCCUCAUUUAUUCUCUUGGCUUUUGUUCUUGUUAUUUGUUGUUGAAUAAGCUGCUGUCUUUUGUUCUUAACAUCCCCCCGCAAAUUGGGCAGGGGUGAAGAACCAAUGCCCAAUUUGAGACGAAGAGAGGAGUGUGUUAGUUUAGAUAGUGGCUUGGUAAAAAUAUCAGCAACUUGGUUAUGGCUGGGAACAUAUCUAACACAUAAGGAUCCAGACGCAACUUUUUCUCGAACAAAGUGGAAAUCAACCUCAAUAUGUUUUGUUCGAGCAUGAAGUAUAGGAUUUGCUGUGAGAGAUAUGGCAGAUUGAUUGUCACAGAAUAAUAUGGUUGGUGAGUGAAGAGAAACUCCAAUAUCUCUGAGAACAAAAGUAAUCCAAGUAAGAUCAGCUGUUGCUGAGGCAAGGGCUCUAUAUUCAGCUUCAGUGGAGGAACGAGAAACAGUUGAUUGCUUCUUAGCUAUCCAUGAGAUGAGAUUAGAACCGAGAUAAGUACAGAAGCCUGUGGUAGAACGUCUAGUUUGAAGACAGCCAGCCCAAUCUGCAUCAGAAAAGCCAUAUAAUUUGAGAGAGCUGUGAGAAUGAAGUGAAAUACCGAGGUGAAUUGUUCCUUUUACAUAUCGAAGAACUCGUUUCAGUUGAAGAAAGUCUCCAAUAGUAGGUUGCUGUAGUUUUUGACAUAGGAUAUUUGUUGCAAAGGCAAGAUCAGGCCUGGUGAUAGUGAGAUAUUGUAAGCCACCUACGAGACUUCGAUAGUUCAUGGGAUUUGGAAGAAGAACAGCAUCUCUUUCAAGUAUGACUGGUUUAAGAGAGAGAGGUGUAGCAAUAGGUUUGCAGUCAGUCAUAUUUGCACGAGACAGUAAGUCAAGGGCAUACUUGGUUUGACAUAAGAACAACUCAGUAGACGUUCGUGUGGCUUCAAUUCCAAGAAAAUAAUGAAGCUGGCCAAGGUCUUUCAUAUGGAAUUGAACAUUGAGUGAGUGAAUAAGAGUCUGUAGCAAUUGUUCUGAGCUACCAGUUAGAAUUAUAUCGUCAACAUAUAGAAGUAAAAGUAUUGUCUCUUGUCCUUGAUGAAGUAUGAACAGAGAGGGGUCAGUUGAGCUACAGAAAAAACCAACUUCAAGCAAGAAGUUGCUGAAUUUAUCAUACUAGGCACGCGGUGCUUGACGCAGUCCAUAAAGUGAUUUCUGAAGCAGACAUAUAUAUUGACAAUACUGUGGAUGAACAAAACCAGGAGGUUGCUCCAUGUACACAGUUUCAUUUAAGGUGCCAUGUAAGAAGGCGUUCUUGACAUCAAGUUGAUGUAUAGACCGGUGUUUUACCAUUGCUACAGAGAGGAUAAGUCUAACUGUUGCAUGUUUUAUCACAGGGCUAAAGGUUUCUAUGAAGUCGAUUCCUUCUUCCUGAUGAAAUCCCUUGGCUACUAGACGAGCCUUCAAUCGAUCUAGACUUCCAGUAGAAGUAAGUUUAGUCUUGAACACCCAUUUGCAGCCAAUAACAUUCAUGUUAUUAGUACGAGGAACCAAUAACCAAGUUUGAUUAUGAUGUAAGGCAUUCAUUUCUUCUUGCAUUGCCUGAUACCAUCCAGGAUCUGCUAGAGCAGAUUUUAUUGAUUUUGGUUCUGGAGGAAUUUGGUAUUGAGCAAGACAUGCAUAUCGAGGAUUCACUUUGACUAUACCAGAUUUAGAUCUGGUUUGCAUGUGAUGAGUAGGUUGUGUACCUUGCACAGGAUGGAUAGACUGUGUUUGUAUGUUAGAAGCACUUUGAUUGAUAGCUAGUUCUGUUGCUGUCACUGUUGUGGUUCCAGAUAUGUUUACUUGUGGAGACAUACUUUGAGUAGUAGAUGGAACUUGAUCAUCAGGUGAUUCAGUUGUAGAGAUAGAAUCUAUAUGUUCUGUAAAAACUUGCUCAGCUGGAGGGUUCUGAACAUAUCUUGUUUGAUGAGAUGAUGAAGUGCUGAUAAGCUCUGUACUUGGAGUUUGUAAGAAUCUCUCUUCUUCUGUCCAUAGUUUAUAUAGUCGUGUAUAUGUUGAGGAAUGUGUUGCCAGCUUCUUAGAGAAAGGAAAGAAUGUCUCAUCAAAGGUUACAUGUCGACUGAUGUACACAUGACUAGUGGUAGGCACCAAGCAUCGAUAUCCUUUAUGAUGAGUGCUGUAUCCGAGAAAAACACAGGUAAGGGAUCGUGGAUCCAUCUUGUGUUGUGCAUAGGGUCGAAGACAGGGAUAGCAGGCACACCCGAACACUCUGAGAUGAUCAUAUCUUGGCUUAUGCUGAUAUAGCUUGGUAAAGGGAGAUUGCAUUUUUAACUUCGGAGUAGGAAGUAUAUCGACGGUAUAGUUUGCUGUCAUAAAUGCAUCAACCCAAAAUUUUAAUGGGACUUUUGCAUGAUAUAGCAUAGCCAGACCAAGCUCAACUAUAUGUCGAUGUUUUCUUUCAGGUAUUCCAUUCUGUUCGGGUGUAUAUGGACAAGAAAUAAGCUGUUGGAUGCCACAACUCUGUAGGUGAGCUUUAAACUUGUGACUGACAAACUCUCCCCCACCAUCACAUUGAAACCUCUUGAUUUUACAGUUGUGCUGGUUUUCUACUAACCUCUGAAACAUAAGAAAGAUAUCAUAGAAGUCUGAUUUUAGUUUCAAUGGGUACAUCCAGCUGAACCGAGAGAAGCUAUCAACAAAGAUCACAUAAUAUUUGAAAUUCUGAUAAGAGUUGACUGGAGAAGGUCCCCAGAUAUCGCAAUGGACUUGUUCUAGAGGUUUAUGAGCUACUGAACUCGACAUAGGAAAAGGUAGAGCAGUAUUCUUAGCAAGCUGACAACUUCUACAUAUAGAUUGUGGUUCUGUAUGACACUGGAUUAACUUUUGAUUCUUCAAAUGCUUCAGGACAUUCUGAUUUGUAUGAGCUAGCCGUUGAUGCCACACGUUUUCUCCUGUAAUCUUCUGUCUUUGAGUGAAGAAUACCUCUGCAGCACAAGGAUCAAUUCUGUAUAGUCCUUUCUCCUUCUUCCCUAGCAUCUUGGUUAUGUUGGUGAUGCUGUCCUUUAUGUACACCCCAAUUUUGUCAAAGACAAAAGAACAGGGAUAAUCAUUGGUUAGUCUAGAGACUGAAAGAAGGUUUUUCUUAAUUGCUGGAACAAUUAACACAUCUUUUAGAGGCAAGGUAGUAGUAGUAGUGGUCAACAUUGUAUUCCCAAUAUAUUUCACAGGUAAACAUGAACCGUUGCCAAUCAUUACUGUAUCAGUACCAGCAUUCUUAGAAAAGUUUUGGAGAAUACCAGCAUUUGCCGUAAUGUGAGCAGUUGCUCCAGUAUCAGGAUACCACUCAUUUCCAUUAGUUUCCUCGAUAUGGAGUGCUGAUAGAGCUGUCGGUAUCUCUUCAGCUUGGUAAGAAUUAUCAAAUCUAUACCAACAGUGCAAUGCAUCAUGACCUUUUUUUCUGCAGAUCUGACACUCCAGUCGAGUGUUUGUUGUUGUUUUCUCCAUCUGCACAUCUUUAUGGAGAGUUAAAUUUGAGGAUGGAUAGAUCUUGGCUUCUGUAUACCUCUGAGCUGAACCAUUAUAUGGUUUGAACCCCUGACCAGAACUCAAAGUAGUGGGGGUAUUAACCUGGUUAAGAUGUUGACUCCCCUGUUCAUAGCUCGAGUUAUUAGUUCUGUAAUUCAUAUUUCUUCCAAGAUUUCCAAAAUUUCUGUAUCUGUUACUGAAUGGCCUUCCUCUUCCAAUAUUUCUUCCUCCACGACUAUAUCCCCUUGAACUUUCAAGACUGUUAUUUUGCUGUACAAAAUUUCUAUUUAAACUCCUCUUUGUGUAUAGCUUCAGUCUUCCUUUGACCAUAAUAGGCUAGAUUUGGACUGAACUGGCUUGAGGAAUAGUUUUGCAGCCUUGAUUCAAACCUCUCUAGAUGAGAGAUCACUUCAUCAUAUUCCGGUUGAGGCUUUAAACAAUAAAUUGUUGUUUUAAAGCUCUCAUACUUGGACCCCAAACCUUCCAAAAUACCAAACAGUUUUGUUAUUUCAUCCACUGGUUUACCUAUUGCAUUUAAUUGAUCACAUAUUGUCUUGUACUCUCUGAGAUAUGUUGAUAAAGCUCUAUCACGUUUCUGACAAGCCUGCAAUUUUCCUCUUAGUUCAAACUCCUUUGCCACAGAUUUUUGGGUGAACCGAUUAAGCAAGGCUUGCCAAAGUUCAUAGGUUGUGUUUAAGCCGAUUAUUAGGCUAAGUAUGUCUUCGGAUACAGCACCACUAAUCCAAGAAGAAACAAGUUGAUCUGUCUUAAUCCAAUCAUUAUAGUCAGGAUUAGGGAUAUCAACUAUUUGAUCUCCUUCUUCUACCUGUAGAGUUUUAGCAGGCGGUGGAGUUUCUCCAUUCACAAACCCAAACAGAUCUUGGCUUCUUAGAAACCUAUGAAACUGAGCUUGCCAUAGGAGGAAGUUAUCCUCAGCUAAUCUAAUUGUAACAAAGUUCGAGAUAUUGACAUGAAUGGGAAAUGGAUAUCUCAAGCUUCUUGCUGCCAUUCUACUUUUCCAGAUCUUUGAACACCACUUGUUUCGAAUACAACCUCUACUGGUUUUUGCAAUAUGAUGCAGCAAAUCGAUUUCUGAUGAUAGAGAUUUGAAGGAAGAUGAAGAAUAUCAACUCACAGAUCAAUGAGGCUUCGAUUCCUGACUCCAAUUUGCUGUAGAUUCAGCCAUUUUUAUGCAGUAUUAAGAUGAUUUCUUCAGGAUGAAGGCUCUGAUACCAUGAAGAACUUCAUGAACAUAAAAGAGAUGGAAGAAAUCGAGAGAGAGAGAGAGAGAGAGAGAGAGAAUUUGAUGAAUGUAUUUCUUCUAUUAUUCAACUUCCUUAAGACUUUACAAUAUGAGAGAUUUCCUUCUUAUAUCUCCUCUGGUUCUCUUAAUGAAACCGUUUUACACAAGAGCUGUUGAAGAAAUAGUCAACUUCCUAACUGCAAGGAACUAACCGAAUACCGGUCACAACAGCUAAGAUACAGAGUAAAGGAAAAAACAGAGUGGAUGAGCAGAGUAACGGUUUAGCCGACUUCGCAGCCUCUCUUCAUGCAAUCUCUCGAUCCGUAUAUCAUCCUUCUUCUUUCCUUUCUUUAUUUUUAACAGUAGAUCUUCUUCUUUCUGUACACUUCUCGGCAUCAUUCAUACAAUCAGCUUCUUCCUCAUUUAUUCUCUUGGCUUUUGUUCUUGUUAUUUGCUGUUGAAUAAGCUGCUGUCUUUUGUUCUUAACAAAUUCUGAAAAUGACGGUAAGAUUCUAAGAGACUCUUGUCCAUUAAAUGUGCGAGUAUUCUUUAGAUUAGUUGGAAAGUUAAUUUCCUCCGAAGAGGACGGCCCUCGAGAACAAUCCCUCACUGUCAAUGGUAACUUUUGCAAAGUUCCCAAACGUGGGUUCCCUUUACACGCCCUUUUCUUAAGAUAAAAUUAUUUUUGCACGCAUUGGUUCUAACUUGAACAAAAGUGGUUUGACUUCAAAAUAGGGCCGAGCUUAAAUUCAUUUUUUGGCUUUUCCCAAGUGUAAGGUGCGCCGGGCUUAGAAAUGAAAUGAUGGAAAAAUUUAACUUUGAGGAAUAAAAUUCUUGGAAAUUUUAGAGUGCAAAGGAAAAAUGAACCUUAAGGAAGAUGCUACGGAAGUAAAUUAGAGAAACUUACUGUGAAAUUGCAUCUUUUGUUCCCUCUCUCUUCCUUGUUUGGCCUUUCCACCUCGUCCACGAGAAUCUUCGUCCUCUUUUUCUCUCUCUUUCUUUUCGUUUCUUUUCUUUUGCUAACCAUAACUUUCUCUCUGUAUUCGUCCUUUUUGGCCAUGAAGAAAAGCUUACACUUUUUGUCUUUUUCGAGCUCUCUUCGGCAAUUAUUAUAUGCUGAAAAGUUGCCUCCCCACUUGGCCGAGAAUCUUCCGCUUUUUGACGCGCAGAUUUUCUUGCACUCUUUUGGCCGUGAACUGAAUUCCGGUCCCUGAAUGCCGAGAUUGCUCCCUUCGUCGAGAUGGAAAUUGCACGCCCCCUUUCCUUCUUUGAUUCUCCUUCGCCUUUUCUUUCAAUUUCGACUUUUGCAGCUAAACAAGACCUUCCCUCCAUCUCACGUGUUCAGACUAGAAUCGGCUUCGAAGAUGGGUGAUGGCCGUUUUUGAAUUUCCCUCGUUACCCCCCUUGAAUGGCCGUGCUUUCUUUCCCUUCCUUAGGCCAAGUAUGAUUAGCUUAAGGCCCGGCUCAUGCGGGCUCGGCUUUCGAGCCUCAAUCAAGUUCAGGACUCAUUUCGCAUAUUGGCCCAUCUAUUCGGGCCACUCCCAAGGAAACUUAUAGCCGGAUCUACGUUUUGGGNNNNNNNNNNNNNNNNNNNNNNNNNNNNNNNNNNNNNNNNNNNNNNNNNNNNNNNNNNNNNNNNNNNNNNNNNNNNNNNNNNNNNNNNNNNNNNNNNNNNACCAAUAAUGGAAUCGAUAUAUGAUACCAGAUAAUAUUUCGAAUAUUUGUGAGAUUCGAUAAAUUGUGGAUCAUAUUGAUGAAGAUUACACAAAAGCAUACUCAAAUAUAUAGCAUCCCAAUAAAAAUAAGAUGAUUGCACUAAAAUUAGCUUGAUUUUGGAAAUUUUGCUAUGAAAUAGCCUCGAUAAUCAGAUUUAGCAAUGGAGUGAAGGAAGAGUACCACGAACAAUAUGUUUUUUAUUUAUAAAAUGGAUUGAUUUGCAAAAUUUUUAAUACGAAUUUUUUCAUAGAUUGUGAUCCAAUCAUGAGCAGCUUGAUAUAUUUUAUUCCAAAUUUUAAGGUUGCAAUUUGCUUAUUUUAAAUUUUAAAUUUAGACAUUAAAAGAAGGUAAUGAGCGAGAUGAUAAAUUUGAAUUGUUAAUUGUCAGUGUGAGAUUUUGUGGGAUUAUUGACUGUUCCAAAAGCUUAAUUAUUAAAUGAAGAUGUGGUUUAUUAUUUAAAUAUUCUAACAGUCUAGAAAGCACACAAGUCCCAAAUCAUCAUGAUUGGAUAAUCUACUUCACAACGUGUAAUGUGGAAAGCAAGCCAAAGUUUUAUAAUAUCUUGCUCACUUGAUUGCAUUUUCCUCUUCUUUUCUUUCGACCAAAGAAGUCAAAAGUCUUCCACCAUCUCACUUGCUAAGUCGCAGAGAAAGUGCCGAGGCAAAAGCAGACAAAACCUACUCAAAAGAAAAAUAACCCCCUCCUUUUCUCAUUCUUUCUUUUUUGCAGGAUUGCCCUUAGUUUCUUUUUCUAAGUGUUAAUUAAACAAGAAUAACCAGUCUAUUCACGAAACUUCCCUACGUAUCAUUACACCCAACAUGCAUCUAAAGACAUANNNNNNNNNNNNNNNNNNNNNNNNNNNNNNNNNNNNNNNNNNNNNNNNNNNNNNNNNNNNNNNNNNNNNNNNNNNNNNNNNNNNNNNNNNNNNNNNNNNNUUCGUGGUACUAUAUAUAUUGAAUUUCCUUAUAGAAUUUCCAACUUUAUCGAUCUGGUGCUUCGACUGAUUGACUCACGAAUCAGAACGUAGUUUUUCAUGUUGUGAACAAGAUGACAAAACCUGAUUAGGAUACAUGGCUACAAAUUGCCAACUCUAAUAACAAUGAUGUUGUGAUGAUGUGGAGUGGUGAGUGGCACAAAUGACAUGGUGGUUGCUUGUUGCUGACGUCAUCUUUCUUAGGACCAAACUGGCACGGUUAAGCUUGUGGUCUUGACCGUCCCACUGCAUGUGGCAGCGAUCCGAGUCUCUGUUUCCAGUGUUCAACUCUAAGGACGAUUACUGGUUCGUUGAGUAAGAAGCACGGAAGGACAGCGGGCUAUGAAGGCAAAGAUUUGGACAAGUUUCGUCGUCUCGGCAUGCGAGGGUUUCGUCCAUGGUGGAGUUUGAGUCGCAGCCUGCGUUGAUUCAACAACAUGAUUCUAGGAUUCAAAGCCUUACAUAAUGAAUUGUGUCGAAAACUAUCAAGUAGGUGGUGACGAGGUUGGAAUGAAGGAUUAUAUCAUCAAGAGACAGAUAAAUUAAAGGCCUUUUGUAUAUGUAUUAUACAAGUAAUUGUGAUCAUUUAGAUAUAACCUAAGCUAAUAUAGUGCAGAUGCACGAUAUCAUGGUUCUAGACAUAAUAUGACUAUACACAAUGUACACACUAUACUAUGCAUGUGUGAAAGAUUUGGUAAUUUGUGGAUGAUGCGCAUUACAAAUAUAUCUAACAAAUUGCAACAGUUUUUCAUAAAUUAAUGAUUUUAAUCUUAUAUUACCGUUAAAAGGUCAUAGUCCAAAGGACAUGAAACGGAUUUGGGUGUUAAUUUGAAGGGAAGUUUUUCGGCUAGUAUAUUUUGUCAUAUAUAUGGAUGUCUCUUUACUUUAACUUUAGGCUUCGAAAUAAGGUCUUGAUUCAGUGUCAAGCAUCUCAAAAAUUUAAAACUAGGAUAGGAAAUUCAAAGAUGGCGUUUUAAUUUGGUUUGUAACAAAAAAAAUGACUAUAAAUAUCUUCAAUUGUUGUGCGUGUGAAAACAAGUAUAUUAUGUGAAGGUGGNNNNNNNNNNNNNNNNNNNNNNNNNNNNNNNNNNNNNNNNNNNNNNNNNNNNNNNNNNNNNNNNNNNNNNNNNNNNNNNNNNNNNNNNNNNNNNNNNNNNUCAUCGUGAUUGUCACCGGCAAGAGGGAGAGGCUGAGUUCGCGGCGGCGUGCAUACUCUCGGCGCACAGGGCCCGCGCGUUCCAUCCCUGGCAAGUGGAAAUCGAGAGGAAGAGGGAGAGAAAAUGCGUUGUGCCGCGAGGAGGAGGAGAAGAAGCGUUGCUAGGGUUUUUGAGGAUAAAAAAAUAUAAAAAGGGUUUUGGCGUGUUGGAGGGAGGGGAAGUGACAGGAGGGGGAGGGGGAACUUGGAAGCGAUGGUGUCAGGUGUCAAGGUGGAGGGAAAAAAAAGUGAAAAAAAUUUAGGGGUGGGAAAGAAACGAGGGAAAAGGGAGUUUGGGCGCACGGGAGGGUGUGGGGGCUUUUAUUUAAUCGAAGGGGUUUGGGCGCCAGAGGGGGGGUCUUUUAUUUAAUCAAAAAAAUUGUUAAAUAAAAUUACAAAAUAAAUUUGAAAAAUAAAAAUACUGUAUGUUGAAUGAUUAGUGUAAAUUCAUUGUAGGUUUUUUUGAAUUAAUUAAUUAUUUAUAAAUUUGAAUCAAAUUAAUUAAAAAUAAAAAUAUUCAUUUAAUAUAUAACGUGUCGGAAUAUGUCAAAAUUUUCUAUUUUUGAGAAAUGAUGUGUCGACGUGUCGCUUAUCGCUUGUCCGUGUCGGUGCAAUCUAGGUCUCCAAACACAGGUCCCCUUUACACGCCCUUUUCUUAAGAUAAAUUGAUUUUUGCACACAUUGGUUCUAACUUGAACAAAAGUGGUUUGACUUCAAAAUAGGGCCAAGCUUAAAUUCAUUUUUUGGCUUUUCCCAAGUGUAAAGUGCGCCGGGCUUUGAAAUGAAAUGAUGGAAAAAUUUAAUUGUGAGGAAUAAAAUUCUUGGAAAUUAUAGAGUGCAAAGGAAAAAUGAACCUUGAGGAAGAUGCUACGGAAGUGAAUUGGACAAACUUACCGUGAAAUUGCAUCUUUUGUUCCCUCUCUCUUCCUUUUUUGGCCUUUCCACCUCGUCCACGAGAAUCUUCGUCCUCUUUUUCUCUCUCUUUCUUUUCGUUUCUUGUCUUUUGCCGACAGUAACUUUCUCUCUAUAUUCCUCCUUUUUGGCCAUGAAGAAAAGCUUAGGACGCGUUUGGUAACAUUUCUAUUUAAAAAUUGUUAUAGGAAACAUAAAUUGUUUAUGUUCAAGGAAUAAUUUUUGAACAAAAAACGCGUUUGGUAAAUUUGUUCCGGGAAUAAAAAAUGAACAGAAACACAUUUGGUAAAUUUAUAUAAAUUUUUUAUUUCUUUUAAUUUUUAAAUAUUUUUAUUUUCUUUCUUAUUUAUUUUUUUCUUUUUUCUUCUUUUGGCUGGUUGCUGGCCUCGGCCAUGGCCGGCAAUCGGCCAACGAGGGCCAGCGGCCUUGCCCAGCCACGGCGAGGCUUGCCAGCCCCUAGUGAGGCCGAACUCGCCUAGCAGCCGGCGAGGCUCGGUGUCGCCGACCUGGUAGUGGCUCAGUGAGGCCAAGCCUCGCCGGCCGUUGGGCGAGCUCGACCUUGCCGGAUUUGGGCAAGAUCGAGCUUGCCCAGCCCGAUGCAAGGUCGGCCUCGCUUUGGCUGGGCAAGCUCGAGCUCGCCUAAAUCUGGCGAGGCUGAGCUCGCCCAGUGGCCGGCGAGGCUCGGUAUCACCGGGCCAUCGCCAAGUGCCGUCGCUGGCUGUUGAGCGAGCUCGGCCUCACUGGAUUUGGGCGAGCUUGAGCUGGCCCAGCGGUCGGCAACGUUUCGGCGAGAUCAUCGGCCCUCGACGGUCGGUCACCGGUCAUGGUCGAGGCCGGCGAUCGGCCAAAGAAAAAAGAAAGAAAAAAGAAGAAGAAAAAACAGAGAAGAAAAUGGAAAGUGUUCCUAAAUUUUGUUCCAGAAACAAUAAACAACUUUUUUUUUUGUUUUUUGUUUUUUUUUUUACAGAUGUGUUUCUAGGAACAAAAGAAUAAUUUUGGAAUAAAAAUGCAAACAAACGAGUUUUUGUUCCUUUUUUAUUCCCAGGAACAAAAAGAAAUAUUUAAAAAUAAAAAAAAGAAAUCAAAACAAACACGGCCUUAAAAUUUUUUUUCUUUUUCGAGCUCUCUUUGGCAAUUAUUAUAUGCUAAAAAGUUGCCUCCCCACUUGGCCGAGAAAUCAUUGGAAUUCGCCCCAGUAGCCACCCUUCCAACAUGGAAGGGGGAGAUGAUGGAUUCAAAUCCCCACCUUCUCAGGGGGGAUGGGGUGAGAACGCAUAAGUUUCAGGAGUGGAUUUCGACUCUCACGCCAUGCAAGAGGCAGGACAAAAGUCUGAGAGAGUGUAGAGUAGGUAUAGAGUAAGACUGACAAAAAAAAAAAAUUGACCGAGAAUCUUCCGCUUUUUGAUGCGCAGAUUUUCUUGCACUCUUUUGGCCGUGAAUUCCGGUCCCUGAAUGCGGAGAUUGUUCCCUUCGUCAAGAUGGAAAUUGCACGCCCCUUUCCUUCUUUGAUUCUCCUUUGCCUUUUCUUUCAAUUUCGACUUUUGCAGCUAAACAUGACCUUCCCUGCAUCUUGCGUGUUCAGACUAGAAUCGGCUUCGAAAAUGGGUGCUGGCCGUUUUUGAAUUUCCCUCGUUACCCCCCCUGAAUGGCCCUGCUUCCUUUCCCUUCAUUAGGCCGAGUAUGAUUAGCUUAAGGCCCGGCUCAUGCGGGCUUGGCUUUCGAGCCUCAAGUGAGUUCAAGACUCAUUUCACAUAUUGGCCCAUCUAUUUGGGCCACUCCCAAGGAAACUUAUAGCCGGAUCUACGUUUUGGGCAGUGCGAAUGCUUUAUGCCCAACUUUUGAACGUCCCUAAUGGGUGCGUUUGGUUCAGCAUUUGGAAAGUCCAUUGGAAAAAUGCAAAGCAGUUUAGCCUAAAGGGCUUUGGAGGGAAUACAAAGACUGUUUGGUAAAUUCUGCUUUGGAAAGCAACUUUGAGAUAAAUGCUGUUUGGUAAAAAAACACAUUUAGAAAGCCCAUUUGAGUGAUUAAUAUUAGCUUUUUAGUUUUUAUAUGUUUAAAAUUGACAAAAAUAAUGCAUGCAACUUCUUUUAAUUUAAAUUUUGACGACAAUGCUAAAAAAUAUCAAAUGGAAAAAAUUCACAUCAAAGUGGUCUCUUUCUUAAUUUUAAAAAAAAACCUUUAUUAUAAUAAAUGGAAUAACAUCUGCCCCGAGGAAAUAAAUUUAUUAUCCUUUAAAAUUACAAACAUCCUUAAAUAUUUCCUAAACUUAGAGCCAUUUGAUCAAGCUAGAAUACUAUGUACAACAAACCUUGAUACAACACAGUUUCUCAAAUAUCUAUUCUCCGUUUACAUGCAAAGCGUACAUAAAAGUUCAAAUGCUCCUGUCAUAGAUAGAAUUAAGGGUCAUUGUAGCACAUAAGCUGCCAUGUCUUUUGACCACAAAGAUGAUUUGUCUGGCCUGCUUGACUCCCCAGAUGAAGUGGAGGAUGAAUCCUUUGAGUGACCUCUCAGACCUUCAUCAGCAAUUAGAUCCAUGAAUUUUGAAAGUGACAAGGUGUCGAUAUUUCACUGUCAUUAACCUCAGCUAAGCUCAUUAGCAUCUUCACGACAGUCAACAUGGAUGUUUGAAGCCCUGGUAUACCCUGUGUUCAAAGAAGACCAAUCUUCAUGAAUAGGCAUGCCUCUUACCUAUGAUGUUCCCCAUCCAGAGAUGUACCACUAAGAUCAUUAGCUCCCCUUUCUUGUGCAACUUCCAUGCCCAUAACACAUUGUACAUGUAGAUCAAGAGAUACAUGCAUUUGCAGCAUCACGACUCAACUUCUAAGCCAACAAGAGCAAGAAAGUCUCCAAACCCCAAGCCUAUCUGUCCACAUAAUCCCCAAUUAAACACAGAACCGAUUUUCACAAGAAAGACCCUCCUUAACAGGAACAAAACAUUGUGAAGUUGCCCAUGAACAUCCAGGUUGCAUAACAUAACACAAAAUUGACAUGUAUUCUUUAUACCCAUUCAUUGCCCACUCAUUCUAGCAAGUAUCAGCUAUAUGAAUAAACAUCCAUGUUGCAAAACAAAACACAAAAACCAGUGCAUAACGCGUAACUGGCACGUAUGACUUUGAUAGCAAAAAAUUUGUUGCAACAUAAUACAAACUGGGAUGCUAGAUUAAGCAUACAUAUAGCACCAAAUAAGGAGCAGAUCAGGGCAUCAACAAAUUUGGGCAGCAUGAGUUAAAGAACCUACUGUCAACAGGUGAAUGAACACCCCAAAGCAGGAAUGGGAUUAUGAUGGAUAGCAAUUAAAUGAAGUUCCAUAAGGUCAUUCCGCAUCCACGCAUCACUCAAUGCACUCACCCCUGCAGUCAAACUCUCCAGGAACUCAAUCAUCUUCUCGAUCGAGAGCCCUCGAGACUUGGCAUUCUCGCCUGGUGGGGAUAUCAAACAGAACAGAGAGAGAGAGACAACAGUCAGCAAAAAAUGCCGCGGCGACAUCGACCCCAGCGUCGACCCUGACCCCAAUCCUGACGACGCCGUUGACGAGAUCGACACGCGCGUCGGAUCCUCGACGCCGGCGUGGCCCGGAUCCUCCGCGGUGCCAUACGCGAGUGCGAGGUGGAAGCUCUCAGACGUCCGGUUCCAUCCCACCCAAGACAUUCCUGAUCGGGGAUCCGCCGAUCUCGCGCGCCGCUCAUCGGCCUCUCGGCCGAUCGAUCGCGGCGGUCGUCUUCGUCGGCGGCAGCGACACUGACUGGCGGCGGCAGAUCGGAGGACGGCAAUCGAGCUCGCAGUGAGAGAGUGAUGGGGAAGGGUGCAGAGCGUGGGGGAGGGUGGAGAGAGAAGGUGAUCUGGGGUUUUAGUUUCGAAAUGGGUAAAAUUGGUUUUUCAGUAAAGUUUUGAGGGUAAAAUAGGUAAUGUACUAAUUUUCAUUAAAUGAACUCUUCAGCAUUCCCAAAGUAGACUUUCACUUGAAAGCCCCUUGGGAAUGGUUGCCAAACACCCCUGUUUAGGGUGAAAGGGCUUUGGGGCUUGGAUGGGCUUUCUAAAUGCCCAUCCAAACGCACCCAAUGUCUAAAUGUGAAGAAAUACGGUAGCAGCUGCAAAUGCAAGACCAUGCAAGAUUGAUGUUUUUUGUUUAGUCAUACUCUAUCGAAUUAGAGCCUAGUUUUCUUAUUAAAUGAAUGAGAAGUCUUCGAAUGAAAAUUCAGGUGUCCGAAAUCAGAUCAACAAUAGUAGCUAAAGCUUGAAGAAAGUAAAAAAUGACCAAUUGUUCUUAACGGGCAAUAGAUAGAAAGUGACGUUAACAUGGAUUCCAUCCUCGUAAUAACUAAAAUGAUGAUGAUAUUGAACAUUUUAAAAUAGUACAGGACCAUGAUCAAUUAAAUGAUAAGGAAUCAUGACAUAUAUUAGACAANNNNNNNNNNNNNNNNNNNNNNNNNNNNNNNNNNNNNNNNNNNNNNNNNNNNNNNNNNNNNNNNNNNNNNNNNNNNNNNNNNNNNNNNNNNNNNNNNNNNNNNNNNNNNNNNNNNNNNNNNNNNNNNNNNNNNNNNNNNNNNNNNNNNNNNNNNNNNNNNNNNNNNNNNNNNNNNNNNNNNNNNNNNNNNNNNNNNNNNNNNNNNNNNNNNNNNNNNNNNNNNNNNNNNNNNNNNNNNNNNNNNNNNNNNNNNNNNNNNNNNNNNNNNNNNNNNNNNNNNNNNNNNNNNNNNNNNNNNNNNNNNNNNNNNNNNNNNNNNNNNNNNNNNNNNNNNNNNNNNNNNNNNNNNNNNNNNNNNNNNNNNNNNNNNNNNNNNNNNNNNNNNNNNNNNNNNNNNNNNNNNNNNNNNNNNNNNNNNNNNNNNNNNNNNNNNNNNNNNNNNNNNNNNNNNNNNNNNNNNNNNNNNNNNNNNNNNNNNNNNNNNNNNNNNNNNNNNNNNNNNNNNNNNNNNNNNNNNNNNNNNNNNNNNNNNNNNNNNNNNNNNNNNNNNNNNNNNNNNNNNNNNNNNNNNNNNNNNNNNNNNNNNNNNNNNNNNNNNNNNNNNNNNNNNNNNNNNNNNNNNNNNNNNNNNNNNNNNNNNNNNNNNNNNNNNNNNNNNNNNNNNNNNNNNNNNNNNNNNNNNNNNNNNNNNNNNNNNNNNNNNNNNNNNNNNNNNNNNNNNNNNNNNNNNNNNNNNNNNNNNNNNNNNNNNNNNNNNNNNNNNNNNNNNNNNNNNNNNNNNNNNNNNNNNNNNNNNNNNNNNNNNNNNNNNNNNNNNNNNNNNNNNNNNNNNNNNNNNNNNNNNNNNNNNNNNNNNNNNNNNNNNNNNNNNNNNNNNNNNNNNNNNNNNNNNNNNNNNNNNNNNNNNNNNNNNNNNNNNNNNNNNNNNNNNNNNNNNNNNNNNNNNNNNNNNNNNNNNNNNNNNNNNNNNNNNNNNNNNNNNNNNNNNNNNNNNNNNNNNNNNNNNNNNNNNNNNNNNNNNNNNNNNNNNNNNNNNNNNNNNNNNNNNNNNNNNNNNNNNNNNNNNNNNNNNNNNNNNNNNNNNNNNNNNNNNNNNNNNNNNNNNNNNNNNNNNNNNNNNNNNNNNNNNNNNNNNNNNNNNNNNNNNNNNNNNNNNNNNNNNNNNNNNNNNNNNNNNNNNNNNNNNNNNNNNNNNNNNNNNNNNNNNNNNNNNNNNNNNNNNNNNNNNNNNNNNNNNNNNNNNNNNNNNNNNNNNNNNNNNNNNNNNNNNNNNNNNNNNNNNNNNNNNNNNNNNNNNNNNNNNNNNNNNNNNNNNNNNNNNNNNNNNNNNNNNNNNNNNNNNNNNNNNNNNNNNNNNNNNNNNNNNNNNNNNNNNNNNNNNNNNNNNNNNNNNNNNNNNNNNNNNNNNNNNNNNNNNNNNNNNNNNNNNNNNNNNNNNNNNNNNNNNNNNNNNNNNNNNNNNNNNNNNNNNNNNNNNNNNNNNNNNNNNNNNNNNNNNNNNNNNNNNNNNNNNNNNNNNNNNNNNNNNNNNNNNNNNNNNNNNNNNNNNNNNNNNNNNNNNNNNNNNNNNNNNNNNNNNNNNNNNNNNNNNNNNNNNNNNNNNNNNNNNNNNNNNNNNNNNNNNNNNNNNNNNNNNNNNNNNNNNNNNNNNNNNNNNNNNNNNNNNNNNNNNNNNNNNNNNNNNNNNNNNNNNNNNNNNNNNNNNNNNNNNNNNNNNNNNNNNNNNNNNNNNNNNNNNNNNNNNNNNNNNNNNNNNNNNNNNNNNNNNNNNNNNNNNNNNNNNNNNNNNNNNNNNNNNNNNNNNNNNNNNNNNNNNNNNNNNNNNNNNNNNNNNNNNNNNNNNNNNNNNNNNNNNNNNNNNNNNNNNNNNNNNNNNNNNNNNNNNNNNNNNNNNNNNNNNNNNNNNNNNNNNNNNNNNNNNNNNNNNNNNNNNNNNNNNNNNNNNNNNNNNNNNNNNNNNNNNNNNNNNNNNNNNNNNNNNNNNNNNNNNNNNNNNNNNNNNNNNNNNNNNNNNNNNNNNNNNNNNNNNNNNNNNNNNNNNNNNNNNNNNNNNNNNNNNNNNNNNNNNNNNNNNNNNNNNNNNNNNNNNNNNNNNNNNNNNNNNNNNNNNNNNNNNNNNNNNNNNNNNNNNNNNNNNNNNNNNNNNNNNNNNNNNNNNNNNNNNNNNNNNNNNNNNNNNNNNNNNNNNNNNNNNNNNNNNNNNNNNNNNNNNNNNNNNNNNNNNNNNNNNNNNNNNNNNNNNNNNNNNNNNNNNNNNNNNNNNNNNNNNNNNNNNNNNNNNNNNNNNNNNNNNNNNNNNNNNNNNNNNNNNNNNNNNNNNNNNNNNNNNNNNNNNNNNNNNNNNNNNNNNNNNNNNNNNNNNNNNNNNNNNNNNNNNNNNNNNNNNNNNNNNNNNNNNNNNNNNNNNNNNNNNNNNNNNNNNNNNNNNNNNNNNNNNNNNNNNNNNNNNNNNNNNNNNNNNNNNNNNNNNNNNNNNNNNNNNNNNNNNNNNNNNNNNNNNNNNNNNNNNNNNNNNNNNNNNNNNNNNNNNNNNNNNNNNNNNNNNNNNNNNNNNNNNNNNNNNNNNNNNNNNNNNNNNNNNNNNNNNNNNNNNNNNNNNNNNNNNNNNNNNNNNNNNNNNNNNNNNNNNNNNNNNNNNNNNNNNNNNNNNNNNNNNNNNNNNNNNNNNNNNNNNNNNNNNNNNNNNNNNNNNNNNNNNNNNNNNNNNNNNNNNNNNNNNNNNNNNNNNNNNNNNNNNNNNNNNNNNNNNNNNNNNNNNNNNNNNNNNNNNNNNNNNNAAAAAUUACUAUAGUAGUCCAAUUUCCUUCUCUAUAACGUACAGGUGGAAUAGACCUUGGCUAAAUUAUAAAGUAGAUAAAAGGCCUUUCCUAUACUCAAUCCAUAUAAAUCACUAAGAAUGAGAAGUUAUUACUAUCAGUCUGAAUUGGUUUCGACAGGGACUGACGAAGCUGCUGGGAUGCCCCGAAGGCGAUGAAGGAGCAGAGGCUGGAGAGCUACUUCGGCCGGACGAUCGCGUCGAAUGCCAGCAUGAGCAUCUGUCAGUUCCUCUUUAAGUUGCUUUUGAGUGUGGGGGGCUUUUUGGUUCUUUUGAUUGGGGGAUUAGGUUGUGGUUGGGAGGAAGGGGACUCAGAUGCUCACCAAUGAGGCUGGUGGAUUAGGUCGUAAGACUCCAUGGAAAUGAAAAUCAAAUUCGCUCGAGGUUCGUACGGUUUAUGAAUGAACUGUCAACUAGCCUUCCGUUUUGAUGCUUAAGAUGCUAUUGUAAUGCGAUGUGAUCUUUGUGCUUGGAAAGUGUCGAGUUUGAGCUGCUUUUUGAUUUGCUUUCCCACCUAGUCAUCUGCAAGGCAUGUUUUACCGGACGAUUAGGCUGUUGGAAGAGGGGAUAAAGCCAGUGUAAACUUUUUUUUUUUACCUCCUGUGUUUUCAUUGGGAUGGGAUGCUAGAAGAAUGAUGCUUGCGCUUCUCUAAAUCAUGUUUUACUGUUGUUAUGAUAGCUAUGUAUUUGACGGUCGACCUCCUGAUUUGAAGAAGCAAGAGCUUGCAAAAGGGUACUUUAUUAUUAAGCAGCCUUCCAUUUUCCAUUUUUUCUUUUUUCCUUUUUUGCAAUUGUCUAUGAAUAUGUUUAGUUACCUUAAAUGAAUCUCUGAGCAGUUUUUCAAAGAGGGAAGAUGCCUUCGAGGAGUUGGCAGUAGCCUUGCGGUAUAUGCAUCUCUCUCUCUCUCUCUCUCACACACACACACACACACACACAUAAGCAAGCAGAAACACAGUGUGCAAGAAGGCUUUGUGAGCUCUGUAUUUGUUACCUGCAGUCUCAGAACAAGGAAGACAUCAAGAAAUUCAGUAAAAGAACUAUCAAGGUUGGUCCCGUUUUGGUUUCCUUACGGUGCAAUAUUUUUGUCCUAUUUGAUGUGAAGUUUGAUUUUGUCUCUGUUUUCCAGAAAAACCUAUCUGCAUAGCUAACUGGAUAUGUGUGUGCUUGUGCUACAUGGCUUUGAUACCCUUGCAGGUGACACAACAGCAUAAUGAAGGCUGCAAAAAACUAUUAAGACUUAUGGGUGUCCCAGUAGUUGAGGUUACAAGUCUGUCUAGAAAGGUUAUUCAUUAUUAUUUCUAACAAAAAGUUUAGAUACCAGGUUCUGUUUUUGUAUGUUAGGCUCCUUCAGGAGCAGAGGCACAGUGUGCUGCACUUUGCAAAGCUAGAAAGGCAAGUAUCCUCCUGUUUGAUCGACUUCUGAUUUAGGAUAGUUCAUUUUUUUCCAUGAUUACCAAUCGUUUAACUCUUUGUAAAUUACCAUUUUAUUUCCUUGAUUUGAUUUCCUUUUCACUCACACAUAUGCUUGUUCACUAUCAUUGCUCAAUUUUUGUGUGUUAACCGGAACUCUUUUAUAAUGAACGGUGCUUUAGCUGUAAUUUUUGUUUUUCAGGUUUAUGCAGUUGCUUCUGAAGAUGUGGAUUCCCUUACUUUUGGAGCUCCUAUAUUUCUUCGCCAUUCGAUGGAUCCCAGCUCAAGAAAAGUUCAAGUCAUGGAAUUUGAAAUUUCCAGGGUACUUAGAAAAGUUUAUUCAUUGUGUUUGCUUAAAUUUUUUUCUCACUUUCAUGACUUUUAGAUCUUGGAGGAGAUGAAUCUGGAUAUGGAUCAAUUCAUUGACCUGUGCAUCCUCUCUGGAUGUGAUUANNNNNNNNNNNNNNNNNNNNNNNNNNNNNNNNNNNNNNNNNNNNNNNNNNNNNNNNNNNNNNNNNNNNNNNNNNNNNNNNNNNNNNNNNNNNNNNNNNNNNNNNNNNNNNNNNNNNNNNNNNNNNNNNNNNNNNNNNNNNNNNNNNNNNNNNNNNNNNNNNNNNNNNNNNNNNNNNNNNNNNNNNNNNNNNNNNNNNNNNNNNNNNNNNNNNNNNNNNNNNNNNNNNNNNNNNNNNNNNNNNNNNNNNNNNNNNNNNNNNNNNNNNNNNNNNNNNNNNNNNNNNNNNNNNNNNNNNNNNNNNNNNNNNNNNNNNNNNNNNNNNNNNNNNNNNNNNNNNNNNNNNNNNNNNNNNNNNNNNNNNNNNNNNNNNNNNNNNNNNNNNNNNNNNNNNNNNNNNNNNNNNNNNNNNNNNNNNNNNNNNNNNNNNNNNNNNNNNNNNNNNNNNNNNNNNNNNNNNNNNNNNNNNNNNNNNNNNNNNNNNNNNNNNNNNNNNNNNNNNNNNNNNNNNNNNNNNNNNNNNNNNNNNNNNNNNNNNGAUUCAGUGUUUACUUGAUGAUUUAUCAGUAUGAGGCUGAGUGCUCUAGCUUAUAUGUCACAUGGUUCCCAUAGAAACAUACUAGAGACAUAAUAGAGAGGUGCUUCUGUGCUCUAUCUCGUCCCCUGACUUGUAAGCAAAAUUAGGCAGCAAAGUUUCUCACUGUAAUAGUCUUGGCUGCUGAAUUCCUUGACUUCAAAGAAUUAUCUCUCAAAUUCAGCCGGUGUGGAAAAAUUUCGUCAACAGUUUGAAACUGAAAGAUCAUUUGCCACCAAUAGAUUUGGGCUGGCAAUCAGUGCAUUGGCCAUGCUACUUCGUGUGUUGAUUUACUAUAAUACUUUUAUCUAUUCGGAUGUCUGCUUUGUCUGUUCCUUCAUGUCACUUGAGCAAAUUCAUAUGGUUUCUCUAUCCUUAAGACCCAGAGGUUCCUUGCAUUACUUGAAGUCUUAAUUCAGUUCGGUUAUCCUUCUUAGGGAAAUGUUUGCUUGUUUUAUGAAUAGGCAUCAGAUACCAGAUAAUUGGCCCUACAGCGAAGCUCGACUGCUUUUCAAGGGACCAAUAGUUUCUACGGAAGAACAACCUGAGAUAAAAUGGACUGCCCCAACGAGGAGGUGGGCCAUUUUCAUGUUGAGAUUUACUUGCAACGUUUCACUUUCUGAAUUUUUGACUCGUUUCCUAACUGAUUGUUAUUUCCCUUUCAAGGGCUUAAUUUCUUUUCUCAUGAAUGAGAAUGGGUUCAACAUUGACAGAAUGACGAAGGUAUGGCUUUUAUAUUCAGUAAUGUGUUGGCCAGUUGUCUACUGGAGGAAGUUGCUUCUUUUCCUCUGAAGGAGAGAGCAUACAUGUUUUCAAUGUUGUUUUAUCAUGUGUAUCGGGCAAUAGAGAAGAUUAAGGCAGCUAAGGAUGAGUCAUCACAAGGCCGGUAACUUAAGCUUGAACAAAUGAAAGUGACUUCCAAAAUGCACUUUUUCUUAUCCGAUGACUCCUUUCGUUUACUCUGUACAGAAUAGAAUCCUUCUUUAAGCCAGCUAAGAAUAUCUAUACCUCCUAAGAGGAAGGAAUGAACUCAAUCCCCAGCAGCUCUUUAAUAAGAGAAAAGAAGAAACGUGAGAAACAGUCUAGAUGAGUCUUUUUUUGAAAGCGUAAUAUUAUUUAUGUAAACAUAGCCAUAGCCUCUGCUUUGCCUAUAGUAAUAUUACAUAUUCAAAUGAUUGCUAAAGUUCCCAAUUCUCCACGAGACGUGUCCCAUCAAAGUAAAUUUGAAUUCUAAGGAGAAUGUGCAUGCAAAUGCCUUUCUCACUCGGACCUUGUGAUAACUUCUACUCCCCUGGAACAAAAAGGAAAUAUUGUUAGCACCAGGCAUUAUCAUAUGCAAAAUCACGAAAACGACAAAUGAAUCUUCAAUUGACAUCUCUAUGGUAAUUAAUUAGGGAUAAGUCGAUCUCCAAUGACAAUGAUAAUGAUGAUUGUAGAUAAAAUGGUCGUCAUCAAAUCAAUUCCCCUAAAAAAAGAACAAAACUCACUUGGAGAAGUUAUUUGACAAACAUGCAUCUUAUAGGUGAUCCUUUUGCACCAGGCAAUCUCAAAGGCAGAAAUAGACUUUAUACAAUCUUAUAGGUACAUCUUCGAGUUUCAGGCUCUCAACAAUAAUAAUUUCCUAUAGCUUUACUAUAGUGUAUGUUCCUUGAGCCUAGACUUCCUAUGAGAAUGCAACGAUGUGAAAUUUGGGAAAAAUCACCAACACUAGUUAAGCCCAAGAUGACAAUUCAACAAUGAAACAUGUUUAUUCUUAACUUUGAUGAGGAAAUUUGUCAUUCAUCAAAUCAAUUUCUUACCUAGCUGGCAAGGAAGAUAAGGUCGGAUGGCAUCAAAUCAUCAUAUGCAGCAACAUACAAGUAAUCAAUUUAUGCAUUGAAUAGCACAGACUGUGUCAUGCAAGAUUGCAUCUCAAUCUACAAGUUGUAGAACAAGAAAGAAAUUAGUUGAUCAAGUUGCACUAUUUCUCAAGGGUAGGUUUAGAAAAAAAAUGAACCUGUGUAGUGCUCAAAAGCCUAAUAGUGUCACGCUUCGAUCCUCGAGCACGUGUCCAUUCCUCGGUGGUCGAUUAAAUUGGGAUAGCUCAGGACACGUCAUCGACCCAUUCAUUUUAAUAUGCAUGUGGAAGUGAACUAUUACCCCUAACAACAACUAAUAUGGGAUAGAAAAUGUGACAUCCUGAAAUUCGACCCCGUUUCGAUAAAAUGAAAUGUGCAUAUCGUUGGCGUGCCUACGGUCCUUUUUCUCUGAGCUGAUCACUCAUGAGUUAACUAACUUAUUGGGUGAAGCCGUUAAGGGAUAUAUCCGCGGUAAAAUCCCUAAAAGCUACCUAAUUUGUUGGAUUGGACUAAAUCACGUCCGGUCGAUUUUAAUCAUGGAAUUUGAUUCGAUUUCGGGAAUCGGAAAAUUCGAGCGUGUCACAAUUCAAAUUUUGGACCUUGUCUCAUCGUCCGUCAAAUUAUCGGCGAGUCCGAAAUUUCAAGAAAGAAAUUAUCGGAGGAAAAAUCGAAGACCGGAAGAAAUUAGAAAGGGAAAGAGAAAAGAAAAAUAAGAAAAAUAUAAUUUUAGAUUUCUUUUCUCUCCCUCCCUUUUCUCUCUUUCUUCUCUCUCUCUUCUCUCUCCUCCCCUCCCCCACUCGUGCGACUCCCCCAGCCGACCACCCCUUUUUGCUUUCUUCCACUUUGCUUUACUUUAUUUUAUUUCUCUUUUUGGACCGGUCAAAAUCUUUCUCUCUCUUCUUGCCUCCUCCCUCACGUUAUCUUCUCCUUCUUCUUCGUUCUUCUCUGUGCAAAACCGAACCAGAAGUUGCAGGAGAUCGGAAGCCCAAGCCAGCCGCCGACGCCGCCUGUCCCGCCGCCGCACCGCACGCCCGUGCGCCACCCGCACGUCCGCCGUUCGUUGCCCGUGCACCGCUCGCGCUUGCCGAUCCUCCCGCGCGACCCAGCUACCGUUCGGCCUCUGUUCAGCCACCGUGAGCGGCUGAGCAGGCCGCCGGAGCCGCCGUCCGGCCUCGCCGGAGCUCCACCCGCUCUCCCUACCUCUUACCGGCCCCAACCCUCUCUUUUUCCCUCUGUUUUGCAGCCGAUCCAGCAAACCCGCGAGUGGGUUUCAGCCGGUUCGUGGGCCAUUUCGGGCCGUUUCCGGGCCCCGAAACCGAGCCAUGCUUUGGGAAGUUUCGUUCCUCGCGUCGCCGCCGUCGGAUUGAUCCGAUUAGCGCGCGAUUUGGUGAGUAAUCUCACUAAUCCUUGCUUAGUGGACUAAUUACGCUUAUUGAUUGUUUAGUUGUAAUUAAUUUGGUUGAUGUGUUAGAUUAGUAUAAAUUAGUAUUUAUUAGUCAAUCGUGAUACAAAUUAGAUAAAUUAAAUGUGUAUUUAGCAAGUAGACAUGGUCUACUAUUGAUUGGAAGUGCCUCGGGAUUUUUCCCGACCCUUAGUGGGCCCCAAUUAGGCUUUUCGGGCCUAAGUGGAUUUUUUUGUAUUUAAAUAUUAAUUUUCGGAAUUAAAUUAAAUAAUUAUUUAUUUUCCGAAAAUUCAGCUGAGAUGGUCCGGGACCGGAAUAUUGUGCUGGUGAUUGUGGUGAAGUCCGUUUACUUAAUCGGGCUUUAAUUUGAGCUAAAUGGCAUUUUAAUAUUAAUUAUUUAAUAUUCGAAAUUAAUUAAAUAAUUAUUUAUUUUCCAAAAAUUCAGUUGAGAUGGUCUGGAACCGGAAUAUUGUGCUGAUGACCGUGGUGAAGUCCGUUUAUUUAAUCGGGCUUUAGUUUGAGCUGAAGCGAAUUUUUUAUGUUAAUUAUUUAAUUUUCGAAAUUAAUUAAUUAAUUAUUUAUUGUCCGAAAAUUCAAUUGAGAUGGCUAGUGACCAGAAUAUUAUGCUGAUAAUUGUGGUGAAGUCCGUUUAUUUAAUCGGACUUUAAUUUGAAUUAAAUUGAAUUUUUAAUAUUUAUUAAUUAAUUAUUUAUUUUUCGGAAAUUAAGAUUGAGAUGAUUGAUGACUGAAAUCUCGUGCUGAUUGUCCUGGCGCAGCCCGUUUAUUUAAUUGAACUCUACGUUGCUUGGAAUUAAGUAAAUUGUGAUAUUUUAGGGAUUUACCCUAAAUUGAUUGAAAUUGAAUUAUCAAUUGGUAGUCGGCUGAGUAUGGUUAUUUAGCAUUUUGAAUGCCUUGUUGAGCCGUAAGUGGAGGAAGUGGUGAGAACUAACUGAGCAUGCUAUUGGCUGAGAUCGAUCAAGUACGAAGUAUAGACAGGCGUGGUUCGGUGAUUAAGGAUAUCACUGUGCGAAAACGACGCCUUAAAGAACGCACGUAGACUGUCUAUGAUCUAUGACGGGCGUGGUUCGGUGAUGAGGAAUAUCACUGUGCGAAAACGGCGCCUUAAAGAACGCACGUAGACCGUCUGUUACUUAUGUCACCCUGGCGAAAAUGACGCCCGAGAGCAUUGAUGGAGCUCUGUGACUAAGUGUACUAUUGGAGGUUAUGUGGGAUGGAGUGAAUGAAGUAGAAAUGAUUCGAUUGACUUGUAAUCGUCUAGUUCGAUUGAUCAAUGAUUGAGCCGAUUGUUGUGGUUUGAUUGAUUGUUCGUUGUGAUUUAUGAAGUGUCUAUAUAUAACCUUGAAUUGCAGGUUGAGACUGAGGCCAAGGUAAGUUCUCUGGCUCAUGCUGUGCUUAGGCAAUCGAGUAGUGUAUUGGUUCCCUAAUUGAGUCUUAGUGGGGUAGAACUCGCUGAGACGUAGUCUCAUCCCAGUUUGGGGAAAACAUUUCAGGACCCCGUUGAGGAGCUGAGGAGGAAGAGUCUGUGAAGAAGAAGUAUUUUUGGAAGAAGAUAAUCCCGAGGGAGAUCUUGAGUACGACCCAGGUGGACUGAAAUGUCAUCUUCUUUUGUGCCCCCAUUUUGAAGUGAAUAGAGUAAAGUAAAGAGUUGUGAAGAGUGUGGAGUACUUUGGUUUAUGUCAUGUAUAAAGGUUUGGUUGUAAAUUUCAAUAUGAAAAAUAUGGCCCUGCUUUUCUAUCCCAUCGAUUUAUUGUCUGGGGAUUUUGACUGCUUUCGCAUGUGCUUAAUAAAAUAAAGGGUCGGCGAUACUAGUCCUAGGAUAUCGCAUACUAAAAUUGACCAAAGAUAGAAGGAUGUGUGCGUGCCCGAUGAUCGGGGCGUGACAGAAAAGCAGGACAACAAAUUUUAAAUCAAUCAACAUAGCUUUUAUAAACAAUCUGGUUUACAAACAGAAGCCAACUCUAGGGUCUAAGUACAUGAGGUCUAUCUCUAAAAUGAACUUCUGAGCCACCCAUGCUCCUGACCCUUCUGUCUCAAGCACUGGGUUCUUUACACUAGGGACCUGAAAAGUGAAGCCCAUGACGGGGUGAGACAAUGUUUCAGCAAGUUUACCUUCUAAACCCUGACUAGGAAGGAAAUGCGCCUAAAGGCCGUCUAUGCACACACAGGACAGAGGACUUACCUUGCCUUAAUUCAUUCCUACAAGUUAGUACGGUUCAUAUACUCAACCAAUCAACUCAAUUCAAUUCAAACCAACCCAUCGAUCAAUCGAUCCACUCAAAUCAAUACCAUUAGUACUAUUGAUCAAUUUGAUAUGACCACUGCUCACAUCAGCUGACAUAGAUAGUAUUUGCUCUCACAAGCUGCAAUAUAUGGUCAUAGCUCUCACAAGCUGAUAUAGAUAGAUAGUAGCUCGCCCAAGUUGAUAUAUAUAUAGAUCGUGCUCUCACAAGCUGAUAAAACGAUCAUAGCUCACACAAGCUGAUAUAUGUAUAUAUAGAUUGUGCUCCCACAAGUUGAUAAAACAAUCAUAGCACACACAAGCUGAUAAUGUAUACUGUUCUCACAAGCUGACAUAUCAAGCUCAUAAGCUGAUAUAGUAUAUUGCUCUCACAAGCUGACGAUAAAUAUGCUCGCACAAGCUGAUAAUAUAUGCUCUCACAAGCUGAUAAUUCACUGUGUUAAAAAUACCCAAUAAAAAUAAUCAUGUGUUGGUACACAGUCAGCCUAAGCCAAAAACGUAAUAUCUUUCUUUUCAAAAAUCUCACUAUUUAAUAUAGUCCAUAAACACAUUUUUGGCAUUGUAAACCGAUGCCUGGUAUUUUCUAAUUAAAAUGCCAAAAUCACACAAUUUGGGAUAAAUACCAAAAACUACACUUUCCACUCAAUUUGCACAAAUUAGCACUCAAUUAAAUAAACCAAACCUACCAUUGCAAUCAACACGAAAUUCUGGUCACCGGCUAUCUCGAUAUAAUUUCCAAAAAAACUAAAUUAUUGUUUUUUGUUAUUUUGAAUUUCUUAUAUUAGAAUCCAAAUAUUAUUUAUAUUGAAAUAUAAUUUUAAUUUUUUAAUUAAUGUUAUUUGAGAAAAAAAAUUCUAUUAUAGAUAUUAGAAAUCCUAUCCGCCUUUAUUUUACCUCCCCCUUAGAAUAAUUUUAUUUAAUCUAUAUUUCUUUUAUAUCCAAUUUUAUCCUAUCAUAAGUAGACAACAAAUGCAGGAUGUGAUAUAUUUUAUCUUAACUUAAAUUUUCUCCUCUCCACCAAACGUAGGUUGAGACUAUAAAGGAUAAGAUAAGAACACUUGCCACUCAAGGACCAAAAUCCAAGACAGCUCAAGAACAGUUUUGUUAGCAAAAUGGAUUCAAGGUAGGAAGUAAUUACUUUCCACUAUAGAUGAAGUUGUCGAAAAUGAGGAUAUUAAUGUUUGAAACUGCAAGAUUCCCCAAGCCCUCCAACAAGUGUGAACACGAAAUUCUCUUGAAAUGUUGGAAGGUUUUUACCACCAUCUACACACCAAAUCAAAUAAAAAAUAAGAUGUCUAUUUGCAUAGUUUUCCUAAGUACCUCAAUAGCAGAAACUUCCCCUAUCAAACCCCUGUAACAAAACUCUAUAUCCAGAUCUGAAUAGGGAGAGGUAAUUGUGCAAACAUAUGGUGUGCAAUUUAGAAUUACCAGUAAGUGUUCUGGUGCGGAACUUGGUGCUGCCAUAUUCUAGCCACCAAUGGGGCUCUAAAGGCAAUGGCAAAGGCAGAGGCAGUGGCAACACAUCAAAAAAUGCAACGAAUCUAAGCUCGCCAGAUGCAGAUGACGAUUUAGAGCCGCCAACGAGACUCCUAGAUACUAUGGUGGAGUGGAGGCAGCAUUUGAGGUGUCACCCCAAAACUCUCCAUUACCAAAAAUUUCCUGCUUCUUUAAAGAUUCCAAGUGAUUGAGACCUUGCAUGCUUUUUAGCUUACGACAAUACUUUACUUCGAGCUCCCAUAGCUUUUUCAAUUUUGAUAGGUCUGACAUCCUCUCCAAGGAAGGGCAAUAGUCGACUGAUAAGGAGAAAAGGGAUCCCAAUUCUUCAAAGCCACGAAUCUCGACUAAUGAAAGGCAAAAUCCUAGGCUUACCUUGCAUAGAUUCUUCAUGCGUGAUAGAUCAAGUACUUCCGGAAGGAACUCACAAUAAGCCAUCUCUAAUAAUCUCAAUCUUUUCAUUGCUAGCUGCAACGGUGUGUCCAGUUUUCUAAGCUCACAGAGCUCCAUACGGAGUUCCUCCGACUCCGCAUUAAAUAGACUAGAGAAUUCUAGCGAACAUCCAUAAAAUGUCAAGAUUGAUAAGUUUUUCAAAUUGGAAAAAUCCGGUGAUCGUGUGGUCGCUAGAUCUCGAAGUUGUAACUCUCUUAAACUAGAUGGGAGCUGGGGGAGGCAUUGCACAUUUUUGCAGCACAAUUUUAGUGUUUUAAGCUGAGAUAGGGUACUGAUGCUAGUGGGUAGAGUCGUGACAAGUGUUGCCUGUUGAGAUAGGGCACCUAUUCUAGUGGGAAGAGGGAGAGCUAUCCCGUAUUCUUUAAGAGCAUGACGCUCUAUUUCCUGCUCAUAUUCCUCACGAGCACGGUUUUGCUCCUGCCAAUAUUCCUCCGGCUCAUAUCUAUGCUCCUCCGCAGAGGAACACCAACAAUUUUUAGGGCCCCAUCUCAGACAAGUCAAAUUUGGGGGAAGCUCCGGCAAUUGUUUAAGUUUGGGACUUUUUUCUAGCUUAAGUGUUUGGAGAUUAGAGAGGUGACUCAUUGUGACGGGUAAUCUAGAUAUACAUGUGUUCGAUAAAUCUAGGAUCCUCAAACGAGACAGUCUCCCAAUUUCUUCAAGAAUUUCACCAGUCAAGUUGCAACAUCCUCGAGCAUCUAACUCUUCAAGCUUCUCCACCAGCCCAAUCGCACUUGGUAAUCUUGUAAUCUCUCUUAUGCCGCUUAUCCUUAGUAUUUUCAAUUGCUUGAGAUUGCCGAUUGAAUCAGGUAGGUGACCAAUACUUGUCAAUGACAAAUCCAACUCGACUAAAGAUUGUAAUUUGCCAACUGAAUGUGGAAGUUCCUCUAUGUAUAUACACCUAGAUAAAUUCAACCGCGUAAGUUUUGCCAGCCCUCCAAUCGAGUAUGGCAAUUUUAAGGAUGGUUGUUUGCUGAUCACUGACCUUUUGAAAUUUUCUUUUAGGGGAGAUAUAAUAAAAUCUGUCAAAGCUUGUAGACAUCCUAUUUCUUCGGGCAACUCUCGAAGAGAUUCACAUCCAUCCAAGUUCAAAAUAGUUAGGACCUUUAAUUUAACAAUGGAAUGGUCAAUUUCAAUUAAAUUGCUACAACCUUUAAGAACCAAUCUCUCUAGGUACACCCAUGUAGAUAAAUCAGGUGUUCUCUUUAAGUAUGCACAGUAGCUAAGAUCUAGUACUUUUAGUUUCCUGGCCUUCUGCAAAACAAUUUGAUAAAAUAUAUAUUAAGAAACAACCUGUAGGGGAAAAAACAAGACAAAAGAAAUGAUAUGCUUAUGCUAGGAGCAAGACUCGUAUCAUACUCUGAUUUGGUCCCAACCAAUCCAUUCCUCUGAAAUACAGCUGAGUGAAAGGUUAAGAACAAUUAAAUUAGCCGGAUGAAAGUUCGUUGUCUCAAACUUGGAAUUGCCGUGAUGUAAAGAAAGCCAUCUUAAAUUGGAGAGAAGAUUAUUGAAGUCUCCAACAAGGGACACCUCUUCCCCUUGAAAGAACCUCAGGUAUCGUAAAUCGGCAAAUCCAUCAUGCGUCAGAAUGUCUUGAUGAAAGAAAGGAUAUUGAGGUCCCGUUGACAGUGCUUCUAUUUUCCUACUUUCCUGACAAUGGUAAGACCAAAAAGUCCACACGUGUAAGUAAAAAGCAAACAAUUUCAAGCGCCAAACGAUUAUUUUUCCUUUUAUAAGAAUAGUCUACCACAAUUUACAGUAAAGUAAAUUGUCGUUCCCUUUUUUACCUCUUUCAACUUCAGAAUGUCUAGCGCUUCCUCACGGUUCCACACUCUGCUACGUUCGCUGGGAUGUUUGAAAUUCUCUUGACGGAUGAUUUCCCUUCCAAGGUCCCGCACUUGAUCAUGCAUCCAGAAAGUAUUGUUGUCCUUGGUUUUUAUCAAGGACAUGAUAAAGAGGACUUCAAGGGCAUCGUGUGGGUGGUAUCCACAGUCAUCCCACAUGUACAAAGGGUAUGUUUUGUCCCGAUCGACAAAAAAACAAGCUAUAUCCAGAAAUACUUGCUUUUGUGCAUGAUCUAACCUUUCAUAAGAUAUCAUCAAUUUUCUUUGGACUCCCAUGGAAGGGGCUUCUUUUAGCUUCUUCCAUGUGUCUUCCCAUAUUGCUUUGGAUUUACAUUAAGAGAUGAANNNNNNNNNNNNNNNNNNNNNNNNNNNNNNNNNNNNNNNNNNNNNNNNNNNNNNNNNNNNNNNNNNNNNNNNNNNNNNNNNNNNNNNNNNNNNNNNNNNNNNNNNNNNNNNNNNNNNNNNNNNNNNNNNNNNNNNNNNNNNNNNNNNNNNNNNNNNNNNNNNNNNNNNNNNNNNNNNNNNNNNNNNNNNNNNNNNNNNNNNNNNNNNNNNNNNNNNNNNNNNNNNNNNNNNNNNNNNNNNNNNNNNNNNNNNNNNNNNNNNNNNNNNNNNNNNNNNNNNNNNNNNNUUCUAAGUUGCUCUUUCUCAUCUACGUCAUCAAAUAUAAUGAGAACUUUUUUAUUGCAAAGUACUCUCUUUAUCAUGUUGACCCCAUCAUCCACGUCAUUAAUUUGGUCGAGGAUAGAAUGAGAAUCGAGGAACUUGGAUAAUAAUUGUUUUUGCAAAUGUACCAGACCAUGGCGUCGUGAUGACUCUCCGACAUCCGAAAGGAAAUUGCAGCCUCGGAAGUGAGAAGAUAGUUGGUUGAAGAUGAUCUUGGCAAGUGUUGUUUUACCAAUCCCGCCCAUUCCGUGGAUUCCAAGGAAUUGUACGCUAUCAUUUUCCACAUGCAACAUUUUGAUCAUGGCUUCCACACGAUCUUCAACUCCAAUUAGAUGUUCGGUCACAUUUUUUUUAUGUCCGAUGUUCAGCUUAGUCAACACAAUUUGAAUUACAGAUUGUAUCAAAUCUACUUGGCUGCCACAACAUAACAACCAUGUUAGGGAUAAAUUUAUAUUGCAAACUACUCCCUAAGUGACUCAAUUCCCCUUACAAUUUGCAGAAAUUACGUAAAAUAAUUCAGACGCCAAAACAAUCCAGAUUUUUCCCAAUCUAUCUCCGCUCCCCCAAUAUUAGUUACCACACCAUUGGCCCCCGCCCCUGGCAUGCCGCCAUUAACAUCACUCACCUCCCCAACCCAAGCCGUCACCGUGGUGUUCUAUUGUCGUCGCCCGUCACGCCCCUAUUGACCCACCCAUCUUGACCUUGUCUCGAUCCUCCACAUCAUGUGGGUCCUGGCCUUGUAAUUGCCAGGGAUGGUAUCACCGGCUUUGGGCAACUCCAAAUUUGGGGUCAUCCAAGGUCGGCGAUGCUAGAUAUUGGCUUGAUCACGUCAGAAUUGGCGUCCCGAGCCCAUAUCCGACUCAAGACAGUGAGUGGAAGGGAGAAAUGGUGGGUGCCAAAUGGCUCAACCGUAGCUUUUGGUUGCUUAGCUAGGCGAGGUCAGCCUCGCCCAAAUCUAGUGAAACCGAGCUCACCUAGCCACCAACGAGGCUUGACCUCGUUGGACCACUACGAGGCCGGUGUCACUCGCCCAAGGCGAGGUUGAUCUUGUGGUGGCCCGGCGUUUCUUGUGGCUAAGUGAACUCGGCUUUGCAAAUCUAGGCAAGGCUCGGCCUAACUGGGUCACCAUGAGGUCAGUGUCGCCUGGCCAUUACGAGGCCAACCUCGUUGGGGGCCAGUGGCACUUCAACAGGUCAUUAGCCCUCGUCUGGCCGGUUGUCAGCUAUGGCCGAGGCAGAUGACCGACUAAAGGAAGAAGAAGUGAAAAAAAGAAAAGAAAAGUGUAAUAAAAUUAUUAAAACAUUAAAAAAAAAUUCUAAGUCACAAAAGAAUUUGAGGGUUGUACCAAAAUGGUUUCUAUUAUGGGAAUAUAAAUUUUGGAUAGUUAUCAAAUGUCUUCAAAUACUCAAAUACUCGUUUAGGAAAUGGAAUAAAAAAAUAAUAAUGUUUUAGCAUAAAUUAUUACCAAGAACAUAAUGGUUACCAAACAGGCCCUCAAUGUUUGUGGCUACUGUGUCAGAGAUAGUGUGAUAGGAGAAACAAAAUCAGGAUGAGUAGGUGCGCUACCAGUGUAGUAGCACCAUCAAUCAAAGCUAUCACGGCAAUAGAGUCGAUCAGCCACUAUGGUCGAUGGGUAAUGGCCACAACCACAAUUUACACUAUCGAGGAUCGGCAAGAUGAAUAAUUUACCAAUUAUACCGCAAUUAAAAUGACUAGGGAGGAAAAGCAAAUCUAUAGAUGAUAGUUGAAAUGUUUAAGACAUUUUACCUUCCAUCUUUCUUCAAGUUCCAUCCCUUUAUCUCGUCCACCUCAAUAAGAGCCUUUUUCCAUGAUUCAACUUCAGUGCAAAACUUUUUUUGAUACUUCGAUAGAGCUUUGCGGUAUAAGUUUGUUUUGAGCAUGACAUCGUCAGGCUCCACAUCCAAGAAAAUGGGUAAAAUCUCUUUAUUCUCAUUCGAUUUGGAGGUACACUCAACCAUAUAUGCGAGCUCUCGGAGGCACCAGUGACUCGAAGCAUAAUUCUUGGAAAAAAUGGGAAUGUAAAUCUUGGAGUUCUCGAUUGCUUGUAGAAGUUCACAGCCAAUUCUUUACGACAUGGAGGGAUUCAUUGUCCCUAAAGACAAGGAUCCCAGCCUCAACCAUGCCAUAGUAAAGAAAAUCAGUGAAUCCAUAACGGGUGUCUGCUCCUCGAAAACUUAGGAAAACCUCGGGGGAAGGCCCUGAUGAUGCCUGUGAGUUCGUCUCUUUUGUUAGCAUUUCACGCUUCUCUAAGGUCCCACUGGCACGGAUGCAGAGGUAUAUGACGAGACCAAUGGAGAGCGCAAUGAAGCUGAGGAUUCCGAUGAGGACGUAGAGCUUGAGGCUGAGGCAGGGAGUCUUGGAGGUGAGCUCGUGAGGGAGAGAGCCGUCAAGAGAUCGAUGUUCGCCAUAAACUGCCAUGUUUCUAGCAGAGGAGCAAGAGAGUGGAAAAGGCUAAGGGAGUACGCGAAUGCGUGAGAAUUGAAGAAUGAGAGCUCUGCGCAGAGAGAGACAGAGAGAGCAGUGCAGGACCUUAUAAUGGAUACAAAGGAAAAGGAAAGAGAGUGAAAAAUCUGCUAUGUCAUUGUUAAAAGUCUCAUCUAGCAAUUUUAUUACGAAAGUGCCAUUGUGUUGGAUGAGCGACUUUUGUUUCUGUUGUAUAAAUGGUGGUGAUAAAUUGAUAAUUGGUGUUGUUGAUGGCAUUUUUGACAUUUCGAGAUAGCCGUGCGGGCGAAUGGGGAGGAGUCUUCUUGUUUGAGCCUUAAUUGACUGAACUAAGAGGAGACAAGGAGAAGGUGAGAUUCACAUUGUAUUAUAUGGUUUUUGGGAUGAGACUGUAUAUCAUCAGAAAGUUUGGUCUUUGACAGAGUAGAAUCGUUAAUUGAAUUGGUCGAUCAAUAAGUGUAUUGUGUCAAAGUUAAGGAAUCUAUGGUAGAGGGAAUUUUUUUUAGAAAUAAAAAUAGGAAGAAAACAAAUCCAUUUUUGAGAUGAUGAAAGCGCAAUAGAGAAUAUAAAUAUUCCCUAAAAGCAUUUUAAUAAAUUUCAGCCAACCACAAUAUUUUUGGAACAUUUAUAGCAAAACAAUCAUAAUUCUUUUGCUUCAUUUUUCUUUGAGAGAUGGACCGUACAAUUUUUGAGAGUUUAAACCAUGGAAAUUUUUUGGAGAGAAAGAUAUUGCUUUACCUUAUUUAUUCUAAAUCAUGCCGACACCCAUUCUAAAAUUAAUUAAGGAACUCAUUAGAUUUCAAACCCAUCCAUUCAAUAAUAAAACGCAACUAGUAUUAUAUGUGUGUGUAUAUAUAAACCCCAAAUAAUGUGAAAGGCCUUAUAUAUAUAUAUACAUAGAUUGGAUAAACCCCUAGUAAUGUGAAAGGCCUACUAAGUAUUAACCGGUUCAUGCACAAGUCGACUGUCGACUGUGCAAUCUUAGAAUUGUAGCUAUGCUCCUAUUUUGGUUCUUAAUAUAUAGACAAACAAGAUAGAAGUAAGUAUUGUCAUAGUACUAUAUAAGAUUAACUUAAUUAGUUGAUAUAGAAGAUCGAAGAUCUUAACUAUGGAUUAUCAAAUAAUAUUUAGUAUAUGGCUCUGCUUGGUUUUAAAAUGUCAUGAUAUCAUAGUGGUGCCAUUUCUUAUAUAGCAAGAAAAAAUUGGUUUAUGGCAAGAAGAAUUAAUUGUCAAUAUUUUUGGCAUUUGUACGAGUGAAAAUGAAGGUUUGAAUAAAGAGAUGGCAUGUGGCAUACAACCUUGUUUACGAAAUUCUUGUCCAUAAGUCUCGUUUAAAAGAUGGGUAAAAAAUUAGAACACAUUUGACGAGUCAUCCCAGAAGAUUUAUAGAAGUUUCCAUUAGCCAAUCAAUGGGUUGUAGUCCUAGGAGUUUCCAUGUCCCUUACACGUUUGAUAACAAAUUCAAGAUCAGAGAUUUACAGUCUUGAAAAUAGAGGAUAUAAAGUGAAAUUGGGAUACAAAAUGAAGAUUACUUUUUAACUUUUUCUUUAUUUUAAUUAUAUUAGAAAAAUUUUAAAAUCCAAUCAAACUUUGUAUCUACAUAUUCUCCAGAUUUGCGGCGUUGUUCAUCUAGAGACAAAAACCCUUAAGUAGAUGUUAAAUUACCCUUUUAUUACUAAAAUGUAUUUUAUGUGGCGAUCACAUAAUUGGCAUGGUGUAAUCAGUCAAUUUGAAUGGUGUAAUCAGUCAAUUUGAAUUGUCAGUGUAAUAUGCAUGUCGUUUUGAUGGAAAAAAUUUGAAGUACCUCUUCCCAAUUAAUUGUUACACGUGUUAGCAUCUAAGCAUGCAUCGAUCCGGGCCUUAAUCUUCCCCCAUGGCCCACUCUAAUUGCUCCCUCUCCUGAUGGAUCAUCCUCAGCUGUCCGAUCCGAAUACCUGCUUCUAAGCCAAACCUCGUCGCACCAUCAGCGGGGCCAAGAAAUGGAAAACGAGAAGAAAAGGCAUAAUGAAACGAGUGUGUCACUUCGACCAAAAAAAAGAAAAAGAAAAAAAGAGUGUCACCACCAAGGACCCCCCAACGACUAGAGAAAGCAAGUCAAGAGUCUUCCACCGAUCUUGCCGGCUUAGUUGCAUUAGGAGACAAGAGACCAGCAUUUAUGAUGAUGUAAUGGAUAAAACUAGUCACGACAUGACGAAAAUAUGCAACUUUAUUUAUUUUUGUUUGUGACACAUGGUAUGAUUUUCAUAAUUUUUCUUAGGUGUGCUAAGAAAUCUAAAUGUCUGACAACACAAUGUAAAUUCUUGUCCAUAAGUCUCAUUUAAAAGUUGGGUAAAAAAAUAGAACAUAUUUGACGAGUCAUCCCAUAAGAUUUAUAGAAGUUUCCAUUAGUCAAUCAAUGGGAUGUAAUCCUAUGAAUUUCCAUGUCCCUUACACGUUUGAUAACAAAUUCAAGAUCAGAAAUUUACAGUCUUGAAAAUAGAGGAUAUAAAGUGAAAUUGAGAUACAAAAUGAAGAUUAAUUUUUAACUUUUUCUUUAUUUUAAUUAUAUUAAAAAAAAUUUAAAAUCCAAUCAAACUUUGUAUCUACAUCAAAUACUACUUUGAAUUCUCCAGAUUUGCGGCGUUGUUCAUCUAGAGACAAAAACCCUUAAGUAGAUGCUAAAUUACCCUUUUAUUACUAAAAUGUAUUUUAUGCGGCGAUCACAAAAUUGGCAUGGUGUAAUCAGUCAAUUUGAAUUGUCCGUGUAAUAUACAUGUCGUUUUGACGGAAAAAAAUUGAAGUACCUCUUCCCAAUUAAUUGGUACACCUGUUAGCAUCUAGGCAUGCGUCGAUCCGGGCCUUCAUCUUCCCCCAUGGCCCACUCUAAUUGCUCCCGCUCCUGACGGAAUCAUCCUCAGCUGUCCGAUCCGAAUACCUGCUUCCAAGUCAAACCUCGUCGCACCAUCAGCGGGGCCCAGAAAAGGAAAACGAGAAGAAAAGGCAUAAUGAAACGAGCGUGUCACUUCGACCAAAAAAAAUAUAAAAAAAAGUGUGUCACCAUCAAGGGCCCCUCAACGACCAGAGAAAAAACAAGUCAAGAGUCUUCCACCGAUCUGGCCGGCUUAGUCGCGCUUUCGGAGAGACCAGCCUUUAUGAUGACGUAAUGGAAAAAACUAGUCAUGACAUGAUGAUAAUAUGAAACUUUAUUUUAUUUUGUUUUUUUGUGACACACGGUAUGAUUUUCAUAAUUUUUCUUAGGUAUCCUAAGAAAUCUAAAUGUUCAACAACACAAUGUAAAUUCAAUUUAUAUAAAACUCUUCAAUUUGCAUUAGGAGACGAGAAAUAAGUGUCACCAUCAUUGAGGACCCCUCAACAACCAGAGAAAGCAAGUCAAGAGUCUUCCGUCAAUCUUGUCGGGCUAAUUUGCAUUAGGAGAUGAGAGACCAGCAUUUAUGAAAAUGAAUGGAUAAAACUGGUCAUAACAUAAUGAUAAUAUGGAACUUUUUUUUUUUUGUGACACACGGUAUGAGGUUUUCAUAAUUUUUCUUAGGUGUCCUAAGAAGUCUAGAUGCCUGACAACACAAUGUAAACUCAAUUUAUGCCAAACUCUUCAAUUUGUCUAUUGGCUCUAAAUAACUCUGAGCUGCAAUGGCUAAGAUGCGAAUUCUAUUUAAAACACCGUUACUAUUAAGAAAGACACAGGGAUAGCUUUUAAGAAAGACACUUAUCUGUCAUUGGAAUUAAUGUAAUUGCUAAAUAAAAAAUAUUGUAUAAGUAUCAAAAACUUAACCUUACUUGGAAUUAAAUUUAUUUACUUAAAUUAAAAUUAUUAUAUGUAUUACAAUCUUAACCUUACUAUAUGAAGGAUUACGUGGCCGGUGUUACCAACAAAAACAGUUAAAAUAAUAUAAGAGAUUGAAAAUAGUUAUUCACAUUAUUACUUAGUUACAAACUAAUGUGACAAUUUUGACAAUUUUUUCAAUGCCUAACUAUGCUUGACCUUUUCCAAAUGAUCGUAUAUAGAUCUACAUCCCAAACAAAUAUAGUAAGUAUGUGAUACCACACAUUAACAUAAAGAUGGCUCUAUAAAAGAUGCUAACAAUAUUCCGAAUAUUGUGAGAUUCGAUAAAUGACGGGUCAUAUUAGUGAUGAUUACACAAAAUGAAGUCAAAUAGUCUGGCAUCCCACUCAAAAUAAGAUGAUUGAGGUGAAAACAACUUGAUUUUGGAAAUUGAACUGUGAAACAACCUAGACAAUUAGAUUUAGCAAUUGAGUGAAUGUAGACUAUCGUGAACACCAAUACGUUAUUUAUUUAUAAAAUGGAUUUAAUUGCAAAAUUCUCAAUACAAACUUUUUAUGAAUUAUAAUUAACCGUAAGCAACUUUAUAUAUUUUAUUCUAAAUUUUAAAAUUACAAUUUGCUUAUCUUAAAUUUUAAAUUAAAAUUUUAAAAGAAGGUAAUGAGAAGAGGCAAUGAAUUAUCAAAUUUAAAUUAAUCCUGAUUGGUUAAUUUGUCUAGAAAGCACACAAGUCCCAAAUCAUCUUUGUUAGCUAAUCUACUUCACAGUGUGUAACACGGUUUCUACUCUCUUUGCUCGCUUCGUUGCAUUUUUCUCUUCUUUUCUUCUGACUUAAGAAGUCAAAAGUCUUCCACCAUCUCACUUGCUUAGUUGCAAAGAAAUUGAUAAGGCAAAAGCUGACAAAACCCACUCAAAAGAAAAGACUGGUGAAGGAAGCAAGUUAAAGUCUUCCUCCAUCUUGCAUUGUGAGAUGAGGGACCCUUAUCAAAGGGUCUUCGUCAGACUUGGUUUACAAAAUUGUUCAAUAAAUUCUUGUCCAUUACUCACGUUUAAAGGACAUGCCAAAAUGUUGAACGCGGUUUACAAGUCAUCCCGAAAUUUUCCUAGAAGUUUCAUUUAUCAAUCAAUGGGUUAUCGUACUAGGAGCUUCCAUGUCACAUUUAUUUAAUUACAAAUUUUAAAUCAAAGAUUCAUAGCUCUAAAAAUAGAGAAUAUAAAGUGAAAUCGAAAUACAAAGUGAAGAUGAUUUUUGAGGUUUUUAAAAAUUCUGAUCAACUUUGUAUCUAUAUCAUGUACAACUCUUGAGUUCUUGACAUUUGUAGCAAUGUUAAUUUUCAGACAAAAAUCUUUAAUUAGAAGAUUAAACUAUCCCUCUACUAAGGAAUUUGAUAUUAUGUGUCAAUCACCAUGAUUGACAUGGUGUAAUCGAUCAAUCCAUGUUGCCCAUGCAAUAUGCAAGUCAUUCGAAUGGGCGUUAAAAUGUUUUUUUUUUCUUUUUUUUUUUGGGUCUAAGGCACUAAAACGUUAAGAUAUUCACUUUGCAUUGGUUUAUCACACCACAUGAUAUAACUGUCACAUGAAAUACCUUUUGUUUUGCCAUAUAAUUUCUCUCCCUUUCUCUCUCCCCCAACCAUACUGCCAGUCAAUGUCACCAUCCUUGUUCCCAGUAGACGCUGUCAUUGCUCAAUCAAAAUCGACAACGCCCUCCACACUUAGCCCCACCUUUGUCUGCAUCUCUCUCUUCUUUGCCAUGGCCUAACUCAAAAUUAGAGGCAUCUUGCUCAAAGCUACAAUGAUGCGUAUCAUCAUUUUUUUUUCUUUUCCAUUGUGGACGAAGAGGAUCGUCAACCACUGCGCAAGGGCUUGCAACCCCUUGUGGCAGGUAGUGAGGGUCGCAACCCUCGCCGAAGCCCAUACUAGUCAUAGGCGAAGGAGGGUGUGAAGGCCCUCCUCAACCAUGAAAGCUUUGCCUAUGGCUACGAUCAAGGCAAGGGCUUGUCGGCCCUAUUAUAGGGUCGUUGGUCAUGAUUGAAAAAGAAAGAAAAAAAGAAGAAGAAAAGAAUAAGAAAAAGAAAAUUACAAAAAAAUAAAUUAUUUUAACGAAAAAUUGUGAAAAAGAAGUCCAUGUAAGCGCCUACCAUGUCACAUAAGAAGUCUGGGGUCCACACCAAAGAUUCCCAACCAAGAAAAGCCAGGAGCACUAAAUUGAUAAAUUAUCAAAGACUUUGUUAUAAAAUUAGUUAAAUUGAAAUGUUUAAGGUAUGAAUUGACAUCUAUACAAUAAAUUUAAGAUUUUUUUUGGUAAUUUUCCUCACAUAAUAUGUAAUACCAUGAAAUUAACAUUCGUCUUCAAGUCUCCUUUGUCCCGCUGAGACCUUUUCUCUCCCAACCCCUCUCCUAUUUUGAAACUUUCUUCAUCUCUUCCACUUCUAGAGGGGAGGGAUUUGACCUAAAUCUCUCCCUCCCUUCAUAGUUGUUUUUCCUUCUUCUUUUUUUCCUUUUGAUUCUUUUCUUACUCUCUCGAUCUAGUUUUAGAUUUAGGAGAUUUGCUCUACUAAUCUUAAAUUUGAAAGCUUUCUCUUCAAUCUAAUUCUAGAUUUUGGAGUUUUAAUGAACAAAAGAGGAAUGGAUUCAGCGGAUUGUACCUGCUCAUUUUUUUAGUCUGAAGAGGCCAAGUUGUAUUCCCGAAGCUUUGAGAAACCUUACGGAGCCUGAGACCAUGGAAAACACAACUAAGAAGAGAAUACUAGCCACUCAAGGUCCAAAUUUCCGAACAACUCAACAACAGUUUUGUUAGUAAAAUGGAUUCAACAUAGGAAGUAAUUACUUUCCACUGCCGUCGAAGUAAAGUGAGGAUAUUGCUGUUCCGCACUGCAAGAUUCAACUCCAUAAGCCCUUCAACAAUUGUGAACAAAAACUUCCCUUGAAAUGUGGGGUUUUUACCAUCGUCUACACACCAAAUCAGAUCAAAACUAAGACGUCCAUUGACACAAUUUUCNNNNNNNNNNNNNNNNNNNNNNNNNNNNNNNNNNNNNNNNNNNNNNNNNNNNNNNNNNNNNNNNNNNNNNNNNNNNNNNNNNNNNNNNNNNNNNNNNNNNUUCACCUUCUCUAGUAAUAAAACUACAUAUCCAAAUCUGAACAGGGAAAUAAAUAAUUGUGCAAUCAUAUGGCGUGCAAUUUAGAAUUACCAGUGUGAGUUCUGGCGUGAAACUAGGUGCUGCCAUAUUCCAAAUGUCAAUGGGGCUCCUAGAGGCGAUGGCGACGACAGAGGCAGCAGCGAUACAUCCAAGAAUGUAGUAGAUUUGAGCUCGUCGAACAUGAAUGACGAAUUGAAGCCGCCGACGGGACUCCUGGAUACGAUGGCGGAGGCGGAGGCAGCGUUUCAGGUGUCACCCCCCAAACUCUCCAUUAUCAUAAAUUUCCCGCUUCUUUAAAGAUUCCAAGUGGUUGAGACCCUGCACAAUUUUUAGCUCACAACAAUAUCUUACUUUGAGCUCCCAUGGCAUUUUCAAUUUCGAAAGGUCCGAUAUCCUCUCCACGGAAGGGCAAUAAACGACUGAUAGGAAGUAAAGGGAUCCCAAUUCUUCAAGGCCACAAGUCUUGACUAAUGAAAGGCAAUGUCGCAGACUUACCUUGUGUAGAUUCUUCAUGCCCAACGGAUUAAGUACUUCUGGGAAAAAACUCACAUACAUCAAUCUAUAAUAAUCUCAAUCUUUUCAUUUCCAGCUGCAAUGGCGCAUCCAGUUGUUUGAGCUCACAGCGCUCCAUACGGAGUUCCUCCGACUCCACAUCAAAUAUACUAGAGAAUUCUAGCGAAUAUUCAUAGAAUGUCAAUAUUGAUAAGUUUUUCAAAUUGGAAAAAUCCGGUUAUUGCGUGGCGACCAGAUCACGAAGUUGUAACUCUCUUAAACUAGACGGAAGCUGGGGGAGGAAUUGCAUAUUUUUGCAGCACAAUUUUAGUGUUUUAAACUGAGAUAAGAUGCCGAUGCUAGUGAGAAGAGCGGCGACAAGGGUUUCAUCUUGAGAUAGGGUACCAAUUCGUCUCUCCUGGCAAAAUUCCUCCAGCUCAUAUUUCAUCUCCUCUUCGGAGGAAUAACAGCAAUUUUUUGGGCCCCAUCUCUGAUGAGUCAAACUUGGGGUAGCUCCGGCAACUGUUUAAGCUCGGGACAUUUUUUUAGCUUUUAAGUGUUUGGAGAUUAGAGAGGUGACUCACCGUGGUGGGUAUUGGACAUACGUGUGCCUGACAAGUUGAUGAUCCUUAAAUAGGACAAUCUCCCAAUUUUGUUAGAUUGCCGGUCAAGUUGCAACAUUCUUAAGCAUCUAACUCUUCGACUUCUCCACUAACCCAACCACACUUGGUAAUUUUCUCAUCCAUCUUAUGCCACUCAUCCUUAGUACUUUCAGUUGCUUGAAAUUGCCAAUUGAAUCAUGUAGGUGACCAGUACUUGUCGAUGACAAAUCCGACUCGAUUAAUGAUUGUAAUUCCCAAUCGAAUUUGGAAGUUCCUCUAUGUAUAUACACCUAGAUAAAUUUAACCACUUGAGUUUCACUAGCCCUCCAAUUGAGUAUGGCAAUUUUAAGGAUGAUUGUUUGCUUAUCAUUAACCGUUGAUAUUCUUCUUUUGGGGGAGACAUAACAAAAUCUGUCAAAGCCUAUAGACAUCCUAUUUCUUCAGGCAACUCUCAAAGAAAUUUAUAUCCAUUCAAGUUCAAAUUAGUUAGAAGCUUUAAUUUGACAAUGGAAUGGUCAAUUUCAAUUAAGUUGAUGCAGCCUUCAAGAACCAAUCUCUCCAAUACACCCACGUAGAUAAAUUAGGUGUUCUCUUUAAGUAUUCACAGGUUCUAAGAUCUAGUACUUUUAUUUUUCUGGCCUCCUGCAAAACAAUUUGAUAAAAUAUAUAUUAAGAAAUAGCUUGUAGGGAAUUAAAAAAACGACAAGAAAUGACAUGCUUAUUCAAGAAGGGGACUCGUAUCGUACUUUGAUUUGGUCCUAGCCCAAUCCAUUUCUCCAAAUUACAGCUGUGUGAAAGGUUAAGAACCACUAAAUUAGCCAAAUGAAAGUUUGUUGUCUCAAACUUGGAAUAGCUACAAUGCCAAGAAAGCCAUUUUAAAUUGGAGAGAAGAUUCUUGAACUCUCCAACAAGGGACCCAACUUCCCCUCAUAAGAACCUCAGGUUUAGGUAAAUCAGCAAAUUCAUCAGAUGUGAGAGUAUCUUGAUAAAUGAAAUGAUAUCUAGGUCGUACCUGAUAGUGCUUCCAUUUUCCUACUUCCCUGACAAUGACACUGAGAAGUCCACGUGUGAAGGUCAGAAGCAAACAAUUUCAAGCAAGAAUAGUGGUUAAUUUAUCCUUUUGCAAGAAUACUCAACAACAAUUUGCGGGAAAAUAAAUUGUUGUUCCCUUUUUAUACCUUUUUCCUCUUCAAAAUGUUAAGUGCUUCCUCAUAGUUCCACACUCUGCUACGCUUAUCGGGAUAUUUGAAAUUCUCUUGAUGGACGAUUUCCCUUCCGAAGUCCUGUACUUGGUUAUGCAUCUAGAAAGUAUUGCCAUCUUUGAUUUUUAUUGAGGACAUGAGAACGAGGACAUCAAUGGCAAUGUGUGGGUGGUACUUAUAGGCAUCCCACAUAUAGAAAGGGUAUAUUCUAUCCUCAUUAACAAAAAAGAAAAUAAAAUCUAUAUCUAGAAAUAUUUCCCUUUAUGUUGGAUCUAACCUUUCAUAAGAUAUCAUCAAGUUUCUUUGGACUUCCAUAGGAGGAGCUUCUUUUAGUUUCUUCCAUGUAUCAAUCCAUAAUUCGUCGGACUUACCAAUAAGGAAUGAACACGUAAUCUUAAGAGCUAAAGGAAGCUUGCCCAAAGUAUGGACAAUUUUUUUAGAAAGGGAGACAUGAUGAUUUGGUGGAUAGUCUCUUCUAAAUGCAUGCUUGCUGAAAUGAUUAAGAGCAUGAUCAAAUUUCAUUUCAUGUGCUUCAUAAGUCAAAACAUUUGGGCCUUCAUAUAGGACAUUGUUGUCCUUCAUAGCUAUGAUAAUCCUGCUACCGAACUGAAUCAAUCACAUUCUUUUGCAAGACUUUUCAAUUGCUCUUGUUUAUCCAUGUCAUCAAGAAUAAUGAGUAUUUUUUUUAAUUUCUAAGUAUUCCUCUGUUAAUCAUUUUGAUCCCAUCAUUCACAUGACAAAUUUGGUUAAUAGAAUGAGAACCAAGGAGCUUGGAUAACAAUUGUUUUUGCAAAUUUACCGGACCAUCAUUGCUUUUUGAUGAUUCCUGAACAUCUACAAGGAAACAACAUUGGUCAAAGCAAGAAGAUAGUUUGUAGAAGAUGACCUUAGCAAGGGUUGUUUUGCCAACACCGCCCAUUUCGUGGAUUAUGAGAAAUGGUACAUCAUCGGAUCCCACAUCCAACGUUUUGAUUAUAGCUCCCACACAAUCAUCAACUCCGACAAGAUGUUCGGUCAAAUCUUCAUAUACAACCUUUACUUAACCGAUACCAUGCGAAUUAUUGAACGGAUCAAAUCUCCUUAACUGCCAUAAGGUAAUAACCAUGUUAGCGGUAACUUCUAUAGUGUANNNNNNNNNNNNNNNNNNNNNNNNNNNNNNNNNNNNNNNNNNNNNNNNNNNNNNNNNNNNNNNNNNNNNNNNNNNNNNNNNNNNNNNNNNNNNNNNNNNNNNNNNNNNNNNNNNNNNNNNNNNNNNNNNNNNNCGACACCGGGACGUGACAUAACACGGCACGCUAGAGUGCCAACACGUCAUUUUAAAAAAUUAGAUAUUCCGACAUGUUGAGACACAUUAUAUAUUAAAUGUAUAUUUUUAUAUAUGCAUAAUAAAUUUUCAUUUUUAUGAUUAUUUCAAUCAAAUUAAUUUAAGUACACCAAUAAAUAAAUAAUAAUAAUAAUAAUUCUAUAAUGGAUUUACACUAGAGACAUUAAUUCACAAUUUAUUAAUAUCAUUGUUUCAAUUUGACAAAUUCAACUCCAUUCCAAUAAUCCAUAAAACUUAGAUAAAAAAUAAUGCACGUUCUAGACUUGCAUGUCAAACAUAUCAGAAGAAAAUAGAUAAAAAAAACUUGAGAAGUGAAUUGUGUAAUGGGGAAAAUGAGAGUAAGAAGAGAAGAAAAUAUUGGGUUUUUUUUUUCUCCAUUUAUUGUCUUCAUUAUUAUUAUUAUUUCACAUAUAUACAUUUUAACCCUCAUUUAUUAUUUUUUUUUUUAAAUUGACCUUACUUGUCGGAAUCACAUGUCAAAAACUUGUAUAUUGAAAUUUUAACUCGAGUGUCAGAGAGUGUUAGGAAAGUUAACUAGGCGUUAAAUUUUCUGAUAAGUGUCGGAAAGUGUGAAAAAAUGUCGAGCUCCGACAAGACAUGAAGGCUCGUGUCGGUGCUUGACCGUGCGACUGCCGGGGAGGGCGUCAUCGGCCUUGGGCGAGACCAGAUUUGGGGUCGCCGAGGGUCAGCGACGCCAGAUGUGGGCUCGGUGGGCUCAGACCUGACGUCCAGAUCCCGGAUCUGACUUGCCUCAGUGAGUGAUAGAGCGAAAGGGCGGGGCCGGAUGGCUCAGAGGUGGCUUAUGUCGGCUUGUUGUCAGGCUGGCGACAAAGAAGUGGCGACAAUCGAAGGACGAGCUGCUGCAUUGGCUCGCCAGAAGCUUGGUGGAGCCACUCGGAAAGCCAUUACUGAUCGUGGCUACUAUGUCAGACUAAGAGUGAGAGGAGAGAGAAUCAAAAUGAGUAGCGUUCGCUGCCACUGCAAUAGUGCCAUUGACCGGAGCUAUUGCAGCGAUACCGGCCACUAUUGGCCACUGUCAGUGAGAAUUCCGUUCUCGUCGCCAUAGUGGCUGAUAGCAGUAGCGGCCGCUAUCUGAACUGUAUAGAAUCGACUAGAUGAAUAAACUACAACUUCACCAACAAUACCACAAUCAUACUAAAUAGGGAGAAAAACGAGUUUAAGACAUUUACCCCUCCUCUUUCUUCCAGUUCCAUCCAUUUCUCUUGCCCACCUCAAUGAGAGCCUAUUCCCAUGACUCCACUUCAGUGCACGACGUCUUCUAGUGCUUUGAAAGAGUCUGUCUGUACAAGUUUGUUUUGAGCUUGACAUCGGCAGGUUCCACGGUCAAGAAAAACCAUGCCAUGGUAAGAUAAUCGGUGAAUUCAUAACGGGUGUUUACUCCUCGAAAACUUCAAAAAACCUCAUACGAAGGUACGGUUGAUGCCUGUGAAUUCGUCCCUUUCUCCGUUGUAGUAGCUCUAAGCAACACAGAUAUCAAAUCCUUUCUAUCUCUCGGGGAAGUUUGCUUUUUAAGUGUGCUUGGAUCUGAGCGACGGCUGUCAGUAUGAUGAGCACUCAAUCUCUGGCGUCAUGGAGGUUGGGAAAAAGGCGCUGGACUUCGAAUAUUAAUUAAUAUAGUCAACACCUUUCUUUCUUUUUCUUCUUUUUUUAAUCCCUUCUUCAUCUUUUGAUUAAUUUGUUUGGUGUUCAUUUAUAUCUUUACUGUUUUGCAUCUUUUUGGCCACCGAAUUUCCCAAAUUAAAUGUUAAGAUGUGAAUUCUAUUUAAAAACACCAUUACUAUUAAGAAAAACACACGAAUAGCUUUUAAGUGAAGACACUUAUAUGCAAUUCUAAUGUAAUUACUAAACCAAAAUAAUGAUAUAUGUAUCAGAAUCUUAACCUUAUUUUGAAUUAAUUUAUUUACUUAAAUUAAAAUUGUUAUAUAUGUAUCAUAAUCUUAAACUCACUUUAUGAAGCAUUACAUGGCCAGUUUUACCAAUAAAAAUAGUUAAAAUAAUAUAAAAAUUUGAAAAGAGUUAUUCACGUGAUUACUUAUGUACAAAAUAAUGUGACAAAUUUUGAAUGCUUGGCAAUGCCCUAUCUUUUCGAAUGAUCUUUAUAGUAUAUAGAUUUAGAUCCCAAAUCAAUAUGGGAAGAUACAACACCACAUAUUAAACAUAAAGACAGCUACAUAAAAGACUCCGAGUAUUUCGAAAAUUUGUGAGAUUCAAUAAAUCAUGGAUCAAAUCAAUGAAGAUCACACAAAAUCAAAGUCAAACAUAUCUAGCAUCCCGUUAAAAAUGUGAUGAUUUUAGUGAAAUCAGCUUGAUUUUGAAAAUUAAGAUGUGAAAUAGCCUAGAUAAUCAGAUUUAGCAAUGGAGUGAAUAUAUAGUGCCCCAACAAUAUAUUUUUUAUUUAGAAAAUGAUUUGAUUUGAAAAAUUUUCAAUACAAACUAUUUUAUAGAUUAUGAUCCAACCACAAGUCAAAAUUUUAAAGUUGCAACUUGCUUAUCCUAAAUUUUAAAUUUAUACUUUAAAAUAAGGUAAUGAGAAAGGACAUUUCAAUUAAUAUUGAUUGGUUGAUUUGUCUGGAAAGCACACAAGUCCCAAAUCAUCAUCUUUGUUAGCUAAUCUACCGGGCAUGUAACACGGAAAAGAAAGCCAAAGUCUUCUAAUAUCUUUCCUCUGCUUCGUUGCAUUUUCCUCUUCUUCUUUUUUUGAACAAAGAAGUCAAAAGUCUUCCACCACCUUGCUUGUUUGGUUGCAAAGAAAGCGAUAAGGCAAAAGCCGACGAAACCUACUCAAGAGAAAAGAUUGGCGAGGGGAAGGAAGUCAAAGUCUUCCUCCAUCCUGCAUUGCAGAUGAGGGAUCCUUGUUGAAAUGUCUUCAUCAUACGCGGUUUACAAAAUUGUUCAAGAAAUUCUUGUCCAUUAGUCACAUUUCAAGGACAUGCCAAAAAGUAGAACGCGGUUUACAAGUCAUCCCGGAAGUUUCCUAGAAAUUUCAUUGAUCAAUCAGUAGGUCACAUUUUAGGAGUUUCUAUGUCCCAUUCAUUCAAUAACAAAUUUUAAAUAAGAGAUCAUAGCUUUAGAAAUAGAGGAUAUAAUGUGAAAUCGUGAUACAAAAUGAAGAUGAUUUUUGAGCUUUUCUUUAUUUUAACCAUAGUAGAGAACUUUUAAAAAAUCCAAUCAACUUUGUAUCUAUAUCAUAUACGAUUCUGAAUUAUUGACAUUUGCAACCGCGUUAAUCUCCAAACAAAAAUCUUUAGUUAGAAGAUUAAACUAUCCCUCUACUAAGAAAAUUUAUAUUAUGCACCGAUCACAUGAUCACCUUGGUGUAAUUGGUCAAUCCAUAUUUCCACUACUUAGUCAAAAUGGAAAGAGCACAGCAUUCCUUGUUGCACCUUCAUCUUUUUCAUUAAUUUGUUUCGGGUUCAUGCAUAUCUUGCUUGUUUUGCAUCGGUUUGGCCACCGAAUUUCCCAAAAUAAAAUCAUUAAGACGUGAAUUCUAUCUAAAAACACCAUUACUAAUAAGAAAAACACACGGAUAGCUUUUAAGUGAAGACACUUAUCCGUCAUUGGAGUUAAUGUAAUUGCUAAAUCAGAAUUACUAUAUGUAUAUAUCGGAAUCUUAACCUUACUUGAAAUUAAUUUAUUUACGUAAAUUAAAGUCAUUAUAUAUGUAUCAUAAUCUUAACCUCACUAUAUGGAGUAUUAAGUGGCUGGUUUUACCAACAAAAAGCAGUUAAAUAAUAUAGGAGAUUGAAAAGUGUUAUUCACAUUAUUACUUAGUUACAAAUUAAUGUGACAAAUUUUUGAAUGCCUGACUAUGCCCAACCUUUCCAAAUGAUCAUUCAUAGUAUAUAGAUCUAGAUCUCAAACAAAUAUAGAAAGAUAUAUGAUACCGCACAUUAAACAUAAGGACGACUCUAUAAAAGAUGGUAAUGAUAUUCCAAAUAUUUGUGAGAAUCGAUAAAUCACGGAUCAUAUCAGUGAUGAUUACAUAAAAUUAGAUCAAAUAAUCUAGUAUCCCACUCAAAAUAAGAUGAUUGCAAUGAAAACAGCUUGAUUUUGGAAAUUAAGUUGUGAAACAUCCUGGAUAAUCAGAUUUAGCAACUGAGUGAAUCUAGAGUGCCAUGAACACCAAUACGUAAAUGGAUUGAUUUGCAAAAUUUCCAAUAGGAAUUAUUUUUAUUAAUUAUGUUUUAUAUAUAUAUAUAUAUAUAUAUAUAUAUAUAUAUAUAUAUUUCAUUCUAAAUUUUAAAAUUGCAACUCGCUUAUCUUAAAUUUUAAAUAGCUUUAAAAGAAGGUGAUGAAAGGAGGCAAUAAAUUCUCAAAUUGGUUUGGUUUAUUCCUUCAUCUUUUGAUUAAUUUGUUUCAUGUUCAUGUUAUAUCUUGUCUGUUUUGCAUCGGUUUGGCCACCGAAUUUUUCAAAUUAAAUAUUAAGAUGCGAAUUCUAUAAAAUCAUCAUUACUAAUAAGAAAAACACAUUUAUAGCUUUUAAGUUAAGAGACUUAUCUGUUAUUGAGAUUAAUGUAGUUACUAAAUCAAAAUUAUUAUAUCAGAAUCUUAACCUUACUUGAAUUAAUUUAUUACUUAAAUUAAAAUUAUUAUAUGGUUAUCAUGAUCUUAACCUCCUUUUAUGAAGUAUUAUGUGGCCGGUGUUACCAAUAAAAGAAUUACAAUAAUAUAAGAGAUUGAAAAGAGUUCAUAUUAUUGCUUAGUCACAUUUUGAAUGCUUGACUAUGCCGUACCUUUUCAAAAUGAUCAUUAUAGUAUAUAGAUUUAUAUCUCAAACCAAUAUGGAUUGAUAUAUAAUACCACAGAUUAAACAUAAAGACGGUUACAUAAAAGACUUUGACAAUAUUUCGGAUAUUUGUAAGAUUCGGUAAAUUGCAGAUCAUAUCAAUAAAGAUAACAAAAAACCAGACUCAAAUAUAUCUAGCAUCCCAAUAAAAGAAGAUGAUUGCACUGAAAUUAGCUUGAUUUUGGAAAUUAAGCUAUGAAAUAGCCUAGAUAAUCAGAUUUAUCAAUGGAGUGAAUGUAGAGUGCCACGAACAAUAUGUUUUUUAUUUAUAAAAUGGAUUCAUUUGCAAAAUUCUCAAUAUGAACAUUUUUUAUAGAUUGUGAUCCAACCAUUAGUAGCUUGAUAUAUUUUAUUCGAAAUUUCCAGUUGUAACGUGAUUAUUUUAAAUUUAUAUUUAAAUAUUAAAAGAAGGGAAUGAGCAGGGCAAUGAAUUAUCAAAUUUAAAUAAAAUCUGAUUUGUUAAUUGUCUGGAAAGCACACAAGUCCCAAAUCAUCAUCGUUGGAUAAUGUACUUCAGAGCGUGUAACAUGGAAAGCAACCCAAAAGUCUUCUAAUAUCUGCUCACUUCGUUGCAUUUUCCUCUUCUUUUCUUCCUAACAAGAAGUCAAAAAUCUUCACAUCUCACUUGCUAAGUUGCAAAGAAAGUGAUAAAGCAAAAGCAGACAAAACCUACUCAAAAGAAAAAUAAGCCCCUCCUUUCUCGUUCCCUCUUUUUUUUUUUUGCAGGAUUGCCCUUAGUUUUUUUUUAAGCGUUAAUUAAACAAGAAUAACCGGUGCAUUCACGAAACUUCCCUACAUAUCAUUUACACUCAUGCAUCUAAAUACACGAGCGCUCCUUUUUGUGCUAAUUGGCAUAUUUUCCAACUUUGUCAAUCCUAUGCUUUGAUCGAUUGACUUGCAAAUCAGAGCCCAAACCAGUCAUUUGACAGGUCUACGUUUGGAUGAAUUGCUUGACAAGAUUACAAAACCCGAUUAAGAUACUUGGCCACAAAUUGCCAACUCUAAUAACACUGAUGUUGUGGUGAUGUGGAGCGGCGAGUGGCCCAAAUGAUAUGGCGGUUGCUUGAUGCUGGUGUAAUCUUCCUGAGCACGUAGCUGGCACGGAUAAAAAAAGAGACUAGUAACACGUGAACUAGGUUAAGUUUGUGGUCUCAACCGUCCAGCCGCAUGUGGCAGCGAUCCGAGUCUCUGUUUCCAGUGUUCAACUCGGAGGACAAUUACUUGUCCGAUGGGCGGUUCGUUGAGAAAGAAGCACCGAAGGGCAACGGGCUACGAAGGUAAAGAUUUGGACGAGCUGCGUUGUCUCGGCACGUGAGGUUUUCAUCCAUGGUGGAGUUGAGUCGCAGUUGGCGUCGAUUCAACAAUGUGAAUCUAGGAUUCAAAGCCUUUCGUAGUGAAUUGUGGCGAAAACUAAGUAGGUGGUGACCAGUUUUGAUUGAAAGGUUAUGUCAGCAAGAUAUAGAUAAAGUAAAGGCCUUUUGUAUAUCACCGGAAUGCAUUAUGCAAAUAAUUUCGAUCAUUUAUCUAUAACAUAAACUAAUAUACUAUAGAUAUACGAUAUUAUGAUUCUAGAUACAAUCAGACUAUACAGAACGUACAUGAUAUAUUCUGUAUGUGUGAAAGAUUUAGUAUUUGUGGAUGAUGUGCAUUACAAAUAUAUCUAACAAGUUGUGACAUUGUUUCAUAAAUUAAUGAUUUUAAUCUGAUAUUACUGUUAAAAGGUCAUAGUCCAAAGGACAUAAAAUAGAUAUUAGGUGUAAAUUUGAAGGGAGGUUUUCGGCUUGUAAUUUUGUCACAUAUCUGGAUAUCUCUUUACUUUAACUUUAGGCUUUUUUUUCUCUCUUUUUCGACCUUUUAGAGUUCAAAAUCAGAACUUGUUUAACGUCAAACAUCUCAAAUUUUUAAAACUAGAAUAGGGAAAUUCAAAAAUGGUGUUUUAAUUUGGGGAAAUUUUCAAAAAAUGGCUCGAAAUGCCUUCAUUUCUCAAAUAAAGAUCCGAAGUGAAUCUUGUUCCAAAUAAAAGUUGAAACUGACCUUGGUUGUUUCAAAGAAGGACCUGAAGUAGCCAUGAUUGGUCUCCAACCAGCAAAAUUUUCUGAUUGGUUAAAGGUGUUUUUGCCCAAAUUUUCUUUUCUUUUUUCUCUUUUCUUCUUUUUUCUUUUCCGACAUUAGCUAGCGGCCACUGGAAAGGGCUAGCAAGGGCCUUCAAGCCCUUGCUUGUAACGCGAGAGGGCCUAAAAGCCCUCGCAAGCAGCGAGCAAGGCCACCCUUGCCUCGGACAAGUAAGGCCAACCCUUGCUUGCUAAGCCCUCGUAGAUGGCUAUGAAGGGCAGCCUCCCCCAGGGUGAGGCCGUCCCUCACCUGCGGCUAGCAUGGGUGGCCCUAGCCGAAUUGGGCGAGGGCGACCCUCACCUAGCCCUCUAUGGGCAUCACCAAUGGCCAAGGAAGAAGAAGAGCUAGAGAAAAAAGGAAAGAAAAAAGACAAAAGGAAGAAAAAAGGGAAAAUGGUAAAUGAUGUAAAUACCCUUCACCACUAGAAAUUCAAGCCCUUAUUUAUAAUAGAUAUAACCAUUUUAAGUCAUUAUUUGAAGCAUAUAUAACUAAUUCAGAAUUUUAUUUGAAAUAAGAUUCACUUUAAACCCUUAUUUGAGAAAGUAAUAGCACUUCAGGCCUUUAUUUGAGAUAAAGUCCACUUCAGACCAUUUUUUGAAAUUUUCCCAGUAAUUUGGUUUGAAGCAAGAAAAACUGAUUGUAAAUAUGUUUGGUUAUUGUGUGUGAAAAUGAGAGGAUAUGGUCUUCGUCUGUGUUGGGCAUUUGGAUUUGAUGGUUGAAUGUGGAAACAAAGAAGAGUCGAAUAAACGAUGGCAUGCGGUUACGAAAUUGUUCAGGAAAUUCUUGUCCAUAAGUUAGCUUUGAAAGACACAGCAAAAAGCAAAAGGUCGUUUAUAGGUAGAUGCUAAUAUUGAAAAUGCCAGUUAGAUAGCAAGUAAUUCUUGUCCAUUAAAGUCGGGCUUUAAAAUGAAAUGAUGGAGAAAUUUAAGUGGGAGGCAUAAAAUUCUUGGAAAUUAAAGUGCGAAAGAAAAGUGAAAUGACAUGGAAGUGAAUUAAACGAACUUAGUGUGAAAUUGCAUCUCUCUCUCUCUCUCUUCCUUUUCUUCUUUCCACCUCCUCCAUGAGAAUUUGCCUCCUCUGUUUUUCUUUUAUUUUCUUUUCGUUUGCGCGCCAUAACUUUCUCUCUGUAUUCCUCUUUCUUGGCCGUGAAGGAAAGCUUACACCUUUACUUUUACGAGGUCUCUUUGGCAAUGAAUAAAUAGAUGCUGAAAAGUCGCCUUCCCACUUGACCGAGAAUCUUCCGCUUUUUUUAUAACCAGAUUUUCUUGCUCUGUUUUGGCCGUGAAUACCGGUCCAUGAAUGCUGAGAUCGCUCCCUUUGUCAAGAUGGAAACUGCACGCUCCUUUCCUUCUUUGAUUCUCCUUUGCCUUUUCUUCCAAUUUCGACGUGUGCAGUUGAACAAGACCUUCCUUCCAUCUCAUGUGUUCAGAUUGGAAUUGGCUUCGAAAAUGGGUGUCCAUCGAUUGAAAUCUGAACGGCCGCACUUUCUUUCCCUUAAUUAGGCCGAGUUUGAUUAGCUUAGGGCCGGGCUUGCAUGGGCUCGAUUUUGGAAUCUCAAGUGAGUUUAAGACUCUUCGCAUAUUGGGUGAACUAUUGAGCCAAUCCCAAACAAACUCAUAGCCAGAUCCAUGUUUUGUUAAUUGCGAACGCUUUAUGCCCAAAAUUUAAAUUUCCCUUUAUCUAAAUGCGAAGAAAUACAGUAACAGUUACAGUAACAGCUGUAAAUGCAAGACUAUGCAAGAUUGGUAUUUUGGUUUGGGAUCAAAUUCUAUCGAAUUCGAGCCUAGUUUUCUUAUUAAAUGAAUGAGAAGUCUUCGAACAAAAAUUUAGGUGUCCGGAAUCAGAUCGACAAUACUAGCUAGAGCUUGAAGAAAGUAAAGAACAACCAAUUGUUCUUAAUAGGCAAAAGACGAGAAAGUGAUGUUAACACGGAUUCCAUCCUUGUAAUAAUUAAAAUGAAGAUGAUAUUGAACAUUUUAAAAUAGUAUAGGAACAUAAUCAAUAGAAUGGUAAGGAAUCACAAAAUCAAUUGUUUGAUUAAGUAUGACAUGGACGUAUUUACACAAAAUUUCAACGAUCAUCCAUUUCAUUAAAAGACAAAUCUUGAGAACAACCUAACUUGUUUUGUAUAAGAAGUGGAAAGUAAAUUUUCUUUUGCUUGCUUGAAUCUAUAUGUAUUAAAAUGAUUGGAUGGUCAAUGGUAAAAUGAUGACGUAGCAUGCUUGGGAAUUUAGUUCGAUCAAGUUAGUUGGCGUUUUUAGGUACUAAAAAUUCAUCUUUUUCUAUCAAUUUUAAUAAUUUAUUCACUAUUAAAAAGCCACUUCUUACUCUUUUCUUUGUUUGCGAAUUUCGAAAGCAAAUUUAAAUAGUUAUCCUUGAAGUUCAUUGUGAAAAAGUCAAUUCUCACCACCAUAAUUCAUUCAUUUGAAAGGACUAUAAUUUGAUAUGUAAGACCAAAUCCUUUCGAUAUUAUUAUUAUACUACGACAAUUGAUGAAAUGCUCAUUUUGCUCGAGUCAUAACAUUUGUCUCACUGGUAAUACCACACAACCAUUUCCUGAUUUGCAGUGUUCGCAAUUAGUGCAUGCACAUAUCUUAAAAUUCAUUUAUUGAUUUCUUAAGUAUUGCUAAUAACAUCUACGAAGAUAUGCAAGAUCAAUUCCUUUUCAAGAAUUUUUUCCCACAUUUUUUGGAAUGGUUAAUUUAUGUGAAUUCAUAAUAUUAAUUACGUAACCUCAAUUUUCUAUUAAAUAUAUUUAUAUAGUUACGCUAACAUGAUAUAUUAGAGAUGCUCAUCGCAUCAAAUCGCAUCAAGGUCCUUUCUUUCCAUUGAGUAAUUUAUUUAUUGCUUUAAUUUUUAAGUGUUAAAUUCUUAUUUGCGUAACCUCAUUAUCACUCAUCAUAUGUUAAUGGCUUAAGGUUAAAAUUGACAGAGACUGCUUGCACAACAUUUUCGAAUUAAAGAGAAAAUAUCUUAAAAAGGCGCUAGAUUCAUCUUAAGUAAUCAAGUCCCCAUAUACAUAACAAUUUGGUUUGCAAAAGUAAAAUUUUCUGUGUAUUUUACUUGGGUUAUCAACCCAUAAAAGAUUAGUGGCAACUCCUAGAAUUGAUUUGCAUGUCUAAAUGAUUUAAAUAGAAUCCAAAAAUUGUGAUUGGUAUGAUUUUCGGAGAGUCCGCAUUGAGUGAUGGCACUAUUUACUCAUCUCUUUUAUGAUUAACUGUUUGUCCCCACUUAGUAUUCAUUAGCUUUCUCUUGGUACUUCACCUUAAGAAAGGUCGUGACACCAAUGAAUACAUCGCCACGGCCAUCCUCUCAAUUAAUGAUAAUUUAAGAUUGGUUGUUCCGAUCGAAUAUUUCAAACUCAGCAUGGGUCAAUCCUUUGAAUGUCUCGUCUUAAAGAUGAAGAAUUACUAUUGUGCAUUUUCUCUUCCCUACAAACGUAUGGGUAGAAUAGUGUACAUUAGCCGGAUUAAAAUGUAGAUAAAGGCCUUUCAAAUACUCAAAUCUCAGUUAAUCAAUUCAUUGAUUUUUUUUACCAAAAAGAAAAUCAUUGAUUUCGACCAUGAAGUACACUAUAAAUCAUCAUCCAAAUGCCUCCAAAAGUUAUUCUCUUCUUAUUGUAAGGGAUUGUGGUCGUACAUUGGAGCAUUAAUUUUUGUAGCACCAGUUAGACAUAGAUCACUUAUUUAUAACAGAAUCAUGACAUAGACACCUUGAAGUUGUAUUGGGGGAAAAAAGAAGUUGUCCCAAUUUAUUUUGAUAAAUCGAUGGAUUCAUGCUUUAGAAAAUUGUUGAAUUAUGUCUCAAGUUUGAAUCCAUUAUACGAUACCCGAUACGUGCAAGACACUUACAUGCUGAAAUGAGAAAAAAACACGUCAUCAGAGCAUUUAAUUAAAAUAAAGGUCACGUGGUAGAAGCCGAAUGGAUUCAGCCCUAGAUACGAGCUUCUACCGUUGGAAAUGAAGGCCACACCACGUGUUGAUUUUUGUGGCCUUAUCAUUUGUCAGCAUGAAAUCUUUCUCAAGAGUUGAUCGUGCGAAUUUCUUCAACCUCAUUAUAUGCACGCACAUGGACAUGUGCAUGCAUGCACGUAGAAAAGAAAACCGGUCAACACUUGCUGCUUCAGAAGCUAUCACGUAGGCGCCGAAUUCCCUCUCUUCUUGGUCAUCUUUUGUGGGCUUCUUGUUUUAUUAUUGAUAAAGAAAGAGGGAAGGCGGAAGCUCUUCUACGUGUGUCAGUUUAUGCUGCUCACGCUCACACGCUAUCAUUAAAUGCAUGGAGGCGCAUGCUUUGAAUCGGCACCGUUCUGACAAUUGGGGAAUACAAGCUUGUUUUUUUUAUUUCCUUCCCUUCCGCCGAUAAAUGGAGAAGACGUCUGGAGCUCGUGUGCUGUGUAAUAGAGAGCGAAAGAAAAAGAGCUCGAGAGACCGAGAGCGAGAGACGUAAGCUCAGAGAGAGAGAGAUUUGUGUGGAAGCCGAGUCCAUUGAGUGUGAGUUGUUAAACACCGUGGGUAUCGGGAAUAAAGUAGGGCUGGGAAACACUUGAGUGCAUAUAUGAUUCUAAUCCUGUAAUUCUCUGAUUUAUAGUGGAUUGAUUUGCUGGCUCUUCCCGUGGACGUAGGUUCCGACAUUUCGGACCGAACCACGUUAAUCUCUGGUGUCCUUUUCUUUUAUUGUUCCUCGUUUUAUUUCGAUCGAUUUCUAUAGCUCCCGACAUAAUUGCAAAAAUAUACGAUCUGCUUCCGCUGCGACGCCGAUUAAUUGCAACAAAAAUAAUGAGGUUUAAAUCGGAGAUCCCUCAAAAGGACACAGACUUCUCUAAUGUAGCAUGGUUAGCCCCUGAUCCUAUAUCAAAUGGAACAGCUCUACACAUUUCCAAGAAAAUCGGUUUUCUAGACAAAACAAGAUUUCCAUCGUCUGCCAACGCUGCAGUUGAUGUUUAUUGCUAAGAUGUGCGUGGCAAAAUCUGUGCUUGUUGGAGGCGAAUAGCAUAAGCCAUUGCCGUGACUGAUGAAAAGCAAAAGUGGAAAGUGCGCGUAUAGAUUUAAGUGCGACCGGAAUGAAAGUUUUUGCAUCUAGAAAAUAUUUAAGCCUUUGCGCCCCAAUUUUAUUUAUUUUUUUGCUAAUCGUUAUCUGCAACACAAAAAUUAAAUGAUCAUAAACUUUGACCUCAGUCUCCUUUCAUUCCCAUCAUUUUCCAUAUGUUGUUCAUCGAGUCUCGUCCACUGAUUUCGAUAGGGACUGACGAAGCUACUGGCGGACAAUGCCCCGAAAGCCAUGAAGGAGCAGAAGCUCGAGAGCUACUUCGGCUGGAGGAUCGCCGUCGAUGCCAGCAUGAGCAUCUAUCAGUUCCUCGUUAAGUUGCUUCUUUAUGGAUUGAUGCCUGUGAUUGCGCGUUUCGGUUUGUCGGUGGGGAUUUGGAAUUUGAGUGUUGGGGUAUUUUGGUUCUUUUGAUCGGUGGAUUAGGUUGUGGUUGGAAGGAAGGGGACUCAGAUGCUCACCAACGAGGCUGGUGAAGUCACCAGGUACACUGGCAUCGUAGUACUCCAUGGAAAUAAAAUCCAAUUUGCUUGAGUUUCGUAUAGUUUAUGGCUGAAUUGUCGACUAGCCUUCUGUUUUGAUGCUUCAGAUGUUAUCUCUUGGACUCGGUUUUAUGUAAAUGAGAUUGACUUUGAGCUGCCUUUCGAUUUGUUUUCCCAUGUAGUCAUCUGCGAGGCAUGUUUUACCGGACGAUUAGGCUGUUGGAGGCGGGCAUAAAGCCAGUGUAAACUUUUUUUCUUUACCUCCUGUGUUUUCAUUGGGAUAGAAUGCUAGAAGGAUGAAGCUCGUGCUUCUCUGAAUUAUGUUUUGCUGUUUUUAUGAUGGCUCCGUAUUUGAUGGUCGACCUCCUGAUUUGAAGAAGCAAGAGCUGGCAAAACGGUACUCUUAAUAUUAUGUAGCCUUUUCUUUUCUAUUUUUUGGAAUUAUCUAUGAAUAUGUUUAGUUACCUUAAAUGAGUUUCUGAGCAGUUUUUCGAAGAGGGCAGCUGCCUCUGAGGAGUUGGCAGUAGCCAUUGCGGUAUAUGCAUCUCUCUCUCUCUUUCUCACACACACACACACACAAGCACCCAGAAACACAGAGUACAAAAAUGCUCAGUGAGCUCUGUAUUUAUUGUGUCUGCAGUCUCAGAACAAGGAAGACAUAGAGAAAUUCAGUAAAAGAACUGUGAAGGUUGGUCUCGUUUAGGUUUCCUUACGGUGCGAUAUUUUCGUCUUAUUCGAUGUGAAGUUUGAUUUUGUCGAUGUUUUCCAAGAAAAACCUAUCUACGUAGCUAACUGGAUUUGUAUGCACUUGUGGUACAUGGCUUUGAUACUCUUGCAGGUGACACAAUAGCACAAUGAUGACUGCAAAAUACUAAUAAGGCUUAUUGGUGUCCCAGUAGUUGAGGUUACUAUUCUGUUUGAAAAGUUUGUUCUUUUUUAUUUCUAACAAAAAGUUUAGAUAACAAAUUCAGUUUUUGUCCUUUAGGCUCCUUCAGAAGCAGAGGCACAAUGUGCUGCACUUUGCAAAGCUGGAAGGCAAGUAUCUUCCCAUUUGAUUGUCUUCUGAUAUAGAAUUGUUCAUUGUUUUCCCAUGAUAACUGAUGGUUUAACACUAUGUAAACAUGAUUUAAUUUCCUUUUUCACUCACGUAUUCUUGUUCACUUGUCUAAUGUCUUCUUCUGCGUAGUCAUUUACAUUUGGUAUGUUCUUUAGUAAGCCAUCUUUGUCCAAGGAAUUUUCGCUGACUUUGAAUUCCUAUCAUUGCUUAAUUGUUGUGUGGUAACCAAAAUUAAAAUACCAUGAAUGGUGCUUUCGCUGUAAUAUUUGUUUUUCAGGUUUAUGCAGUUGCUUCUGAAGACAUGGAUUCCCUUACUUUUGGAGCUCCUGUAUUCUUUGCCAUUUAAUUAAAUCCCAGCUCAAGAAAAGUUCCAGUCAUGGAAUUUGAAAUUUCCAAGGUACUUGGAAAAGUUUAUUCAUUGUGAUUGCUUAAAUUUUUUUUUCUCACUUUCCUGACUUUUAGAUCUUGGAGGAGAUGAAUCUGGAUAUGGAUCAAUUAAUUGACCUCUGCAUUUUCUCUGGAUGUGAUUAUUGUGAAAGCAUUUAAGGUGGACGUGAUAUUGUUGCAGUGCUCUGUUAACUGUUUUAUGCUAUCUCAUAUCAUGUUUCCCUCUCGUAUUUUUUAGCUUGAUGAUUUCAGUGGCUUUACUUUGGAAUGAAUUUAUCAGGUAGCAGAGGGCUGACUGCUCUUAAGCUUAUCCGUCAACAUGGUUCCAUAAAAAACAUACUAGAGAACAUAAACAAGCAGAGGUGCUUCUUAUACUCUUAUCUUGUCCCCUGACUUGUAAGCAAAAUUAGGCAGCAAAGUUUCUCACUGUAAUAGUCUUGGCUGCUGAAUUCCUUGACUUAAAAAAUUAUCUCUCAAACUCAGCUGGCAUUGAAAUAUUUAGUCAACAAUUUGAAACUGAAAGAUCAUUUGCCACCAAUAGAUUUGGGCUGGCAAUCAGUGCAUCGUCCAUGCCACCUCAUGUGUUGAUUUACCAUAAUACUUCUAUCUAUUCUGGUGUCUGCUUUUUCUGUUCCUUCAUCUCACUUGAACAAAAUCAUAUCGUUUCUCUAUCCUUAAUACCCAGAGGUUCUUUGCAUUACUUGGAAGUCUUCAUUCAGUUCGGUUAUCCUUUUUAAGGAAAUGUUUCCUUGUUUUUUGAAUAGGUAUCAGAUACCAGAUAAUUGGCCCUACAGUGAAGCUCAACUGCUUCUCGAGGAACCAAUAUUUUCUUCAGAAGAACAACCUGAGAUAAAAUGGACUGCUCCAAAUGUGGACCAUUUUCAUGUUGGGAUUUACUUGCGACAUUUCACUUUUUGAAUUUUUGACUUAUUUCCUAACUGAUUUUUAUUUCCAUUUCAAGGGCUUAAUUUCCUUUGUCGUAAAUGAGAAUGGGUUCAACAUCGACAGAGUGACAAAGCUAUGGCUUUUAUCUUCAGUAAUAUGUUGGACAGUUGCGUACUGGAGGAAGUUGCUUCUUUUCCUCUGAAGGAGAGAGCACACAUGUUUUCAAUGUUGUUUUACCAUGUGUAUCAGGCGAUAGAGAAGAUUAAGGCCGCUAAGGAUGAGUCAUCACAAGGCCGGUAACUAAAGCUUGAACAAAUGAAAGUGACUUACAAGAUGCACUUUCCCUUAUCCAAAGAUUCAUUUCUUUUAUUCUCUACGGAUUAGAAUCCUUCUUUAAGCCAGCUAAGAAUCUGUCUGUACCUGCUAGGAGGAAGGUAUGUCAUCUUGAUAUCUUUGAGUACGGAGCACCAGGAAUUUUCCUUCUUUCAAUGUAUGUGAAGGUGUAAUAUCACACAUUGCUCUAGCAAAGAGAUGUCUUCAGAUGCUUCUUAUGAUGGAUGAAUGGUAAUCUCUUUAACUCACUUCGUAAGCCAUUGAUUGCCCUAAUGGUGCGCAAAUUUUCAAAUCUUUGCGAUCAUUUUUAAACUUUUGGUGAUAGUGUUGUAAGUCAAAGGUAGCAUGUUGACAUGUCCCUGUUGCUUUUACGCGAUUACUCUUAUAUAACUUUACUGAUGUGCUAAUGGUGUUGCGUCACCCUAUUCAUGAGAUCAAUUAGAUAAACGAAAGCACCAAUGUGCUUAUACAGAUCCAUUAAGAGUUUCGGCCUGAUUAACUACCGUAAUUGCACUGGAUGACAGCGAAGCAAAUGCACACUUCAAUCCCCCAAUCUGGCAUUCAAGACUAAGACAUUUUCUACACAAGUCUCUGUAAAUCCCCAGCCCAGGUUUCGUGGCAGCUUUAAAAUGCCAACCAUGGUCCUGGGUUUGAGGAACUUCAAACAACCAUUGAGAGUUGUCUGCCUCCCGACAUGGAUCUAAAUGAUGGUGAAUGUAGGAAACCUAUUUAUUGAGCAAGUCCUGACUUGUAGAUGCUGUUUGCCUGCAGUUGGAAGCAAGUUUAUGCUUUCCUUUCCUUAAAAAUGGGUCAUGUCUUAUGGUACUGCAAUUUUGGGAGAGAGUUGUAUAAAUUUUAAUUAGGAGGAUGAAGUUUGCCCUCUAUGCUAGAUCGACAGGGGUACUUCAUUUCGGGCAGAGUGCAUGUUAGUGUUCCUUUUACAGUGUGUAUCUGCUAUCCUAAGGAUUCCUUUUCUUCCUUGGAUUGUACAUUUUACGAUAUUUAUAUAUCACUUAUACAUAUUGUAUAUCAUUGUCAUCCAUGGACCAAGAAACCCCACAGAAUGUUGUCUCCAGGGCUGGUGGUGGUAAGAAGAAAAUAGUUUAGUCAGCACGUAACAAAUCAUGGAACGGCAGAACCAUCGACUUCUAAGACACAAUGAGGAUGUAACAUGCAUACUUUUCAAAUCUAUUUCUUUUCCUACUUAUGCACUUCAAAUUCAUCGGAAGUAAUUUUGUCAUGUGUAUCUUUGUGAAUAUUUAGUUUUUUAUUUACUAAUAUUUCCAUUUCUAUUAUUCUAACUAGCAAGAUUAUGCUCUACAAAAUCCACCUUUUAAUUCCUUGAUAUGAAUCAAUAGAAGAAAUUUAUUUAUUUGAAGAUAUUUUAUUGUUUUAAAUUUUGGAGACAUUUUAAAUUAGAUAUCCAUGUAACUUAGAAGUUGAACAUUUUGGAGUUAUUUUGUACAUAUUUACAUGCUAGUUUAAAAUAACUAAACUUGAAUACUAUUGUUUUUUUUUUUUUGGUCAGUAAGGCCUUGUUUGGUAACCAUCCAAACAGGGCUAAAUUCUGAUUCUUUAUUCCCAGAAUCAGUUUCGGCCUAGAAUCGCGAUUGGUAAAAAUUUUGUUCCCGGGAACAAAUUGAGAAUAGAAUCAAGAACCAAAAAAAAGUUGAUUCUUAUUUCGGGAACAAAUUUGAGAAUCAAAAUCAAGAAAUUUUCUUCUUCCCUUCGGCCAUCUCGCGACCGCCAUCCACCACCGCCCGCCACCAUCCACCGUCCGCCGCCGCCGUCCACUGCCGCCGCUAGCCGUCGUCCGCUGGUCCGGCGAGCUCGCCGGAGGCAAGCCCAGCCACCGGCGAGCUCGCCGGUGGCUAGGCGGGCCUCGCCGGGGCUUGGAGAGGCCUCGCUAGGGCGAGCGAGGCCCGCUUGGCCACCGGCAAGGCUGUGCAGGGGUUGGGCAAGCCUCGCGACGCCCAGCCCCACCGGUGGCUAGGCGAGGCUCACCUGGCCACCGGCGAGGCUCGCCCAGUCCCGCUGGUGGCCUGGUAGGCCUCGCCCAACCUCGACGAGGCCGGCUUGGCCACCGGCGGGGCUAGGUGAGCCUCGCCCAGCUGCCGCCGAGGGUCGGCAACCUUCUGGUGAGGUCGCCGACCCUCAUCUGGCCGGUCGCCGGUCCGACAACCGGCCAAAAGAAGAAGAAGAAGAUGAGAAAAAGAAAAGAAAAAGAAAAGAAAAAAAGAAAAGAAAAAAAGGGAAAAAGUAAAAAAAAUUAUUUAAAAAUUAAAAAAAGUUGAUUUAUAACAGAAUUAAUGAAUACGGUACCAAAUACAAUUCUAUUCCAGAAUCAGAAAUUUUGGACAGUUACCAAACGGCUUAAAAUGCUUAGAAUCAGUUCUCGGGAACAGAAUAAAAAAGAAUCAGUUCUGAUCAUAAUCUACUUUUGGAAAUAGAAUCGUUACCAAACGUGCCCUAAUACUAUCGUUUAGUAGCAAAACAUAAUUAGGUCAUUCAUUGUACUUGUAUGUAAAAAGUAUAUAAAUGGAUAGGCAAUGUUAUUUACAAAUGUUUCUUGAGAUACAUUCUCGUUAUUUUUUCUUAAUUUUAAAUCUAUAAUAAAAAAAUAAAUAUAAUUGAUGAUGCACGCGUGUAGGUUUCACCUUGACUGUAAAGGAAAUUUCCAAGGAUUUUUAUUAGGUCAACCAACAAUGUGAAAACUUACCAAUGAUAUGAUUUCAAUUUACUUGCAUACAUCAUACAAAUACAAACAAAAUAAAUCCCUAACUAAUGAUAAGAUUCUAGUUUACUUAGAUAUAUCACACAUUCAAAUAAUAUAACAAAACCAAUCAAUGAUAGGAUUUGAGUUUCUUAUAUACAUUGCACAUACUAAUAAAACAAAUGACCUAAUUAAGGAUAGGAUUGCACUUUAGUUAUAUACAUUACAAGUUAAUAGCAUAUAUGAACCUUUACGAAUAGGUUGUUAUGUAGGUUCACAUACCAUUCUUUCAAACCCCAUAAGCUCCUAAACUCCUCCACGUGCAUAUUUAUUUUAAGCUCGUUUCAUCUUUCCAACCUCUAAUUUUCACAUACUAAUUUUUCCAUUCUCUCUCUCUCCUAAUGGUGGUUCCAUAUUUUAUUAUGGUAUGACUUCAGGUUUGGGUGCUCUUCCCAUCACCUUCCUCUUGAAAUAGAAGUCGAUGAGCUCUGCAUUGUUUGGGUCAAGAAGAAAGCCGCGGAGAAGAGCUUCUAAUGUCAUUGCGAAACUAAAAUAUUCUCAUGUUGUAAUCCCAUGAAGAGUUUCUUCAGAGACUACAAUCAACAACCUGCACAGCAUCAUGCAAACAGCUCAGCAGCGCCAAGAUCAUCUCAGCGUCAUUCAAACAAUUCAACCUCUCAAACACAAACCGAGCAUCAGAGUAAAUCAUAGCGAAGGCAGUAACAUCAAACAUUAACUCCACAUUUGAUGCAAUUUACUUUGAUGUUGCUGAGUUGGUGUUUCAGGGGUUGAGUUGUUUGAAUGAUGCUGAGGUGGUUUUGGCACUGCUGAAUUGUUUGCAUGAUGCCGUCCAGAUUUUUUAUUUGUUGUCUCUGAAGAAACUCGUCAUGGGAUAAAAACAGGAGACAACAAUCAUGUUUCACGACGACGUUAGAAGAUAUUUGCGACUGGUUUCUUGCCAUGUUUUCAUGCACGCAGAACAAGGUAGAAAUGAAUACAAGUCGUCCGUAUGAGACUGACAUUACAAGCUCCACACCUGAUUCAUCCUUAAUUGGUGAGGCUGAUUGUCUAGUUGCCCUUUUUAUUCUCUCUUAUUUGUGGAGACUCUAUCAGUGUGUGUAGCCUAACUCUUGAGAUCUCUUCCUCCUCGUCAGCCUAAGUUGAAAUUUUGGCAUUGUUUAAGCGUUGUCUUCAGCUUCAUUUUUUUGGCCGUUGGAAGACUAAUCCGCACCAGAAGACAAAUAAUUUGGCUCCGCCUCCACGUCAUUGCAGUGCUCCCCACGGUCUCUGGUCUCCGAGAGGCUCGCACUGCUCUGCAACGUACGAAGCCGUUAAGUCUCCGGGACGAUAUUAUUCUUGGUUGAGGUCAUAUGCCGAGCUUUGCAAUGUACUACUCUCUUGAUUAAACUACAGCAUAAGUGCCAAAACUUGACACAAAUAGAAAAUUAAGUAUCAAAAUUUCACACUUCAAUGUCAAUUCUUUUUUGAAAACUGAGACAUUCAAGUGUCAAGUCCGAUGAAGGUAACUGGAAAUCCAAUGUAGCAUAUUUUUAAUAAAACAAGUGGUCUACAUGGCAUGUUGGAAAGUUGACUCAACAAUGAAAAUGCAAAACAAUCUCGUUUUGCCUCAAAUAUCAAAUUUUAAUGUAUACAUUAAUUAAAAUAAAUUAAAAGAACCAAUUUUUUUUCUUUCUUUUUAAAAAAGGUGCAGCAGCAUUGGCCCAAUCUGGGCGAGGUUUGCAACCUCAGGCAAAGGUUGGCGACACUCGUCAAAUCUAGGGGAGGGUCGCAACCCUCAUGGAGCAAGGGCUUGCAAGCUCUCACCAGCAGUUGGCCAAUGACAGCUGGUCCCCCCUCCCCCAAACAAAACCUCCGUUGGCCUUUGCCGGAGAUAGCAACAUAUGCUUAAGAAGAAGCUGUGUAGUGCUCAAAAGCCCGAUAGCAACAUAUACUUGAGCAUUGUCUUCCGCACACAUAUCUCUAGAGAUCAACAAAAUAUCAUGUGCUCAUGUUGAUAGUUAUAAGAACACUAUGCUGCAACUCUUGGGUCAUUAGGGAGAAAAUCAAACACGAUGAAAGUAUGCGUUUCUUGUCAUGCCUAAGAAAAAUUCACAUUUGCUUGUAGUGAAGUUGCAAGUAAAAAUUGGUGGUGAUAGAAAAAGUAGCUGCCUAACAGAAGAAUAUAUCCUAGCAUCGUUUCUGGGUAACAAUUGAGAAACAUCAUAGAGUACACAACAAAUCAGUGGGUGUGGGUAAAAUGUGAAGAUAAGAUGAUGACGACGACAACGAGGACGACGACGACAACGACAAUAACAACAACAAGAAUAACAAUAAUAAUAAUAAUAAUAAUGACAACAACAACAACAACAACAACAACAGCAACAACAACAACAACAACAACAAUAACAACAACAACAACAACAACAAUAAUAAUAACAACAAAACAAAAACAAAAACAAAAAGUUUCUCGCUAAGAUUGCAUCAGAAUAGUAAAGAGGGACGAAGUCUACUAACAAGUGUAAUGUCUCUUCUCUACCAACCAUUUUGCUCUAUCUCCCAUGAAUCCCUUAUGCCUUGUGUCAAACUCUUUUUUUUGUAAAUAAGCCGUCUGAGAAUGAAGCAGAGCAAAAAUCAAAUUUGUCCUUCUAAUCAUAGCACGCCACUCACUAAUACGAUAGUAUAUUAAGAUACACAUAUGAGUGCUCCAACAAUUUGGAAAUCCAACAAUUUGGAAAUCCCCCAUUAGUUCAGCUGACCAUGACCCACAAAAGGGUUUUAGGAAUAGAAGUUUACUUGGCAAUAUCAAGGGUUUUGAACAACACCCGUCUCACAUCCCUGGAAAAAUAUGUAAAAACUCCAUUACUUCAGCUGCUGCAGGAAGUAGUCCAUAUCAUUCUAAUAAAAUUGGUUUGAUAUAUCAUUAUAUUUUUAUCUCAAAAGCUAUCAUAUCAAGACCAAGGCAUCAUUCUCAUUACCAAGACGAGUAUUCUACUUGGUCCAUUGCAAAAUUAUCAAUAUUAGAGUCUAGCUAGAAGAACUAGUGUAUUGCUAGCAAUGGUCACUAUAGGGACAACUAAAUUGUGCAAGAUUUUUACUUCAAUAAAGAAUAUAUACUCCCAAUAGUAGCAAAUAGCUCAUAUUUAACCAAGAAACGAAAUAUAUGAUAUCCAUAGACAAUAAAACAAUAUAAGUUGGCAAAUAUGACAUACCAAGCCCAACACACAAAUGACUAACUAAAAUGGAUAUAGAAAAUGCAGCCACCAUGAUGAAGCACUUAAGUUUUUAGCAAAUUGUUAACAGUAAUAAUGAUGAUGAUGAUAAUGACAAUAACACCAACAAUUCGGCAAUCAGCAUGUAAUUUUAAAAGCAAAGUUAGAACCUAGUAAGAUUUAUUAUUGUAAAUGAGAGAAUUAGAUAAAUCACACUACUAUUCUUACACAAAGGUCAUCUCAUGUUCUCCAUCUUCUGACAUUUUCUUUUUUCUUUUUUCAUAUUUUGCUUUUGAACUUGAUAAUAAUUUUACACGCCUAAGAAAAGAGGAAUAGAUUCAACCAGUCAUACUUGCCAAUUUUUUGGUCUGAAGAGGCCAAGCCGUAUUAUCAAAACUCUGAGAACCAACCUUACGGAACCAAACCCUUGAGACCAUAAAAGACAAGAUAAGGACACUUGCCACUAUUGAUGAAGUUGUCGAAAGUGAGGAUACUGUUGUUCCACGUUGCAAGAUUGAACCCCCUAAGCCCUUCAAAGAGUGUGAACAGAAAUUUCUUUUCAAAUGUGGGGUUUUUAUCGUCUGCACAACAAAUCAAAUCAAAACUGAGAUGUCCAUUUGCAGAGUUUUCCCAAUUAGCUCAACACCAAAAACUUCACCCAUCAAACCUAUGUAAUAAAACGCCAUAUCCAGAUCUGAACAGGGAAAGAGGUGAUUGCACAAACAUUUAGUGUGCUUAGAAUUACCGGUGCAAGUUCUGUUGCGAAACUUGGUGUUGCUUAUUCCAGCUGCCGAUGGGGCCCCUAGAGGCAACGGGGACUGUGACUGAAGUAGCGGCGACUCGAAAAACUAGGCAAUAUAUUCUUCACACCCAAUUUCCGCACCUUUAAAGAUUCCAAGUUGUUGAGACCUUGCACGCUUUUUAGCUUACGACAAUAUUGUACUUCGAGCUCCGAUAGCUUUUUCAAUUUCGAUAGGUCUGACAUUCUCUCCACGGAAGGGCAAUUGACGACUGAUAGGGAGCAAAGCGAUCCCAAUUCUUCAAGGCCACAAAUCUCGACUAAUGAAAAGCAAGCUACCAUACUUACCUUGUGUAAAUUCUUCAUGCGCGACAUAUCAAGUACUUCUGGAAGGAACUCACACCAGGCCAUCUCUAAUAAUCUCAAUCUUUUCAUUUCCUGCUGCAAUGGCGCAUCCACUUUUCUAAGCUCACAGCGCUCCAUACGGAGUUCCUCCGACUCUACAUCAAAUAUACUAGACAAUUCUAGCGAACAUCUAUAGAAUUUCAAGAUUGACAAGUCUUUCAAAUUUGAAAAAUCCGGUGAUGGUGUGGUCACCAGAUCUCGAAGUUGUAACUCUCUUAAACUAGACGGGAGCUGGGGGAGGAAUUGCAAAUAUUUGCAGCACAAUUUUAGUGUUUUAAGCUGAGACAGCAUACCGAUGCUAGUGGGAAGAGUGGUGACAAGUGUUUCGUGUUGAGAUAGGGCACCAAUUUUAGUGGGAAGAGCUCGGUCUUCUUCCUGCCAAUAUUCUUCCAGCUCAUAUUUCCUCUCCUCUGCGGAGGAACACCAGCAAUUUUUAAGGCCCCACCUCAAACAAGUCAAACUUGGGGAAGUUCCCGCAAUUUUUUAAGCUCAGGACAUUUUUGUAGCUUAAGUAUUUGGAGAUUAGAGAGGUGACUCAGUAUGGUGGGUAAUCCAGAUAUACGUGUGUCUGAUAAGUCUAGGAUUCUCAAACGAGAGAGUCUCCCAAUUUCUUCAGGGAUUUCAUUGGUCAAGUUGCAACAUCCUCUAGCAUCUAACUCUUCAAGCUUCUCUAUCAGCCCAAUCGUACUUGGUAAUUUUGUUAUCCCUCUUAUGCCGUUUAUCUUUAGUACUUUCAAUUGCUUUAGAUUGCCGAUCGAAUCAGGUAGAUGACCAAUACUUGUCAGUGACAAAUCCAACUCGACUAAUGAUUGUAAAUUCCCAACCGAAUAUGGAAGUUCCUUUAUCUUUGUGCAAUUCGAUAAAUCUAGCCGCCUAAUUUUCACCAGCCCUCCAAUCGAGUAUGGCAAUUUGUUGAUUUGCCUAUUUGGUACAUUGAACUUCAACAAAGAUUGCAAAUUACCAAACGUCUGCGGAAGUUCAUGUAGCCUAUUAGGCAUGACGAUCUCUGUCAAAGCUUGUAGACAUCCUAUUUCUUCCGGCAACUCUCGAAGAGAAAAACAAUUCUUCAAGUUCAAAGUAGUUAGGAACUUCAAUAUACCAAUGGAUGGGUCAACUUCAAUUAACUGGUAACACCCUUCAAGAAUCAAUCUCUCCAAGAACACCCACAUAGAUAAAUCAGGUGUUCUCCUUAAGUAUCUACAGUGGCUAAGAUCUAGUACUUUAAGUUUCCUUGUUGCCUGCAAAAUAAUUUGAUAAAAUAUAUAGUAAGAAACUACUUGUAGGAAAAAAAAUAGCAAAAGAAACCAUAUGCAUAUAGGGAGUGGGGCUCGAAUCAUACUCUAAUUUGUUCCCAGCCAAUCCAUUUCUCCGAAAAUGGCUCCACGAAAGGUCAAGAAUGACUAAGUUAGUUGGAUGAAAGUUUGUUGCCUCAAACUUGUCAGAGUAAUAUCUCCAAGAAAGCCAUUUUAAACUGCGAAGAAGAUUAUUGAAGUCUCCAACAAGCAACGGCCGAUCCCCUCGAAAGAACCUCAGCUUUCGUAACUGAGCAACUUCAUCACAUGUUAGAAUGUCUUCAUGAAAUCCACAAUAUCCUUCUAGUGACAUUGCUUUUUAUUUUCCUACUUCCCUGACAAUGGAAACACAAUAGUGAUUAAUUUACCCUUUUGCAAGAAUAGUCUAAAACAAUUCAUCAAAAAAUAAAUUGCCAUUCCCUUUUUUUACCUCUUUUUCCUUUAGAAUACUUAGGGCUUCGUGAUAGUUCCACACUCUACUACGCUCAUAGGGAUCAGUGAAGUUCUCUUGACGGACGAUUUCCCUUCCAAGGUCUCGCACUUGGUCAUGCAUCCAGAAAGUAUUGUCGUCUUUGAGUUUUAUCAAGGACAUACAAAGGAGGACAUCAAUGGCAAUGUGUGGGUGGUAUCCACAUGCAUCCCACAUGUAGAAAGGGCUUGUUUUGUCUCGAUUAACAAAAGAACAAGCCACAUCCAGAAAUACUUCCUUUUGUGCAAGAUCUAACCUUUCAUAAGUUAUCCUCAAUUUUCUUUGGACUUCCAUGGGAGGAGCUUCUUUUAGCUUCUUCAAUGUGUCUAUCCAUAAUGCUUUGGAUUUACCUAGAAGGGAUGAACCUACAAUCUCAAGAGCUAGAGGAAGCUUUCCCAAAGUAUGGACAAUUUCUUCAGAAAGGUGGAAACAAUGAUUUGGUGGAGAGUCUCUUCUAAAGGCAUUCCUACUAAAAAGCUUAAGAGCAUGACCAAAUGUCAUUUCCUGUACAUCAUAAGUGGAAAAAUUUGUAGGCUUUUUUACGGGGCCUUCACUUGUUGCUUCUUCCUCAGUCAUUAGGACACGUUGAUCCCUAGUAGUUAUGAUAAUCCUACUACCAGAACCAAACCAACUACCUUUUUCUGCCAGACAUCUUAGUUGCUCCUUCUCAUCCACAUCAUCAAGAACAAUGAGAACUUUUUUUUCUUUAAGUACUCCCCCAUUAAGCUUGUUGAUCCCAUCAUUCACUUGAUAAAUUUGAUCAUUAGAAUGAGAACCAAUGAGCUUGGAUAACAGUUGUUUUUGCAAAUUUACCAAACCAUUAUUGCCUUUUGAUGAUUCCCCAACGUCUACAAGGAAACAACAUCGGUCAAAGCUCGAAGAUAGUGUGUUGAAGACGAUCUUAGCAAGAGUUGUUUUUCCAACACCGCCCAUUCCAUGGAUUCCAAGAAAUCGUACACUAUCAAAUCCCACUUCCAACAUUUUGAUUAUAUCUUCUACGCGAUCAUCAACUCCAACUAGAUGUUCAGUUACAUUUUCAUAUGCAACCUUCAGCUUAACUGAAAUCGUUCGAAUUACUGAACAUAUAAGAUCUCCUUGGCUGCCAUAAGGUAACAACCAUGUUAGGGAUAACUUUAUAUGCAAAACUACUCCCAAAGUAACUAACUUGCUCUCACAUUAUGUGGAAAUUUGGCAAAAAAAUCUAGACACCAAUACGAUUAUGAUUUUUUGCCAAUCUUUCUCCGCUCCCCAACUUCGGUCACCAUAACCAUUGGCCCCUGCCACUGCACCAACGUCGCUCGCCUCCCUGCACCGUCACCAUCGCAUUUCAGUGUCGUCGCCCGUUGUGCCCGUUGACUGGCCAUCUCGACCUUGCCUCAAUUCUCCACGUCACCUGAAUCGUGGUCUUGCAAUUGCCGGGGAUGGUGUGAUCAGCCGUGGGCCAAAGUUAGCGACGUUCGAUAUGGUCGUCGAGAUCCCGGAUCCAACUCGCCACAGUGAAUGAGAGAGAGAAAGUGUGGGGGCAGAAUGGCUCAGAGGCAGCUUCUGGCUGCUUGGUGUUGGGCUGGCGACGAAGAAGUAGCGGUGACUGACGGACGAGCUGCUGCGGUGGCUGGCCGACAGCUUGGGAGAGCUCUUCGGAGAUCUAUUACUAUUUGUGGCUACUGUGUCAGAGACUGAGAGUAUGAGGAGAGAGAAUCAGGAUAAGAAGGGUGCGCUACCACCGCAAUAAUGCCAUUGACUGGAGCUAUCGCAGCGAUAGCACCGAUAGGGGCCACCAGAGAGAAUUCCUUUCUCGCCGCUAUAGUGGCCGAAAGCAGCAGCGGCCAUUGCCACGACCAAUUUUUGAACUAUAUAAAAUCGACUAGACGAGUAAACUAUAUUUUCACCAACAAUACAACAAUUAAACCGAACUGGGAGGAAAACGAAAUUUACAGAUGGCAGUUGACAAGUUAAAGGCGGUUACCCUUCAUCUUUCUUCAAGUUCCAUCCCUUUAUCUCAUCCACCUCCUUGAGAGCUUUUUCCCAUGACUCCACUUCCGCACUAAACUUUGCCCGGUGCUUUGAAAGAGCUCGGCUAUAUAAGUCUGUUUUGAGCUUGACGUCUUCAGGUUCCACAUCCAAGAAAAUGGGCAGAAUCUCUUUGUUCUCAUUCGAUUUCGAGGUGUACUCGACCAUAUAUGUGAGCUCUCGGAGGCACCAAUGACUUGAAGCAUAAUUUUUGGAGAAUAUGGGAAUGUAAAUUUUGGAGUUCUCAAUUGCUUGUGCAAGUUCACCACCGAUUUUUUUACCGAAACAGAGGGAUUCAUUGUCCCUAAAGACAAGAAUUCCAGCCUCAAACAUGCUAUGGUAGAGACAAUUAGUGAAUCCAUGACGAGUGUCGACUCCCCGAAAGCUUAGAAAAACCUCGUACUGAGGUCCGGACGAUGCUGAUGAACUUGUCCCCAUCUCCAUAGCAGGAUCUUUAAACACCACAGGUAUCAAAUCCUCGCUUUCUCUCAGGAAAGUUUGCUUCUCGGGGGCGACAUGGGGGUAGGGAAAAAGGCGCUGCACUUCGAAUAUCUUGUCUACUUUGCAUCGGUUUGGCCAACGAAUUUCUCAAAUCAAUAAUAAAAUGCGAAUUUUAUUUUAAAACGCCAUAGCAUUAAGAAAAGUACACUAGUAGCUUUUAAGUAAAGAGACUUAUCUGACAUUGGAAUUAAUGUAAUUAAUAAAUUAAAAUUAUUAUAUAUGUAACAAUAUCUUAACCUUAUUUGGGAUUAAUUUAAUUAUUAAAACUAAAAUUAUCAUAUAUAUGUCAUGAUCUUGACCUCACUUUUAUGAAGUGCCGGUGUUACCAAUAAACACAGUUAAAUAACAUAAGAGACUGAAAAUAGUCAUUCACAUAUAUACUUUUCAUUGGCUUGUCACAUCAUGUGUCUCUACCACGUCAAUUAGGCAUUAACAAGUCAAAGUUUACCACCAUCUUGAUUGCUUAGUUGCAUUUUCCAUUUCUUCUAUCCUAAUCCAACCUAAGGAAAAGUAGUAGAGUUGGGGGGAACGACAAAAUUAAUUUAUUCUCUGAGUAUUCAUCUUCAUGUUAUUCUCGUGUGUAGAAGCUAUAUAAUUAUGAUUGUAUCUCUCUGUACAAGUCUGUGUGUCUAUAAUAUGGGAAGAGAGUCAGUGUUGUGAGAGUGAGUUUAUAGAAUCAUCUAAUCAAGCUUCCUGUAGAAACAACACUUUGAGGAUUACAUAGGGGACUCCAACCUUGUUGUGGUUGUUAGAGCUAGGAGAGUGGAGUAAGUCAAGUAAAAGACCGAACCACUCUAAAUGUAUUUUGCGUAUCUUCUAUCUCCUUAUUUGAUAGCAGAUGAAUGUUACUGCAUAACUGUUUUCCACUAUAGCAGCACAUUCUACGUGUCCUUCACUGGAAAAAUUUUAAUUUCCCCCUAGAACAAACAAUUCGUCUUCCUCUUAAUUGUUGUGCUUAUCCAUUUAUUAGUAGAUAUCUUUGGUUGUUGCACGUGUGAAAAUGAGAAAACACGGUCUUUAUCUUCUGCAUUGUUGCUGGGUAAUUGGAUUUGGUUGAACGUGGAAACAUACAAAUAAACUCCAUCCUCAAUCGCAAAAAAAUAAAAAUAAAUAAAUAUAUAUAUAUGUGUGUGUGUGUGUGUGUGUGUGUGUGUGUGUGAAUAAAAGAUGAUACGCGGUUUGUGAAAUUGUUCAGGAAAUUCUGAUCCAUUAUUAAAAGAAAUGUUCAGGAAAUUCUGAUCCGUUAUUAAAAGAAAUGCUAAAUAAGAGAAUGAGGUUUACCGUCCACUAUUAAAAGAUACGGUGUAAUUGUACACGUCAUCAAGGCUUGAUAAUCAAUUGCCACUAGGCUUACUAUUAUCUUUUUUUUUUUUUAAUACAGUACGUCGUCAUAAAAGGUUUUAAAAACGAAAGGCCACUGCCCGGGAAAAAAACAAUUGCAUAAAGGAUUUCUAAAUAGCGAUGAAAUUGUGACAGAAGGGCAAACAUGAGAAUAAUCAAGUACCUGCGUCUUGGAAUUGCUUUAUUAGUCGACAACCAAUGAACUUUUAAGAUAGUUGCGAGAAGAAUUAUUAGAGCCAACUAAAUUAUUUAUUUAUUUUUUUGGUAAAGGCAAGAAUAUAUAUUGAUAAGCAAAGGACAAAUGUACACAAACGGCACCAAAACUUACACUCUAAAUGUGAACAAAAGAGUGGAAGGGAGCCGCGCAAAAGCCACAAAGGGCAAGGACAGAAAGAGCGCAAAAAAAACAGACACAGCCUAGCCACCAUAUUCAGCAACCAGAUCUCCAAGGACGAAGCCCAGAACAUCCGUGCUGAAGACGACCUAGCAGGAUUAAAAAGGAAAGAAACCCCAAAGGGUUAAGUGAAGAUAAUUGGGUCAAGCUCCCAACCCCUCUGAAGACGCCGAUUCCUUGGAGUGUCAGGGACAUCCUUGUAUGUAACUGCUUUAUCUUUAACCAUCUUUAUCAAAUGGUUCUUCAAAGCGGGAAUAUCAAGAGAUUCCCCUCGAAAAAUCAUAGCAUUUCUCUUCUUCCAAAUUAGAUAGCAAAGAGCUCCAAAGGAAUAGCGGGAGAGACUAUGAAAGAAGUCUUUACCAGAAAGGAAUUUCAUAGCCCAAGCAAGGUUUUCCGCCCAAGUGCCGUUCCUCCACGGCAAAUUGCACCUAGUUGCCCAAAAGUAAAUAACGGUAUUUAAAAUAUUACACUCAAAGUACAGAUGGUUAGUCGAGUCAGGCUAAGUAUUACAAAAGGUGCAAACCAGGUAAUCGAUCCUUCCAUAUGAGAGAAGAAGUGACUGCGUUGGCAAGCGGUUUUUAGUAAUAAGCCACAAGAGGAAUUGAAACCGAGGGGCUAAAUCCUUAUCCCACACAAAAGAAGUCCAAGGUGCUUUGGCUUUUGAAGCUCUGAUGGCGUUCCAAGCAGAAGCUACGAAGAAGGCCCCCGAAGAAUCUUGACGCCACACAAAACGAUCGCUAUCAACCAAAAGAGGAGGAAGCGAGAAACCACAAUUCUCCAACCGCAAUUUACAGGAUCUUCCAGCACACGAAUAUAAAGAAGCCACAGUCGCCUUUGCUGGAACGUCGGGGUCCAACAAAAAAGAUUGAGGAACUUGUAAAUGAAGAGGGCCACAAGGCAACCAGCUAUCAAACCACAAUGAGAUAGAUCGGCCGUCACCGACCUUCCAACCGAAGGAUUGUCUACAACCGCCCCGAAGUUGAAGGAUCUGCUUCCAACUCCAUGCACAAACCGAAGGCUGAGGGGCAACCCAGAAGUUAUGUUUCUUUAAAAAGUUGGAGUGGAUCCAACGGCACCACAGAGAUUCCUUAUCCGUAAAGAGGAUCUAAAUGAAUUUCAUCAUUGAGGCUUUGUUACAAUCUUUGAUAGACCGAAUACCCAGGCCCCCUUCCUCCUUAGGCAAACAAACAUCCGCCCAUGAGACUUUAGCACCUCCCUUAUCCAAGGAGGUGCCUUUCCAAAGAAAUCUACGAAGAAUGCUUUCAAUUCCCAGGAUAACCGAGGAGGGCAAAGUGAAGACACUAGCCCAAAAAGACUGAAUAGCGUGAAGCACUGACCUUAUGAGCUGAAGUCUCCCAGCAAAAGAGAGGAACCUGUGGGACCAGGAGCGGGCUCGCGCGGUAAUGCGGUCAAUUAACUGAGUACAGUCAGCCUUACUCAACCUCUUUGAGAUAAUCGGCACUCCAAGGUACCGAAUCGAGAGUUUACCUUCCUGAAAACCAAAUGCUAGGAGGAUUCUGUUGCACAAAGCAGGAUCGCCUCCCAAAAGAAAGAUGUCGCUCUUAUUUUUGUUGGGGAGAAGACCACUCCAUGAAGAGAAAAUGUCGAGGCUUCUUUUGAGGAUCACAGCCGAUUUCCAAUCUGCUUGGCAAAAGAGGAACACAUCGUCUGCAAAAAACAGAUGAGUAAGCUUGGGAGACUUAAUAAUAUUUAAAGUCUUUAGUCGAAGACCUUUGGUUCAGUAUUCCCGAGAAGAUUUCCAUGAUCAAUGUAAAUAAAUAAGGAGACAUUGGGUCACCCUGCUUAAGGCCUCUACCUCCUGGGAAGAAGCCAUGAAGCUCCCCAUUAAUAGAGAUAGAGAACCUGGGAGUGCGUACACAAGCCAUAAUCCGACGAAUAAUCCACGGAGGAAACCGGAAGGCAAUAAGAGUAAGCUCUAGGAAAUCCCAGUCCACAGUGUCAUAGGCCUUGCGAAAAUCCAUUUUGACCGCACAUCUUGGGAGGUAUGGGUCUAGGUGGAAGCCUGCAAACAGCUCUUGAGCCAAUAAGAUAUUAUCCCUUAUUCUUCUUCCUUUUACAAACGCAUUCUGGGACGGGUUUACAAUGUCCUGAAGUACAGGCGCAAUUCUAUUGGCCAAGAUCUUGGUGAUAAGCUUAUAGAUAGUAUUGCAGCAAGCAAUUGGUCUGAAGUCGUUUACUUCACAAGCAUUCGGCACCUUAGGAAUUAGAGCUAGGAUAGUCGCAUUAACUUCUUUAAGAAGACAACCAGAGGAGAAAAAAUCUUUCAUAGCCUCUAUAACUAAAGGGCCUAUGAUAUCCCAAUUACUUUUAAAGAAUUCUGCUGUAAACCCAUCUGGACCAGGGGCUUUUCCCUUCGCAAGCGAGAACAAGGUCUUCUUAACUUCCAAAUCAGAGACAGGAGAAGCUAAGGAAUAAACCUGGCUGUCGGAAAUCGGCUUUCGAAUAAGAGAAGUAAGCUCAUGAAGAUCAGGCUUAGCUAAGCCAACUCGAGGAGCAAGUAGAUCUGAAAAGAAAGAUAGAAAAACUUGAGGCACCAAAUCAGGGUCCGAGACGACCAUACCUGCAGUGUCUUUGACAGAGAGGAUACGGUUAUUGAGCUGUCUAGCUUUGACACAAUUGUGGAAGAAUCUCGUGUUGCGAUCUCCUUCCUUCAGCCAUCUAAUUCUUGAUUUUUGCUUAUAGAACGAUUCCUCUUGACCACGAAGGUCUAUAAAAGCAUGGCGCUGCCCUUUUUCAAGCUCAGCUAGUGGAAUAUUUUCAGGAUCCAACUAAAGGAGAUGCUGAGUAGAACGCAAGGCUUCCCUCGCUUCAAGAGUUCUCAGAGAAAUAUCCGAGAAAGCCUCCAGAUUAAGAUCCCUGAGGCGAGAUUUCAACAAUUUCAGCUUCGUAACUAGUUUAAACAUGGGAACUCCCCAAACUUGACUAUCCCACACCUGCAAAACCGUAGAAUGGAAGUCCGGGUGCUCAACCCAAAAAUCAAAGUACUUAAAAGGCUUCCUCCUUGGACGCGGAUCCACAACCCUGACAACCAUAGGAGUAUGAUCAGAAAUUCCAGGAUUGAGAAACGACGCCUCCGAGUAUGAAAAGUCCAUUCUCCAUUUAGAGUUGACAAGAACUCUGUCAAUUUUUCGCAUCUUCCUAUUCGCACCCGCCGAGGUCGACCAGGUAAACCGAAGACCAGAGUACCUAAGGUCCUCAAGAUCCGUUUGGUCCAGACAUAACUUGAAAUCAUCAAAACAGGGGAUCCAGGCAUUAGAGCUACCAACGCGAUCAGAAGGGUCCUUGAUUGCAUUAAAAUCUCCGGCUACUAUCCAGGCAUAGUCUUGAAAAAGAUCGUCACAAUUGAUAAGAUCAGACCAAAGAGGCCUCCGCCGCACAAAGGAAUGCUCUCCAUAGAUAGCGGAAACACAGCAAGUAAAAUUAGAAGAUAACCCCUUCAAGCACCCAUGGAUGGCUUGGUCAUUCGAAGAGAUCAACUCAAAACUGACGGUAGCUGGAUCCCAUCCAAUCCAGACUCUACCGCGCGGUGCAAAAUCAUAGUUCGCAAUCCAAUUCCAGCCUCUCAAAAUAUUGGAAGAUAUGGAACCAAACAAAGGCUCUGGAACUUUAGUUUCAAAAAGCCCAAUAAGGCAAAGCUUAUUUGCAACAGCAAACUUUCUAAUCUCCGCCCUUCUGACAGGGUUCAUAAUACCUCUAACAUUCCAAAAACCAAAAAACAUAGACAGCAAAAGGAGAGAAUUACUUCAGCUUGGCGCCCCUGCGCCUACUUCUAGUCGCUUUCGAGUCCUCUGUAGGAGAAGGUCCCGGCGGGUCAGGCAGCAAAAGGAGAAGCUGAUCUUAGAGCCAACUAAAUUAUUCAUUUAAUAAAUUCUAAAGAAUUAUGAAUGGGGUUUUUUUUUUUGCCGGUCGAUCAUAAUUAGAUUUUGUCCCACUUUCAUUCAUAUCAAUUUAGGCCGAACAACUGGCAAGUCUGAUUUGCAUGAGAAAAUAAAAAUUAAGAAUUCAUUGUCACUAGCCACUAAUUAUUUGUUUUGGUCUAUUAUUAUGGUUAAAGUCUUGGUCGUUGUUUAUAUCUUCCAGCUGGGUGACAAGGAUGCAACCUUAGGACAGUGACAAUCAAUAAUUGCCGUUUAAAAAUUUAUAGUAGGUAAUGAUAAAGCAAUUGGCUAUUAAUUAAAUUGAUUGAUCUAUCACAACCACUACAACAUUAUUUCAUAUUCAAAACAGAAUUGGGUAGGAAGAUAACUUUUAUUUAUAAAUGUGCUUGCGCAAUAUGAUCAUUAGAUUAUUAGGAAGAAGACAUUGGAAGCGCCAUAACUUUUAGUGUCAUUUUCUCUUAAAAAAUUAUUACGAGUUGUAAUCUCACUAAGCCGAUUUAAUGUUUUCCAACGUUUCAUAUGUUUCUUCCGAAAUGCAGCCAGCAACUAGAAAGACAGAAAAAGAAAAAUUAAGAAGUUCGCCUCACUAGUCACUAAUUUAUCUUGGCCUUUUAUUAUGGUUUAAGCGUUGGUCAUUGGUACAUCAUCUAGCAAGGUAACAUGAUGGAACCUUAGGAUAGUGACAUUCACCCUCAGGUUAAGAAUCAAUACUUGCCUUUUAAAAACGGGUUGUGGGUAAAGAUAGAUAAAUUGGCUAUUUAAUUUGAUUAAUUAACUUAUCGUAAAAGCAGCACAACUAUACCACAGAGAUUUAAAAAACGGAAUUAGGUAGGAAGACAUUUUAGUGCGUUAAUGUACUUACGUAUUGCCAUCAUUAGAUUAUUAUUAGUUAUAAUCUUGCUGAGCCAAUUCAAUGUUUUUUUUACGCUUUACGUGUUUCUUCCGGAAUGUAAUCAACACUCAAAAGAGCAUGAAAAAUUCUUGCAAUUGUGACAGAAAAGGAAAACGAGAAGAAUAAGUAAAUAUUUGCCAUCUCGGAAAUGUUUCAUGGUUGACGACUAUUGCGACCUACCCCUCAGGGGGGAACAGUAGGUUUAGCAGUAUUAUCUAAAGGACGGGCCUAAGGCCCAUGAUUAGGCAUUGUAUCUCCCAAGCCCAUAUCCCACGUGACAUUGUGAUAUUCUUUAGAAUUUUGCAAAAAAGAGUCGCCACUAGCCUAUUGAGGCCGGCUAGAAACGAAGUGAGGCAUGGGAGUGUACCUCAUUCCCUACACAACCAGAAAAUUUAGGGUCGGGGACUUGAUUACACUAAUUGACUAAUUAGUGCCAUUUCGGUACCUAAUCUUGUCCAUUUUAACAAAAUGAUUUUUUUGCAGGCAGUUUGGAUUGAUUUUAUACAUAUCCACUAAUAUAUGAGGUGAUCAUGCGGGUGCGCAAUCAUAAAAGUAAUAACUAUAGCUACCAAGAUUCUAAUUGCAGUAAAAUUAACACAUGCCACUAAGCUGCAAACAUAGUUAAAUAGGUAAAUUAAACAUGCAAUAUAAUCAAUAUACGAGUAAUUAAAUGCCUAAAUAUACUAUAAAGGCAAUACAUGGUCAUUUCUAAUCAAAACCUACAUAUUUUGGAUUUUCGAAAUUUUUAAUUUUUUUUUAAUUUUUUUAAAAUAUUAUUUUAAUAUUAUAAUAAUAUAAUAUAUUUAAAAUGAACCGGGUCAGAUCCACGGGUCGGGUCCGACUCGGGUCCACGGAAAGGACCUGGGCUCGGCCCGAAUCAAGCCCGACGACCCGAACCCAGACCAAACUGGGCCGUGGGACCUAAACCAGCAAAACCAACCGGGUUGGGCCUAAUGUGUAGGCCCGGCCUAGCCUAAAUUUUUUGAAAUAAAGCCCACAUGCAAAAACAGCCCCAAACCUGGCCCAAUAUGCCCAAAACCCUACCCAGUUGACUAGACUCGUCUCGACUUGCGCGACCCGAAUUCUGGAGCCCUUGGGUUCAAAGAUCUACGGCGCCGGAGGGAUUAGCUAGGACGUCGAUAGCGGUGAUGGGCUUGACGACAGCGACGAUGCGGCGAAUGGCGACAUCAGCGCUCGGAGGGUUGCAGGUGAGACGGGGCACGGCAGUGACUGGCGGAGAUGGGCAUAGGUGUGGCAACGCCGGUUAUAGGCAUUGGGCAAAGGCGCGGCGGUGGGCACGGCUCGGACAGUGUCGUGGCUGGAUGACAGCAACGAUCAGCUUGGUGAUGCGGCGGAGCUCGAUCUACUCCCAGAUCUGAGCCUUUGGCCAACCCCCUUGCCUCGGAUCUUCAGAUCUAAAGGGCUCUAAGUUCGUCCUCCCUCUCCCUUUGGUCUCGACUAGCUCAGCGUCGAGAGAAGCGGCAACGAGUGCUGCGGCUACUAGCGUCGGUGGCAGUAGUGUCGAGUGCAGGGGGUCAGAUGACGGGAGCUCAAACGACAUCGAGAGCAGCGACUACUGGCGUCGGCGGCAGCAGCGUCGAGUGCAGGGGGUUGGAUAGCGAGAGCUUGAACGACAUCAAGCUCGGAGGGCAGCAGCUUGGACGACAGCGGCAGCCAACGCCGACGACGCCUCCUUUCCUUUCUCUCCCUCCCUGUCUUCUCUCCCUAUUUCUCUCUCGUUUCUUCCUAGCCUCUCUCGCUCCCCCUCCCUAAGUUCUCUUCGAGCUCUCCUCUUCCUCCUCCAGCUCUCUCUCUUUGUCUCUCUCUCACUGUCUGCCUUCCUGUUCUCCCAGGUUUCUUGUGCGAAGAUGGAGGAGGGAGAAGGCUGGCUUGGGCCAAGCCAAAGGGGAAAUGGGCUUGGGCCGCUCAAGGGAAAAAGAGGCAUUUUUUAUUUUUCUCUUUCUUUUCUUUUUUUGUUGUUUUGUUAUUUUUUUUCUUUUUUUUCUCUUUUUCUCUUUUUCUCUAAUAAUCAUUUUUAUGUACUUGAAAACAAAAAUUAGGUAUCAACAAUUGCCCCUCAUUGAAUAUAGCCUCGAAGAGGUUGCAUUCAAAGACAGAAUAUACCUAAAUUAUUUCGAUAGUAGAGAGACCCUAGGUUCAUAGGCAUGCGUCAGGUCGACAGAAAUGACUCAUAACUAUGAAAUCACGUCUUGUCAAUAAAAGGAAGAAGGACACUGGGCUACAGAGCUCCUCAAGAUAUAGGAAGAAAAACUCCGGGAUACAAAGCUCUCCGGGUCAUAAGAAGAGAGAAGACUCUAGGAGACAAAGCUCUUUAGGUCAUAAGAAGAGAGAGAAGACUCUGAGCUACAAAAGCCCAUAGGGUCAUAAGAAGAGAGAAGACUCCAUGAUACAAAGCUCUCCGGGUCAUAAGAAGAGAGAAAACUCCAUGAUACAAAGCUCUUUGGGUCAUAAAAAUAGAGAGAAACUCCGAGCUACAGAAGCCCACCGGGUCAUAAACAGAGAGAAGACUCCAGGAUACAAAGCUCUCUGAGUCAUAAGAAGAGAGGAGACUCCAGGAUACAAAGCUCUUCGGGUCAUAAGAAGAGAGGAAUGAGGUCUCACCGUGUAAUAACGGGUUUCGAUUGGGUAUGAUAGUCUCAUUGUGUACGAACGGGUUUCGAUUGAGAGAUAGGUCUCACUGUGUACGAAUGAGUUUCAAUUAGAUAUGAUAGUUUCACCGUUUACGAACGGGUUUCGACCGGAUGCGGACAAGCGUGGUUUACGGAUGAACCCACGAGCCUUGUGGUUUAAGAAAAGUUACCAACCCCAUGGUUUUAACGAUAAAUCCACCAACCUUGGAAAUGACAUGAUUUAAGGCUAACCAUGAACCCUUGGUUUUUAGGGAAGCACCCACUAACCCCUUGAAAACUACAUGGCUUCACUGAGGAAUCCUAUCAAACUCAGCUUGAGCAAAUGUCAUUAGAGACGUUAUCAAGAGACGUAUUGGCAAUAUUACAGCAUUAAUUAAACAAGCUAAUCAAGCUAAGUCCUACUACUUUAGACAAACAUUUGAUGUUAAUCAGUAUCAUGUGGUGCAAAACCGUCAUCUUGCUUGGGGAUAUAUCAUUUAAUCAUCAAAUUCUUAGUCAGAAAGGACUUCUCACAUAUUCUUGAUAAAAUGGCUGCUUGAUCCCAUUUAUUCGCGUGGGAAAUAGCUGAUUGCUGAAGGUAUCUCACAUAACCCAUGUCAAAGGCUUUCUAAAACAUUCUCGAUUUGCACAAUCAGAUCGAUCAAAAAGGUCUUUUAAAAGGACCGCAAUAUAGGCUCGGUUAAGGCUUACACAAAGGAAUUAUUGUUUUGAGGCCAAUAAAGGAACAUUUGUCGCUAUUUUCAUCGGGUUUAUGAGUCGAGAACUUGGAAGAUAAGACAAGAUAGAAUUACUUCCACUCCUUCAAGCAAUAGCUUCUUUGUGGUAUUCUCAUUUUCACUCAAACCAUCCCAAUCAGAAGAGAUUUCGGAAGAGGGUUAUGUUGAUUUAGGAAAGGCUCGAAAGGCUUAAAAUUUUCAAGAGGGUUUUUAAGUGUUGAUGAUCAUCAUGGCAUUGUGACCGGGUCACUCGACCUUUGGAAAGCAUUUAGCUUUUGAAACACAACACAUCUUGAAAGUCCCUUAACUAAUCAUUUAUGCAUGGGAGCUUUGCUCUUUUAUCUAAUGUCCUUUGCUCUUGCAAUGAUUUUUUUUUUUUUUUUGCGUAGGCACUUGGACUUUGAUAAUUUUUUUCUUCCACAUAAGAUGCAACUUUUUGGCUCCUUUUUUUUUUUUUUUGAAAUGGGCAUUGAUCUUGCUUUUUACCAGGUACACUGCUUUUUCAUACCCCCUAAUUUUGUCGAACUUUUUGCUCUUUGAACCUUUGGAGCUCUUAUGACUUUCGAGAUGCUUUUCGUGCUUUCUUGUAAAUGCCAAUUGUAUGUGUCAAUCCUUAUGCCUUGCCCCAAUGAAAGGAGAUGAUCAUCGCUCGAGGUUUAGAAAUGAAUAAUUAGGCCCAAAUUGGUUAAAGCAAAGGGUAUCAAUAUUUGGGUAGAGAAGGAAAUGCUCUUCUUCACAUUAGGAUGAGUCAAGCUCUAAUGAGAAUUCCUCUGAAGCUAUCACCAGAAGAUUGCUACAAGUGAAAGUAAUAUAAUCUUUCUCAAUCUUUCACUCUACAACACGACCGUAACCUCCUAUGCUGCCCCAUUGUAGGGUCGUUCUCGACAGGGGUACUUUGAAUGAUCAUCUUUAUUCCGCCCAAAGGAGUAGCAAGAGAUUAGUGCAAAGCUUGGGAUUGAUGAAGGAAACACAUUUAUCAUUUCAAUCCUUGCGCUCAAUGCGAAUGAAUCAUUUGUCCUAAGAGAAUGUCGCUUUUCACUCAACUCUCAAAAGUGUUUGAAUGACGUGUUUGGAAAUGACUUACCUUUCUCUAUCCUAAGCACUUCUUAUUUGGCAUGGUUAACGUCUCCGUUUCACUCUGCCGAGAUCAUCUGAGUAGAUCAAUCUCCAUAGGGGAAUUUGAUUUAAAAUGAAUAACCCACAAAACGAGAAAAUAAUUUUGAGAUAAAAAUGAUGCUCAAAAAGUUUGUAGAAAGUUUUUUUUUUUUUUUUUUUGUGCUUGUCUCUAGGAAAGCACAAAUGGUUCUUUUUUGUAAUAGAAAUUCUUCGGUUUUUUGUUUUUUUGUUUUUAAGAUUGAGAAGAAGGGUCCUUACCUGCAGCAUGGUGACCUGGUAACCCUGUAAAUAAUGUAAAAGAAUAUGUUAGUGCAAAAAUCUUUAGGGAUUGAAAUGUUGGAAACGAUACAUUAUUACCCUUCACUCGAUUUUAUCUUUUGAGGGCUAACAUCUCUUGGAUUCACCCUCGUGGAUAUUUUUUAACUUGGCAUUACUCUUCACUUGCAUUUGCCUUUAAGUGUUUGAUGUCUUCCUAUCAAAGGAAAGAAAGAAUCAUGUUAGAGACAUUAUCAAAAUGAGCAAUUGGAAUCGACACCAUUUACCCUUCACGUGUUUUCGUUCUUCAGUUAUGAACUUUGCCUGAAGUCACUAGAAUUGAUUGAAAAAUGGCUAUGUGGCCCUGAUUUUAUCAAUAAAAAACACUUCUUUAUUGUAUACAACAAUUCACAAAGUUCAAUUCCUGCUCUCUUUUUUCAAAUGCUCAUCCUGAAGAAACAUUUAGCUGACAAGGAGCUUGAAAAUUUUAUAUAUGGAUCAUGAGAUGUAUUUUUCAAGAUCUUGCUUUGAAAGGAGAGUGGGUGCUCCCUGUUUCCACAUCUGAGGAUAUUAUUCUUUAGAUGCUUUGCCCAUUUAUUGCCUGCAAAGAAAAGAUUUGACAUAUUAUCUCCUCACUUGAUUGGAAAUCAUUUAGGAACUAUACACAUCCCUUUACGCCAAAAUGGAUAGUCGGGUCUUAGCAUGAUUCCUUGAUGGAAGGCGUUGCUUCUACGGUUAAGGUGCAACAUUUUUCCCAUUCAUCACCCUAUAAGAAGAGGAGAUGAAACGGGUUAUCUCCAUACUUAAUUAGGUUCAAUUUAGGAACGAUACAUCCUUUCGUGCUAAAUUGGAUGUCUUGUCAUGUCUUAUUGGAGAGAAACAUUGCCCUUAUAAGAAUACUCCUUCGCUUUUGUUGGAACGGUAUAUAACUUGGCGCCCACGAUGUAUCCUUAGCAAUGGAAAAGAAAAUCAUGUCAAAAACGGUAUCAGAAAUGGAUAAUUGGAAUCGAUACAGUUUACUCUUAUUGAAGAAAACUUCCUUAUUUGUUUUGAAGUUGACAAAACGUUUCCAUCAAUCUAGUCUGAAGACUUGCAGACUCAAGGCUUAAAGUCUGCCCUCACUGAUAAUCUCCAGACCGACGAAGGAAAGAUUUAUCUGACGAAGAAGACUUGUCCAGAUGCAAGUAUAUCUUUAAGGAUUUGGUUCGUACGGUUGAAGAAAAUCUCAUGGCUGAAGAUAGCAUCUCGUGGUCAGUUAUUCUUAUUGAAAUCAAUUCGAAUAAUUGGAUCUGUUGAUUGGCAAAUUAUACUUGGAAGGUUCUACUUAUGAAAAUCUAGAUCCUGAUUGUAUGGACGAGCAGGAUUGGUGGGCUAUCAUCACAUUCCCUAAAUAACUCGAGAUCUUCCUAAUUGAUUAUGUCCAACGGGUAUAUUAGAAGAACUCCUUUGGAAAGUGCCAAUGUUAUAAUGGCAUGGAGGAGUAUAUAAGGAAGACGAUUAAGUUAUUUGAGUGUGUACUUAAAAAAAAAAUUCCAAAGUCUGAAGUUCUUAGUUCUUUGCUAUCUCAAUUGCUAAGCUUAAGUUGUACUCGAAAGAGAGAUUAAAUACUUGUGAAAUCUUGAGGAAGUGUGGUAGAAUUUCUACACUAUGGAAUCAAGAACGUGAGGUUGUAAAAUCUCUUUUGAUUCUUAAUGAAAUCUAGCCAGUGGGCUGUCAGUGCGGGAGAGUAGACGUAGGCUUGGUCUAAGCCGAACCACUAUAAACCUUGUGUUUUAAUUCUCUUUCCUUAAUCUCUUUAUUUUAAUUCGUAACUUUAUAUAACUGUCUAUAAUCUUUUACAUAUUCAGUCUAUUAUCCUCAAAAGACGAAUUAAUUUGUUAAGUCUUGUAAAAGCUUCUUUAACACCAAUUUACCCUUCCUCUAGCCCUAUCAAUUGGUAUCAGAGCCUAUGUGCUCGUUUUAUUGAAAUGUUUUACUUCUGAGCUAAAGAUUUAUGGCUAGUAUUUUGGCUCCAAAUUUGGUUGAAGGCUAAAGUAACACCGGGCCGCCUUAUUUUGAUGGAAAUGAAUACAAUGUUUGGAAAAACAAGAUGAAUGCAUUCCUAAGAUCGAAAGAUUUCUAGGAAUGGGAUGUGGUAGAAAUAGGGAAUCAUUCCCAAAGCUACAUUAGUCUCAGAAAGAGGAAAAGAAGUUGUAGAUGUUGGUGAUAUGGCACAAGAAGAAAUAACCAAGAGACAAGCUCUUGAUGCUAAAGUAAUCUACUCCUUAUAUUGUGCUUUAUCUCCAACUGAAUAUAACAGAAUUUCAUCUUGUGAAACAGCAAAAGAAGUCUAGGAUAGGUUGCACGUCACCUAUGAAGGAACUGAUCGAGUUAAAGAAAUAAAGAUCAAUAUCUUACUCGGAUAGUAUGAAGCCUUCAAGAUGAAACUAGGAGAAUCCAUUACUGACAUAUUUAGUCGUUUUACAGAAAUCAUAAACGGUCUAUUAUAUCAAGGACAACCAAUCUUAGGACCAAUGAAGGUUAAUAAAUUGCUGUGUGGAUUAUCCAAAAAUUUGAAUCACGUGAAGACUUUAACAAGAGAAACCCAAAUGAUCAUGCCUCUUACAGUUGAUGAGCUUGUGAGCACACUUCAGUCAUACGAAGUGGAACAACUAAAUGAGGAAGAAGAUCCCAAAGAUAAGAAGUCAAUUGCUUUAAAAUCUAAUGAUGAUUAUGAUGUUAUAGAUUCUAAAGAUGAUAUCGAUGACGAAGAGCUAGCACUUAUGAUAAGAAAGUUUAGGAAACUGAACAGAAAUGGAAGAAGAUUUAACUGGAAGAAGCAAGGUUCUAAAAAAUUCCAGAACAAAACAAAUGAGGAUGACGAGAUCAACAAGGAUGUGGUCUAUUUUGAAUGCAAGAAAAAUGGACACAUUAGACUCAACUGUCCUCUGUUGAAGAAAAAGAAAGCAAGAACUGAAAAUUUUAAGAAAGCUCUCAAAGCAAAAACAUGAAGUGAUACAGAAUGUGAGGAAAGUGAUGAAAAAUAUGCCAACAUAUGUCUUAUGGCGAAUUCUGAAUCGGACUCAGAUUUUGGAACAAAUUCAGACUCAGACAAUGAAGUCAAGGUUAGUAAUUUAAAUAUACCUGUUAAAGUCUCGAAAUACAUUAAUGAACUUUGUCGUAAUCUCAAAACCUCUCUUAAAAGGAUUUCCGAGCUAAAAAUGGAGAAUUCUACACUUAAGCAACAGGAAAAUUCUUGGAAAGAAAAAUUUGAAAAUUUAGACAAAAGUUUUGUUGUUUUAAAAGAAAAUGUAGACUCUUUUUCAAAAGAAAAUACAUUUUUGAAAGAGGACAUCUCAAACAUCUCAAAAAGGUUUUCAAUAGGAUCUGAAAAAUUGGAAAAAAUUCUUUUAGAACAAAGACCUUAUUUCAACAAGUCAGGUUUGGGAAUGACCUUAGAAACUAUUCCUCUAAUUGAUUUUCCAAAAGUAAAGGAAAGAAUCAAACGAAGACUUACAAAAACUUUUUACAUAAAUCAUUUUCAAAAAGUCUUUGUGAAACCUGCUGGCUGAAGUGCUCUCAAAUGUUCAAAGUGCAAUAGCUCAGAACACUUUGAGAAAUAAUGCCCUAUGGUUUAAAGACAUAUUAAGAAGGAAUGGGCAAAAACUAUAUAUUAUACUAACUAUCACUGAACCGAAGAAAAUAUGGAUACCAAAGAAAGCUUGAGUCUCUUUUUUAAUUGCAGGUUACUAUCAAGAAAAAUGUUAAAUGGUAUUUGGAUAGUGGAUGUUCAAGACAUAUGACUAGAAAUUCAAGUUGUUUUAUUAAAUUUGUUCAAACAAAUAGUGGAAAAGUCUCUUUUGGUGGAAAUAGCAAAUGAAGAAUUUUUGGGUGUGGAACUGUAAAGAUUGGAAGUCUCACAAUCAACAAUGUCUCCUUGGUGGAAGGACUAAAUUACAAUCUUCUCAGCAUUAGUCAACUAUGCGACACUGGAUUCAAAAUCAAUUUCCAAGAAGGAGUAUGUUCGGGAACUAGUAAAGAUUUUUCUCAAUCUUUCUCUAGACGAAGACAUGAGAACAUUUAUCCUCUGGAUAUAGAACUAGAAAGGUCUCAAUAUCUUAUAUCAAUUCAAGAUGAAGCAAAUCUUUGGCAUCGAAAGCUUGGCUAUGUCACCAUGAAGCAAAUUGCCAAGAUCUCUUCCAAGAAGCUUGUUCAUGGACUGCCUAACCUGAAAUAUCAAAAAUCUAACUUAUGCACAUCAUGUGUGUUGGGAAAACAGGUUAGAAGUUCUUUUAAACCAAUAAAUCAAGUUUCUACUAAUCGUGUUUUGCAGCUUUUGCAUAUGGAUCUCCUUUUAAUUGAAAGUAAUAUUUAUAUUCGUUUUUGGGCCGAAGCAGUUUCUAUAGCUUGUUAUAUUAUUAACAGGGUAUUCUUAAGGCCUAUGCUGGAGAAAACUCCUUAUGAGUUAUUCAAAGGAAAGAAGCCAAUUGUUUCUUAUUUUCACGUGUUUGGUUACAAAUGUUUUAUUUUAAAGAAUGCAAAUGAUCAAACUGGUAAGUUUGAAGAAAUGUCAGAUGAAAGAAUUUUCCUUGGAUAUUCAAUCACGAGCAAAGCCUACAGAGUAUUCAACAAGAAGACUCUAUCUAUUGAACAAUCUAUGAAUGUUAAAUUCCAAGACUCUUUGCAAAAUCAACUGAUUCAGACUCAAUCCUAAGAAUCUAAACCAGCUCCAAACUUUACAAAGUCUACCUCCCCUGAAGCGGCUUAGACUUUUGAAGAUCAACAACGAAUAGAUGUUGAAAAAUCAACUGAAGUAGAAGAUCAGCAAUCUAUCAAACAUACUAGUAACUGGAAGCACAAGUCUAGUCAUCCCAAAGAACUCAUCAUCGGUAACAUUGAUGAAGGAAUUCGCACCAGAUCCCAAAAGCAAGAAGAGUCUAGUGCCGUGGCACUUAUUUCUAAAAUAAAACCCAAAAGUAUAGAAGAAGCUUUAACUGAUGAAAGCUAGAUUGAAGCUAUGCAAGAAGAGCUCAGACAAUUCAGCAUUAAUGAUGUUUGGGAAUUAACUCUUAAACCAAAAGAAAAAUCCAUUAUUGGAGCUAAAUGGGUUUUCAGGAACAAGAUGGAUGAAAAAUGAAAAGUGGUCAGGAACAAAGCAAGACUCGUGGCCAAAAGAUAUACGCAAGAAAAAGGGAUAAACUAUGAUGAGACCUAUGCACCAGUAGCGAGGUUAGAAGCAAUUAGAUUAUUACUUGCUUUUGCCUAUUAUAAAAAUUUCGGGUUAUUUCAAAUGGACGUCAAAGUGCAUUCCUAAAUGGAUUUAUCGAAGAAAAAGUUUAUGUGGAACAACCUUUCGGAUUUGAAGACCCAAAGAAACCAGACUCAGUAGUCAGACUGAAAAGGGCUCUAUAUGGAUUAAAGCAAGCACCUCGCGCGUGAUACGAUAUGUUAAGUAAGUUUUUAAUUCAAAAUGGUUUUGUCAAAUGAAAAAUGGAUACUACCUUGUUUAUUAAAAGAAAAGGUAAAAACUUUCUACUUGCUUAAAUCUAUGUUGAUGAUAUUAUAUUUGAAUCACUUAACAAAAGCCUGUGCAAGAAGGUUUCUAAGUCUAUGCAAGAGAAAUUUGAGAUGAGCAUGAUGGGUGAAAUAUCUUUCUUUCUUGGAUUACAAGUAAAACAAUUGAAUGAAGGAAUUUUCAUUCACUAAGAAAAAUAUGCAAAAGAACUCAUUAAAAAAUUUGGAUUGCAAAAUCGCAAAAAGACUGAGAUACCAAUGUCUAGUUCUUCAAAGCUGGACAAAGAUGAAAGAGGAAAAAAAGUUGACCAGAAGCUCUACAAGAGUAUUAUUAGUUCUCUUUUUUAUUUUACUGCAUCUAGACCUGAUCCCAAAGAAUCUCAUCUAAGUACUGCAAAAUGCAUCAUCAAAUACGUUGCAACUACCUCAAAGUUAAGUCUAUGGAUCCCAAAGAAUGAGACUUUACUCUCUUUGGAUAUUCAGACACAGAUCUAGCAGGUAGCAGAGUUAAUAGAAAUAGUAUUUUUGGUACUUGUCAAUUGCUGAGAAACAUUACAGUAUCAUGGUUCUCAAGGAAGCAAAAUACUGUAGCUCUUUCAACGGCAGAAGCAGAGUAUGUGGUUCUUGAAAGUUGUUAUUCUCAAAUUUUAUGGAUAAAACAACAACUGAGAGACUUUGAAAUCGAAGACUCAUACAUCGAGAUCAAAUGUGACAACACUAGUGCAAUUAAUCUCACAAGGAAUUCAAUUCUUCAUUCAAGAGCAAAGCACAUAGAGAUUCAACAUCACUUUAUUAAAGAUCAUGUUCAAAAUGGAAAACUUAUGAUCCAAUUCAUUGAUUUAAAGAAUUAAUUGGCGGACAUAUUUACAAAGCCACUGGAGAAAAGCCUAUUUAAGUAUAUUCGCACUAGACUGAACAUCACAUAUUUUAUUCAGUAAAGUCUGAAGGAGCUCAGACUCUGAGAUAAAGUCUGAAGGUGAUCAGACUCAGAAGUCCAAGAGUUACGACUGUAAGUUAUUUUCGUUCUAUUAAUUUAAUUUUUGGUUAAAGACUUGAAAAUGUACGGCUACUUAUUAAUCGCUAAUUGAUUGAUGUUAUCUUUCCAAGUUUUUGAAGUUGUAGCAUUUAUUCUUUUUCAAAAAGGCAGUUAUCAAAAGGUAGUUAUUUAUUUUUAAAAAGGCAGUUAUUCAUUUUCGAAAAGGUAUUUUUAUUUUUCCUUUUAUGACGAUUCGUUUUCCUCACUUCAUUUGCUUUAUAUAUUGUAGAGAUCCGUCUUCUUUGUUCUUACACUCAAACCCUAGAAUACAAAACUCCCACUUGCUUUCACUUUCACUCUCGAUUUGUCCAAAAAGUUUUCACCUUUUUCAAGCAAGUUUGAGAUUUUCUCUCUCAAAGUGACUAUGUCUCCAAGAAAGUCUUCGAGGAUUGCAAGCAGGGGACCACGUCACAUGCUUGAGAGUCCUACGCAUUUCGAUCUAACCGAGGAAGAAGAAUCUUCUCCUCCACAGCGACUAAGUCAGCAACAACCUUCUCAGCAGUGUCAGUCUUCUCCACCGACUCAACUAGAAGAAGAAAUUUUGGAAGAAGUUGAACCAGUAAGAACGCUAACUCCUAAGGUUGCUUUUAAGCUUUAUUCUAAUUUGAAGCAAGGAGGAACAACGAUGUCUUUGAUCGAUAAAUUUUUAAGAGAUAGAGGAUUCAAGAACGAAACUUUAUUCUUACGGGAGAUGGAAAAGUUAGGAGUUGUUGAGAGAGGGACGGCUGAAAGAACCUUCGCAAAUUUUUUGAGUGACCCACAUUAUGGUACUGCAAAUCAACCACAAGGACGGGACGACGAUGAAUAGAUGUUUACCCAUUUUCAGCUAAUGAUAGGAGUGUCUGUUAAUGCUAAAGGAAAUGGAGAGAGCAUUUUUCGCUCUAAAGAGCACAAGAAAGUCUAUUCGCGAUUGUUGAAAAGAGGGGUGAUAAACCCUAGAAGUGUUGACUUUGAUUUUCUCGAUUCGGUAAAAUUCAAUUUGUGAGAAAAGUUAGCACGUCUUCAAUUGGAGCGCUUCUGUUCAGAAUCUACGCUUGCCUAUUCGGAACUCACUACCUACUUUUACUUGAAUUUAUCUUUUCUGGAUGCAAACAGUUUCUCUUUCACAGUUAGGAACAAAGAGUUUUUGGUGGAUGUGGACACAUUAGCUUACCUAAUUGGGGUGGAAAGAGCGAGUUUCCAGCUAAUUAGCGUGUUAGUUGCACAUGCUACACUGGCAUUGGUUAAAGACGGACAUGUUGAAGGCAAAAUAUCCUACUCUAGGAUGAAUGCUUCAAAUGUGUUGCUGCACAAAAUUGUUAUCAACUGCAUCCGGCCAAAAUCGACAUCCAAGACUUAUGUCUCUCGAUCAGAAGCAAAUUUGAUGUUUGCGAUCAAUACUAGCUACAGAUUCUCUCUGCCUCACACCAUCAUGUUUCACAUGUACAGGUCGGUGGUGAAAGAUAAGGGACAACUUACUUAUUCAGCUCUUAUCACGCGUCUUUUUAGACAUUUUAAAAUUCACAUCCCUGCACCAUUAUGCUUGACAAACAUUCCUCCGAUUGUGAUUUGAUUUAAAAUGAUCGCCAAGAUGCGCUUGAAAAGAGCUUAACAAGGUGCUUGAGCACAUGAAGGAGAAAUCUCCUGUUAAAGCUAAAUAAGACUCUGCUGCGGCCAAGAGAAAAGGCAAUGAGCCCAUGGAUGCUCCAGGGAAGAAGAAGAGAGUUCUCAUCUUGCACGAUGAAGAGGAUGAGGAUGAAAUGACUCUUUUAGCCUUAAGAAACAUGAAGAGUUUUGUCAGUUUUCAAGAGACAAGAGAAGAGCCAGAAGAAGGAGAAAAAUAGAGAGACAAGACAGAAAAGGAAGAUGAAGAACAGAGGAGGACAGAGGAAGCAAGAAGAGAAGAAGAAGGAGAGAAAGGAAGGAAGAGAAAGAAGAAGAAGAAAGAAGAGAAGAAGGAGAAAAAUGAAAAGAAGAUGAGAAAGAAUAGGGUCAUGAAGACUCUUUUGAGUCAACUUUGGCUGUCUCCUUAUCAAGUGACUCUGAGAUGGCUGACAUUGGAACUGCUGGAGCACAUGACACAGCCAAACAUCACUCUGAAGUUGAAGUUGAAGUUGCGCUAGAAGAAGAUUUUUCUACUCCUCCUAAAAGCAAACAAAUAGGGGGAGCUGUUGAACAAAAAUGUACUUCUUCACCUAUCUUUACUAGUGAUGUGAGUCGCUUCGCUGCAGAUCCAGAUGAUGUAUAUGCCUCUCAUUACCCAGAAGAAAGUCAUGGUGGACAAUCUGCUGAAGACCAUCAAUUCUCAAAGCUCCCAGAAUAGAAUCAGUUGGACCUAGUGCUACAAUAGAACAAACGGCAGAUUUUUUGAGACUGCUAGACAUCUUAUUGGAUGUAAGGAAACAGCAAUAUGCUAUGGGGUAUGAAAUGCAGGAUCUCAAGAAUACUUUCAUGGCCACUUCAAUGUCUUUGCAUGAUCAGUUAAAUGCCCUGAAGAAUCAAGUGCAGUCUACUGUGCAGAGUGAAGAUUUUCAGUCACUGAAGUAGAGUUUUGCAAAGCUUGAGAAGACAAUAAAUUCUAUGGGAGAGUUCGAGCUUGUUCGCUUUCCAAAAUAGCCAUGAUUCUGACUCUAUUUUCAAACAACUCUUUUUAUUUGCUCUCAACUUUUUGCUGUUGACAAAAAGGGGGAUAGUUGUUUUACAAGACUAACAUGUUUUAUGUGGUUGCAAAGUCGUUGCUAUCCAUAUCCUAAUCUACUUAUCUUUUAUGAGAUAUCUUGUUUUGCUUAAGUAUUGUUUUGCAGGAUAAAAAUAUUCAAAUCUGCGAGAAAGUUUUGUCACCAUAAAAAAUGGGGAGAUUGUUGGAGAAAACUUUUUUAUUUGGUUUGAAGUUGACAAAAUGUUUCCAUUAGUCUAGUCUGAAGACUUGCAGACUCUAUUGUCAAAGUCUGAAGACCUCCAAACUUAAGACUUAAAGUCUACCCUCUCUGAUAGUCUCCAGACCAACGAAGGAAAGAUUUAUCCGACGAAGAAGACUUGUCUAGAUGCGAGUAUAUCUUUAAGGAUUUGAUUCAUACGGUUGAAGAAGAUCUCACGGCUGGAGAUAGCAUCUCAUGAUCAAUUGUUAUUCUUAUUGAAAUCAAUUUGGAUAAUUGGAUUUGUUGAUUGGCAAAGUAUACUUGGAAUGUUCUACUUAUGGAAACCUAGAUCUUGAUUGUAUAGGUGAGCAGAAUUGGUGGGUUAUCAUCACAUUCCUUAAAUAACUCAAGAUCUUCCUAAUUGAUUCUGUUCAAUGGGUGGAUUGGAAGAACUCUUUUGGAAAGUGCCAACGGUUAUAAAGGCAUGGAGGAGUAUAUAAAGAAGAUGCUCAAGUUGUUCGAGUGUGUGCUUGAAAUAAAAUUUCCAAAAUCUGAAGUUCUUAAUUCUUUACUAUCUCAAUCGCUGAGUUUAAGUUGUACUCGAAAGAGAGAUUAAAUACUUGUGAGACCUUGAGGAAGUGUGGUAGAAUUUCUACACUGUGAAAUCAAGGAUGUGAGGCUAUAAAAUCUCUUUUGAUUCUUAGUGAAAUCCAACCAGUGAGCUGUUAGUGCGGGAGAGUGGACGUAGGCUUGGUCUAAGCCGAACCAUUAUAAAUCUCGUGUUUUAAUUCUCUUUCCCUAACCUUUACUUUAAUCCGUAGCUUUAUAUAACUGUUUAUAGUUUUUUACAUCUUUAGUCUAUUAACCUCAAAAGGCGAAUUAAUUUGUUAAGUCUUGUAAAAGCUUCUUUAACACCUAUUCACCCCCACUCUAGGUGUUCUUACUAGCCAUAUCAACUUUUCCUUUGAAUUCGCCUUUUGGAUGCUUGGCAACCUCCUUCACUUGUCUCAUCAUGCAAAGUGAAUGAGAUUGAUGUGCUCUUUCGGCACCUAAGGCAUCUCCAAAUAAAGAAACUUCCCAGAACGGGAUUCAACUUCGUUACGCCUUUAUUGGAAGAUUGGCGCCGACGAAGCCUCAACACAUGCUUGCUCCUCAAGUUCGAUGAGCCCGAGAAAACGACUACAUGAAGAGAAGGCCUUAAGCAAAGUUUUCUUGAAAUUCGUUUUGAAAGGUAGACGUAAAGGUUCGAUUAAAACACUUCUAAAUUUGUUUUUUGUUUUUUGCUUUUUUUUUUGUUUAAAAAAGGAUUAUUUUCAUGAAACUGAAGUCCAUCAUUAAAAAUGUGAGUCGCACAAUUUACAAAAGCAACAAUUGGAUUCGCAAUCAAAACUCAAAAUGGAAAACAUGAUUCUUAACAAGAAUAAGAAUAUUGAUAAAAUACAAUAAACACUUGUAUAGAUAAGAGUAAAAAUCAACUCGUCCUAAUGUCAAUUAGCACCAUGCAUAAUCCGCAAAAAGAUGACAAUGUUAGUAUGUGAAUGAGAAAAAAAUGAUAUCUCAAUGAGGUCACUUCUUAUAAUAAAAUCAAGGCAACGGUACAUGCCCCACAGUCCUUAUUACGGGAUUUUGGUAUUUCACCAAGUUUUUAUCAUAAGAGAAGACAUCAUUAAGAUAAUCAAUCCACGGCCAUCAAUCGAAUGUUCACUUUUAUUACAAAAGUUUUGUAUGCAAAAGGGUCAUUAAUUUUUGAAAGAUUAAUUUGUGAUUUUACUCCUAGAAAAAUGAAAUGACUUCUAUUUUGAGAAAUUUGUACACAUAAUUAUUUGCAUUUUAGUCCUAAAAUGUGAGGAUGAGAGAAUUUGAUAAAAAAAAUGCAAUUUCAAUUUUUGUGCCCCAAUAUAAAAUCACAACUUGAAAGUUUUUUUUUUUUUGUUUUUUUUUUCAAAAUGAUUCUGAGCCCAUAACUAGAAAUUUAAAUAAAACCAUAUGUUCAACAGGGCCAAAUCAAAAUGAUUAGAACUUGCAUUCAAUGUUCACUUAUCAAAAGUGAUUGCCAAUUUUUUUUUUCAAUUAUAAGCCUACAAAACCGAGGGCAAUCAAUUGAUGUUCGUGAAUUUCAAGAUGAAAGUUCAGUACAAAAUAAGCAAAUAAAAAGGAAAAUGAUACUUACAAUGGGUGUCAAUCUUUCUCUCUCUCUCUUUUUUUUUUCAAUUACAUAGACAUGCACAUGGGAUGUGGUUUGAUUUCUACUCUAUAUGGCUCAAAAUGGAGUCAUAGGAUCACUGGAUUGAACCAACAAGAUUACGGCUAGGUCGUGUUACCCAUGAUUCCGGCUUCGUCAUAGAAUCGACCCUUGUUGCGUGGUUGCAGAUCAGGGUGGGUACCUUUGACAUGAAGAAAGAAAUUUCAGGGUUGAAAUGAGCGACUCGUAUUACACGGUUGUUAUCGGAGUGGUAUCCACCUCAACACCAUCCUAUGUAAUCCUAUGCGGCCUAGGUCCGGCGGUAGGUAGUGUGUGUCAUGGUGUAGUGAAAUGCAGGAAAUGUAGGCAUGACAAUUUAUAGGCAAGCAACACUUCAUACAUAAAAAAUAAACCAUGCAUUCCUACACCUCCUUGCAAGACAAAGGUGAGCAAACACUUCCCCUUUAUACCUCUCAUUUUGCAAAAACAUUUAACACAUUUAAUGUUAGGGGCAUACUUGAAAUCCUCGCUGCCAAACAAAAAUAUUUUUGAAUAAGAUUAAUUUUGGCUUAAGUCCUUUAACGUUUAAAACCAAGCCCCAGUGGAGUUGCAAGUUGUCGCGACCUACCCCUUGGGGGGGAACAGUAGGUUUAAGGGUAUUGCCUAAAAGACGUGCCUAAGGCUCAUGAUUAGACAUGAACUUUCCCAAGCCCAUACCCCGUGUAACAUUGAGAUAUUGUUUAAAAUUUUAUAAAAAGAAGUUGCCAUUAGCCUAUUGGGGUCGACUAGAAACUAAGCGAGGCAUGGGAGUGUACCUCACUUCCUACGCAACCAAAGAAUCUAGGAUCGGAGACUUGAUUAUACUGAUUGACCAAUUAGUGCCAUUUCGGUACCUAAUCUUGUCCAUUUUAACAAAAUGACUUUUUGGUAGACAGCUUGGAUUGCUUUUAUACCUAUCCACUAACAUGUGAGGUGAUCAUGCGGGUGCGCAAUCAUUAAAGUAACAAUCAUAACUACCAAGAUUCUAAUUGCAGUAAAAUUAACACAUGCCACUAAGCAACUGCAAACAUAGUUAAAUAGGUAAAUUAAACAUGCAAUAUAAUCAAUAUACGAGCAAUUAAAGGCCUAAAUGUACUAUAAAGGCAAUACAUGGUCAUUUCUAAUCAAAACCUACAUUUUUUGGAUUUUCGAAAUUUUUAAUUUUUUUAAAAAAUUUAAUUUUUUAAAUAUUAUUAUAAUAUAAUAUAUUUAAAACGAACCGGGUCGGGUCCGACCCGGGUCGACAAAAAGGGCCUAGGCCCGGCCCGAACCUGGAUCGGAUUGGGCCGCGAAACCCAAACCAACAAAACCAGCUGGGUUGGGCCAGAUGUGCAGGCCCAGCUUGGCCUAAAUUUUUUGAAAUAAAGCCCAUAUGCAAAAAUAGCCCCAAACCCGGCCCAAUACGCCCAAAACCCUACUUGGUUGACUAGACCCUGCCCGACUCGCGCAACCUGAAUUCUGGAGCCCUCGGGUUCAAAGAUCCGUAGCGCUGGAGGGAUUAGCUAGGACGUCGACAGCAGUGAUGGGCUUAACGAUGGCGAUGAUGCAGCGAAUGGCGGCGUUGGCACUCGGAGGGUUGUAGGCAAGAUGGGGCACGGUGGUGACUGGCAGAGAUGAGCGGAGGUGCGGUGAUGCGAGUUGCAGGUGUCGAGUAGAGGCGCAGCGGCAGGUGCGGCGACGACUCGGACAGUGUUGGGCAAGAGGGCGGUGGCUUGGAUGGCAUCGGGGUUGGACAAUGGCGACGGUCAGCUUAGUGAUGCAGCGAAGCUCGAUCUACUCCCAAAUCUGGGCCUUUGGCCAACCCCCUGCCUCGAAUCUUCGGAUCUAAAGGGCUCCGAAUUCAUCCUCCCUCUCCCUCUAGUCUCAGCUGGCUCAGCGUCGGGAGAAGCGGUGACGAGUGCUGCGGUUAUUGGCAUUGGCGGCAGUGGCGUCGAGUGCAGGGGGUCAAACAGCGAGAGCUUGAAUAGCAUCGAGAGCAGUGACUAUUGGCAUCGGUGGUAGCGGCAUCAGCGGUAGCGGCGUCGAGUGCAGGGGGUCGGACGGUGGGAGCUCGAACGGCGUCAAGCUCGGAGUGCUGCAACUCGGACGAUAGCAGCAGCCAAUGCCAACGAUGCCUCAUUUCCUUUUUCUCCCUCCCUAUCUUCUCUCCCUAUUCUCUCUCUGUUUCUCCUUAGCCUCUCUCGCUCCCCCUCCCUGUGUUCUCUUCGAGCUCUCCUCUCUCUCCUCUCUGUCUCUCUCUCUCUGUCUCUCUCUGUCUCUCUCUCUCGUUGUCUGUCUUCCUGUUCUCCCAAGUUUCUUGCGCGAAGAUGGAGGAGGAAGAAGGCUGGCGUGGGCUAGGCCAAAGGGGAAACGGGCUUGGGCCGUGCAAGGGAAAAAAGAGGCAUUUUUUUAUUUUUCUCUUUCUUUUCUUUUUUUGUUGUUUUGUUAUUUUUCUUUUUCUUUUAUUUUCUCUUUUUCUCUUUUUCUCUAAUAAUUUUUUUUAUGUACUUGAAAACAAAAAUUAGGUGUCAACAACGACAUUAACUUUUCACAUUGGUCCUGGGAAGAAAAAGAGAAGUAGCUGCUAAUCUCCUCCGGAAUAGCCAAAUGAUUCUUGUCCAUCUUCUUCUAAGUUAUUUUAAAAAACUUCAUCAAAGAUGCGAGUUUUCUUCGGAGCAGUUGAAAAGUGAGUUUUCUUUAAAGACGAAUUGAUCACCUUAAUUCAUGCAGUUCUCUCGAUGUCAUUGGUCAACCAUCUGUUGCCAUGGUCAAAGUUUUCUUUUCCCAUUCAUUUGAUAACAAAUUUAAAAUCUUAAACCUGGUAACAAAGCUACAAAAAUGACAGCGCAAAAAUUUGGAUAGAACACGAAGAUAUUUUUUAAGCUUUUCUUGGAUUUAAUCACUUGGAGAAAAAAUUCAAAAAUCCUCUCAAACUUUUUAUCCAUGUCAACUACUUUGACAUUUGUAGCAAUGUUCGUUGUUAGACAAAAAUCGUAAACUAAAAGUUUAAACCACGAAAAUAAAUUUCAUGUGCCUAUCACACAAUUGACGCGGUAUAACCUAUCAGUCUACAUUACCCGUAUAAAAUGUAUGUAAUCUUAAUUGGCACUUAAAUGUUGAAAAUAUUAUCAUAAAAUACAUUCUCGUUUAUUACGUCAUUUUUCUCUUUUCUCUCUCCCCACCUUAUUGCCGAUCGCCAUCCUGGAUGCUGCAUGCUGCCACCCCCCCCCCUCCCCCAACCAACACCACUAAUGCGUGUUCAAGUCAAACUCUUCCGCCAUCUUGCUUGCUUAGAUGCAUUUUAGAAAUUCCAUCUUUCCAGCAAAAAAAAAGUGAUGCGAAGCCUUCUCAAAUUUUUUUAAAAGACUCUGGUCAACGUUCAACCUUGGAGUGCUUCUAGUUCUUCCCCUGGUUUUCCUCGAAGGUGCGUGAAUGAGAGGUGAUCACGUAUUCGUAGGGUCACACGUGAUGGUAUACCUAUCUCUGCAGGUGAAGCGCUUCAAUUAUAAUUAAGACGUGACCAGAGCCCGGCAUUUAUCAUUUUAUGUUUAAAGACUUAAUUUAUAAGUGAUGCGAUGGACAGAAUUAAUCAUAGUUUGAGAAUUCCCAGAAAAAAAUAUAGAAACUUGUGUUUUCCAGUAAGACUCAGUACAUGAUUCUCACUAUUUUCCCCGAUUUAGAUAUUUAAAAUGUCAGACAACACUACGUAUACAAAUUGAACUCUUCAAUUUGUCUAUUGAUUCUAAAUCUCUUAUUGAAUUGAUAGCGUACAUGGUAAUGGUUACUAUCAUGUAACUAUUGAACGCAACAUUAUGAGAAAAAUAGUCCAACAAGUCAUAAAUAUAUUGUGCGGCAGCCAAUUCAGUAUUAAGUUUCUCAAUUAUGUCAAUUUAAUUAUAAAAUUUUUAACAAUUUACUGACUCACCAAUUCAAUUAUAAACACAUGGGUUGUAUCAUCUUUGUUUGAACACAUCUUAGCCAAGCCGAACUACGCUUUUAGCUUGAGGUUCACAACGUUGGCCGUAAUACCUUCGGUUGGGCCUUCUCUCUCUCAAUGGCAUUCCAUUCCUUGGGCCUUCCACUUUCUAGGCCCCCAAAAGAAAAGGCAAUUCGCUUUAUUAUAGGGGAUGCACAAAAAAUCAAUAAUAGAAAUACUUGUGUUUGAUUACACAACUUACUAACCGACACUGCUAGGUCAAAACACCUAACGUGAGUGUUGAUUAUAUAUUACUAAAAGAAUAUUAUUUAUAUAUAGCUUAUUUUAUUAAUUAAAUAAACUUCACUUAAUAAAGACAUUCACUUAAUUUUUAAGAGAAAACAAUGGUAUUAAAGUAUACCUUAGUCCAUUUGCAAGAUCACAGUUUACAAUCUAUUUUAAUAAUUCAAUUUUAAUCAAAUGAAAUUGAAAAAGUAUAGAUGUCUCAGACAUCGACUUAUAAUAUUGACAGUUAAGAUAAAUGAAUCCUAUUACUUUUUUUGGUAUUAAUAAAUCCUAUCACUUCAGUUAACAUUAAGACACUAAUUUAAAAAAAAAUCAGACAUAUGGUUAUUUAUAAUGUGAGUUAUCUAUUAUUAUAAUUAUUUUUUUUGUGCAUUUGAAAUCUACUCUUCUUAAAUUUCCUAUAGAAUGAAAUAUGAGGUGAAAAAAAUAAAGCGAGUGUCUACUAACGCACCCUAAAUCAAAUCUACCAACACUAUGUUUGGUAAACACAAAUUGGGAGGUGAAGAAAAAUAUAGGGUGAAGAAAAUAAAGUUAUUUGGAAAUGUUUGGAAAAUGAAAGUGAAGAUAAAUUACUAUUUUUGUUUGAAAAGAGUGGGAAAAAGAAUGUGAAUAAAGUGUGAAUGAGUAAAAGACAUUAUAAUCCAUUAGAAGAAAAAAGAAAAAAAAAUGGAAAUAUCACAUAAAAGAAGGGUAAUGGGCCCUAGAGAAUGGCGGGCCUGGUCAGGCUUGUAGCCAAUUUUAGGCGUGGCACGAACUCACAGGCCAGGAAUUUUCGAGCCCGAAGAAAAGCUUGGACCCAAAAUGGACUAACUAGCCCAUCACAUUUACGUCAGGCUUUUGGGCUUUGGGUUGGGCUAGGCCCAAAAGGUAGUGAAUUUUUAUAAAAUUGAAAUUAAUUUGUUCAAUUGUAAAAUUUCAUUCUUUUCAUAUAUGAUUAACAAAUCGACUCACGUGAGGGACUUUGGAAGCCGAACAGGGAAGUGUUUCAUUGAAAGUGACUGUUAUGCGGCGGUAGAAAUGGUCAUGGGCCGGGCCGAACCUCCAUGGAUCUAAAAGAAAUCGUCCAGCGCUGCAGGAAUGGGUUAAAGCAGAACAACAAUAUUACGGUGAUUUAUAGUCCACGCCAAACAAAUGCUGCAGCGGAUUGGAUCGUACGGCAUCAUCGACUAAACGCCCCCCCACGUAAUUGGUUGAUUUCUCCCCCUUUUCCUCUAUGGAAUAUUUUAUGCGCAGAUCUUUCUCCAUCGGUGUUAUGUAAGACUCCUCCUUAAUCAAGUAAUAGUCAUUUCUAUUUUGACCAAAAAAAAAAAAUAUACGAUUAACAAAUCUCUAUUGAAAUUCUACAUAUAUAAGAACACAAAAGAACAAUUGAGAUUAGCCACUUUCAGGCUACAAAGUGCGAAGGCCAAAAGCCCGGUUACCCUAAAAUAUACACAAUAAAGCUCGAAAAUCCUCCUUGGCCUAUCUGGGCUAAAGAUAUUCUGGAUGGUUGGCCGAGCCAAAUUUUUGGACUUCAAAUUUCACCCCAACCAAUCUGCACCUUCAUAUUCAGUGAUUUUCUCUGCUUUUCCACAAUUGAUCCAAAGCUUAUGUACUGCAGAUCUUUAACUAGUGUAUAGAAUUGGUACAUUAGAUUGAAAUAUAUUUAAGAUCAAUUAUAAAUAAGAAUUUAAAAUCUAGCAAUCAUAUAAAAUGAGAAAGUUAUGCUUGAAAUAUUGUAUGUUGCAAAUGUAUACAAAUGUUCGGUUAUAAUUAAAUUUGUCAUGGACUUCAAAAUUAUAUAAGUAACCUUCAGAUUCUUAAUAAAGCAAAGGUAAUUUCACAAACAAUUUAUCGAGUUCAAGUUUUGAGCUAAUUAUCCAUCAAAUAAGUUGAAAUAAUGAUGUAUCUUUAAUAGAUAACAUUGGGAUUAAAAAUGAAAUAAAGACAUUUUCUUAACUAAUUUCUUAACUAACAUAUAAUCAGGUUGGGGCUUUGAAUUUCCCAAUUAUAAAAUCUCCGAUCCUUCAGCGACCCUAUAUAAUGUUUCUUAGUAAGUUGCUACUCAAUAGCUUCUUGCAUUCCAUUUAAAAUGAAGGCGUUUGAGGCUGUUUUUAGCCUUAAAAAAGUUCACCUUUUUUUCUUUCUAUCUUUGUUGCAACUUUUCUAAUCCAACCAUCGUGGACGCGUCAUUUUUCGCUCAUUUGAUUUUAAUACUAUCUUUUCAACUUAUUUAUGACUUUAUUAAGGUGUUUGGUGCCUUUUCUAUUAUUUAUACUUUUACAUUUUAUAUUAUUAAAAUACUUCUACUCUGUAACUUUUUGGGCCCGAAAGUUGAACCGGAUAAAUCCGGGUUUUCGGGCUUCUGGGGUUUUUGCUUACCCCCUGCGAUGACGGGAAGAGGUUCGGCUUAUUUGAAGACCAAUAAUAACUUGAACAACUCUCUGCUUUGUAAGAAGUUAACGUAUAGACUAUAGACUUUCAUUUAUUAUUUUCAUAUGUUUCGAAGAGGGGGGGUGUAAAUGAAACUAUUUCUAAUUUUAUGACGGCAUGAAAAUAUUAGUAUAGAUAUUUCUGGAUUAAUCAAGUCAAAGAAAUCUUCCUCUUCAAAAAUUAUGUCCCAAAACACAUUAAUCAUUUAAUAAAAAUUGAGAGCAAUAAAUAAAUAGGUACUUCAUUUAUUUAAGGGGCAAUCACCGUGAAAUCAAACUAAGGCCCAACAAAAUCAGUCCAACUCCAAUCCAAUAAGCCCAGCAAGAACAUAGAAAUCUGCCCCUAAUCCUGCUACAUGCCAUCCCAUUUAACUUGUCACUUGCUGAAGCAAGCAGCAUCACGUCCAACUGUGGCCUUGACUUCUUCCUUAACAGCGACCUUCUCUUCCAUCUCAGCAAGCUUCAUCGCAUUCGUUUUCGCACCAACGUUUGCUUCUGUCUUCACAGUCUCUUCCUUCUUCGGAGUCAUGAUCGGUUCAGUCUUUGAAGCCUCGCUGCACGUCGGGCUCUCGUAGCUUCUGGAUCAGCGGUUUUCUCCUCUCCAUCUUCCCUUCUGUUUUAUGUAUCUUUCUGCUGCUGGAUUUGAACUGUAGAUUUGAAAUGUGCAUGACGGCUUUCCCACUCGAGAACCCUGAUUCAAGAAAAGAUAACGGGCUCUUGCGGUUUCCAAAGGGGCAAUUGAAUUAAUUUCAUUUCGAUGGGUCUAUUUUUUACGUUCGAGAACGGCAAAGAACAGCACAAUUUAGACUUUGCUCAUUAUCAUUCGGACGUUUUGUAUGCCGAAAGCUUCGGCCGUCGUGAGAAUUCACUUCGAGAACUACGCCAGCAACAUUCAGAAAAGAAAAAAAAUCAACCAACUAUAAUAAUUAAUGGCAAGUUGAUAUGGAUUUGAAGUAUAAGUUACGACCUUUCUCAAAAAAAAAAAUAUUUGUGAGAAGAAUAAGGUAGUUUUUCAAAUUAUGUCAUCAUAUAACGUGGAGUCGCUAAGUUUCAUUCGGAAUUCAAGUUGGGCGCUGUUACUGUUUCACUAAAACGAUAUAAUUAAAAUCUUGAACAUUUUGGUUUGAUAUGAUUGAGUCCUUUCAAUGAUGAUCUGCCCAGUUUUACCAGCGUCGCACGCCGAGAAUCCUAUGCGGUGCUUUCUUUGCAUUUUCUUUUAUCGAAUAAGAUGGUUAUAUUGAGCCAUGUUAGAAAAAAGUAAAAGGUAAAAUUUAAAACCGAAAGAAAAUUCAAACACAAAACAGAAAAGAAAAUACCCAAAAGUUAAAGAAAUAAGAGAGAGAAAGAGAGAGAGUGGUACCGAUUUGGAUUCUUUAGUGGUGGAGGUCAACGACCCUUGCAAAGCGUGAUGGUGGCUAGCAGUUAAGGCUUCUCCGGUAAUAUUUCUGGUUCUCCCUCUCUUUUUUAAAGAAAAAAAAUAGAAAUAUGUUUGUGUAUAUUAAUUAAUUUUUCUACUCCAUUAGCUUUCACAUGGUAGUUUACCACAAGGAAAGUAGUGACACUAAAGAACUUGUUGCCACCACCCCCUUGGCCAUCGAGAAUUCAAAAUUGGUUGUUCCGAUCGAAUAUCUUGAAUUCAACUUGGGUCAACCCUUUGAAUAUCUCAUCUAAACCAUGAAGAAUUACUAUUUUCUCUUCCCCAUUGACAUACGGGAAGAUGGUACCUCGAUCGAAUUAUAAAGUAAAUGAAGGCCUUUCAAACACUUCCAUCCCUAUUAAUCAAUUCAUCGAUUUUGACCUAUGUGAAUUCAACAUUUCCAUCCACUCAAUCGCUAGGAACGAGAAGUUAUUAGUACCAAUUUGCAUAUUUAAUUUCAUAGGAGUAUGGAUAUGCAUAUCACACGAGUUAUACUCUCAAUAUCUACAUGUGCAUGUCACGCGGUGCUUUCACGAAAUGUCGCAACGAUCGCUAAUUCAAAUAGGCAUGACUAACCAUUGGGAGUUUGCCUAGUGGCCACCUUUCCAAAGGCCACCCUUCCAAUUUGGAAGGGGGAGGUGAAAUGUUUAAAUCCCCACCUUCUCAGGGGGAUUGGAGUGUAGACGAUUUCAUUUCAGGAAUGGAUUUCGACUCCCAUGCCUUGCAAUGAAGCAUGAAAAAAAAUCUGAGAGUGAGUAUUAAAGUAAGAUUAGAGUAGAAUCAACCAAAAAAAAAAAAUCAGCGUGACUUAAAAAACCAGUCGCAACACCUGUGCGUGACUCACACGCUCCACCCCCAACCCGCCAUAAUCCCAUACGCGAUGGUCUCCAAAUUUGGCGGGAAGUGGAAGACCUCGAAACCCUAGAAUUCAAUUCAUCCCAAGCAGCUUCCCUUUCAUCCCUCUAUUUCCACUGCAACAAUUCUCUCUCUCUCUCUCUCUCUCUCUCUCUCCGAUAUGGGCAUCAAGGUAGUUUCAGUUCGACUUCCGUCUCCUCCAAUCCGAUCAUUUUCCGUAUGUUGUUCAUCGAGUCUCGUCCACCGAUUUCGAUAGGGACUGACGAAGCUACUGGCGGACAAUGCCCCGAACGCCAUGAAGGAGCAGAAGCUCGAGAGCUACUUCGGCCGGAGGAUCGCCGUCGAUGCCAGCAUGAGCAUCUAUCAGUUCCUCGCUAAGUUGCUUCUUUAUGGAUUGAUGCCUGCGAUUGCGCGUUUCGGUUUGUCGGUUAGGUCGUGGUUGGGAGGAAGGGGACUCAGAUGCUCACCAAUGAGGUUGGUGAAGUCACCAGAUUCGCUGGCAUUGUAAUACUCCAUGGAAAUAAAAUCCACUUUGCUCGAGUUUCGUAUAGUUUAUGGCUGAGUUGUUGACUAGCCUUCUGUUUUGAUGCUUCAGAUGUUAUCUCUUGGACUCGGUUUUAUGUAUAUGAGAUUGACUUUGAGCUGCCUUUCGAUUUGUUUUCCCAUGUAGUCAUCCGCAAGGCAUGUUUUACCAGACGAUUAGGCUGUUGGAGGCGGGCAUAGAGGCAGUGUAAAAUUUUUUUCUUUACCUCGUGUGUUUUCAUUGGGAUAGAAUGCUAGAAGAAUGAAGCUCGUGCCUCUCUGAAUUAUGUUUUGCUGUUGUUAUGAUAGCUACGUAUUUGAUGGUCCACCUCCUGAUUUGAAGAAGCAAGAGCUGGCAAAACGGCUCUAUUAUUAUGUAGCCUUCUCUUUUCCUUUUUUUUUUUUUUUUUUUGGAAUUUUCUAUGAAUAUGUUUAGUUACCUUAAAUGAGUGUCUGAGCAGCUUUUUGAACAGGACAGAUGCCUCUGAGGAGUUGGCAGUAGCCAUUGCGGUAUAUGCAUCUCUCUCUCUCUCUCUCUUGCACACAUAAGCACCCAGAAACACAGAGUACAAAAAUGCUUAGUGAGCUCUGUAUUUAUUACCUGCAGUCUCAGAAUAAGGAAGACAUUGAGAAAUUCAGUAAAGGAACUGUGAAGGUUGGUCUCAUUUUGGUUUCCUUAUGGCGCAAUAUUUUUGUCUUAUCGAUGUGAAGUUUGAUUUUGUCUCUGUUUUCCAGAAAAAAAAAAAAAAAAAAAAAAAAAAAAAAAAAAAAGACCUAUCUACAUAGCUAACUGGAUGUGUGUGCACUUGUGGUACAUGGCUUUGAUACUCUUGCUGGUGACACAACAGCACAAUGAAGACUGCAAAAGACUAUUAAGACUUAUGGAUGUCCCAGUUGUUGAGGUUACAAUUCUGUCUGAAAAGUUUAUUCGUUAUUGUUUCUAACAAAAAGUUUAGAUACCAGGUUCAGCUUUUGUAUGUUAGGCUCCUUCAGAAGCAGAGGCACAAGGUGCUACACUUUGCAAAGCUGGAAAGGCAUGUAUCUUCCCAUUUGAUUGUCUUCAGAAUCGUUCAUUGUUUUCCCAUGAUAAUUAAUCGUUUAACUCUGUGUAAAUUACCAUUUUAUUUCCAUGAUUUAAUUUCCUUUUGCACUCUCACCUAUGCUUGUUCACUUGUUUAACGUCUUCUUAUGCGUAGUCAUUGACAUUUGGAAUAUUCUUUACUAAGCCAUUUUUGUCCACGGAAUUUUCACUGACUUUGAAUACCUAUCAUUGCUUAAUUGUAUUGUGGUAACCAGAAUUCAUCUAUCAUGAAUGGUGCUUUAGCUGUAAUAUCUGUUUUUCAGGUUUAUGCAGUUGCUUCUGAAGAUAUGGAUUCCCUUACUUUUGGAACUCCUAUAUUCCUUCACCAUUUGAUGGAUCCCAUCUCAAGAAAAGUUCCAGUUAUGGAAUUUGAAAUUUCCAAGGUACUUAGAAAAGUUUAUUCACUGGGAUUGCUUAAAUUUUCUUCCUCACUUUCAUGACUUUACAUCUUGGAGGAGAUGAAUCUGGAUAUGGAUCAAUUCGUUGACCUGUGCAUUCUUUCUGGAUGUGAUUAUUGUGAAAGCAUUCAAGGUAGACAUGAUAUUAUUGCAGUGCUCUGUUAACUGUUUAAUACUAUCGUAUAUCAUUCUGCCCUCUCGUAUAUUUUGGCUUGAUGAUUUCAGUGGCUUUACUUUGGAAUGAAUUUAUUAGGCAUUGGAGGGCUGACUGCUCUUAAGCUUAUCAGUCAAAAUGGUUCCAUAGAAAACAUACUAGAGAAUAUAAACGAGCAAAGGUGCUUCUUAUUCUCUGAUUUUGUCCCCCAACUUUGUAAGCGAAAAAAGGCAGCAAAGUUUGUCAGUGUAAUAGUCUUGGCCGCUGGAUUUCUUGACUUAAAAGAAUCAUCUCUCAAACUCAGCUGGCAUGGAAAUAUUUGAUCAACAAUUUGAAACUGAAAGAUCAUUUGCCACCAACAGAUAUGGGCUGGCAAUCAGUGCAUCACCCAUGCGACUUCAUGUGUUGAUUUACUAUAGUACCUUUAUCUAUUCUAUUGUCUGUGUUUUCCUUUCUUUCACUCACUCAAACAAAAUUGUAUCGUUUCUCUAUCCUUCAGACGUAGAGGUUCUUUGCAUUACUUGAAAGUCUUUAUUCAGUUCGGUUAUCCCUCUCAAGGAAAUGUUUACUUGUUUUUUGAAUGGGUAUCAGAUACUGGAUAAUUAACCCUAUAGUGAAGCUCUUCUGCUAUUCAAGGGGCCAAUAGUUUCUACAGAAGAACAACCUGAGAUAAAAUGGACUGCUCCAAACGAGGAGGUGGGCCAAUUUCAUGCUGUGAUUUACUUGCAACGUUUCACUUUUUGAAUUCUUGACUCGUUUCCUAACUGAUUGUUAUUUCCCUUUCAAGGGCUUAAUUUCCUUUCUCGUGAAUGAGAAUGGGUUCAACAUUGACAGAGUGACGAACGUAUGGCUUCUAUCUUCAGUAAUGUGUUGGUCAGUUGCAUACUCAAGGAAGUUGCUUCUUUUCCUCUGAAGGAGAGAGGGUAGAUGUUUUCAAUGUUGUUUUACCAUGUGUAUCAGGCGAUAGAGAAGAUUAAGGUAGCUAAGGAUGAGUCAUCACAAGGCCGGUAAUUAAAGCAUGAACAAAUGAAAGUGAGUUCCAAAAUGCACUUUCUUUUUUCCGAUGAAUCCUUUUAUUUAUUUUCCUUCUCUAAGCCAGCUAAGAAUCGAUCUGUACCUGCUAAGAGGAAGGUAUGUCAUGCUGAUAUCUUUAAGGACCAAGCACCUGGAAUUUUCCUUCUUUUAAUGUAUGCGAAGGUGUAAUUUCACACAUUGCUCUAGUGAAGAGACGUCUUCAGAUGCUACUUUUGAUGGAUGAAUAGUAAUCCCUUUAAUUCAUAUCGUUAGCCAUUGAUUGCCCUAGCGGUGCACAAAUUUUCAGAUCUUUGUGAUCAUUUUAAACUUCUGGUGAUAGUGUUGUAAGUGAAAGGUAGUAUGUUGCCAUGCCCCUGCUGCUUAUGCUCGAUUACUCUAAUAUAACUUUACUGAUGUGCUAAUGGUGUUGCAUCACUCUAUUCAUGAAAUCAAUUAGAUAAACAAAGACACCAGUGUUCUUGUACUGAUAUGUUAGGAGUUUUGGCUUGAUUAACUCCCGUAAUUGCACUGGAUGAUGGAGGCAAAUGCACACUUCAAUGCCCCAGUUUGGCGCUCAAGCCUAAGAUAUUCUCUACACAGGUAUCUGUAAAUCCCCAUCCCAGGGUCCUUGGCAGCUUUAAAAUGCCAACCAUGGUGCUGGGUUUGAGGAACUUCAAACAGCCGUUGAGAAUUGUCUGCGUCCCGACAUGGAUCUAAAUAAUGGCAAAUGUAAGAACCCUAUUUACUGAGCAAGUCCUGACUUGUAGUUGCUGUUUUUGCCUGUAGUUGGAAGCAAGUUGAUGCUUUCCUUUCCAAAAAAAAGGGGUCAUGUCAUAUGGUACUGCAAUUUUGGAAGAGUUGUAUAAAUUUUUAUCAGAAGGAUGAAGUUUGCCCUCUAUGCAAGAACGAGAGGGGUACUGCUUGUCGGGCAGAGUGCAUAUUAGUGUUCCUUUUACAGUGUGUGUAUUUGCUGUCCUAAGGAUUCCAUUUCUUCCAUUUUACGAUACUUAUAUAUCACUCAUACAAAUUUUAUAUUAUUGUCAUUCAUCGAAACACCUGGGAAUAUUGCCAAGGAAGCAACUAACAGGAAUUCCAGGGCUGGCGGUUGUAAGAAGAAAUAAUAGUUUAGAAGACAAUGAGGAUGUAACAGACACUUUUCAAACUAUUUCUAAUCCUACUUAAUAGUUUAUAUGAACUUAUACGAAUGAGUUGGUAUGUAGGUUCACAUAUCAUUCUUUCAAUUCCCAUAAGCUCCUAAACUCCUCAAUAUGCAUAUCCAUUUUAAGCUUGUAGCAUCUUUCCAACCUCUAAUUUUCACAUCCUAAUUUUGCCAUUCUCUCUCUCCUUAUUGUGGUUCCAUAUGUUAUAAUGGUAUGACUUCGGGUUUGGGUGCUCUUCCCGUUGCCUUCCUCCUGAGAUAGAAGUCCGAUGAGCUUUGCAUCGAUUGGAUUGAAGUGAAAGCUGUGGAGAAAGAGCUUUUAAUGUCGUCACAAAACCCGAAUGUUCUCAUGUUGUACUCCGGCAAAGAGUUUCUUCAGAAACUACGACAACCUACACAACAUCAUGUAAACAAUUCAGCUGCACUAAGACCACCUCAGCGUCAUCUGAACAAUUCAACCCCUCAAACACCAACCGAGCAGCAUCAAAGUAAACCGUGGAAAAGGCAGCAACCUCAGGUUUACUUUGAUGUUGGUGAAAUGAUGUUUGAGGGGUUGAAUUGUUUGAAUGACGCUGAAGUGUGGCUGAAGUGUGGCUGAGUUGUCUGCAUGAUGCUGUGCAGAUUUUUUAGUGUCAUGUCUGAAGAAACUCUUCCAAGGGAUAACAACACAAGACAACACCAGAUUUCGCGAUGACAUUAGAAGCUCUUCACUACCGGUUUCUUGCCAUAUUUUCCUGCACUCGGGGACAGUUCAUGCAAGGAAGGAAUGAAUACAAGUUAUGUUCGUAUGAGACUGACAUUGCAAGCUUCCAUCCCUGAUUCAUUCUUUAUUAGAGGGGCUGAUUGUCUAUUCUUUGUAAGCCUAAUCCGCACCAGAAGAGAAACAAUUUGGCUCCGCCUCCACGUCCUUGCGGUGCUCGUCAGAGUCUUUCGUCCGUUCUUCAACAUUUCUAAGAUGGUGCUUAAUUAACUCCCUUCUCCAUUGCCCACGCCUCCGAGAAACUCGCACCGGUCUGCAACCGUUUCUGAGCUUCAGUCCCAUGAAAAUCUUUAGGUCAUCAGUAAAUGAAAAUCUAUUUUGCAGUUCAUUUGCAUUGACCACCUCGGUUUCUGCCUUGUUUGAUCUCUUAAAUCAGCAUGUCAUAUCUUAUAUUUUUAAGCAGAAUAACUGCGAAGAUGGUUACAACACCAUGGAAGAGAGAAUUUGCAUGGACAGGCUUUCUAUAUAUGAGUCACUAUAACAAAUGAACUCAAUCCCAGAAACUCUUUAGUAAUAGAAAAGAAGAAACAUGAGAAACAAUCCAGACAAGUCUUAUUUUGAAAGCGUAACAUUAUUUAUGUGAACAUAACCCUACCCUCUGCUUUGCGUGUAGUAAUAUCACAUAUUCAAAUGAUCGCCAAAGUUUUCUCCGCAAAACAAAGCAAGUCUGCAUCUUGAGGAGAACAUGCAUGCAAUGCCUUUCUCAUUCAGCAUUUUUUAUAUUUCUACUCCCCUGGAACAAAAGAGAACUAUUGUUAGCACCUGGCAUCAUGAAAUGCAAAGUGAUGAAUAUAACACACGGAUCUCCAAUUGACACCUCUAUGGUAACCAACCAGAGACAAGUCAAUCUCAUGUGACAAUGAGAAUGGUAAUCGUAAACUAAAAAACCAUUGUCAAAUUAAGUCCCUUCCGAAAGAACAAAACUCACUUGGAGAAGUUUUCUUUGAUAAGGAUGCAUCUCAUAGGUGAUCCUUCUGCAUCAAGCAAUUUUAAAGGCAAACGUGGAUUGUAUACACUCCUGCCGAUACAUCUUCGAGUUUCAAGCCCUUAUCAAGAAUAAUUUCCUACAGUUACCGUAGCAUUAGUUUCUUGAGCGUAGACUUCAUGUAAUAAUGCAAUGAUGUGAAAUCUAGGCAAAUUCACCAACACUAGUUUAGGUCUAAGAUGGCAAUUCAGCAAUGGAACAUGGUCAUUCUCAACUUUGAUGGGGAAAUUCGUCAUACAUCAAAUCACUUUCUUACCCGGCUUUCAAGAAAGAUAAGAUGGGAUGGAAUCAAAUCUCAUAUACAGCAACAGACAGGUAACCAGUUCAUGCAUUGAAUAGCACAGACUGCGUCAUGCAAGAUUGCAUCUCGAUCUUAGACAUGUAAUAAUCUACAAGUUACAGAACAAGAAAGAAACUAAAUCAAGUUUCACCUUUUCUCAAAAGGGAGGUUUAGAAAAAACUGAACUUGCGUAUUGCUCAAAAGCCUGAUAGCAACAUAUGCGUGAGCAUUUUCUCACACGCAUGUCUUUAGAGAUCAAUUGAAUAUCACGUGUUCAUGUUGACAAUUAAUACAACACCAUACUGCAACUCUCAUGUCGUCCAGGAGAAAAUCAAAUAAGACGGAAGUAUGCAAUUCUUGCCAUGCUUAAGAAAAAUAACAUUUGGUUGUAGUGAAGCUGCAAGUAAAAAUGGGUGGUAAUAGAAAAGGUAGCUACCUCAUAUAAAAAUCUAUCCUAGCAUGGUUUAUGGGUAACAAUUGAGAAAUAUCAUCAAGUACACUACAAAUUAUUGAGUCUGGGUAAAAGGUGAAGAUAAGAUGAUGGUGAAGCAAACCACCAUACACCAAAAAAAAAAAAAAAAUUUCUCACUAAGAUUGCGUCAGAAUAGCAAAGAGGGACAAAUCCUAUCAACAAGUUUAACGUCUUUGUUCUCUAACAACCAUUUUUCUCCAUCUCUUAUGAAUUCCACAUAGCUCAUGUCAAACUCUUUUUUGUCCAUAAGCCGUCUGAGAACGAAACAGAGCACAAUCAAAUUCAUCCUUUUGAUCAUAGCACUCACUAAUACCACAAUAUAUUAAGAUAAUCAUAUGAGUGCUCCAACAAUCUGGAAAUCGCACAUUAGCUCCACUGACAAUGACCUACAAAAGGAUUUCAGGAACAUAGGUUUACUUGGCAGUAUCAAGGUUUUGAACACCACCUGUCUCACACCCUCGGGAACAUAUAAAAACUCCAUUACUUCGGUUGCAGGAAGUAGUCUAUAUCAUUCUUACAAAAUUUGUUUGACAUAUCACUAUGUUUUAAUUUCAAAAGCCGUCAUAUCAAAUGUUAGUAAGUGCCUAGCAAUAUUCUUGAAAAAAAAAAAAAAAAAAGAAGGAAAGAGCCAAGGCCUUGCUCUCACUAGUAAGUGCCUAACCAUAUUCUUCUACUUAUUCCACUGCAAAAUUAACAAUAUCAUAAUCUAACUAAAAGAAGUAGCGUAUUGCCAGAAAUGUUCACUAUUGGCAGAACUAAAUUGUGCUAGAUUUUUACUUCCUAGAAGGAAUAAAUAAACUCAAUAGUAGCAAAUAGCUCAUAUUUCACUAGUAAACAAGAUAUAUGAUAUCCAUAGACGGUAAAACAAUAUAAGUUGGCAAAUAUGACAUGCCAAGCCCUAACACACAAAUGACUGACUAAAAUGGAUAUGGAAAUGCAGCCAGUCCUAUGAAGCACCCAAGUUUCUAGCAAAUUGUUCAAGCAAUCAAACCUACUUACCAAUAAUGAUGAUAAUGAGGACAACACCAACAAUUCAACAAUUGGCAUGUAAUUUCAAAGGUAAAGUAGAAUCUAGUACAAGUUAUUAUUGCAAAUGAGUGAAUUAGAGAAAUCACAUCACUAUCUUUACGCAAAGGUCAUCUUGUGUACUCCAUCUUCUGACAUGUUAUUUUUGUAUUUUGCUUUUGAAAUUGAUACAUAAUUUACAUGCAUAAGAAAAGAGGAAUAGAUUCAGCUAAUUUUUGAUAUGGCUAGUAUAAGUAUCUAGAGGGAGGUGAAUAGGUAUAAAGAGUAAUUUCUUAUGAUAAUCGCACAAUACUAGACAGUUGAUAGAAAUGAGACAAUUUUUUCUCGUCAAUAAACAAACAACGAUCAACGUAAGAUCGAGAGUAGAGAAGAGAAAAUUGAACACGAGGUUUAUAGUGAUUCGGCUUAUUUCAAGCCUACGUUCACUCUUCUGCACUGACAGCCCACUGGCUGGAUUCCACUAUGAACAAAGAGAUAUUAUAGUACUAUUCUUCCUUGAUUUCUUGGUGUAGAAGAUCUACCACACUCUCUCAAGGUAUCACUAAGUAUAGACUCUCUUUGUGUGUACAGUUUCGCUCAAUAUGAAUCGACUAAUAAUCAAGGAGCUUCAGACUCUGAAAUUUCUCUAUCGAGCACACACUAGAAUAACUGGAACGUCUUAUUUUUAUACUCCUUUAUGCCAUCAUACCUGUUAGCACUUUCCAAAGGAAUUCUUCCAAUCUUCCCGUUGGACAGAAUCAAUUAAGAAGGUCAUUCGAGCUAUUAAAGGAACAUGUCGAUAGCCCAUCAAUCUUGUUCGCCCAUACAAUCAGGAUCUUGGUUUCCAAGAAUAGAACAUUCUAAGAAUAUUUCGUCAAUCAUCGGAUCUUCAAACGAUCUUGAUUUCGAAUAAAUAAUCCGUCAUAUCAAAUCUAGCCAGAGAUCUUCUCUAGACGAUAAGACCAAAUCCUUAACCAAACACUUUAGCUCUGGAUCGCCUUCGUCGCUCGAUUAGAAACUGUCAAUGAGAAUAGUCUUGAGUCUUAAGUCUUGUGUGCUGAGUCUGGUGAUCUGAAAGUCUUCAGACUCUAAGUACAAGGGUCUACAUAGCUCCCAGACUAGACUGAUAGAAACGUUUUGUCAGCUUCAAAACACUCUAGAGAGAUUUCUCCAACAAUUUUACCUGUCCGUUUUUUAGUCCGAAGAGGCUAGGCCAUAUUACUAAAGCUCUAAGAAAGAACCUUACAGAGCCAAACCCUUGAGAGCACAGAAAACACAAUUAUGAUGAGAACACUAGCCAAUCAAGGUCCAAAAUCCAAAACAAUCCAACAACAGUUUUUGUCACCAAAUGGAUUCAAUGUAUGAAGUAAUUACUUUCCACUGCCGCUGAAGUCAUUGAAAGUGAGAAUAUUGUUGUUCCAAACCACAAGAUCCAACUCCCUAAGCCCUUCAACGAGUGUGAACAGAAACUUCUAUUGAAAUGUGUGGUUUUUACCACCGUCUGCACACCAAAUCAAAUCAAAACUAAGGUGCUAGUCACUCAGUUUUCCCAAUUAGCUUAACACCAUAAACUUCAACCAUCAGACCCCUAUAACAAAACUCCAUAUCUAGAUCUGAAUAGGGAAAGAGGUAAUUGCACAAACACUUGGUGUGCAAUUUAGAAUUACCGGUGCAAGUUAUGGUGUGAAACGUGGUGUUGCCAUAUUCUAGUUGCUGAUGGGGCUCCUAGAUUGAUGGCAGAGGCAGAGGCAGCAGCAACACGUUGAAGAAUGCAGCAGGUUUAAGUUCGCUGGACGUGGACGACAAAUCGGAGCCGCCGAUGGGACUCAUUAUACCAUGGCGGAGGUCAAAGCCGCCGACGUUGUAGAUGUCACCCCCAAACUCUCCAUUCUAAUAAUUCCAAUAGAUUCCCUCAUAUUUAGCUUGCAACAACCUAAUACGUCGAGCUUCGAUAGUUUUUUCAAUUUCGAUAGGUCUGACAUCGUCUCUAAGGAAGGGCAACGGAAGAUUGUUAGGGAGCAAAGGGAUCCCAGCUCUUCAAGGCCACGAAUCUCAACUAAUGAAUCGCAAUGUCUUAAACUUACCUUUUCUAGAUUCUUCAUGCGCGACAGAUCAAGUACUUCGGGAAGGAACUCACAAAAAUCCAUCUUUAAUAAUCUCAAUCUUUUCAUUUCCAGUUGCAACAGCGCGUCCACUUUUUUGAACUCACAGAACUCCAUAUGGAGUUCCUCCGACUCCGCAUCAAAUAUACUGGAGAAUUCUAGCGAACAUUCAUAGAAUGUCAAGAUUGACAAGUCUUUCAAAUUGGAAAAAUCCGGUGAUCGUGUAGUCGCCAGAUCUCGAAGUUGUAACUUUCUUAAACUAGAGGGGAGCUGAGGGAGGAAUUGCACAUUUUCGCAGCACAAUUCUAGUGUUUUAAGUUGAGAUAGGCUACUGAUGAUAGUGGGAAGAGUAAUGACAGGUGUUUCCUGAUGAGCACGGUUUUGCUUCUGCCCAUAUGUCAGACAAGUCACACUUAGGGGAAGCUCCGGCAAUUGUACAAGGGAAUAUGUUUUUAGCUCAAGUGUUUGGAGAUUAGAGAGGUGAUUCACUAUGGUGGGUAAUCCACAUAUACAUGUGUCCGACAAGUUUAGGAUCCUCAAAUUGGACAGUCUCCCAAUUUCUUCAGGGAUUUCACCGAUCAAGUUGCAACAUCCUCGAGCAUUUAACUCUUCAAGCUUCUCCACUAGCCAAAUCUCACUUGGUAGUUUUGUUAUCUCGCUCAUGUCCCUCAUCCUUAGUACUUUCAGUUGCUUUAUAUUGCCGAUUGAAUAAGGUAGGUGACCAAUACUUGUUGAUGACAAAUCCAACUCGACUAAUGAUUGUAAUUCCCCAAUCGAGUCUGGAAGUUCCUUUAUCUCCAUGCACUUCGAUAAAUCCAAUAGCCUAAUUUUCACCAGCCCUCCAAUCGAGUAUGGCAAUUUGCUAAGUUUACUAUAUGGUAAAUUCAAGGUCAACAAAGAUGGCAAAUUACCAAUGGAUGGGUCAAUUUCAAUUAAGUUGAUACAACCAUCAAGAACCAAUCUCUCUAGGUACACCCACGUAGAUAAAUUAGGUGUUCUCUUUAAAUGGCAGCACGACUUGAGAUUUAGUACCUUUAGUUUUUUGGCCUCCUACAAAACAAUUUGAUAAAAUAUAUGUUAAGAAACGACCUGUAGGGGAACAAAAAGAUAAAUAAAUGAUAUGCUUAUGCAAGGAGUGGGACUCAUAUCAUACUCUAAGUUGUUCCCAGCCAAUCCAUUCCUCCGAAAUGUAGCUCCUUGAAAGGUCAAGAACCACUAAGUUAGUCGGAUGAAAGUUUGUUGCCUCAAACUGGCUAGAGUAAAAUUGCCAAGAAAGCCAUCUUAAACUAGGGAGAAGGUUGUUGAAGUCUCCAACAAGGCGCUCCCCAUUCCCUUGAAAGAACCUUAGGUUUCGUAAUGGAGCAACUUCAUCACUUGUCAAAAUACCUGCAUGAAAUCCAUGAUAUCCUUCUAGUGACAUUGCUUUUAAUUUCCUACUUCCCUGACAAUGGAAAGACCCAGAAGUUCAUAUGUGAAGGUCAAAAGCAAACAAUUACAAGCGCUAACAGCGAUUAAUUUUUUCUUUUGCAAGAAUAGUCUACAACAAUACAUCUAAAAAUAAAUUGCUAUUCUUUUUUUACCUCUUCCUGCUUCAGAAUGCUCCAGGCAUCAUCACAGUUCCACACUCUACUACGCUUGUAGGGAUCGGUGAAGUUCUCUUGAUGGACAAUUUCCCUUCCGAGGUCCCGCACUUGGUCAUGCAUCCAGAAAAUAUUGCCUUUGAGUUUUAUCAAGGACAUGAGAAAGAGGACUUCAAUGGCAUCAUGUGGGUGGUAUCCACAGGCAUCCCACAUGUAGAAAGGGUAUGAUUUCUCCUUAUUAACAAAAAAACAGGCUAUAUCCAAAAAUACUUCCCUUUGUGUACGAUCUAACUUGUCAUAAGUUAUCAUCAAUUUUCUCUGGACUUCCUUAGGAGGAGCUUCUUGUAGCUUUUUCCAUGUGUCAACCCAUAAUUCUUUGGGUUUUCCGUUAAGGGAUGAACCUGUAAUCUCAAGAGCUAAAGGAAGCUUUCCCAAAGUAUGGACAAUUUUCUCAGAAAGGAACAUACGAUCUUUUGGUGGAGAGUUUCUUCUAAAGGCAUGCCUACUAAAAAGCUUAAGAGCAUGAUCAAAUUCCAUUUCUUGUACAUCGUAAGUCAAAACUUUUGUAGACUUUUCUACAAGGCCUUCACCUAUUGCUUCUCCCUUAAUCAUUAGGAUACUUUGGUCCCUAGUAGUUAUGAUAAUCCUACUACCAGGACUAAACCAAUUACCUUUUUCUGCUAGACUUUUAAGUUGUUCUUUCUCAUCCACAUCGCCUAAAACAAUGAGAACUUUUUUAUUUUUAAGUACUCCUCUGUUCAUCAUGUUGAUCCCAUCAUUCACGUGACAAAUUUGGUCGAUAGAAUGAGAACCAAAGAGCUUGGAUAACAGUCGAUAUUGCAAAUUUACUAGACCAUUAUUGCCUUUUGAUGAUUCCCCAACAUCUGCAAGGAAACAACAUCCGUCAAAGCUAGAAGAUAGUAUGUUGAAGACGACCUUAGCAAGAGUUGUUUUGCCAACACCGCCCAUUCCGUAGAUUCCAAGAAAUCGUACACCAUCAGAUCCCACUCCCAACAUUUUGAUUAUAUCUUCUACGCGAUCAUCAACUCCGACUAGAUGUUCAGUUACAUUUUCAUGUGUAACCUUCAGCUUAACUGAAAUCGUUCGAAUUACCGAACAUAUAAGAUCUCCUUGGCUGCCAUAAAGUAACAACCAUGUUAGGGAUAACUUUAUAUGUAAAACUUACUCCCAAAGUGACUAAAUUGCUCUCACGUUAUGUGGAAACCUGGCAAAAAAAUCGAGACAUCGAUAGGAUUAUGAUUUUUGCUGAUCUCCGCUCCCCAAUUUCAGUCACCAUCACCGUCGGCCCCUGCCACUGCACCAUUGACGUCGCUCGCCUCUUUGCACCAUCACCGUCACAUUUCAGUGUUGUUGCCUGUUGUGCCCGUUGACUGACCAUCUCGGCCUUGCCUCAAUUCUCCACGUCACAUGGGUCGUGGCCUUGCGACGGCCGGCGAUGGCUUCAUUGGCCUUGGGCCAAAGUCAGCCACGUCGGAUAUGGUCGUCCAGAUCCUGGAUCCAACUCGCCACAGUGAGUGAGAGAGAAAGUGUGGGGGCCGAAUGGCUCAGAGGCAGCUUCUGGCCACUCGGUGUCGGGCUGGCGACGAAGUGGUGGCGGUGACUGACGGACGAGCUGCUGUGGUGGCUGGCCGACGGCUUGGUGGAGCUCUUUGGAGAUCUAUUACUGUUCGUAGCUAUUGUGUCAUAGAGAGAGAGCAUGAGGAGAGUGAGAAUCAGGAUAAGAAGGGUGCGCUACCACCGCAAUAGUGCCAUUGACUGGAGCUAUUGCAGCGAGCUAUUGCAGCGAUACCACCGAUAGGGGCCACCAGAGAGCAUUCCUUUCUCACCGCUGUGGUGGCAGAUAGCAGCGGCGGCCAUUGCCGCGACCGCAUUUUUAACUAUAUAAAAUCGACUACAUGUGUAAACUAUAUUUUCACCGACAAUACCACAAUUAAACUGAACAGGGAGGAAAACGAAAUUUACAGAUGGCAGUUAGACAAGUUAAAGGACAUUUACCCUUGAUCUUUCUUCAAGUUCCAUCCCUUUAUCUCGUCCACCUCAUUGAGAGCCUUUUUCCAUGACUCCACUUCUGCACUAAACUUUUCCUGGUGCUUUGCAAGAGCUUGGUUAUACAAGUCUGUUUUGAGCUUGACAUCUUCAGGUUCCACAUCCAAGAAAAUGGGCAGAAUCUCUUUGUUCUCAUUCAAUUUCGAGGUGCACUCGACCAUGUGUGCGAGCUCUCGGAGGCACCAGUGACUUGAAGCAUAAUUUUUGGAGAAUAUGGGAAUGUAGAUUUUGGAGUUCUCAAUUGCGUGUAGAAGUUCACCACCAAUUUUUUGACCGAUGCGAAGGGAUUCAUCGUCCCUAAAGACAAGGAUCCCGACCCCAACCAUGGCAUGGUAAAGGCAAUCAGUGAAUCCAUGACGGGUGUCGAUUCCCCGAAAGCUUAGAAAAACCUCAUAUGAAGGUCCGGAUGAUGCCGAUGAACUCAUCCCUAUCUCCACUGCAGGAUCGUUAGACAUCACAGGUAUCAAAUCCUCUCUCUCUCUCUCUCUCAGGAAAUGUCUGCUUUUCGGGGGUGCUUGGAUCUGAGCCUGGGCUCUCAAUAUAAUAACUGGUUAAUUCGUUUGGAAAGCACAUCGUCCGUGGCUAAUCUACUUCACAGCGUGUUUCACGGGGAAGCAAGUCAAAGUCUUCUAGUAUCUUUGCUCGCUUCGUUGCAUUUUCCUCUUCUUUUCUUCCGACCAGAGAAGUCAAAAGUCUUCACCGCUUGCUUAGUUGCAAAGAAAGUGGUAAGGCAAAAGCCCAUGAAACCUCCUCAAAAGAAAAGACUGGCAUGGGGUAGCAAGUCAAAGUCUUUCCUCCAUCCUGCAUCGCCAGACGAGGUACCCCUAUCGAAGAGUCUUCCUCAGACGUGGUUUACAAAAUUGUUCGAUAAAUUCUUGUCCACUAGUCACAUUUAAAGGACAUGCCAAAAAAAUAGAACGCGGUUUACAAGCCAUCCUUGAAGUUUUCUAGAAAUUUCAUUGAUCAAUCAAUGGGUUAUCGUACUAUGAGUUUCCAUAUCCCAUCCAUUUAAAGACAAAUUUUAAAUCAGAAAUUCAUAGCUUUAAAGAUAGAGCAUAUAAAGUAAAAUUAGGAGGUAAGGUGAAGGUGAUUUUUGAGAUUUUCUUUAUUUUAACCACAUUAGAGAAAAUCUAAAACAUCCAAUUAAAUUUUGUAUAUCAUAUUCAACUGAAUUAUUGACAUUUGUGACAAUGUUCAUCUUCAAACAAAAAUCCUUAAUUAGAAGAUUAAACUAUCCCUCUCCUAAGGAAAUUAAUAUUAUGCACUAAUCACAUGAUUGACGUGGUGUAAUUGGUCAAUCCAUGUUACCCAUGCAAUGUGCUAGACAUUCUAAUGGGUGCUGAUAUGUUAAAAACACUUCCUUUGCAUUAGUUUAUUAAACCACGUGAUACGACUAUUACAUGAAAUACUUUUUGUUCAACCGCACCAUUUCUCUCUCUUUUUUAUUCCCCACCAUACUGCCAAUCAACGUUACCAUUCUUGUCCCCGAAAAACACCGCCACUCCCCGAUCAUAACGAAAAAUGCGCUCCACAACUUAGCCUCGCCUUUGUUUGCAUCUUUCUCUUGCUGUCUCUAUCUCUCUUCUUUGCCAUGGCCUAACUUGAAAUUCGAGGCGUCUUGCUCAAAGGUGCAAUGAUGCUUGUCUGCAUCUUUUUUCACUUUUAUUUUCUUUUUCAUUGUGGCCAAAGAGGGUCACCAGCAAGCCCUCAUUAGCAGCUGGGCAAUGGUUGCAACUCUCACCCAAGCAUUUGCUGAUCACAAGCAAGGGCACAAAGGCCCUCAUUAGAUCUAGGUGGCACCCUUGCCCAGCCUGCAAGCCCUUGCCUAGUGUUGCUGGCCACGAUAUGAAAAGAAGGAACAAAAAAUAAAAAAUAAAAAAAAAUUUAAUUUUUUUGAAAAAUUGCAAAAAUUGUCAACUUCAAUGUAUGUUGUGCCACAUAAUAUAGCCAAGUUCUACGUCAACGAUUUUUUGAUAAAAUUAAUCGAAAUUACUAAAUUGGUAAAUCAUCAAAGGUUAUAAAAUUAAAUUGGCUAAAUUGAAAUGUUUAAGUUAUGAAUUGAUAUCCAUAUGAUAAAUUUAAGAAUUUUUUUGGCAAUUUUCCAACAAAAUGUGUAAUAUUUCCAUGAAACUAACAUUAGUCAUCAACUUUUUCAAUACCAAUUGGAUGUCCGAGACUCUUUAAAGAUCUGAGUAAUCCCUACCGAGUGUGAUGGUACCGUUCAUUCAAUUAAGAACAACUGAAAUCUGCUCGUACCGGUUAUUCAUGUUCUCCCGUUUUAUAAUUGACAACUUUGCUCUUAAAUUCAUGGGCUAAGCUAACGGUCACGGAAAAUUGUGUACGUGCCCUUCGUGUGGGAAAAAGGUGAAAUACCAAAUAUCAAGUUGCAAGUGUUUAUUUUAAUAUUCUUCUAUGUUGACAUGUUUUUUUGUUCUCUUGAAUAUGUAAAUUUCUGAAAUGAAUGGCAGAUAUUGGUUGUAAGAGAGUUUUUGUUUGUAUAUCUUACGAUUUUUUAAUUGAUAUAUAUAUAUGAACUAAAAAUUUACAUAUUCCUAAAAUAUAGCGACUUCCCAUUGUUUGUGAUUCCUAAAAUAUAGCGACUUCCCAUUGUUUGUGAAGUUAAGAUACUAUGUUUAGAGCUAACAGAGACAAACUUGGAAGUUAGUGUCAAUAAAUAAUUUAAUCUAAAGUGAUGUACACAACUAUCCUUAAUCAAAAUUCUCAAGACAAAGUAUAAUCCCCUGCUCUUGUUGUGUACUCCACCAAUCUAUAAGGUAUCUUGAGUGAGCCUAAGCUCAGUAAAUGAAGGCUCUAGUUCCAAAGUAUGCGAUCUACUCACCAUUUGAUUCUAGAUCACAACAUCAUAGUAACAAUCAAUAAGUAAUAUUACAUAUCAUUUAGAGGAUCCACUAUAAUUUAGAAUAUGCCAAUCAUUAGAAGAUUAAAUUAUCCCUCUACUAAGGAAAUUUAUAUUAUGCACUAGUCACAUGAUUAACUAUUCCUGAGCUCUAGCGCAAUAUGCAAUGUUAUCUCUGAAUUUUUAAUUUGUUUAAUGUGGUCUCACAACAUUUGGUAUGUGUUCAAUGUAGUCUAUGGAUUAUUUAAAAAUGUUCAAUGUUGUUGUUGAAUUUGAAUUAAUAAAAAGAUAACAUUAUAUAUUUUUUAUAUAGUUCAACGACUAGAUUAAAUAUUUACCAAAAGUUUAGAAACUAUAUUGAAUAAAUUAAAAGUUCGAGAACGACAUUGCACAUGGGAUCAAAGUUUAGUUCGGGGACCAUUUAUAUAAUUAUCCCCAUGACUAAGUAAUAACUUAAGACAAAGCGAUAACCCUAAGAUUACUUCACAUGACAAUAUGGUAAUACAUUUCUAAAUAGAGUAAUUAGUGACAUUACAUCAGUACUCCAUUUGAAAUUGACUUGGUGAUGCAUCUUGUUUAUCAAAAAAAUCCACAAAUGAGCCUUUAUCUUUGGAACAUUACCACGCAUAAGGAAACUCAUAACAUUAUUGGGAUAUAGCACGCUAGAUAUUAUACGAAUAGAUAUUUAGCAAAGAUAAAUUGAUUCCGUUUACCUUCUUGAGAUGCGACGUGUUACCUAUAUAUAAAAAGAUAAUGGGGCAUCGUGGAUUUCGAUUUAGCAAACCAAGUCAAUUAGUCGACCAAAUCUCAAUUCUAAAUUCUGCUAAACUGGUUACCCUGCUGUUAUUUUCAUUGUGAUAUUAGAUUCUCCAGUUUUAAGGUUGAGAUCCAUGAUUCAAUUGAGGCAACUAUCCAUCAAUUUGUCCUCUUUAUCAACAAAUUCUUGAAAAUAUGUCACCAAAUUAUUUCCUGUGAGCAAAAUUGUUGGGAUAGACAUGUUCUUUACACUUUUUAUUAGUCCCUCCUCCCCAGUCCCUCAUGCAGACGACAUCAUCAGGUUGACGAUUUACGCGAACACAAAACAAUUGCACUCAUAAUACAUAUCUAUUAUAUGGUCAAAACACUGUCUUGACCAUAUAAUAAGAAAAAGAAGAAACCAAACAAAAGGAUGGGCGCACUAAAAGAACAAUUUCGUGAAUGGUAAGGGAAGGAUCCUAGAAAAGUGGGAUCCACAAAAGGCAAAACGCACAAAAUACUAUGUUGAGGAGUGCUUUAGUCGAAACAAGAGUCGACGAUAUGGGAAUAUAGAUGUCACUUGGGGGUUUACGGCGCGGCUGUCGGCUGCAAGCCGGUUCCUCCAAUACCAAAAAAAAAAAAAAAAUGGGAAUAUAGAUUUUGGAGUUCUCAAUUGCUUGUAGAAGUUCACCACCAAUUACCUUACCUACAUGGAGGGAUUCAUUGUCUCUAAAGAGUCGUUCCCGGCCUUAACCAUGUCAUGGUAAAGACAAUCAGUGAAUUUGUAGUAAGUGUCUGCUCCUUAAAAAUUUAGAAAAACCUCAUAUGAAGGUCCUGAUGAUGCCUAUGAAUUCGUCCCUUUCUCCAUUGUGGGAUCUUGAAGCACCACAGAUGUCAAAUCCUUUGUCUCUCAUGAAAGUUUGCUUUUUGGGUGUGCUUGGAUCUGAACGAGGGCUGUUGAUAUGAUAAACUCUCAGUCUCAGGCGUCAUGGGGUUAGGGAAAAAGGCGUCGGACUUCGAAUAUUACUUCAGUCAACAUAGUCAACACCUUUCUUUCUUUCUUUUUUAUCCCUAGAUGCACCUUCAUCUUUUGAUUAAUUUGUUUCGUGUUCAUGUAUAUCUUGUCUGCCAUCGAAUUUCCCAAAUUAAAUAUUAAGAUGUGAAUUCUAUUUAAAAACAUCAUUACUAUUGAGAAAAGCACAUUAAUAGUUUUUAAGUGAAGACAAUUAUCUGUUAUUCUAAUGUAAUUACUAAAUCAAAAUAAUUAUAUAUGUGUCAGAAUCUUAACCUUAUUUGGAAUUAAUUUUGCUUAAAUUAAAAUUAUAUAUAUCAUAAUCUUAACCUCACUUUAUGAACUAUUACAUGGCCGGUUUUACCAAUAAAAGCAGUGAAAAUAAUAUAAGAGAUUAAAAAUAAUUAUUCACAUUAUUACUUAUGUACAAAAUAAUGUGACGAAUUUGAAUGCUUGACUAUGCCCUACCUUUUCAAAUGAUCGUUUAUAGUAUAGAUCUAGAUCCCAAACAAAUAUGGAAAGAUAUAAAACACCACACACCAAACAUAAAGGCAGCUAUAUAAAAGAAUUGACAGUAUUCGGAAUAUUUGUGAGAUUCGGUAAAUCACGAAUCAUAUCAAUUAAGAUUACACAAAACCAAAUCAAAUAUAUCCAGCAUCACACUCAAAAUAAGAUGAUCACAAUGAAAGCAAUUUGAUUUUAGAAACCAAGCUAAGAGAUUUGAUUUAGUAAUGGAGUGAAGGAAGAGUGCCGCGAGCAGUACCUUUAUGAUUAACAAAAUGGGCUAAUUUGCAAAAAUUCUCCGUAUGAACUAUUUUAUUAAUUAGGAUCCAAGAAAUGGCAGGCGGUGUACGACAUUAUUCAAGAAAUUUUUUUCCAUAAGUUUCAUUUAAAAGAUGUGUCGAAAUAUAAAAUGCGUUUUACGGGUCAUCCUAGAAGAUUCGUAGAAGUUUCUACUAAUCAAUCUAUGGGUUGUCAUCUUAGGAGUUCCCAUAUUCCAUAUGUUUAAAAAAGUUAGAGAUUCGUAGCCCUACGAAAAUAGAGUAUAUAAAGUGAAAUCAUGAUACAAAAUGAAUAUGAUUUUUGUGCUUUUCUUUAUUGUAAUUAUAUUAGAAAAGAAAAUUGAAAAAUCCAAUCUGACUUUGUAUCUACAUCAAAUAUUACUUUGAGAUCUUGAAAUUUGAGGCAUUGUUCCUCUAUAGACAAAAAUCCUUAGCUAAAUGUUAGAUUAUCCUUCUAUAAUCGAAAUGUGUCAUAUAGGACGAUCACAUGAUUGGUGUGGUGUGAUCCAUCAUUUCAUGCAAUGUGCAUGCCGUUUUAACGGAAAAAAUCUGACGUACAUCUGUCUGAUUAAUUAUUACACGUGUUAGCAUCUAAGCAUGCGUCGAUCUGGGCCUUAAUUCCCCGAUGGCCCACUCUUAUUGCUCCCGCUCCCGAUGGAAUCAUCCUCGGCCGUCCGAUCCAAAUAUCUACUUCCAAGUCAAACCUCGUCACACAAUCAGCAGGGCCCAGAAAAGGAAAAUGAGAGGAAAAGGUGUAUGAAACGAGUGUGUCACCAUCAUUGAGGAGGGGUGUCAGGAACCGAACCGUUAACCGAACCGAACCGAAAACCGAACCGAACCGAACCGAAAAAUUUGGUUUUUUCGGUUCGGUUCGGUUUUCGGUUCAGUUCUCCUAAAAAAACUGAUAUUUUUUUUAUUGGUUCGGUUUUUAUCAGUUAACCGAACCGAACUGAACCAUACAAACCGAUAAAAUUAUAUCUUCGGUUUUAUUUUGUCCCGAAGUCCUCUCGUCUCCUCUCAUGUCUGUCUUGGUUGGCUUGGAGGUGCAACGGCGACGGCGACGGCGACGGCGAUGGCGACUGUGAAGAGCACUUGCAGUCGCUCCUUCCGGACCACCACUGGCUUCAAAGGACCCCAUCGAUAGUUUUCUUGAGGGACUGGAUUUUCGGAGGGCACCGAUUAACAGGUAAAAUCAACUCGAAUCGUGUCGAGUUUCCAACUUUUUAGUGUUCCGCUUGUUAUAAUUUCUGAUCGUGGACUCCGCCGAGGCGAUUACGGUUCCUUGGUUUGGUGGCGCGGUCUUUGCUUGGAACACGAGGGUUGUUUCUCGGAUCUCCAGAUAAUACCAGAGAAGAGCUGCGAUUUUGGAACUCUGACACAACUCGAUCUGCUUCAAAGCCCACGAAACAGAGCACAAUGUGCGAGCGAGACAGAGUAGCCCGUUCGUCCUCUCAAAGACCCCCGAUGGCCAUGCCGCCGCCCGAUUGCUACAUCCCCAUGCAGCCCCAACCGCGUCACCUCAAUCCCUCUCCGUCUCUCUGUAUCAAGGGGCUUAGGCGACGACUCACAAGCCCAGAUCUAGGGCGUCGAACCCAGAUCGAGGGGUGGGUAGCCUUCGGAGAUGGUCGCCGGAGGGAAAGCAAUCCCACCGUGACCGCGAAGCAGGGGGAACAGGCGUCAUCAAGCGUCGUGUAAGGACUGCUUAAGGAAGGACCGAAAAACCGAAAGCUGAAAACUAAAAACCGAAAAACCGAACCGAACCGAAAUUUUCGGUUGGGUUCAUAUUCGGUUCGGUUCGGUUCAAAGGAUUUUUUUAAUGGUUCGGUUCGGUUUUUCAAAAAAACCGAACCGAACCGAACCAUUGACACCCUUAUUGAGGACCCCUCAACGACGAGAGAAAGUGCGUCGAGAGUCUUCCACCAUCUUGCUGACUUGCUUUGUUGCAUUCGAAGACAAGAGACCAGCCUUUAUCAUGAUAAUAUUAAAUAGAUUUAAUUUAAUAGUGAUGUAGCGGAUAAAAACCAGUCAUAACAUAAUGACAAUAUGGAAAUUCGCAUUUUUUGUGACACACAGAAUGUAAUUUUUAUAUUCUUCUUAGGUGUUAUAAGAAAUCUAGAUACCUGAUAAUGCAAUAUAAAGUUAAUAUACAUCGAACUCUUCAAUUUGUCUGCUGGCUUUAAAAUAACUCUUAUUGAUCCGAUAGUAAAGCUACAAUUGUUAAGAUGCAAAUUCUAUUUAAAACACCAUUUCUAUUAAGAAAAACGCAUGAAUAGGUUUUAACUGAAGAAACUUAUCCGUCGUUGGAAUUAACGUAAUUACUAAACCAAAAUUAUUUUAUAUGCAUCAAAAUCUUAACCUUGCUUGGAAUUAAUUCAUUUACUUAAAAAAAAUUAUUAUAUAUGUAAUGGAAUCCAAAAUUAUUAUAAUAUGACAAAAUUUGAAUGCUAGACUAUGCCCUACCUUUUCAAAAGAUCAUUUAUAGUAUAUAGAUUUAGAUCCCGAACCAAUAUGGAAAGAUAUAUGGUACCACAGAUUAAACAUAAAGACGGCUACAAAUUGCAGAUCAUAUCAAUGAAGAUUACACAAAAUCAAACUCAAAUAUAUCUAUCAUCCCAUUAAAAAUAAGAUGAUUGCAGUAAAAUUAGCUUGAUUUUGGAAAUUGAGUUGUGAAAUAGCCUAGAUAAUCAAAUUUAGCAAUGGAGUAAAUGUAGAGUGCCAUGAGCAAUAUGUUUUUAUUUAUUUAUUUAUAAACUGGAUUAAUUUGCAAAAUUCACAAUUCGAGCUAUGUUAUAAAUUAUGAUCCAAUCAUGAGUAGCUCGAUAUAUUUUAUUCCAAAUUUUAAAGUUGCAACCUGCAUAUCUUAAGUUUCAAAUUUAUACAUUAAAAGAAGGUAAUGAGUGGGAAGAUGAAUUAUAAAAUUUAGAUUAAUCUUGAUUGGUUAAUUUGUCUGGAAGUCACACAAGUUCCAAAUCAUUGGUGUUGGAUAAUCUAUUUCACAGCGUGCAACACGGGAAAGCAAGCCAAAGUUUUCUAAUAGUAUUUUUGCUCGCUUCGUUCCAUUUUUCUCUUCUCGGCCAAAGAAGUCAAAAGUCUUCCACCAUCUCCUUGCUUAGUUGGAGAGAAAGUGAUAAACCAAAAGCUGACUAAACCUGCUCAAAAGAAAAGACUGGCGAGGGAAAGCAAGUUAAAAGUCUUCCUCCAUCUAGCACCAGAGGUGGGACCCUUAUUGAAGAGUCUUCCUCAAACGCGGUUUACAUGUUCAAUAAAUUAUUGUCCAUUAGUCACAUCUAAAGGACGUGCCAAAAAGUCGAAUGCGGUUUACAAGUCAUCCUAGAAAUUUCCUAGAAGUUUCAUCGAUGGGUAUCAUACUAGGAGUUUUCAUGUUGCAUUCAUUUAACAACAAAUUUUUAAAUUUAUAAACUGAGGAUAUAGAGUGAAAUCGGGUGAAUAUGAUUUUUGAGCUUUUCUUUACAUUAACCACUUUAGAGAAACUUUAAAAAUCCAAGCAAACAUUGUAUAUAUCUUAUACGACUCUGAGUUAUUGACAUUUGCAACAACAUUAAUCUUCAAACAAAAAUGCUUGAUUAGAAAAUUAAACUAUCCCUUUAUUAAUAAAAUUUAUAUUAUCAGCCGAUCACAUGAUUGAUAUGGUAUAAUCAGUCAAUUCAUGUUAUCCAUGCAAAGUACGAGUCAUUUUAUUAAGUGCUAAAAUAUUAAAAAUACUCAUUUUACAUUGAUUUAUCAUAUUAUAUGAUAUGAUUGUCACAUGAAAUAUCUUUUGUUCUACCAUGCCAUUUCUCUCUCUUCCCCCAUACCAAAAAAAGAAAAAAGAAAAAAAAAGCCGUAUUGCCAAUCAACGUUACCAUCCUUGGACACCGCCACUCCCCAAUCAAAACCAACAACACCCUCCACAACUUAGCCCCACCUUUGUCUGCAUCUCGCACUCCCUCUCUGUCUCUCUUCUCUACCAUGGCCUAACUUGAAAUUCGAGGCGUCUCGCUCAAAAGGUGCAAUGAUGCUUGUUUGCAUCUUUUUUCACUUAUAUUUUCUUUUUCAUUGUAGCCACAGAGGUCGCUAGCAAGCCCUUACAAGCCCUUGCUGACAGCUGGCAAUGGUCGCAGCCCUCACCUAAGUCCUCAUCGAUCGCUGACGAGGGCACAAAAACCCUCACUAGACCUAGGUGAGGCCCUCGCCCACAGCUGCAAUAUGGGCAAGGGCCUUGCCUAGUGUCACUGACCACGAUAUGAAAAGAAAAAAAAAGGGGGAAGAUAAUGGAGCAUCCCAGCUUUCAAUUAAGUAAAUCAAGCCGAUUAGUCAAGCAAAUUUCAUUUCAAAAUUCCGUUAAGCUGAUUACCAUGUUGUUAUUUUCAGUGUGAUGUGAGCUUCUGCAGUCUUAAGGUUGAGAUCCGUGAUUCAAUCAAGGCAGCUAGCCAUUAAUUUGUCGUCUUUAUCAACAAAAUCUUGUGUGUAGAAGCUAUAUAAUUCUGAUAAUAUUUCUCUGUAUAAGUCUGUAUGCCUAUAACAAGGGAAGAGAGUUUGUGUAGCGAGAGUGAGUUUAUAGAAUCAGCUAAUCAAGUAUCCUAUAGAAACAACGUCUAGACGAUUACAUAGUAAAUUCUAACCUUGUUGUGGCCAUUAGAGCUUGGAGAGUGGAGUAAGUGAAGUACAAGGCCAAACCACUUUAAGUCUAUUUUGCGUAUCUUCUAUCUCCUUACUUGAUAGAAGAUAAAAGUUACUGCAUAAUUGUUUUCCUUUACAGCAACACAUUCCACAUGUCCUUCACAAAAAAAAAAAAAAAAAAAGUUUCCCCUAUAACAAGCAAAUCGUCUCCCUCUUAAUUGUUGUGCUUAUCCAUUUAUCAGUAAAUAUUUUUUGUUGUUGCACGGGUGAAAAUGAUAAAACAUGGUCUUCCUCUUCUGCAUAUUGCUGGGUAAUUGUAUUUGGUAAUUGAACGUGGAAACAUACAGAUAAUUAUUAUCCUCGAUAACAAAGAAAAAUCGAAAAAUAAUUAUUUGAAUAAAGAUGAUACGCGGUUUGCUAAAUUGUUCCAAAAAUUCUGGUCGAUUGUUAAAAGAAAUGCUAAAUAAUAGAACAAGGCUACGAUGCGCUAUUAAAAGAUCUGGUGUAAUUGUUCAAUUGAAAACACUUCAUCAAAGAUUGCUAAUGCAUUGCAACUAGGCCUCUUUAUGCCAACUAGAUUAUUUCGUUAAUAAAUUCUAAAGAACCAUAAAUGGAGUUUAUUUUUUUGCCGGCCAAUCAUGAUAAGAUUUUGUCUUACUUUCAUUUCAUAUCGAUCCAUGCCGAGGAUAACUUACAAGUAUGAUUUGCAUAAGAAAAGACAAAUUAAUGUCAUUGUCACAAGUCACUGAUUAUAAUUAUUUCUUUCGGUCUAUUAUUAUGGUGUAAGUCUUCGUCGUUGUUAUAUCUUCCAACUAGGUAAAAUGGAUGCAACUUUAGGACAGUGACAUUCUCUCUAUGAUUAAGAAUCAAUAAUUUCCUUUUAAAUAUUGGUUAUGGAUAAUGACAGAGAAAUUGGCGAUUAAUUAAAUUAAUUGACCUAUCUUGAAAGCACAACCCCUAUAAUAUCAUUUCAACAUAAAAAACGGAAUUGGGUAGGAAGAUAACUUCUGCGUUACAGACGUGCUUGCGCAAUACCAUCAUUAGAUUAUUGGGAAAAAGACAUUAGAAGCGACAUAAUAUUCAUACGACUUUUAUUUUGAUGCGAAAACCUUUCGUGGAAAUACUUAAGUGCAACUUUAAACGAAACAAUCACCUAGAUGCUAACUCUAAAAUGGGAUGCUAGAAAUCCGACGUAGCAUUAUUUUAUCAAUUUCUCUGAUCAGUAUGACUCACCAGCAUGCCUUAGUAGCAUUAAUAGCUCUAAAUGAUGUCGCCUGCAUAUUUUGCCCCAAAUAUAAACCUUAAUCGGACAAAUCAAGCCAUUUCCCCAAAUUCGAAAAUCCUAAUUCGAAAACCACAAAAUUGAAAGCGAAAUCUUACAAUGGAGAGAAGGAGCAGAACAAGCGACUCAAAUUUGUUCCAACAAAGCCGAGAGGGAGGUGAUUAUCACUGUUAUUUUGUGCUCUUAGAAGUCCAAGAAGAACAACUUGGAGAAGGUCGAAUCCCAAUUAAAGAUUCCUUGCAUCUCACCAGACACAAUAUUCACUCACAUUUUCCUUGUUACGAUAUUCAUCCCCUGACAAUAAGCCACAACUUCUUCCCUCCAUGCAGCAAAAGUCUUAAGUAUUUCCCAUGCCAAUUGAGCGAGUUGAUCGAGAGAGAGAGAGAGAGAGAGAGAGAGAGAGAGAGAGAGAGUAUAACUCAGUUCGGCAUUGUUUAAGUCAAGACUUCCCACCUCAUAGUCCAUGUUGGACUUCUUUUUAAUAUAAAAAAAGCCAUGUAUGAAUCAAAUUUUUAUUUAAAAAGCCACAUAAGACUUUUGGUCGGAAUUUAUCACUGGAGGCAUUUAAGUAAUCGCUUAUUUUCUAAUUGGACAUCUAAGUGAUCUAUCGAAAAAUUUUGGCAGAAAAUGAGCACUGAAUUAAAGUUAUGAUACCUCUAAUGUCUUUUUCCUUAGAAUAUUAUUAUUAGUUGUAAUCUGGCUGAAUUGAUUCAAUGUUUUUCCAAAUACAGCCAAUACUCGAAAGACAGAAAAAUAAAAAUAAAGAAGGCUGACUCACUGGCCACUAAUUAUUUGUCUUGAUCCUUCAUUAUUUGGUCCUUUAUUAUCGUGUAAUUGUUGAUCAUUGUCAUAUCUUCUGGCGAGGUAACAUGUAGGAUAGCGACAUUCACCAGCAGGUUAAAUAUCAAUAGUUGCCUAUUUAAUUAGAUUAACUAACUUAUCGUAAAAGCUCAACUACUACACUAUUAUUGCAAUUUAACAAUCAUAAUUAGGUAGGAAGACAACUUUAGUGUAUGGAUGUACUUAUGCAUUACCAUCAUCAGAUUAUUAUUAUUAUUAGUUAUAAUCUUGUUGCGCUGGUUCAAUGUUUCUCGACGCUUCAUGUGCGUCUUUUGAAUGCAGCCAACACUUGAAAGAUCAUGGAAACUUCUUGCGAUUGUGAUAGAAAUGGCAAAUGAGAAGAAUAACUAAAUAUUUAACAUCUCGGAUAUAAUCUAUGGUUGACUACAUUAACUUUUGACGUUGGUCUUGGGAAGAAAAAGAGAAGCAGUUGCUAAUUCUCAGAAUAGCCAAAUGAAUAUUGUCCAUCUUCUUCUAAGUUAUAUUAAAAAACUUCAUCAAAUAUGUGAGUUUUCUUCGGAGCAGUUGAAAAGUGAGUUUCCUCUAAAGACGAAUCGAUCACCUGGAUUCGUGCAGUUUCCACAAUGUCAUUAGUCAAUUAGUCGCCUGCCAUCGUAGAAAUUUCCUUUUCCCAUUCAUUUGAUAACAAAUUUAAAAUCUGAAACCUGAUGACAAAGCUACAAAAGUGACGGCACAAAAAUCUGGAUAGAACACGGAGGUAUUUUUUUUUUUAGCUUUUCUUGGAUUUGAUCACAUUAGGAAAAGAAAAAAUCAAAAAAACUCUCGAACACUUUUAUCUAUAUCAAAAAACGGUUAUUAAGCUUUGACAUUUGCAGCAAAUGUUUACUUUUAGACAGAAAUCCUAAAGUAAAAGUUUAAAGUACCCCUCUACGACAAACAUAAAUUUCAUGUGCCUAUCACACGAUUGAUGCGGUAUAAUCGUUCAAUCUGCAUUAUUCAUAUGAAAUGUAUGUCAUCUUAAUUGACACUUAAAUGUAAGAAGUAUUCACAUUAAAUACAUUCUUGUCUACUACAUCAUUUUUUUUUCUUUUUCUCUCUCACCAUCAUAUUGUUGAUCUCCAUUCUGGAUGCUACCACUCCCCCAACCAAUACCACUGAUGUGUAUUCAAGUCAAAGUCUUUCACCAUCUUACUUGCUUAAGUGCAUUUUACAAAUUCCUUCUUGCCAACCAAGAAAAGGGAUACAAAGCCUCCUCAAAAAUUUUAAAAAAGACUUUGGUCAACGUUCAACCUUGGAGUGCUUCUAGUUCUUCCCCUGAUUUUCCUCGAUGGUGCGUGAAUGAAAGUUGAUCACCAACUCGUGGGGUCAACACACAUGAUGGCAUACCUAUCUAUCUCUAGAGGUGAUUGUGCUUACAAGCACUUGGAUUGUGAUUAAGGUGCGACGGGAGAACUGCACUUAUCAUAUGUUGUAUGGAUUUAAUUUAUAAAUGACGCGAUGGAUAAAACUAAAUAUGGUUUGGAAAUUUCCAUUGAAAAUAUGGAAACUUAUAUUUUCUAUUGAGACUCGGUAUAUGGUUCUCACAAAGUUUUUUAGGCGAUUUAGAGAUUUUAAAAGUUGGACAACACUAAGUAUAUUUGAUGUAUAUUGUACUCUUCAAUUUGUCUAUUGACUUUAAAUAUUGAACUCUUCAAUUUGUCUAUUGACUUUAAAUAACUCUUAAUUGAACCGAUAGCGAACCGAUAGCAUACAUGGUAAUGGUUACUAUCAUGUAACUAUUGAACGCAAGAUUAUGACGAAAAUGGAUCAAAAAGUCCUAAACCUAUUGUACAAUAAUCAAUUCAAUUAUAAAAAUUUCAAUUAUGCUAAUUUAGUUCUAAAAUUUUUGAGAAUUUCCCAAUAUAGUCCUAAAUAUUUUAAGAAAUUGUCAAUGUAGUCCUUUUAUCUAAUUUUGAUCGGAAAUAACUGACAUGACAGUCUAAUCAGCACUCACCGUCGCAUGUGGCGCAGACAACACUGACAUGAAUUAUAUUCUAAUUCUUUUAUAAAAAAAAAAAUCAACCUUUUUUAUUUUAUUUUUCCAUUUUUACUUCGCUGGUCCGGUGGGGCCAGCGAUGUCUGCCGGCCAAUAGGAGGGGUCACCAGUUCACCGGGUGGGCCGCAUCAUCUUUGGUUUGGCCUCCUCCUCCCCCUCCCCCCGGGGAAAAAAACAAUGCCUUGGGCCUUCCAUUUUCUAGGGCCGACAAAAUGUGUGCCGAGGUUUAACAAAAAGAACUGUUUGCCACAUUCGAAGUCAAUCGACUCCAUUCGACUUUUAGAUACUUCUAGGAAUAUCUAUGAAUAUUUUCAGAGCUUAUGACUUUGAUUUCAUUGUCUCUAAAAUUACUUUUUUUUUAAUUAUAUUCUCUAAUUUGCAAUAAAGUAGGAUCAUCAUUCUUCCACAUGACCUAAGUUUCAAAGAUAUUUCAUUUUUGUCGCUUCGAAUUAAUAAUGUCAAGACUUCGUAAUUAUCAUCAUGUAGUUUAGCCAUAAGUACUGACUUCUUCUUCUUUUUUCACCUAAUAGUUAUUUGUAUUUAAUUUGAAUUGACAUACUUACACGGGAUCCAAUUUUAAAAAUAUCAUGGGAUCACUUUUGAACUCUUUUACACGGGGUACAAAACUAUCUCAUGGGUAACUUCCUUAUGUGCAAAAACCAUGGCCAAUGUUUGACAAACCCGAUGAUGAAGAACCCAAAUCACAUAUGUGAAUAACUUUAGAACCCAAACCUGACUUGCGUUAUGAUAUUUUUGUUACCUUCCUUUUGUUUCCCUAAUUGGAAUGAAGUCUAGGGCCACUAGUACCAACCUUGGUACUAGCGAAGUAUCAUAACAAAACAAAAGUAUCUUUAAACGUAUUUUUAAAUAUAUCUCAAUUUUUAAAGAUCUAAGUGCUAACUCCUAACUUUUAAAUUGUAUGGCAGUGAAUAUGAUAACAAUCGUCACAAAAGAUAUGGCAUGGUUAGCCAUGCGGCCCAUAUUUGAUUGACGAAUUUUAAAUCAUUGAUUUAUGAUCUCUAAAAGUAUAUCUUUUAUUAAGUUUAAACUUGAAAAAAAAAGGAUAAAAAAGUAUUAUCGGAUAUAUUUUUAAUAAUAUGGCUUAUUUGCAAUCAAAUUAUGAUAGUAAAAUCUAUGAGACAUAUUUAAUGUGAAUUGAAGCAAACAAGAAAGUAGAAAAAAGAUAUAAUGUAUCUCAUUCAUAAUUGUUGAUAACUAGAAGUAUAACUUAUUCAAUAAAUGAAUAUUUUUCGCUAACGUCUCCUAUUACAAUGAAAUUGGUUGCAGCUUUCCAUUAUUAUAAUUAUUUAUUUCAGUUGUUUGAAAUCCAUUAUGCUUAAAUUUUCUAUGGAAUGAAAAAAAUGCGGUGAAGAAAAUAAAGUGCAUGUCUACCGGCGCAACCUAAAUCAAAUCUACCAACACUAUGUUCAGUAAAAAAAGAAUUUGGGAGGUGAAAAAAUAUGGGUGAAGAAAAUAAAGUUGUUCGGAAAAUGAAAGUGAAGAAAAUAUGAUAAAUGACUAUAUUCUGUUUGAAAAGAGUGGGAAAAUGAAGGUGAAGAAAGUGUGAAUGAGGAAAAAGACAUUAUUGUCCAUUAAAAGAAAAAUGAGAAAUAAUGGAAAUAUCACGUAAAAGAAGGGAAGUGGGGCCCAAAGAAUGGCGGGCCUGGUCGGGCUUAUAGCCAAUUUUUACCUUGGCCCGAACUUUCAGGCCUGGAAUUUUCAAGCCCGAAGAAAAGAUUGGACCUAGGCAAAAUGGACUAUCUAGCCCAUCAACAUUUUAUGUCGGGCUUUUAAUGUUCGGGUAGGCUAGGCCAGAAGGGUAGUGAAUUCUUUAAAUUAAAAAAUUAAGAUUAAAAGUAAAAUUAAUAAUAAUAAUAAUAAUAAUAAUAAUAAUAAAAACAACGGUAGCAGCAAUGGAGCUGAGCUAUUUUCAGGCUAUGCAGUGCGAAGAAAUAUGCACAAUAAAGCUCGAAAACCCACCCCGGUCUCUUUCAAGCUAAAAAUAUUCGAGUUCGUUCGCUGAGAUGGAUUUUCAGACUUUGAGUGCGUUUGGUAACGUUUCUGUUAAAAAAUUGUUCCAAGGAACAUAAAUAGAACAUAAAUAGAAAAAAAAAAAUAUUUCUGUUCCAGAGAAUAAUUUUUGAACAGAAGAACGUGUUUGUUAAAUUUGUUCUCGGAAUAGAAAAGGAACAGGAACGCAUUUGGUAAACUUGUAUAAUUUUUUUCUUUUAAUUUUUAAAUAUUUUUAUUUUAUUUUUCCUUUUUCCUUUUUUAUUUUUCCUUUUUUAUUUUUUAUUUUCCCUUUUCCCUUUUUUUCUUUUUCCUUCCUUUUGGCCGGUCGCCGGCCUCGUCCAUGGCCGGCAACCGGCCGACGAGGGCUGGCGGCCUCGCCUUGUCACGGCGAUGCGUCACCUAGCAGUGGCUUGAUGAGGUUGAGCGUCGCCAAUGUUUUGGCGAGCUCGGCCUCGCCGGAUCUGGGCGAGCUUGAGCUCGUCCAGCCAAGGCGAGGAUGAGCCUCGCUAGGGGCCGGCGAUGCUCCGGCGAGGUCACCAGCCCUCGACGGCCAGUCAUCGGCCAUGGCUGAGGCCACUGACUGGCCAAAGAAAAAGAAAGAAGAAAAGAAAGAGAAGGAAAAAAUAGGAGAGAAAAAUUGUUUCUUGAAAGUGUUCCAGGAACAAGAAACAAGUUUUUUGUUUUUUUUUUGUUCCAAAUUUGUUCUCGGGAACAAAAACGCAAAUAAACGCGUUUCUAUUCUUUUUUUGUUCUUCAGAACAAAAAAAAAAAAAAAAAACAGAAAUUGUGUUCAAGAACAGAAGAAAAGAACACAAACAAACAGGGCCUAAAUUUCACCCCUACCGUUCUGCCCCUUUAUUUUCUCUAUUUCUCUUCCAGUACUUUUCACCACCUUUCUGUCCACGCCUUUUCCAAGUUUCCAAGCACAGGAUACGGGUUGAAGCGGAUGGAUUCCCUCCCAUAGAUACCUAGAUUUUCACUAAGAAUCUCUCUCGCAUUUCAUGGAAACUAAGGAAAGAAUCCGUUGAUGAUGACGAAUUCGACCCCUAAACAAAAAAACUAAUAUCGCACGGGCUUGCAUUCUCACUAUUUUACAUCAAACCUUCUCUUUAGGAAUUUCUUUUAAUUCAAAAAAAAAAGAUGGGAGGAAGCUGAAAUUCACGAACCUCACGAACAUUUAAUGGUUUGUACUGCCUUGCAACGAUUCACCACUUUGGUUGCUACAGAAGCCGCCAAGGCCGUUUCAACUGAGGCCCACUCACCACUUGGGGUGUCAAAACUGAACCAGAAAACUGAACUGAAAUAAAAAUCGAAUUGAAUCAAAAUUUCAUGUAUUUUCAGUUCAAUUCGUAUUUUGAUUUGAAUAAUGAAAAAAUAAUUAUUUUUUAUUCUGGUUUGGUUUCAUUAAUUGAACUGAAUUGAAUAUCGCCUUUUGUUCUUAAUAUUACAAUUUACACAAACUCUAUCUUUUUUCAUUGAAUAUAUCUUUCUAAUAAUAAGACUUUGUAUUAAACCACACCGACCCAUAAUAUGUUACUAGCAACUCCCAAGUUGAAACCUAAUGAAUAAUAAACAAGAAACCAAAUUGCAAUCGGUGCAGCUUGAAAGAGCCAGUGCCAAGCACAUGUGCCACCUCAAAAAAGGGUUAUUCUUAACAAUCUAUCAAACUCCCUUAUACUCAUUUAAGAAGGGUUGUGACACCUUCGGAACAUUUUUGUGGUGUUCAUUUUUCGAAUUCAAGGGGUUAAUUCCACCGUAACUUAAAGAUUUCUUGGUUAAACUUCAACGUUGUAACAGUAUAAGAAAGCAUUGAUGGUGGGAUGGAACCGGGAUGAGAAUUUUUUUUUUUGUCAGAAUAACAAUACACAUUCCUUCCUUAAGUCUUGUCUUGUGAGUACAACGACACAUCAUCAAAGAAACGUAGACUCCAAAGAUCGGAAGGGGGGUAAAGGGUCCAAUUAUGAGGCAAGGAAUUUUUUCUUUGGGCCUUCGCUAUCCAAUUUGCCACAUUAUUGGACUCUCUAUUACAAUAGGCUAGCUUAAUAUUGGAAAUGUUUUUCAAAAUUUCUUGAGCUUUCAAGAUAAGCAUACGUAUAUUCCACCUGAAAUGAUCAACACUUGUGAGAGCUCUUAUCGCGUCUUAACAAUCUGACUCUAGUUGAAGACAAUCCAUAUCACGAUCAGAGAAGAAAACUAAGGUUUCUACAAAAUCAUUGACCUUGACUUGAGCUGCGAAGCUGACCCUCAGUGUUUUCGCAAAUCUAUCUAUAAUCCUUCCGAGGCUAUCUCGCAACACACCAGCAACCGCUCCAGUUGUUGAACCUUCAAUAAAGGAAGUAUUGAUAUUGAUCUUCAAUACUCCAUAUUUUGGGUUUUGCCAAAUUUGAGGUAAGUUUUGACCUUCAACGGCUUUCCCUUUUCUAGAUUUUAUUCCUCUUGCUUCAUUAUGCACCACCAAAGUUGAGUUCACCAAUUGUUGUGGAUUUGGUUUUAGUCUUCGAAAUAUAAAAUUGUUCCUUGAUUUCCAAAUAAGCCAAAGGAUAGUUGCAAGUUGCUUGAAUGGUACAAAUGUGACACUAAAGUUCAAGAGCAAUUCUUCAAUUCUUGGAAGACCUUGAGUGGGAAUUUUGAUUUGCAGUGAAGGAUCAGACUAAACUUGUUUCGUCCAUGAGCAAAGGAGAAAGAUAGGCUCUACAAUCUCUAGAUGUUGCUGACAUAAAUCAACUCAGGGUCUGGUAUAAUUCUCCUCCUGAAUAGAUUUUUCUUUGUUGGCAAAGCAUUUUGACAUAUCACCCAAAGGAAAAAUCGGAUUUUCGGUAGUGUGUUAGGCCCUGUUUGGCAACAUGCCAAACAAUGACUAAUUCUGAUUUUUUGUUCCCAAAAUCAGUUUGGGACAAGAAUCGCGUUUGGUAAAAUUUUUGUUCCCAAGAACAAUUUUGUUCCUAGAAUUAGUUUUGGAGAAGAUUUGAGAAUAAAAAAAAAAUUUGAUUUUGCGUCUGAGAAUCAGAAAAAGAAUCAACACAAUAAAACCCUUUUUCUUUCCUUCGGCCAUCCCACGACUAUCGCCUGUCGCCGCCCGCCGGAGGCUCGCCCAGCCACCGGCGAGCCUCACCGGGGCUGGGCGAGACCCGCCUGGCCACCAGCUGAGCUCGCCUAGCCUUGGUGAGCCUCGCCCAGCCCCGGCAAGGCCCGCUUGUCCACUGGCAAGGCUUGGCCAGCCCCGGCGAGGCCCGCCUGUCCACUGGCAAGGCUUGGCCAGCCCCGGCGAGGCCCGCCUGUCCACCGGCGAGGCUUGGCCGACGAGGGCCAGCCUCACCGAGGGCCGGCGAUGCUUUGGUGAGGUCGCCGGCCCUCAUCCGGCCGGUCGCCAAUCCGGCGACCGGCCAUAAGAAGAAGAAGAAAAAUAGGAGAAAAAGGAAAAAAAGAAAAGAAAAAAUGAUAAAAGAAAAGGAAAAAAAAAAGGAAAAAAAAAAGAAAAGUAAAAAAGUAGAAACAAUUAUUUAAAAAUUUAAAAAAAUAAUUUGGAACAGAAUCAAUAAACACGUUAUCAAACGCAAUUCUAUUCCAAAAUCAGAAAUUUUAGACAGUUACCAAACACGUGUUUUUACUCAAAAUCAGUUCUCGGGAACAGAAUAAAAAAUAAUCAUUUCUUGUCAGAAUCAGUUCCCGGGAACAGAAUCGUUACCAAACGCGCCCUUAGUCUUCCAAAUUUUAUUCCACAAAGCUCUGGGGGUUUGAUAUGAGGAGGAGGCAUGAUUUGGGUUUGGUUUCUAUAAAAGAUCUCUAUUCCAAUUAUGGCCACUCUUUACUGUGUAGGACUUGAAUUUGGCAUUUAACCAAACCAAUUUGUCUUUAGUGUCGUGUAACCUCAAUGGGAUGGCAAGAAUUUCAUUGACAAUAUGUUCAUCAAAUAGCUGCUUCAAUAUCUGUUCAUUCCACUUUAACUCCUCCUGGACAAUAAACUCAACUACCCUCUUAGGCUCUCCAAUGUUAGCUAGACCACCAAUAAUUCCCCUAUGUAGCAAUUUGUCUUCUUUAAUAUUUAUCUUUUCCCCAUUAGCCAUAGACCACAUAAUGGAAGGAUGGAUAGAUGCUCUCUCCAUUAGUACACUUUGCCACACCCAUGAUGGUCGAUUCCCUUCCCCAGCAUGCCAAAAGUCAUAAUUCGGGAAGUAAAACCCUUUUAAUACUUAAGUCCAUAAUGAGGAUGGGUAUUAAGUAAUUCGGCAUACUUGUUUUUCUAACAUAGCCCCAUUAAAAGUCAUUAGAUCCCUGAAAUCGAGUCCUUCACUAUCCUUCCUCCGUUUUAGCUCAUCCCACUUCCUCAAAUGUAGCCCGGCUUGUUGUUUUACCAUUUUUCCACCAAAAGGAUGCAAUUUUCUUUUAAAUUGCCUUGUAGACAGAGACGGGGAUUUUAAUGCUUGUACCACUACUUUAAUGAGUAUUUCUUUUCCAACUUUUGACAUCAAAUUUUCCUUCCAACCUUCUAGUUUCAUGUUUACUUUGGCUAGUAUCCAGGUAAACUUUGUUUCUUUGAUGCCCCUCAGUCUAAAGGAAUCCCCAAGUACUUCCCUAUCUUCUCUAGUUCAGGAACUUUAAGCUCAUAGGCUAUUUUUUGCCUCAAACUUUGUGGACAAUCCCUACUGAAAUAUACCCAUGACUUGUUUAAAUUAAUUGAUUGCCCCGAAUCAAAGCAAUACUGAUUCAAAAUAGCUGCAACAUUUUGGCAUUCCUUAAUCGUUCCAUCAACGAAAAAAAUUGAGUCAUCUACAAACAAAAGGUGAGACAAUGUGGGGCAAGAACCAUUAAGCUUAAUCCCCUUUAUACUUCCAUCCUCCAUUGCCUUUUUCAUCAAAUAAGAUAACACAUUUCCAACUAGGAUGAACAAGUAGGGGAAAAGGGGGUCACCUUAUCGGAUUCAUCUUGAUGGUCGAAAAUAGGGUAGAGGCUCUCCGUUAGAUACCAUUGUGACCCAUUGCAUAAUCCACUUCACCCAUUGAUAGCAAAAACCCAUUUUUAGCACGCAAGCUUCCAAAAAAUCUCAUUCAACUCGGUCAUAAGCCUUUUGCAUAUCAAGUUUAAGCAUUGCCUAGAACUUUCUCUUUCUUUUUCUUAUUCUCAGCUGAUGUAGCACUUCUUGGACAAUUAAGAUGUUAUCUUGAAUUUGUCUUCCACUCACGAAGGUAUUCGCUCUAUAGAAAUCAAGUUUGGAAAUUAUAUUUUCAAUCGAUUAGCCAAGACUUUUGAUAUAAUCUUAUACACAAAGUUACACAAGCUGAUGGGACGAAAUUGUUCCAGUUUUUCCAAGUUUGGGUUCUUUGAGAUGAGGGAAAUAUGUGUUUUGUUCAACUUUGGGUUGAGAUACCUUGAGUGGGAAAAUUUUUCUACCUCCCUAAAUAUUGCUUGUUGUAGAUCUUCCCAAUUAUGUUGAAAAAACUAACCAUUUAAGCCAUAUGACCCUAGAGUUUUUUUAGAUCCCAACUAGUGAACUGCUUCUAUUACUUCUUCUACUGUCAUUAGCUUUGUCAACAUAUUGUUCAUGUCCUAUCCUACUACGCAUAGGUAUUCUUCUAGUAUUGGCUAGAAAUUUCGAGAGCCAACUAAUUCGAAGAGAUUUCCAAAAUAAUCAAAUGUUUGUUGCUUUACUCUCGAUCUCAUGCUCCUAUACAUCUUCUCCUAUCUCCAUAACCUCUCAAUUUCAUUCUUUAGAAUCUACAACCUCUCUCUAUUAUAAUGUAAGUGUUGGCUAUUGGAGAUCUCCUGAAGUUCUCUCUUGAAAAGGUUUUUCUUUCCAUUAGAGAACUUUGUUUUGCUCCUUUUAGCCUUUUCAACAAGUCUUCAUGCUCCAAUUUCACCGAGUGCCAAACUUUUUUGAUGAUUUCUCCACAUUCCUCACCUUCAAGUAAAAAAACUUCAAAUUCGAACUCUUUUUUCCUUUGUAUUGGCUCGGGAAAAAGAGAUAAUAAAAUAGGACUAUGGUCUAACCCUAUGGCUAGUAAUGCAUAUGCCUUAGCAUUUGGAAAGCAAACUUGCUAGUCCAUAGUGCAUAAAACCCUAUACAAUCUUUCCUUGACAUGAUUAUUUCCAUCCCUAUUAUUUGCCCAAGUGAAAGCACAUCCCUUAUUUUGCAAGUCCAUCAAGGAACAAGCAUUUAGAAAGUCCCGGAAAGCAUUGAGCUGAUAGUGUUCUGCCAUGCGCUUCCCUGCUUUUUCCCCAGUGAUAAAUGAUUUCAUUGAAAUCUCCUAUGCAAGCCCAUGGUAGAUAAUUCAAGAGGCUAAUGUUGUGCAUAUCCUCCCAAAGAACUAGUCUUAUAUGGAAAUCAUUUGGUGCAUGUAUAAAGGUUAGUCACAUUUUCUAUUUUGUUUCCUCUAAUACACACACCAAAUCUAUAAAGAUUUCAGAGUUUGACUCCAUUGUCAUAGAUACUUUUUCAUCCCAAAAAUAAGCCAUACCCCUUACAAUGCCUCUCAGAUUCACCAAAAAACUAUUAUGGAGUCAUAACUACCUCCUUAAACGAAGCACUAUUGAUUCUCAAUUUUUGGUCUCCAUAAGAAACACAAUAUUAGGCUUUUCUUGAGCCACAAGGACUUUGAUUGCUUGAAUUGUCAAGGAAUUGCCCAACCCUUGACAAUUCCAACAUAUCAACUUCAUUUGUAAACCGGUGACUUAUUGGAACUAGCCACCAAAGCCCAUUCCAUUGUUCUUAACACCUCAUGAACAGGUGUAUUCAGUAAUUGAAUCUCAUCUAGUAACUGUGAGUUUGCCAUUUGUGUAUCAUAGGGGCUAUACUUGCAUUUCUUUUUACUAGCAUAUUUAUUGGUCUCUUUAAACUUAUUAUUCUAAGCAACUUUUGGAAGCAUUUACAAAUCAAGGGAGGGAGAGUCACUACUCUUACCUAGAUCAGGCAAAUUGGAAUGAAAGAAGUCCUCACCUUGCUUGGCUUGCGCCUGCAUAAUUAUGUCCCCUUAAACUACACCUUUUCCCUUUUCUGCCUGAAAAUGAGUCGGCUAAGAUACAGGGUGCUGGAUGUCUCUUGUAAAGGGCAUAAUUUGGAGGGAAUGUAUUGGAGUUUUGGGGAUAUAAUCUUCCUCUUCGUCUUCUCCCUUUAACUUCCCAUAAAACGGCUUCAUAAAAGGACUGUGACCUUGUGCUUCGACCUUUAGCCAUUGGCCGUAAAGACACUUUUCCUCAAUUUCAAAGUUUUCCUCUUUGAAUUCCACUUCUUCACAAUCAUUGACGUAAUGGCCCAAUUUACCAUAGGAGUAACAGAAGUUAGGAAGCCUCUCAUAUUUAUAAUCCAAUUAAAGCUUUUUCCCUCCAUUACUGGUAAUAAAUCCAAAUUUUAAGGGGGUUGUCACAUCUAAGAGGACGCUCGCCUUCCCAAUUUUGUGACCAGCAUCACCCUUCGCUUCAACCUUCACAUUCAUAACCAAACCAAGACUUUUAACAAUCCUAACAGCCACUUCUCUGUAAGCCAUUCAAAAGGAAGUCCAUGGAUCUGCACCCAAAAAGUACACAUAUUAAACUCAUAAUGGUGUGGAGGCAUAUCUAGCUCCCAUUUUUUGAGUAGUAAUAGAUGGCUUAAAAAGGACCAAGGACUAAUCCCAUACACUUGUAGUAGAUCUGCCUCCGUCAUAAAUGUAAUGGCAUAUAUUCCAUAUUCCAAAGGGGAGAAGAUUACAUUCUCAAGUCUCCAUGCUCUCCUCAUAGUGUUUUGGAAAGCUAGAAAGUUUAUCUUUGGGCUUUGAAAAUGCUUGCCAACAAGGGUGAGCCUGCCUUCUUUAAUUUUCUUUGUAGGAACCACCUCAUCCAUUGCAGUUAUUUCUAUUCCCGACCGAAGUUUGCCUAAGUGUUUGCUAAGAACUGCUAUUCGCAUUAAUGCUUAAGACCCACUAAGUGCAAUCUAAAGACCCUUUUGAUUUCUGAUAUUGACUUCAGCUUGGGACGUUGUUGGAUGAGUCACCGACCAUAAAAACCCAUUUACUAGACUCUCAGUAGUUGCUCUCAAAAGGCUAGAGUCAGCAAAAAAGGUGAGGCAUCAAGACAAGGAUUUGGGUUUAAGGUCGAUUAGGGUUUAUAGGUUGUUGGGGUUUAACGGAAUUUCCACUUCCUUUGUUGAGAAGGAGCCACUAGUGCAAAGAUGUGUGUUUGUUUUUGUGUGAUUCACAGGGGGUUGAAAAGAAAUGUGACAAUAAAGAUGAGGGUUUUGUGAUCCCUACCAUCACGGGUAGAGGAGAGCUCUUCAAAACGAGAGAGAGGACUUCCAGCAACUGGGAUGAGUUUUGGAACAACCGUCCUUGUGCAUUGCAGAUCUUCAACCGGAAAAUGCAUAGAAUCGCAACAUUAAAUUGAAAUAUAUUUAGGAUCAAUUAUAGUACAAAUUCAAAAUCUAGCAAUCAUAUAAAAUGAGGAAGUCAUGCUCAAAAUAAUGUCUUUUUGCUGAAAAUUAAUUUUUUUUUUGGACUUUAAAAAUUAUAAAAUAACCUUGAAAUUCUUAGUAAAGCAAACAUAAUUUCGCAAACGAUUUAUCGAGUUCAAGUUUCGAGCUAAUUAUCUGUCAAAUAAGGUUGAAAUAAUUGUGUAUCUAUUAUAGAUAACAUUGAGAUUACAAAUAAAAUGUCAGUUUCGUAAUUAACAUAUAAUCAGGUUGGGGCUUGAGUAAGUUGCUACUCAAAACCUGCUCACAUUCCAUUUAAAACAAAGGCGUUUGAGGCUGUUUUAAGCCUAAGUAAGUCCACCUUCUUUCUAUCUUUGCUGCCACUUUUUCUAAUCCAACCAUUGGGGACGCAUCAUUUUUCGCUUAUUUUAUUUUACUACUAACUUAUUUAUGACUUUAUUAGAGUGUUUGGAGAAUAUAAUGCGUUCUCUAUUCUUUAUAAUAUUAUAUUUUAUAUUAUUAAUUUACUUUUAUUUUGAAACCAGGACUGAAAUCCCAGCUGAGCCUAUUUGGGACCGAAGGUCAGACCGGGUCGAUCCCGGUUAUCCGGCUCCUAGGGUUUCACUCACCCCUAGCAACAAGAAGAAAUACAGCUUAUUCGAAGAAACAAUUUUGUUCAAAUUAGUCUGGCAUAUUUGUAAUAAAUUGAACAACUAUCUACUUUGUAAGAAGAACAUAUAAACUUUCAUUUAUUAAUUUUAUACGUUUCAAAGAGGGGGCAUAAAUGAAACGAUUUCUAAUUUUAUGACGAAACAUAACAUAUUAUGCAUAGAAAUUUAUGGGUUAAUCAAGUUAAAGAAAUCUCCCUCUUUAAAGAUUAUGUCGCAAAACACAUAAAUCAUCUAUAAAAAAAUCGAGAGCAAUAAAUAAAUAGGUACUUCAUUUAUUUAAGGGACAAUCAUCAAAUAACGAUAACCAUGAAAUCACAAUAAGGCCCAAUGAAACCAAUCCAACUCCAAUCCAAUGAGCCCAACAAGAACAUAUAAAUCUGCCCUAAUCCUCCAACAUGCCAUCCCAUAUAACUUGUUCCUUCUUGAAGUAAGCAGCAUCACGUCCAACCGUUGCAUCGACUUCUUCCUUAACAGCGACCUUCUCUUCGAUCUCAGCAAGCUUCAUCACAUUGGUAUUCGCACCAACGUUUGCUUCCGUCUUCACAGCCUCUUCCUUCUUCGGAGUCGCAGUCAGUUCGGUCUUUCGAGCCUCGCCGCACGUCUGGCUUGCGUAGCUUCUGGAGCAGCGGCUUUCUACUCUCCAUCUCUUCCCUUCUGUUUUAUAUAUCUUUCUGCUGCAAGAUUUGAACUGUAGAUUUGAAAUGUGCAUGACGGUUUUCCCACUCGAGAACCGUGAUUCAAGAAAAGCUGACGGGCUCUUGCGGUUUUCAAAGGAGCAAUUGAAUUAGUUUCAUUUCGAUGGGUCUAUUUUUUAGGUUCGAGAACUGCAAAGAACAGCACAAUUUAGACUUUGUUCAUUAUUGGUCGGACGUUUUGCAUGCCAAAAGCUUUGGCCGUCGUGAAAACUCAAUUUGAGAAUGACGUUAGCAACACGCAAAAAAAAAAUAUAAAAAAAAUCAACCAAUUAUAAUAACUAAUGGUAAGCUGAUAUAGAUUUGAAGUAAAAGUUAAAACCUUUCUCAAAAAAAUAUUUGCGAGAAGAAUAAGGUAGUUCUUCAAAUUUAUGCCAUCAUAUAUGUCGAGUGGCUAAGUUUCAUUCAGAGUUUAAGUUGGGCAUCAUUACUAUUUUAUUGAAAUGAUACAAUUAAAACUUUGAAUGUAUUGAUUUGAUAUGAUUUAGUCCUUUUGGUGAUGAUCUGCCCAGUUUUGCUGACGUUGCACGCCAAGAAUCUUAAGUGGCGCUUUUUUCAUGUUCUGUUUAUCAAAUAAGAUGAUGAUGUUGAGCCAUGUUAGAAAAAAGUAAAACGUAAAAUCUAAAACAUAAUAAAAGAAAAUUCAAACAUAAAAGAGAAAAGAAAACCCCCAAAAGUAGAAGAAAUAAAAACGAGAGAAAGAGAGAAUGGUACCGAUUUGGGUUCUUUAGUCGUAGUGGUCAACGGCCCUUGCAAAGCCCUUAUGGUGGCUAGCAAUUAAAGCCUAUUUCAUAACAUUUUUGUUUCUCUCUCUUUUUUUUUUCCUUUGUUUCUUGAAAAAGAAAAGAGAAUUACAUUUGUGUACAUUAGUCAAUUUUUUCUAUUCAAUUAACUUUCUCAUGACAGCUCACCACAAGGAAAGUCAUGACAGUAAUGAAUCUCUUGUCGUCGCCGCCACCCUCUCGGCCAUCAAGAAUUCAAGAUUGGUUGUUUCGAGCAAAUAUCUUGAAUUUGACAUGAGUCGAUCCUUAGAAUAUCUCAUUUAAGACAUGAAGAAUUACUAUAGUAGUCCUUUUUCUCUUCUCUUUAGACUUACAGGUAGAAUAGUAUCUUAACUAAGUUAAUAAAUUACUAUAGUCAAUUAAUCAAUUUCGAACUCCAUUUGAAUUCAACACUCCCAUCCACUCAAUUACUAGAAGUCGUUAGUAUCAAAUGGCAGAUUUAAUUUCGAUACCUUGGAAAUAUCAAUAAAUCAUAGGAGUACGAAUAUGCAUAACACACGAGGGAUACUCCGGAUACAUACAUAUCAUGGCAGUUGCUAAUUCAAAUGGGCCGAGGAGCUUACAACUACCACUGAAGAAAUCCAGUCGCGACACCUGCGCGUGACUCCCACGCUUCAACCCCAAGCAAACGUGAUGCUCUCCAAAUUAGGCGGGAAGCGGAAGAGAUCGAAACCCUAGAAUUCAAUUCAUCCCAAGCAGCUUCCCUACAAUCUCUCUCUCUCUCUCUCUCUCUCUCUCUCUCUCUCUCUCUCCGAUAUGGGAAUCAAGGUAGUUUCAGUUCGACCUCCGUCUCCUCCAAUCCGAUUAUUUUCCAUAUGUUGUUCAUCGAGUCUCGUCCACUGAUUUCGAUAGGGACUGACGAAGCUACUGGCGGACAAUGCCCCGAACGCCAUGAAGGAGCGGAAGCUCGAGAGCUACUUCGGCCGGAGGAUCGCCGUCGAUGCCAGCAUGACUAUCUAUCAGUUCCUCGUUAAGUUGCUUUCUAUGGAUUGAUGCCUGUGAUUGCGCGUUUCGGUUUGUCGGUUGGGAUUUGGAUUUUGAGUGUUGGGGUUUUUUGGUUCUUUUGAUUGGUGGAUUAGGUUGUGGUUGGGAGGAAGGGGACUCAGAUGCUCACCAACGAGGCUGGUGAAGUCACCAGGUACACUGGCAUUGUGAUACUCCAUAAAAAUGAAAAUCCACUUUUGAUGUGAUCUUUGUGCUUGGAAAGUGUUUGAGUUUGAGCUGCUUUCCCGUGCAGUCAUCUGCAAGGCAUGCUUUACCGGACGAUUAGGCUGUUGGAGGCGGGGAAAAUGUCUUCUUUUUCACUCACACAUAUGCUUGUUCACUUGUCUAAUGUCUUCUUCUACGUAGUCAUUUACAUUCGGUAUGUUCUUUACUAAGCCCUUUGUCCAAGGGAUUUUUGCUGAUUUUGAAUUCCUAUCAUUGCUUAAUUGUUGUGUGGUAACCAGAAUUCAUCUACCAUGAAUGGUGCUUUAGCUGUAAUAUUUGUUUUUCAGGUUUAUGCCGUUGCUUCUGAAGACAUGGAUUCCCUUACUUUUGGAGCUCCUAUAUUUCUUCGCCAUAUUAUGGAUCCCAGCUCAAGAAAAGUCCAGUCAUGGAAUUUGAAAUUUCCAAGGUACUUAGAAAAGUUUAUUCAUUGUGAUUGCUUAAAUUUUUUUCUCUUUUUCCUGACUUUUAGAUCUUGGAGGAGAUGAAUCUGGAUAUGGAUCAAUUCAUUGACCUGUGCAUUCUCUCUGGAUGUGAUUAUUGUGAAAGCAUUCGAGGUAGACGUGAUAUUGUUGCAGUGCUCUGUUAACUGUUUUAUUCUAUCGCAUAUUUCCCUCUUGUAUUUUGGCUUGAUGAUUUCGUUGGCUUUACUUUGGAAUGAAUUUAUCAGGUAUUGGAGGGCUGACUGCUCUUAAGCUUAUCCGUCAACAUGGUUCCAUAGAAAACAUACUAGAGAAAAUAAACAAGCAGAGGUGCUUCUUAUGCUUUUAUUUUGUCCCCUGACUUGUAAGCAAAAGUAGGCAGCAAAGUUUCUCACUGUAAUUGUCUUGGCUGCUGAAUUCCUUGACUUAAAAGAAUUAUCUCUCAAACUCAGCUGGCAUGGAAAUAUUUGGUCAACAAUUUGAAACUGAAAGAUCAAUUGCCACCAAUAGAUUUGGGCUGUCAAUCAGUGCAUCGGCCAUGCUAUUUCAUGUGUUGAUUUACUACAAUACUUUUAUCUAUUCUGAUGUCUGCUUUGUCUGUUCCUUCAUCUCACUUGAACAAAAUCAUACUGUUUCUCUAUCCUUAAGACCCAAAGGUUCUUUGCAUUACUUGGAAGUCUUUAUUCAGUUCAGUUGUCCUUCUUAAGGAAAUGUUUGCUUGUUUUUUGAAUAGGUAUCAGAUACCAGAUAAUUGGCCCUACAGCGAAGCUCGACUGCUUUUCAAGGAACCAAUAGUUUCUACGGAAAAACAGCCUGAGAUAAAAUGGACUGCUCCAAAGGAGGAGGUUGGCCAUUUUCAUGUUGGGAUUUACUUGCAACAUUUCACUUUUUGAAUUUUUGACUCGUUUCCUAACUGAUUGUUAUUUCCCUUUCAAGGGCUUAAUUUCUUUCUCGUGAAUGAGAAUGGGUUCAACAUUGACAGAGUGACGAAGGUAUGGCUUUUAUCUUCAGUAAUGUGUUGGUCAGUUGCCUACCGGAGGAAGUUGCUUCUUUUCCUCUGAAGGAGAGAGCAUACAUGUUUUCAAUGUUGUUUUACCAUGUGUAUCGGGCAAUAGAGAAGAUUAAGGCAGCUAAGGAUGAGUCAUCACGAGGCCGUUAACUAAAGCGUGAACAAAUGAAAGUGACUUCCAAAUCUUAUCCCAUGAUUCCUUUCGUUUAUUCUCUACAGAUUAGAAUCCUUCUUUAAGCCAGCGCGGAAUCUGUCUGUACCUGCUAAGAGGAAGGUAUGUCAUCUUGACAUCUUUGAGGACCGAGCACCUGGAAUUUUCCUUCUUUUAGUGUAUGUGAGGUGUAAUAUCACACAUUGCUCUAGUGAAGAGAUGUCUUGAGAUGCUUCUUAUGAUGGAUUAAUAGUAAUCUUUUUAACUCACUUUGUAAGCCUUUGAUUGCCCUAACAGUGCACAAAUUUUCAGAUCUUUGUGACCAUUUUAAACUUAGGUAGUAUGUUGACAUUCCCCUGUUGCUUAUGCCCGAUUACUCUAAUAUAACUUUACUGAUGUGCUAAUGGUGUUGCAUCACCCUGUUUAUGAAAUCGAUUAGAUAAACAAAAGCGCCAGUGUGCUUAUACGGAUCUGUUAAGAGUUUCGGCCUGAUUAACUAUUGUAAUUGCACUGGAUGACAGGGAAGCAAAUGCACACUUCAAUCCCCCAAUCUGGCGAUCAAGCCUAAGACAUUCUCUACACAAGUCUCUGUAAAUCCCCAGCCCAGGUUCCGUGGCAACGUUAAAAUGCCCACCAUGGUCCUGGGUUUGAGAAACUUCAAACAACCAUUGAGAGUUGUCUGCCUCCCGACAUGGAUCUAAAUGAUGGUGAAUGUAAGAACCCUAUUCAUUGAGCAAGUCCUGACUUGUCGAUGCUGUUUUUGCCUGUAGUUGGAAACAAGUUGAUGCUUUCCUUUCCUUAAAAAUGGAUCAUGUCUUAUGGUACUGCAAUUUUGGGAGAGAGCUGUAUAAAUUUUAAUUGGAAGGAUGAAGUUUGCCCUCCAUGCUAGAUCGAAAGGGGUACAUAUUUUUGGGCAGAGUGCAUAUUUGUGUUCCUUUUAUAGUGUGUAUAUGCUAUCCUAAGGAUUCCAUUUCUUCCUUGGAUUGUACAUUUAACAGUACGUAUAUAUCACUUAUGCUAAUUGUAUGUUAUUGUCAUCCAUGCACCAGGAAACCCCUAAGAAUAUUGCCUCCAGGGCCGGUGGUGGUAAGAAGAAAAAUAGUUUAGUCGGCAUGUAACAGAUCAUGGAACACCAAAACCAUCGACUUCUAAAACACAAUGAGGAUGUAACAGACAUACUUUUCAAAUCUAUUUCUUUUCCUGCUAAUGCACUUCAAAUUUAUUAAAAGUAAUUUUUUUCAUGUGUAUCUUUGUGAAUAUUUAGUUUUUAUUUACUAAUUUUCCAUUUCUAUUAUUCUAACUCGCUAGAUAUGUAUGCUCUACAAAAUCCACCUUUUGAUUCCUUGAUAUGAAUCAAUAGAAGAAAUUUGUUUAUUUGAAAAUAUUUUAUUGUUUUAUAUUUCAGAGACAUUUUAAAUUAGAUAUCUGUGUAACCUUAAAGUCGGACUUUUUAGAGUUAUUUGUACAUAUUUACGUGCUAGUUUAAUAUAACUAAACCUGAAUACUAUCAUUUAGUAGCAAAACAUAAUUAGGUCAUUCAUUGUACUUUUAUGUAAAGAAUAUAUAAAUGGAUAACCAAUGUUAUUUAUAAAUGUAUCUCAAGAUAUAUUCUCUUUAUUUUUUUCUUAAUUUUAAUUUUAUAAUAGUAAAAAUAAUAAUUAUAAUAGAUGACGGACCGUGUAGGUUUCACCUUGACAGUAAAGGAAAUUUCCAAGGAUUUUUAUUAGGUCAACUAACAAUGUGAAACCUUACCAAUGAUAUGAUUUCAAUUUACUUAUAUACAUCAUACAAAUACAAACAAAAUAAAUCCCUAACUAAUGAUAGGAUUCUAGUUUACUUAUAUACCAUACACACCAAUAAUAUAACAUAACCAAUCAAUGGUAGGAUUUGAGUUUCUUAUAGAUGUUGCGCAUACUAAUAAAACAAAUUACCUAAUUAAUGAUAGGAUUGCACUUUACUUACAUACAUUACAAGUUAAUAGCAUGUAUGAACCUAUACGAAUUAGUUGGUAUGUAGGUUCACAUAUCAUUCUUUCAAACCCCAUAAGCUCCUAAACUCCUCCAUAUGCAUAUCCAUUUUAAGCUUGUUUCAUCUUUCCAACCUCUAAUUUUCGCAUCCUAAUUUUGCCAUUCUCUCUCCCCUAAUGGUGGUUCCAUAUGUUUUUAUGGUAUGACUUCAGGUUUGGGUGCUCUUCCCAUCGCCUUCCUCUUGAGAUGGAAGUCGAUGAGCUCUGCAUUGGUUGGGUCGACUAGAAAGCUGCGGAGAAGAGCUUCUAAUUUCUUUGCGAAACCCAAAUGUUCUCAUGCCGUAAUCCCAUGAAGAGUUUCUUCAGAGACCACAAUCAACAACCCGCAUAGCAUCAUGCAAACAACUCAGCCGCGCCAAGACCAGCUCUGUGUCAUUCAAACAUUUUAACCUCUCAAACACCAACCAAGCAACAACAGAGUAAACCAUAACAAAGGUAGUAACAUCAAACAUCAACUCCACAUUUGAUGCAAUUUACUUUGAUGUUGCUGAGUUGGUGUUUGAGGGGUUGAAUUGUUUAAAUGAUGCUGAGGUGGUUUUGGCAAUGCUGAAUUGUCUGCGUGAUGCCGUGCAGAUUUUUUAAUUGUUGUCUCUGAAGAAACUCGUCAUGGGAUAACAACACAAGACAACAGUCGUAUUUCACGUUGACAUUAAAAGAUAUUCGUCAUUGGUUUCUUGCUAUGUUUUCAUGCACGCGGACAGUUCAUGCAAGGAAGGAAUGAAUACAAGUUAUGUGUAUGAGACUGACAUUGCAAGCUUCCACACCUGCUUCAUUCUUUCUUGGUGGGGCUGAUUGUCUAGUUGCCCUUUUUAUUCUCUCUUAUUUGUGGAGACUGUAUCAGUGUGUAGCCUAAUUCUUGAGAUCUCUUCCUCCUCGUCAGCCUAAGUUGAAGUUUGUUGCCUUCAGCUUCAUUUUUUUAGGUCGUUGGAAGCCUAAUCCGCACCAGAAGACAAAUAGUUUGGCUCCGCCUCCACGUCCUUGCAGUGCUCCUCACAGUCUCUCGUCUCCGAGAAGCUUGCACUACUCUGCGACGUAUGAAGUCGUUAAGUCUCUGGGACGAAGUCAUUCUUGGUUGAUAUCAUAUGCCGAGCUUUGCAAUCUACUACUUUCUAUAUACCUUAUCUUCAUAGAGAAGUUAUUAGGCGGUUCCGCUCCACCACGUGAGCACAGUCCCUCUCCACCCUGUGAGUAACGCUUGGAGCCACGUCAACGGGUGUUCCUACUGGGAAAGAUCUUAAAAUUCUCUGUAUUGCGAAUUGUUAGGUCUCCCUCUUGUGAGGAACGAAGAAACUCUCUCUCUCUUCUUUUCAAAAUUCACUGUCUCGCCUUUGCUCCCAAUCUGCUGCAUUCUCCGACGCAUCACCUCUGCUGUCCUCUCCAGGAGGCCUGUCAGCAGCUCCGAUUUGUCGUCUAUGUCUAGCAAGCUCAAGUCUGCUGCAUUCUCUGCCACAUUGCCGCUGCCCUCCGGUGUAGAACAGCAUCAUGACGAUUUGCCAUGAUCAUUCUGUAGUGGAUUCUGAACAAUAUCGUGCUUGUGCUGUUGUAGAAACCGGGAGCAAGCUGUGCACAGUAUGCACCGCCAUAUAUAGUUCUUCAGUUCGUCAGGUGCUCUCGUACUCUGCGCCUCUCCCGCAUCAGCUCCUCAUUAUAGUAGACAAUUGUGCAAACAGUACUGUUUCUGAGUAGGUCUGGAUAUUGGUCCUUGAGUGGCUAGCAUUCCUAGCUGUGUUUUCAGACUAAAAAACGGGCAGAUACGAUCCGUAGAAUCUAUUCCUCUUUUCUUAUCCAUGUAGAAUUAUGUAUCAGGUUCCAAAACAACAUACAAGAAUGUCAGAAGAUGGAGUACAUAAGAUGACCUUUGUGUAAGAACAAUGAUGUGAUUUCUCUAAUUCCUUGUUUUCCAACAAUAUAAUGUGAGUUCUUGGCAUUACCGUUUACACAUUUUGUUUCAUAGAUGAUGCAGGCAACCAAUUACGUAGCCUCCUGCUUAGGCAGAAGACGUGCAGUAUGGUAUGACUCGAAACAUAAAUUUAAAAAAACAAAAAUGCUGAUCUGAGUGACAUUUUUCCCUGGAUAAAUGUAAAACGUAGGAGGGAAAUGAUGAAGAUGGUCCAAUGACAGCUUACCGGGUUCUUCUAUCUCAUUCUUCCCUAUGAGUGGUGAUGCAUAGGAUCGAUUUUCUAGCAGAUUCUCCUCUCCUCCGUUAUUCCUUUAUACAUGUAUAACUUAUCUACCCAAUAGAUACCCCCAAUCUAUCUCUGUGGCAUCAAGUUGUAAAGUAGGAUAAUUGUUACUUAGCAUUUGCAUUACUACCCUCUAGAAAGAAAGAUUUUGAUUGCCUAUAUCAAAGUGCCCGUUUGUUCUUUGAUUCCAGAUAUGCCAGAGAAGCACGAUUGAUAUUACAUUGUCCAAAUGAAGGAUUACUACCCUCUAGAAAAGUUAAAGAUAGUCCAAUGACAACUUCCAGGUUCUUCCAUCCCAUUCUUUCUUCCAUACAAGUUGUGAUGCAAAUUAUGGAUUUUCUAGAAGAUUCUCCUCUCCUCGGCUAUUUCUUUAUACUCUGUGGCAUCAAAUUAUGAAGUAGGACAACUGUCACUUAUCAUUUGCAUUACUAUCCUGUAGAAAUAAAGGUUUUGAUUGUCUAAAUCAAAGUACCUAUUUUUUCUCUGAUUCUAGAUAUGCCAGAGAAGCACACUUGGUAUUACAUUACGCAAAUGCAGUGGUAAAUACCAAUUUCAUUUGGUAUAGAAUAUCAUCAUCACCAUUUACCAUGAUCAUUAUGUUGUGUAUUCUGAACAAUAUUGUGCUUGUGCUGUUGUAGAAACUAGGAGCAAGCAGUGCACUAUCUGCACUACCAUAUGUAGCUUCUUCAGCUCGCUAGCUACCUUCAUACUUUGCAACUCCUCCCGUAGCAGUCCUACUUACGGUGUACUCACAACAGCAUACGUUGUGACAGCUCCUGCAUACCCAUCGUAUCCACCAUAUCCAGUGACGUACCCACCUCCACCACAUUUUCCCCAUCCUCCAACAGCCGACGUGCGGACCCCUGGAGUGCCUUAACUUUGGCCAAAGGGACACUUAAGUGCUAUAACUUACGAAAGGUACACUUAAGUACCAAAAUCGGAGUAAAAUGGAUCACUUGAGUGCCAAUCUGGCCAAAAUUCGGUGAAAAUAUCGACGUGGCAUUUUUCCGGCGAAUCGAGCCCAAAACGACAUCGUUUUGCACACCGACGUGGCCAAAACGGCGUCGUUUUGGGCUGACAUGGUAAAAAAAAAUUUAAAUUAAAUUAAAUUUAGUUAAAAAUUUUAAAAAUAAUAAUUUUAAAAUUAAAUUUAGUGAAAUAUAAAGUAUCNNNNNNNNNNNNNNNNNNNNNNNNNNNNNNNNNNNNNNNNNNNNNNNNNNNNNNNNNNNNNNNNNNNNNNNNNNNNNNNNNNNNNNNNNNNNNNNNNNNNCCAGGAGUCUCGUCAGCGGCUCCGAUUUGUGUUCAGCAAGCUCAGAUCCGUUGUAUUCUCUGGCGCAUUGCCGCUGCCUCUGGUAUAGAACAUUAUCAUGACCAUUUACGAUGAUCAUUCUGUAGUGGAUUCUGAACAAUAUUGUGCUUGUGCUAUUGUAAAAAUCGGAAGCAAGCUGUGCACUGUCUGCACCGCCAUAUGUAGCUUCUUCGGCUCCUCAGGUGCCUUCGUACUUUGCACCUCCUCCCACAUCAGCUCCUCCUUCUAGUACUCCAUUUUGCUAACAAAACUGUUUUCAAGUUGUUUUGGAUUUUGGUGUGGCUAGCGUUCUUAUCUUAGUUGUAUUUUCCAUUGUUAGGCCCCAUAAGGUUCUUUCUUAGAGCUUGAACAAUAUGGCCUGGACUCCUUAGACUAAAAAAUAGGCAAGUACGAUCCGUAAAAUCUAUUUCUCUUUUCUUAUGCAUGUAGAAUUAUGUAUCAGCUUCAAAAGCAACAUACAAGAAAAAAAUGUGAGAAGAUGGAGUACAUCAGAUGACCUUUGUGCAAGAAUAGUGGUGUGAUUUCUCUAAUUCACUUGUUUCCCAGCAAUAUAAUGUGAGUUCUUGGUAUUACUAUUCACACAUUUUGUUUCAUAGAAUGAUAUAGGCAGCCAAUUACGUAGCCUCCCGUUUAGGCACAAGAUGUGCAGUAUUGUAUGACUUGGUACUAAAAAAAAAAAAAAAUGCUGAUCUGAGUAACAUCCUCCCCUGGAUUAACGUAAAACAUCUGAGGGAAAAGAUGAAGAUAGUCCAAUGACAGCUUACCGGGUUCUUCUAUCUUGUUCUUUCUUCCAUAUGAGUUGUGAUGCAUGUGAUGGAUUUCCUAGCAGAUUCUCCUCUCCUCGGCUAUUCCUUUUUACGUGUAUAACAUAUCGACCCAACAGAUGCCCCCAAUCAAUCUCUGUGGCAUCCAAUUAUGGAGUAGGACAAUUGUCACUUAUCAUUUGCAUUGCUAUCCUCUAGAAAGAAAGGGUUUGAUUGUCUAAAUCAAAGUGCCUUUUUUUUCUCUGAUUCCAGAUAUGCCAGAGAAGCACGCUUGGUAUUGCAUUACACAAAUGAAAUGGUAAGUAUCAAUUUCAUUUGGUAUGAACAUCAUCAUCACCAUUUACCAUGAUCAUUCUGUAGUGGAUUCUGAACAAUAUUGUGCUUGUGCUAUUGUAGAAACCAGGAGCAAGCUGUGCACCAUCUGCACCGCCAUAUGUAGCUUCUUCUGCUCCUUAGCUGCCUUUGUUUUGCACCUCCUCUCGCAUCAGCUCCUCCUUGCAGUGCACUUGCCACAGCACACCUUGCGACAGCUCCUGCAUACCCAUCGUAUCCACCAUAUCCAGUGAUGUACCCACUUCCGCCACAUUUUCCCCGGCCUCCAACGGCCUAUCCUCCUCUAGCAUACCCUCCUCCCCCUUCGGCUUAUCCUCUGCACCCAUCUCCACCACCUCCCAGCCCACCUGGUAUGCGCCAAGUUUCAACCAUUGUGCAUGAAUUACCUAAUUAUUAGGUUGAUUCUAUGUUGUUCAUUGCCGAGUGUAGUUAGUAGUUCAUUUCUCAGGUCCUUAUUUGGGGCAUUAUCCUCCACGACCUUGCUGAGAGAGAGCUUCUACUAGAAGAAAGGUCAAAGGUUCCGCAGGAAGCUGCUAUUGUAUAGUCAUGUAAUAACGUUGUCAAACACUGGAAGUUCUCUUCCUUUGACCUGGAAACUUUUCUUUGUUUUCUAAUCUUAUUUACUUGUCAAGAGGUGUUUGUAUAUCAAAUUACCUUCAUUGUAAACCGUGGCAUCUUCUGCUGGUUCCAUUUUUUUUUUUUUAUAAUGAACAAAGUCUGCAUACAAUCUAAAUAUCUUGCUAGCUAAAGAGGGAAAGCCAAUUUUAUUUGCAAAUAGCUAUCAUAAGCAGUAGGUGUAAGAGCGCAGUUACAUUGUGCAUAUUUGCAAACGACCUAGUGCAAAUUGCUAAAUCUUUAAGUCAUAUGUAAGUCAAAAUCUAUUUUGCAGUUCAUUUGCAUUAUUCGCCUUAGUUUCUGUUGGAAUUGAUGACUCAAAUCACGCUGCCUCUCAUAUCUUACAUUUUUAAAAAGAAGCUAAAGCGAACUGCCAAGAUAGUUACAACACCACGGAAGAGAGAAUUCGCAUGACAGGCUUUCUAUUCACGAGUCACCAUAACAAAUUUUGAUGGGCCUCAACAAGUAUAUAAUCAAAUGAACUCAAUCCCCAACAGUUCUUUCGCAAGAGAAAAGAAAAAAAACGUGAGAAACAAUCUAGACGGGUUUGAUUUUGAAAGUGUAAUAUUAUUUAUGUAACAUAACCAUAGCCUCUACUUUGCCUAUAGUAACAUUACACAUUCAAAUGAUUGCUAAAGUUCCCAAUUCUCUGCAAAAUGUGUCCCGUCAAAGUAAAUUUGAAAUCUAAGGAGAAUAUACUUGCAAUGCCUUCUUACUCGGUCCUUUUGAUAACUUCUACUCCCUCGCAACAAAAAAGAAAUAUUGUCAGCACCUGGCAUUUUCACAUGGAAAGUCACGAAAAUGACAAAAGAAUCUUCAAUUGACAUCUCUAUGGUAAUCAAUCAAGAACAAGUCGAUCUCUUGUGACAUUGAUAAUGAUGAUCAUAUAUAGAACAAUUGUUGUUAGAUUAAUUCCCCUAAAAAAGAACAAAACUCACUUGGAGAAGUUAUUUGAUAAGUAUGCAUCUUAGAGGUGAUCUUUCUGCACCAAGCAAUCUCAAAGGUAGACAUGGACUCUAUACAAUCCUGUAGGUCCAUCUUCGAGUUUCAAGCCCUCAACAAGAAUAAUUUCCUACAGCUUUAAUGUAGUGUCAAUUUCUUGAGCCUAGACUUCAUAUGAGAAAGCCAUUUUUUGAAUCCCAUGACCUCCAUCUUUGUGUUUAAUCGAUAUGAAUUAACCCUUAUGAUUGAGGCGUUUCGGAAAGCCAUUGGGGUAGGCAAUGCUUCCCUAGAUUUCAUUACUGCUCCUAUUGGUCAAGAUUCAAUCUCUCUGCUAAGUCAAUUCCUGAAUAUCCCUACCAACAAAAUUAGGGCUAUUCUUAAAGGAAAUUCAAAUUCCAUCCCAUAUUCAUUUCUUGAACAACAUCUUCUUAGCCUAGAGCCUAAAUCUGGGAACCGAAUUUCUCGUGUCUUUCUUCUCAUAUUCUUUGAUUUUGUGGUGUUCCCGCGUACUCGAAGAACAAUGGAUCCUUUAAUCACUGAUAUUGUCAAUCAAGUGUGCACAUUUAGUUGCUCUACACACAUGAUGCUCAUCAAAAAUUUUGUGUCUCUUAAUUGUUUCAAAGAAAAUAGCCAAGGAACACUUAGAGCCCUAUUAGGAUUUCUCCAAAUUUGGCUCUUUUCGCAUAUGAAAGAAUUCGCCCGUCACAUGAGGAUUGUUGAUGUCACGAAAUAUCAUCAUCAUAUUCUUAGAUUUCAUCAAAGAAAUGAAUUCUUUCCAUCAUGAUCUUUCUUUAUAUGAUUCCAUUUUCUCAAGAACCUCCCCCUAGCUUAAUUUAAUGGCAUGUCCAAUGGCUUGGGAAUUCUGAGGUGCGCCUUGUUAGUGGAGUUGACAACCUACUACCCCUUGUGGGAUUAACGAGUUUAACGUUGUAUUACCCUUCAAGGGUGCACUGCUAAUAUUGUGCGCUUCAAACGAUCCUGCCAAUCCUCAAGCUCGGGUUAUAUCAUAUUGAUUAUCACAAUAAGGUCAUUGAGGAAAACCAAAUUGGCCAUGUUGAAGCCACGAUUUGAGUUGCCAUCGGAAUUUGGUACUCCAAUUCCUCACAUUACAUGGUCACCAUAGAUGAAGCCGACUUGGAGGGAGAAAUGAGGACUCAUCUUGCUACCAUUGAUUAUAUCUACCAUCAAGGGGAACCUGAGAUUGAGGUUCAAUCGCCUGAUAUUCCUGAGCCUCAAGGUUUUCGACAAGCUCAUAUUGAGGAGCAUGAAGACGAAGCUUUGAUCGAUAAGGAAUGCUUGACCCAUGAUAACAAGUGUCUCUGCACGAUCCCAUCUAGUCUUUAGGCUUUUUAUUUGAUAUUCUUCUCUUGUAAAGGAAUUCUUUUAUUACUUCCCUCAUUUUCAUCGAGAUUUCCUUGUAUUUAUUUUUAUAUUACAUGUAAAAUUGAACCACUUUGUAAGCUUCAAGAAUGCAACGUCCUGUUUCCCUUGUAAUUGUUUGAAGUAAUUAAUAAAAAUUCAUGAAGAUUUUCAUUCUUAUGUAAUUUUUAGAAAAGGGGCAUUCAAAUUAAAUAUUUGUCGUCAUCCUUUUCAAUUGUAAUACUUCUUUUGAAGAAAUUUUGAUGAUGGAAUGUUAUAUAAUACUGGGAUUACAUACGCUUCUUAUCACUAUUUCGUCUUAAGAAAAUAUAAAAUCGAUAAGGUUUUGUAUUUUGUGGAUUUCUCUUGACUCAUGUACUAAGUGGAGUUCUUUUUCUUCAAAGGUAUUGAAAGACAGCUCAGAAACGGUCUAUUAUACGUACUCGCUACCAAGCAAGAAUGCAGAACGAACAUAUCUGCUCUCGCGUCAUUAACAUGGAGAACUAAAUGGUGUAAAUGAUGGCGCUAUUAGCCGAUCUCUCUAAUCAAGUAAAAAACUUAACAUCUGUAGCUCUUGCUACUCUUAUUGCACCUACUGAUGUGCCGGUAACUGAACCUGUGGAAAAAGGACUUGCUGAAGAAGUCCCUAUUGCUAUCCCAACAAUUAUUAAUCUAGAGGGUCCGUUUAAGGAGAUCCCGACUCCUUAUUUUGAUGAAGAAGGUUCAAGACAUCUUGCGAAAAUCAAGGAACGCCUUUGCAUGUUGUAAGACUACCAACUUCAGGGGUUCGACAAGCUGUCACCCUUUGCUAAAGUGAAGGUUCCCGAAUUCUACAAGGAGCCUAUAACGACAUUGAGUGCCCAAAGACAUAUCUGAAGUACUAUCUGGGCAAGAUGGCUUGUUAUUUUGACAAUCCUCCGCUCCUUGUCAACUCAUUUUGAGAUAGCUUGGUUGGUCUUGCGCUAACGUGGUUUAUCGAAUUGGACUUGGAAAUUAUCCAUACUUGGGAAGAUCUUGCUGACAAAUGCUUGCAACAAUACAAGUUCAACACCGAAAUCAUCACGACUCGAGAGGAGUUGGUUUGGGUCGAGAAGAGAAGGACUGAAACCUUCAAAGCCUAUACUUAAAGGUGGAGAACCACGAUGUCUUAAGUGAAACAACAUUUGUCUAAGAAGGAGGCUAUGAAAUUGCUGGUUCAAGCCAUGCCUCGGGACAUUUUCGAAAAAAUGUAUAAUCACACUUGUAUUAACUUUGCUGCGUUGAUGGAGUUGGGUGAACGCAUUGAAGGGAUCAUGCAAGAAGGACGGUUGAUUGAGACGAAUUGCAGGUAUAUCCUAAAGAAAGAGAAUGAGUCAACUGUGGAGAUUGCCUAUAUACAAAACCCCACUUCUUAGAAAAUGUACAAUCCUUUUGCUCGCAAAUCUGCUAUGGAAGUUGGGAAUUCUUCCCAAACUUCGAUUGCAAAGUAAAAACAUUGCAAAGACAAUUUACUCCAUUGCCUAGACUUAUGUCUUAACUACUUUUGAUGUUGAUCGAAAGCCAUUUGGUAGUGAGAGAAAUCCCGAGGGAUAAUCCGCCAAAAUUCCCUAGGUUUGACCUUAAUAAGACUUGUGAAUAUCAUAUGGGCGAGAAAGGACAUCAUGUGGAUAAUUGCUACAUCCUCCGUUCAAAGAUCCAGAACCUGCUGGACAAGAAUCUGCUUACAUUCAAAGACUCAAUGCCGAAUGUUCAACAAAAUCCCCUCCUAAAACAUGUAGAGGAUGUCAAUGUAAUUUUUGGGGAUGAUGACAAGUAUCCACUUCUGAUGGAUAUGCAAAAGUAGGAGCAAAUUAUGUCCUUCGUUGAUCGCCAAUUGAGAGGCGACAUCACUCGUGAUGAGAAGAUGGCUUGCUUAGGAAAGAUGGUUGAGUUGGGAAUCCUUCAAUAUGAAGAUGGUGAACUUGCUCAAGGACAGAUGUCUUUAGUUGAAGUUGAUUUAUCUAGUAAAGAGAUAAUCUCAACGGUCAUAAAACAUGCUGAGAACCUAAGCCAGGAUGAGACUCGAAAGGAGGAUCGUCAAGCCUUGAAAGGGAAAGUCUUUAUGUACUAAGAUUUUGACACCAAAAGCUAAUAUGAACAUCGAACUUCUAGCAUGGACCGUGAGUUCAUUAAAAGGGCUCACAAGAGUGGUGAAGUAGUUGAUAUCUUUGGCCAACCAAGUGGAAAUUAUGACUUCAAGGUGAAGGUCACACCAUCACUGAGUUUUUUUGUUGAUGUAAAGGACAUUGUCCCAAGUGGAUGGGAUAAUGAAGAGGACCUUGCUCCAACUUCAUCGAAGAAUGAAGAAGCCCAUUAUGAUGAAGAUGAUGAAGAUGAUGAAGAUGAAUACAACACCUCCCAUUGGUAUUGAGAGUUUGUAAGGAAAGCCCACGAGAAGGGUGAAGUAGUGGAUACCCUUGAGCAACUAAGUGGGAAUUAUGACUUUAUGGUCAAGCAUACUCCUUCUCCGAGUUAUUUCUGAAACCCCAAGGACAUCAUCCAUAGUUGAUGGGGAGAUGAAUUCGAUGGUGACUUUGUAGCUAUGAUUGAGUCGGUUGUAAUUGAUCUAACCAAAGAGGAUGUGGCAUCCGGGAAUUUCGACAACCCGAAAUAUUAAUUUUGAGGGAAACGAUAUUUGUCUUUGAAUGGCCAUAGGGACAAUUACAUCAUCGGCCACGAUAUUUUAUCUCUUGGACCGAACCCCCUAUGAAAAUGUUAAUUGAUUAUGGGAAUGUUAAUUGAUUUUUAUAAUAAUAAAAAAUCAAAAUCAAAUGCCCUAAAGUGGUGUAGGAAUUAUGGGCUUAUUAUUGAUAUUUUUCUAUGGGCUAUUUAAAUUGGACAUGGGACAACUUGGCCCAAAAUUUUCGGGCCCAAAGCAGGCCAAGAGGCCCAAACCGUCGGCCCAUGGAGGAGAACCGGAUGGAGGCCACGCCACCUCCUCCAUUUGUCCUCUUGAUGCAGCCACUUGUCUCCUUGUUGAAGCCACUUGUCCUCCUCUUGGAGCCAAGUGUCUCAUGCAUGCAAAACCUAAUGAUUACAAGCAAACAAGAGUAUAAAAGGAAAGGGGAAGGGGGCGGAGCAAUCGAGAGAAAGAGAGAGUGAGAUCGAGAGAGAGAGGAGGAGAGUUCGAGCGAGAGAGAGAGGGGCGAGUGCGGGUCGCGAGGGGGAAGAGGAAGGCCGUCUCCUGCCUUGUCUUGCUGUGUUUCCUUCGAAUUUGAGGCAAGUGAAGUCCUAAAACCUACUCUUUGUAUUGCUGUGUGUAUGUGUAGUAGAUGGUAAGUCUUGAUUGUGGUAGAUGGGAUGAAAUUUCGGAGCUAUGGAGAGAGAUUCGUUGGUCAUGCAUGCUGUUUCUGGAAAGACCAGUUUGACCAUCUUUGAGUUUGUGUGUUGCAUGCGACUUUUUAGUCGGAAUCUUGUUUCGAUUUCUUCAUGAAAUUUAUAGAAAAUACCUUGAAGAAUACUAAAAUUUGAGGCAAAACGAACAAGAAAUGGUUAGUAAAAUGAUUUUUCUUUGGAGAGACUAGAUCUGGAAUUCGUCGUGAUGACCUUCAGUGGUUUCGUGGUCUGUAAAAAGUAACCUUCUUGUUGAAAUUUCACUUUGAAUUAUUAACGAAAGUUGUAAAGGACAUCCUGAGGUUUAACAUAUCAAAAAUUUAGAGAAAAAAGAAGAAGAAUAGGUAGGUGAAAUCGUGGUCCUUUGGAGAUGGUUAGAUUUGGAAAUUUCGAUACUAGGAACAGAGAUUUUAACCGACCAUAUUUAAUUAUCUAGAACGAAUUUGACUUCAAUGUCUUCAUGAAAUAUCUACCUUAUGGUCUUGUAUAUCACAUAUUCAAAUUUCAUAAAUUUUUAGGUUCAUUUGGGUAUUUAAUCGAAAAUGUUUCUAAAACUGUGCAAUCUGAUGUGUUCGGACUUUGUAAGUUGCAAUGCAUGGACUAUAUCGUUUUGUAUGAGGUUAUUUUUGAAACAUGUUCUGCAUGAAAUAUCUCUCUUCAUGUAUUCCCUACAACAUAUUCAAAUUUAAUAAUUUUUGAAGUUCAUUUUCCUAUUUAACCAAAAAUGUUUCAAAAACUGUGCAAGUUGAACUGUUAGAAUAGUAGUGCUGCAUGGUCUAUACCGAAUUAUAUGGGGAUAUUUUGGUGUAUUGUUCUGCAUGAAAUAUCUGGAUUUAUGUCUUAACUAUCACAUUUUCGAAUUUCAUAAUUUUUGAAGGUCAUUUGACCAUUCAAUUAAAAUGUUUUCUAAAACUGUGCAAGCUGGAUUGUGCGAAUUUCAAAAGCUGUAAUGCAUGGACUAUUCUGUUUUGUAUGAAAUUCUGGUGGUGUUGUGUUCUUCAUGAGAUAAAUGCCUCUAGAGCUUGUCUAUGAUGUAUUAAAUUCUUAGAAAUUAUUAGGGCCAAUCACUAAAUUUUAAGAAGUGUAAAUUAAAAGAACGCAUUUUGUUUCUAAAAUAAUAGCAAUAAUCCAUGAGUUUGCCCCAUGAAUUAUAUUGUUUUUAAGUGAUUGAGUCUUGCUGUACAUGUGAUGAUAUUUGGCACUACAUAUAAAAUCAAAAGCUGAAAUUGACCUUGUUGCCAUCACAUCAUGUGCCAUGUUGAUAUUGAGACAAAUGUGAAUAUAAAUUAUGAUAAUGAUGAUACCGUCGGAGGUGUGAGCCGACGAUGCCUCGGGAGCCGGGAUGCCCAAAGGUUUGAAUGAGUCGAUGCCCUUUGGAUGCCCGGUUGUAUUACGAUACAUGCCCGGAUGUCCUCCGGAGUUUUGAGAUGCCCGGUGGUAUACGGUACGUAAUGUCCAGGGGGGAAUGCCUGGUGGUAUGGCGGUACGUAAUUCCGGAAGCCCUGGAGGUGUGUGCCGGGGGAGAUUCCUCAUGAUGCCAGUUGGGGUACAAGAUGCCUGGAGCUGUGUGCCGAAUGCUCGGAAGUGUGUGCUGGAGGUUCCUCGCGAUGCCAGGUUGGGUGCGAGCGAUAAAUUGUGGGAUGCAAACAUUGGUCCCUAGAAAGAAAAACUGAUGAGAUCCUUGUGAAAGAUAAUAAUUGAAAAUGAAUCACGUGCAUGGGUGUAUGCAUAUGGCAUGAUGCAUGAUUUGCUUAUGAAAGUAAAUUAAUGCUAUUUGAUAUUGAAAAUGUGAUCAUGAAGGCAUGAAUGGAUCUCAUGGUGAUGUAUGCUUGAUAACAUGGAUGAUAUGAAUCAUGGUGGUAUAUGUACAUAUGGCAUGGUGAGAUAUGCAUGACUACCUGGUGGUAUAUGAACAUAUGUCAUGGUGAUAUAUACAUGAAUGCUUGAUGAUGAGUGCAUGAUGGUAUAUGCACAUAUGGUAUGAUGACAUAUGCAUGACUGCAAGGUAAGUUAUGCUUGAAUACAUGAAUGAUAUGUGCUUUGUUAUGAUGUCUUGAUUGUUCUGUUUGACGAAAUGAGUAGUUUGGUGGAUCUUUACUGCUGAGUGAUUGUACUUAUCCCUUUUGGGGAUUAACAUUUUAGACUAGAUAAGAUACCUCUACUGCCACUACCACCGGUAGAUGGAUCAAGUGGUUGGAUAUGACCGCGAGGAGGAGGGUAGCAAAGGAAGGAACUUUUGGACGUCGACACUGAUCGAUGGACUUUAAGUAUAUGACUGUUAGAGGAGACGUUGGUCAUCUUUUGAGGUAUAGCCAAGUAUAUAAAACUAUGGCAUUUUGAUGUACCGAUGAAUGAUGUCCAUCUGGUUUAAGUAAAUAAAAGUGUUUGGCUUUUACUUAUAAAUGUUUAGUAGGUGUGCAUCGUUUUCUGAAUAUAGGGAAGGGAGUUGAUGGAUGUGCUUCCCCCAUAUUUCUGCGCAAGGGACUGAUCUAAAAGAUGUAAACCCCCAGGUUGUAUGGACCUGCUGCAAUUGAAAUGGUAUCAGAGUGACAUGUUAUUAGGGAAAGUGAAAGGUAAGCGAACUAUGGCGACCCUAACAGAUCGGGGGCCGCGUCAAGGGGUGCCACAGAGGAUGUUCCUCGCAAGACUUGCGCAAUUGGCGUUAAUCCUGUCAAGUUGGGCUCAUUAGUUGAUCACUUUGAAGCCAUGAAGAUCUCAGGCAUGGGUUUCAAACCAGUUAUCAUCAAAUUACCACCACAAGUUGGUGAAUGUUCCAAGACCAAUGUGCCUCCUACUUAUAACACCAAAACUAUCCCAUGGACUUAAGAAGCUAAUGAAAUCGACGUCAUCACCCGAUCGGGUCGAGUUUAUCCAUCACGUAGGGGUGUUGAAAAGAAUGCUGUAAUUGAUGAGGAAGUUGAACAAAUCCUCAAAACACUCAAGACUAGUGAGGUAGAGGUAAUAGAGCAAUUGUGCAAGAUGUCCGCUUAGAUUUCCUUACUAGAGCUCUUUAAGUCUUCAGAAAAGCACAUGAUUGCCCUUAUCAAAAUCUUGAAUGAAGUCCAUGUGCCUAAAACUAUUGGAGAGGUACAAUUGGAAGAGUUUGUGGGUGCCAUACUUCUUAAAGAUCAAAUAUCAUUCUUUGAGAAGGAUCUUCCUCUAGAAGGCUAAGCACACCCUAAGGCAUUAUAUGUGUCUGCCCAACAUUUUGGUACCGGGAUUUUGAGGAUACUGGUCGAUAAUGGUUUCACAUUGAACAUUUGCCUUUUAUCCACCCUCCAUCAGCUGGGAAUUAGUAUGAAAAGCGUCCACCCUCCAAAGAUUCAUGUCCGAGCCUUUGAUGGGAUGAGAAAGGAAUCAUUAGGGGAAAUCAACUUGCCACUGAUGAUCGACCUGUCACCAUUACUCGGAUAUUCCAAGUGGUCGAUAUCCCAAGCAACUUUAGCAUGCUGUUAGGACAUCCUUGGAUCCAUGCCCCGAGGAUCAUUCCCUCUAGCCUUCAUGAGAUGAUGAAACUUGCUAUCGAUGGAAAGAUCAUGACCAUUCAAUGCGAAAGAGACGUGGAGACUUUCCAUAACACGACCAUAUCUUACAUUGAGCCAGAGGUUAAGGAGGAAUUGAGCUACCACUCAGUUGAGCUCAUGUCUAUCACCCAUGUGCCUACUAGGUCAAUCAUCAUGAAGCUUCAGUUCUCGAAGGUCUCCCUAAUGUCGAGCAAAGAAUUACUCAAGAACGAAUUCAUUGCUAGUAAGGGUUUGGGCAAGCUUGCCCAAGGAGUUUUAAGCCCUAUUGAGGCUAUCUAGAGGAAAAAGCAUGAAGGCUUAAGUUACCAAGGGGACCGAAAGGGUCAAGAUAAUUAAAAAGGCCUGAAUAUUAAGGGAGAGAGAUACCAAUGCCUUCUACCUUCACUGUUGAAGGAUUUCUUCACUGGCCCACCAAAACUCUUGCAAGAAGAGGAGGUCACUAUCCAUCACUUCGCCGACUAGUUUGAAGAUAUCAUGAUUGGUGCCAUUGAUGAAGAUGGAGAGCCUACUGAUCUCACUAUGUAAGGGAUGUUUCUAGUUCCUUCUUUUCAUUUCAAUUGUAUUCCCUUCGUUUCUCCCUUGGGAGGGAAUUUCAUUGGUUUCAUUUGUUUAUACCUUGUAAGAGUUUGGAUCGUGAACUCUAUUGAUCCAAGACAAUACUCGUUGUAAUGCAAUUUUUCAUAUCAAUAAAAUGUACUUUUUAUUAAUAGAUAUGUGAGGUAUCCUAAACUAGUCAUAUGAUGAUGCUUUAAGGCCUGGGUCUCCACACAAUUUAUAGUUUUAAAAUGUUUUAGUGGAAUGAGGAUGUUCGAUGACAUGAGGGCGAGUUUCCAAUAACUUUUUCAAAAACUCAAAAUUUGAAAAAAAAUAAUUUCCAUGACAUUUGCAUGCACUACAUUUAUUUAUAAUUACAUACUAACUAUUUUUAAUUGCAUCUCAAGCAUGACAUUUCAUAUUAUUUCAAAUGAGACAGUCUCGCAAUUUCUUCAAGGAUUUCGCCAGUCAAGUUGCAACAUUCUCGAGCAUCCAACUCUUCAAGCUUCUCCAUCAGCCCAAUCACACAUGUUAAUUUUGUUAUCCCUCUUAUGCCAGUUUUCCUUAGUACUUUUAGUUGCUUUAGAUUGUCAGUUGCUUUAGAUUGUUGAUUGAAUUGGGUAGGUGACCAAUACUUGUCGAUGCCAAAUCCAACUCGACUAAUGAUUGUAAUUUCCCAACUGAAUAUGGAAGUUCCUCCAUAUAUAUACACCUAGAUAAAUUCAACCGUUUAAGUUUCACCAGCUCUCCAAUUGAGUAUGUCAAUUUUAAGGAUGGCUCUUUGCUGAUCAUUGACCAUUCAUAUUCUUCUUUUGGUCAGACACAACAAAAUCCAUCAAAGCAUGUAGUAAUCCUAUUUCUUUGGGCAACUCUUGAAAAGAUUCACAUCCAUCUAAGUUCAAAACAGUUAGGAGCUUUAAUUUAUCAAUGGAAUGGUCAAUUUCAAUUAACUUGCUGCAGCCUUCAAGAACCAAUCUCUCUAGGUACACCCAUGUAGAUAAAUUAGGUGUUCUCUUUAAGUACUUGCAAUAGCUAAGAUUUAGUACUUUUUGUUUUCUAGCCUCCUGCAAAACAAUUUGAUAAAUUUAUAUUAAGAAAUGGCCUAUAGUGAAAAAAAAACUAAAAAUGAUAUGCUUAUGGUAAGAGUGGGACUCGUAUCAUACUUUGAUUUGGUCCCGGCCAAUCCAUUCCUCCAAAUAUAGCUGUGUGAAAGAUUAAGAACAACUAAAUUGACCGGAUGCAAGUUUGUUUUCUCAAACUUGGAAUUGUAGUCAUGCCAAGAAAGUCAUCUUGAAUUGGAGAAAAUAUAAUUAAAGUCUCCAACAAGAGACACAAACUCCCCUUCAAAGAACCUCAGGUUUCGUAAAUUAGCAACUUCAUCACGUGUCAGAUUCUCUUCACUAAAGAAAUAUGAUCCAUGAUAACCUACUAACAAUGCUUCUAUUUUUAAACUUCCCUGACAAUGGAAACACCAAGAACUUUACAUGUGAAGGUGAAAAGCAAACAAUUUCAAGCGUUAAUAGCAAUUAAUUUUUCCUUUUGCAAGAAUAGUUUACAAUAAUUUGCAGGAAAAUGAAUUGUUGUUCCCUUUUAUACCUCUUUCCGCUUCAUAAUGCUUAGUGCUUCCUCACGUUUCCACACUCUGCUACACUUGCUAAGAUGUUUGAAAUUCUCUUGAUGGACGAUUUUGCUUCCGAGAUCCCACACUUGGUCAUGCAUCCAAAAAGUAUUGUCGUCUUUGAUUUUUAUCAAGGACAUGAGAACAAGGACAUCAAUGGCAACUUGUGGGUGGUAUUUAUAGUGAUCCCACAUAUAUAAAGGGUAUGCUAUAUCAUCGUUAACCAAAAAAAAAGAGAAAAAAAAAGCUAUAUUCAGAAAUAUUUCCUUUUCUACGAGAUCUAACCUUUCAUAAGUUAUCAUCAAUUUCUUUUGGACAUCCUUGGGAGGAGCUUUUUGUAUACUCUUCCAUGUGUUGAACCAUAAUUCUUUAGAUUUACCAAUAGGGAUGAACCUAUAAUUUCAAGAACUAAAGGAAUCUUUCCUAAAGUAUGGACAAUUUUUUGGAUAGGGAGACAACAAUCUGGUGGAGAGUUACUAUUGAAGGCAUGCCUACUAAAAUGAUUGAGAGAGCAUGAUCAAAUUUCAUUUCACAUGCUUCAUAGUUCCAAACAUUUGGGCCUUCAUUUAGGACACUUUUGUCCCCCGUAGUUAUGAUAAUCUUGCUACCUAAACCGAACCAAUCUUUUUCUGCCAGACUUUUCAGUUGCUCUUUCUCAUUCGCGUUGUCAAGAACGGUGAGAACUUUUUAAUUUCUAAGUGCUCCUCUAAUCUUGUUGAUUCCAUCAUUCACAUGAUAAAUUUGGUUGAUAGAAUGAGGACCAAGGAGCUUGGAUAACAACUGUUUUCGCAAAUUUACCAGACGAUCAUUGCCUUUUGAUGAUUCUCGAACAUCUGCAAGGAAACAACAUCGGUCAAAAUUAGAAGAUGGUUUGUUGAAGACAACAUUAGCCAGGGUUGUUUUGCCAACUCCACCCAUUCCAUGGAUUCUGAGAAAUCGUACACCAUCAGAUCCCACAUCCAACAUUUUGAUUAUAGCUUCUACACGAUCAUCAACUUUAACUAAAUGUUCAGUCACAUUUUCAUACGCAACCGUCAGCUUGACAGAAACCAUUCGAAUUACUGAACAAAUGAGAUCUCCUUGGCUGCCAUGAGUUAACAACCGUGUUAGGGAUACUUUUAUAUUGUAAAAUUACUCUUAAAGCAGCUAAAUUGCCCUCACACGUUGAGGAAAUUACACAAAAAAAGAAAAAUCUAGAAGCCAAUACGAUGGUGAUUUUUGCGAAUCUUUCUCCGCUCCCCAACUUCAGUCACCAUCACCGUUGGCCCUUGCCACCGCCACGCUAUUGUGGACGUCGCUCACCCCCCUGCACCAUCAACAUCGCGUUCCGGUGCCGUCACCCAUUGUGCCCCAUCGACCCGCCAUCUCGGCCUUUUCUCAAUUCUCCACGUCAUGAGGGUCGUGGCCUUGCGACUGCCAGGGUUGGCAUCAUCGGCCUUGGGUGACACCAGAAUUGUGGUCACCCACGGUCAGCUAUGCCAAAUAUGGGCUCGGUGGCAUCAGACCUAAUAUCUAGAUCCCAAAUCCAGCUCGCAACAAUGAGUGAGAUAAAGUGUGGGCGGCGGACGGCUUGGAGCCUUCUGGCGGCUUUGUGUCGGGCUGGUGAUGAAGAAGUAGCGUCGACUGACGGACGAGCUGCUGCAGCGGCUAGCCAGCAGCUUGGUGUCUACUUGGAGACCUAUUACUACUGAUGGCUGCUAUGUCAGAGGCGGAGAGUGAGAAGAGAGAGAAAAUCAAGAUGAGUAGGGCGCGCUACCACCGUAAUAGUGCCAUUGACCAAAGCUAUUGCCGUGAUACUGCCGAUAGCAGCCACUACUGACUACUGCCAGUGAGAAUUCUAUUAUCUCCGCUAUAUUGGCCGAUAGCAAUAGCGGCGACCGCUAAUUAAACUAUAUAAAAUCAAGGAGAUGUAUAAACUAUCUUUUCAAUAGUAAUACCACAAUUAAAAAGAAUAGGGAGGAAAAAGGAAACCUACAGAUUAUACUUGAAAAGUUUAUGACAUUUACCCAUCGUCUUUCUUCAAGUUCCAUCCCUUUAUCUCGUCCACCUCAAUAAGAGCCUUUUUCCAUGAUUCUACCACUUCAGUGCAAAACUUUUUCUGAUGCUUUGAAAGAGCUUUGCUGUAUAUAUAUAUUUUUUUUUGAGCUUGACAACAUCAGGUUCCAUGUCUAGGAAAAUGGGUAAAAUCUCUUUAUUCUCAUUCGAUUUGGAGGUGCAAUCAACCAUGUAUGCAAGCUCUUGGAGGCACCAGGGACUUGCAGGAUGAUUCUCAGAGAAUAUGGGAAUGUAAAUCUUGGAGUUCUCAAUUGCUUGUAGAAUUUCAUCACUAAUUCUCUUACCAACACAAAGGGAUUCAUCAUCCCUAAAGAAGAGGAUCCCAGCAUCCACCAUGGCAUGGUAAAGAUGAUCGGUGAACUCAUGACGAGUGUUUGGUCCUCGAAAACUUAGAAAAACCUCAUAGGAAGGUCCGGAUGAUGCCCGCAAAUUCGUCUUUUUCGCUGUCGUUUUGCACUUCUUCAAGGUCCGGCCGAGAUGGAUUUGGAGGUAUAUGAGGAAAGCUAUGAAGAUCAAGGAGAUGCUGAGGAUUCCGACGAGGAAGUAGAGCUUGAGGCUGGGAAAGGGAGUCUUGGAGGUGAGCUCCUGAGAAUGAAAGCCGUCAAGAGGUCGGUAUUCACUGGAAACCGCCAUGUUUCCAGCGGAGCGAACAAAGAUAGAGAGUCGAAAAGGCUAAGGGAGUGGGUGAAUGCGUGAGAAUUGAAGUGUGAGAACUCUGCCGGGGGCGGGGAGCAGUACCUUAUAAGGUUACAAAGGAUAACGAAAGAAAGUGUGGGAGUGAAGUUAAAAGGAAAGAGAGUGAGGGAGUGACGGAUCUUCGAUGCCAUUGUUAAAAGUCUCGUCUAGCCAUUUUAUUAUGGAAGUGCCAUUGUGGUGGAUGAGCAAUUUUUGUUUCUGUUGUAUGGAUGGUGAUGGUGGUGACAAAUUAAUAAUUGGUAUUGAGUACAUUGAGAGAGUAGGUUCAGCAAUUGAAUUGGUCGAUUAAUAAGUGGACAGUGUCAAAGCUAUGGAAUCUAUGGUAGAGGGAAAUUUUUUAGAAAAUAAAAAUAAGCAGAAAACAAAUCCGUCCUUGAGAUGAUAAAAGCACAAUAGAGAAUAUGAUCCCUCCCCAAACGCAAUUUUAUAGAUUUCAGUCAACCAAAAUUUUUUUUAUGGUAAGUGAAGCAAAACGAUCCUAAAUUUUUAUGAAUUAUAUUUUCCUCAAUUUUUAACUGAGAGAUGAAUAGCGCAAGUGUGACACCUGCAGCCAUCGACAUUUUUUCGAGAGAAAAAUAUUGCUGUACCUUAUUUAUUCUAAAUCAAGCUCAUACCCAUCCUCGUAUUAAAUUUUUGUCCACCACAAUAAGGAACCCAUUAGGAUCAUCCACUCAACAAUAAACACGCAACUAGUAUUUUAUUGGAUAAUGUGAAAGGCCUACUAAUUACUGACAGGUUGAUGCAUUAGUCAACAGUACAAUCUUAGAAUUCUAGCUAUGCUCCUGUUUUGGUUUUUCUAGACAAACACAAUAGCAGUGAGUAUUGUCAUAAUACUAUACAAGAAUGAAAUAUUUAGCUGAUAGGGCAGAUCCGAGAUCGUAACAAAUGGCACUACUUGUUUAUAAAAUGCAACAUUAAAAUCAUUUUAUUGCAACAAAAAUGGUUUGUAUAUCCACCAGAAGACCGGCCCUACAGUUCAAUCCGAGCGUCAAAAAAGUUUCCUUGUACAACUAGCAAUAGAGUUUUAACAAAUGUAAGUUAGGCAAUUGAUUCAAAAUUUUCCUAAUAGUCGAUGUCAUACUCCUGCUCAAAACCUUGGCUAUGAAGCGAGCCUAAUGCUAUUCUACAGAAUCACCGGAGUGAGUAUUAGACUUAAUAAACCCACCAGCAAACUCUGAAAAUUUUUCCAGCGGGAAGAUCAACCAUAUCCUACACAUAAAUCCUUUCCAAAGGUUGAAGUUCCUUUCCUCAAAUAUUAGUUUCCGCCAAUGAGCAUUGGAACGAGCCUAUCGAUAUGAUUCACAUUCACGAAAAAAGAAAAAAAAAAUGAUAAUUAUGAAGACGUAUUGAAGGGAAUCCUCUCAAAGCGUGGCAUAUAAGGUUCAAAUGUAGAGAGUAGUGAGAUUCAGAUAUGACCGGAUUCUGUGGGGAAAACUAAUGUGAGGAAUUGGCGUGCAUCCAAAAGAGACAAAUUAGAGGUAAAGAGGCAACCUACAUUACUUAAUUGCAUGUGAGAACCAUUUGUAGUGCACAUAUACUAGGUGUAUUGGGAACAAGUACUUUACUCCAAAAAAACAUCAAAGUCACAUGGUUGCAUACGGUAUACGAAAUUAUUCAGUAAAUUAUAUCCAUUAGUUACAUUUAUAAGAUAUGACAAAAAAUAGAACUCGGUUUAAAAUCUUUAAAUAUCCGAUAAAUUUGCUUUUCUAAUUCAAAAAACGACAAGAUUAGAUGCUAACCCAUCAACAAUCAAAUAAUUCUUGUCCAUCUUCUUCUAAGUUAUAUUAAAAUACUCCAUCAAAUGUGCGAGCAUUCUUCAAAGCAGUUGAAAAGUGAGCUUCCUCCCUAAUGCUCGCAAUCUUCUCGAUUUCAUCAAUCAAUUGAUGGGGUGUCACCCUAGAAGUUUCCUUCUCCAGUUCAUCUAAUAACAAAUGUAAAAUCUGAAGCCUAUUAACAAAGUUACAAAAGGGACAACACAAAAUCAAAGAAUCCUAUCUGUAAAAUGAAGGAUUAAUAGCGCAAUCGGGAUGUUUUUUUCUUUAUUUUAAUCAAUCAGAUAAAAUUUCUAAAAUCCCCUCAAACUUUAUAUCUGUAUCAAUCACACUUCUCGCUUUUCAGCAUUUGCGGUAAUGCUAAUCUUUAGACAAAAAUCUCUAACUUAAAGGGUAAGCUACCCUUCUAUUAAUUUGUGCCGAUUGAUAUGGUAUAAUCAUGACAUCCAUUUGGCUCAUGCACUAUGUAUGGUCGAGUGAGAGAGAGAGAGAGAGAGAGAGAGAGAGAGACGUUGUGCGAGCAAGCAAGGACAAUAGGCAACUUCGAAUGAAGUGUGACGUCAAGGGAAAGACAAGGAUAGAGAAACCUAUCUUUAUGAGAAAACGACUCGAUGCGGUUUUGUUAAGGCCAAGAUGAGCCACCUCAAAAUCCACGUUGGACUUUUUUUUUAAAAUAAAAAAAAAAUAUGUAUGAAUCAACUUUUUAUUUAAAAAAAAAAAAAAGCCAUGUGGGACUUUCAGCAGGAAUUUGCCUCCGGAGCUAUUUAAGUGAUUGAGUUUUCUUUGAUCUUAACCUUAAGUGAUUAAUCAAAAAGUUUUGGUACCAAGCGAAUAAUAUAUGAAGAUUAUGAUAUCUCUAGUGUCCUUUUCCCUUAGAAUAUUACUUUUAGUUGUAAUAUCGCUAAGUUGAUUCAAUGUUUUCCAACAUUUCACGUUUUUCUUCCGAAAUGCAACCAACGCCAGAAAGGCAGAAAAAGAAAAAUUAAGAAGUCUGCCUCACUAGUGACUAAUUAUUUGUUUUGGUGUUUCAUUGUGGUGCAAAUGUUGGUAUUGUUAUAUCUUCUAGCAAGGUAACAUGGACGGAAGCUUAGGAUAGCGACAUUCAUCCUCAGGUUAAGAAUCAAUACUUGCCUUUUAUGAUAAGUUGUGGGUCAUGAUAGAGAAAUUGGCUAUUUAAUUAGAUUAACCAACUUAUCAUAAAAGCACAACAACUAUACUAUUAUUGCAAGUUAAAAAUCAGACUUAGGUAGGAAGACAACUUUAGUUUAUGGAUGUACUUACGCAAUGCCAUCAUUAGAUUAUUGUUAUUAUUAGUUGUAAUCUUGCUUGAAAAUUCAAUAUUUCUUGAUGUUUCAUGUGUUUCUUCUUGAAUGCAACCAAUACUCGAUGGACCAUAAAAACUUCUUACAACUAUGAAAGAAAGCCCAAACGAGAAGAAUAAGUUAAUAUUUAUCAUCUUGGAAAUGAUUUAUCAUUGACGACAUUAACUUUUCAACAUUGGUCCUGGGAAGAAAAAGAGAAGUAUAUGCUGCUAAUCCCCAGAGUAGCCAAAUGAUUCUUGUCAAUCUUCUUCCAAGUUAUAUUGAAAAAACUUCAUAGAAUAUGCGAAUUUUUUUCCAAGCAGUUGAAAAGUGUGUUUCCUCUUAAGAAAAAUUGAUCAAUCAAUCGAUGUCAUUGGUUAAUCAAUCAGCUGUCAUAGUAGAAGUUUCCUUUUCCCAUUCAUUUGAAAACAAAGUUAAAAUCAGAAACCUAAUAACAAACUACAAAAGUGGUAGCACGGAAUCAUAGGUUCAUAGCUUUAAAAGUAAAUCAUAUAAUAGAAAUAUUGGAAAAUUCCAAAUAAAAGCUCGAAGUGCUCUCAUUUUAUGAAAUAAUGAUCCAAAAUAAAUUUUGUUUUAUUUACCCAAAAAAAAACUUUUUUUUAAAUAAAAACUUACAAUGGUUAUAUUAGUCUUAAAGAAUGCUCUAAAGUGGUUAUGAGUAUUUCAAAUAAAUAUCUAACCCCACUAACUAGCAAAAAAUUCCAGUUGACUAGAGAUAUUUUUGUUCGAACACAAUUUAAAUUUAAAUUAAAUUAAAUUAGAAUUUUUAAUUAAAAAAAAAAAAAACAGGCGAGAGGACUCUCUCCCACCUAUGACCAUUACCCCAUUACUAGUGGGGUGACGGUGAUGGCAUGCAAACCCCACCGACUAGAGGUGAGGGCUAAUAGGCCCUUGUCAGAGAUGAGAGAGGGCAAUGACCCUCUCCCAAAUCUAGGUGAGAGUCGCUCACCCUUACCUCAAUCUAGGCAAGGGUUUAGGCAAGGGUCGCCGCCCUCUCUCGUCUCUAGCGAGGGCUUGCUGGCCUUCGCCUCUAGUCGACAAAGGCCUAAGGGCACUGGGUGAGGGCCGCUAGGCCUACGCAAGGGCGGGCAACCCUCGCCUAGAUUUGGGAGAGGGUUGCCACCUUCUUCCAUCCACUAGUCCUCACCUUUGGUUAGCAAGGGUUGCCAACCCUCACCUAAGCACUAGCAACCUCAUCGAUCAUCGUUGCCGCCCCACCAGCAAUAGGAUGGUGGCCACAGGCGUGUUUUUCCUUCUUCUUCUUUUUAAGUUUUAGUUUUUUUUUUAUGAAUAAAGGAAGAAAGAAAUGAAUUUAAAAAUAAAAAGAUGAAAUUGCCCUUCACAGGUAGUGAGUUUAGGCCCUUAUUUAAGACUGAUAUAGCCAUUUUAGUCCUUUAUUUAAAAUAACGUCCACUUCAUGUUCUAAAUUGAGAAAAUGAUGCCACUUCAAGCUCUAAUUUGAAACAAUAUCCACUUCAAACCCUUAUUUGAGAAAAUGAAAACACUUCAUGCCCUUAUUUGAAAUUUUUCCAAAAAAUCUGGAUAGAAUAUGAAGAUGUUUUUUGAGCUUUUCUUGGAUUUGAUCGCAUUAGAGAAAAAUUCAAAAAUCCUCUCAAACUUAUUAUCCAUAUAAAAAAUCCUAACAUAAAAGUUUGAACUACCACUCUACCACUAACAUAAAUUUCAUGUGCCUAUCACACGAUUGAUGUGGUGUAAUUAGUCAAUCCGCAUUACUUGUGUAUAUUGUAUGCCAUCUUUUUUUUUUCUUUUUUGGUCAGUUAUUGUAUGCCAUCUUAAGUGGCACUUAAAUGUUGGAAAUAUUCACUUUUCAUUGACUUGUUAUACCCGACGAUAUAAUUAUCACAUAAAUACAUUCUCCACUACUACAUUUUUCUCUUUUCUCUCUCUCCCCACCAUACCGGUGAUCACCAUCCUAUCCUCGAUGGAUGACGCCACUCCCCCAACCAAACCGACACCUCUCUCUCUCCUACGCAAGACAUUUCUCUUUUUUACGAAAUCAUGUUUGAUUUAACGUCAAACGUCUCAAACUUUUAAAACUGGAAGAGAUAAAAAUUCAAUGCUUGGCGUUUUAAUUUGGUUGAUAGCAAGAAAAAUUGAUUGUAAAUAUCUUUGGUUGUUGCAAGUGUGAAUAUGAAAAAACAUGGUCUUCGUCUUCCGCGGUAUUGCUAGGUAAUAUGAUUCGGUGGUUAGAUGUGAGAACAAAGAAAUAAUGCCAAAAAAAUAAAAAUAAAAAUAGCGGUUUGCGAGUCUUUGAAUAUCCAAACAACUUGAUAUUCAAUUUCAGGAAACAACAAAAGUAGAUGCUAACCCCUGAAAUAAUCAAAUGAUUCGGUCCAUCUUUUUCUGAGUUAGAAUAAAAAAAUAAAAAUAAAAAACUUCAUUAGAUGGGCAAAUAUUUUUCAGACUAGUUGUAAGGUGAGUUUUCUCUUUCAGAUGAAUCGACACCCCUGAUUCUUGCAGUCUUCUCAAUGUCAUUGUCAAUGGUUUGUCACCCCAGAAGUUUCCUUGCCGCGUUCAUUUAAUAACAAAUUAAAAUCUGAAGCUUAAUAACAAAGUUACAAAAGUGACAGUACAAAAUCAUAAAUUCCUAGCUUUUACAAUAGAGGCUAUAAAGUGAAAUCCCGAUAGUACGUAAAUAUAAUUUGAGUGAUGAUUAAAAAAAAUUAAAAAUCCUCGCGAAAUUUGUAUCUAUAUCAAUUACGCUUCUUGGUUUUUGGCAUUUUUAGGAAUAAUGUUCAUCUUUAGAGAAAAAUUCUUAAUAAAAAGAUUAAACUUCACCUCUGCAGUGGAUGUGUAUUAUUGCUAGUCACACGAUUAAUUUGGUGUAAUCGGUCAAUCCACUAUCCACAUUGCCUAUGCGAUAUGUUUGUCAUCCUAAUUGAAGGUUGAAAGUUGGAAAUACUUACUUUUUAUUGGCUUUUCAUGUCACGUGUUUCUGCCACAUCAAUUAGGUGUUAACAAGUAAAAGUCUGCCAUCAUCUUGAUUGCUUAGUUGCGUUUUUCAUUUCUUCUUUCCUAAUCCAACCUAAGGAAAAAGUAGAAGAGUUGGAAGGGAACGACAAAAUUAAUUUAUUCUCUGAGUAUUCAUCUUCAUGUUAUUCUUGUGUGUAGAAGCUAUAUAAUUACGAUUGUAUUCUCUGUACAAGUUAGUGUGUAUAUAAUAUGGGAAGAGACUCAGUGUUGUGAGAGUGAGUUUAUAGAAUCAUCUAAUCAAGCUUCCUGUAGAAACAACACUUUGAGGAUUACAUAGUGGACUGCAACCUUACUGUGACUGUUAGAGCUAGGAGAGUGAAGUAAGCCAAGUAAAAGACCGAACCACUGUAAAAUCUAUUUUGCAUAUUUCUAUCUCCUUAUUUGAUAGCAGAUGAAUGUUGCUGCAUAACUGUUUUCCGCUACAGCAGCACAUUCUACGUGUCCUUCACAAAAAAAAAAAUUUAUUUUUUACUAGAAAAAGCAAUUCAUCUUCCUCUUAAUUGUUGUGCUUAUCCAUUUCUCAGUAAAUAUCUUUGGUUGUUGCACGUGUGAAAAUGAGAAAACACGGUCUUCAUCACGUGCAUUAACUAAUGGUAAGUCGGUAAGCAAGAGAAAUGAAAGUGGUCCCUCAAUAGAAAAGUUAGUAAAUUAAAAUAGAAUAUAAAUGUUAGCUAAUAACUUAUUUGGGGAAAAGUUCAUAGGUCACUCAAAUGAAUAUUGAUAAUUUCAUAUAAUAGUCGAUAAAUUUAAAGCAAUGGCAAAAAAAGUCAACAAAAUUAUGUAACAGAUAAGAAAAAAAUUGGUCUAGUAUAAGAGAAUUUGGUAAUAGUAAAAACAUUGGGAGCAACUCAAAUAAGAUUUGGUAAUGAAAAAUUAGCCAGUAACUUAAUUGAAGAAAAGUUGGUAAUAACUUUAAUUAAGGUUGGUAAUUUCUAACUAGUUGGUAAGUAAGAUGAAUGAAGUUGAAAACUCCAUAGAAAAGUUGGCAAAUUUAUGAAAAAAAUUAUAAAUAAAAAUUGGGAGCAACUCAAAUUAGGGUUGAUAAUCUAACUAUAGAAAGUCAAACGACCACAUGGAUAAAAGUUGACAAAUUCAUAUAAAAGUUGAUAAGUAUAAGGUGUUUGUAAGAAAGACAAACAAAAGUUGUUAAAUUAUAAAAUUAAAUAAACUUUGGUAAGUAACUCAAAUAAAAGCUCAUAACCUGAAAAUGAGUUCGUAAUUUAAAUGGAAGAAAGUUUGUGAGUCUUUCAAAUUAAAAAUGUAAAUUAAUAGAGGAGUUCGUAACUUUAAGGGGUUGCCAAGGAAGAGAAAUAAAAAUUAAUAGAAAAAAAAAAUUGGCAAUUUACAAAUGAUUUCUUAGUGAAAUUGAUCAUAAUAAUUAUAUUGAAAGAUAAUCAAAAGGUUUAUGACUAAAUUUACCAAAUUGUAAAAAUUAGAAUUGGAGAGGUUGUCGUACAAUAAAUUUGUAACUUUUUAAACAAUUAUCCCAAGGUAUAUCAUACAAGUUCAUUACAACAACCUAAUUUCACAACGGUAUAGGUUUUUUAUGGUACCGUCAUAUCCUACUUUUAUGUGAUUAUAAUAAAUCUUGUCAGCUAUUCAAUCCGUAGUUCUAAACAAAGGGGACCAAAGUUCAUGUGUUGGGUGGCCUUACAACAUUUUUUAAGGAUGCGAACGGGGCAAGUUGUAUUCCGACAGCGAUCACUUGCAUGCUGCCGAACACCAAAAGUGAAGUAGAAAAACGACCAAUCGGAAAAGGAGAUCGAAAGUCAACGAGGGCCAAAAUGCCGGGAAAAGUGGAGUAGAUUGAUGAUUUUAUAAAUAAAUGACAGGCCAAAACCCUAAACUCGUGUGGUUAAUGUGCUAGUUUCAUUUAGAUAUGCCAUAAAUAAAUUUAUUUAAUUGUCUCCAACUAUAAGAUUCCAAAGCCGUCUUCAGAUGCUUUCCCAUAUUCAGUAAAGGCCUUUGAAAAUUCCAGAACUUAUAUUUAUAAAUCGAUUUAACUCGUUUAUUUUUAUUUAAACAUUCUUUCGAUCAAAAACAUAUUUGGUUACGGAAAAUAGUAAAUGUUUAUCUAUUUUCAGCUCGCUAAACAAUGUUUGUCAUGUCCAGAUGUUAUUAUACCUUUUAUUUGUGUCAGUCCAUGAUAUCUUUCAUCAUAAUGAAAAAAAUGUCAAUUAGUUAGAAUUAACUAAAGUAGCACAAUUAUUUCUAUAUAACAUUCAAAGAACUACUCUAGAUAUUCUAAGGAUAUCCUCAUCGUUUAUCAUCACACACAAGAAAGUUUUUUAUUAUUGAAGGACAAGUAAAAAUUUCAAAGAUGCCGAUAGCUCUUAAAAGACAGAGGAUACCCUUAUUUUUCUCGUUUAAGAAUAGAACAAAGUGAUUACAUAAACGUAACUAAAUGACUUUUAAGAAGUGCAAAUGGUAUGUAUUCCAUCAAAUGGCUACAAAGCAUAUGCCAUACGCCGUAGUAGGUUCCUUGUGCAAAAGCCUUUUUGUUAGGUUGCUACGCGCCAAAUUAAGAUGUGUAUUUUCUAUAAGUAAUGAAUUUAGAGAUGCACAAAAAAUUAACUAUGAUUUUGAUGCAACUCGCAAGCAUAUCUGGUGUUAAAAUUGAAUCUUGAUAUAUGUGUGUAUAUUUAUAGACAGAGAGUGGGGAUGGUGAUUGCAAAUAGUCUAUGGAAUUGAUAUCCUAAAUGAUAUACUAUGUUUUAGUGGGCAUUCAAGAUGAGUAUGUUUGUAUUUAAGCACCAUGAGAAAUUUACAAGAUCACUCCAUAAUUGUAAACUAACUUUGCAUAAUUCAAGUGUGUCAAGCAUUUGUUUCAUAGCGAAAAAGAUGGGUUCGAUGAAUAGCACUCUUUCGUCAGUUUUGGAUCCCGCAACGAAAUAUGUUCCAUCAAGUGUUACAUUUUGAUUUUUUUUAAAGGGGACCUAGGCUUUAUGCUAGUAUAGGACAGAGAAGGUCAAAUGCUAAUGGAGAUAUAUAAUAUAUAGUCUUGCACCUAAUGGAGUCGAUCAAUACAAGCUUGGAAUCAAUGAUGACCAGUGUCAAAAUCUAAUCAAUAGCUUGAUUCAAACACACUUCAACACGCUAAUGAAACACCAUUAAAAUCAACGUGGUUUGUAGAAUAUCGAAGCUAAUUCGACAACGUUGGACAUUGAAAAUAAUACCGAGAAGGCACUUCUCCUAAUUGGGUUUGAGGACACGACGUUGGAACCUAAUCAACAAUGCUAGACAGUGGAAACAACACCUGGUAGGUACUGCUCCUAGAUGGAUAUGAGGACACGACGUCGGAACCAAAUUGACGACACUGGAUGGUGGAAACACUUGGUAAGUAUUGCUCCUAAAUAGAUAUGAGCACACAACGUUGAAUUUUAAUUGACGACGCUAGAUGGUGGACUCAACACUUGGUAAGUAUUGCUUCUAGAUGGAUAUGAGAACAUAACGUUGGAAUCUAAUCGAUGACAGCACUGCCUAGAAUAUAGGCACUCCCAAGAAUUGAGUCUACGAAAAGAAUCUGAAGCUAUAACUAAAUCUACGCUGCGCUCCCUUAUUUAAAAGAAAAAGACGAGGGAUUUUUCCCCCCCUCCCCACGGGGGGGGGGGGGGGGGGGCAUGGGUGGGGAGGCCCUUCAUUGGAUUAUUUACGGUAUUUAUAGCCCAAUCUGGUAACCAUCGAUGGUCGGUUGAGUCCUCCUUGAAAGUCGCUCCACUUUCUCUACUUAACUGCUUUAUCCAUAUCUUGUUGUCUUAUGACCUGUUCAAUGAUACUCACAUGACUUGUCAAACAAGUAUUAGUUGCUCAUUUGAUUAUGCAUGCUCUUUUAAGUACCAACCAUUCCCACCUAAAUCUUGAUGCCAAUUCUAUUUGAAUUUUACAUCUUCAAUAGUAUCUCUUGACCUUGACACGUGGCAAUGAAUCUAUGGUAGAGGGAAAAUUUUUAGAAAAUAAAAAUAAGCAGAAAACAAAUCCGUCCUUGAGAUGAUAAAAGCACAAUAGAGAAUAUGAUCCCUCCCCAAACGCAAUUUUAUAGAUUUCAGUCAACCAAAAUUUUUUUUAUGGUAAGUGAAGCAAAACGAUCCUAAAUUUUUAUGAAUUAUAUUUUCCUCAAUUUUUAACUGAGAGAUGAAUAGCGCAAGUGUGACACCUGCAGCCAUCGACAUUUUUUCGAGAGAAAAAUAUUGCUGUACCUUAUUUAUUCUAAAUCAAGCUCAUACCCAUCCUCGUAUUAAAUUUUUGUCCACCACAAUAAGGAACCCAUUAGGAUCAUCCACUCAACAAUAAACACGCAACUAGUAUUUUAUUGGAUAAUGUGAAAGGCCUACUAAUUACUGACAGGUUGAUGCAUUAGUCAACAGUACAAUCUUAGAAUUCUAGCUAUGCUCCUGUUUUGGUUUUUCUAGACAAACACAAUAGCAGUGAGUAUUGUCAUAAUACUAUACAAGAAUGAAAUAUUUAGCUGAUAGGGCAGAUCCGAGAUCGUAACAAAUGGCACUACUUGUUUAUAAAAUGCAACAUUAAAAUCAUUUUAUUGCAACAAAAAUGGUUUGUAUAUCCACCAGAAGACCGGCCCUACAGUUCAAUCCGAGCGUCAAAAAAGUUUCCUUGUACAACUAGCAAUAGAGUUUUAACAAAUGUAAGUUAGGCAAUUGAUUCAAAAUUUUCCUAAUAGUCGAUGUCAUACUCCUGCUCAAAACCUUGGCUAUGAAGCGAGCCUAAUGCUAUUCUACAGAAUCACCGGAGUGAGUAUUAGACUUAAUAAACCCACCAGCAAACUCUGAAAAUUUUUCCAGCGGGAAGAUCAACCAUAUCCUACACAUAAAUCCUUUCCAAAGGUUGAAGUUCCUUUCCUCAAAUAUUAGUUUCCGCCAAUGAGCAUUGGAACGAGCCUAUCGAUAUGAUUCACAUUCACGAAAAAAGAAAAAAAAAAUGAUAAUUAUGAAGACGUAUUGAAGGGAAUCCUCUCAAAGCGUGGCAUAUAAGGUUCAAAUGUAGAGAGUAGUGAGAUUCAGAUAUGACCGGAUUCUGUGGGGAAAACUAAUGUGAGGAAUUGGCGUGCAUCCAAAAGAGACAAAUUAGAGGUAAAGAGGCAACCUACAUUACUUAAUUGCAUGUGAGAACCAUUUGUAGUGCACAUAUACUAGGUGUAGUGGGAACAAGUACUUUACUCCAAAAAAAAACAUCAAAGUCACAUGGUUGCAUACGGUUUACGAAAAUAAUUCAGUAAAUUCUAUCCAUUAGCUACAUUUAUAAGAUAUUACAAAAAAAAUAGAACUCGGUUUAAAAUCUUUAAAUAUCCGAUAAAUUUGCUUUUCUAAUUCAAAAAACGACAGAUUAGAUGCUAACCCAUCACAAUCAAAUAAUUCUUGUCCAUCUUCUUCUAAGUUAAUAUUAAAAUACUCCAUCAAAUNNNNNNNNNNNNNNNNNNNNNNNNNNNNNNNNNNNNNNNNNNNNNNNNNNNNNNNNNNNNNNNNNNNNNNNNNNNNNNNNNNNNNNNNNNNNNNNNNNNNNNNNNNNNNNNNNNNNNNNNNNNNNNNNNNNNNNNNNNNNNNNNNNNNNNNNNNNNNNNNNNNNNNNNNNNNNNNNNNNNNNNNNNNNNNNNNNNNNNNNNNNNNNNNNNNNNNNNNNNNNNNNNNNNNNNNNNNNNNNNNNNNNNNNNNNNNNNNNNNNNNNNNNNNNNNNNNNNNNNNNNNNNNNNNNNNNNNNNNNNNNNNNNNNNNNNNNNNNNNNNNNNNNNNNNNNNNNNNNNNNNNNNNNNNNNNNNNNNNNNNNNNNNNNNNNNNNNNNNNNNNNNNNNNNNNNNNNNNNNNNNNNNNNNNNNNNNNNNNNNNNNNNNNNNNNNNNNNNNNNNNNNNNNNNNNNNNNNNNNNNNNNNNNNNNNNNNNNNNNNNNNNNNNNNNNNNNNNNNNNNNNNNNNNNNNNNNNNNNNNNNNNNNNNNNNNNNNNNNNNNNNNNNNNNNNNNNNNNNNNNNNNNNNNNNNNNNNNNNNNNNNNNNNNNNNNNNNNNNNNNNNNNNNNNNNNNNNNNNNNNNNNNNNNNNNNNNNNNNNNNNNNNNNNNNNNNNNNNNNNNNNNNNNNNNNNNNNNNNNNNNNNNNNNNNNNNNNNNNNNNNNNNNNNNNNNNNNNNNNNNNNNNNNNNNNNNNNNNNNNNNNNNNNNNNNNNNNNNNNNNNNNNNNNNNNNNNNNNNNNNNNNNNNNNNNNNNNNNNNNNNNNNNNNNNNNNNNNNNNNNNNNNNNNNNNNNNNNNNNNNNNNNNNNNNNNNNNNNNNNNNNNNNNNNNNNNNNNNNNNNNNNNNNNNNNNNNNNNNNNNNNNNNNNNNNNNNNNNNNNNNNNNNNNNNNNNNNNNNNNNNNNNNNNNNNNNNNNNNNNNNNNNNNNNNNNNNNNNNNNNNNNNNNNNNNNNNNNNNNNNNNNNNNNNNNNNNNNNNNNNNNNNNNNNNNNNNNNNNNNNNNNNNNNNNNNNNNNNNNNNNNNNNNNNNNNNNNNNNNNNNNNNNNNNNNNNNNNNNNGAGAAAUUGGCUAUUUAAUGCUAUUAUAGAUACACUAUCAUAAAAGCACAACACUUAUACUAUUAUUGCAAGUUAAAAUCAGACUUAGGUAGGAAGACAACUUUAGUUUAUGGAUGUACUUACGCAAUGCCAUCAUUAGUUUAUUGUUAUUAUUAGUUGUAAUCUUGCUUAGAAAAUUCAAUAUUUCUUGAUGUUUCAUGUGUUUCUUCUUGAAUGCAACCAACACUCGAUGGACCAUAAAAACUUCUUACAACUAUGAAAGAAAGGCCAAACGAGAAGAAUAAGUUAAUAUUUAUCAUCUUGGAAAUGAUUUAUCAUUGACGACAUUAACUUUUCAACAUUGGUCCUGGGAAGAAAAAGAGAAGUAUAUGCUAAUCCCCAGAGUAGCCAAAGGAUUCUUGUCAAUCUUCUUCCAAGUUAUAUUGAAAAAACUUCAUAAAAUAUGCGAAUUUUUUUCCAAGCAGUUGAAAAGUGUGUUUCCUCUUAAGAAAAAUUGAUCAAUCAAUCGAUGUCAUUGGUCAAUCAAUCGGUUGUCAUAGUAGAAGUUUCCUUUUCCCAUUCAUUUGAAAACAAAGUUAAAAUCAGAAACCUAAUAACAAACUACAAAAGUGGUAGCACGGAAUCAUAGGUUCAUAGCUUUAAAAGUAAAUCAUGUAAUAGAAAUAUUGGCAAAUUCCAAAUAAAAGCUCGAAGUGCUCUCAUUUUAUCAAAUAAUGAUCUGAAAUAAACUUUGUUUUAUUUACCCAAAAAAAAAAACUUUGUUUAAAAUAAGAACUUACAAUGGUUAUAUCAGUCUUAAAGAAUGCUCUAAAGUGGUUAUGAGUAUUUCAAAUAAAUAUCUAACCCCACUAACUAGCAAAAAAUUCCAGCUGACCAGAGAUAUUUUUGUUCGAACACAAUUUAAAUUUAAAUUAGAUUAAAUUAUAAUUUUUAAUUAAAAAAAAAAACAGGCGAGAGGACUCUCUCCCACCUAUGACCAUUGCCCCAUCGCUAGUGGGGUGACGGUGAUGGCCUGCAAACUCCACUGACUAGAGGUGAGGGCUAACAGACCCUUGUCAGAGAUGAGAGAGGGCAAUGACCCUCUCCCAAAUCUAGGUGAGAGUCGCUCACCCUUGCCUCGAUCUAGGCAGGGUUUAGGCGAGGGUCGCCGCCCUCUCUCGUCUCUAGCGAGGGCUUGCUGGCCUUCGCCUCUAGUCGACAAAGACCUAAGGGCACUGGGUGAGGGCUGCUAGGCCUACGCAAGGGCAAGCAACCCUCGCCUAGAUUUGGGAGAGGGUUGCCAACCCUCGCCUAAGCACUGGCAACCUCAUCGAUCAUCGUUGCCGCCCCACCAGCAAUAGGAUGGUGGCCACGGGCGUGUUUUUCCUUCUUCUUCUUCUUUUAAAGUUUUAGUUUUUAUUUUUUAUUUUUUAUGAAUAAAGGAAGAAAGAAAUGAAUUUAAAAAUAAAAAGAUGAAAUUGCCCUUCACAGGUAGUGAGUUUAGGCCCUUAUUUAAGACUGAUAUAGCCAUUUUAGUCCUUUAUUUAAAAUAACAUCCACUUCAUGUUCUAAAUUGAGAAAAUGAUGCCACUUCAAGCUCUAACUUGAAACAAUAUCCACUUCAAACCCUUAUUUAAUAAAAUGAAAACACUUCAUGCCCUUAUUUGGAAUUUUUCCAAAAAAUCUGGAUAGAAUAUGAAGAUGUUUUUUGAGCUUUUCUUGGAUUUGAUCGCAUUAGAGAAAAAAUCAAAAAUCCUCUCAAACUUAUUAUCCAUAUAAAAAAUCCUAACAUAAAAGUUUGAACUACCACUCUACCACUAGCAUAAAUUUCAUGUGCCUAUCACACGAUUGAUGUGGUGUAAUUAGUCAAUCUGCAUUACUUGUGUAUAUUGUAUGCCAUCCUUUUUUUUUCUUUUUCUUUUUUUUGGUCAGUUAUUGUAUGCCAUCUUAAGUGGCACUUAAAUGUUGCNNNNNNNNNNNNNNNNNNNNNNNNNNNNNNNNNNNNNNNNNNNNNNNNNNNNNNNNNNNNNNNNNNNNNNNNNNNNNNNNNNNNNNNNNNNNNNNNNNNNNNNNNNNNNNNNNNNNNNNNNNNNNNNNNNNNNNNNNNNNNNNNNNNNNNNNNNNNNNNNNNNNNNNNNNNNNNNNNNNNNNNNNNNNNNNNNNNNNNNNNNNNNNNNNNNNNNNNNNNNNNNNNNNNNNNNNNNNNNNNNNNNNNNNNNNNNNNNNNNNNNNNNNNNNNNNNNNNNNNNNNNNNNNNNNNNNNNNNNNNNNNNNNNNNNNNNNNNNNNNNNNNNNNNNNNNNNNNNNNNNNNNNNNNNNNNNNNNNNNNNNNNNNNNNNNNNNNNNNNNNNNNNNNNNNNNNNNNNNNNNNNNNNNNNNNNNNNNNNNNNNNNNNNUAAAAAUAAAAAUAGCGGUUUGCGAAGUCUUUGAAUAUCCAAACAACUUGAUAUUCAAUUUCAGGAAACAACAAAAGUAGAUGCUAACCCCUGAAAUAAUCAAAUGAUUCUUGUCCAUCUUUUUCUGAGUUAGAAUAAAAAAAUAAAAAUAAAAAACUUCAUUAGAUGGGCAAAUAUUUUUCAGACUAGUUGUAAGGUGAGUUUUCUCUUAAGAUGAAUCGGUACCCCUGAUUCUUGCAGUCUUCUCAAUGUCAUUGUCAAUGGUUUGUCACCCCAGAAGUUUCCUUGCCGCGUUCAUUUAAUAACAAAUUAAAAUCUGAAGCUUAAUAACAAAGUUACAAAAGUGACAGUACAAAAUCAUAAAUUCCUAGCUUUUACAAUAGAGGCUAUAAAGUGAAAUCCCGAUAGUACGUAAAUAUAAUUUGAGUGAUGAUUAAAAAAAAUUAAAAAUCCUCGCGAAAUUUGUAUCUAUAUCAAUUACGCUUCUUGAUUUUUGGCAUUUUUAGGAAUAAUGUUCAUCUUUAAAGAAAAAUUCUAAAUUAAAAGAUUAAACUUCACCUCUGCAGUGGAUGUGUAUUAUUGCUAGUCACACGAUUAAUUUGGUGUAAUCGGUCAAUCCACUAUCCACAUUGCCUAUGCGAUAUGUUUGUCAUCCUAAUUGAAGGUUGAAAGUUGGAAAUACUUACCUUUUAUUGGCUUGUCAUGUCACGUGUCUCUGCCACAUCAAUUAGGUGUUAACAAGUAAAAGUCUGCCAUCAUCUUGAUUGCUUAGUUGCGUUUUCCAUUUCUUCUUUCCUAAUCCAACCUAAGGAAAAGUAGAAGAGUUGGAGGGGAACGACAAAAUUAAUUUAUUCUCUGAGUAUUCAUCUUCAUGUUAUUCUUGUGUGUCUAAGCUAUAUAAUUACGAUUGUAUUCUCUGUACAAGUUAGUGUGUAUAUAAUAUGGGAAGAGACUCAGUGUUGUGAGAGUGAGUUUAUAGAAUCAUCUAAUCAAGCNNNNNNNNNNNNNNNNNNNNNNNNNNNNNNNNNNNNNNNNNNNNNNNNNNNNNNNNNNNNNNNNNNNNNNNNNNNNNNNNNNNNNNNNNNNNNNNNNNNNCUCUGGCGGUCUAGUGUCGCCCACCGCGAAGAAGAAGACGAACGGCGAAGAAGAUGGGCGGUGAAGAAGGCGAUGAACAGUGACUCGGAAUCGCAUCUCCAGAAUGGGAAUGCUCAAAGCAACCCCAACCCAGCAUUGGGCUUUCAGCAUUGGGGAUGCUGGCAUUAGGCAAAUGGGCAUUCAAAAACACAUGCCAAACACCAAAAAUUUUCCCCAAGGGGCUUUGGGCUCCCAAAGCCCCUUGGGAAUGCCCAACCAAACACCCCCUACGCCCGGUAUUGGUUACCCGAGGAAGGCAUCGUGAGGAUCUGGGUGGGUUUCGAGCCCCCUGAAGGGGGCUUUGUGGCCGGAGAGCCCCGUGGGGGGUUAGGUCCAUUUUUCGUUUGAACCACCCCGGUUUGGAAUGAAACAUUUUAAGGUCUUGCUUAGGACUCGAAAUUAUUAACAGGAUUACGGGAAAAUCAAAUCAAAAUUCCCAAAAUGUUUUUUUAGUUUAUUUUCAAGUUUUAGACGAACCUUAGAAAACAUUAUCACUUUUCUGAAAAAUAGCUUACUUGAAAACAUUUUUCAAAAAUACUACAUUUCUCGCAAAACGAACGGUCUUAGAAGAAAAUGAAAGAAAUUGUUUCAAUUGCAGUUGUAAAGGAAGAGCAAUUUCAGUUUAGUUUCCAAUCGGAUUAAAAAAACAGUUAUUUUUUCAUGCCGAAUUGAACCGAAAGCACACAAAUUCAAUUUGGUUCAAUUUUCCAAUUCAAUUUUGAUAUCCUAGAUGAAUGGUUACAAGAUUUGAAAACUUGUCUUGAAGUCUAAGAUCCCAUCAUUUGGUUCGGCUUGGCUUUUCAGAAAUUUCAAAUCAUAUAAAACUGAACCAUUUGGAUGUGCAUUAACUUUGAAUGGAACUACGCCCCAAACCAAAUACCAAAUAUAACCCUAGUCUUCGGAUCGGUUUUUGGUUUUCUUUUUUGAAAUAUUAAACAGAGAUUUGAUGAAAAAGUGAAGAGAUUGUGUAAAUUAUAAUAUCAAGAAGGAGGUGAGCCAAAACUAUCCGAACCGGAAUAAAAAAAAAAAAACAGUUAUUUUUUCAUUAUCCAAACUACACUGAAAAUGCACAAAAAAAUCUGUUGGGUUCGGUUUUCUGAUUUAGUUUUGACGCCCUUGGAUUGAUGAUUAUGAGAAUGUGUAACUUUCAUGUUUAUCCCGAAAAAGCAAAGAAGAAAAGGAUCCUGGUAAAGGGACAACGAUGUCAUCGGCCGUGUCGUCUUAUGGCAAAGCAAGUGGGAAAAGGGAAGGAGACUUUAGGAGGAUGGAGACUUCAAGGUGACGAAUCGUAGAUUCACCUGUUGCAUACAGUGGAUCCAUCCAUGGGAUACGAAAAAGACCAAUUAUUGAAAUAGAGAAAUAUAACUGUGUGAUAAUUUUUUAAAUAUUGUAAGAAUAAUAGUCUAUUUUAAAUUAUAAAAACUCAAAUUACAUGUAACUAUAAAUUACUAUAAAACUCACUUCUUUAAAAAUUUAUGACUCAUUGUUAUUUUCAUAGUACUCCAAAAAUUGUUAUACUAAUAAAACCUAAAUGAAUAUGGGUAGACUUAUAAAAUGAGAGCAGGUGCAUCGGAGAAGAUUAUGAGACGAGGUUUACAGUCGGAAAAUAAUUUGAAGGAAGGUCUCACUUUUUGCCAAAAAAAAAUGAGCCUGUUCGUAUCCAUCAUGUAGCCCUUCAGACCCAUAAGCAAAGUAUCUACCGUUCUUUUGCUUUGCUGUGAGAAUUGAUUGAGGAGCCUCUAGAAAUCAUCUUCAAGAAAAGUUUGGACUGAAUUACAUCUGGGCCAAGUCCCGAACACCGCAUUGAGUUCCGGCUUCAAGAUCCGAUAAGGAGACAACUGACGAUUUACGCUGACAUCGGUAGAUUUACAAGGACUUUAAUUUCUUGCGAGUUAGCCUGAAGAGAAUUUUGUUGUGUUAGCUCGACCAAUGCCUGUUCUUUUAACCGGUCGCUGGGGCGGUCUCUUUCAAGUGUAAAGUAGGAACGAACAAAAGGAAAAAGAUGGUGAGAAGGACGACGCAUUCCACUUCUUGGCCAGAAGAAUGAUAUCGACGUUCGUCGAUAACGCUGGACUGCUGAUAUCGACGUUAGUAAAGGUGGUGAUGACUGGAACUUUCUCUUGAACUUGUGAUGGGCACAAACUUCAAUGUCAUUUUCCUGAGUGACUUUCAGUGUCGGCCAAAAAACUCGAGGAGCUAAAAGCAAGUCGUCUUUCGCACGGCAAGAAAAAACAAGUCAAACCCUUGCCUAGAUCUUUAUUUAGAUGAACCGAGACAAAUCCCAGCUGAUGAUCAUGUAGUGACAGAAAAAAUCCCUCGAAAUCCAUUGAUUGCGAGUGCGCCGUUCACGCGAGACUUUUCCUCAAACAGAGUCCUUGGCCAUCUAAAUUGCAAUACUCCAACUCGGCAGAGAACAAGAAUCCUCGGGACGUUGCGGGCUUUCGUCAUGUCGAUGACAUGAAAUUACUCGUGUUGAAUUUAAAGCUGUGAAAGGAAUUCAUAUGAGGAUGAGAAGAAAGCUAGUCAUUGUUUCAACGUGUUACUCUUCUUAUUCCAUGGGUGAUCUAAGCUAGGAGUACAGGAUGUGGAGACACAAGCUGUCACGUUCUGAUCCUUGAACGCGCGCCCAUCCUUCACCUGGUCAAUUCAUAGUGACAUCCCAAGAUGCAUAGCCGAUCAUUUCAUUUUAAAUACGCGUACGAAACCAUAUAAUAAAUCCCUAGAUAAUAAAACAAUGAGAUAGAAAGAUAUGGCCAUAUUUUUCCAACAUGAAAAAUCAUAACCACAUUUUUAUACAAGACAACCCACAUAGUAUAUAUCACAAUACUAUUUACAGAAGUCUGAUCUAUUAUACAUAUCAGUUCACAUCUUAGGGUUGCAAAACAGGAUGAGGUCUCAAUCCUCAUCUGAAUCAUACUCAAGAUCCUCCUCGAGGUCAUCCUCCUCUUCUUCAUCAUCAUUUUCUUCUUCUUCAGGCUCCUCAUCUUCUGGCUCCUCCUCGGGCACAUCCUCAGGCUCCUCGUUUCUAGGCUCAUCCUCCUAUCCCUCCUCCUGCUCAACAAUCUCCCAUUCUUCUUCGCUCUAGUUGGCAUCUUCGAUUGAGUACAUGAGAGUACGAACAUCAUCCACUUCCUUAGGAUCCUUGGCAUCCACUACUGACUCACCUUUAGGAUCUGCCGUCUCUUCAUCGAAUGCCUCAUCUAGUAUAUACAAGGGCACACUACCUUCUGGUAUGGAACAUUCUCUCCGCCUAUCAUGGUAGUGAUGGUAUCACAAUCGAUACUCAUGAGGCCUCAGGGCAUCUUUACCCACGUCAACCCAGACAGUCGACUUAACCAAUAUGUACUCCAGUCCCUCGGCGUGGUUAUGGAUGUGGAAGUGGUAUGCUAUCUUUGAGAUCUCUUCAGGAAUACCAAAAUGCAUAGGAGGAUGAGGAAAUAGAGGUGCUGCCAUCUAGGGGCCUGAAAUAUUAUCCCACAACGAGGUGAGACUACAUCUCAGCAAGUUCUACCCUCCUAAGACCCGAUUAGGAAACCAAUAUACUAGGUACACACAGGUCAGAGGACUUACCUUGACCUCAGAUUCCACUUGCAAAUCAAUACAGUUCAUAAAGACACCCAAUCAUAUUACCACAGAUCGAAAUAUCGAUUAAUUGACCUAGUCGAUUAUAUGUCAAACAGACCAUUCCCUGGUCAUUUCAAUUAAUACUAUGCAUUUUCCAAGAUAGUAUACCUAGUCACUGAGCCACGUGCAUUCUCUAAGGCGAUAUACUUAGUCACCGAAUUACGUGCAUUCUCUAAGGCGAUAUACUUAGUCACCGAGUCACGUGCAUUCUCUAAGGCGAUAUACUUAGUCACCGAGUCACGUGCAUUCUCUAAGGCGAUAUACUUAGCCACCGAGUCACGUGCAUUCUCUAAGGCGACAUAUCAAAUCACCGAGCCUUGUGCAUUCUCUAAGGCGACAUACUUAACCACCAAGCCAUGUGCAUUCUUUAAGACGAUAUACCAAAUCACCGAGCCACGUGCAUUCUCCGAGGUGACGUAUUAAUCACCGAGCUACAUGCCUUUUCCAGGUGAUGUAUAUAAUCAACGAGUCACAUGCAUUCUCUAAGGUGAUGUAUCUAAUCACCGAGCCACGUCAUACAACAUUUUCUCUCAUCUUUUAUCAUACUCGAUAAAAUAUUGUAUGUGGGUACACGGUUGUUUUUAGCCAAAAUACCAUAUUUUCCUUCCCAUAAAUCUCACCAUUUUCUGUAGUCCACCAAAACAUUUUUGGCACUGUCAACUGAUGCCCGAUUAUUUUUCAAUUAAUUACCAAAAAUUAUUUAAUUUAGGAAAUAAAUCCUAAAAUCACCAAUAAAUCGAUUCAGCACAAAUUAACAAUCAAAUAAAUAAACAGAGUGCACCACGAUAGUCAACAUAAAAUCCCGGUCAUCGGCCAUCCUGGUUGAAUUUCCGGAAAAUAAAUAAAUAAAUAAAUAAUUACAAAAAUUAAUUAUUAAAUAGUAAUAAAUCCAAUUUAGGCUAGUAAUGCCUAAUUGGAAGCCGAAUCGAAUCUAGAAAAAUUUCAAGUUUCAUUCAAUAAAUAAUAUGCCGUGUCUAUUCGCUAAUUACACUAACAAUUUGCCUAACAUGUAUAGGUAAAUCCCUAAUUUAAUUAUUCUAAUAUAAUCUAUCAACCUAAUUGUACUUAAUUAAAUCUAACCAACAAUUAAGCAUUAUUAGUCUACUAAGCGAGGAUUAGUGAGUAAAACUCACUUGUUUCGAGAUCUGCUCGGAUCAAAACGUCGAGAACACGACGAGGCUCGACUUUUCCAAAGACGGGCCUAGGUUUCGAGGCUUGGAACCACUUUAAAACAAGCCUUGAAGCCACUGCGAAAUCCACAACCCAACUCUCUAUUUGCUGCUGCAAAAAAGAGGAAACAAGUUGGUCAAGACAAAGCAAAGCCGGUGGAGGCGGUUUGGGUGCUCGGUGGCCAACGGCGGCCUUAGCUAACUUUGGCGGUGGCUAGCAUGGCUGGACAUCACCCCUAGACGCACGAACAGAGGCUGGAACGGCGGUGGCUGGAUGGUGGCUCGUGUGGCACGUGGGCGGAAUCGGCGACAGCAAAUAGUGGCAGUGCGGGCAAUCUUGGCUCCGGCGAUGGCUGCUCGGCUGCUCUUCGGGCUUGUUGCUGGGGUUCGAAGCUUGCAAAGCACAUGAAGGAAGGAGAAGGGUGGUUGCACGGCAAGAGGGAGAGAAGAGGGAGAGAGAGACAAGCUUUUGGCUUUGGUGGGGUCACUUUAGCCAAUUUUUCCACCACUUUGUCCCCUUGAACUUGUCCACCAAGCUUGGCUUCCUUGGCCCUCAAUGAGCCACCCAUGCACUCUUCUACAAAGCCGAAAUGGUCCAAAGGUUGUGGGUUGGUGGGGGCACACGAAUUUGGAAGCAUUUUCUCUCAAUUGAACCCCCAUUCUUGCUCGAUUCAACUCAAUUUGACAUCACUAAAUUCAAUUGGCCUCUCAAUGCUCCCAUUGAUAUUUUUGCUCACCCAUAUAUCCAUCAUGCUUCCCAAAUUUGCAAUAAAAAACGAUCUCCGGUAUUUUCUGAACAAAAACGGCCUUGUGAUGACUUUUUCCCAAAAAGUCUCGGGUUUCAGAAAAAUCUUCUGAGACUGAGUCGAUACUCUUAAAAUUUAUUGUGACAUGACAGAAUCUUCAAUUUCUGAAAUCGAGCUCAUAUUCACAGUUAAUUUCAAUUCGGCGCGUUUUUAGCAUGACAUAGGCUACCGGGUAGUUUUUAGAAAUUUUUAGUGCAAAUGACCCGUGGUCGAUACUCAUUGGUGACUCUUAGGCCCUAUUUGGUUCAGCAUUUGGAAUGCUCAUUUGGGCUCUAAAGUCCCUUGGCCAAAUGCAAAGGUGUUUGGUUCGUAUUUUUGCGCGACUUUGGCGAGAUGCAAUUGCAUCUCCAAGUGACUCUAAGGGCCUUUAGCCCAAUGCAGCUCUUGAGGUCCUUUGGCAAGUUGCAUCUUCGGAAUGCAACUUCGGUACUGUUCAUCUUCUUCGCAGUCCUGUUCAUCUUCUUUGGAGAGACGAACGGAGGCCGACACCGCCGGCCAAGGAGAGGCCCGCACCGGCAACCGUCGCCUGAGGCAUCACCGACCCCGGCGACCGUCGCCUGAGGCGUCACCGACCCCGACGACCGCCGCCUGAGGUCGUGCGACCUCGGGCGUCACCUGGGUCGCACGGCUUGGUCACCAGACCUCAGGCGUCGCGUGACCUAAGCGUCGCCUUAGGUCCAGCGACAUUAGGCGUGGUCGGCUGGGUUCGCGCGACCAGGCAAUGGAGGCGUGAGGUCACCGACCUCAGGCGACGAAGGCUUGAGGUCCCGGUGACCUCAGGCAGUGGUCGCCUGGGUUUGUGCGACCCAGGCGACAGAGGCUUGAGGUCGCCGGACCUCAGGCAACGCCUGGGUCGCGCGACCCACGACGGCGCCUGGGUCGCGCAACCCACGACGGCGCCUGGGUCGCGCGAACCCCAGGCGUCGCUUGAGGUCCGUCAGCAACAAGCGACCAUCGCCUGGGUCACGCGAACCCAGGCGACCUCAGGUGAGGCUAUCCGGCAGCCAGAUCUGGCCGCCGGACAUUGGCCGCCGAUGGCCACCGGUGGCUUCCUUUAAAAAAAAAAAUUAAAACUUUUUAUAUAUAUAAAAUUUACCAAAAAUCCUUCACAAAAUGUAGUUUUUACCAAACGGUGUUUAAGCUAAAGUUCUUUCACAAUGCAUUUUAAAACUAUAAGUUACCAAACGCUAUUUGCAUUUGCACAAACCCCUUUAACUCAAAGGUAUUUACAUUUUUCCAAUGGCAUUUGCCCAAAGCCGAACCAAACGGGCCCUUAAUUGUCGUGAAAAUUUUGAGAAUCCAAAUAUAGACACAAGGUACCAAAACGAUAGAAAAAUCAGUCCAGUGAUGGUCAACGAGAAUUUUCCAAUUUAGUGGUGUCACCCACGAUUAGCCACACAUCUCUGUCGAAUCGACUUAUCUCUAAUCCCAAAUUGAUUUUUAACUGUGCCGUAAUGGCCUCUAAAGAUGAGCACGAUCAAGAAACCGAUUCCUGGUCGAAUUCUCAAGUCUAUUGCAUUAAAAUUUUUUAAUGGCUUUCCUAGAUAGUCUAGUUAUCUCGAGAGUGAUCAGCUCUAAGAACAGCCCUAUAGGCACGUUAAUGAAAUGCUUGAUUUAUUUAAUGGAAAACGGGAUCGAAAAUUUGGGAUGUCACAACUCUUCACCUCUUAUAAAGAUUUUGUUAUUGAAAUUUAAACCUUAAAAAACUUAAGCAAAAAUGUGGGGGUACAAUUGUCUCGCUGACUCUUUAGUCUCUCAUGUCGCUCCUUCAGUACCGUGGUGUUGCCAAACCACUUUGACCAACGAUAUGGUUUUUGUAUGCAACACUUGUUCUUUUCCGUCCACGAUCUAAACUAGGUUUUCCACAUAUGACACUCGGUCUUCCACGUCCAAUUCUUCAAAAUUGAGUAUGUUGGUUGGGUGAGGCUCGUACUUCCUUAAUAUCGACACGUGAAAGACGUUGUGCACUUGCGCUAGUCUCGGUGGCAACGCAAGACGAUAUGCUAAAGUCCCAAUUCUUUAUAGAAUUUCAAAUGGAUCUACAUGCCUUGGGCUCAAUUUUUCUUUCUUUCCAAAGCGCGAAGUUCCCCUCAUUGGUGAUACCUUUAGAAAAACGUGAUCACCAACUUGGAAUUAUAAUAAUUUCCGGCGCUUGUCUGUGUAACUUUUAUGUCUACUUUACGCGGUCUUUAAUUUGUCUCUGAUUAAUGCGAUGGCAUCCACUAACUGCUGGACUAACUUUGGACCUGUUAUCUUCCUUUCCCCAACUUCAUUCCAACACACUAGUGUCCUGCACACUCUGCCAUACAACGCUUCAAAUAGGACCAUAUGAAUGCUCUGUUAAUAACUGUUGUUGUAGAAAAAUUCCACCAGGUGAAGUUGAUCUUCCCAACUUUCCUUGAAGUCUAGUACACAAGCUCUCAGCAUGUCCUCGAGGGUCUGAAUUGUCCUUUCAGACUGGCCAUCCGUCUAAGGAUGAUAAGCCGCACUAUAUUGAAGCUUGGUACCUAAAGCACUUUGCAAGCUCUUCCAAAAAGUAGCUGUAAAUCUUGGGUCUCGAUAUGAGGUUAUCGUAACCAGCAUUCCAUGCAUUCAAACUACUUGACACAUGAAUAGAUCUGCAUGCCUAUCCAAACUCAGGUUUUUUGGAACUGCAAUGAAGUGAGUCGACUUUGUCAGUUUGUCCACUACCACCUAAAUAGAAUCAUUUCCUCUUUGACUCCUCGGUAUUCCGGUCAUGAAAUCCAUCGUGAUAUACUCCCAUUUCCAUUCUAGGAUCGCGAGAAGUUGCAAAAGUCCUUCCAGCUUAUAAUGUUGGGCUUUUACCUAUUGACAUGUCAAACACUUGGCAACAUAUUUGGCGAUGUCCGCCUUCAUACCUGACCACCAAUAGUGUUGACGCAGAUUCUGAUACAUCUUGGUGCUUCCAAGAUGAAUACUGUAAUUGCUACGAUGUGCUUCAAAUAAAAUAGCUCUACAUCGUCAAGUACAACCAAACGUCCUCGGAACCUUAGUGUUCCAUCAUCAGCGAUCUGAAACUCGGCCUUUCUUUUCUCAGUGUCCUCUUGAAGAAUUUUAUGUACAUCUGGAUCUGUCGGUUGGAGUAGUUUGAUUCUAACCUGGAUAUCCAGUUCAAUUCUAAGGGUGGCCAUAAGACUUGAAAGGUGGCCUACCUUGAGCUUGAAUGUUGAAUCUUGAGCCCUCUCGAUUAGGUUCCACUCCUUAAUCAGUAUAUUAGCUAAUGGAGACUUUUGACUUAAAGUAUCGGCGACCUUAUUCACCUUUCUUGGGUGAUAUAGAAUAUCACAGUUAUAGUUUUUCAGCAAUUCCAUCCAUCUGCAUUGUCUCAUGUUUAACUCCUUCUAAGAAGACAUGUGCUUGAGGCUUUGAUGGUUCGUGAAGAUUUGGAAUCUUUCCCCACACAGAUAAUGUCUCCAAAUUUUCAGGGCAAAGAUGAUUGUCGCAAGUUCUAAGUCAUGUGUCGGGUAGAAGCUCAUGAGGUCUCAACUAUCGGGAAGCGUAUGCAACAACCCUACCAUGUUGCAUCAGCACAUAACCCAACCCUCUGAAUGACACAUCACUAUAGAUCUCAAAAGCUCCAGGACCAGAUGGAAUGGUCAGCAUAGACGCAGUAGUCAGUUUUUCCUUCAGCUCUUGGAAACUAUGCUCGCACUUGUUUGUCCACACAAUUUUUUUUCCUUCUUCACAACAGCGAUGCUAACGAUGAAAACCCUUCCACAAACUGUCUAUAAUAACCUACCAAACCCAUAAAACUUUUGAUCUCUAUCACUGUAGUCGGUCUUGGCCAAUUGAUCACAGCUUCUAUCUUGCUCGGGUCCACUGAAAUUACUUCUUCUGAGAUCACAUGCCAUAAGAAAGCAACACUAGUCAACCAAAAUUCGCACUUGCUAAACUUGGCAUACAAUUGAUGGACUCUUAGCUUCUGUAGCACUAAUCUCAAAUGAUUAUCGUGCUCUUCAUCACUUCUCAAGUAAAUCAGAAUAUCAUCAUGAACAUGAUCACAAACUGAUCCAAAUAUUCCUUGAAUACUCUGUUCAUCAAAUCCAUGAAGGCAACUAGAGCAUUCAUCAACCCGAACGGCAUCACUGUGAACUCAUAGUAACCAUACCGAAUACGAAAUGCUGACUUAAGAAUGUCCUCCUUCCUAAUUCUCAGCGGAUGAUAUCUCGUCCUUAAGUCGAUCUUCGAGAAUAUUGACGCUCCUUGCAACUAAUCGAACAGGUCAUCAAUCCUCAGGAAUGGAUACUUAUUCUUGAUCGUUACUUGAUUGAGUCGUCGAUAGUCGAUGCACAGGCGCAACGAACCAUCUUUCUUCUUUACAAACAUAACGGUUGCUCCCCAAGGUGAUGCACUAGGACGAAUAAAUCUUUUAUCCAGUAACUCCUGCAUCUGCACCUUCAGUUCCUUCAACUUAGAUAACGCCAUUUGGUAAGGAGUCUUAGAGAUUGGCUCUGUCUAGGGUGAUAGCUCAAUUACAAACUCAAUUUCCCUUUCUAGCAACAAGCUCGGCAAUUCAUUUGGAAAGACAUUCGAAAAUUCUUGCACGACUGAAAUAUCUUCCAUUUUCAGUUCCUCGACUGUCGUAUCCACGACAGUUGCUAGGUAACCUUGAUAACCCUUGUCUAACAAAUGAGUGGCCUAUGGCGACAAGAUCAGGACAAUCGAGAGUCCUCCUUGACUUCCUACAAACUCGAAACUCUCACUCUCUAACGGGUCAAACUAAAUCGCCUUGCAAUAUCAGUUCAUUUUAGCUCGUUGCUUGGUGAGCCAGUCCAUGCUAAUUAUUAAAUCGAAAUCAUACAUGUUUAGGACUAAUAAGUCUAUUUUCCCCACUCGCUCACCAAUCGCUAACUUGCACCUCGAACAACCCAAAGCAGCAACAACUUUAUCCUUCAAGGGUGUAAAUAUGCAAAUUGCCGACUCUAAUAAUAUAGGACUGACUCCUAUCAACUUAACAUAUUGCUCAACAAUGAAGGAAUGGGUUGCUCCCGGAUCAAAUAAAGCAUAAGCAGGAUGGUCAUUUAACGAAACCAUAUUUGUGAUCACGUCAGGUGCAGCUUUUGCCUGACCUUAUGUAAUUGCAUACACGGUGCCUUGAACUGGAGGUCUCAACUGUCCUCCCUGUGACACAUUCUAAGGGAAAUACCCUCGUAUUUGUCCCAUCUGCGGCAGCGGCGGUAGCUAUGGUUGUCCUCUUAGCUUUCUAGGACAAUUUUUGACUAGGUGGCCCUAUUGGCCACAUUCAAAACACGCACCUGACCUAGAUGGGCACAAAGUUGACCCGUGUUGUCUCCCACAAAGGUGACAUGGUUCACUCCUAUUAGGCCCUGACCUACUAGAUCCACCAUUCUUGUUGGGUGGGACUUGGAAUUUGCCUUCAGGCAUGAGCCUCUUUCCCUGUCGGAUUGCAUCUCGGAUAACACUAAAUCUUGACCCAAACAUAGCAGCUCUCUCGUUCUGAUCUUUUUCGAUCAUCUGGGCUCUCUGAUAUAGUUUAUCGAAACUCCUUAGAUUUAGCGAAAUCAAUACGCUCCUCAAGUCUGGCCUGAAUUCGUCCCUGAACCUUCUCACUCGGUUUGUUGGAUUUUCAAUUAGUUUAAGAGCAUAUUGCGAAAGUUCAGUGAACUUCGCCUCAUAUUGAUCCACAGUCAUGGAGCCUUGGCGAAGACGUUGAAACUCUACCAUCUUCAUCUCCUUGGCAGUUUCAGAAAAAAAAAAUUGUCAUUGAAAGCCUCAAGAAAGGCAUUCCACUCAAGGGGGACACCUUCUGGGAAUACUGCACUUCGGGUGGUUCUCCACAAAGUAUCUACAACUCUCUCUAGUUGGUAAGUUGCAAAAACCACUUUCUCAGUCUCGUUGCACAUUAGUAGUGCAAAAGCCUUCUUUAAUUUUUGAACCCACAAGGCAGCAGCUUCAGGGUCUCCUACCCUAGUGAACUAAGGUGGAUUCAACCUCAAGAAUUGUUCCACCAGUUUGUGGGUCGGCCUUUCUCUCUGUGCCAAAAUGUUCUCAGGUUGAGCUUCGGUCGGUGCGACAACAGGUGCGACGGCAGGUGAAGCAGCAACGGUGGCUUGAUUUAGAGUCUGAUGUGCUAUGACAUCUCUCAUGGCUUUUAGCACUUGCAUAAUCCCUUCUAUUUAGGGAUCACCGGGGGCUGCUACCCCGAUAUUCACUGCAAGUGGUGCCACUCCACUUGCGCUAGCCUGAGUUGGUGCUCGACCUCGGCCUCCUCGGGUAUUAACCCUGGUCGGCGUUCUACCUCAAGUCACGACAUGAACGGUCCUUUUGCUAGGAGUUCUUUGCUCCCGAUUGCUCAUAGUUCAGCUUUAAUCUACUGACACCUGCUUCCAAUUCAACACUGAAUUAGAAACAGAGCAAUCCAAACUACAAGCAAUUCUAACACUUAGCUAACACAGACAUGCUCCAGCAUGAAUUUAAAGGCAUUUCCUACUACUAUCACAUGAACCAUCGCUCCUUAUCACUCCAAUCUUAAACUUCGCUUUGAUACCACUAAAGCGGGAUGUCAUGCCCCGAUCCUCGAAUGCGCGCCCAUCCCUCACCUGGUCGAUUAGUAGUGACAUCCCAGGACGCAUCGCUGACCCUUUCAUUUUAAAUACGCAUGCGGAAGCAUAUAAUAAAUCCCCAGACAAUAAAACAAUGGGAUAGAAAAGUAGAGCCAUAUUUUUCCAACAUGAAAAACCAUAACCACACUUUUAUACAAGGCAACAAACAUAAUAUAUAUCGCAAUACUAUUUAUAGAAGUCUGAUCUAUUAUACAUAUCAGUUCACAUCUUAGGGUUGCAAAACAAGAUGGGGUCUCAAUCCUCAUCUGGGUCAUACUCAAGAUCCUCCUUGAGGUCAUCCUUCUCUUCUUCUUCUUCUUCUUCUUCUUCUUCUUCAAGCUCCUUAUCUUCCAACUCCUCCUCAGGCACAUCCUCGGGCCCAUCCUUAGGCUCAUCCUCCUGUCCCUCCUCCUACUCAACAAUCUCCCAUUCUUCUUCACUCCAAUUGGCUUCUUCGAUUAAGUACACGGGAGUACGAACAUCAUCCUCUUCCUUAGGAUCCUUAGCAUCCACUACCGACUCACCUUUAGGAUCUGCUGUCCCUUCACCGAAUGUCUCUUCUAGUAUAUACAAGGGCACACUACCUUCCGGUAUGGGACAUUCUCUCCGCCUAUCAGGGUAGUGACGGUACCACGAUCGAUACUCAUGGGGCCUCGGGACGUUGUUAGGGAAAUCCCUUAUGAUGUUUUGAAGAUGACAAAAUAAAUCAAAGGCUACUAACAUGUUUGAUGGUUGAGUAAUAGACCAUGCAGAUGAUAGAACAUGUAAAGGAUAUUAUCAAAGUCAGAAGACGGCCAGAAGACUGAAUGUAACAUAUGCCCAAAGUAUAUUCUGAAGAUUUCCAGACUUCUGUGUCAAAGUCUGAAGACUGCCAGACUCAAGACUCAAAGUCUGAAGAUUGCCAGACUCAAGACUCAAAGUCUGAAGACUGCCAGACUUUAAUGUCAAAGUCUAUUCUACAUCAGAAGUUUGCUCACUCUGACUAAUUCCAGACUGAACGUGAAUGCUGAACCAGAAGACAGAUUCUAUGCUGAAGCUGAACUAGAAGAUAGACUCUAUGCUGAAGCUGAACUGGGUACAGACCUUAAAGCUAAAUCUGUUCAGAAGAAGAUAUGUUCAGACCCAGAUUGUAAAGUCUACAGACUCAGAUUGUAAAGUCUAUGGCUAUCAGACUUUACAUCCAGAUUCAAUUAAUCGUAACUCAAACCCAAUCAUAUAACGGCUAGUGAUCUGGUUUGGAUUCCACAUCAAUAUUGAUUUGAUUGAUUCAAUCUAAUUGAUUGACGAUUGGAUCUUGAAGAUAAGAACUUUCUAUACGAAGAAGCUUUACUUAUGGAAACCAAGAUUUCGUUUGUAUGGGCGAUCGGAAUCAAUUUGGCAUUUUACCUUUGUCACUCAACGGCUACCAAAUCUUCUAGAUACAGAGCUGUCCAAUGAGUAUAUUGGAAGACGAUUCUCCGGGAUACUGUCCAACGGGUAGUUUGGAAGUAGAGGAGUAUUUAAGGAGAUCAUGGACCGAUGAGCAAGUAAGAGACGGAGCGUAGAAUUUAUAAUUCCAAAGUCUGAGCGACUUUCGAUCAUAUACUUGUCUCUUGAGAGCUUAAACGUUUGUAAUCGUGAGAGAAAUACCGAAAGAGUGACUUAGUGAGAUAGUGUGAUCUACUACUAAGUGUUUGCACUCGAAGUUGUAAUCUCUUGUUGAUUGCAUAGUGGAAUCCAGCUAAGAAGGCUGUUAUCGUGGGAGAGUGGACGUAGGCUUGGAUUAAGCCGAACCACUAUAAAUCUUGUGUUCUUAUUCUCUUCCCUAACUCCUUUAUUUUGUUCAUACUAGCACUCUCAGGUGUCUCUACCCACAUCAACCUAGACGGUCGACUUAACUAAUACGUACUUUAGUCCCUUGGGUGGUUAUGAAUGUGGAAGUGGUAUGCUAUCUCUGAGAUCUCUUUAGGAAUACAAAAAUGCAUAGGAGGACGAGGAGGUGGAGGUGCUGAAAUGUUAUCCCACAACGGGGUAAGACUACGUCUCAACAAAUUCUACCCUCUUAAGACCCAAAAGUAUUAUGAUGUAAGGUCAUUAAUGUCUCAACAAAAGUAUUAUCAAGUCUAAUUUGUAGAGACCAUCACAUAAAGUUUCAGUUUCAAUAAGAGUAUCACUCUUAAAUAAACUGAAAGAUUAAGAACCAAACUUACAAUAAAAUCUCGCUACAUCAAGUCUUGGCAAAGAAACUAAAUUGCGAGAAAAUGUAGGCACAUAAAGGGUUUGAAACAAAUCUAAAUAAUGCACAGUAUCUAAAAUCAAACGGUAAGUGCCAAUGCCUUCAACUGGAGCUUUGUUUCUGUUCCUCGUAAUCACAUAACUUUCAUUUGGCUUUAUGGUUUGAAUCAUAAGAAAUCCCUGCAUCAUAUUUGACACAUGAGUGGUUGCACUAGAAUCAAUCCACCAAGUAUUAUGAGGAAUUUCAGUAAAAUUUGAUUCAAAACAUACUAGAGCACAAUGCUUACAUUUUUUUUUUUCGAACUAAGCCAUACUAAAACAUACUAAAUCUUUCUUCAAGUGUCCAAUUUUGUUGCAAAAAUGAUACUUAAUAAGAUUGUGUUCCUUCUUGUGGAUUUGAGAAGCGUUUGAAGAGUCAUUCAGGACGUAUAAUCCUUUCUUCUUGCUCCUUCGACAUUUCCUUUUGAAAUUCAUUUGAACUUCUUAAUGACCUGAGAGAUGAACAUAAUGAACUUUUUGAUUCUUUAUCCUUAUUUCCUCUUGAACUAGCAUACUAGCCAAUUCAUUCACAUUCCACUUAUCUUUUAUAAUGUUGUAAUUCAUUUGAAAUGGCUCAUAUUGCUCAUGAAGCAAGAAAUUAAGUAUAAACUGUACUAAAAAGUACUCAUCAACGUUUAUUCCUAAAAUCCUUAAUUUUGCUGCUAAAUUCGUUAUCUCAAGUAUAUGCUCAUGCAUGGUAUGUGAACCAUCAUAUUUCAUGGUGGUAUGAUGGUCAGUGUGCUCAUCAAGGUACCAGCAAGUGACUUAUCAGUAAUUUGAGAACGCUAUUCCACAAAUUUCAUAAAUUCCUUAGCAUUGUCAGUCUUGGGAAGAGAAGUCUUUAAAUUAUUUGCAACUGUCAUUCACAUGAACAUUAAGCUCAGUCUGUUCGAUCUUUCCCAAGCUUUAUGGAAAGACUUCUUAUUAUCGCUACUUUCAUCAGUAAUAGCAGCUGGUUUCUCAACUUGAAGCGCUAAAUCAAGAUCUAGGACACCUAAGUGAAACUGGACUUGUUCACUCCAAUCGGGAAAAUUCAUCCCAUUGAAUAAGGGAACAGACGAAGCAUGCAAAUGAAAUGAAACAGGUACAGAUACUGCAAAUAUGCAAUAAAAUACUCAUAAUGUCUUGAGAAUAUCACCUAAUCAGAUUCAAACUAAACUACACAUGUACAUCAUAGUUCUCCUUUGGGUGAUCCUAUGAUAUACAAAUAUAUAUGAACCAUAAUGAUGCUAAUAACUUUUAUUUGAUAAUUGUAAAUAUAUCUUAUUAAAAUUCAUUUGCUAUCUUUGGAUAUACAAACAAAUUUAACAAGUCAUAUUAAUUAUCAACUAUCAUGUUCAUGAAUUAUAAGAAUAUAAUUAACUUUUGGGUUAAUCCCUAAGUUCUUAUAAUAAUUGAACUUCAAUAUACCCAUAACAUCAAUAAUGAUAUGAAACAUAUCAAUUUCAUAUAUAGCAUCAAUUAAUCAUGGGUAAUUGAAUACAACAAUUUACAAUAUCAAAAAUUCAAAAGACUUCAAGGUUUGACCACUUUGGUGACUAAUAAACCAUUUAUAAUUUGAAUUUUUAAUAUUGUAAAAUACAAAUAUUUACCAGAUUGCACAUAAGGACAAAAACGUAAUCAAAGCAUAAGGGCACAAUCGUAAAAUCAUAAUUCUAUAAGGCUAGAACCAUAAAUUUAAAAUCCAUGAGUAAAAUGGUAAAUUAUUAGCAAGGGUAGAAUCGUAGUUAUAAAUAAACAGGGGCUGAACAAUAAAUAGCGCAGUGACAAAACUGUAAAUAACCAUUAAAGAGGAGGGCAAAAAUGUAAUUAGGCGCGGAAAGCAGCAGGCGCAUGCAUUGCCGUGCGGGCGUGUGCAAUGCGUGUGCCUUCAUUGCCAUGUGGGCGUGUGCAUUGACGCACGGGCACUGCACGCGCCUGUAGCGUCGGGCGCGUGGAGACCACAUGUCUGCAACUGCACUGCGCGAGUGGUCCCACACGCCUUCUUCACGUGCGGGCAUUGCACGCCUUGCAGUGCCGAGCGCGUGGAGACCACGUGCCUGCAAUUGCAAUGCGCGCGUGGUCCCACACGCCUUCUUCCUUGCGCCAUUUCUUUCUUUUCUUUUUUUGUUGGCCCUAUUUCCCCCGAAUUCCUCCAAUUUCGUCCUUUUCUCCAUAAAAACAUUCUAUCAUUCGGAUUUUCUUCAACAGAACCCUUCGAAAACAUUUCAACAACAACAAAUAGUAUGAAGAGGAUCGUUCAACGAAUUAUCAUACAUAAAUCAUAAUAUUUCUAUAAACGGAAAGAUCAUGAGAUCAUAAAUCACGCUCUGAUACCAAUUGUUAGAAGAUACAUAUAAUUCUUUAAUGAGGAAAUUUAAAAGAAAAACAGUGAUCUUUAAUCUUCAUGAUUUUCACGAAUAGAUGAAGAUGUACAUUUAUCCAUAUUGUUACUCUUGAUGAUAAUCAUUGUGGAAAACCGAAGAACUUGAACCAAAUGAAGAAAUCUGAUUUCUCUCCCUUAAUCCACUAUUCUUUAAUGUAUUCUAUCGAUGGAGGAGAGAAUAUCAAAUUCUUUUCAGUUAUUGUUGUUCAUAUGGGUGGAGAGAGGACCAGACUCUAUUAUACGUUCUAUCAAUAGGUGCCUUCCAUCAAAGCACCAUUUAAAUUCCAUAAAUGCCACACCUCUUCGGAAAACGAGUAACUUCCCUUGAGAAUUAUACAAUUUCGUUUUAUUAGAGUCGCAACUUCUCAUAAUCAAUAUUUAUUUAUUUUAUAGCAUUUCAACAAUUAUCAAAACGUAUAAUAAAUCAUAUCAUGUGGGCCACAAUAAUUCUUACAAGGAGUAGCCUGUGUAUAUAUAGAUAUAUAUAUAUAUAUAUAUAUAUAUAUUUAUUUAUUUAUUUUCAAAACUGUCAUUUCUAAAUGUUCGCUUCAACCGCUGUUUCACCUCCCAAAAGCAAAGUUGGCUUGACAAGCUCAGAUGAGAGGAUGCGGGAUUUUCUCCUUCCGGUCGAUAAUAAGGGCGAUUUCGUCAUCCAAAACUGUUAUACCCUUUUGACCUAGUCGAUGUAUAAUAAGUCCGUUUCUUAACACUUCUUUGACAUAAUCGAAAUCAAGUGGUUCAAUGGGUGGUUCAACUGGUUGACUCGCAAAUCGAAACCCAAACUAGUUCUUUGACAAGUCCACAAUUGGAAAAAUUGUUUGACACGUUUAUAAAACCCGAUACUGAUGCGUGGCAUAAAUUGCCAGCUCUAAUAACAAUCAUGUUGUGAUGAUGUGGAGCGGUGAGCGGCACAAAUGAUAUGGUGAUACUUGAUUAUGACGUCAUCUUUCGGCCGCAUGUGGCAGCGGUCCGAGUCUCUGUUUCCAGUGUUCAACUCGGAGGACAAUUACUUGUCUGAUGGAUGGUUCGUUGAGAAACAACCACCGAAAGCCAACGGGCUACGAAGGCAAAGAUUUGGACGAGUUGCGUCGUCUCGGCACGUGAGGUUUCUGUCCAUGGUGGAGUUGAGUCGCAGUUGGCGUCGAUUGAACAACGUGAUUCUAAGAUUCAAAGCCUUUCGUAGUGUAUUGUGACGAAAACUAUCUAAGUAGGUGAUGACGAAUUUCAAUUGAAUGGUUACGUCAACAAGAGAUAGAUAAACUAAAGGCCUUUUGUAUAUCACUGGAAUAUGUUAUACAAAUAAUUGCGAUCAUUUGUAUAUAGUAUAGAUACACGAUUUUGUGAUUCUAGAUAUAAUCAGACUAUACUGAACAUACACGCUAUAUUUUGCAUGUGUGAAUGAUUCAGUAUUUGUGGAUGAUGUGCAUUACAAGUCGUAACAUUGUUUCAUAUAUCAAUGAUUUUAAUCCCAUAGUACUGUUAAAAGGUCAUAGUCCCAAGGACCUAAUAUAGAUGUUAGGUGUAAAUUUGAAGGGAGGUUUUCGGUUCGUAAUUUUGUCAUAUAUUUAGAAAUCUCUUUUACUUUAACUGUAGGCUUGUUUCUCUUUUCAGACGUUUCGGAGCUAGAAAUCAGAACUCGAUUACCGUCUAACAUCUCACAUUUUUAAAACUAGAAUGGGAAAUUCAAAGAUGGCGUUCUAAUUUGAUUUGAAGCAAGAAAAACUUACUGUAAAUAUCUUCGGUUGUUGUGUGUGAAAAUGAGAGGACAUGGUCUUCGCCUGUAGUUAAAUAUUGGAUUUGAUGGUUGAAUGUGGAAACACGGAAGAGUCCAAUAAACAAUGGCAUGCGGUUACGAAAUUGUUCAGGAAAUUCUUGUCCAUAUGCCAUUUUUGAAAGACACGGCAAAAAGCAAAAGGUGAUUCAUAAGUAGGUGCUAAUAUUGAAAAUGACAGUUAGAUGGCAAGUGAUUCUUGUCCAUUAAAGCUGCGCUUUAAAAUGAAAUGAUGGAGAAAUUUAAGUGUGAGGCAUAAAAUAUUUGAAAAUUAAAGUGCAAAGGAAAAGUGGACUCUGAGGAAGAUACUAUGGAAGUGAAUUAAACGAACUUACUGUCACAUUGCAUCUCUCUCUCCUUUUUUUUUUUUUUUUUUCCUUUCCACCUCUUCCACGAGAAUUUGCCUCCGUUUUUCUUGUCUUUUCUUUUCUUUUGCCCGCCGUAACUUUCUCUCUGUAUUCCUCUUUCUUGGCCGUGAAGAAAAGCUUACACCUUUUCUUUUACGAGGUCUCUUUGGCAAUGAAUAAAUAGAUGCUGAAAAGUCACCUUCCCACUUGGCCGAGAAUCUUCCGCAUUUUUUAUAAGCAGAUUUUCUUGCUCUGUUUUGGCCGUGAAUUCCGGUCCAUGAAUGCUGAGAUCGCUCCCUUUGUCAAGAUGGAAACUGCACGCUCCUUUCCUUCUUUGAUUCUCCAUUGCCUUUUCUUCCAAUUUUGACGCGUGCAGUUGAACAAGACCUUCCUUCCAUCUCAUGUGUUCAGACUGGAAUUGGCUUCGAAAAUGGGUGUCAGCCGAUUGAAAUCUAAAUGGCGGCACUUUCUUUCCCUUAAUUAGGCCGAGUUUGAUUAGCUUGGGGCCGGACUUGCAUGGGCUCCAAUUUGGAAUCUCAAGUGAGUUUAAGACUCUUUCGUAUAUUGGGUGAACUAUUGAGCCAAUCCCAAACAAACUCAUAGCCAGAUCCAUGUUUUGUUAAUUGCGAAUGCUUUAUGCCCAAAAUUUAAAACCCCUAACAAUGAAAUACGGGAUAGACGGCAGUAAGCAAAACCACCACAUAACACUUACAUAAACCAAUAGAGUUAUAAACGAAGGCCUACAGCCGAAAGUCUACAAAAGUCCGGCUAUUAAAAAUGAACUGUCCUACGACCUACAAGUCGGACACGCUCUUCAAUCCUUAUGACUUCACCUCUGCAACUCCUCAAGGCCAACCAAAGCUAUCUAGCCGCUCCGUCCACCAGGGACCUGAAAUUUUAAUCCCCAAACUGGGAUGAGACAAUGUCUCAGCAAGUUCAACUCCCUAAACCCCUAUUAGAAAGAAAAUACAUCAAAGGGUGGCCUAACCACAUCAUACAGAGAACUUACCUCGCCUCAAUUCCUUCCUGUAGGUUAGUACAAUUCAAAUCACUCAAUCACAGAUAGUAAUAAUAAUUCAAACAAUUGGAACGCCAUCACUUUCAUAUAAAUCACAGUCGCACUUAGCACGCAUUCCAAGUAUUAUUCACUGCCACACAAUGGCAUAGCCUACUCGCAGUUCGGCUAUCUACUGGCAUAUAGCCAGGCAUCGCCUCCCCCCUUGGAGCGCGGCUUCGUCAGUACGUCGACGACAUUCCCGAAGGAGCAUCAAUCCAGUCGGCCCAGCCUCUACUGCGAUCGGCAUCCACCGCGUGGGCAUCCCAUAUAGAGGCAAGUCCGGCUCAACAGCCCAGGACGAUUCCUCUUAGUUAUCACAAAGCCAAAGCAUACUCAGCCCCAGGACACUUUGCAUUUCAUUCAAUACUCUCAUUUAAAAUAGUGAUCCCGGCCAUUUUUCUUCAUAUUAAAAAGGGAAAAUCUCAAAUAAGGACCCAAAGUGAGCCUAUUUUCUCAAAUAAGGACCCAAAAUAGUCGUUGUCCCAAAUAAGGAUCUGAAGUGGCUAAUAAGUCUCAAAUAAGGACCUGAACCCCACCAGCCGGCGAGCGUGUAAUAUUUCCGGUGGCCGGAGUAUGGGCAAUUUUGUCCACAAAAAAUAUUAAUAGAAUUUGACAAACCCUAAAAACAAACCCCCCAAACUCUUCACGUCUUUUGACCUAAAAAAACCUCUUCACGUUCUCCUUUCUUCUUCUCUUCAUCUUCUCCGUUCUUUGUCCUCUUUUGCUUGGAGCACUGAAAUUUUCUGUUAAUGGAACACGAAUUGAAACACAAAACGAAAUCCCUACCUUCGUUUCUUCACAUCUUCUUCUUUUGUUUUCUGUCUUCGUUUCUUUCCAACGAAGAAAAAAAAUCUCGAGUAAAGCCACCUUUUUGUUAUUGAGACACUCGUGUGUAACACAAGGAUCUCGAUUCUUCAUUAUCCUGUCCUAGCUUUGCCAUACACUUUGAUUCACACUCCAGUUUCGUUCAAAUUGGUGCAAUCGAUCCUUCGUUCGUUCAAAGUGGUUGUAACUUGUCGAAGCAACAUGUCGACAGGGCGCAGGCAUGUGGUGGAAUAUCACACAGAUGGCAGCGAGGAUGGUGAUGGUAGGACGAAUUCUUUUGUUUUAUGGUGUUCUUUUUGCUUGUUUUGUUGGAUUUCUGAGUUUAUGUCUCUUUUGUCCGACAAAAUGCAUAUGAGUUGUGUCCACGAUGGAUUUCUAAUUAGAUAUUACUGCUGUUGGGGUCCUACAUGUUGUGAUGGUGGUCCCUGUUUUGCGAUUUUUUUAUACUCUCUUUUUGUCUUUUUCUGGUUUAUAUUUUGUCGUUGAUGGUUGGAACUCACGGCCUGUCAUGGAAUUUAAAAGCCCACAUAGAUUCUCAUAGGGAAAGUAGAUAGACAUUUAAAAAAAAAGCUAUAAUUACUCAGAUAUGGGUACUCUGAUAGAAAGUAUUUAGAGGACGAAAUUUGGUGGAAAAAUGUUGAGACAAAAUCAAUUUGAGUCUAUGUGCGCAUGAGUUUACGGUCAGAGCAUGAGGGCAUAUUGUUUCCAAUAAUUUUUGUGCGCACUACUUAUUAGGAACUGGAGGUGUCUUGUUUUCUGCAUUUUUUGUGCACUGGAUGUAACUUCUAAAGCAGCAAUUUGUUAGAUUACUUGUUAGAAGUUCCUUCUUCUCAAGUUAUUAAUAUGAAGACUAUUUAAUCUUUGUGUCAAGAUGCAUUGCAAUUAAGUCUUCUUUAUAGGAUUGUGUUUUCAGCCUUGUUUGUUGAACGAGAAAGAGAGAAUUCAGACAAAAGUUGAGUCAACUAAACUUAGUAGUCGUUUCCAUAAUUUUCAAGCCGAUAACAUAUGAGCCUAAGAAAUGCUUUGAAUGGGAUCAGUUUUCUUUUCCUUAUGGUAUAUAUCUCUAAGUUUGGUUCUCGGGUCACCAUGGUUGGCUCGCCUAGGGAGAAAUUUAUGGCAACAUCGAAAACAUUUUAACUCCAUAAUGCACAAUAUUUUGACAAACGGUAUCCAAUAAAAGAGUGGUAUAUAGUCACUAGUGUGCCUAGUUUUCUUUCAUUAAUCAAAGCAUGGUACAAUUUUAUUGCAAUUGUUUACUAUUUUUGUUUUGUUUUUUCCUGGUGUACGUUUUGCAUGGAAAUAUAUUGACUUUAUUUUUGCUUCAUUUUGCACCAGUUGAGGGAUGUGAAGAACUAAACUAUUCAAUAUAUGGUGGUGGGUAUGAUGGCGUUGCUAGAGAAGAUGGGUUCGCCUUUGUUGAUCUUGACGAGUUAUACAUGAGAAAUGUAAGUUGUGCUAACAGUGAUGGUUCAAUGGAGAGGGAUAUGGAGGUUGGAGACAUCAGUCAGUAUGUAGAUGUGUUAGCUGACAAUGUAGAUUUCUUGAAUAUGAAUGGCGAAAAUGAGUAUACACAUCCCGAGUUUAAUGCUGAGGUUGAUAUGGAAAAUCCUGUCUUCAAGUUAGGAAUGUGCUUUAGCAAUGCUGAGGAGUUUAGAAAGGCCGUUAGGAACCAUGCCAUAAAAAAUGGGAGAAAGGUGAGGUUUGUUAAGAAUACACCUAAUAAAUUGAGGGCAGUGUGUUCUGAUGGUUGUGAUUGGCUUAUAUAUGCUUCCAAAGUGCAAAGGGAGCAUACUUUACAAGUCAAAACCUUUAACUCUAUACAUACAUGUAAUAGAGCUCUACAUGUUCCUCAAAUAAGCACUAAAUGGUUGGCAAACAAGUACUGUGAUAGGUUGAGAAACAAUCCUACAUGGCCAGGUGCUUCAAUGAAAAAAACAAUGGAGUCUGAGAAUGUUUUAAAGUUGUCGAGGACAAUGGUUUAUAGAGCUAGGGCAACGGCAAUGAGUAUGAUUAUUGGGAAUGAGGAAGAGCAAUUUCGGAUGCUUAGGAGCUAUUGUCAAGCACUUCUUGAUGCCAACCCGGGAUCCACGUGUAUAAUCAAAACCGAGCAAUAUCAAGACCAAUACAAGUUUAAGGCAGUCUAUAUUUGUCUGGAUGCAUUAAGGAGGGGCUUUGUAGAAGGAUGUAGGCGCUUUGUAGGUUUUGAUGGUUGCCAUUUGUCAUCAGGCUACAGGGGUAUACUUCUAGCAGCGGUGGGCAUAGAUGGCAACAAUCAAAUGUAUCCCUUUGCAUGGGCAGUUGUCGGACAAGAAACAUAUAAGACAUGGCAUUGGUUUAUUAGUUUGAUUAUAGAAGACUUGGGGAUUACCGACCCUGAAAAUUCAAAGUACUGGACUUUCUUAUGUGACAAACAGAAGGGAUUGGUGCAAGCACUAGCAAAUCUAAUGCCUGAAGCGGAACAUAGAUUUUGCUUAAGGCAUCUUUAUGAAAACUUCAAGCUACAUCACAGAGGGGUAGAACUUAAAAAGCUCCUUUGGAAGGCUGCCAUGGCGACUAGAGUAUGUGAUUUUGACUUGGCAAUGGAAGAGCUGAAGGCAAUUAAUAAGAAAGCUUAUGAAUGGUUGUCUCAAAGGCCUCCGGUGCAAUGGAGCAAGUCCUACUUCAGGACAAGCUCAAAAUGUGAUAUUUCAUUGAAUAAUUGGUGUGAAAGUUUCAACAAAAGCAUCAUUGACGCAAGGGACAAACCUAUCAUCACAAUGCUUGAAGCUAUAAGAGUGCAGCUCAUGGAAAGAAUUCAUAAGCAAAGAGAUGGGAUGGCUAAGUACACCGGUAUGAUAUGUCCUAAUAUCCAAAAGAUAUUAGAUCUUCAAAAACAAUUUUCAGCAUCAUGGAUUCCUAGCUGGAAUGGGGAGGAUGAAUUUGAAUUGAGUGGCCCAUAUGGCGACAAGAGAGUUGUUAAUAUUAGACAUAGAUCUUGUAGUUGUAGAAGAUGGGACAUCAGUGGAAUCCCUUGCUGUCAUGCUGUGGCAGCUCUUAUAUACAUGAGAGAAGAUCCUGAAAAAUGGGUUCACACAAGUUUUAGUAAGGAAACGUUCAUGCAAACUUAUAGCCAUGUUGUGCAUGUUGUAGAUUCUAUGGACACAUGGCCUGCUAGAGAGCCAUUACUCCCACCAGAUGUGCCCAAGAAAGUUGGCAGAAAGAAGAAACAAAGAACAAAAUCAGUGAAUGAAACAACUGAUAAAAAUUUGAAGACAAGAAAGAAGAAAGUUGUGCAAGAGCCCGAGGGAACAAAAUUGAAGAGACAAAAUACUACAAUCACUUGUGGGAAAUGUGGCGGCAUAGGCCAUAACAGGUAUCAUUGCAAUAAUCCAUCAAUAGUAUCGAUGACAGCGGCAACGACAACGGUAGCAUCGGCAUCUUCAGCCCUUGUAGCAUCUUCAGCCCCUUUAGCCCCAUUAGAAUCACAACCUGAGAUAGUUGAAUUUCUUGCUUCAACUUUUGGUAACAUCUCAAGCUCGUCAACAUCUAUAGGAAGGACAAAGAUGCAAGUAUCCAUUUACCCUUGACUUUGUCCUAGAAGUGUUCUUACUUGCACCUUACUUCUUUUGACUAAUUAAUUUAUUUUUUGAUUCAAUCGUAGGUAAAGAGGAGGAUGUAAGGAUCUCAACUUGAAAGCAGUGGUAGACGAGCAAUUUUUUUUUGGAGAAACGCAGGACCAACAACACAAUUUCUCUUCUUGUUAGUUGAUGUGGAUGGGUCUAUUUUGGUCUAUUAGGGAGCAUUUUAAAGUAUAAAUAUGUAUAGGUCUACUUCGUUAGGAAGAUUUCUUUCGUGGGAUAUUUAUUUUUUCCAUCAUAUAGGGGGGCCGUGUUUCAUGGUCUUCAAGGAGGACCACACAUCUUGUAGUCUCGUGGUUGAUGUAUCUAAGUUUUAUGUUCCUAAUAUCUAUGAUGCUUUUACCCUUUGCUGCAUAUCUAUCUAUUUGAUAGAAUUAUGGAAUCUAUUGAUAUCAUUUGACUCCAUUUAGCGCGCGCUGGAAACACGACUUCCUUGUUGCUUGAACUUUGGCUAAACUGGGUUCCCAAACUCAAAUUGAAGUAAUACCCCUGGCUAUGUUUUUCCAAGUUAGAAAUACCAUUAUGUUCUUAGAGAAUAAGUCGAAGCUCAUUAGUCCAACUCAAAUUGAAGUAAUACCCCUGGCUAUGUUUUUCCAAGUUAGAAAUACCAUUAUGUUCUUAGAGAAUAAGUCGAAGCUCAUUAGUCCAUGGACGUUAGUUUCUCUGCCCACUGAACUUGAUCUGUCAUGGCCAUUUAGACAUCACGUCCAGCUUUAGACAACAUAAUUUUGCNNNNNNNNNNNNNNNNNNNNNNNNNNNNNNNNNNNNNNNNNNNNNNNNNNNNNNNNNNNNNNNNNNNNNNNNNNNNNNNNNNNNNNNNNNNNNNNNNNNNNNNNNNNNNNNNNNNNNNNNNNNNNNNNNNNNNNNNNNNNNNNNNNNNNNNNNNNNNNNNNNNNNNNNNNNNNNNNNNNNNNNNNNNNNNNNNNNNNNNNNNNNNNNNNNNNNNNNNNNNNNNNNNNNNNNNNNNNNNNNNNNNNNNNNNNNNNNNNNNNNNNNNNNNNNNNNNNNNNNNNNNNNNNNNNNNNNNNNNNNNNNNNNNNNNNNNNNNNNNNNNNAUACAGACUUUCUUGACAUCGAAAUUUGUAUCUACAGCAGCACUUCUACAUCAUAAUUGAUUUUGUACCACACUAAUCCAUGAUUUGUUCCUCUGUUCUUGUACUUCAUUGCCAUUUUCUCGAACUCAAUUGUAGGAAAUUGCUUUGCAUACUCCUCAACAUCGUGGCGAAGUUUAGGACCCAAUUGUAGCAAUCUUUGAUUGAAAGUGAGGGGAAGACUGCAUUGUGGCCCAAGAAGUCCUUCAACUUUGUUCUGCUAGACAAAUUUUUUUAACAUCGAAUAAAGAAAGCGUGAACAAAAAAGAGGAAGCAAUAGAGAAAAAGCAUUAAGCAUGCUUGAAUGCAAGAGGUGAUUUGAACCAUCUAUAAUUGGCAAACAAAAAAAUGAAUUUGGUAGAAUCAUUCAUCUUUGGUUAUGACCUUGAUUUUCACUACCCAACUGACGACAUCAUCAAAGAACUCACUACUUCCACAAAGUCUUCUUCGACAAGAAAGCAACAAGAUGGACAAAUUUAUAAGUAACCAACAUAAAAACCCUGAAUAUGAAAGCACAAUCUAGUCCACAAGAAGCCUCUACCAUCAGGAGCCAUGGCGGAUGCAUCUCGUGCAACAUAGCAAUAUGAACAGAUUCCGUCACAUUUUCAACUCUGGAACCAUCAAUUCCUUACAGAGAUUUGAAAGCAAAAAAGAGGGAUAAAUUGAUUCCUAUUUUUGAUGGGUUAACGAUAGUACAAUUAAAGUGCCUACAUUACCUACAAGUAAAGGGUAGAUGAACUAUAAGAUUUGCGUAAGUUCUUCAAGGUAUAUCUAGCAGACUUGUAGAAAGGAGAGAAUGUGAAGUUUUUGCAUUACCUUUUUCUUCAAGUUUACUAGAACCGAAUGACUUUCAGUCCCCCAGAAACAAGUUCAAUAAAAAAAGGAAACAGAGGUAAGAAAAUAAUACAGAGUAUUUCACAAACACCUCAAUCUCGAGCACAAUUCGAAUCCACCCAAGACAGAGGACAUCUCCAUCUCAAGUACCCACAUCUCGAGCAUAAUUCGAAUCCACUUUCACGGACCCAACCAUGAGAGAAAGAACAUCUCCAUCUCGAGUAUCCACAUCUCGGGCGCAAUUCGAAUCCACUUCCACGGACUCAACCAUGAGACAAAGAACAUCUCCAUCUCGAGUACCCACAUCUUGGGCACAAUUCAAAUCCACUUCCACGAACCCAACUGAGAGAGAAGAUAGAGAGAAAAGGAGGGCANNNNNNNNNNNNNNNNNNNNNNNNNNNNNNNNNNNNNNNNNNNNNNNNNNNNNNNNNNNNNNNNNNNNNNNNNNNNNNNNNNNNNNNNNNNNNNNNNNNNCCAGUCCUGAGCACGCGCUGACCACGCACCAGCCCUUCGGUUCCGUCCAUGGCGAUGGUCCUGACCAUGUUCUCGCCCAGGUGUUGGGCCACCUCCAACACGAGCCUGAUCGAGUUGUCGAACACCUCCAGGGCCGUCAAGAUCGGGGGCAAGCCCUCGUCGAACCGCACGUCGACCACGGCGCUGAUCACCUGGCACACCUGCUCGAUCGCGCCGGCGCCGGUGAACUCAUCGGUGAUCCUACCCUUCCCGGCGCCCUUGGCCGCGGCGACGGGGGGAGGAGGGGGCGAUGCGGCGGCGGCGGCGGAGGUGGAGUAGUGGGCAGCGCGGGUGAGGAGGUAGCCGUGGGGGGGAGGGGCGGUGGUGGUAGUGGUGGUGGCGGGGGGCGGAGGAGGGGGUGAAGAAGGGGGCGGAUUUGGGGUUGGAGGAGGAGGUGGGCCGCGACGGCGAUCGGCGGAGGGCGGCGGAGCGGAGGAGGGUCGGCAGGAGCCGGCGCGAAGACGGCGACGCCAUGAAGGAGGGGUGGGGGGUUGAGAGUGAGAAGGGAGGAGUGAGAAGAGUACGAAGGGUUUUGUUUUUUUUAGGGUUUGUCAAAUUCUAUCAAUAUUUUUUGUGGACAAAAUUGCCCAUGCUCCGGCAACCGGAAAUACCACACGCUCACCGGCCGGCGGGUUCAGGUCCCUAUUUGAGACUUAUUAGCCACUUCAGAUCCUUAUUUGGGACAACGACUACUUUAGGUCCUUAUUUGAGAAAAUGAGCUCACUUUGGGUCCUUAUUUGAAAUUUUCCCUAUUAAAAAUAUUCCAGAAAUUACUCACGUGUGUGGGGACACGCUAAUUUCGAAUCAAAAAGCCAAUAUCUCAUUUUUGCAAACCCCACUAUUUAAUAUAAUCAUCAAAAUCCAACUUUUGCAUCAAAACCCGACACUUGGGUUUUUAUGAAUAAAGUCCUUAUUUACCACAAUCAACACUCAAUUUGCCACAUCCAUUAAUCAAAUGCAAAUUCUAAAUGCACAGCAGCGAUCAGCACGAAAUUCUGAUAAAAUAAGGUUCCAAAAUAAUUUUCAGAAUUUAUUAAAUAAUUAAAUUUAUUCCGAAAAUUAAUUAAAUAAUAAUAUCCAUAUCUUUCACGAUCCACACUCAAUUCAUAAUAUCCAAUCGUCAAUUUCAAAAUCUAACUACACAACAGCGACCGGCACGAAAUUCUGAAAAUUUAGGAUUCUGACAAAAUUUUCGAAAUUUAAUAAAUAAUUAAAUUUAUUCCGAAAAUAAUUAAAUAAUAAUAUUUUAAUAAUUUCGAAUAAUAAUAUAUUAUUAAAUUAUUUCGGAAUAUUUAAAUAAAUCAAAAGUAAAUUCCUUUAUGUCACAUCAAAGCUUAUAUUAAUAUAAACAUCGAUUUAACCUUAACUAAACAUAUUUUAAGUUAAUCAAACCUCUUAAUCUAAUUCACAAUUAAAUAAACUAAACUAACCACCUAAGCUUAAUUAACUUAAGCUAAACACACCUAAAGCAUAAUGAACACUCUAAUCGAGAUUUAGUGAGUUAAACUCACCUAAUUAACGAAUCGAGCGGACCAAAACGACGGGGACGACGAGAGGAUCGACUUUCCUAAAAGCGGGCUGAGCAUCCGAGCUCGGGAAGGCGGCCAAAACGAGCCAAACAUGGGCUGUCAUACCCAUUUUUCCAGCCACUGUCCGCUGUGGUUUGAGGCCGAGAAAUGGUAGAUCCGGAGCUUGGAUGAGAUGGGGAAGGACCGGGGAAGGUUGAGCGGUCGAACCGGACCUAGGUGGGGCCUGAACGGUGGCCGGAGGUGGCCCAACGGCUCCGGCACGGGCUGAUGCAGCAACCGCGACGCAAGGGCAGGCGAGAGGGAGCCGGAGAUGAGCGGAGCAGCAGCGGGCAGUGAUGGCCUUGGCGCAAGGCUUGGACGGCGAGCGGCGGUGGAGCGCGGCUACUCCGGGCGGUGCUGCUGGCCUCGCUGACUUCGGCUUGCAAAUUUUCUGGGGACAUCGAGCACGAGCAGGAGAAGGAGGAGAGACGGAGGCGGUGGUGCGGUGGUGGCACGAGCGGGCGGCAAGCGGCCUAGCGGUGCAAAGGGCGGCGGCAACCGGCGAUGGCUGCUCCGGGCAGCUUGCUGGCGACGUGCAGCUCUCCUCUGGAAUUUUUCUGGUCUUCGCACCAAGGAGAUGAAGGAGAAAGGCGACGGGAGAGAGGGAAGGAGGAGAGAGAGGAAGGAGAGAGAGAGAUGGGACCAUUUUUCUUUUCUCUUUUUCUCUUUCUUUAAUCCCACAUAAUGGCCCACCAUGACAUCAUCAAGUGAUAUCAUACCCCACUAUCUCCAAACCUCCCACAACAUUUUCCAAUGGUUGCAAUUUACUUUUCCGCCGUGGCAUGAGAUCUUGUACCAUAAUUUCUCCAAUUCCAUUCAAUUCUCUUCCAAUUGAGUCCAAUUGAAGUUUAUAAAAUUAAUCCAAUGUCACCACACUUCAAUUCACAUCUUCACUUGUCCAUAGAACUAACUUAAGUCCUAAAAGUACGACCAAAAGCGAGCCUACUAAUUUCUUGAGCCAAAUUAGCCAUUUUCUGAUUAUUUUGCUGAAAAACUCGGCUUGCAUGAAAAAUCUUUCGAAGAUGAGUUAAUAUUCCUAAAAUGAUUUGUGACACACCAGACUUCCAAUUUCUGAAUUCGAUCUCAAUUCCACGGUUAAUUUCACUUUGGCACGAUACUAGUACGGCCCAACCUACUAGGUAGCUUUUAAAAAUUUUCAUGCAUUUGACCUGUGGUUGAUCAUCUCAAGCCACAAUGUACAUUUUUGAAACAUUUGCGACUUUCGGUUGUCGGGGUAAUCUCAAGAUUUCAAAUACGAACAUAAGGUACCCAAUCGAUAAAAAGUCGGUUCAGUGCCGAUCGACAAGAAUUGUGCAAUCUGGUGGAAUCACCCACACUUGAUCACAUGCCUUUGUCGAGUCGACCUAUCUCCGAUCUCUAAUCGGUUUUUAAUUGUACCGUAAUGACCCUUGCAAAUUAGCUCGGUCAAAAGAUUGCUUCCUAGUCAAAUUCUCGAGUCUGAUGCAUUAUAAUUUCUUAACGGCUUCACCUGAUAGACUAGUUUUCACAUGAGUGUCCGACUCAAGGAAAGGAACUAUGUGCGUGCCAACGAAAUGCCCGUUUUAAUUUAUUAAAAAUAGAAUUGGAAAAUCGGGAUGUCACAACUCUUCCCCUCUUAUAAAAAUUUCGUCCUCGAAAUUUUUACAUUUACCAAUUCUUAAACAAAAAGGUGGGGGUACAGUCGUCUCAUAUAAUCUUUUCUUUCUCAAGUUACUCCUUCUGUACCAAUACUGCUGGAUCAUUGCUAUCUUUCCCAAACCACAUCGGAUCCAAAAUAUUGAAGACUUGCCCACUUAAAAUUCCAAAGGUCUUUAACACAAAAUCUUCAAAGCUAAACUGGCGAUUCUGAGCAGUCUCUAAACUGUCUCUGAUAAUUGCAACUGAAUCACUGAUUUCUGACCCAACUCUGGACUUGCAAUUUUUUUUUAUCUCUGAUCUCAUCUCAACCGACUGAAAUCAUGUACACUCCGCUCUGCACUGAUUAAAAAGAAACUAUCUGACUGAUCUGCUGAAACUAAGAACCUCUGGUCAAGAUCUGAUAUAACUCUGACACUAAUCUUGGUAAUUGUAAUCAUUGACUACUGUACUGACCCUGGCCUGCGAUCUUUCUUUCCCUGACUUCAUCUCAGCAAUUGAAAUUAUGCACUCUCUGCUAUGCACUGCUUAAGAAGGAACCAUCUGAAAGCUCUGCAAACUUGGAACAUCUGAUCUAGAUUUGAAAUACAAUUCAUCCCCGGCACUCCAUGUAGAUAAAUUAUAUGAUAUACACACACUUCGGUAUACUUAUUCUAAUCGAGAUAUUUUCGUGCUAUACUAAGGUGAGUUGACUCUGUUCAUCUAUCGACCACAACCCCAUAAGGAAUCAAUACUCUUCCCGACUCCUUAAUAAGCCUGUCAUAACAUUCCAUCAUGUUAUACUUCCAUUCCCACACAUGACUCUCUCAAGUGCUUGAAGAAACUUUUCUAGUUUACAUUACCAAAUUCUCACUUACUAAUACAUCCAACACGUGCAACUUGUUCAGCGAUAUCUAUCUUCAUACCGAUCUACCAAUCCCGAUGAUGUAGAUUCUGACUCAUCUUUGUACCGUCUGGACAACGUUGAAGUUGCUAUGAUGAGCUUCCCAUAAGAUCUCUUCUUUAAUCUCUGUAUCGACAAUUACAUACAAUUGUCCUCGGAACCUUAGCGUUCUGCCUUCGGAAAUCUGAAAAUCAAUCUCUCUCUCAUCUGCAUUCUCUUAUAGAAUCUUCUGAAUUUCUGAAUCUGUCCACUGAAGCGAUUUGAUUCUGAUCUGAACUCUCGGCUCAAUUCUGAGGGUAGUUAUAAGAUUCAAAAAGGUGGCAUAUCUUAGAUUUGAAAACUGAAUUUCGAACUUUCUCAAAUAAGAUCCAAUCCUUAAGUACCAACUGUGCAACUAAGGACUCUCGACUCAGUGCAUCUGCGACUUUGCUCACCUUUCCAGAGUGAUACAAAAUAUCAUAGUCAUAAUCCUUAAUGAGUUCCAUCCGACGAUGCUAUUUCAUAUUCCACUCCUGAGGUCUCAACUGAUGGGACACAUAUGCAACAACUCUAUCAUGAUGUAUCAACACAUAACCCAAGCCUUUAAACGACGCAUCACUGUAGAUCUCAUAACUUCCAGGACCGGAUGGAAUAGUCAGCACAGGUGCAGUAGUCAGCUCUUGCUUAAGCUCUUGUAAACUACACUAACACUAUGUAAACAUGAUUUAAUUUCCUGUUUUACUCACACAUAUUCUUGUUUUCUUGUCUAAUGUCUUCUUCUGUGUAGUCAUUUACAUUUGGUAUGUUUUUUAGUAAGCCAUCUUUGUCCAAGGAAUUUUCACUAACUUUGAAUUCCUAUCAUUGCUUAAUUGUUGUGAGGUAACCAGAAUUCAUCUACCAUGAUUGGUGCUUUAGCUGUAAUAUUUGUUUUUCAGGUUUAUGCCAUUGCUUCUGAAGACAUGGAUUCCCUUACUUUUGGAGCUCUUAUAUUUCUUCGCCAUUUAAUGGAUCCUAGCUCAAGAAAAGUUCCAGUCAUGGACUUUGAAAUUUCCAAGGUACUUAGAAAAGUUUAUUCAUUGUGAUUGCUUAAAUUUUUUUCUCACUUUCCUGAAUUUUAGAUCUUGGAGGAGAUGAAUCUGGAUAUGGAUCAAUUCAUUGACCUGUGCAUUCUCUCUGGAUGUGAUUAUUGUGAAAGCAUUCGAGGUAGACGUGAUAUUGUUGCAGUGCUCUGUUAACUGUUUUAUGCUAUCACGUAUUUCCCUCUUGUAUUUUUUGGCUUGAUGAUUUCGUUGGCUUUACUUUGGAAUGAAUUUAUCAGUUAUUGGAGGGCUGACUGCUCUUAAGCUUAUCCGUCUACAUGGUUCCAUAGAAAACAUACUAGAGAAAAUAAACAAGCAGAGGUGCUUCUAUGCUUUUAUCUUGUCCCCUGACUUGUAAGCAAAAGUAGGCAGCAAAGUUUCUCACUGUAAUUGUCUUGGCUGCUGAAUUCCUUGACUUAAAAGAAUUAUCUCUCAAACUCAGCUGGCAUGGAAAUAUUUGGUCAACAAUUUGAAACUGAAAGAUCAUUUGCCACCAAUAGAUUUGGGCUGGCAAUCAGUGCAUCAGCCGUGCUACUUCAUGUGUUGAUUUACUGUAAUACUUUUAUCUAUUCUGAUGUCUGCUUUGUCUGUUCCUUCAUCUCACUUGAACAAAAUCAUGUCGUUUCUCUAUCCUUAAGACCCAAAGGUUCUUUGCAUUACUUGGAAGUCUUUAUUCAGUUUCGUUAUCCUUCUUAAGGAAAUGUUUGCUUGUUUUUUGAAUAGGUAUCAGAUACCAGAUAAUUGGCCCUACAGCGAAGCUCGACUGCUUUUCAAGGAACCAAUAGUUUCUAAGGAAGAACAACCUGAGAUAAAAUGGACUGCUCCAAACGAGGAGGUGGGCCAUUUUCAUGCUGGGAUUUAUUUGCAACAUUUCACCUUUUGAAUUAUUGACUCGUUUCCUAACUGAUUGUUAUUUCCCUUUCAAGGGCUUAAUUUCUUUUCUCGUGAAUGAGAAUGGGUUCAACAUUGAUAGAGUGACGAAGGUAUGGCUUUUAUCUUCAGUAAUGUGUUGGUCAGUUGCCUACUUGAGGAAUUUGCUUCUUUUCCUCUGAAGGAGAGACCAUACAUGUUUUCAAUGUUGUUUUACCAUGUGUAUCAGGCAAUAGAGAAGAUUAAGGCAGCUAAGGAUGAGUCAUCACAAGGCCGGUAACUAAAGCUUGAACAAAUGAAAGUGACUUCCAAAAUGCACUCUCUUAUCCCAUGAUUCCUUUCAUUUAUUCUCUACAGAUUAGAAUCCUUCUUUAAGCCAGCGCAGAAUCUGUGUGUACCUGCUAAGAGGAAGGUAUGUCAUCUUGACAUCUUUGAGGACCGAGCACCUGGAAUUUUCCUUCUUUUAGUGUAUGCGAAGGUGUAAUAUCACACAUUGCUGUAGCGAAGAGAUGUCUUGAGAUGCUUCUUAUGAUGGAUGAAUAGUAAUCUCUUUAACUCACUGCGUAAGCCAUUGAUUGCCCUAACGGUGCACAAAUUUUCAGAUCUUUGUGAUCAUUUUUAAACUUUUGUUGAUAGUGUUGUAAGUCAAAGGUAGUAUGUUGACAUGCCCCUGUUACUUAUGCCCAAUUACUCUAAUGUAACUUUACCGAUGUGCUAAUGGUGUUGCAUCACCCUAUUCAUGAAAUCAAUUAGAUAAAUAAAAGCACCAGCGUACUUAUACGGAUCUGUUAAGAUUUUCUGCCUGAUUAACUACCGAAAUUGCACUGGAUGACAGGGAAGCUAAUGCACACUUCAAUCCCCCAAUCUGGCAAUCAAGCCUAAAACAUUCUCUACACAAGUCUCUGUAAAUCCCCAGCCCAGGUUCCAUGGCAGCUUUGAAAUGCCAACCAUGGUCCUGGGUUUGAGGAACUUUAAACAAUCUUUGAGAAUUGUCUGCCUCCCGACAUGGAUCUAAAUGAUAAUGAAUGUAAGAACCCUAUUCACUGAGCAAGUCCUGACUUGUAGAUGCUGUUUUGGCCAGUAGUUGGAAGCAAGUUGAUGCUUUCCUUUCCUUAAAAAUGGGUCAUGUCUUAUGGUACUGCAAUUUUGGGAGAGAGUUGUAUAAAUUUUAAUUGGAAGGAUGAAGUUUGCCCUCUAUGCUAGAUCGAGAGGGGUACUUCUUUUUGGGCUGACUGCAUAUUAGUGUUCCUUUUACGGUGCAUGUGUAUCUGCUAUCCUAAGGAUUCCAUUUCUUCCUUGGAUUGUACAUUUAACGGUACGUAUGUAUCACUUAUACUAAUUGUAUGUUAUUGUCAUCCAUGCACCAGGAAAUCCCUAAGAAUAUUGUCUCCAGGGCCGGUAGUGGUAAGAAGAAAAAUAGUUUAGUCGGCAUGUAACAGAUCAUGGAACACCAAAACCAUCGACUUCUAAAACACAAUGAGGAUGUAACAGACAUACUUUUCAAAUCUAUUUCUUUUCCUACUAAUGCACUUCAAAUUUAUUAAAAGUAAUUUUUUUCAUGUGUAUCUUUGUGAAUAUUUAGUUUUUUAUUUACUAAUUUUCCAUUUCUAUUAUUCUAACUCGCUAGAUAUAUAUGCUCUACAAAAUCCACCUUUUGAUUCCUUGAUAUGAAUCAAUAGAAGAAAUUUGUUUAUUUGAAAAUAUUUUAUUGUUUUAUAUUUCAGAGACAUUUUAAAUUAGAUAUCCGUGUAACCUUAAAGUCGGACUUUUUAGAGUUAUUUGUACAUAUUUACGUGCUAGUUUAAUAUAACUAAAUCUGAAUACUAUCGUUUAGUAGCAAAAUAUAAUUAGGUCAUUCAUUGUACUUUUAUGUAAAGAAUAUAUAAAUGGAUAACCAAUGUUAUUUAUAAAUGUAUCUCAAGAUAUAUUCUCUUUAUUUUUUUCUUAAUUUUAAUUUUAUAAUAGUAAAAAUAAUAAUUAUAAUAGAUGACGGACCGUGUAGGUUUUACCUUGACAGUAAAGGAAAUUUCCAAGGAUUUUUAUUAGGUCAACAAACAAUGUGAAACCUUACCAAUGAUAUGAUUUCAAUUUACUUAUAUACAUCAUACAAAUACAAACAAAAUAAAUCCCUAACUAAUGAUAAGAUUCUAGUUUACUUAUAUACCAUACAUACAAAUAAUAUAACAUAACCAAUCAAUGGUAGGAUUUGAGUUUCUUAUAGAUGUUGCGCAUACUAAUAAAACAAAUUACCUAAUUAAUGAUAGGAUUGCACUUUACUUACAUACAUUACAAGUUAAUAGCAUGUAUGAACCUAUACGAAUUAGUUGGUAUGUAGGUUCACAUAUCAUUCUUUCAAACCCCAUAAGCUCCUAAACUCCUCCAUAUGCAUAUCCAUUUUAAGCUUGUUUCAUCUUUCCAACCUCUAAUUUUCGCAUCCUAAUUUUGCCAUUCUCUCUCCCCUAAGGGUGGUUCCAUAUGUUUUUAUGGUAUGACUUCAGGUUUGGGUGCUCUUUCCAUCGCCUUCCUCUUGAGAUGGAAGUCGAUGAGCUCUGCAUUGGUUGGGUCGACUAGAAAGCUGCGGAGAAGAGCUUCUAAUUUCUUUGCGAAACCCAAAUGUUCUCAUGCCGUAAUCCCAUGGAGAGUUUCUUCAGAGACCACAAUCAACAACCCGCAUAGCAUCAUGCAAACAACUCAGCCGCGCCAAGACCAGCUCUGUGUCAUUCAAACAUUUUAACCUCUCGAACACCAACCAAGCAACAACAGAGUAAACCAUAACAAAGGUAGUAACAUCAAACAUCAACUCCACAUUUGAUGCAAUUUACUUUGAUGUUGCUGAGUUGGUGUUUGAGGGGUUGAAUUGUUUAAAUGAUGCUGAGGUGGUUUUGGCAAUGCUGAACUGUCUGCGUGAUGCCGUGCAGAUUUUUUAAUUGUUGUCUCUGAAGAAACUCGUCAUGGGAUAACAACACAAGACAACAGUCGUAUUUCACGUUGACAUUAAAAGAUAUUCAUCACCGGUUUCUUGCUAUGUUUUCAUGCACGCGGACAGUUCAUGCAAGGAAGGAAUGAAUACAAGUUAUGUCUGUAUGAGACCGACAUUGCAAGCUUCCACACCUGCUUCAUUCUUUCUUGGUGGGGCUGAUUGUCUAGUUGCCCUUUUUAUUCUCUCUUAUUUGUGGAGACUGUAUCAGUGUGUAGCCUAAUUCUUGAGAUCUCUUCCUCCUCGUCAGCCUAGUUGAAGUUUGUUGCCUUCAGCUUCAUUUUUUUCGGUCGUUGGAAGCCUAAUCCGCACCAGAAGACAAAUAAUUUGGCUCCGCCUCCACGUCCUUGCAGUGCUCCUCAGUCUCUCAUCUCCGAGAAGCUUGCACUGCUCUGCGACGUAUGGAGUCGUUAAGUCUCUGGGACGAAGUCAUUCUUGGUUGAUAUCAUAUGUCGAGCUUUGCAAUGUACUACUUUAUAUAUACCUUAUCUACAUAGAGAAGUUAUUAGGCGGUUCGCUCCACCACGUGAGCACAGUCCCUCUCCACCCGGUGAGUAACGCGUGGAGCCACGUCAACGGGUGUUCAUCUUAAAUGUAAAACAUAGGAGGGAAAUGAUGAAGAUGGUCCAAUGACAGCUUACCAGGUUCUUCUAUCUCAUUAUUCCAUAUGAGUGGUGAUGCAUAGGAUGGAUUUUCUAGCAGAUUCUCCUCUCCUCUGUUAUUCCUUUAUACAUGUAUAACAUAUCUACCCAACAGAUACCCCCAAUCUAUCUCUGUGGCAUCAAGUUGUAAAUUAGGAUAAUUGUUACUUAGCAUUUGCAUUACUACCCUCUAGAAAGAAAGAUUUUGAUUGCCUAUAUCAAAGUGCCCAUUUGUUCUUUGAUUCCAGAUAUGCCAGAGAAGCACAGUUGAUAUUACAUUGUCCAAAUGAAGGAUUACUACCCUCUAGAAAAGUUAAAGGUAGUCCAAUGACAACUUUCAGGGUUCUUCCAUGCCAUUCUUUUUUCCAUACAAGUUGUGAUGCAAAUUAUGGAUUUUCUAGCAGAUUCUCCUCUCCUCUGCUAUUCCUUUAUACUCUCUGUGGCAUCAAAUUAUGAAGUAGGACAACUUUCACUUAUCAUUUGCAUUACUAUCCUCUAGAAAUAAAGGUUUUGAUUGUCUAAAUCAAAGUACCUAUUUUUUCUCUUAUUCCAGAUAUGCCAGAGAAGCAUGCUUGGUAUUACAUUACGCAAAUGCAGUGGUAAAUACCAAUUUCAUUUGGUAUAAAAUAUCAUCAUCACCAUUUACCAUGAUCAUUCUGUUGUGUAUUCUGAACAAUAUUGUGCUUGUGCUGUUGUAGAAACCAGGAGCAAGCUGUAAACUAUCUACACCACCAUAUGUAGCUUCUUCAGCUCGCUAGCUACCUUCAUACUCUGCAGCUCCUCCCACAGUAGUCCUACUUACGGUGCACUCAUGACAGCAUACGUUGUGACAGCUCCUGCAUACCCAUCGUAUCCACCAUAUCCAGUGACGUACCCACCUCCACCACAUUUUCCCCAUCCUCCAACAGCCUAUCCUCCUCCAACAUACCCUCCUCCCCCUUUGGCUUAUCCUCUGCGUCCAUCUCCACCACCUCCCAGCCCUCCUGGUAUGCAUUGAAUUUCAACAGAUGUGCAUGAAUUACCUCAUUACUAGGUUGAUUCUAUGAUGUUCAUUGCCUAGUGUCAUUACUAGUUGUUCAUUUCUCGGGUCCUUAUUCGGGGCAUUGUCAUCCACGAGAGCUUCUACUAGAAGAAAUGUCAAAGGUUCCGCAGGAAGCUGCUGUUGUAUAGUAACGUAAUAAUGUUGUUGAACACCGGAAGUUCUCUUCCUUUGACCUAGAAACUUUUCUUUGUUUUUCUUGUUGGAAAUUUCCUAUAAUAUGGGCUUACAUUAAUUAAUUGAUUUUCUAUUUUAAAUAAUCGAGUUAAUGACUAUACCAAUAUUUGUUGAACCCUACAGUGAUCUGAUUGAAUUGGGUAUUUGCAUCUAUUAAUAACGGGCCUAGUUGAGCAGCAAAGUGUAGGCAAUUGUGUUUGACUGAAGCCCAUAAUGGGAAGGGCCCAGUUGACACGUUAUUGAUUAGGGCUUGCUAGGUCCCCUCUCUAGCCUAUAAAAGGAUAGGUUAUACCUAUUAGUUGCUUUAAUCCCAUUGAAAGCUGCUAUAUCGAAAUAGGUCAUAGAGGGGAAGAUCUGGUAUUCUGAUAGAUCCCUGAUUAUCAGAGUGAUCUAGUUUUCUUCAAGUGAAACGAUGGCUCAAACAGGUACGCUUUAAUUCCGUUGUAUUUAUUUAUCUCGGUGUUUUACAAUCAUGUAUGGAUCCGUUUUUAUUGAUUGAUUAAUUGUUCAUGAUAAUAAUUUUCUACAUGUGGUAUCAGAGCUGGUCAUAUAUGAUUGUAGAACCCAAAUUUUAUCUUUUUAUGGACAAAUUUGAAAUUUUCCUCUUUGAGCCAAAUAUGGGCAUUAUCUUUCGUGUGGAUUUUUUGCUUGAUUGAUCUGAAACCAUAGGGCUUUUAUUCUACAUGUUGAGAUCUUUCCAACCAUAUAUAAUUUGUAUAAUUUCGUUGAGAAUUGAGAGAGAAUUUUAAAUUUGAAAUUCUUGGGUUUAUACAUGAAAAGUUCUAGAAUUUUCAAAUUACUUGCAAUUGGUUGAUGUUCAUUGUAAAUCAUUGCAUGAGCAUUGUUAUAUAUAUGUUUUAGCAUCUUUCGAUUGCAAUAAAGAAAGUUCCUUGGGCUCCAUCUCCCAUGGCAAAGAUUGUUUCUUUUUUCGGUGUUCAAAGGGGUCAAUCCUGAGUAAGUGCCCGUGUUUGAUCACCCUUUUCUUGUUUUUUUUUUUUCCUUUAGGGAUCCGAAAUCUUGUGGUAGAAUUCUUUAGAUGUAGCUUGUGCAAUGAUUGUUUUGUUCGGAAGAGAGAAUUUUUUAUUUAUUUUUAACUGGCUACUCGAGAUUUUUGGGUUUUGGGAUGCUGUGUAUGGUGCAAUUGGAGUGAUUGUCUUGUAUAUAUAUAGAAAAAGUUCUAGAAUUUUAAGUUAGAUUCUAGUGUUACCUUCAAUUUUUAUUCAACGGUGGCAACGGUUGGUUUAGAGAUUAUUGUAGUUGAUUGUUUGUUCUGCUCCAGACGAGUGGUUAGGGUUUCUGCCUUCUCUUCCUCCCGCCUCAUGCUUUGGUGCGAUUGUGCAUACAGGGUUUCUAUGCGUUCGCAUUAGGUUCUUGCACCUCUUUCCUUUUCCUUGAUUGCCACUUUGCCGUUUUACUUGGUGGACCAAGAUUACGCAUCAAUUGAUCCACGAAUGCAAUGGGUGACGCUUAUGGGGUGCUUUGUUAUAAAGUCGAGAUUUGUGCCCUAUUUUUCGUUGAUUUGGGUUAUUUCUAUAUUAAGUAGUUAGUGAGUCGCUGAAGCUUUAGGGCUAUGGUGCUCCCUUUAGUCUGGAAAAGAGAACCAAUGGUUAAGAUUUUUCAAGUUGUCGGGAUAUCAAAAUUUAAAGAUGGAAAUAGUUGGUUUUUGCUUUUCACAUGCAGUGCGUGCAUCUUGUUGCUAGAUUCUAAAUGAAACCACUGCUUUAAGGCUUCAUUGUGAUUUCGCCAUAAAUAUGUUGAUUGUGGGGUGAGCAAAAGACCAAAAUGUGAUUUUUGUUUGUACGAGUGGUUUUAUACUAAGUUAUCUGUCUGGAUUUGUUGGGUUCAUAGUUGAUUUGCUGAGUAAUGUGGCAUGACCAGCAAAUUCCAAACUUGCAAAUUCUAAUCUUUUUGCAAAUUGCUCGCACGGCUCCUACGAUCCAUUGGUGUUUUAUUGACUAAGGUUUAAAAUUCCAUUGAAGGCGAUACAAUGAAACCAAGAGAUUGUGAAUCGAGAUCCAAAUGUAUAUAGAUACAAACAAGAGGAUGUUAUUUAUCAAAAAAUUAGGAUUAGGCUAGAGAGAUGUAAAAGUUGAAGGUUUCAACAGUGGAAGAAAAGUCCAUAGUCUACUGUGUAAUGCUUUGUGGAAACCCCAGGUUCAAAAGGGGAAAAUCGUAGAUGGUGCAUGAUGAGAAGCACAUGAAUGUUUUUUUUUUUUUUUACAUGGGAAUUAUGUUUUAAAUCUAUCCAUUUGUAGCUUUUUUAUUUUUAUUGUAAUCUUUGGACCGAUGACUAACGGAAGACUAUAGCAUCAAAAUACGAAUUAAUUAAUAUUAUUGAAAAUUCUGGCGAACCAAAUGGACCUUUCAUGUCUUCUUGUCUGGUUUUACCACGAAUCAUCGAAGUGGACUGGCUUAACAUGAUUGAGGUUUAGAAGUUCUUUUUAUAGAGAUUUUGCUUGAUCUCUUGUGGGUUUCAUGCUAACAUGCAUGAAGGAUACUUCUAAAUUUAGAUGAUAUGAUUGUGUCAAAUAGGUGGAGAUUGAGUUAUUGCAUGACUACGGAAUUUUCCAAAUUUAAAGAUGCCAAAUUUAAAUAUGCCAACCAAGGGUUAACAGUGAGAAAGUAUGAGAUAAAGAUUAUCCUCAUGAUUUUUUGAUGUAAUGAUUAAUGAUAGCUAUGAAAUUUUUGGCUCCCUUUAAUUCUAGUAACCAUUCGUAUCCAUUCUUGUUUUGCCAUGAGUCCGAAAUAUUAAAAUAAUAAUUUAAAAAAAAUUGUGGCAAAAAUUGUUGCUUGAUAAAUGCAAUAUGAUCUUAGGAAGCACAUGUUGUUAAGUGCUUCAUAUUAUUUGAUGAAUUUUGGGCAUAAAUUUUAUUGAAAUUCCUUAUUGAUAAAAAUUAGUAUAUAUAAUCACCUGCCCAAAUGGGGUUAUUGUGUAUAUUAAUUUGAAAAUUGCAUGAAGAUAAAUUCCAAAAUUAAAAGAUGGGGAUGUAUGACUCAAAAAGAUUUAUCUGCCCAAAGGGGAUAAAUUUUUUGAAAGUUAUAUGUAAUUCCCCACUAUAUUGAUAUUUUAGAGAUAAAUGAUGGGGAUGUGUGACUCAAAAGGUUUAUCCGCCUAAAGGGGAUAAAUUGUUUAGAGUUAUGUGUAAUUCCCAUCUAUGUUGAGAUAAUGGAGAUAUAUAUAUAUAUAUAUAUAUAUAUAUAUAUAUAAUUUAAAGGAUUUGUCUGCCCAAAGGGGAUUGAUCCUUGAAGAUUAUAUGUAAUUCUCUUUUAUCGUCUCUAUAUAUUGAUAUCAUGGAAAUAUAUAAUUUAAAUGAUUUGUCUGCUCAAAGGGGAUGGAUCAUUGACAAUUAUAUGUAAUUCUCCUUAUUGUUGCUUUAUAAACUUCAUACUGUGAAAAAUAAUUGUGCAUUAUGCACUCUGCCCAAAUGAGAGUUUAUAAUGUACUAAUUAUUUUUUGUUGAAAUACUUAUUGCCCAUAAUUGAUCUUAUUGCAUUAUGUGUGACAAACAGUUACAUUUGCUGUAAAUAACAAUAAUGCCACAGUUGAAAUAUUAACUUGAUCAAAUAUUAUAAUAUUAAGGACUUGGUUAAAAAUGGAGAUAUUGUGAUCAAGAAUGUCAUAACUGAGUCCAUGUUAUUUGAUUCUCUAACAAAAGGCUUACGACCCAUUUUGUUUGAAGAACAUGUAAAGAAUAUAAAUGUUUUAGAUUCUUUUGAUUUCUUUUGGCAGUGGGAGUCUCAUAAUUUGUCUUUCUAGAGAUUAUAGUUAUAUGCAGAUUGAUAAUGCUUUUAUGAUGUAUGUUAAAGCAUUUAUUUUCAAUGAUUGUUGUUAUUGAUUCUGUUGUUAUCCUUUCUCCUGUUGACUGAGAAAUGGAAGUAGAAAACAGUAUCUUUAAACAAAUUUUGUUUAAAGAUGACUGGAUGUCACUGAUUAUGAGAUCUCAUGUUGGAUUGUGACAUAAUUGUGCAAUUUCAUAUUAUUUAGAAAUCGCACUAAGGCAAUUUCAUGUUGUUUAGAAAUUGCAUUAAUGCAGUUUCAUGUCGUUAAGAAAUUGCAUUGAGGACCAAUAAGAAAUAGUGUAUAUUUUGAUCACAUAUUGGCACUAUUUCUUACUACACUACUAGGCCCAUGAUCCAUGAAAAUAUAAUGCUUAUUAUAUGUGAUUAUGGAAGGUCUUGUGUUGUGGCAUUUUCUUAACACAUUGAUCUCCAUAGUCCUAUACUAAGAUUAUAUAGGAUUGGAUUGGUAUUAAGAUGCCAUUAUUGGAAUAUUAUUUUUUAAAAGUUGUGGCCACAUAAAACAAAGUUUUCAGUUAUUAACCCGAUAGUGUCGUUUUCAAUAUAAAACCUUUUCAAAAUAAAAUAAGUUAAUUAAUGUAGCCCAAGUGGGAGAAUGUUGGAAGUUUCCUAUAAUAUGGGCUUACAUUAAUUAAUUGAUUUUCUAUUUUAAAUAAUCGGGUUAAUGGAUAUUCCAAUAUUUAUUGAACCCUACAGUGAUCUGAUUGAAUUGGGUAUUGGCAUCUAUUAAUAACAGGCCUAGUUGAGCAGCAAAGUAUAGGCAAAUUGUGUUUGACUGAAGCCCGUAAUGGGAAGGGUCCAGUUGACAUGCUAUUGAUUAGGGUUUGCUAGGUCUCCUCUCUAGCCUAUAAAAGGAUAGGUUAUACCUAUCAGUUGCUUUAAUCCCAUUGAAAGCUGCUAUAUCGAAAUAGGUCAUAGAGAGGAAGAUAUGAUAUUCCGAUAGAUCCCUGAUUAUCAGAGUGAUCUAGUUUUCUUCAAGUGAAACGAUGGCUCAAACAGGUACGCUUUAAUUCCGCUGUAUUUAUUGAUCUCGGUGAUCUAGAUUUCUUCAAGUUAAACAAUGGCUCAAAUAGAUACGCUCUAAUUCCACUGUAUUUAUUGAUCUCGGUUUUUUACAAUCAUGUAUCGAUCCAUUUUUAUUGAUUGAUUAAUUGUUCAUGAGAAUAAUUUUCUACAUUUCUAACCUUAUCGUUGCUUGUCAAGAAGUGUUCGUACAGCAAAUUACCGUCGAGCAUCCUACGCCAGUUCCAUUUUUUCAUACGGAACAAAGUCUGCAUAUAAUCUAAACAUCUUGCUAGUUAAAGAGGGAAAACGAAAUUUAUUUGCAAAUGGCUAUCAUAAGCCGUAGGUGUAAGAGCACAAUUACGUUGUGCAUAUUUUGCGAAUGAUCAGGUGCAAACGGCUUAAUCUUUAAGUCAUAUGUAGAUGAAAAUCUAUUUUGCAGUUCAUUUGCAUUGAUCGCCUCGGUUUCAGCUGGAAUUGAUCUCUCAAAUCACGUUGUGUGCCAUAUCCUACAUUUUUAAGCAGAAUCUAAAGGUAACUACCAAGAUAGUUACAACACCAUGGAAGAGAGAAUUUGCAUGACAAGCUUUCUUUUCAUAAGUCACUAUAACCAAUUUUGAUGGGCCUCGUCAAGUAGAUAUCGCAUGAGUUCAAAUCCCCAGUAGCUCUUCAGUAAGGGAAAAGAAAAAACAAGAGAAACAAUCUAGACGAGUCUUCUUUUGAAAGCCUAAAAUUACUUAUUUAAACAUAACCAUAGCCUCUACUUUGCUAUAGAAAUACUACAUAUUCAAAUGAUUGCUAAAGUUCCCAAUUCUUUGCAAAACGUGUCCAUCCCAUCAAGUAAAUUUGAAUUCCAAGGAGAAUGUGCAUGCAAUGCUUUUCUCACUUGACCCUUUUGAUGACUUCUACUCCCCUAGAACAAAAAAGAAAUACCGUUAGCUCCUAGCAUUCUCACAUGCAAAGUCAUGAAAAAGACAAACAAAUCUUCAAUUGACAUCUCUAUGGUAACCAAUUAGGGACAAGUCAAUCUCUCGUGACAAUGAUAAUGAUGAUCGUAGAUAAAAUAGUCGUCGUCAAAUUAAUUCCCCUAAAAAAGAGCAAAACUCACUUGGAGAAGUUUUUUGAUAGGCAUUCAUCCUAUAGGUGAUCCUUUUGUACCAACCAAUCUCAAAGGCAUAUAUGGACUGUAUACAUUCCUGCAGGUAAUCUUCGAGUUUCAAACCCUCGACAAGAAUAAUUUCCUACAGCUUUCCUGACAUGUCAGUUUCUUGAGCCUAGACUUCAUAUGAGAAUGCAACGAUGUGAGAUCUGGGCAAAAUCACCAACACUAGUUAAGUCUGAGAUGGCAAUUCAGCAAUGAAAUGUUCAUUCUUAACUUUGAUGAGGAAAUUCGUCAUAUGUCAAAUCAAUUUCUUACCCAGCUUUCAAGGGAGAUAAGGUGGGAUGGAAUCAAAUCAUAAUAUGCAACAACAAAUAGGUAAUCAAUUUAUGCAUUUAAUAGCACAAACUGGUCAUGCAAGAUUGCAUCUCAAUCUACAAGUUGCAAAACAAGAAAGAAAUUAGUUGAUCAAGUGGCACUAUUUCUCAAGGGUAGACUUAGAAAAAAAUGAACCUGCGUAGUGUUCAAAAGCCUAAUAGCAAUAUAUGCUUGCGCAUUGUCUUACACACGCAUGUCUUUAGAGAUCAACAGAAUAUCAUGUGUUCAUGUUGACAGUUAUAACAGCAUUGUACUGCAACUAUUGUGUCAUCAGGGAGAAAAUCAAACAUGAUGAAAGCAUGCAUUUCUUGCCAUGCCUAAGAAAAAUAACAUUUGCUUGUAGUGAAGCUGCAAGUAAAAAUUUGUGGUAAUAGAAAAGGUAGCUGCCUAACAGAAAAAUAUAUCCUAGCAUGGUUUCUAGGUAACAAUUGAGAAACAUCAUGAAGUACACUACAAAUUAGUGAGUCUAGUUAAAAGGUGAAGAUAAGAUGACAAUGAAGCAAACCGGCAUCACCUAAAAAAGAAAAAGGAUUCUUACUGAGAUUUCAUUAGAAUAGUAAAGAGGGAUGAAUCCUACCAACAAGUUUAAUGUUUGUGUUCUCUACCAAGCGUUUUGCUCUGUCUCUCAUGAGUCCCACAUAGCUCAUGUCGAACUCUUUUUUGCACAUAAGCCAUCUGAGAACGAAAUAGAGCACAAAUCAAAUUUGUCCCUCUGAUCAUAGCACUCACCAAUACCAUAGUUUAUUAAGAUACUCAGAUGAGUGCUCUAACAAUUUGGAAAUCCCACAUUAGUUCUGCAGACCAUGACCCGCAAAAGUAUUUCAGGAACAUAAGUUUAACUGGCAGUAUCAAGGGUUCUGAACAACACCCGUCUCACACCCUUGGGAAUAUGUAAAAACUCCAUUACUUCAACUGCAGGAAGUAGUCUAUAUCAUUCUUACAAAAUUGGUUCAACAUAUCACUAUGUUUAAAUCUCAAAAGCUGUUGUAUCAAAUGUUAGUAAGUGCCUAAUGAUAUUCUUGAAAAAAGAAGGACAAAGCCAAGGCCUUGUUCUCACUAACAAGACGAGUGAUAUACUUGUUCCAUUGCAAAAUUAAAAUAUCAUAAUCUAGCUACAACAACGAGUGUAAUGCCAACAAUGUCACUAUUGGAAGAACUAAAUUGUGCUAGAUUUUUACUUCCUGAAGGAAUAAAUACACUCAAUAGUAGCAAAUAGCUCAUAUUUCACCAGUAUACAAGAUAUGUGAUAUCCAUAGAUGGCAAAAGGUGGCAAAUAUGACAUGGCAAUCCCUAACACUAAAAUUGAUAUGGAAAAUGCACCCAGUACUAUGAAGCACCUAAGUUUCCAGCAGAUCAUUCAAGCAAUCAAACCUACUUAAUAAUAAUAAUGACCACCACCACCACCACCACCACCACCCCAACAACAACAACAGUUUGGCAGUUGACAUGUAAUUUCAAAAGCAAAGUUAGAACCUAGUCGAGUUAUUACUGCAUGUGAUUGAAUUAGAAAAAUCACAUCACUAUUCUUAAACAAAGGUCAUCAUAUGUACCCCAUUGUCUGACAAAAUUUUUUUUUUUUUUGUAUUUUGCUUUUGAACCUGAUAAAUAAUUUUACAUACUUAAGAACAGAGGAAUGGAUUUUACCUUCCCGUUUUUUAGUCUGAAGAGGCCAGACCGUAUCAUUGAAGCUCUGAGAAAGAACCUUAUGGAGCCGAACUCUUGAGACCAUGGAAAAGACAACUAAGAUAAGAAUGCUAGCCACUCAAGGACCAAAAUCUAAAACAGCUCAACAAUAGUUUUGUUAGCAAAAUGAAUUCAAGGUAGGAAGCAAUUACUUUUCACUGCCCAUGAAGUUGUUGAAAGUGAGGAUAUUGCUGUUCCACACAGCAAGAUUCAACUCUCUAAGCCCUUCAACGAGUGUGAACAGAAACUUCUAUUGAAAUGUGGGCUUUUCACUACCUUCUGUACACCAAAUCAAAUCAAAACUAAGAUGUCUAGUCGCUCAGUUUUCCCAAUUAGCUCAACACCAUAAACUUCAACCAUCAGACCCCUGUAACAAAACUCCAUAUCCAGAUCUGAACAGGAAAGAGGUAAUUGCGCAAACACUUGGUACGCAGUUUAGAAUUACCAGUGCAAGUUAUGGUGUGAAAGGUGGUGCUACCAUAUUCCAGCUACUGAUGGGGCUCCUAGAGGUCAUGGCGAAGGCGGAGGCAGAGGCGGAAAAAGAGGCGGAGGUGGAGGCGGAGGCGAAGGCGAAGGAAUAAGCCAAAAAUCAAAUUCGUUGAAGUCGUUGAUGUUGCAGAUGUCACCCCUAAACACUCCAGCAUUAGGGCUUGUAUAGGGGACAGGCUGGCCGAAGAAUGCAUCAAUUAUGUGCUCGUCGGGGACAGACGACAAAUCAAAGCCGCCGACGUUGCAGAUGUCACCCCCAAACUCUCCAUUCCAAUAAUUCCAAUAGAUUUCCUGCUUAUUUAGCUUAUGACAACCAAAUACAUCGAGCUUCGGUAGCUGUUUCAAUUUCGAUAGGUCUAACAUCCUCUCCCAAGGAAUCGCAAUAGUGGACUAAUAGAGAGCAAAGGGAUCCCAAUUCUUCAAGGCCACAAAUCUCGACUAAUUUCUCGCAAUAUCUCAAUUCUACCUUUUCUAGAUUCUUCAUGCGCGACAGAUCAAGUACUUCUGGAAGGAACUUACAGUAAGCCAUCUUUAAUGAUCUCAAUCUUUUCAUUUCCAGCUGCAACGGUGCGUCCACUUCUCUAAAGUUACAGUAAUCCAUACGGAGGUAUUCCGACUCCACAUCAAAUAUCCUGGAUAAUUCUAGCGAACAUUCAUCGAAUGUCAAGAAUGACAAGUUUUUCAAAUUGGAAAAAUCCGGUGAUCGUGUGGUCUCUAGUUCUCGAAGAUGUAACUGUCUUAAACUAGAGGGGAGCUGGGGGAGGAAUUGCACAUUUUCGCAGCACAAUUGAAGUGUUUUAAGACAUCCUAUUUCUUCGGGCAACUCUUGAAGAGAUUCACAUUUAUCCAAGUUCAAAACAGUAAGGAGCUUUAACUUACCAAUGGAAUGGUCAAUUUCAAUUAAGCUGUCACAACCUUCAAGAACCAAUCUCUCCAAGUACACCCACGUAGAUAAAUUAGGUGUUCUCUUUAAGUGUUUGCACCGGUUGAGAUUUAGUAUCUUUAGUUUUUUGGCCUCCUACAAAAUAAUUUGAUAAAAUACAUGUUAAGAAACGACUUGUAGGGGAAAAAAAGAUAGAAUAAAUGAUAUGCUUAUGCAAGGAGUGGGACUCAUAUCAUACUCUAAGUUGUUCCCAGCCAAUCCAUUCCUCCGAAAUAGUGCUCCGUGAAAGGUCAAGAAUGACUAAAUUAGCCGGAUGAAAGUUUGUUGCCUCAAACUGGCUAGAGUAAAAUUUCCAAGAGAGCCAUCUUAAACUAGGGAGAAGGUUGUUGAAGUCUCCAACUAGGCACUUCCCAUUCCCUUGAAAGAACCUUAGGUUUCGUAACGGAGCAACUUCAUCACUUGUCAAAAAAAUGCCUUCGUGAAAUCCAUAAUGUCCUUCUAGUGACAUUGCUUUUAUUUUCCUACUUCCCUGACAAUGGAAACACCCAGAAGUCCAUAUGUGAAGGUUAAAAGCAAACAAUUACAAGUGCUAAUAGCAAUUAAUUUAUCCUUUUGCAAGAAUAGUCUACAACAAUUCAUUGAAAAAUAAAUUGCUAUUCCCUUUUUUUUACCUCUUUCUCCUUCAGAAUGCUCCAGGCAUCAUCACAGUUCCACACUCUACUACGCUUGUAGGGAUCGGUGAAGUUCUCUUGACGGACAAUUUCCCUUCCGAGGUCCCGCACUUGGUCAUGCAUCUUGGAUCUAUGGCCUUCGAGUUCAAUCAAGGACAUGAGAAAGAGGACUUCAAUGGCAUCGUGCGGGUGGUAUCCACAGGCAUCCCACAUGUAGAAAGGGUAUGAUUUCUCCUUAUUGACAAAUAAACAGGCUAUAUCCAAAAAUACUUCCCUUUGUGUAGGAUCUAACCUAUCAUAAGUUAUCAUCAAUUUUCUCUGGACUUCCUUAGGAGGAGCUUCUUGUAGCUUCUUCCAUGUGUCAACCCAUAAUUCUUCGGGUUUUCCGUUAAGGGAUGAACCUGUAAUCUCAAGAGCUAAAGGAAGCUUUCCCAAAGUAUGGACAAUUUUUUCAGAAAGGAACAUACGAUCUUCUGGUGGAGAGUUUCUUCUAAAGGCAUGCCUACUAAAAAGCUCAAGAGCAUGAUCAAAUUCCAUUUCUUGUACAUCGUAAGUCAAAACGUUUGCAGACUUUUCUACAAGGCCUUCACCUAUUGCUUCUCCCUUAAUCAUUAGGAUACUUUGGUCCCUAGUAGUUAUGAUAAUCCUACUACCAGGACUAAACCAAUUACCUUUUUCUGCUAGACUUUUAAGUUGUUCUUUCUCAUCCACAUCAUCUAAAACAAUGAGAACUUUUUUAUUUUUAAGUACUCCUCUGUUCAUCAUGUUGAUCCCAUCAUUCACGUGAUAAAUUUGGUCGAUAGAAUGAUAACCAAGGAGCUUGGAAAACAGUUGUUUUUGCAAAUUUACCAGACUAUUAUUGCCUUUUGAUGAUUCCCCAAUGUCUGCAAGGAAACAACAUCCGUCAAAGCUAGAAGAUAGUAUGUUGAAGACGACCUUAGCAAGAGUUGUUUUGCCAACACCGCCCAUUCCGUGGAGUCCAAGAAAUCGUACACCAUCAGAUCCCACUUCCAACAUUUUGAUUAUAGCUUCAGCCCGAUCAUCAACUCCAACUAGAUGUUCAGUUAUAUUUUCAUGUGCAACCUUCAGCUUAAAUGAAAUCGUUCGAAUUACCGAAUAUAUAAGAUCUCCUUGGCUGCCAUAAGGUAACAAUCAUGUUAGGGAUAACUUUAUAUGUAAAACUUACUCCCAAAGUGACUAAAUUGCUCUCACGUUAUGUGGAAACCUGGCAAAAAAAUCUAGACACCUAUAUGAUUAUGAUUUUUGCUGAUCUCCGCUCCCCAACUUCAGUCACCAUCACCGUCGGCCCCUGCCACUGCACCAUUGACGUCGCUCGCCUCCCUGUGACCAUCACAUUUCAGUGUCGUCGCCCUUUGUGCCCGUUGACUGGCCAUCUCGGCCUUGCCUCAAUUCUCCACGUCACAUGGGUCGUGGCCUUGCGACUGCCGGGGAUGGCGUCAUUGUGCCUUGGGCCAAACUCAGCCACGUCGGAUAUGGUCGCCCAGAUCCCGGAUCCAACUCGCCACAGUGAGUGAGAGAGAAAGUGUGGGGGCCGAAUGGCUCAGAGGUAGCUUCUGGCCACUUGGUGUCGGGCUGGCGAUGAAGAAGUGGGGGUGACCAACGGACGAGCUGCUGCGGUGGCUGGCCGACGGCUUGGUGGAGCUCUUUGGAGAUCUAUUACUGUUCGUAGCUACUGUCAUAGACAGAGAGCAUGAGGAGAGAGAGAAUCAGGAUAAGAAGGGUGCGCUACCACCGCAAUAGUGCCAUUGACUGGAGCUAUUGUAGCGAUACCACCGAUAGGGGCCACCAGAGAGCAUUCCUUUCUCACCGCUGUGGUGGCCGAUAGCAGCGGCGGCCAUUUGCCGCGACCGCAUUUAAACUAUAUAAAAUCAACUACAUGUGUAAACUAUAAUUUCACCGACAAUACCCCAAUUAAACUGAACAGGGAGGAAAACGAAAUUUACAGAUGGCAGUUGACAAGUUAAAGACACUUACCCUUGAUCUUUCUUCAAGUUCCAUCCCUUUAUCUCGUCCACCUCAUUGAGAGCCUUUUUCCAUGACUCCACUUCUGCANNNNNNNNNNNNNNNNNNNNNNNNNNNNNNNNNNNNNNNNNNNNNNNNNNNNNNNNNNNNNNNNNNNNNNNNNNNNNNNNNNNNNNNNNNNNNNNNNNNNGUUUGAGCUUGACAUCUUCAGGUUCCACAUCCAAGAAAAUGGGCAGAAUCUCUUUGUUCUCAUUCAAUUUCGAGGUGCACUCGACUAUGUAUGCGAGCUCUCGGAGGCACCAGUGACUCGAAGCAUAAUUUUUGGAGAAUAUGGGAAUGUAGAUUUUGGAGUUCUCAAUUGCUUGUAGAAG